UGUAAGCCACCGGUCCGAUACGCUCUAAUACCUCGAACGGGCCAACAAACCGUGGACUAAGCUUUCCACGUACUCCAAAUUGGCGUAUCCCUCUGGACGGCGAGACUUUGAGAAAAACAUGAUCUCCAACCUGAAACUCUAAGUCUCGUCUCCUGGUAUCGGCGUAGCUUCUCUGUCGGCUCUGUGCUGUCAGAAGGUGUCGUCGGACGACUCUCACCUUUUCCUCAGCCUCAAGUAAAAUCUCCGGUCCAAGUGUCCUCCGCUCACCCACAUCACUCCAAAACAGGGGGGAUCGACAUCUGCGCCGAUACAACGCCUCAAACGGAGCCAUCUGAAUGCUCGUUUGAUAGCUGUUGUUGUACGCAAACUCAACCAGUCUCAGCAUGUCCUCUAGAGUCUGUAUGGUCCGCUCUGACUGACCAUCUGUCUGUGGGUGGAACGUCGUGCUAAAAUACAGCUGUGUACCCAAGGCUGUCUGCAAACUCUUCCAGAAAUGUGAUACAAACCUCGGGUCUCUGUCUGAUAUAAUCGACACUGGCACGCCGUGCAGCCUAACGAUCUCAUCUAAGUAUAGCUGCGCGAGUCUCUCUCCGGACCAAGUAGUCUGAACCGGUAGGAAGUGAGCAGACUUGGUCAGUCUGUCCACUAUCACCCAAAUCGCGUCGUAGCCACCCUGCGCUCUAGGCAAUCCAACGACGAAGUCCAUCGUGAUGUGCUCCCACUUCCACUCGGGAACUGGCAGACUCUGAAGCUUGCCAGCAGGCACCUGAUGCUCGGCCUUCACCUGUUGGCAAGUCAAACACUGAGCCACAAAUCUGCCAAUGUCCCUCUUCAUUCCAGGCCACCAGAACCGUGCCUUAAGAUCCUUAUACAUCUUGGUUCCCCCAGGGUGAACCGUAUAAGGGGAACAAUGAGCCUCUCUCAGAAUAUCCGCUCGAAUCUCCGGAUCCACAGGCACACACAGUCGGUCCCUGUACCGUAGUACUCCCGAACUGUCCAAAGCAAAACCCUCAGCCUGCCCCCUGUCUAGCUGCUCUCUAAUCCUCAACAAGUACGGAUCUCCACUCUGUUUCUCUCGGAUCCUAUCCAACAGAGUGGGCUGUAAAACUAGAGACGUCAGCCUCGCCGUAGACCCAGGGGGUACUAUCUCGAGUCCCAGCCGCUGUAGCUCCUCGAGUAGGGGUCUCUGCUCAGUAAUCCUCAAACUCAGGCUCUGCACUGACUUCCUGCUCAACGCAUCUGCCACCACAUUCGCCCUGCCGGGAUGAUACUGAAUACUAAUGUCAUAGUCCUUCAGUAACUCCAACCACCGGCGCUGCCUCAGAUUCAGCUCCCUCUGUGUGAACAGAUACUUGAGACUUUGAUGAUCGGUGAAAACCUCGCAGUGCUCGCCGUACAAGUAAUGCCGCCAGAGCUUCAAAGCAAAAACCACCGCGGCAAGCUCCAAGUCAUGCGUAGGGUAAUUCUUCUCAUAAUCCUUUAACUGCCGUGAAGCAUAAGCAAUCACCCUACCAUGCUGCAUCAGCACGCAACCAAGUCCACUGUGCGAUGCAUCACUGUAGAUCACAAAUCCUUCGCCCAUAACAGGAAGGGCAAGGAUAGGAGCCGACAUCAACCUCAAUCUCAACUCGUCAAAGCUCCUCUGACAGUCGUCGCUCCAGACAAAACGAAUCCCCUUCCGCGUCAAGCGUGUGAGGGGUGUGGAAAGCUUCGCAAAGCCUUCCACAAACCGACGGUAAUAUCCUGCCAGUCCCAGGAAGCUCCGUACCUCAGUAACCGUCGUCGGUCUAGGCCAAUCUCGAAUCGCCUCAAUCUUCUUCGGGUCCACUGCUACGCCCUCAGCUGAAAUCACGUGGCCCAAGAAAGCAACCUCCCGUAGCCAGAACUCGCACUUCUUUAACUUGGCAUACAACUUCUUCUCGCGCAGAAGCUGUAGCACAAUCCUCAAGUGCUCCUCAUGCUCAGCAUCACUCCGGGAGUAAAUCAGGAUAUCGUCGAUGAAGACUACCACAAACCUAUCCAAGAACGGCUUGAACACUCUGUUCAUCAAAUCCAUGAAUGCGGCAGGGGCAUUCGUCAAUCCAAAAGGCAUCACCGUGAACUCAUAAUGCCCGUACCGAGUCCGAAAAGCCGUCUUGGGAACAUCCUCGGCCCUCACCCUCAGCUGGUGGUAACCUGACUGGAGAUCAAUCUUCGAAAAGACACAAGAUCCUUGCAGCUGAUCGAAUAGAUCAUCAAUGCGCGGCAGAGGAUACUUGUUCUUGAUGGUCACUUUAUUCAGCUCCCGGUAAUCCACACAUAACCUGAGCGAACCAUCCUUCUUCUUUACAAAUAACACCGGCGCUCCCCAAGGCGACACACUGGGUCUCACAAACCCUCUAUCCAUCAAAUCCUGAAACUGUGCCUUUAGCUCUCUCAGCUCUGCCGGCGCCAUCCGAUAAGGUACCUGUGAGAUUGGUGCAGUUCCCGGAACUACAUCAAUCACAAACUCAAUCUCCCUCUCCGGCGGCAACGUCGUCAACUCAGGGGGAAACACAUCCGGAAACUAGCGGACUACUGGGAUGUCCUCGAGUCCUGGCGCCGCCGUAGGUACCUCCACAACAGUUGCUAGAAAAGCGAUACACCCGCUACUCAACAGCUGUCGAGCCCUCGCCGAAGAGAUCCAGGUGGCAAACAACGUACUCCUGCAGCCUCUGAAAGUAAACUCCUCCUGGCCAGGCUCGCGGAACGUCAUCGUCCUCGCUCCACAGUCGAUCGUAGUAUAGUACCGUGCCGGCCAAUCCAUACCGAGUACAACGUCGAAGUCCUGCAGCUGCCCUAGCACCAACAGGUCUGCGGGCAUAACCCAAGAGUCUAACUGCACCGGACAUGACCAACAACACUCUGUAACCUGCAAGACAUGGUCGGGGAUCUACACCUCUCGUGCCUGUGACAAGGAUCCUAACUCUAGACCAUGCAAUAAUGCAAAUGCUCGGCUAACAAAAGAAUGCGAGGCUCUAGUAUCAAAAAGAGUACGAGUACGAAUGCCGAAAAUCAAAGUGAUACCUGCCACCACUCGGUCAGCUGCCGUAGAGUCCUCCACCUGUGCUGCAUAGACUCUGCCACUCGGAGCUUGCUGUCGCCGCUCACCCUGUCGCGGCACGGAAGAUCUAUCCUCCUGGCGGUAACUCGGUGCUGCUCUGAAUGACUGCUGAGGUGCUGGUAGAGCUGAAGCUGAUGAUGGUGCUGGAGAUGCUGCUCGAGGACAAGCUGCCCUCAUGUGUCCCGGCUGACCACAUCCGUAGCACCGGCCCUCCCUCUGCUCGCACUGUCUGGGCCAGUGUGGUCCUCUGCAGAUCACACACUGCGGCGUCCUCUCUCGCUGUUCCCUCUGACGGGAGUUCCUGGAUCGUUGACGCCCCGAGAACCCACGACCCUGUGAACGCGAUCGUGGAGGCCUCGGCGGACGCCUGCUACUCGACUGACCUUCUCCGUCUAGAGCUGGGCGCUUCCUGUCCUGACUCUGUCCCGGCCCCUGAGCCCUCUCCCGCAGCGACACCUCUCCUCUCUCCUCCCAUAAUGCCUGCUCAAUGGACGCAUCCAAAAUCCUCGACUUCUGCGCCCUAACGAACCUGAAAAGGUCGGGUCUCAAACCCUUCUCGAACAAAUAGACCCUAUGUGCCUCGUCUCUGGCCACGAACGGAACACAGUUCAGGAGCCUAGUAAACUCCCGAACAUACUCUUGAACUGUCCGCUCAUCCUGCUGGAUCCUCUUCAAAUCCUCCUCAAUCUUUUGUUUCAUGCUGUUGGGGAAAUACAUCCCAUACAGCAUUCCACAGAACUCAUCCCACCUCAACUGUGUCGCCACCAGUCCCUGGUCUCGCCUCGCUCUCCGCCACCAAUCAUGUGCAUCACCUGACAGACAGUGUACUCCCAAAGGUACCUGCUCCCACUCUGGAACGAAUAGAUCCUCGAAUAACUUUUCCAUUGCACUAACCCAUCCCUCAACAAUCCAGGCCUCAAUGCCUCUGCCAUCGAAGAUCGGUGGGUCAAAUCGACGAAAACGAGCUAACCUCUCCGUCCACCGCUCCUGCUCGGCCUCAGUCAACAGUACUGGCCCCCUAGCAGGCGCAACUGGCGCUACUGGAACUGCUGCCGACAGAGGAAAUGCUGCAGCUGGUGCGGUCACUGGAGUAGUCGGGGGUGGAACUGGCGACUCUGGUACUCUCAGUGCUGAACUUGGUGGCUGUGCUAUCCUCUCACACAACCUCUGCAACAACUCCCCCUGCUGCCGCGCCACCUCAGUCAGGGCAGCCAACUGUGGGGCCCUCUGCUCUACAACUGGGGGUGCACUCGCCUCUGCCUGCUCAGGCAUCUCGGGAGAUCUAGCACGAUCCUGCGCCAACUGCGGACGCUCUCACAACAACGGUCGACCUCGACGACGAUACAUAGCUGCAAGGAACAGAUCGGGGUCAGUUGAAACACAAACACUCUCGACCAAAUCAAACGAAAGUCUAGAAGGCGGUCCCUGUUUUCCUCCAAAAUUAUGUCGUCUGCAGCCAACAUAAUUUCUCAGGCCAAAACAGGAACUCCUUCGGUCACUCACCCCACUCUAGGAGGAGUUAGAACAAAUAAUCAUUGACUUUCGCAAUAAAUUACGCCUCUCGCAUCAUGCUUUCCUAAGGUUUGCCAAACUUAGGUUUCCUAGGUCCCAACGACCUAUAGCAAAGCUCUGAUACCAACUUAAUCUGUCACGCCCUGGAUGUCUUGUUCCCCGGGCAUGCCAACAAAUCCGCCGUAUACAAAGAAAUUUUUUCGGUAUACGAAGCGACAGCUGUACCUGUAAAUUAAACACUACUACGAACAGUAGUAGAGAGCUGCUAGAGAAAACAGAAGCUAAACAAACUGAGUUUCAUAUNNNNNNNNNNNNNNNNNNNNNNNNNNNNNNNNNNNNNNNNNNNNNNNNNNNNNNNNNNNNNNNNNNNNNNNNNNNNNNNNNNNNNNNNNNNNNNNNNNNNACGUCGGUAGCUCUAACUCGCGACCCCUUGCCUCGAUGUCCUGUCCACGGAAGGGGCCAGCAGCCGUGUCACGCCCCGGGACCCGACACCAAAUUUGGCCCGACCGAUGCACGUAAACAGACGCGAACGGACAAGAGUUUCCCUAUCCCGCCCAAGCUGCAUCCAAUGUACAUUUUCAUCAAUAGAGAAAAGGCACUAGCGAAAAGGCAUACACAAACCUAUCACGAGGUAAGCAAUAGCCAUUAGUGAAAAGAAAGGAAACACUAAACAUGUACAAAGUACAUGAUUCAUGUAGAUCAUAUACAUUAUUACAUUCCAUCUCUUACAUUUAGGAUCUUACAUUAUAUACAUAAUUCCAAUCUUUCUUCUUACAUCACAAUUGCCAUCAAAAUACAGCUUUAACAAUUCUUUUCUUACAUCCUAAUCAUCAAGACAAAGAUAAUCAUAGGUAACUUUACUACAAAAUGAACCCAACUUUGGUGCUCUGUCUAAGGACGGCGAUACCUUUACCUCGGUCGCCAGCGCCGCUCCGCUUCGGUCCCGCUCCUGUGGAAAUAGUGGUGACGAAUACAACAAAAAUUCCCAGUUGGGAUUCGGCCUCAAACAUCAACCGAUUUUCCCACCUAGGACAACUCAGGCAAAUAAUAAAAGGAUUAAGCUGAAUAAUAGAGAUUCAAAUCCUAACAUGAUCUAAUUAUCCUGAACCAAUAGGCAAGAAUUAUGCUCAACAAUUAACAUAUCAGGUUAUGCAUAGUUCUUUAGUUCUUUGCACUUUACCACUUUUGCUUUGCUCUUUGUUCUUUACUCUUUGCUCUUUAAUCAUAAGGCUAGCCGGGGGUUCGCCACAUUACUUGCUUCACAUUAAGAUCCAUCAUCGCAAGAACUCAACCAGCUAGACGUCUUACAGGUCUACUGCCCAACCCGGAUCGCCAAAUCCGGAGCGCAUCGCCCGAGGGGAGCCGACCGCCCUCGAGCAGGAACCUCAAUAGCAAGUAUACUCGUAUCCUUACGUCAAAGAUUAUAUUUAAAAUUCUUGACUUACAACUAGCUCAGUUGUUUAUGUCCUUUUUGUUGCCAACUCUAGCAUCGUUGUUCUUUACUUCUUUUACUUUUGCUAUACUCUACAUAUAAUUCUUUACAUCUUUACUUUGCUACUCUAGCAUUCGUGUUCUUACUCCGCCAGCAUUACCGUAACUAUACCAUUGGUCAUUCAUUCAUCUUUUUCAUACAUGUCUUCUAACCUAAACAUCCUCUAGUGUUUAGCACUUAACUUAUCAAGGCCACUCGAUCUAUGUCAAUUGUUCACUCUGUCUAUUCUGCUUACUUGGGCUCGCUUUUCUCUCAAUGCAUCCAUAGGUUUUCCGACAUCACAACUAGUCCUCAUUCAACAUACAUAUGACGGCAGUUGUACUCACAAUCAUCAUCAUUAAAUUUCAUCGUUAGCUUUACCAAAAAUGCAUCACAAAUAUGUUAAAUAUCUCAACUUGAAAUGGUACAAACGUCAGGCAUAAGAGAGAAGAUUCAACUGAAGUGAGACACCCACCCACCUCCGUAGGCUCAAAGGGUGCUCGCGACUGAAUUUCUUGGAAUUUUUUAAACCGCUUCUAUCUCUACCUGCGCACAACGAACCCUAUUAGGCAUCUUUGCCCAUAACUCUUUGAUUGGACCUUUCGUAUACUUCAAGGAGCGACACCAAACGCGUCGUCGGGUCAUCCCAGAAUUACGGUUUUUGGAGGGUCAUUGCACAAUAGAAACCCUUCAAUUGAGCAAAAGCCCGCAAUUUGGGGCCUUAGCUCCAAUGUAUACAAAACCUACAGGUUGAUCUCUGGGCAAGCAAAGUAGCUUCACUUAAUAAUAGUCCAUUAGAACCAUUCUUAGCUUCCAAAACCUAGAUUUUUUAGAUUUCACCAUUAGAGGUGGGUGAAGCUCAACUUGAGCUCAACCAUGGUCUUUGGAUCUUACAUAAAGAAGCAAAAAGAAAGUUUCAAACUACUAGAUAUUCCAUUAGAAACCAUUUCUAGAUUCAUUCAAACCCCUAUCUAGGGUUUUACUACAUUAGGGUUCAAAACUUACCUUGUAAGUUUCCUUUUCUUGCACUAGAGAAGAAGGAGAUGGAGCCGCUUUGCACCAAAAGCUUCUUCUUCACCUUCUUUUCCUUCUUUUCCUUCCUUUCUUUCUUUCUUCUUCUUCUCCUUUGUCUUCUAGAGAGAGAGAGGGAGAGAAGAGAGGGAAUGAGAGAGUGAAAAUGAGAGAAAUCCCUCAUUUACCCCAAUACAUAGCCUAUUGGGUUGCAAAAUUGCAGCUAAACCCCUCAACUUUCACUUUAAUACACUGCCCGAACUGGGCAGUUCGCGCAGGCGGGGACCGGUCUCUCCUUCAGGGACCGGUUCCCGAACGUCGUCCCAGCAUAGCCAGAGCUGCUGCGCGCAGUGCAACCGGUCUCUCCUUGGGGGACCGGUCUCUCGGGGACCGGUAUCUCAGGCAGGGACCGGUUCCCGAGAGCUAGUUUCUCAGGACUUAGCCGAUUUUUCGGCUGUCUCAUUUCAUACGCGUUCGGGGACCGGUCUCUCCCUUCAGGGACCGGUCCCCGAGAGCUGAAAACCUGCAGAAUGCAGAUUUCACAACUUUAGCUAUCGAAAACCACCCACAACGCACUUUUGAUCAUUUUAACAUCUUCGGACUUUCCGAAGUGUAUCGUCCUCGCACUUUGGUCAAUUUGACUAAAGUUCGACAUUUUAUAUUCCGAAUUUACGGUACAUUACAAGCUGAAACCUGUGGCUCUGCAAAACAGGAGUAACAACUGGGCGUGAGAACUACUGUAAAAACAAGUAGUCCUCAGUGGGUACUGCCCAAAAUAACAUCGGUCCACCCACUAAGUCUACAGAAGGGAGCAAGAAUAGUAGGAAAAGCAGGAAGUAAACUCUACCGCUAUCAAUCACUACACUAUCAUGCUCUACACUAACCAACUGUAGGAAAUGUCAAAUCUGACCCAAUCCAAUCGGAACUGUAAGCAUACCCGUUCCCGGGACUGUGAAUACACCCGUCCCUGCCCCGUUGCGACUAUCAGGCUCUAUCCACACUAACUGGUCCGUGGAGAGCAAGUCCAACUGGCAUGAGCGACACUAACGCGAAAGCACAAAGCCUGACUCCGGAGUGGCACUCGUGGGCGCUACCCAACCGAGUAUGCAGCGUAUCUCUGUGCGGAGCGUCAAUUCGGCUCAACACAAGUCAGUGAACAUGUCAAACAUGUGGUCUAGACCAACCACGUGCCCCGGCCAAUUUUGACCAAUCAGAAUCUGGGUUCCACCGCUACGCGCGGCUAUCCAAGACCCACAACAGGCUUACUCUGUAAAAAUAGGCUCGGCAUCCAGCAACGGGGGCGUAAAUGCGCUUCUGAUACACGUAUCCAUGGCGCCACUACUCGUGGCACGGCAUCAUCGAAUCAUGGUCUAGAUGCUAAUUUGGUGUUAAGCAUUGCCGAUUCCAAUCGUGUUUUCUCCUAAGUCAAAUCCCAGUCAUGUAAUUUGAUAAUAGUCAUGUUGCUCAACUGUUUUAUCCGGAUGCUCACGAUAUCAAGCUACCACGAUGGGAUUACGAAGCUGAAAAUCUACAUGUUGACGCAUUACAGGUACUAGAUAAAACCGAUUAAGACCUACCUCGAAGCUAUCCUGCAGCGGUACACUCUCACAGCUGGUGGCGCCACCUCGCGGUCGAUCGUCGGCCCUUCUGCGACCAAGAAUCGCGUGUCUAAUCCAAAGCUCUAACCACAAUCAGCGUUUUGUUUAGUUUCGCGCCGGUGGAGGUCCAGGAUCGACCAAGCUAACUUUCACAAAUCAGCAAGUAAUGGACCUUUGCGAUUCCUCUCGCGUCUCCGAAUCAAACCAAGUUGCGUCGCAAGUCCGAUGCUCUACGUCUUAGACGAGCUAAUACUACAGGUUCGGACGGUGGAUUCAAGCACAAUAAUAUACGAGUAGAAUGUAAACCUGCCUAAACUCAGAAUUAAUGAAAUACCACGCUCGUAAACCGCGCCCGAGUUGACGCAGGAACGCGAAUCCUGUAGCCCUGGCCCCAUGCGACCCCGGUCAACACAGCUCGACGGCCGUCGCGGCGCGACGUCGGGCGCAAACUCACGAGCUCACUAGCCUUCAACGGAAUUGAGAGUGAGAGUGAGAUUUGGAGAGGGAGGAUUGCUCAGAGCUCUCUCUCUCUCUCUACACGAAAGCUUAGAGGGGAUGGUGAGCGCGUAAACAACGAGGGAGGAUUACCAAAUAACGCCUUAUAUCCCUUGUACCGGUAGGUCGGGUAACGGUUUUUUUUGUUGGUUAUACGGUACAGAGCCCGCGCGGUUUAUCCUUCUGUGCGUUCGUUGGUACGGUACAGCCACGCGGUUGUACCGGUACGCAAGCAGAGAAAUCUGCCAGUUUUGCAGAUUUCUUCUGCUAAAAGCUGCCUUCGCGUUGCCGGCUCCGUUUUUAGUCUAUUUGACUAGCCAACGCGACCUGAUUCUGCCGAACUUCCAGAGCUUUGUCGGCAAGCUCACAGUGAAAAGAUCUCACAGAUUAUCUCUUAUCUUUAUAUAUAAUGAUAUUUAUAUAUAUAAUUUUUUAAAAUUAUAUAAUUUUUUAAAAAAACUUUCUUCUUUCUCUUCAGCACCUCUUUUUUUUUAUUCUUUUUUUAUUUUGGGUUCUAGCCCCUCACAAUGUAAUUCAUGCAUGUGGAUGUGCUGGGUAUGGACACGUUUCUCCUCUCAACAAGAAUUUAUAGAGCUCCAAGCCCAAAUCUUCAUGAUUGCAUUUAGAUUUCUUCAAAUCUAAAGUGAUCUCGAGAAAUUCAUGAGGGUGGCAUGGGAUCGUGAUCUUGAAUUAUGAGUUUUUCGGAGUCCUGUUGGAUGGGGAUGCAUAGAUUCUGUAGAGAGAGAAAGACAGAAAGAGAGAGAAAGAGAGAAGCAGAUUUGCCCUGUUCCACAUAUAUAUAUAUAUAUAUAUAUAUUAAAUGGCCAAUGUUGGGCCUCUCUUGGGUUGUGCUACUUAAUUUAGACAGGCCCAAGAAAUGAUACUUUGACUUCAAAGUUUGAACGCAUCGUUUAUUUUGACUGAUUUAGUUAGUAUAUUUUCUGCAAUUUAUACAAUUAGAAAUUCACUAAAGUAAGCACUUAACUUAAACUUUGAAUUCAAAAUGCUAUUAUCUAAUUCAAAUCAAGCAAAUUGAAAGAUAAGUUAGUUAAAUCAAAAUUUGAAAGGUCGGAUAGUUAUUUCAAAAUGAUCCACAAUUCAGAUAAAUUUUAUACAUUUUUAUUUAAAUUGUAAAUAUUUUUCUUUUUUUACGUUGUCUCCAACUGCAUGCAUUAUUAUCUACACUAUAUUUUUAAUCACAUCGAACCAAACGAUCCAUAAUAUAUACCAAUAAAGUACAUACAUAAGCAACAAACCAAACGGCCCCUAAAAGCAACAAAUUACAAAUACAUGUAGCAAGCACCAAACUAAAAGCAGAAAUACAUCUCAUACAUGGCAAGCCAAAACAAGCAUAACACAACUAAAAGUAUUUUGCAUAAAUCGACUCUAAAACCCUUUUACAUACUCUAAAAAGGUUGACUUGAUAGUGAACACUAGUGGAAAAUAGGUUUUAACACAUCACCACGCAAGACGAAGGCAUAUUACUUUUGAUCGAAACACACCUCACCAUGCAAGACACAAAACGCAACGAAAAUCAGCUGAAGGAUGGGAAUAGAUGUCUUCCUUUCCUCAGCAUGAAUCAUGCUGCCUUUCUCAUGACUUCCUGAUCACUACAAAAAUUAAAAGUUAGGGUUCAUUGGGAAGAGUUUCUGUCACGCCCCGUAACUGUCAGUUUGGCCGGUUCGGGCACGUCGAACAAACGCCGGACGAACAACACCUCCCCUUUCCGCCCAAGGCUCAACAACAGAGUCGUGUACAAAUAUGUCGCCCAGAAAGACAUACAAUAUACACAAGGCACUACAAGUGCAACACAAGUAAGAGCAGGAAUCACGAGUACAUACAAGUGAAGGAGUUGAGGGGCGUCGGCAGAAUUGAAAGAGUUGAGGGCUCAGUUACAUGAUCUGCUCGACAAGAAAUUCAUCAAGCCGAGUGUGUCGCCGUGGGAAGCCCCGGUAUUAUUUGUGCUGAGAAGAAGAAUGAAUCGUUUUGACUCUGCGUAGACUACCGCGAGUUGAACAAGGUCACUAUCAAGAACAAGUACCUGUUGCCCCGAAUCGAUGAUUUCUUUGAUCAGUUGCAGGGGUCUCGGGUGUACUCAAAGAUAGACCUUCAGUCCGGUUAUCAUCAGCUAAAGAUAAAGCUGGAGGAUAUGCAGAAGACCGCGUUCCGCAUGCGGUAUGGGCACUAUGAAUUCACGGUUAUGCUGUUUGGGUUUACAAAAGCCCCGGCAGCAAUCAUGAACUUCAUGAACCGUGUCUUCAGGGAGUAUUUAGACUAAUUUGUCAUGGUCUUCAUAGACGACAUCUUGAUCUAUUCUCACAGUGAUGAGGAGCAUGCCGAGCAUUUGAGGAUAGUGCUUCAAAUCCUUCGGGAGAAGAAGUUAUAUGCGAAGCUAAAGAAAUGUGACUUUUGGCUCCUACGCGUACGGGGACCGGUCCCCUCCCAUGAGGGAUCGGACCCCGAGAGCAAAACUUGUGCGCAGUAUUUUUCUGCCACUUUUCCACACGGGGUCUGAUCCCUCCUACUAGGGAUCGGUCCCCGAGAGCUCAAAAAUUCUGAAAUUUGCAGGAUUUCAUUCUCUUGCUCUCCGAGGCCCUCUACAAUGCACUAAAGCCGUUUUCGACGCCUUCGGCCUUUCCGAAGCGUCCCGAACUCAACUUCGAUCAAUUUCGAUCGAAGUUUGGAUUUCACGUAUCGAGAAUUCAUUUCCUGACAGUUUUAGGUCAAGUAAAUACGCUCAUUUCGAGGGUUGUUUUGUACCGGCUUUUAUUCUUGUCCUUAAUUAGAUUUGUUCUUAUCUGGAGUUUUGUCGUUAUUUUUUUUUUUUUGUUCUUUGAGUUUGUUGCCUCCUUCCUGUAGCCAAAUUUAUCAGCUUAAUGAAUAAAACAGUAACAUGCAUGCAUGUGACACUACUACCUUAGUUUUGAUUAUUUGUUGUCUGAUGCCUCCUUUCCACGAGCCUUCUCCUUGUAUUUAUGAGCCUAACAAGCCAAGCUCAAGCCAGUUCAAUAAUUUGAUGGCUGAGCUUGUUUGUAAUUAAGCUGAGCAAAGAUGAGCUCAACUCGCUAAAGCUUGUUUACACCACUACGUAACUACAUUUCGUAGGUGUAAUUAUUGAGAUUUGUACAUGAAAGACAAGUUAUAAAUCUGCGUGCAUAAACAUGUGUGCAUGCAUGCGCGCACAGACACAGGGCAGCACCACCAAUAAGUAUAGCAGCGCCAUCAAUUCAUUAGAUACAAUAAUCGAUAUAAUGCUAUGUACUCCAACCAUUUUGUGUUUGCAAAUUUCUCGCAUGAACAUCUAUCUCUUAUUCAAAAAAUGAGGAAUUAGGAAGGUAGGGAGUUAACAAGACCAAAUGGUCCAAUUAUCCCUUAAUUGUAAGAAAGAUAAUUAAAGCAACGUGUGUGUGUGUGUGUGUGUGUGUGUGUGUGUGUGUGUGUGUGUGUGUGUGUGUGUGUGUGUUGGGUAGGGCUCUAACUCGCGACGCCCUUGCCUCGGUCCAGAUCGGCAACAGCAGCAGCCGAAGACGAUGGCUCUGCAAAAGUAGGGUAACAACAGGGCGUGAGAACUACUGUAAAACAAGUAGUCCUCAGUAGGUGCCGCUCUCAACAACAUCGGACCAUCCACUAAGUUUACAGAAGGGAGUAAGGAUAGUAUUAAAUGCAGGAAUAAAAUCUACCGCUAUGAAUCACUAUACUAUCAUGCUCUACACUAACCAACUGUAGGAAAUGUCAAAUCUGACCCAAUCUAAUCGGGACUGUAAGCAUACCCGUCCCUGGGACUGUGAACACACCCGUCCCUGCCAAGUUGCGACUAUCCAGCUACCUUCACACUAUCUAGUCCGUGGAGAGCAAGUCCAACCGGCAUGAGCGACACCAAAUGCGAAAGCACAACGCCCGUCUCCGGAGUGGCACUCGUGGGAGCUACCCAACCGAGUAUGCAGCGUAUCUCUGUCGAGCUCAAUCAGGCUCUACCUCAAGCCAAAAUCCAAGUAACCGAUUCUAACUGGUCUAACCACCAACAGGUCACGUGCCCUCGGCACAAUCCGUCGCCAAAAAGGCAAUACGGGUCCACCGUCAACCUCGACGGCACCCAACAGUCCGGAACAGCCUGAACGCUAUUAUAAAAAUAUACUCGGCAUCCCAGCACGAGCGUCACUGAAAGCUACACUAUCUACAAUACUCACUAUGAGGAUACUGCUACAGUAUAAAAUAAUACAACGGCCCCUAGGGCUAAAUCAGGUAGUAUAACUGAUGACAGGUCCAACUCGCCCGUUUUCUCCUAAUUUAAUUUUCAAGUCCCACAUGUAUAAAUUACUUAAUUUAUUAUCGCAUGCUCCAAAUUCUGAUUUACAAUUCGCAUAAUAAUCCAUGAAUUCGAGCUAAAGAAAACUACACAAAAUCUGAAAUUUACACAUGUUGGUUACUAAGCACUUAGGAGUAUAAGUCGAUGAUUAACCCAACUUAGUGGCUAAUCCCCUGCAGCGAGGAAGUCCCGACACAAGGGAAUACCCUGCUGGAUCAACCGAAAACCUCCAAAAGCCAGAAGUCAAGCUCCCGCCAAACUCUACACGUAGAAUCCGACAAUAAGCAUCAAUUCUGCCUCAAAGACAGCAGCAGAGAAGAUUAAAAUUAUGACCCAGCAAACCUUCACCAAAUCCAGCAAAUAAGGGCUUCGUGGAUUCUUCUCGAAGUUCUGAAUCCAACGAACCAAAUCUCGUCAAAAUCCAACGCUCCCACGUCGAGUACGAGCCGAAACGCCAAUGAUUGAUGCUGGAAAUCUGCAGGGACAGCACCUAGCUCGAAAUUGAAGAAGCUUGGAAAUAAAGAAGCAAUUUGACGACACACCUACCUCGACAGUGACCCUAGUAUCUGUGCGACGUCGAGGACGGCGGUAACACACCCUCGCCCGGCCUCCUCGCGAUGCUACGGCGACAAACGUAGGCUCGAACGGCUCCGCGGCGCGACGUCGAUGGCGAAUCUACUCCACCAAAGCUCCUCCUAUUUGAUCAAUCUAGAGAGAGAGAGAGAGGAGAAGAGUAGCAAAUAGCUCUCUCUCUCUCUGCUCCUACACGUAUAUAGCAAGGGGAUAAGAGUAGAUGCAAAUGAGGCAAACAAAUUUACCAAAAAGCCCUCCACCAACUCAAAUGUACCGGUACACGUGCAAGUGUACCGGUACAGAUGCCAACCCGAGAGCAUCUGCGCGUGGUCUGCAGAAGUGUACCGGUACGCCGCGAUGGUUGUACCGUGUAACGGUACGCCGUGAUGGUUGUACCGGUACAACAAGCAGAAAUCUGCAAUUUGCAGAUUUUCAACGCUAAGUUCUGCUCUCGCGUCCUUGCUGAGUCCGUUUGGCGUCUAUUUCGCGCCAACGCGACUCGGACUUGUCUCGACACUCUUCAGAGCUGUCGACAAGCCUUCACUGCUGAACACCAGGGGUCUCACAUCCUCCCCUACUACAAAAAGUUUCGUCCUCGAAACUUAAACAUACCUCAGNUAUAUAUAUAUAUAUAUAUAUAUAAAGUAUAAAUAUGCAGCACUCAUUAAUCUUAAAAGGAUCCUGAUUCUGAAAAUUAGUUCUAAAUUGUACAAGAUCAGAUACGAGGAAUUAAUGCUUUAUCCACUAAUUUAUAGAUUUGAUGGAGUAGUAUUUCACUUUGAUGUUCGAUGCAGUUAAAAGAAUAAUCUUUGGACGGUAUAGAUACUUUGUUUUCUGUUUCUUAUGUUUUAUUCUGAUUAAAAUCCUCCAUCCACAAGUAACAUAAUCAGACGAUAUGGAUAGCUUUGAUUAUGGUUUUUUUAUUAAUUAGAAAUAAGAGAAGCAAUUUCAUCUACUUUUGUGAUUUUUUCAUUUAUAGCAAUCAAGUUUUGUUGGUAACUAUAACUAAUUAUACUUGGUAUUUUGUUUUCACCUCAAGGCUCCAAGUUUGGUGGCUCAGAGUGGCAGAGAUUAGUAUGACACCUUGCUAAGUAUCGUUGACCCGGGAAAGAAGAUGGAUUCCGACAAGGAGGCUUCUGCAGAAUGCUCUUUGAGUUGAGCUGCCUGAAAAGCACCAACAGUCCAACAGUUUCUCUGUUCUGCAUCAUCCUAACAGCUCCUUCGGUAGUGGAGGUAGAAAAUUUAAAUAAGACCUUUUGCUUUGGAGCCUAGAGUAAGCAAAAUUUUCAUACGGUACUUCAGAUCAUUAUUAUCUAAUUGUGGUUGUUCAUUUGUAUAGUUUCAGUAGGUUAUGGUGAAGUUAGUGCUUUAUGUAAUUUAAUGAUGAAUACAUCUGUAGAAACUUAAAAUACUAAGUAAUAUCAACACUUAGCACCAAAAGACUAACAGAACCUGCAUUUAUCGAUUCUGUAUCACAUUAUACUUUGUGCAGAAUUUCAAGCUCAGUUGCAAAUGAUCAUAGCGCAUAUUCCUGGACUAGAGAAUGUGCAUUCUGCAUCAUCAACAUUAGAUGGCUAUCCUAUCCGUAUAAAUACUCUAUUGCUUAUAUUAGUCAGUUGAAUUUAAGUUUUGUUUAUCGACUAUUGAAAUCUCUAUUUUAACUGGUUGUAGGUUCACAAAGAGGGGAGAGGGCCUCCACUAGCUCCCUUCCCACGCUUUCUAGAGCCAACAAGGUGAGUUUCAAAAUAGUCAUUUUUUUAAUAAUUGUUAAAAUGCAAAAAAACUACUUGAAAUUACGUUUAUUAUCAUUUUUUAUACAUUACUAUGUUGUAUUGCGAUUAAUAGCUUACAUAUCUUCAUGUUAGUAUCAAUGUAGAUUGUAGUAUGAUUUUAAUAUCAGUUCAUAUGGUGGUAAGUUGAUGGUUAUAAUAUAGCCUACCAAAACAUGAAAAAAUAGUAUGUAGUAAGUGUCACACCGCAAUAAUCCCACAUCGGAUGGGAAUGGGGAUGUGAUUAGGUAUAUAAGAGAUUUAGACACUAGUAAUAAUAACUGAGCUUAAGCAUUUUGGGCCAUGGUUGGGCCCAACGAGUUAUUGUUGCUAGUGGGCUAGGUUGUUACAUUUGGUAUCAGAGCCGGUUCCCCAGCUGGACAUGUGUGGCGAGUCUCAGCUGAGCCAGGGUCUGAAAGCAAGGUGAUAGGCUAUGCCGGAGCCUGAAUGACAAGGUGACCGGCUAUGCCAGGGUCUGGAUGACAAGGCUAGCGAGAUGAGUCUCACAUCGCUUGGUGAUCUUGGGCGUCUCACAUCACUCGGUGAUCUUGGGCUGUGUGUGUGAUUGGACUGACAAAGACAUCAGGGCCUUAACGGAGGGAGUCUGUCACACCCCAAUAAUCCCACACAGGAUAGGAAUGGGGAUGUGAUUGGGUGAAUGGGGAUGCAAUUGGAUAUAUAAGAGAUUUAGACACUAGUAAUAAUAACUGGGCUUAAACAUUUUGGGCCGUGGUUGGGCCCAAUGAGUUAUAGACUCCCUACCCCAAUAAUCCCACAUAGUAUAGGAAUGGGGAUGUGAUUGGGUAUAUAAGAGGUUUAAACACUAGUAAUAAUAACUGGGCUUAAGCAUUUUGGGCCGUGGUUGGGCCCAACGAGUUAUAGACUCCCCACCCCAAUAAUCCCACAUAGGAUAGGAAUGGGGAUGUGAUUGGGUAUAUAAGAGAUUUAGACACUACUAAUAAUAACUGGGUUUAAGCAUUUUGGGCCGUGGUUGGGCCCAACGAGUUAUUCUUGCUAGUGGGCUAGGUCGUUAUAGUAAGAGCUCAUGAGAUGUGUGUUUUUUUCAUUAAAUCAUGGAAUUAAACGUAGUUCGGGGAAGUUAAGUUGCAACUAUAUCUAAUAGUGCAUGGAAGACAAAGUUGCUUGUUUGCUUUAUUCCUUGUAGAAGCAUGCGUGCGUGCGUGCAUGAACGUAGACUAAGUUUACUACUAAAAAGGUUUGCGGACCUUAUCAUGGCUGUUCGAUUCGAAAAUAUGAGAAAAUAAAAACAUAGUGAUUUGUGUGUGUAUGUUAUUAAAGGACCAUUUUGUGUGGACAAAGAUAGGAUUGAGAGAAGUAUAAUUUUAAUACGUCUAAUUGAAGCAGCAUUAAUGGAUUCUCUGUUUAAAUCUUUUCAUGUAGUUUCGCACUGGAGGUAGAAAUAACAGUUUCCCAUUGCAAAUAUUAUUUUGCACUUCCUACUUAUGUCGGAAGCUGUAAUUUCUCUUUUUAUGCCAAAUAAAUGACUUUUGUAUUUUGAACAGCAAAUUUCUUUAAAGAACUAUGCCAUAGACUCAGAGGCAGUUAUGUCAUGCCCUGAAUUACUCGUUUCCCUAGGCACGCCGAUAAAUCCGCUGUAUACAAAGGAGUUUUUCCUGUAUACGAAGCAAUAACAGUACUUGUACCUGUAAUCACACAAUACUACAACCAGUAUUAUAGAGUUGCUAAAGGAAAAAACAUAUAUAAAUAUCAUCGGUUCAGUAUAUACAUAGUAUCCUGGUACAUAAACACUUGCUCCAGCGAGUAACAACAUAAGUAUGUAAAGAACCAAAAACUACAACUACCUAUAGCUAGUGUACUCUAGCCUAGCAGUAACUCGGAGGGAACCUAACUCGCGACUCCCUUUCCUCGGUCAAAGUCCGCAACAGCAGCAGCCGAAGAAGAAGGCUCUGCAAAAGGUUUCAACAACUGGGUGUGAGAACUACUGCAAAAAAAGUAGUCCUCAGUGGGUACCGCUACCGACCUCAACGGCUCACCCACUAAAUCUACAGAUGUAAACAAUGAUAAUAAGAAAAGCUGGAACAAAUCUACAGCUAUGUGCCACUAUACUAUCGUGAUUCAACACUAUCUAUAGAAAAUGCAACACCUGACCCAAUCUCACUAGGGACUGUGAACACACCCGUCCCGCCUGUCGAAGCUACUCUAACUGCCACCAAACUAGGUCGGUAGUGGAGAGCAAAUCCAACUAGGACAAACCGACAUCAACGCAAAAACACUAAGCCCGACUCCGGAGUGGCACUCGUGGGCGCUACCCAACUGAGUAUGCAAGCAUAUCUCUGCCGAGCUCAAUCAAGCUCUCACAAGCUGUAAUCGAUGCAAAUUGGUCAAACUGGUCUAACAAUCAUAAAUCAUAUGCCCUCGGCACAAUCCAAUGCUAAAACAGCAAAUCCGGUCCACCUUUAACCACAACGGCACCCGACAGUCAGGACCAGUCUGUACACUACUGUAAAAAUAAGUUCGGCAUCUCAGCACGAGCGUAAAUGCAUUCUACACUAUUCUAGGUAUCCACCGCCUACAAACUGCGGUGAUACAAACAAAUUAUGGCCCCUAGAGCUAAAUCUGGUAGUUUCAGAAUAUGACGGUGUAGAAUCCACAAUGUAUAAUUUAGCUAAUUUUUCAAGCUCCAAUUCAGAUUUGAAAACAUGCAAAAUCCAAGAAUCGAGCUACUAAACAUGUUAAACGAAGCUAAAACACAUGCUGACAAUAUAUGGGCUUAGGAGGUACUCUGAAAAUUCCGGUAAGCAUAUCAUUAACCCACCUCAAAAGCACAUCCAACAACGGCGAGAAGUCGAAAGAAGCGGAACCACACGCUCGCCCGGCCUCCCAACGCAGCAACUACAACGUCCACGCGCUCGAACUGCUCCCCUGCACGACGUCGGCGCUAAUCCGAGCACUAAUCGCGACCUCCACCUUGCUACGGUCAAGGACUAGAGGGAGAGAGGGAAGAGCAUGCAAAAAUCUCUCUCUCAGCCUCUCUACACGUAUAAGAAGGGAAAAGGAUAAGGGUGACACAAUCGAGGCAGCAAAAGACCAAACAGUCCCUCACCUACCCUGAAGUACCGGUACCAGGCCGAUGCCAUACCGGUACCCCGCAACAAAAAAUGGCAACCCGAAAGUAGUAGUUCAGAAAUUUACACUCGUACCGGUACUCCCCUAUAUGGCACUGGUACUAAAUGUUGAAAAUCUGCUAAUUGCAGAUUUUAGUGCUAACUUCCUACUCUCGCGUCGCAUUGAGUCCGGUUUAUGUUUAUUUCGCAUCAACCUGACUCAGAUUUGUCCCGACACUCACCAGACAUGUCGACAAGCCUCAGAUGCAGAACUCCAGGGAUACUGCAAGUCAAUAUGCAUCGGUGCAUUUUUUUGAUUUUUUUCACUUAAUGAGUGUUAGUAGAUAGAAUAGUAUAUAUUACAGUUUUGACAAAUGUCUAUUUUGUUAAUAAUCUAUUGAAAAUCAGAAAUUCAAGAGGACAAAUUGUUUGUGUAUCCAACUAUAAAAAAAAUACUCCAAUUCUUGUUGUAGAUUUUUUAAUUUAUAUAAUUUCUUUUUCUUCCUUUUAUUUAUUGCAGGAAAUGAAUUGCUGUUGAAAUAAGAGCUGAAGCUUUUUAUUUUAUCAUUUUUAAGUGUUUUCUAUUUUUAAAUUUAGCGAGUCAAGAAUGAUAUUGAACUGUAUAUCGAAUAUUAUUACUCUAUUGCUUUUAAAUUGAUGUUGCUAUUAUUUUGUUUUUAAGCUGUUGUGGAUCAUAAGUCAAUUAGCCUUGUAAAUUAUUGUUAAAAAAAUAAUUUUGUUUACUUAAAUAUUUUUCUUGUCAUUUUGUAUAUAUUGUGUUUGUAAAAUAUAAGCUGUGUAUUUUUAUAUUUUAUUUUAUUACUUUUUUAUUAUUGAUGGCUAUUUUAUUCGCACAGUUGGUGGUGACAAAAAGUUGCCUCUUUAUCUACAACUAAACUGGCGGCUGUGGUGGUUGCCACUUAAGCUAUAUAUUUGGUGGCGAAAUGUAUAGCUAUCUUAUCUUUAUAAUAGGUGGCGAUUAAUAAGGGCCACUAAAAAGUCAUAUUUGAUGGCGACAAAAUGUCGUCACGCUAUCUUUAAUAAGGUGGCAACUAAUAGUUGCCACUAAAAGUCAUAUUUGGUGGCGACAAAAUAUCGCCACGCUAUCUUUAAUAAGAUGGCGACUAACAAUGGCCACUAAAAGUGAUAUUUCGUGGCGACGAAAUAUCACCACACUAUUUUUAAAAAGGUAGCGAUUUUUUAUGCUUCGUCACAAUUUCAUUUAGCGGCAAAACUUUCAGUGGCAACUUGUGGCGACUUUAAAAGUCGCCACAUUUUAGAAAGGUUGCAACUUUUUAUACAUAUGGUGGUUAUAUUACUCGCGAGCAAUAUAUAAUAUUCUUGUAGUGUAUAUAUGAAAAUAAUAUAAUAUUAUAAUAGCACUUUGAAGCACGUACAAUCAAAUUACUUAUUUAUAUAUAGUUGCAGUAUUGCUUAUUACAUUCAACCAAACAAGAUAUAUGUGAUCAUAGCUAUUGUAUUUUUAUUAAUAUGGAUCUCAAACUACACUACAUUUAUAAUUAUACUUAACCAAACGACCUUGUAAAAAAUAAUUGAAAUUUCCUUCAGAAUCUUCUGCUUUAUUAUCAUAUUAAAACACUCAUUAAUCUAUGUGAUAAGAAAAAUACUAUAUACAAAUUCAAAAGUGGGUGUAUGUCAUAUUCCACAUCCAUCCAAUGGUAAGGAAUUGUGUAACGACCCGACUGUCUGCCGCGAACGAAUCGACCCUGCCGUAGGUAUUUCUAAGGCGAGUGGUCAUUCAUAGUACAGAUUAAAUUUGUUUAAAUUUUAUUUUAAAUCCGGAUUACAGGUUUAUAACUUCCAACAGACUCAAGAGUCUGCUGUUUAUUAAUAUAAUUUACCGUGUACAUGGCUUUAGCAGGGACAUUCCCCCGCGAUACAUAGAUUUUAUAAAAUUAAAUACUCAGUUUAUAAACUUGAUGGUCGAUUGGAAUCAGAUUGCUCAGUUUAAUAACAUGGCGGUCAUUUGAAAUAAGUUGAUGUUGAGUUUAAUUUUAAUUUGCUCAGUUUAACGACAUGGCGGUCAAAAGGAGUUUAAUUUUUAUUUGCUCAGUUUAACGACAUGGCGGUCAUAUCUGAACUUGAUUUACUCAGUUUAGCGACUUGGCGGUCGAUUGAAGUUGAGAGGCUCAGUUUAGUGACAUAACGGUCAGUUUGAAUUAUGGUGCUCAGUUUAAUGACAUGACAGUCAUUUGUUCAGUUUAACGACUUGUUAUAUCUUAACAUGAUUUGCUCAGUUUAGCGACUUGGCGGUCGAUUGAAGUUGAGAUGCUUAGUUUAGCGACAUGUCGGUUGAUUUUAGAUUGAGUUGCUCAGUUUAAUGACAUGACGGUCGAUUUUAGAUUGAGUUGCUCAGUUUAAUGACAUGGCGGUCGGUUUGAGUUUGGUGUUCAGCUUAAUGACGUGGCGGUCGGUUUGAGUUUUAUUGCUCAGUUUACCGACAUACCGGUCAGAUGUUCAGUUUAACGACUUGAUGGUCAAAUAUUCAGUUUAACGACUUGAUGGUCAUAUCUGAAUUUGAUUUGCUCAGUUUACUGACUUGGCGGUCGAUUGAAGUUGAGGUGCUCAGUUUAGCGACAUGGCAGUCGAUUUUAGAUUGACUUGCUCAGUUUAAUGACAUGACAGUCGGCUUGAGUUUUGAUGCUCAGUUUAAUGACAUGGCGAUCGGUUUGAGUUUUGGUGCUUAGUUAAUGAGAGCCGGUCGGCUUGAGUUUUGGUGUUUAGCUUAAUGACGUGGCGGUCGGUUUGAGUUUUGGUGCUAAGUUUAUCAACAUAGCGGAUAGAUGUUUAGUUUAACGACUUGAUGGUCAAAUGUUCAGUUUAACGACUUGAUGGCCAUAUCUGAAUUUGAUUUACUCAGUUUAGCGACUUGGCGGUCGACUGAAAUUAAGAUACUCAGUUUAGCGACAUGGCGGUCGAAAGGGUUUGAUUUGAUUGCUCAGUUUAACGACUUGGCGACCAAAUAUUCAGCUUAAUGAUUUAGUAGUUAUUUAUUCAGUGUAACAACUUGAUGGUCAUAUCUAAAUUUGAUUUGCUCAGUUUAGCGACUUGGCGGCCGAUUAAAGUUGAGAUGCUCAUGAAACGGAUUCAUAAAAUUAAUUCAUGCUAGAAGCUCGUUUGUAAAGUCUAUUAAAUUAAUUGAUGAAAUUAAUUUACGAUAGGGGGCCAUUUGGAGAGUCCAUAAAAUGGGUUCAUGAAAGUAGUUUAUAAUGGAGAUCCAUUUAGAAAGUCUAUUGAAUUGGGUUCAUGACAAAGGCCCAUUUGGAGAGCCCAUGAAAUGAGUUUAUAAAAUUAGUUUGUUAUGAGCCAUUUGGAAGGCUCAUUAGUUCAUAAAAUUAAUUUAUGAAAACGAUGGCCCAUUUGGCAAACCCAUGAAAUUAAUUCAUAGAAUUAAUUUGUAAUAGGGCCGGGGCCCAUUUGGAAAGCCCAUAAAAUUAAUUCAUGAUAAGGGGGCCCAUUUGGCAAACUCAUGAAAUUAAUUCGUAAUAGGGGGCCCAUUUGAAAAAUCCAUGAAAUUAAUUUAUAGAAUUAAUUCAUGAUAAGGGGCCCAUUUGGAAAGUCUAAAAAAUUAAUUCGUAGAAUUAAUUCAUAAUAAGGGGUCAUUUGGAAAGCCCAUGAAUUCGGUUUGGGUUGGAGGUAUUUGGAUGACAUAGAUUUGGUAGAUUUGGUUUGGUUUUAUUUAUGGACUUUGACUUUUGGAUUUUAUUUGUGAACUUUGGGUAUUGGAUCGUAUUUGUGGAUUUUGAAUUUUGGAACACAUUUGUGGACUUUGGGUUUUGGGUUAAGAAAUUCAUUUAUAUAGAUUUUUAUUGGUUUUGGACCCAAAUCUACAUGUGGGUUGAGAUAGACUGCGGGCUUUGCAUGUUUUGGGCCGAAUUUGCCUGUGGGCUAGAUAGAGUAAUUUAUUCAUGUGGAUUUUAUUUGUUUUGGAUCCAAAUGUGCAUGUGGGCUGAGACGGGUUUCGAGCUUUACAUGUUUCGUUCCUUGGACCCGAAUCUGCAAGUGGACUGAGAUAGAUUUUGGACUUUAUAUGUUCUGGGCCCGAGUCUACAUGUGGAUUGUGAUGAGUUUUGGACUUAAAUGUUCUGCGCCUAAAUCUGCAUGUGGGCUUGAUGCUUUAUAUUUUUUUGGACUGCUUAUGGAAUUUGUUCAUUGGGCCCAUAAGUAAAUGAUGGGUUGAACUAUUUUCAAAUUAAAAAGCUCGAAUCCAUUUUCUCAAAUUUUUGUUUUUCCUUUUUUUUGUUCUUUUUUUUUUUUGACUGAGAGAGAGGGAACAACUCUUUUUUUUUCUUUUGUAUUUGUUGUUUUUCUUUUCUUUUCUUUUUUUGUUUGUUUUAUUUGUUUAUUCAUUUUUUUUGUCCAAAUAUACCAAAUUUCGUCUUUUUUUUCAAAUAUAUGAAAUUGACCACAUCGAGCCUAUCAUGAAGAUGGCGAUGCNAAGCUCGAAUCCAUUUUCUCAAAUUUUUGUUUUUUUUUUUUCUUCUUCUUUUUUCUUUUGUUGAGAGAGAGAGAGAGAGAGGUGCCCUCCUUUCCUUUCUUUUCUUUUUUUUUUACUCUUUUUUUUGUUUGUUUGUUUUAUUUGUUUAUUCAUUUUUUUUGUCGAAAUAUACGAAAUUUCGUCUUUUUUUUCAAAUAUAUGAAAUUGACCACAUCGAGCCUAUCAUGAAGAUGGCGAUGCUUAUCACAAAGAUAACAAUACGAUCGAAUCGAACGAAGAUGGCGAAUCAAAACAGUACCCGUCCAUUUUUUUUGUUAUCAUUUUUAUUAUUUUUUUUAUCACAUUUUGUUCAAGUACGUAGAAUUUAAUCGUGUCGAGCCUACCACGAAGAUGGCCGCUUGAUCAACCUUUUUGACCAUGUCGAGCCUAUCGCGAAAUGACCGCACAGUUUACAUAAUAAAAUAUCUGGUGUUCGAUCAACUAUUUCGACCAUGUCGAGCCUAUCGCGAAGAUGGCGGCACGGUUUAGAGAUUAGCGAUGCAUACGCACAGCGAAAGUGAUGAUUUGAUGUCAAAUUUGAUCGGUUUGAAACCUAUCACGAAGAUGGUCGGAUUGAUCAAAUCGAUAAAAAAAUUACACUUACGCUAUUCGUAUGCAUACAUAUCUCUUACUGUCGUAGAAGUCAUCGUAAUUGUCGUUGCCGAAGUCGGAGUCAAAUGCAAGAGCCAAAGUCUUCUUCUUUUUCUUUUUUUUUUUUUGCUGUGGUACGAACAAAGGAGGGGGAUGCACAUGGCAUGCCCUCUGCCAAACCCCUGUAAGAAUUAAUCCGGCACAAAAAAAAUCACAGCGAAAAUUAAUAUCGUAUUUUUCGAAAAUAAAAAUCCAUAUCACAUAUGAACCAAAAUAAAAGCAAAUCAAUCCAGUGCCGGUGGAUCAUUCUCAUGUUACAAUGUAAAAUAAUAAUCUAACCUAAAAAGAUUUGAAGUUCAUGCUACAUGACCAUGAACCAGUUAAGGUUUCUUGAUCUAUGUACGGUUAAAACUGAGAUUCUGAUUAGCCACGCACGUGCCCGGCCUCUAUGCGUAUCCAUACGGAAUUGAUGCAGAUCCAACAUCCUCCGUCGCAUAGAACAGAUGAGUCGUAGAUUACAAAAACGGUGCUAGCAGUCUUCUGAUAUCUACGUUCCCUUUUGUAAGAUUUACUGAUUUUCACGAAGGAUAACAGAGAGAGAUGGAUGAUCUAAUACUUCUCAAAAGGCAAUCAUUAAAUCCCUCUCGUAAAGAUAUUAUAUAUCUUCACGUGGCCACUUCAUUAACUACUAAUGAAGCCGCGCCUUAUGUACACCUCCUCUUAGUAGAGCCAUACAAAUCGGCAGCCCCGCAAUCUGUUACAACUGAUUGGAUCAUAUCCAAUUAGUUGCCACAUAGGAUAAGUAAAAAGUAAAUAUAUGCUUAUCCAUAUGGAUAUUUUAUCUUUACCUCUCUCUUUAAUAAAUUUAAUUUAAUUGGAUCUUAUCCAUUAAAUUAUAAUUAAAUAUUCAUAUUUAAAUCUAAUCUAAUUAGAAUAUUAUCUCAUAAUAAUAUAUGAAUAUUUAAUUGUUCUCUAAUCUAAUUAGAGAUUAAAUCUUUCGUAACAUUCAAAUUCAAAUUAUAAUUCUCACUAUUUCCACUAGACUGUUUAGUGUAUUAAUUAGACUCAUUUUGUCAAGUUGGAUGCACACAGUUCCUAUUGUGUGUGACCGCAUAGAUACCGGUUCAUUAUCAUUUGGCAGUGGAGUUGAAUAUCAAACUCUUUAAUAUUGAAUUAGAACUCUUCUAAUCUAUAAAAUAAUUUAUUUUAAAUUAUUUUUACUUCUCUCAUUGUCCACGAGUUACACCUAACAGUAUAUCACGGCAAUCUAGAAUGAUGAUGAAAAACGAACCUUUUCGCUAACAGUUGCCGUGUGAUUAAUUCAUUCCAACACACAACGCCCCAAUCGAACUAAAAUUAUGGUUACUCGCCGUAUCUUAUUAUUCAAUCAUAUGACUAGAAUAUCUAAAACCUACUCAAUAUGGUAACACAGCUGGAAACUUUUUCCACACACCACGUACCCUGACUAGGGAUUUUUCGAGUCGAGUCUGAUAGUCUAUAUAGGACGUUCUCUCUCAAUAUUGAGAGUAUUGAAUUCCUUAUUGCGCAUUCACACGCCUCCCCAUAUAAAGUACUACAGCCAAUCAGUACCAGAUGUAGACUAAUGAUUAGAGUCUAAGUAUCAGUACAGUCAAACGGUAGCAAUCUAUAUGUGAAGCAACCAUGAUACCUCAGGUCGGAGGAGUACUUCACACAACUGUAGCAAAGAACUAGUAAUUGGCAAAUUUGGAACCAUGUGACUGUUCAACUAAAUGGUCACGCUCAGUGUGCUUGUUCGCUAACAAGCACCUGCAUGCUUCCUUUAGUGUCCCUACACUAAUGACUCGAGAUUCGUCACCUCAACGUAGAAGUGUAGCAUGCACCGGCUUAUCCGGAAAUAUCAUCGUCCUUAUGAUAUUCCUAUGGCUAGGAGCGUUUAAGAAUCUUGUACAAAGAAUUAUAUAUCUCAAAUUCCUAAUUUUUAGGAAUAUAUUUUCUCAACAAAGAUUCAACGGACGAUUCAUAUAAAUGUAUUGUACUGCUAACAAUAAAUAUGAAUAAAACUUGACCUUUAUUAAUUAAGAAAAAUACUUAAUAUGUUCACAAGCCUAUGUCACCAAUUAGCUUUAGGUUAUAUCACUAACAGUCUCCCACUUGCACUAAUGCCAAUCGCUCAUGUAUCUCAUACCCAUUCUUUCUAAAUGCACAUCCAGCUUUUGAAGUGUGAGCGGCUUAGUAAGGGGAUCCGCUAUAUUGUCUACGGAUGCUACUUUCUGCACAACAAUCUGACGCUCAUCUAUAAAUUGUCGGAUGAUGUAGUAGCGCCGAUCUAUAUGCUUGGACUUCCGAUGAGAUCUCGGUUCUUUAGCUUGCGGUAUAGCUCCAUUAUUGUCACAGUAAAGUGGCAUUGGCUUCUCAAUAGAAGGCACCAUUCCUAAUUUCGUGACGAAUUUUUGAAGCCAAACUGCCUCCUUUGAUGCCUCAGAUGCUGCAAUAUACUCUGCCUCAGUGGUGGAAUCUGCUGUUGUAUUCUGUUUGGAACUCUUCCAAAUGAUAGCCCCACCAUUCAAAGUAAAGACAUGUCCUGAUGUUGAUUUUCUAUCAUCAACAUCUGACAUGAAGCCUGAAUCUGUGAAGCCUUCUAACGUUAGCUCAUUUCUACCAUGCACUAAACACAAAUCCUUAGUUUUUCUCAAGUACUUAAGGAUAUUUUUCACAGCAGUCCAGUGUUCUUCACCUGGAUUGGACUAGUACCUGCUCAUAACACUUACAGCAUGUGCAAUAUCCGGUCUUGUACAUAGCAUAGUAUACAUGAGACUUUCUAUUGUAGAAGCAUAUGGAAUUCUGCUCAUGCGCUCUCUUUCCUCUGGUGUUCUCCGACACAUCUUCUUGGAAAGAUUAAUUUCAUGCCUAAGAGGAAGAAGACCCCUUUUUGGAAUUUUUCAUGUUGAACAUUUUCAACACAUCUUCUAUGUACAUUUGCUGUGACAAACCGAUUAACCUCUUAGAUCUAUCUCUAUAGACUUUAAUUCCGAGGAUAUAGGCUGCCUCUCCUAGAUCUUUCAUUAAGAAAUUCUAGGACAACCAAACCUUGACAGAGGCUAUUGUCUGCGACCACGAAUGACAUACCUCGCACGGUUAAUCUUAUUUUUAAUUUUCCGUGGGGUAGUAUUCAUGAUUCAGAUUAAUAUUUGAAUAUGUAUGGUUAUCAAGUAUUAUGGAUCCAUGGCUUCCAAUAAUUGCAAGCAUUUACUGUUAAUUACCCCUAUAAAAUAUUAGGGUACCUUCGAUUAAGAGACCUCUGAAAUGCUGAAGGAGAAAUAAACUGGAAUUGAACAAAAAGAUUUUAUAAUAUAGUUUAUCAUUCAAUUACAUAGCUUUAACCAAGGGCAUACCCUCAGUGUACAUAAACAGAGCAUAAAAAAAAAAAAGAGCUUAAUGAUGGUCAACUGAACUUAAUUUUGAUUGCACCUUGGUUAUAUAUUCCAAGAUGCCCAAAGUAUAUGAUCAAAUUAAUUUGGUUGGGCCCUAUAUGUUUUGGAGCUCAACAUUGUUCGUCCUAAGAUGAAGGAUUGAUUAAAUUCCAUGUAUGUAUUGGGAUUUAAUCGGAUUUGAUUCAAAUUAAACUCUAAUUAAAUGUAUUAGAGUUUGAUUUGGUUAAUUGAACUUUAAUUGUAUGUGAUAAAGUCCAAUAGAAUUUGAUUUGAUACUCAAUUUAAGCCUUCAUCCUAAAUGUAUGUGUUAGGAUUAGCCCAAAUAUUUUGAAUUGGACUCUAAUUUUAUAUCUUAGAGUCUAGUGUAAUUAGGCUCUAAGCUUAUGUGUUAGAGCUUAAUCAUAUUUACUCUGGGUUCACCAUAACGUGAAAUGUUAACUAAAUCCUAAUUAUAUAUAUUAGGAUUAGUCCAAUAAAUUUAAUUUGAUUAGGUGAAACCUAAUCUAUUAUUUUUUACCUUAGUCACAUAUACUAAGAUAAAUAGAUGGUUUGAUUGAUUCUAAACAAAUGUUUUAGAAUUUGAUUUAGUUUGGGGAUCCAUAUAGUUUGGAUGUGAGUUUGAACUUUGGUUCUUAAGUCUCAUGAAGAUCUAAAUUGGCCUUGAUCUAGUUUGGGCACACUCUUUUUUUUUGGGUUAGGUUUGUAUUCAAACUUGAGCCUGGGCUCAGAGCGGGUUCAUGUAAUUCAAGUUAUGGUUCAAUUCUGCUGUGGGUUCAAGCAUGGUCUAAAUUCGGGCCCGUAUAAUUGCAUUCAGACAUGGACUAAUUUUGGGCUUAUGGAUUCGGGCAUGGGCUAUAUUCAGGCCCGUAUAGUAUGGAUUCAGGUUGAGGCCUGAAUUAUAUCUAAAUUCUGGAUGUGGGCUCAGGCUCCAUUCAGGCCCAUAUGGCUUAGGUCCAUGUUUUCUUUAGGCAAGCCAUAAAAUUGGGCUCAGAUUCAGGUUUGGGUUGGUCACAAACAAGAUUUUUUAAUUUUGAGGUGGUUCGUUUGAGAAAAUGUUAACCCCAAAAAUUUAAAUAUCAGAUUCAGAAUCAAAUUUAAGAACUUCGCAUGCAUUUUUUAUUUUCAAAUUCUUAGUCAUGAAUAAUGAAAAUUCAACUCACAUUAGUAAUGAAAAGUCAAAAGGCUAAAUCAACUUAAACAUCAUGACUUAGCAUAAAGCAUCCAAUGGAAGUAAAUCUCAAUUUGGUCUAAUUUGAUCAAAUUGAGAGGUCGAUUCUGAAUAGAAUCAAGGUUAUCGAUUAUUUUUCGAACAUCCUGUUGUUCUUCCAAUAAAAAGAUGAUCAAUGAGUAACAAUCGGUAACCCGAUUGAUUCUUUUGUCUUCCAAUAUAAGAGAAUCAAGAGAACACAUUUUUUCUCUUUAUCUCCUUUGAAGGUAUAGGACAACAAAGAUGGAUAAUCCAUCUUUGCCUCUCUUAUAUUCAUGGGACAAUCAAGGUAGGAAAGAUUCCUUCCUUGCCUUCCUUUUGGUAACAAAGCUCCCUCUUUCUUAAUUAGAGAAGUAAUCUCUUUCUCUCUUUUGAUGAUAUUUUUUUUACAAAGAGAAGAGCACCGCUCUCUCCCUCUUUUGAUGAUAUAUAUAUUUUUUUUCUUACAAAGAGAAGAGCACCGCUCUCUCUCUUUAUGUACAGAUUAGGUUCGCCGUAAAAAAAACAUCUUAGGCAUUUCAUCAAACAAUUGGUGGGCGUGAUGCAUUGCGCAACUCCGAUUGCUUUGGAUUCACAGCAAAGAGUUGAAAGUCGCGGCUAUGAUAUAGUCGAUGUAGUGGCAAGGUCGAAGGUGAAGAAAUCGACGAAGUUGUCGGGCGUCAACUCGGGAUGGACGCCGACGUUCCGCAGCAUCCGCAGCAGGUGCUCUAACAGCACCACUUCGCGCACGAUGAUCACCGCCGACGACAUCCCCUCUCCUCCGUCCGAGCGCUCGAUGAGGACGCGGAUCUGCGGGUGGUCGAUAAGGUCGGAGCUGACCAGGUACCGACGCCGGGACUUGUCGACAUAGAUUGGGUGCAGCCCGCGCGGCACGACGUCCAAAUGCUCGUCGACGGCUCUGUCGGCGUCGAAUUUUGGCUCCUCCAACCGCUGCUGCCACAUGUUGUCAUCUUCGUUGUGGGGAAUCAAGAGUCCGCAGGCGAUGAGCGAGAUGCAACGGCUGCUGCCGGAGGGGGAGUAGACUUAUAGAAGCCUCUUUUUAAAGAAGCGCUGCUCAUUGCGGACGUAGAUCGAACACCUGGUGAGCGGUGACGAGGCCGGCCAUGACGGAGACGAGGCCGGUGUCGGGGCGGUUGGCAGCAUAGUCGAGGGAGAUGAGCGCGGCAUCAGUGGAGUAGGCGAAGAAGGUGUAGGCGUUGACCAUGAGGUAGGAGCCGGUGUGGCGGAGGAGGUCGAGCAUCGGGCGCAUUACGCGCUCCGCGAGGUCGUUGGGGAACGUGCCCGCGAAGGGCGGGUACGAGGAGCGGAGCACGGUGAGGGCGAUGGGGGAGGAGACCUUCACGGAGCCGUCGAGGCCGAGGCGCGCGAGCGUGGCGUGGACGUUGGUCAUGGCCGGGACGGGGAGCGUGAUGAGGUUGCUGCGCGGGCUCGCGAACACCUCAUUGCCCACGGCCACGGCCGCGAUCCCCCCGCUCAUAAACAAUUCACCUCCCAGCGCUACCGCUCCUGCGAAGUCCAAGAAAGCCUUAACGCAAUCGCCGUCGUACUCCGUCCUCGUCGGCCAGAUGCUCACCACCAUAUUAUAAGCNGGCCGCGAUCUGGAUCGCCGGGUAGUACGCCGCCACGUUGCGCUGCACCCACCCGAGCGUGUAGCCCGGGUGCGACGUGGCCGCGGCGAGGAGCUCGUUGGGGAGCGCCACCACCACCCGGAUACCGGGCUUGUACAAGAACGUGGAGAGGGAGAGAGCUUUUUUCUUCUUCUCUUUUCUUUUUUUUUUUUUUUUUUUUUAGAGAGAGAACUAUUUUCGGGUGAAAAAAAUAGCAUUUGAAAAUAAAGAGGAGAACAAAGUUGAUGGGUUUUUUUUUUUUUUGUUAGAGAUAGGUUUGAGAGUUGAAAAAAAGUCUUUUCUUACAAUUGGGGUCCAAAUAGAUAUUUAUGGACUUAGGUUAUAACUACUUGGAAUUUUUUUCUCCUUUUCCUUUUUUUUCUUUUCUUUUAGAACGUGCAGAUGAUGGGGUAGUAGGAUGUGGGUAGUUAAGAUAUUUUGGUCAUGGGAUCAUGGGUAUGGUAUUGCAUAUUAGCCCUUCUCACUUGUUUAUAUUAUACUUUAGUUAAAAAAUUAUAUGCUUGAAGUGGAGCAUCUUGCAAAUAUAUGGAAGGGAAAGGACUAAUUUGCUAUAUGUAAUACGCAUACGAGAGCAUUCUCUCUUCCUUCUUUUUGUAGUCUAUGCACCUGGUGCAUGGAUUAAUCUAUGCACCACGUUCAGAAUUUAAACUCAAAUUUUCUCCAUGCACCUAGUGCAUAGAUCGUCUCAUACACCAUUAUUCAAAUUUUCUCUAUUUCCACCUUUUUCUUUCUUUCUUUUUUUUUUUUUCUCUUCUUCUUCCAUUCUUUUUUUUUAUACUUCAACAGCUAUCAAACCAGUAUCAUUUCCAAUCAAAAGAAUACUGUCCACGUACAAUACGAGAAAGACAAGUUGGCUCCCACUAGUCUUCUUGUAAACACAAGGUUCAUCUUGAUUUCUCACAAAGCCAAACAUUUUGACUGCAUCAGUGAACCGUACGUUCCAACUCCUCGAAGCCUGUUUCAAUCUAUAAAUGGACCUCUGAAGCUUGCAUACUUUAUGUUUCUCGCUAUUGGACACAAAUCCCUCAGGCUGCUGCAUAUAUAUGUCCUCCUAUAUGAAUCCAUUGAGGAGAGCAGUUUUUACAUCCAUUUGCCAGAUCUCAUAGUCAUAGUAUACGGCUAUGGCAAGUAACGUUCGAAUGGAUUUAAGCAUAACCACAGGAGAGAACGUUUCUUUAUAGUCGAGACCUUCUCGUUGACUAUAGCCUUUUGCUACAAGUCUCGCCUUGUAUGUCUCUACUUUUCCAUCCACACCAAUCUUUUUCUUGAAAAUCUAUUUACAACCAACAGGUACUAUACUGUCACGCUCCGGGGCCGAUUUAAAAGCCAUUACCAUUUUUAAAACUCAGAGUCGCGGAAGAUGUACCAAAUUUUUUUUUUUUUUUUUUGAAAAACCUGGCCCACGUGACGUACAGACCCGCCACAAAUACAAAGUUCCUCUGUUCACUCGGGCAGAGUCUACUUUGUAUCUGCACGGCGUACCAACGAAUACAACAGGAUCACAACCACAACCUACAUUUACCAAUCAGCAACCAAUUCAUGAUAUGCAUUUCCAUACAGCUAACAAUCCUUAGAAUGAUGCAUGCCUCUAAGCACUCCUUAGGCGCUGGAUGAUGCAAUGCACAAUACAACAACCAUCCUAUUUAAAAGUGCUCNACGAGCCUGAAGCCAACUUCACACCGUGGCUUCUCCGGAAAAUCGAGUUACUAUUCACUUUAAGUGAAACUUGGAAAUCGCGUAGAAUCUCCGUUUUAACUCAUUUUCGCCCGAAACUUGACGAGUACUUUUGUAAUUAAAUUACACACAAAAACAUCGUCAACUGAGAGUUUAGCUACACUGCAAAAAUCUCAGUCCUUACAUAUACCUUCUGGUGGAUCAACAAGAGUUCAUACAUGAUUGGUAUACAUUGAGUCCAUUUCAGACUUCAUAGCUUCUUGCCAUUUUAUUGAGUCGAUGUCUGACAUCGCCUCUUCGUAACUGGUAGGAUCAUCCCUACGAUCACUAUCGCCAAUGAGGAACAUUUCCUUUGUGCAUUCCAUAAUGAAAUCUCGAUAUUUCUCUAGAGAUUGGGAUAUUCUACCAAAUCUUCGAGGUAAUUGUGUAAUAGUGGGUUUAGUUUGAAUAACUUGUUCAAAUUGUUCUAGAGAAAUUGUUUGCUCAUUUGAGACCAUCUCUUUGAGCACUAUCUCCUUUCCUGCACCACCUUCUUGGAUAAACUCUUUUUCCAAAAAUAUUGCAUGUCGGCUAACAAUCACGUUUUGUUCAUUUUGAAGAUAAAAAUAGUACCCUGUAGACUCCUUAGGAUAACCAAUAAAUCUUCCUUUAUCCGACCUAGCCUCCAAUUUAUAUGUUUUAAGUUUUUUAACAAAAGCUGGGCAUCCCCAAAUCCUUAAAUGAUUGAGACACGAUUUUUUGUCAAACCCCAUUUCAUGUGGCGUAUAAGGAAUAUAUUUUGAAGGCAUCCUGUUUAGAUUAUAGGCUGCGGUUAAUAGAGCAUAUCCCCAAAGAAAUAAAGGUAAGUCUGUGAAGCUCAUCAUCGAUCGUACCAUAUCUAAUAAAGUACGAUUCCUUCUUUCUGAAACUCCAUUCAAUUUCAGAGUUCCAGGAGGUGUCCAUUGCGAGAGAAUACCAUUUUCUUUGAGAUAAUUUAGAAAUUCAGCACUAAGGUAUUCGUCUCCUCGAUCUGAUCGAAGAGCAUUAAUACUUUUUUCUGUCUGCUUCUCUACUUCAUAUUUGAACUCUUUGAACUUUUCAAAGGUUCUAGACUUGUGUUUCAUAAGAAACACAGACCCAUACCGUGAAUAAUCAUCGGUAAAAGUCACAAAGUAAAGAUACCCAUCCCGAGCCAUUUCACUAAACGGUCCACACACAUCUGAGUGCACAAGGGCUAGUAACUCUGUGGUUCGCUCUCUUUGUCCAACAAAGGGUGACUUGGCCAUUUUGCCUUGAAGACAAGACUCACAAACUGGAUAGGAUUUUAAAGCACAAGUUCCCAAGUGUCCAUCCUUGGCCAGUCGGUUUAUCCUAUCUUCUGGAAUGUGACCUAGUCGAAGGUGUCAUUGAUACUUUGGGUUCAGACUAUUAUCUCUAGGCCUCUUGAUUUGAGAAUUAUUCUCUUUAUGUUCAAUAUUAGCAACAUUUUCAUCCAGAUUUAGAAAGUAGAGAUUGUUAACUAAACUACCAGUAGCUAUCAAUUUAUUUUGGAAAUAAAUAAAACAACCAUUAGUUUCAAAAAUAAAACGAUAACCAGUUCGAACUAAAGUUGUAACAGAAAUCAAAUUCCUAACAACUAAAGAAGAAUAAUAACAAUUCUCUAAUUCUAAAAUAUGUCCAGAUGGAAGUCUCAAAGAACAGCUCCCUACGGCUAACACAGCAACACUUGCUCCAUUACCCACACGUAGGGUUACCUCGCUGUCCUUCAGUGUUCUACUUCCCUUUAGAUUCUGCAAUGAAUUACAAAGAUGUAAGGUACAUGUAGAAUCUAAUACGUAAGAAGAAGUAGAGCCAAUCAUAUUGGCCUCAACGAUGAGCAUUUGGUUCGUACCUUCAGAAGGCCCUUCUUUCAAUUUUUCUUUUAGGGUGGAAAGAUAUUCUUUACAAUUUCUCUUCCAAUGCCCUUCUUUUCCGCAAUGAAAACAUUUUCCUUUAGCCUUGCCUUUGUCGGGUUUCUUAAAAUUGACUUUCUUCACUCCUCCCGAUGACUUGAGCUUGGAAAACUUUUUCUUUCCUUUGAACUUUCUUUUGAAGUUCUCUUAACAGCCAUCGCCAUCCAGUUUGUUUUCAACGUGCUUUCCGCUGUGACUAGCAUAUUCAUAAAGUGGCAUGAAUCUUAUUCAUGUUGAAGUUUAUAACAAAAUGAGAGAACAAUUCAGGCAAAGACUGUAGAACUAGAUCGAUCUGCAAGUCUAUGUCUAAGUUCAAGCUGAGGUUUAUUAGCUGCUCCAUAUCGUCAAUCAUUUUAAGACAAUGUUCACUAACUGACAUGCCUGGAGUCAUCUGAGCCUUAAACAAUCGCUUUGAUAUCUCAUAUCUUGCGAUUCGGCUUUGUGCACCAUACAACUCUUGUAAGUGCGCAAGCAUCUCAUAUGCUCGAGCAUAGUUCUCAUGCUGCCGUUGCAGCUCAUUCGACAUAGAGGCCAGCAUGUAAUAUUUGACACGCUGGUCAUUAUCAACCCACUUGCCUCAACUUCUUUAGGAGUGGCUUGAGCGGUAAACUCGAGAAUUGGAGCUUGAAGAACAUAAUCAAGCUUUUAAAUACCUAAAACAAUUUUUAGGUUAUGAAGCCAGUCUUACAAAUUAGGGUCGGUUAAUCGGUUAGAUUCCAUUAUGCGAGAAAGAGGGUUAGAGACAUUCAUUUUGUCUGCAGAAAGUAGAGAUUUUAGUUAGAUGAGUAUUUUUUUUUUUAACCUAUUAAACUAGGGUCUUUUAGUUUAAAAAGGUUUCUUCCACUAAUUUUAUCGAAUUUCUACACUCCCUAAGUAGAAAGACGGAAAUUCUCAUCCGUUAGAUUUCUUAGUGGUGAUUGGGUUUCAUAAAUUACGAUUUACCUCACUGGACAGUUUCUUGGAAAAUCGUAAUUUAAUGAAUGGGUAACAUCUUACCUCGACACAUCUCAUGUGCAAUCCAAUCGUCCUUUGGCGUCUAAGAUUUUUACGCCUCACCGAACGGUUUCUUGGUGCGACAACCUCAGUUAAGUCAAAUCCUCCUCUCAUACAAAUAUGAAAUUAUCAAAAGACCCUCACCAGAUGGUUUCUUGGAUCCAUUGAUAAUGCCAUAUUAUAGCAUCCUUGUAGUAUCCCUAAAAUACAGCAUCUGAAGCUUGUCGACACGUCGGGAGAGUGUCGGGACAAGUCAGAGUCGUGUUGGCGCGAAAUAGACGCAAAACGGACUCUGUGCGACGCGACAGCAGGAAAUUAGCAUUAGAAUCUGCAAAUUGCAGAUUUUCUGCUUGUUGUACCGGUCCAAUAUAGGGGCGUACCAGUACUCAGUAUAUUUUCUUACACAGACUGCUCUCGGUUGGCCAUCUCUGCUACGUGUACCGAUAUAACAUUGAUGUUGUACCGGUACACUAGGCUAGGUGAGAGGGCAUUUUGGUCUUUCCAUGCCUCGUUUGUGUCACCUUCUCUCCAACAGCCUUUAUACGUAUAGAGGAGCUGAGGAGGGGUUCUUGCAUGCUGUAUAUAUAUAUAUAUAUAGUCGACAGGUACUCGUGGGUAGUUUCGCAUAUUGUAGUUGCUCGAUUUACUGAUUUGGCAUGUUUAGAAAUCUGAAUUGGAGCCUAGAACCUUUACCGUAUAUGUUUGUACUUGUUGGACUUUGAUUGGACUUAGGAGAAAAUCAGCGAUUUUAACCUGUCAUAUGCUUAACUACCAGAUUUAGCUCUAGAAGCCGAGGUUCGAUCGUAUUAUUGCAGUUCCAGAGCGGUAGAUACCUCAGGUAGUUUAAAGUGCUGUUACGCUCGUGCUGGGGUGUCGAGCCUAUUUUUAUAGCAGUGUUCAUACUAUUCCAGACUGUUGGGUGCUGUUGGGGUUGACGGUGGACCCGGAUUGUUGAUGUAGCAUCAGAUUGUGCCGAGGGCACGUGUGUUUUGGUUGUUAGACUGGUUCGAUCCUGUUUACUUGACUUUAGCCUGUGAGAGCCAGAUUGUGCCAGUUGUUUCUUUUCCUUUUGCAGAGCCAUCGUUUUCGGCCGUGCUACUGCUGCUGAUGAUCCUGAUCGUGGCAAGGGCGUCGCGAGUUAGAACCCUACCAGACGAGCCAGAGUAGUGGAGGACCAGCUACAGGUAGUUGUAGUUUUUGAGUUCAUAUACAUACUUAUGUUGUAUCUCGCUGGAACGAGGGUUUUGUGUAUCUGGAUGUUUGUAUGUAUAGUGAACUUCAGUUUUAUAUAUCUCUUUUCUAUUAGCAGCUCUAUACUACUGGUUAUAGUAUUGUAUGAUUACAGUUUCAACUUCGCUUCGUAUACAAGAGAAAUUUUCGUGUAUACGGCGGGUCUGUUGGCGUGCCCGGGAAAACGUGUAAUUCAGGGCGUGACAGCAGGUCCUGUACUAGUAUAUUAUAAUUUAUUAUUCAAAUAAUGUAAUAUUUGCAUAAAUAAUCCGGGGCGUGACAAUCCUAUGUCAAGAUGUUUGCAUAGUUCAAACACAAGUAGCCCCAUGGGACUAUGCGUGACUACUCAAUGCUGAAACAAUGCUACAUCUUGUGAUCGGUGGAAGGCCACGAUAGAGCAUCAAAUGCCUUUUCGUUUCAACUUUAUAUUUUAUAGGGAGUUUCAAACAUUAAAAUUAUAUCGGUCUCAUCAUCACAUGUUAUAUCUUAUAUAAAAUAAAUCACAGGUAAAACAUACACAAAAAUUAAUUGCAUAGUUUAGGGAUGAUCAUGGACUUUUCUGAUUCGACUCGAACCGAUGAGUCAAAUCGGUCUAUAGAGUAAUACACAUGUAUUCUCAAUUCUUGAGAUUAUUUCACUUGUAAAUAUUUAGCCAUCUUCUUUUGUUGGAUCUGAUACAUCCUUUGAUGCCAUCACAAUUUGCCACGCCAAUCCAUCAACGCUUGAUAUGCAUUCUUCUCUAAAUAAUCCUAAUUUUAUCUAAUAAAAAAUACAAAGAUUCGUAGAUCCCAAUAAAAUGGCACGCAGGCCCUUCGUGAUCAAAGUAAUAAAAUUACAUCUGUGAGAUCCCAGGUGUUCUGUUGAGGAGGCUUAUCGGCAGCUCUGGAGAGUGUCGGGACAAGUCUGAGUCGCGUUGGCGUCAAAUAGACACAAAACGGACUCCGUGCGAUGCGAGGGCAGCUAAUAGCGAAGAAAUCUGCAAACUGCAGAUUUCUCUGCUUGCUGUACCGGUACAACUAGCAAGCUAUACCGGUACAAUCAGCGCGCACUGGCUUAGCUUCUCUUGGGUUGGCUCUUGUACCGGUACAGGAACCCGUGUACCGGUACAAGGGGGUAGGUAGAGGGCUUUUUAGUAAUUCCAAACCUCGUUUGUAUCACCCCACCCCUUCCUUCUCUUUAUACAUGCGUAGAGAGCUGAGAGAGGAGAGGUUACCUGUUCUUCUUCCUCUCCCUCUCUAGCAUCGGCCGAGUAAGGAGGAGGGACUGUUGGAGCUCGGAUUUGUCACCGACGUAGUGUCGCGGAGUCGUUCGAGCGCACGUUUGUCACCAUGGUGCUGUGAGGAGCUCGGGCGAGCCUGGAUUUGCAUCGUCUUCGACGUGGCGUCAACUCUUGAAGGUUGUCAAGGUGAGUGUUCUGAUUGGAACCACCUCAAUUACUUCGGGUAUCAUCAAUUCAAGCUUAAGUGCUGAUUCGCAGGAUCUUGUCGUCGACUAUUAGUAUUUCAGCUCGUUCUCGACGUAGGAGCAUCGGAUUGCGACGAGACUUGGUUCGUUGGUUUCGGGACUUCGAGAGGAAUCCGCGAAGUCCUUACUUGCUGGAUUUGGUGAAGGUUAGCUUGGUCGAAUCCCUUUUCUACUCUGUUGCUGCGAAAUUGGGGCUGAAUUGGUGGAUUUUGAUCGUAGAGCUUGGAGUUAGCUCGAGUGCUAGACUUGGAGGGUUCCCGUUGAUCCAGCAGGGGUCACUUUGGUUCGAGGCCUUGUUCGCUGCCAGGAGCUAGCUUCUUGAGGUGGGUUACAUCGGUUUUGACUCUUAAGUUCUAUCGUCAACAUGUAUGAACUUCAAUUUUGGUAUAGUUUAUUCUAGCUCGAAUUCAUAGAUUAUUUUGUAGAUUGACAAUCUGAAUUUGGAGCAUGUGGUAAUAAAUUGAGUAGUUUAUACAUGUUGGACUUGGAAAUUGAAUUAGGAGAAAACCUGCUAUUUGGACCUGUCACCUGUUUAAACUACCUGAUUUAGCCUUAAGAGCCGUUGUAUGAUUUUAUACUGUUGCAGUAUCAUCAUAGCAAGUAUCCCAGGUAGUUUAGAUUUCAGUUACACUCGCGCUGGGAUGCCGAGUGAAUUUUUACAGUAGCGGUUAGGCUGUUCCGGACUGUUGGGUGCCGUCGGGAUUGACGGUAGACCCGUAUCGCCGUUUUGGCAUCAGAUUGUGCCGAGGGCAUGUGACCUGUUGGUUGUUAGACUAGUGAGAGUCGUUUACUUGACCUUAGCCAAUGAGAGCCGUGUGACUUACAGAGUUACUUGUAAACUCGUUGGGUCGCGCACACAAAUGCCAUUCCGGAAUGAGGUUUCAGUGCGAUGUGUGUCGCAGUUUCUGUUGGACAGUUCUUAAGCCGGCUACCCACGGGGUGGUAUACGGCGCAGCUUGAUACAGGCAGGGUGGGUCCGUUUUGGGCAGCCCGGGUGAGAUAGUGAGGUCGUGACGUGAGUGGGGUCUUAGCCAUUCUGUUGGAUCUUUUUCGGGACCGGCUACUCUUGUGAUACGGUGUAGUAUAAUUAGGCGAGACGGGUGUAUUCACAGUCUCUAGAGAGUUUUCUCCGCCGGUUACUCUUGAGAUACGGUGUAAUCUAGUGGAUGAGACGGGUGUAUUCACAGUCUCUAGAGAGUUUUCUCCGCCGGUUACUCUUGAGAUACGGUGUAAUCUAGUGGAUGAGACGGGUGUAUUCACAGUCUCUAGAGAGUUUUCUCCGCCGGUUACUCUUGAGAUACGGUGUAAUCUAGUGGAUGAGACGGGUGUAUUCACAGUCUCUAGAGAGUUUUCUCCACCGGUUACUCUUGAGCAACGGUGUUACCUAAUUAGACGGGAUUGGUGUAUUCACAAUCCCUAGAGAGUUGUCUCCACCAGCUAUUCCUGGAGUAGGACUCGGGUUCGAUCCGACAAGCGGGACGGGUGUGUUCACAGUUCCUAGUGAGACUGAGCCAGUUUUGACUUUUCCUAUAGUUGGUUAGCAUAGAGCAGGAUAGUGUAGUGACUAGUAGCUGUAGAGUCUAUUCCAGCAUUUACUACUACCUUUCCUCCCUUCUGUAGACUUAGUGGGUGGACCGAUAUUGUUUUGGGCGGCACCCACUGAGGACUACUUGUUUUACAGUAGUUCUCACGCCCAGUUGUUACCCCUGUUUUGCAGAGCCACAAGUUUCGGCUGCUGCGCCUUCCGCAGAUCAGGAUCGAGGCCAGGGCAUCGCGAGUUAGAGCCCUACCCGACGAGCAGAGCUAGAGGCACCCUACUGCAGGUAGUUUUAUUUUGAGUUUAUGUACAUAGUAUACUUAACUCGCCAGUGCGAGUAACUCAGUAUUUUGGAUUUGGACUAUGUAUAUGAAACUCAGUUUGUUUAGCUUCUGUUUUCUCUAGCAGCUCUCUACUACUGUUCAUAGUAGUGUUUGACUUACAGGUACAGCUGUCGCUUAGUAUACAGGGGAAAUUUCUUUGUAUACGGCGGAUUUGUCGGCGUGCCCGGGGAACGAGACAUCCGGGGCGUGACAACAACAUCAUAUAUACAUCCAUAAUCAAAUCACAAAUACAUUCAUAAUCACAUCACAGAUGUCUUAGGUCCAUGAUCAUCACCCAUCUAAAAACUAAGCAGAAAAUAAUAACAAAAUCGAUCUAAACAUCAAUUAAAAAUUGGAACGCAAUAAUAUGGUUUUUUCAAGUCUCCACGUAUUCAUUUUAUGGUGUGAAACCAAUAAAUCGCAGUACGUGCAACUUAAGAAAAACAAUAUCGAUCUAAUCGUAAAAGGUUCCAAAAUUUCAAUCAAACAAUACAAAUCGUUAAUAUUUUACAUAGAACAUGAGAAUCGGCUCUGAUACCACAGUAAGAAUUAAUCCGGCACAAAAAAAAAAAUCACAGCGAAAAUUAAUAUCAUAUUUUUCGAAAACAAAAAUCCAUAUCACAUAUGAACCAAAACAAAAACAAAUCAAUCCAAUGCUGGUGGAUCAUUCUCAUGUUACAAUAUAAAAUAAUAAUCUAACCUAAAUAGAUUUGAAGUUCAGGCUACAUCACCUCAGACCAGCUAAGGUCUCUUGAUCUACUGUAAGGUUGAAACUGAGAUUCUGAUUAGCCGCGCACGUGCCAGGCCUCUACGCGUAUCCACACGGAAUUGAUGCAGAUCCAACAUCUUCCGUCGCAUAGAACAAAUGAGUCGUAGAUUACAAAGACGGUGCUAGCAGUCUUCUGAUAUCUACGUGCCCUUUUGUACGAUUUACUGAUUUUCACGAAGGAUAAUAGAGAGAGAUGGAUGAUCUAAUACUUCUCAAGAGGCAAUCAUUAAAUCCCUCUCGUAAAAAUAUUAUAUAUCUUCACGUGGCCACUUCAUUAACUACUAAUGAAGCCGCGCCUUAUGUACACCUCCUCUUAGGGCAUGUUUGUUUUGGUGUAAGUGGAGUGAUGGAACUCAAGUUCCAUCACUUCCGUAAUUUGUUUUGGUGUAAGUGAAAAAUAUAAUGUAACUCAAGUUACGUAAGACCUCCACUUCACCUACUCUCGACUUCCUCCUCUAAAGUGCCGAACUCGACUUCCAUCACACUCAACCUCCUCUAAAAUACUUAUUAAACAGUAAAACCUAAACUCUACUUCCCUUAUAAUAGAUUAGAAUUACCUUAUUUAUAAUAAAUUAGGAUUAUCUUUAAAUAAUAAUAAAAAAAUCAAUUAUAUAAUAAGUUAAAUUUUAUAGCGGUAAAUUUACUAUUAUAUUUAGGAGAUAAUGGAAUCCACUUACUUACAUCAAAACAAACAACGGAACUCACAAAACUAAUUUCACCAGCACCAAGUUACAUCAAAACAAACAGAAGAAGUAAUUGAAUCUAAUUUUCAGGCUAUACGAGUUACGUCAAAACAAACAACCAAAAUAUAAUCACACUUCAGGAAAACUCAAACACCACUGCACUUGACUUACGUUGGAUCUACAGAUUCGUCAAUCCAAAUGGACCCUUAGUAGAGCCAUACAAAUCGGCACCCCUGCAAUCUGUUACAACUGAUUGGAUCAUAUCCAAUUAGUUGCCACAUAGGAUAAGUAAAAAGUAAAUAUAUGCUUAGCCAAUGGAUAUUUUAUCUUUAUCUCUCUCUUUAAUAAAUUUAAUUUAAUUGGAUCUUAUCCAUUAAAUUAUAAUUAAAUAUUCAUAUUUAAAUCUAAUUUAAUUAGAAUAUUAUCUCAUAAUAAUAUAUGAUUAUUUAAUUGUUCUCUAAUCUAAUUAGAGAUUAAAUCUUUCGUAACAUUCAAAUUCAAAUUUUAAUUCUCACUAUUUUCACUAGAUUGUUUAGUGUAUUAAUUAGACUCAUCUUGUCAAGUUGGAUGCACACAAUUCCUAUUGUGUAUGACCGCAUAGGUUCAUUAUCAUUCGGCAGUGGAGUUUAAUAUCAAAAUCUUUAAUAUUGAAUUAGAACUCUUCUAAUCUAUAAAAUAAUUUAUUUUAAAUUACUUUUACUUCUCUCACUGUCCGCGAGUGACACCUAGCAAUAUAUCACGGCAAUCCAAUAAUGAAAAAUGAACCUUUCCGCUAACAGUUGUCGUGUGAUUAAUUUCUUCCAACACACAACGCCCCGAUCGAACUAAAAUUAUGAUUACUCACCGAAUCUUAUUAUUCGAUCAUAUGACUAGAAUAUCUAAAACCGACUCAAUAUGGUAACACAGCUGGAAACUCUUUCCACACAUCACAUACCGUGGCCAGGGAUUUUUCGAGUCGAGUCUGAUAGUCUAAUCGGACGUUCUCUCUCAAUAUCGAGAGUGUUGAAUCCCUUUUUGCGCAUUCACACGCCUCCCCAUAUAAACUACUACAGUCAAUCAGUAUCAGACGUAGACUAAUGAUUAGAGUCUAAAUAUCAGUACAGUCAAAUGGUAACAAUCUAUAUAUGAAGCAACUGUAAUACCCUUCAUUUUGAGUUGGUCUAGGGGCAUUGUGGUCAUGUUUUUUUUGGAUAAGAAUGCCACCGCCCUUUUCAUGUUUAUCCCUUCAAAUUAACAGAGAGUGUGCACUUUUUGUUCUCUCUAGUUAAUUACGUGCAUGGUGGAGAGCACGGGUAGAGGUAGCCGAGGAGCUCGGAUUCGACGCCGACGACGCGCCGCGAAGCCGUUCGAGGGUACAGUUGGGAUCGUAGCGCUGCGAGGAAGCUAGGCGAGGGUGUGUUUUCGCCGUUCUCGACGCCACGUCGAUGUCCGAUUAGCCAUUAAGGUGAGUGUUCCGUUGCAUUGCUUCAAGUAUUAUCAUUUCGAGCUUGGUGCUGAUUUGCAGAAUUUCAGCGUCAACCUUUGGUGUUUCAGCUCGUUCUCUGUGUAGGAGUGUCGAAACGCGACGAAAUUUGGCGUGCUAGAUUCGCGACUUCGAGACGAAGAUUCUGAGCCCAAGAUCGCGAUUUUUGGAGCAGGUUUGCCCUGUCGAACCCUAGUUUUACUAGGCUGCUGUUUGCCGAGCAGAUUUCAGAGAUGCUGUUCCGCAGGUUCCAGCGUCGACCAUUGGUGUUUCGGCUCGUUCUCCGCGUAGGAGCGUCGGAUCGCGACGAGACUUGGUUCAUUGGAUUCGGGACUUCGAGAGGAAUCCACAGAGCCCUCACUUACAAUUUUUGGUCAAGGUUAGCUUGGUCGAAAUCAUGCUCUUCUCAGCUGCUGUGAAUGGGGACUGAAUUGUGGACUUUUGUCGUUUUAGCUUGGCGUUGGCUUGGCGACCGGACUUGGAGAUCCCCGAUUGAUCCAGCAGAGUUCCUUUUAGGCCGAGGCUUCGUUUGCUGCCAGGAGAUAGCACUUUAGGUGGGUUACAUCGGUUUCGACUCCUAAGUUCAUAAUCGUCGACAUGUAUAGAUCUGAAUUUUUGGUAAUCUAGUUUAGCUCAAAUUCAUGGAUUAUGUGCUUGAAUGUGAGAACUGAAUUUUGAGCAUGCUUUAUAAUUAAUUAGAUUAUGCAUGUUGGACUUGGAAAUUGAAUUAGGAGAAAACCUGCGAUUUGGACCUGUCACCAGUUUUAGCUACCUGAUUUAGCUCUAGNNNNNNNNNNNNNNNNNAUCAAAAGCACCAAGCUAUUGGUGCUAUUGAUUUUUUAGCCCUUAGAUUGAGAAAUAGAUGGUUAGGAUGAUGUGGGCCCCCUAGGGUUGAGUGAGUGGUUGGUUGAAUAGUAUAAUCUAACAGGUAAAAAUCAUCAGAGGGUUAAAUCUAAGGGGAAAAACUCGAUAGUAUCCCAGCCGGACUAUAUAUAUAUAUAUAUAUAUAUAUAUAUAUAUAUAUAUAUAGCAAGACUACUGUGCUAUUAGCAGCACUGCAGUCCUUAUACUCCGAAGUUUUUAACCAUUCAUUAAUUUUGAUGGAUGGCUAAGGUGAUAGAGAGAAGAAAAAUUGGAAAAAAAUUAGGGCUCUCAAUAUCUCUUCUUUUUUAAUAUCUCCUUAAUCUCUCUUCUCUCUCUCUCACCCUACCCACCCAUCAAAAUUGAUAAAUGGCUAGAAACUUAGGAGCACAAGGAUUGAUGUGCUCUUACUAGCACAGUAGUCCUACUAUAUAUAUAUAUAUAUAUAUAUAUAUAUAUAUAUAUAUAUAUAUUUUGAAAGUCAAAGGUUAUUGGCUUGUAUCAUUUGUGACGCGUGAUUAAGAGGAUGUGUGUUAGGAUGAUGUGAGGACUUUAAAGUUGAGUAGAAGUUAGUUGAAUAGUAUAUUAUCUAACGGAUAGAAAUAAUCAAGGUGUAAAUCAUAAUGCUAAAAAUUUAUAAGCUAAGUGCUUGGUCUUUACAGGCACCGAUAGCGACUAUCAUAUAAUAUAUAAUAUACUAUAUAGAGAAAGAAGAAGAUAGAGAGAGAGAGACGAGAUGUUAGUUGGAAUGCUCUCAGUAGCAGAUAUGCUUCAUUACCCCCAUUUGUUCGUUGAUGAGCCUCCAUAUUGUUACCAGUAAAUAAUUGAAUAUGAUACUAGACAUUAAGUAAGUUUAAAACUAAAUUUUCAAAUUUUUUCGAUACAUUGCUAAUAGAUUAAAAGGUUUCAAAUUUUCUAUUUUAAUAAUCGAGUAUGAAGACUUUUCUCUUUACACAAUAAUAGAAUAUCCAAAUCGAAUAAUAUUUUAGUAAAACUUACAUUAAUACCAUUGUAAAUAAGAUCUAUAUCUUUAUUUGAUUUUAAAACAUCUCUGUAUUCUAUAUUUUAAAGAUUAUUUAGUUUUCCAGUGUUAUUUUUGUAUGCUAUUUGAUAGGCAUAAGAGACAUAACAGAAAAAGGUUAGAAUACUUGAUUAUAGAUACUUUCUGGUCUUAGAUCAUUGUUCAAUAGUCCGUCGUCAUUUGGAGCUCCAUCAUCGAAAAUAAUAUGUGGGGUCACGAAGCCCGAUUUGAUACUCGAUAGUAUUUCCUAGCUCAACUAAAUAUAUAUAUAUCGAAACAAUCUCUAUGAUACGAUGGCUUCCAUAUCUAUAAGUAUAUGUACUAUCUGCCUAUAUAUAAUAUAUCGAGUAGAGAGAGACGAGAGAAUGAGAGAAGAUGAGAGAGAGAGAGAGUGAGAGAGAGAGGAGAGAGGAGAGUUUCUCUGUGGUGUUUUGAAAAGCAUCAAGCACCUGGUGCUCGUAAGUUUUUUCGGUCGUUAGAUCUCGCCAUUUGAUAAUUUUUAAUUCGUUAUAAUCAUAGCUAUUAAUCAACCACUUAACUUAACCUUUUGAAAAAAGUGGACCCACUAAUCAUUGCUAAUUGACACAUCUUUUAAUCUAAGGCCAAAAAAUCUAUUAAGUAUCAAUGAUUGAUAUUUUUAAAGUAUAGUAACUUAAUACACACACACAAACUAAAUCCACUUCUAUAUGUUUACAUUCUAAAUAAUAAAAGGAUAAAUUCCAAAUUUCUCCACUGUGGUCAUUGAGCAUCUUUCAUCUCUUUUCCAACUUAUCAAUUUAAUUUUUAAUUUGACUAAAAAAAUUCUUUCUACCUCAAAUAAGAUUUGACAAAGAGAACAUUUUUGAAAGCUAGAGAGCGGGCAAGUUAAUUAAUAUCGAUCUAUAAAUACACAGGGAUUAUGUGGGUAACAGUUUCCUUUAUUAGAAAUAUAAGAGGAUCAAAAUGAUAGUUUUUGAGAGAUUAGUGCAAAAAUGAAAACACCCGAGUUAUUAAUUAAAGGGAAGUGCUACUAGUAGAAAUAAGCAUUUUAAAAGGCAUCAUUGAACGUUCAAAAGCGGUCCCCAAACUUUUGUUUUGUUUAUAUUAUCAUUAACUAAGUCUUUCCUCGUAUCCUCUAUUUGUGCUAUGAUAAACCAUCUUAGCCUCUACAGUCGAGAAAAAUCAAAACUUUAAGGCUGACGAUCGACUAACGGGAACCAAGGCGGCGUUUGGUUCACGUAUAAGUAUUAUUAAGGAAUAUUUCACAACCAAUAAUGCGGUAUAUGAGAUUCCUGCUUGGUUACAUUGUGAUUUAAUCAAGUAUAUAUAAUACUACUAGAUUACAAAUACUUUUAUCUGAUAUUAUUAGUUGUUCGGUUUUUCUUUAUUUUUCUAUAAAGAUUUAAUAAUCUACAAAAAUAUUAAGUUUAUUCUAACAUUGUCCCUUAUUUGUUAUUAUUUGGCAAAUGUAAAAUUAUCAAAAUACAAAAGUUAAAUUUUAAAAUUACAAAAAUUUAUAAUUAAUGAAUAUAAAUUAAGAAUCUAAAUUUUUAGAUUUUUAAAUUCAUAAUAUAAUAUAUUAUAAAUUAUAAUAUUCUAAUAUUUAAUAUUUUAAAAUUUGUGAAAUUUGUAUUUAAAAUUUAAUAAUUAAAAUAUAUAUUUUAAAUUUUUAAAAUUGAAUUGAUGAUUUACAAUUUGGCAUAUUCAAAAAAUUUAAGAUAAAAUUUUAGAAAUGCAUAUAAAUAAGAGUUUGGAGGAGGGGCGGGGGUUUGGAGGGAUAAACUUAUCAUUUUAUAUCUAUGGACGAGGAUUAUUGAUCAUCAGUAAUAUAAGAUCCUCUUCCUAUUCAAUAAUAUAUUACUGACAUUCCAGAAUUAAUAUACUGAUUGAAACUAAAGUACAAUAAUUUAGCAUGGAUUGUCUAUGAUCCUGUCAGGAUAGUGUUGAACCGCAAACUCAUCUCUAAGCAAAUUUGACAUAUCUGAGGAUGCCAACUUUUAAUGUUUGUUAACUGAGAGUCAUACUUUAGGAUUAAUUUAUUAAGCAAUCGCAGAAUUUAACGAUUCAAUUACUAUUAGGAAUGAUCUGUCGCAUUAACUGUCUAUUUGGAAACAUCAGUUUAAAUGGUUGAAAAUGUCGAUUCAAGUGGCCAAUUCACGCAUCUUCUUAUACGACUUAAAUAAAUCUAAGGCUCCUAGCCUUCUUUUGCUAUAACUAUCCGUCUUUUCCCAAUCCUAAUUCGGGCAAUGUCAGUUAGAACGACAUGCUUCUGUAAACAACUUCUUGUCAUUCUUGCAAGAUGUUUCUUUCGGUACCAACGGCAUCAAGCUAUUUGCCCACUAAGGUCGGUUUUCUAUGUGAAUGCAGAAUAAUUUCGUUAAGAUCAGGCCGACCUUAAGUCAACAGCAAUAUAAUCUGGCGAGGCAUUCAAAGUACACAUUCCGAGCAUAGACUUAUAGUGUCAUGGCCUAGCUCCUAUUGGGAAAAAAUAUUUCCAAUCUAAUCUUUCUUUCAAAAAUUUUCUAAUCUAGGCUUUCCUUUGAUAGAUAGAGAAACAAAAGAUGAGCUUAAUAGCACUUAUAUAUAUGUUGUAUUAGGAGAUGGAUAAAGUUUUUUUCUUCUCUCGUUCUCCUUCGGCAAAUUAAAUCAUUAUUAAUAUUAUUACUUUAAUGUUUUAAGAUAUAUUUAAAUAUUAUUAUUCGGAUGAUAAUUAUUAGUAUCUAUUAUUAUUAUUAUUACUAUUACUAGUAUUUUAAUUUGACUAUACAAGCCAUUAUGACAAAUUUGCACUUGGUUAUAGUCAAGAUUAAAUUAAUACUUGUAAUAGUAGUAUAGUAAUCAAAAAUAAAAAUUAAUAUUCACGGAUAAUAAUAAUCAUUUAUUUAUUAUUAAAUAUACAAAUUUUUAAAUAUUAUUAUUUAUAUAAAAUUAUUAUUUUAAAUAUUAGAAGGAGUUGGGAGGAAAUAGAGAAAAAAAUAAUAUUUUGUACUCCUAAUUAACUAUAUAGUAUAUGUUAUUAAGUUCAUAUUCUUGUUUUCUAAUUCUUAGAAAGAAGAGGCUAUCUUAGAAAUAUUUUUUAAAAAAAGACUAGAUGGGAGAAAAAAGAAAAAAUAAAUUCAAGUGAGAGCUAAGCAUGACGCAUUAGCUCUCGAGCAUAUGGAUGAAAUUAUUUGGGAGAUGCCCUUUAACUAAAAUAAAUGAGUUUUAAGCAUCCCUACGUAUUAUGCGUCACAUUCUAUUUACUUAUGUGUGUAGUAGCAUUACCUCUCUACAUAUUUUGAAAGUAACAGUUAUCUAAGUAAUGAGUGUUUUUGUUUUUCCCAGAUGGCAUCAUCUCUAAGCUCUUUUGUGAGGAAAAAUGCGACCAAUGGGCAGAGUGUGGGGGGGGGUCGACAGAACGCUAGGUAUCAAGUAUCAACUCAUGGUCCCCUUUUUUUUUAUAUGAAAUUAUAGCAACUGAUCAAAUAAAUAAACUGUCUAAAAUAGCCGAUAUUUCAUAACGCCAACUCGACUACUAUCCAAACGGACCCGAUAAAAAAUAGUAUAGUAUACGAGUAAAAAAAUUAUCUAUUAAAAUUUCGGGUAAUGGUCGGAAAUUCUUUAUAUUCCAUACUCGACUGGAAGGAUCCGAACGACGCUUUACAGUCGGUAGGCGUCGCGGAAAGUUUCCAGAUACGAACGGCCGGGCUUGAAAUGAACAUGAUGAAAUACUCUAUUGUAACAUAAAAAAAUUUGAAGUUGAAGGAUCAAAUUUAAGCAGGACUUAUAAAUGAAGGUUCUUUAUACUUUUUCAUUCGCAGUGAAAACAUCUCGGUCUGCUUCUAUUUAUUCACUUUUUUUAACUUUUAUUUUACUUUAUCAUUGUUUUUAAAUCUAGCUGUUUAUUACUUGAAAUUUUUUUUUAAGCCAAAUUAUUGGAUGGAUGCCAAUAAUUAGAACGGCUGAGUUUUUCUAUAGUCGGAAGUUAAGAUUUGUUCCAUAAAUAUCUUUAAUAAUGUUAAAAUAUGUACAUUUCGGGUAUCCAUAGACCUAAUAUAAGAUUUGAUGUCCGUAUCGCGAUCCAUACGGCGUAUUAUGCGGUUGUAGUAUACGGAUAGUCCACUUGCCGUCAGACCGUUGAAUAACCCACAAUGGUAUAUUGNNNNNNNNNNNNNNNNNNNNNNNNNCACACAGAAAGAUUGAUACAAUGGUUUGACUCCAACUCAUAUCUCCGACAUAAGGGAUAUAAUUUUUGGAAGGCUAGUUAGGCUCAAAUCAUUCGAUAUGGCUUAAGUAGAACUGAUUUAGCAUUUGCUUAAAUUAAUUAAUUAUACACUGUGAUUGGAAAUUGAAUAGGAGAACGCCGGGUUUUGGACCCUUCAGCUCGUUACACCCUGAUUAGCUCUAGAGUCCGUAAAAAUGUAACUGGAUUCUUCGGAAGAUAACAAGUGAAAUGUAGUUAGCUUUGCCGUCGCCGAUGAAUUGAAGGGUUCGAUAUGUGUGGACUGGUCCGUCAGAGUUGACGGUGGAUUCCAUAUCGCCUUUUUGGCGUAAUUUGCGAGGCACUUACAUUGUUGCUAGACCUCAGUUGAGUUGAUUACUGACUAUGGUUAUUGACUUGAAUGAGUCCGACAGAGAUACCGAUCUGGGUACCAAGUGCCACUCCCGAGCAGGCUUUUGCUUUGCGUUGGUGUGCAUGCCCGUGACUUGCUCUCCAUCGAUCCAGUUUAGGUGGAUAAGAGCCCGGAUAGUUAACGGGGAGGGACGGUUGUAUACAUCCGGCGUACGGUAUCAUUACUAGUCUCAUUGGGAUUGGGCAUAGGUGACCAUUUCUAAUGGUUAAGCUGAGAGCCAUGAUAGAGUAGUUUGAUCGAUAAACGUAAGUAUUCCUGAUUUCGACUACUUUGCUCCGUCUGUAGAUCUUAGGGUGGACGAUUUUUUUUGGUCGGUAUCCACAUGAGACUAUUUUUUACAUAUUCUCACCCAUGUUACCUAUUUCUGCAGAGCCGGCCGCAGUUCCUCGCUGAGCUGCAGUUUAAUGUUUAUGUAUAGUUGUCAGCCCCGGAAGAUCGAGGCAAUUGGUGGCCCGAGCCGUCGCGAUAGAGCCUAUCCCGACUUGCGAGCUAGAGGUGCUCCUACUGAUGUAGUGUUUAUUCGAGUUUUAUACAUAUGGCUUAACCGGCCAGUCGCGAGUUUGAGUCUUGUAUUUUGAUUGGACUAGUAACUAAACUCCAUGUUGUUAGCUUCUGUUUUUCUACAGCUCUAAUACUACGUUAUUAUGUUGAUUACAGACUAGCUAACCUCGAUACAGGGGAAAUUUCUUUGUUAACACGGAUUUCUGCGUGCCCGUCGGAACGUGUAUGCCGGGCGUGACAGAUUAAUUGUAUCAGAGCUUGCUUAGGUCGGGGACCUAGAAACUAAUUUGGCAAACCUAGGGAAGCAAAGUAGAGAUUUAAGUUAUUGGCAAGUCAAAUGAUAAUUUGUUUAACUCUCUUGGAUAGAUAAGUGAACUGAAGGAUUCUGUUCGGCAUAUGAAGAAAAUAUAAUGUUGCUUCAACAUACAUAAAUUGAGAGAUAAACAGGGCCGCCUAUGAAUGUUCGUUGAUUGGUGAGAGGUUUGGUGUAUCUGACAGCCCUAUUAUCUUGCAGCAUGACGUAUUCCGAUGCCGUGAUACGUCGAUGCGAUUGAGUGCCAGUUGGCGCAGAUCUGCAAUUCCACCGAAGCUUAGCAGGGAGCGGUCACCCCAGUUGUAAAGCACAGGCCCCGACCAGUAGAUCUAGCAUCCCAGAUUGAGUGCACAGUUUGCUUACCCUGAUGAGUGACGACAGCAUGGGAGCUAUUCAUAUGUGUGUAGAGAUAGCUCAGACAUCCGAAGUUCUGUACCGAGGGACUAGGUCGCAGUUCCACCCCCACACUCAUGACGAGCACCAGCUGCAGGAGUCCUUCCACGCAGCAGUUACUUACGCCAUUGCGCCUCUAGUGGGCCAUAGUAUGUUGACUUGAGAGCUUCGAGCAGGAACGUGGAUCUGAGAGGUUACUCGUCUCGCCGAUAUUAUCCACCAGAAACUUAUUUUCUUCGAUGCAAGCACUGGAGGCUGAUUGAGGUAUGGUCAUGCGAUGGAUAAUUAUCGACGUGGACUGUUCGUUCUCAGAGGACAUAGGCCUGGAUACAUUCUGUUACAAGUGAUUGCCAUUAUUGCUGAGUGACGAGCGGGACUCAGGGCUAUCGGCGCAGCUUCCGAGUUGGGUACGAUUAUGUGAAUGCUAGUUGGAUUUCUUCCCAACAGAGUUAAGGAAGAUCGAGAGAUUGAGGAAGACUCAGCUCAUGAGAUCGCCCAGUGCAGAGUAUGUCGUAGUUUACUUCUAUCUCCUGAACUGUGUAUCCAUUUUGGCCAGAGAGGCGCAAGAAUUACAAUGUCAGCAGGGCCUAGACCGACAAUCUUAGGUUAGUGCGGAAGGUCGAGGACCUGGAUGCUCCCAUAACAGGCCCUAAGUGGUGAGAGCGAGUGUCGCUGCAUUGGACAAUGAACAGCCUGUGGGCAAGGGUCAACAGAAGCGCCCGACCUUUCCAGAUACGAGGGCAGUCGAGCACAACGACCGCGGCGAGACUCCACUAUCACGCUCUCAGGUCGUGGGCUUCGGAGCUCAGCGUUCCAGGAUCUCCGCUCAGCAGGAGCAGACUCAUGUAGACGCGCACAGUGUGAGGGGACACACGGCCUCACAGUGCAGCAUAGAGAGGUAGCUCCAGUGGGUCUAUGAGGUGGUAGCCGGUACACAAUGAGGGACUUGUCCCAGAGCACAUCUCCAGCACCGCGAGCCAUCGCACCACCGCCCUACCCUGGCAUCCACAGCAGCUUACGAGCAUGCACCGAGCUACCUGCCAUGAGAUAGAUGUCUUUGCCACGUCGCUGAGCGUGACAGUCAGGCUCCGAGUGCAAGUAUAUCACCAGGGAGGACCUUCAGUCACCGAUUCCGAGUGGGCAGUAUCCUGAUUCUGCAUAGAUCCACCGUUUUUGAUAACCGCUGCAUCACAUUCCUCUUGUUAGCCGAAGCAUUCAUUGUUGCAUGUCAUUAGAAGCGUGCCAGCAAACGAGAGUGCAUGAUAUCCCCUGACCAUGUCUCAGGUUACGGAUGUUGUUGUCUUUGUCGGAUGCAGUAGACUCGUGAGUAUCCCGCAAAACCUUUGUUUAGGGCACUGCAGACUUCGAACGUAAGCGCGUAAUGGAUUGGUGCGCGAUACUAUACUAACAUCGACUGUGACAGGACGUAACUCGCAGUCAGCCAGGAAGAGUUUACAUUCAAGGCUGCAGGACACGCUGUUUGCCACUCGUGGAUACUGCGCGAGCUCGACAAUGCUUGAGCAGUGUGUACGGGUUUCUCGUCUAUGGACAGUGAGUACUUACGGCGCGAGACUCGAGGACAUCCAAGUAGUCCGCGAGUUUUCAGGAUUGUUUUCCCCCGAUUGACUGAUUCAUUGCCCGCCGAAGGGAGAUUGAUUUUAUGAUUGGGGAUAGUUCCUGAAGCCACCAAUCACAAAGGUACUUUCAGAUGCAACCCCCCGGAGGUAUGAGAGAUCAAGCGCGCAUUCAGACUAUGAUUAGGUUUUGUUGAGACUCAGGUGUCGCUUUGGGGAGCGCCGGGUUAUUUGUAAAGAAAAGAGUUCGCUCAUUAUUAUUUAAUUCACGCGGGGAGCUGAAUAAAUUGACAUACAGAACCAAUUCCCUGGCCGCUCAUUAUUAUGAUCUAUUCGAUCAGCUGGCAAGGAUCUUAUGUCUUCUCGAAGAAUGAUCUCCAGUCAGUUACCACCAGCUGAGGGUGAGCCGAGGAAGUUUCCCAACCUUUCGGACACGUACGGCAUUGAUAUUCGAGCCUUUUGAUUGACGAAUCCCUACCGGCAUUCAUGAUUUGAUGAACAGAGUGUCAAAUGCCGUUUCUUGGAAGAUUUGUGGUAGUCUCCAUCGAUAGAUCCUGAUUACUCCUUGGGGAGUGAUGAUGAGCAUCGAGGACACUUGAGAUUUGUCAUCAUGCUUCCUCCGAGAAGAAUGUUCAAUUAAAGAAUGCGAGUUCUGGCUACGGGAGGUGUUCUUGGUCCAACUGAUCAGCACGAGGGCGUAGCAGUGGGGACCCAAGAUUCGAGAUGAGGCAUUCGGGAUGCGAACGGAGACGUGACUGAAGGUACGGAGUUUCUAGGCUGGAGGAUAUAACGGCCGUUGUGGAGAAUUUUGCGAAGCUUCAACCCUCACACGCUUGACAACGAGGAUUCGUUUUGUAUGGACGAUUGAUUACAAGAGCUGAUAGUGAAUUGAGGUUGAUUCGGGCCUAUCUCUUCCCUCCUGUUAUGGGCGAAGAUUGUGAAUCUUAAGUGAUGCAUCGCACAGUGGUAACUUGGUUCGUUGCUGAUGCAGUCAUGUAGCGUAAAUUUGCUUAUGCUCAUACGCAGUUAGGAGUAUGAGAAAAUUACACAACCCACCUCAUGACUUGGACCUUGCCGCGUGUUUUGCUUUUGAAGCUUGCCAUACUGUAGACGCAGCACUGCGAACUUUUACUGACAUAAAUCUCAAUUAUCGCCCCAAAGAGUUAAUUGAGACAGCGCCGUGGUUGAGUUGCUGAGAUAUGACAUCAAUCCAGUAUCCAUCCCGUCAAGCGAAUGUGGGCAGAUGCGUUACAGGUAAGGCAUGCAAGCUUUCGAUAUGUUGAUUACUGAGCAUAGACCCCUACUCGAGGAGCAUAUACAGCGGCUUGGGACUCGAGAUAUACUCCCUGUUCCUAUGUCGGCUGAUGUCUCUACUAUUACUGACUGCCGGUCGUGUACUUGUGAAGAUCCAGAGAACAGAGUGGAGAUCCGCACUUGUUGAGAGAUAUGAGAGACAGUCUAAGAACAUGGGGAACUGAAGGAUUGUUGUGACAGUUCGGAGUACUGCGGUAGAUGGGAUCGACUGUGUGGUACGCUACUGGAUUCAGAGAUUGAGAGACAUCUUAAGAGGCCACUUGGUCACGUCUUAUACCGGUUCACCCCGUGGAGUACCUAAAAUACUAUAAGAUUUAAAAGCCAGUUGGUAGAAUGGAAAAGGACAUUGGAGAUUUUGCUAUGUCCUGACUUGCAACAGGUAAAGGACACAGUUACGUCUGCGAAGCCUUCAAUGAGUCUAGCACAGUCCGAGAUGAAAUGGGUAGACAGAUAGCACGAUGGACGCUUUGUCGUCGUGAUUGCGAGACGCACGAAGUGUUGAUCGAUUGGGUGAUAGUGACGUGUCAGACUGACCAAUCUGCUCACUUCUUACCGAUCAGUGACCACUGGUCCAAGAGAGACUCGCCAGUGUAUUGCUAAUAAGGAGGUUACAUGCGUGCCACACUUUCGAAUAAAUCCGACCGGACCCGAGUCGACCACAUUCUGGAGGAUCUUCAGACGCCAUUCGGCACUCAGUUGCAGUGUCAGCACAGCAUCUCACACCGCAGACAGAGCAGCUUCAACGGACCCAUCACUUUACCGAGGACAUCUAGGGCAUGUGUCCUUGGACUUUGAAAGAUGGUAUCGCAUCUGAGACUGGUUUCAUUUGCGUACCAACAACAGACUAUCACGAGCAUUUUCCGGUGGCUUCCUUUGAGCGUCAUGUCCGGACCGCAUAUCCAAUCCUUUGUUUGAGUGAUUGGGUAGAAGAAACGCUGGGCCUGAGAUCUGAUGAAGGCUUAGAAAAGGUAAAAAGCACACGUAACAUAUACCCCAAGUCGACAGAGGCACUAUGCUGACACCUUCGAGACGAACAUUGGAGGUUUCAGAUGGAGAUCAUCUUCUUAAAGCUCUGACGUCCAGAGGGAUCGCCGAUUUAGUUACGUGGAACUCAUUCCACGUUUUGACCCUUCGACGUUGGAGCGUACGACCGGUUACUACAGGAUUGCCUACCACACGACUAGUCCCGGCAUCUCAUGAUUGUUCCACGUCUCGGCUUGAGAAAAUAUGUGUUCGCCCUCCCACGUGAUCGACUUCACUCGCUUGAGAUGGCGAGACCUGAGCUACAGGAUCCGAUCCUGGUACGAUUCUGGCUCUUGAUACGAGGAAUUGCUGCACCUGUGUCCAAUACCUUGUAAAGUAGUGGAUAACACGAGGAACGGAGUCGACAUUGGGACCGGAGGCAUAAUAAGGAGUCUAUCCUACUGUUCAAGGAAGCAGGUUUGAGGUAUGUUUUAAUUUCGAGGAGAAAACUUUAUAGUGGGGGAGGAUAUAUAUACCUUCAAUUUUGAGUUGGUCUAAUGGGCAUUGUGUCAAUGUUUUUUUGAUAAGAACACCGCUCCUUUUCAUUUUAUCCCUUCAAAAUUAACAGAGAGUAUGACUUUUUGGUCUCUCAGUUAAUUACCUGCAUGGUGAGAGCACUGGGUAGAUAGCCGAGGAGCUCGGGAUUCGACGCCUCGACUACCGUGCCCGCGAAUUCGAAGCCUUCGAGGUACGUUGGAUCGUUCAGCGCCGCGAGAAGCAGCGAGUGUGUGUUUCGUCCGUUCUCUCGACUGUCCACGUGAAUGUCCGAAUUACCAUUAAGGUGAGUGUUACCCGUGCAUUGCUCCAACGUAUUACAUUAUCGAACAUUGGUGUGAUUUUGCACGAAUUCAAGCGCAAACCCAUAUGGUGUUCAGCUCGUUCUCUCUUGUAGAUUGAAAGCGCGACAAAUUUGGCGUGCUAGAUUCGCGACAUCGAGACUAAAUUCUGAGCCCAAAUCGUGAUUUGGAGAGGUUGCCCUGUUCACCCUAGUUUACUAGCUGCUGUUUUGGCCGAGCAGAUUAAAGAGAAUCUGUUCGCAGGUUCCACGUCGAACAUUGAUUAGUGUUCGGCUCGUUCUUCACGCAGUAGGAGCGUCGCUUCGGCGACGAGCCUUGGUCAUUGGAUUCGGUAUUCGAGAGGAAUCCUACUAAGCCUCUCACUUACAUUUUUGGCACGGUAGCUGGUCGAAAUCAUACUUUCUCAGACUGCUGGAAUGGGACUGAAUUAGUGGACUUUUGUCGUUUAGCUUGGCGUUGGCUGGCGACCGAUUGGAGAUCCCCGAAUGAUCAGCAGAGUUAACUUUUAGCCGAGCCAUCGUUUGCGGCCCGCCGCCCGCCCCCUUUGUUUUUCCCCUAGGAGAUUAGCACUUUAGUGGGUUACAUCGGUUCACUGCCUAAGUCAAUAAUCGUCGACAUGUAUAGAUCUUGAAUUUUGGAAAAAUUCCUAGUUUUAAGCCAAAUUCCUGGAAUAUUCUUGAAUGGAAACUGAAUUUGAGCAUGCCUUUAUAACUUAAUUAGAUUAACAUGUUGGACUUCGAAUUGAAUUGAGAAAACCCGCGUUUUGGGACCUGUCAUCUUUACUACCGUUGAUUAGCUCUAGGAUCCGUUAGAAAAUUGUACUGUCCUGCAGUUUCUUCGAGAAAUACUCACCAGGUAGUUAGAAUGCAUUUAAUUCUUGUGCUGAUUCGGCACUAGUGGAUUUUACAGGUGAUCCGUUCAGUCCGUUCGACUGUUGAGGUGCCGUCAGAUUUUUACGUGGACACAUAUGCCUUUCGGCGAUCAGAUGUGCCUGAGUGCACGUACCUAUGUUUAGAUUCAUUGAAGUUGAAUUACUUACUAUGCCUAAGUCGACUGAUUGGAGCUCCGACAAAUUACGCCGCCAUACCGUGCGUACGGCCACAUGAUGCACUCCAGUCAGGCUUAUGCUUUUUCGUUGGUUCGCUCAUAUUUCCAUUGGUACUUGCUCUCCGGGACACAGUUAGUGGGAUAAUCCCGAUUAUCGCAAGGGCAGGACGGGUUGUAUUCACAGUCCCGGGGACGGGUAUGCUUAACAGUCCGAUUAGGAUGGGUGCAGAGUGACAUAUCUACCGUUGGUUUAGUUGUAGAGCAUGAAGAUAGUGACGAUAGCAGUAUAGUUUAUUUCUCUGCUUUUCUGACUACUGUGCUCCUUCUUAUACUUAGUGGGUGACGUGCUCCCUUCUGUAGACUUAGUGGGUGGACCGAUGUUGUUUUGGGCGGUACCCACUGAGGACUACUUGUUUUUACAGUAGUUCUCGCGCCCAGUUGUUACCUAUGUUUUUGCAGAGCCACAGGUUCCGGCUGCUGCACCGUCCGCGGAUCAGGAUCGAGGCAAGGGCGUCGCGAGUUAAAGCCCUACCCGACUUGCUGAGCUAGAGGUGCCCCUACUGCAGGUAGAUGUUUUGUUUCGAGUUUAUGUACAUAGUGGACUUAACUCGCCAGUGCGAGUAGCUUUGUAUUUUUGGAUUUGGACUAUGUAUAUGAAACUCAGUUUGUUUAGCUUCUGUUUUCUCUAGCAGCUCUAUACUACUGUUCGUAGUAGUGUUUGAUUUACAGGUACAGCUAACGCUUCGUAUACAGGGGAAAUUUCUUUGUAUACGGCGGAUUUGUCGGCGUGCCCGGGGAACGUGUAAUCCGGGGCGUGACAGCAACCAUGAUGCCUCAGGUCCGAGGAGUACUUCACACAACUGUAGCAAAGAACUAGUCACUGGCGAAUUUGGAACCAUGUGACUGUUCAACUAAAUGGUCACACUCAGUAUACUUAUUAGCUAACAAGCACCUGCAUGCUUACUUUAGUGUCCCUACAGUUAAGGACUUGAGAUUCGUUACCUCACAUAGAAGUGUAGCAUGCACCAGCCUAUCCGGAAAUAUCAUCGUUCUUAUGAUAUUCCUAUGGCUAGGAGCGUUUAAAAAUCUUGCACAAAGAAAUAUAUAUCUCAAAUUCCUAACUCUUAGGAAUAUAUUUUCUAAACGAAGAUUCAACGGAUGAUUCAUAUAAAUGUAUUAUAUUGCUAAUAAUAAAUAUGAAUAAAACUCGCCCCUUAUUAAUUAAGAAAAAUACUUACUAUGUUCACAAGCCUAUGUCACCGAUUGGCUCUAGAGUAUAUCACUAGAAAUCUCCUCCUCGUGCAUGCAUCCGAGAGAAAGAGAGAGGAGAGUGUUAAAAAAAACUUUUCUUUUUUUCAUCUUUUUUUUUCUUUUCUUUCUUCUUCUUCUUUAUGUUCUUUUCUUCUUUUUUUUUUCUCUUUUGGUUCUCUCUCCUUUUUCUUCUCUUUGGAUUCUCUUUCUUCCCUUUUUUUUUUCCUUUUAUUUUGGAAAUUAUUCAAAAAAAAAUUCAAAAGGGAAAGGUAUGGGUUAAUCUUUUCUUUCUUUUCUUUUCUUUUUUUUUGGAAAGAGAAGGUGGGAUAUUUUUUUUUUUCAAAUCUUUACAUCUUUCCCUUUUUUUUUAUUUCUUCCCCUUUUUAUUUUUAUUUUAUUUUAUUUUAUUUUUUUUAAUCAAACAUCAACCCGUUAAUAAUAAUAAUUCGUUAAGUCAAAACUAUUAGCCCAAAAUGCUUCAUCUACUUAUCUUUGUUAUUCUGAUCCUGAUUUAGCCUGUCAUUCAUCGAACAUGGCUCAACUAAAACUCAUCUCAUACUUCCGACUAGUGAGCUAGCUGUGGUACCAAAUGUAACGACUCAACCCACUAAUAAUAAUAACUCAUUAAGCAAAAAUCACCGACCCAAUAUGUUUAAGUAUAGUUAUUAUUACUAGAAUAGAGUACUCUUAUAUAGCUAAUGAUAAUUUCAUUUUUAUUCAAUGUGGGACUAUUAAAAUAUUACAAAUUACCCACUAAUCACUUGCUUUUACUAAUAGAGAAAACUCUGCCUUCAAAUGGGGCGAUACAUGCAUAAUAUACACCAACUUUUUUAUGCCCAUACGAUAAAGCUGCAAAAAAUAUAAUAUUUAAAUUAUUUAAUACAAAAGUUCUCUCUCACAUAAUUUAUAUUCUAUUUCAAAGUUCUAUUCAAAAAGGCAUAAAACCUUAUUCUCAAUACAAUAAAUAAUUCUCCUGAAGGGGCAUUCUGUGUUUUUAAGUAUCGGCUACGGUGCCCCCCCGGUCGCACGUACGCCUUAGGGUGCUGCUUCUUUUUUUUUUCUUUUUUUCUUUUUUUUUUUUUCUUUUUUUUUUUUUUGUGAGAGAAAGGUAGCAUGCUACUUGCUUCAUUCAUUGAAGAAGUGAACUAAGCUACAUGGGUGAGGCAUCACGGGCCUGGGGAAGGGCGCGAAAAGUAAAAUAAAAUAAAAAUAUAAAAUAACAUAAAAUAAAAUAAGAAAAAAGAAAAAAUGAGUUCUAGAUAUCUAUAUAUAUAUAUAUAUAUAUAACUAUAUAUAUAAGGCUACCUGGUAAAAUUAAGUCUAACUGUUGGUAGGAGUUGCUCCCACAAGUUCGUCAGUUGUUUAAUCUUGUAAAUUCCUACAAAAGGGUCUGGUUUGAUUGAUCUGAAGAUUGCGCCGUUCCGGACAUCCCAAGUAACCCACCAGCAGGCUAUUAAACUGAUUAGUCUAGGACGUGACGAUGAUGAACCUUUUCUAUUUUUCCAUUUGUCCCAGACCAGAAACACAUCCUCACCCAAAUCACUUUGCUGGACAUUGUCCAAUGUCUUCACCAUUAGAAAUCUGGAGAACACGCACCAAGUAAAUAAGUGAUCAACCGUUUCCUCUUCCAUUCCGCAUAAAACGCAGCAUGUGUUACCAACCCAUCAUCUCUUAAGUAGAUUCUCUGCAGUAAGUGUUCUUUUCCGGAGGACGAGCCAGCAAAAUACUUUCACUUUUAGAGGGAUACGAAGCUUCCAAAUCUUACUUGUGCGAGCAUCUCUAGUACCCCCAUCGCACAACACAGAAUAGGUUGAUUUGACCGUAAAAUGUCCGUCAGUAGUCCAUCGCCAGAGCACACUGUCGGGGCCUUCUUCAGUUCUGAAAUUGGACACCCCAGCCUUAAGUUCGGAUAUCGUAGAAUUUAAUCGGUGAUCAAUAUUGCUGUCACAACCCAGUAUCUUGUGCCAAUUCCAUUCAUUGUUCCGCCAGCACUCACUAAUUUUUAGCUUUUUGUGAUUCGAUAACUGGAACACCUCCGGGAAAGACGAUUGCAAAGAAGUGUCCCCACACCAACGGUCAGUCCAAAAAUCGAUAUUUCUACCAUUGCCCAACUUACAGAAUGCUCCUAAUUUAUAAAUUUCUUUUUGACAAAGAANUUUUUAAUUUUUUAUUUAUCGAUAUAAGAGUAAGUUUUUAAUUGACAUUCAGAAACACCUAUUUUUCUUCGCAAAUUAUUUUAUCAAAAAAAUAAAAAAAAUAUGAAUAUAAUUGUAGUCCUAUUCUGAUUGUUCUAGUAAUUAUAUACUUUCUAAUCAAAUCAAUAAUUUUUUUUUUGAAAAUUUUAUUAUUAUAUUUUACUUUCUAUUCUACAUCAGGUAUAGCUAUACUUUAUAUACAAAAAGUUUAGAUAUAUAUUAAUUAAUAAGUGUAGUAAGCUAUACAUAAUAAAUAUUUAUAAUUAUUUAUGUAAAUUUUUCAAAAUAACAUUAUAAGAGUUUAUUAGAAUAAAAAAAAUUUAAAUAAAUCCGUGCCAAAAUAUGCCAGUAGAGGGUCAUGCGUAUCCAUCGGCACGCAUGCGUACCACGCAUCGAUACGAAAGUAUGUCCGUACCGUAUUAUACUGUGUCAGAAAAAGAACAGCACUUUAUGCCACGGCACUUUAAAUCUUAGGACAACACUUGCAGUAUAUAAUGAUAAACACGACACAAAGCCCAACGCAGUCACUCAUUCCCCAUAUCAGUCUCACUGACACUCGCUUGCCGGCCAGUCGCACUCUCUUGCAGCAGUCGCAGCAGCAACCGGGCCUUUGCCUCUUCCUUGUUUCUUGGUAAGUUACAAGCUAGAUUCUUAAUUUGCUACAGCAGUUUGUCCCCGAACUAAAUCGAAUUUUCUUUUGACCAAUAAACUCUUUAAGUUUGACAUUAAGGACCAUUUAAGAUACUUCAAUUUUCGUAAUUGUCUUACUUUAGUACUUUCCAUAGAAUAAGAAUUAUUUAAUUCAUUUGGCUUAUAUAUAUAUAUAUAUAUAUAUAUAUAUAUAUAUAUAGAGUCCGGCUACUAUGCUUUUAUAGAAAAUUUUUUUCACUAUUUAGAGUAAGAUCAGUAUAUCUGAUCUUGAAUUUAAAUCUUUUAUCAUCAUUUUUCAUGAAAUUUUUAUUUUCAGCCGUUCAAUUUUAGACUACUUGUUUGAUAGGCAAAUGAUAUUGAAAAAUUAUGAAAUUUAGUUUCUAAAUACUUUCAAUAGUGUAGAUCAAGUCUAACGGAGCCGAUCGUCGAUUUGAAAGCCGCAUCAUCGAAAACAACUUGGAUAGCACGUACGCUACCGUGCUAGCCGAUAGUAUAGUAGACCUAGUCUAUAAUAGUAGUAUAUAUAUAUUAAUGUAUAUAGAUAGCGAACUAUCUGUGCUAUCAGCAGCAUCUGCAUGUCCUUAUACUCCGAAGUUUUAUACAUACUGUAUUUUGAUGAUGGCUGAAGGUGAUAGAGAGAAGAAAAUUGGAAAAAAUAAGGGCUCUCAAUUAUCUCAUUUUUUUAAUAUCUCUAUAAUCUCUUCUCUCUCUCUUCACCCUAUCCGCACGCCAUUCAAAAUUGAUAAAUGCUAGAAACUGUAGGACACAAGGAUUGAUGUGCUCUUACUGCACGUACCUACUAUAUAUAUAAUAUAUAUAUUAUAAAUAUAAUAUAAUAGUUUUGAAAGUCAAAGUUAUUGGGCUUGUGAUAUUUGUGACGUGUGAUUAAAAGGAUGUGUGUUAGGAUGAUGUGAGACUUUCAAAGUUGAGUAGAGGUUAGUUGAAUAUAUAUUAUCUAAAACGGAUGAAAUAAUCAAAGGUGUAAAUCAUAAUGGCUAAAAAUUUAUAAGCGUAAGUGCUUGGUCUUUUACAGGGCAGAUAGCGACUAUCAUAUAAUAUAUAAUAUAUAUAUAGAAAAAGAAGAAGAUGAGAGAGAGAGAGUAAGAGAGUUAUUGGAAUGCUCUCAGUAGCAGAUAGCUUGCAUUACCACCCAUAUUGUUCGUCUGAUGAGCCUCCAUAUUGUUACAGUAAAUAAUUGAAUAAUGAUACUAGACAUUAAAAGUUUAAAACAAAUUUUCAAAUUUUUUCGAUACAUUGCCUUAAUAGAUUAAAAGGUUUCAAAUUUUCUAUUUUAAUAAUCGAUAUGAGACUAUUCUCUUUAACAAUAAAGAAUCCAAAUCGAAUAAUAUUUUGUAGAAACUUCAUUAAACCUAUUUAAAUAAAUUAUACUCUUUGAAUUUGAUUUUAAAACAUCCUGAUUAUUUAUAUUUUAAAAGAUAUAGUUUUUCAGUGUUAUUUUGUAUGCUAUUGAUAUGGAUAAGAGAACAAUAAAGAAAAAGUUAAAUUUGAUUAAGAUACUUCAAUGGUCUAGAUCAUGUUCAAGAGUGCCUGUCGUCAAUUUGGAGGACUCCAUCAUCGAAAAAAUGUGGUUCAACGAAGCCCUUUGAUACCGAUAGUAUUCAGCUCAACUAUAAUAUAUAUAUAGUUCGUGAAAACAACUUUAAGAUACAUGCUCAAUAUACUUCAUAAUAGUAUACGAAGCCNNNNNNNNNNNNNNNNNNNNNNNNNNNNNNNNNNNNNNNNNNNNNNNNNNNNNNNNNNNNNNNNNNNNNNNNNNNNNNNNNNNNNNNNNNNNNNNNNNNNNNNNNNNNNNNNNNNNNNNNNNNNNNNNNNNNNNNNNNNNNNNNNNNNNNNNNNNNNNNNNNNNNNNNNNNNNNNNNNNNNNNNNNNNNNNNNNNNNNNNNNNNNNNNNNNNNNNNNNNNNNNNNNNNNNNNNNNNNNNNNNNNNNNNNNNNNNNNNNNNNNNNNNNNNNNNNNNNNNNNNNNNNNNNNNNNNNNNNNNNNNNNNNNNNNNNNNNNNNNNNNNNNNNNNNNNNNNNNNNNNNNNNNNNNNNNNNNNNNNNNNNNNNNNNNNNNNNNNNNNNNNNNNNNNNNNNNNNNNNNNNNNNNNNNNNNNNNNNNNNNNNNNNNNNNNNNNNNNNNNNNNNNNNNNNNNNNNNNNNNNNNNNNNNNNNNNNNNNNNNNNNNNNNNNNNNNNNNNNNNNNNNNNNNNNNNNNNNNNNNNNNNNNNNNNNNNNNNNNNNNNNNNNNNNNNNNNNNNNNNNNNNNNNNNNNNNNNNNNNNNNNNNNNNNNNNNNNNNNNNNNNNNNNNNNNNNNNNNNNNNNNNNNNNNNNNNNNNNNNNNNNNNNNNNNNNNNNNNNNNNNNNNNNNNNNNNNNNNNNNNNNNNNNNNNNNNNNNNNNNNNNNNNNNNNNNNNNNNNNNNNNNNNNNNNNNNNNNNNNNNNNNNNNNNNNNNNNNNNNNNNNNNNNNNNNNNNNNNNNNNNNNNNNNNNNNNNNNNNNNNNNNNNNNNNNNNNNNNNNNNNNNNNNNNNNNNNNNNNNNNNNNNNNNNNNNNNNNNNNNNNNNNNNNNNNNNNNNNNNNNNNNNNNNNNNNNNNNNNNNNNNNNNNNNNNNNNNNNNNNNNNNNNNNNNNNNNNNNNNNNNNNNNNNNNNNNNNNNNNNNNNNNNNNNNNNNNNNNNNNNNNNNNNNNNNNNNNNNNNNNNNNNNNNNNNNNNNNNNNNNNNNNNNNNNNNNNNNNNNNNNNNNNNNNNNNNNNNNNNNNNNNNNNNNNNNNNNNNNNNNNNNNNNNNNNNNNNNNNNNNNNNNNNNNNNNNNNNNNNNNNNNNNNNNNNNNNNNNNNNNNNNNNNNNNNNNNNNNNNNNNNNNNNNNNNNNNNNNNNNNNNNNNNNNNNNNNNNNNNNNNNNNNNNNNNNNNNNNNNNNNNNNNNNNNNNNNAGAGAGAGAGAGAGAGAGAGAGAGAGAGAGAGUUGAGUUGGAAUGCUCUCAGUAGCAGAUAUGCUUCAUUACCACCCAUUUGUUUCGAUGAUAGAGCCUCCAUAUUGUUGACCAGUAUCAUUGAAUAUGAUCUAGACCACUUAAAGUAUUUAAAACUAAAUUUUCAAAUUUUUUCGAUAUCAUUGGCCUAAUGAUUAAAAGGUUUCAAAUUUUCUAAUUUUAAUAAUCGAUAUGAGACAUUUUCUCGUUUAACAAUAUAAGAUAUCCAAAUCGAAUGAAUUUUUGUUAGAAAAUUCAUUAAACCAUUUAAAAUAAGAUCUAUACUCUUAAUUUUGAUUAUAAAACUCCUAUUAUUAUUUUUUAAAAGAUAUUUAUUUUCAGCUGUUUAUUUUUGUAUCUAUUUGAUGGAUAAGAGAACAAUAACGAAAAAGUAUGAAAUUUGAUUUAUAGAUACUUUAACUGGUCUAGAUCAUGUUCAAUAGUGCCGAUCGUCAAUUUGGAGGCUCCAUCAUCGAAAAUAAAUGUGUGGCAACGAAGCCCGUUUGAUACCGAUAGUAUUCCAGCUCAACUAUAUAUAUAUAUAUCGAAAACAACUUAUGAGUACGAUGGCUCCAAUACUCAUAAUAGUAUAGUAGCCAUUGCCUAUAUAUAUAUAUAGAGAGAGAGAGAGAGAGAGAGAGAGAGAGAGUUGAGUUGGAAUGCUCUCAGUAGCAGAUAUGCUUCAUUACCACCCAUUUGUUUCGAUGAUAGAGCCUCCAUAUUGUUGACCAGUAUCAUUGAAUAUGAUCUAGACCACUUAAAGUAUUUAAAACUAAAUUUUCAAAUUUUUUCGAUAUCAUUGGCCUAAUGAUUAAAAGGUUUCAAAUUUUCUAAUUUUAAUAAUCGAUAUGAGACAUUUUCUCGUUUAACAAUAUAAGAUAUCCAAAUCGAAUGAAUUUUUGUUAGAAAAUUCAUUAAACCAUUUAAAAUAAGAUCUAUACUCUUAAUUUUGAUUAUAAAACUCCUAUUAUUAUUUUUUAAAAGAUAUUUAUUUUCAGCUGUUUAUUUUUGUAUCUAUUUGAUGGAUAAGAGAACAAUAACGAAAAAGUAUGAAAUUUGAUUUAUAGAUACUUUAACUGGUCUAGAUCAUGUUCAAUAGUGCCGAUCGUCAAUUUGGAGGCUCCAUCAUCGAAAAUAAAUGUGUGGCAACGAAGCCCGUUUGAUACCGAUAGUAUUCCAGCUCAACUAUAUAUAUAUAUAUCGAAAACAACUUAUGAGUACGAUGGCUCCAAUACUCAUAAUAGUAUAGUAGCCAUUGCCUAUAUAUAUAUAUAGAGAGAGAGAGAGAGAGAGAGAGAGAGAGAGAGAGAGAGAGAGAGAGAGAGAGAGUUCUGCUGUGGUGUUUUUGAAAGCAUCAAGCACCUGGUGCUCGUAAGUUUUUCGUCGUUAGAUCUACCCAUUUUAUAAUUUUUAUUCGUUAUAUCAUACUAUUCAAUCAACCACUUACUUAACUUUGAGUGGACCACUAUCAUUCUAAUCACACAUCUUUUAAUCUAAGGCCAAAAAUCUAUAAGUAUCAAUGACUUGAUAUUUUUAAAAGUAUAGAAGCUUAAUACACACACACAAACUAUCCACUUCUCAUAUGUUUACAUGUCUAAAUAAAUAAAAGGAUAAAUUCCAAAUUUCUCCACUGUGGUAUUGAGCAUUUUCACUUUUCCAACUUACAAUUUAAUUUUUAUUUGACUAAAAAAUUCUACCUCAAAUAAGAUGACAAAGUAAAAUUUUUGAAAAGCUAGAGAGCGGCAAAGUUAAUAAUACUCGAUCUAUAAAACACAGGGUAGUGUGGGUAACAGUUUCCUUUUUAAUUAGAAAUAUAGAGAGGAAUCAAAAUGAUAGUUUGAGAGAUUAGUGGCAAAAAUGAAAACACCCGAGUUAUUAAUUAAGGAAGUGCUAGCUAGCUAGAAUAAGCAUUUAAAAGCCAUGCAUGAACCUUCAACAAGCGGUCCCCAAAUUUUGUUUGUUUUAUAUUAUCAUUAAUAAGUCUUUCCUCGUAUCUCUAUUUGUGCUAUGAUAACACCAUCUUAGACCUCUACAGUGAUGAAAAUCAAAACUUUAAGGCUGACGUCGAUAACGAACAAGGCGCGUUUGGUUCACGUUAUAUAGUAUUAUUACAGAAUAUUUCAACACAAUUAACUGGGUAUAUGAGAUUCCUGCAUUGUUACAUUUGAUUUAAUACAGUAAUAUAAUACUAGAUUACAAUAUAUAUGAAAUUAUUAUGUUCGGUUUAUUUUAUAAAAUUUAAUAAUCCUGACAAUAAAAUAUAAUUUAUUCUACAAUUGCCCUUAUGUUAUAUUUCGCAAAAUGUAAAAUUCAAAAUACAAAAGUAAAAUUUUAAAAUUAAAAAUUUAUAAUAUGAAAUAUAAAUUUAAAAUCUAAAUUUUAGAUUUUAAAUUCAUAAUAUAAAUUUUAAAUUUUAAAUUUAAUAUUUAAAUUUUAAAAUUUUGAAAUUUGAUUAAAAUUUUAAAAUUUAAAAUAUAUAUUUUAAAUUUUAAAAAUUGAAAUUGAUAUUUACAAUUUGGCAAUUCAAAAAUUUAAAUAAAAUUUUAGAAAUGACAUAUACAAAGAGUUUGGAGGAGGGGGACGAGGGGUUGGAGGGAUAAACUUAUAAUUUUAUAUAAUAUGCAGGAUUACUUGACAUCAGUAAUAUAAGAUACUCUUCCCUAUUCAAUAAUUAUAUUACUGACCAGAUUAAAUACUGAAUGAACUAAAUACAAUAAUCUUAGCAGGAUUGUCUGUAAUCCUGUCAGGAUAGUUUGAACCAAACGCAUCCUAAAGCAAAUUUGAAAUCGAGGCCAACUUUUAAUGUUAACUGAGAGUCACACUUUAGGAUUAAUUUAUUAACAAUCCAAACUUUAACCGAUCAAACUUUAGGGAAUGAAUUCGCCAUUAACUCUAUUGGAAAACCAUCAGUUUAAAUGGUUGAAAAUGUCGAUUCAAGUGCCAAUUCACCAUCUUCUUAUACGACUUAAAUAAAUCUAGAGGCUCCUAGCCUUCUUUUGCUAUAACUAUCCGUCUUUCCCUCGCUAAUUAGGGCAAGUCAGUUAUGAACGACAGUGCUUCUGUAAACAACAUUCUUGUCACUUGCAAGAUGUUUCUUUUCGGGUACCAACCAUCAAGCUAUUUGCCACUACGGUCGGUUUUUCUAUGUGAAUGCCAGAUAAUUUCGUUAAGAUAGGCCGACCUUACAAGUUCAACACAAUAAAUCUGCGACAAUUCAAAGUACACAUUCGAGCAUAGAACUUAUAGUGUCAUGCCUAGCUCUAUUGGGAAAAAAAAAAUAUUUCCAAUCUAAUCUUUCUUUCAAAAAAUUUUCUAAUCUAGCUUUCCUUUGAUAGAUUAGAAAACAAAAGAUGACUUAAUAGCAUUUAUAUAUAUGUUGAUUAGGAGAUGGAAAUUUUUUUCUCUCUCUCCCCUUCCAAAAUUAAUAUUAAUAAUAUNAGAUGGAAAUUUUUUUCUCUCUCUCCCCUUCCAAAUUAUCAUUCAGUAAUAAUAAUAUUUAUUAUUAUUAAAUAUAAAAUUUUAAAUAUUAUUAUUAUAAAAAUUAAUUAUUUUUAAAUAUUAGAAGAUUGGGAGGAAAUAGAGAAAAAAAAUAUUUUCUGUCUCCUAAUUAACAUAUAAAUGUUAUUAAGUCAUAUUUUGUUUUCUAAUCUUAGAAAGAGAGGCUAUAUUAGAAAUAUUUUUUAAAAAAAGACUAGAUUGGAGAAAAAAAAAAAAAAUUCAAUGAGACUAAGCAUAGCAUUAGCUCUCGAGCAUAUGGAUGAAAUAUUUGGAGAUCGCCUUAACUAAACUAUGAGUUUUAACAUCCCACGUAAAUGCGCACAUUCUAUUUACCUUAUGGUUGUAGUACAUUACAUCUCUACAUAUUUGAAAGUAACGUUCUUCUAAGUUAAGAGUGUUUGUUUCAGAUGGGCAUCAUCUCUAGCCUUUUGAGGAAAAAUGUCGACCCUAAUGGGCAGAGUGUCGGACAGAACCAGGUAUCAAGUAUCAACUCAUGUCCCCUUUUUUUUUAUAUAGAAAUUAUAGCAAGACUGUAUCAAAUAAAUAAAACUGUCUAAAAUAGCCGAUAUUUCAUACCCAACUCGGACUCUAUCCAAACCGGACCCGAUAAAAAAUGUAUAGUAUACGAGUAAAAAAAUUAUCUAUUAAAAUUUCGGGUAUGGUCCGAAUUCUUUAUAUCCAUACUCGACUUGGACAGGAUCCGAACCCGACCUUUCAGUCGGUAGGGUCCGGAAGAGUUUCCAAAUACGAACCCGGGCCUGAACAUGAACCUGAUGAAAUACUCUAUUGUAAAUAAAAAAAUUUGAAGUUGAAGGAUCAAUUUAAGCAGGACUUAUAAAUGAAGGGUCUCUUUAUAUUUUUCAUUCCAGUGAAAACUCCGGUCGCUCUAUUUACUCACUUUUUUUAACUUUUUAUUUUACUCAUUGUUUUUAAUUCUAGCUGUUUAUUACUUGAAUUUUUUUUUUAAGCAAAUUUUAUUGGAUGGAUGCAACUAAUUAGAACGCGAGUUUUCUAUAGUCGGAAGUUAAUGAUUUGUCCAUAAAUUCUUUAAUAAAAUGUGUAAAAAAUAUGUACAUUCGGGUAUCCAUACCUAAUAUAGAUUUGAUCCGUAUCCGAUCCAUACCCGUCUUAAGCGGGUAGUAUACGGAUAGUCACUGCCCAGACCCGUUGAAAUAACCCCAAUGGGUAUAUUAUUAACUUAAGUGCUCAGAUCCAAACUCGAUCCGAAGUUAAAUGGAUAGAAUAUAUUUUUUUUCUAUUUAUUUUUUUUAGAGUAUGAAUAUAGUAUAUCAACUAUCCAGAUCCGACCUGACUUUCGGACAUCUUUACAGACAAAACCAUUACUAUUCUAGUAAGAAAGGCACAAUAAAACUACCCCCACCACACACACACAUAGAGGUGGCAAUCCAGCUCGUUGUUCGCGAGCUGGCUCGUGUUGAGCUCGAAAUCAGUUCGAGAUAAAGUCGCUUGUUUAGUAAACGAGUCAAAUACGAGCUGAAUUGUUUAGCUUGUUUAAUAAACAAGCCGAACACGAGAUGGGGUUAGCUUGCUUGUGUUCGGCUCAAUAAUAGCUCAAAUACAUAUAUUUUAUAUUUAUAUAAUUUAUAUUUAUAUAAAUAAAUAAAUAAUUAUAUAUAUAAUAUAAAUUUUUAUUAUUUAAUUUUUAGUCUAACCUAAAUAUAAAAACUAACUCAAUUAUAAAAAUGUCCGGUGUAUAUGUAAACAAGUUUCAACNAAGUCUAAUGAAUAAGAUUUUAUAAAUUUAUUUUUUAUACAUAUUCAAUCUAAUCCGUUUUAACUUAUUGUUCGUCGGCCAGCUCAUAAGCCAGCUCGUGUUCGGGCCGAACACGAGCUGAAUUUUUCGGCUCAAUACUUUAUCAAGCUAGCUCGUGUUCGGCUCGUUUAUUAAACAAGCCGAACAAGAGCCGGACCUAACUCGCUCGUGUUCAGCUUGUUUACACCCCUACACACACAUCCAAAUAGGUGCCCACAUAGUAAUAAAGUAACCCAACACUGCAACCAAUAAAGUAGAGCACAAAAGCAAUUUCAAAAUUGAAGCGUUGAAGAAGAAUGAGAUAUUGAGAGCAAAAAUCUUAAUUAACAAUGCGAGUUAAUAAAUAUUAAUUGAAGCAAUCAACCUAAGCCAGCUUUCUAGGUGUUAGCAAUGUGGAGAAAAUCUUUGGAUGUUGGAUUUAAAAUAUGGAACAAACAUCAUAUCACAGUACAGCAAAAAAAAAAAAAAAAAAAGAAAAAGAAAAAAAAGAACAAGAAGAUAUGCUAGAGGCAUCUGUUUAUCACCAAAUAGUUUAGAUAAAAAUCUAACUACAAACGAAAUCUAACCCGUAUUGCAACCUAAGGCACCGUUUGGUUAGGAGAUAAGAAUAGGAAUAGGCCCUUAUCCCCCCUUUAUAUUCAAACACUAAUUUUUUUUUCGAAAAUAGUAAUUCUCGGUUAUCCCCACCAACACCUCUAUUUUUUAUAUAAAACUAUCUAAAAUUGUUCUUAUCUCCGGGAACAACCCAAUUUUCAUCUAAACGCUAUUUUUUUUAUCCCCAUACUUGUAUCUAUUCCUGUAAUAGCUAGUUUUUGCUUAUACUCGAACCAAACGGUAUCUUAAGAAAGAAGAUGGAAGGAGUUGACUAUCUAUAACAAAUUACUUAACAGCUCCUUGAAUUCUGCGUCAUUCCUCAGCAAUUAAUGCUAGCUGCUGGUCUUUUUAGAAUAGAUUGAAAUUAUAAUUUGUGCAUGGUUUCAUUAAUAGCUUUAACUUCUCUGACUUCACUUCUCCGUGAACAAAUCGAUCUGUAAGAUUGAUAUCGAACUAUCUUCUCCGGCGGUUAAUUCAACGACGACGGCUGAAGCUGAACCCAAUAACUCUGAGUCUUCCAGAAACGGGCGAUCUGAGAUCACAAAUGAGGAAACUAACAUAUGCAGGAUUUUCAAAGUUCAGGAUCUAAUUAGCGACGAGAACAUUGUCCAAUCCUUCAAGCCGAAAAUUCUAUCCAUCGGUCCUUAUCACCACGGAUCUUCUUCUUCACAUUUAGAAGUCACGGAGUCGGUGAAGUUGCGUUGUCAACGUAACAUCCUCGGUUCGAUUAGCGAGGACAGCUACGACGGAUGCAGAAUCACGACACGAGCAAAAGACUUUUACAGCGAGAAGUACAUCACAAUGGGAGAAGAGAAUUUUGCGAGGAUGCUCUUGCGCGACGGAUGCUUCAUUCUUGCUGCUCUCGGACUGAUGCGAGGUGAUCUUACCCAGCUCGAAUUCGAAGCGUUGCCUUGGCAUGAUGUAGUGCAUGACCUACUUCUGGUAGAGAAUCAAAUUCCUUUUCUCGUCCUCGAGGAAAUACGUAUGCUAGCUGCACCUAUACCAGGAGAAACAACAGAAUCACUUAAAGAAAAGAUUGCGGCAUCUGUGAAAGUCGAGCUACAACACUACACAAAUGCGAUCGAUAUCCGUGAGAUCCAUUCGAAAGAUUUUCACCAUCUGCUGCACUUGUGCCAUAUGUUCUUUCGACCUAGUCAAAUUGCAGUGGAGCACCAUCGCGCUCGAGCAGUGACGAACCUGCAGUGGCACCGAGCAGUGCAGUACCAUGAAGCGGGAGUCGAAUUCAGAGCGAAGGACCCUUCGACUCCCCAUUCUCUUUUGGACGUAACAUUCAGCAACGGAGUAAUGGAAAUUCCACGACUGUCUAUCGACGGGCAGACAGAAUCUCUCUUCAAAAACCUUAUCAUGUUUGAGCUGGGAUGCCCUCAGGUAGGGAAAUAUAUGAAUGCGUACAUCAUAUUCAUGUCGCAGCUGCUCAGCAAACCCGAUGAUGUUGAAUUACUUGCUCAGAGAGGAAUCAUUGAGAUACUCGGUCGUGCGGACGAGGUUUUACGUAUCUUCGGCAGGCUUAACGAAUUGGCUAUUUUGCCCUGUUGGGACGACUAUUAUUUAAAAUCUACGCUUCGGUCGGUGGGAGCGCACUACAAUCGCCGUUCGAACUGGUGGUUCGCGUGGUUGAAGCACAAGCACUGCAAAAAUCCAUUCUUGGCCUUAGCAGCAUUAGGAGCUUUUAUAGUUCUUCUGUGUACUGUAAUUCAAGCAUUGUUUUCUGUUUUGCAAUAUUUCACACCGACAAAGUAAUCAUCUUCGUGGAUAUGCAGCUUCAUAGAGUACAUUUGUUUCUUCAAUCCGGUCUACGUACCCGGCCCGCCUUAAUUUGUUUUGAAUAUAUGAUCUAUUUUCUACUUGCAUUCAUCAAUGUUAACAUUUGUUUCUUCAAUCCGGUUUACGUACGUACUCGGCCCGCCUUAAUUUGUUUUGAAUAUAUGAUCUAUUUUCUACUUGCAUUCAUCAAUGUCAUAUAUGCAUGCAUGUGUUAGCUACUAAGUACUAAUGUCUAACAAUCGAUCGUUUCAUUAGAAACUUACAUUCAUGGAAGAUCAUAUUUGAUUUUUGUGGAAUUAUAUUGUAUUAGCUCUUUACAUUAAUUCUUGGAAGAUCAUAUUUACUUAUAGAUUUUAGUGCUCAAUAAAUAGGUUUAAUUUAUAUAUGCGAGCUGUUUCUUGUAACCCAGUCAUUCAUACUGAGUGUGCUGGCCAACAUAAUCGUAAUAGUACGAUAUAUUUUAGUGAUAGUGGAACCGACGCAAAUUAAUUUCUUGCCUUCAGGUUUUGAACUGAAUUAGCGCAUUCCUGUCAUCUGAUUCACGGGAUAAAACUUUAUUGAGAAGCUCUCCAACGAGGCUUUGUAGGAAAUCCGCCAUCUGUUAUGUAUUAGCUUUGUCUCCAUCCAAUCACUUUCUUUUUUAAUAUAUAUUAAAAUCCCCAAAACAAAAAAUUUAAACUCUAGAGGGAAGGGUUAUAAUGCUUGGAUAGAGAUAAAAUGACACCUAGCACCGGAUUAGAAAAUUUCUAUCUAUGUAAUUAUCCAUUUUGCACUUUUUCUUCAUGACUUUCAAAAAUCUAUAAUUUGCCUUUUAAAAUUUCAAAAAUAUUUUCAAGGGGGUACGACGUUAACAUAGAGAGCAAAAUGACCAAACUAAUCUUACUUCUUCUAUAAAAAAAGAAUAAUUUUUUAAUAUUAAUUUUUUAUCAUUUUGAAGGACAUUUUCAAUAUAAAUUAUAAGAAAUUAACGGAAUAGUAAUGGAACCUUGAUGGAGGAGGACUAAAUGUAACAACCUAAAAUACUGAGGGAGUAAAAUGUACGUAGGUUUUUAAAAGUUAGAGAGAAAGUUAAAAAGUGAGUAUUUAUAGGAGAAUUUUUUAUAAUUUAGCCUUUAAAUAAUUAUCAUCCUAACUAAAGUUAAAAAUAGUCUUAAUUAAGAGGGCAUAAUUUUGACCAUAUAAAAAAACAAUCAAUUUACUCCUAUUUUCUUAUCUCUAAUUUGAGCACAUUGUCCGACUUUUUCAUAAAAUAAUUAACCCUGUAAAAAUUUGAAAUUUACAAAAUGAUCCUUUCAAAAUUUUAUUUGAAAAACUAACCCUCAUUUCGUCACGUCGGCACCAUGUCAGAAUUUUUUUUAAAGACGGUGAAUAGUUCUACGCUUUCUCUCAAUUCUUUUAAAGGCAGUGAAUCAUUCCCCGCUUUCUCCCGUUUCUUUUAAAGGCGGUAAAUCGUUCACCGCAUUCAUUGAAAUUGUGCGUGGAUUAUAUAAAAAAUAAAAAAAAAGUGAGGUUGUUAGGAUUAUAUGUGGAUCAUUAGAAUUUUUAUUUGAUUAUUAGAAUUGUAUGGAUAGAUUAUUAGAAUUUUUAGGCUGUUAAGAUUAUAUAAAAUUAUAUGGAUAAAUUAUUAAGAUUUAAAGGUUGUUAAGAUUAUAUGUGAUUUGUUAAAAUUUUUAUUUAGUUGUUAGGAUUAUAUAUAGAAUACAGAAAGAAACAGUAAAUAAGUAUGUCAAUGAUUCACCAUUUUUAAAAGAAAUGAAAAAAAAGGACAAAUAAUUUACCACCUUUAAAAGAAAUAGGAGAAAGUAAGAAACGAUUCACCGCUUUUAAAAUAAAUUCUGACGUGGCGUUGAUGUGGCGAAAGAAUGAUUAAUUUUUAAAAUAAAAUUUUGAAAGGAUUAUUUAUAAAAAAGCCCACACUGUCAGCUCUCUUUUGGAAGUUCAAACAAAAAAUGAGAUAAAUUUUUUAGCCUGUUCCAAAUAUAAUAUGUAUAAUUGGCAACACGGAAAUAAAAUCAUAACCAAACAUUAUCACCUUAGUCUUGGCUACUUUUGUAUGUAUGCCCCUACAGAAUAGAACAAGUUCUUCGAUAAUUACAAUGGCACAAAUAAUCAUCACUUGAUACUUCAAAAUCAGUAAACCAAUAUAUAUUUUCGCACUGAUAUAUCACGUCCAGAUUGUCAAAGAUAAGAUCAAAUUAUUAGUUAAAUAUAUUUUUUGUUAUGUAAAAGGUAUAAAGGAUUGACUUCUAGAUUGUUAAUAAGUUUGAAAUUUGAUUUUUUUUUUCUUUAUUUUUUUUUCUAAUUUGGCAUUGCUGCAAAGCUCAAAAUACGCUUCUUUCUCCAGUACUGUUGGAUAUGCAAGAUACCAUUUAUUUAACCAAGUUGAAACAAAAGGAACACAUCUCUUGGAUUCUUCAACAACACAUACGAUCGAUAAAACACGCACACGAAACACUACGGUAUCCAUAGAUGCAUGCCCUCUCUCGCGCUCAGACAUGCACGCAUGCAUGCAUGCAGGGGCUUACGGAGAAGCUGCAGUGGUGUUAAGUCCGGAAAGCCGCGGAAGUGGCGGAAGACGCGGAAGUGGUGGAAGACGAAGUCUAGGCAACCCGAGUGGUCCCUUUUCAUCCUCAACGUAGGUGAUAUUGCCACCUUUCCCUGAUCAUAGUGAAGGAAAAUGAAUCUACAUGAGAUAUAGAGUGAAGUAUAUAUAUAUAGGGCUAGAAAGUAGCAAACGGACUCCGUUACCAUCUAUUUGUUUUCGAUGAUGAAGCCUCUGAAUUGACGAUCUGUACCGUUGAACGUGAUCUAUACCACUUGAAGCAUCUAGAAAUCAAAUUUGAUACUUUUUCGAUAUUGUUUUCUUGUCCAUUAAGUGGACACAAAAAUGAACGGUUGCAAAUAAAUAUUCUUUAAAAAAUAAUAAUAGGAGUCUUGUAAUCAAGAUUAAGAGUAUAUAUCUUGUUCUAAAUAGUUUAAAGAAUUUUUUAACAAAAAAUUCAAUUGAUUUGGAUAUCUUUACGCAGUUAAACGAGAAAACGUCUCAUAUCGACCAUUAAAAUUAUAAAUUUUGAAAUUCUUUGAUCAUUAGGUAAAUGAUAUCGAAAAGAUUUGAAAUUUGAUUUCUAAAUACUUUAACUAAUAUAGAUCAUGUUCAACGAUGCCGAUCGUCGAUUUGGAGGCUCUAUCUUCAAAAACAAAUGAAUGACAAUAGAGCCUGUUUGCUAUCGAUACGUAUUUCUAGCUCAACUCUAUAUAUAUAUAUAUAUAUAUAUAUAUAUAUAUAGGAGAGAGGAGAGAGAGAAGGAGAGAGAGAGAGAGAAGAGACGAGAGAGAGAGACGAAGAGUAGAGAGAGAGAUCUAGUUUGUCGCGAGUAUAUAAUAUAUGAUUCCAGCAUUGAUUGACGAUAUAGUUCGAUAUCAUCAAUCUAUACAUAAAUAAAAGGCGAAACCCUCACUAGGCCACACUGUUGCUUUCUCACGACCCUCCCCCCCCCCUUCUCAAGCUUGCUGAGGGGGGGCGGCUUCUCUCACACACACAAGCCAACAGCACCUUCUUGGCUUCUCGAUCCCGAAGUCUCUCUCCUCUCUCUCGCUGGUGCGCCUGGAGAGGGGACUGGCGCACAUGCCUCCCCCCCCCGGCUCUCUCUCUCUCUCUGCUGCCCCGUCCCUCUCUUGUCUCGUCUUCUCUCGUCGCUCUCUCUCUCUCUCAUCUCUUCUCUGACCGUGCCCCCAGGCGAGAGGGACCCGCGCACCAUGGCAGGGCCCCCCGCGUUGUCUCUCCUCUCUCUCUGAGCUCUCGCUCCCUCCUCCCGCUGCCUCCUCCCACUCGUACUAUGGCCACGUGGCCCGUCCCCGUCCGACUCUCUCGGCUCUGCUCUCCGCAGUCCUCUCGACCCUUAACACAUCUUCCGCGUGGACGUGGGCACCGACGACAGAAUCUCCCUCAUAUCAUCUCUCGCUCUCGUCUCCUCGCCUCUCUCUGCGGCGCGCCAGGAACGCUUCACGCGUGGAGGAGGCGCGCGCCGGGUCUGCGGUGUCGCCCCAUGUCAGACCAUGGCAAGGCGUCCCCACAGCCCCUACCGGUUCUGUCUCUCUCUUCUACGUGUCAUCCCCGCUUUAACGAACCAACCACCCGAAAACCCCCCUCGAAUCCUUCCCACACGCGCCCCCCUACCCCGGAUCUCUCGCUCCCCCCCGCGUCCCCGCGCCGGCCUGGCCGGCGACCCCCCCCGCGCGUUACCCCGCGCACCCUGUACCUGGCCCUGUCUGUUUCGCCUCGGUCCUCCUCACCCCCCCAGCCCCGGCUCUCUCGUCUUCCACCAUUUUCCUGCUCCCCCUCACGAGGGGCAGGGCGAGGCGCGAGGGGGGGCGGCGCGAGCGGGCGGCGGCGCGCAGGCGGGAUCAACGUGGUCUGGCGCGCGGCACCGGCGCGGGCGGCAGGGGGCAGGCACGGAGCGCGGGGCUCGGCGCGGGCGGGCCGAAGACGGCUGCGGCAGCAGGGCAGAGCGAGCGUCGCGGGGAAUAGGCGCGUGGGCGUGUGCGGGGGCGUGCGGGGGCCGUGCGGGCGAGCGGUGGCAUGCGGGGGGCCCAGUGCGGGACCCAGCAGGGGAGAGGGAGAAAGAAUUUUUUUCCCCUCUGCUCUUCAUUUCUUUUUCUUUUUUUUUUUCUCGUCUGCCCUUUUUCCUUCAAAUUUUUUAUUUUAACUGCCGGGCCCGGCCAAACCCUGCGACCAAGGGCCGGAGCCCUAACCGCUUGGCGCUCUGCGCACAUUCAGCAGUCUCAUCGUUGACGGCUCGCGUGAGCGUCUGGCGCCGGAACAUCACGGGGCUCCUGCAUGCGGUCCACGCACGCGGGCGGCCCUCAUGUGGACGCGCUGAGGGAGACGGGGUACGUUGGACGCCCUCUCUCCCUCUUUGUUGCUCAAUUUAUAUAUAUAUAAUAAUAUAUGAUCAUAAAUAUAUAAGGUCGCAUCUGCCUGCCCCGCCCGCUGGAGGGUUCCGCGGCCACCCAGAGCUCCGUUCGUGGUUAUAAUAUAUAUAUAUUAUAUAUAUAUAUAUAUACAUACCCAAUUUUGAAUUUUUUCACGAUAAUUUUAAAUUUUAAAUUUAAUUUUAAAAUUUAAAAGUUGAAAUUUAGAAUUUAACAUCAAAUUUAAAUUUGAAAAUUUAAAAAUAUCAAAUUUAAAAUUUAAAACUAUAAUUUUAGUUUUGAAAUAAUAAAUUAUAAAUAUUUUAGUUUUAAAUAUUCAAAUUGUAAAAUUUAAAUUUAAAUUUUAAAAUUUAUUAUAAAAGGGGGGAGAGAGAGGAAAAAGAUGGAUAUAACAUUGUUCCACAUAGGGAUGGGAACUAGGAAUAGCUAUUCUCACUCUUAAAAAUUAGUGUUUGGGCAUGUUUGGGGGCUUCAAUAUUAAUGUUCUUCGCGGGCCCAGCUGUGGAUUCUUUUGUAAAAGGAGAAAACGGUGUUCACAUGAAUGAACCUGUUUUCGUUUUCGACCUUAGAAUCUAAUUAGUUACUUUCAUAAUCAUAUAUUUAUAUAUAUGUAUACGCGCGCCCGCGCACACACACACACACAUAUAAACAGUACACAUAUUUCAAAAUUUUAAGUGACGAUAUACAUGUUCAGAAAUUUAAUGAUAAAAGCCAGAAAGUAAACACAGUAAAUUAGAAGUAACGAUAUACAUGCUUGAAAAUUUAAGGCAAAAAAAACUUGGUCAAAUGCUCACUCAGAUAGUCAAAACAUCUUCAUUCUUUUCAUAGCAUAGCCAAAACGUUUUUUCCCCCUUUUAGUAAGAUUUUAUCUAUUUUUUCCAACUUUGUCAAAGAAAUGUUGUAUUUUAUAAACUAAUUAAGGAAUAAUCAUAACAAACAAUAGUAUGAAUUAUAUUAUAACUGCGUAUGGGAAAAGAGGAGGAGGCAGUUGAGGACAGGCAAAACUACCCAUAAGCAUAGAGCAGUAGUAGGAACAGCAGGAAACCGCAAGGGGAGAAAGUGUGCAGGGGAAAAAACGCAGCAAUGACAGAACAUAGUUUGGCGAAUAGUAGAUUACCAUUAAUUAAUCUAUUUGCUUUCUUUUAAAUUACAAUCUUGAUUAUUUAUGUUAUGCAGGCGCGGUCACGCCCGAGCGGGAGCAGGCGCAAGCGAGCAGGAGCGGGAGCGGGAGCGGGCGCGGGUGCGGGGCAGGUGCGGACGCUGCGCCCGCGCAUGAGCGUAGGGAAAGGAGUUUGGUGGAGAUAUUUUUUUUCCCCUUCUCUCUCUUUACAUAUAGAGAAGAGGAUUUUAGGGUUUUUUUUAAUUUUAAUUUAAUUUUGACUUUAAUUUAAGGUAUUUAAAUUUAGAUAUUUAAUUUGUAAUUAUAGAUUUUGAAUUAGAAAUUGNUAUAUGAUUUUAGUUUCUGAAUUGUAGAUUUUAAAUUUUAUAUUCAAAUUAUAAAGUUUAAAAUUUUAAAAAUUAUAUAUAUUAAUUUACUAAAUAUAUCAUGGAAUGUCAAAUUACCUAACUGAAUUCCUGAAAAUUCAAAAUUACAGCGAGUUAUUCGAUGCAUAUAAAAGUUUAGAAUUAGAAAGAUUAGGAAUAAACAAAACUCUAACUAAAAUCAUAUAUUCAAAAUAUACAAAUUGAAUUAAGAUAAAAUGUAUUUUUUAAAAUUUAAAUGUUCAAAAUGUUAAUUUCAAAUUUUAGAAUUUAAACAAAUGGGUGCUAAAAAUUUUUAAUUUUAAAUAAAUUGUAUAAAUUUCCCGCCGCGAAGCGCGGGCCUACACUAGUAAUAAUAAUGAUUCAAUGGUGAAAAUGCGGAUAGUAUAUAUAUUAAUAGUAUUACAGCUAAAGAGAGAGAGAGAGAGAGAUUUUUUAGAAACAUUUAUUAUAAACAAUUGAGUCGUCUUUUGUUUUUAAAGAGGAAUAUUUAAUCAAAGAAAAAUCAUUAUUGUGUACUCAAAAAAGGGUGUAGAUCUUACACAUCAUCUAAAUAUAGAUAAAAAUUCGAAUGAGUUUUAGUAUAAAAAAAAAAUUGAUGUGGUAAAUAAAAAAUUAAUGGUUCUUGAAUGGUAUAAGUGUAAGAUAUAUAUACACCCCACGUUGCAGUGUACCAAUAACAUUACUUUUUGGUUAGACAUCUUUGUUAUAACUGAAACUAAUGGAUUAUACUUUUUAUAUUUAACAGUUUAAUUGUCGCUGAAAUAACUAGAUUUUAAUUUUAUAAUGUAAGCACUAUUUUCGAAGGAGAUUGUAGUGAUCAUUAUUAUAAUUCAAGUUUUUAAUGGUGAUCAAAGACUGUUUUUAUAAUGUUCUUUAAUGGGUUUUGUUUAAAAUUUGGUGGCAAUAGUAAUUGUGUGAAAGCACUUUAUAGUUAAAUUAAAUAUACCGAGCUAGACUCCUAUACUUUCGAAAGUAUAUAGACCUCCGUACUUGUAAGUUGUUUUCGAUGAUAGGACGUCCGAUUUGGCGAUCGAUUUUAUUAGAUAUGAUCUAUGCCAUUGGAACUAUCUAGAAACCAAAUUUCAUAACUUUUUGACUUAGUUUGCCUAGUGAACGAGUAGCCUCAAAAUGAAUGGCUGAAAAUGAAAAUCUCAUAAAAAAUAGUGAUAAAGAAUUCAAAUUUUAAAUCAGAAAUAUUGUUCUUGCUCCCGAUGUUACGUAGAAUUUUCUAUUAAAGUUUCAUGUAAUUUGAAUACUUCUACACCGUUGAACUUAAAAACGUGCCACAUCAACCAUUAAAAUAGUUAUUUUCGAGACCAUAUGAUCAUUUGGUAAAUGAUGUCGAAAAAUUAUAAAAUUUGGUUUCUAAAGUUCCAAUAGCAUAGAUUCCAUUAGACAUGAUCUACACUAUUAUAACUAUCUAGAAAUCAAAUUUCAUAACUUUUUGACUUAGUUUGCCUAAUGAACGAGUAACUUCAAAAUGAACGACUGAAAAUAAAAAUCUCACAAAAAACAGUAAUAAAGAACUCAAAUUUUAAAUCAGAAAUAUUGUUCUUUUUUCUGAUGUUAUGUAGAAUUUUCGAUUAAAGUUUUAUGUAAUUUGGAUACUUCUACACCGUUGAACUUAAAAACGUGCCACAUCGACCAUUAUCAUUUUUGAGACCCUGUGAUCAUUUGGUAAAUGAUGUCGAAAAAUUAUAAAAUUUAGUUUCUAGAUAGUUCCAAUAGCAUAGAUUAUACCUAAUAGGACCGAUUGUCGAAUCGAAUAUUCUAUCAUCAAAAACAACUUACAAGUACGGAAGCCUCCAUACUUUCGAAAGCACGGAAGAUGUACUCAUAUAUACCUUAUAAUGACACUUGUAAUUAUUGGUAUAGUAUUUAUAUUUUAGGGGCAUUUAUUUUUAUCUUUACCGGCUAUCCGAAUAAAAGCCACUAAAAUCUUUUCCGACCCUGCCUAGAGCGGCAAUUAUAUCCAUUGUUAGUAAACGAAUUGGUGGCGAAUACAAAUGCUGGAAUACAAAUGCUGCUAAUUUAUAAAGUAAUCGCCACUAAAAGUUAAUUUUGUUAUAGUUAAAGCUAAAAACAAGGGAUGUAUUGGAUCAAGAGAAAAUGCCAUUGUGAUGCAUGAAUUAAUUGCAAAUAGCUAUACUUUAAAACUAGGAGUGGAAAUAUAAAUUUUUAAAAUUGAGAUAUCUGUUUUGCAAAUAGCCCAGCAUUUAGAUAACUAUUUAGAUAACCUUCAAAUUAAGGAAAUAAAUGUUAAAUAAGUGAUUACUCUUAAAAUUAACUUAUUAGAUAUUGGUGCUUUGGUCAUUUAUAUUUAACACUUCAUCUUAUGUCUAGGUUCAAAAAAUUUGAUUGGUCUAGAACAUAGGCGUAAAUUAAAUAGAAUGAGGUGAUUUGAACUCAAAAUCUCAUACUUUAAUGUUUUUUCGUUCAAUUUCAUUUUAAAGAAAACAAUCUUUUAUGGAAAAAAACUAGUGUUUUUUUUUUCCUAAUAAUACAGAAAUAUAAAAAUGCUAGUUUUCCGUGAAUAUAAAUUAAAGAUUUUCAAAAAUAUAAUACUUGUUUUUUCUACAAAUCAAAUACUCGAAAAAUUAGAAAAUGAGUUUUCGAUGAAAAAUUUUAUUCUUCGAAAACGUUUUUCAACAUUUUUCCGAGAAACCAAAUAGCCCCUAAGAUCAUAAUGAUAUUUUGUGUACGCUAAAUUACAGAAACUUCCUUACAAAUACUCACUUUGUUACUUUUUCUUUUUAACUUUUAAAAAUCUAUAUUUUACCCCUUAAUAUUUCAAAUUGGUUCCAUCACUAUUCCAGCAAUUUUUUAUAAUUUAUACCGAAAAAACUCUUCAAAAAUUAUUUUGCCUUGUCCAUUAACGCCGUACCCAACUAAAAAUAUUUUUGAAAUUUUAAGUGAGAGAAAUGUAAGUUUUCGAAAGUCAGAAAAAAAUAUAUAUAUAUUUAUAUAAGAGUUUUCUGUAAUUCAGCAUUUGUUUAUUUGUAUCACAAAACAAGGGCACGAAGAGAGUCACCGACCGGUAGUUGUGGUUGUCACAUUUGAUUUUUCCUCGGGGGCCGCCGGAGAGGCGAAGGGGACUUGCCGUGCCGCGGCCCCGGCGGCAAACACGCCGGCGACGAGCAGCAGGACGGCGAAGGUGAGGAAGGCAGCAGCUUUGGAAGCCAUCGUUGUUAACCCCAGUUCGUAACUUCCUUCCCCCUUCGGCUCAAGUUAAGUGUUUAUUUUUUAGCAUGAAAUUAUGCCUGCCGUGGUGCACAAUUUAUAGGGGGCAAUCAGCUUGGUGAAGCAAAAGCCUACACGUAGCCAGUGGAGCGUUUGGUACGUAAAUUAAUCCAAAUAUGUAUGUUAAAGAGAUUGAGACUAGAGCUACUAUAUUCUUAUGAAUAUAAAUUUUUUUCUAUUAAUAAAUUUUCGGUCGUUAGAUAGAAAAAUGUGCGAUUAGAAUAAUAGUGGCCUCAGAUUAGGAUGGUAGUGGUCCUAUAUUAGGAUUGAGUUGGUUGUCGGUUGAAUAAUAUGAUCUAACGGAUGGAAAUAAUCAAAGCAGUAAAUCUAACGGCCGAAAACUUAGGAGUACGAAGAGGUCUUUACUCAUAAGAGUACAGUAGCCAGACUCAAGAAAUCGAAACAAUUAAUAAAGGAGUGCUUUUGUUUCAUUCAUUAACUAAGUACUUAAUUUGUACCUAUUGGCUCUUAUAUAUAUAUUUGGGUUAAUUACAUACAGAUUCCUACAAACAUAGUAAAAUACAAAUAUACAUUCCUACAAAGUUCAAUUUUCAUAUGUUAUUUCUGUAAAAGUUCUAAUAUUUCAAAUAUGUCCCCGCCGUUAGGAUCCGUUAGAAAAAUUUUGUUAACUAUAGAUAUAAUACUUAACCCUGGUUAGUCAAUGACACAAAUUGAUAUUUUUACCCCUCUUAUUUUAUAUUUUCUUCUCUCAAUUAAAAUCAUAGCAAUAGAAACUCUUCUUCCUCCUCCUGCUCUUCCUCUUUCUCUCUCCUUCAUGCUAGUUUCGAAUAUGUAAUUUGAAUUUCUCUAUCCCCAUUCAUCCACAUCAAAUGCGUGUUGCUCCUCUCAGUUUUUUCUAUGAUUUUUUCUUAUUUUUCUUAAAAAAAAAUUUAGGAGAAAAAGAGAGAGAAGAUAUUGCAACAAUGGUGGAUUGAUGUUAGGUUUUAAAAAGGAAGAAGAUGAGGAAAAGAUAACUAUUGAAAAUUUUUUGGGGAGAUAUUUUUGCACGAUUAUAAUAGUUGAGGCUUUUGAAGGGACAUAUUUGUCAUGAUAAAAUUGGCAUUUUACUUAUAUGCUGUUAAAAAAUAAAAAAAAUUUUAACGGUAACUAAUUAGAAUGACAUAUUUAAAAUUAUUAGGACUUUUAUGGUAACAACAUAUAAAAGUUGAACUUUAUAUAAAUAUAUUUUUUAAUUCACUAUAUUUACAAGGAUCUGUAUACAAUUUACCUUAUAUAUUUUGUGCAAUCUAUAAUUGUUACACGGAGGAACUUACGCGAUUGAUCUCGCCUUAGGGUACCGUAGAAGAUGGACUGGAAGAUUCGGCUGAAAUAAAGCUAACUGAGGAUCCUUUUUGAUGCAAUUUGUACAAAAGUUAAAAAACAAUCACAAAUUUAUACUCGGAUGUCUGUUUUGAACAUGUUAGAUAUGUCUCGAAUUUUGAAACCGUAAAAUUUUUUAACUUUAUUCUAUUUUGAUUAUCAUCCAUUAAGUUAAGUUUUUGCAGGUUUAAUAGUAUUAGAAUUUAGCUAUAUUAUAAAUAUAUACUUUAUUUCAUUAAUUUGGUGUGGUAAAUGAUAAAGAGUAUAGGUGUAAUUUUUCAAAACUAUUGUUCUGUGGGAGGGACAUAUACAUAUUUUAUACUUCAAUUUGUUCAUAAUAAACUCUUCACUUAGUUUUUAUUUCAUCUUCGCUCGUGAAUGUAGGCCGAUGAUCGAACCACAUAAACAUCUGAAUGCUUUACUUUUGUUCCUUCCUUUGCGAUUCUAUUUUGAUAUUUUUGCGCCUAACAAAAUAAAUCUUUUCCACUUUUGUCAUUAAUAAAUUGAUAUUAAAGAAAAUCUGGUAUAAAUAAAAGUUGCUGAUUUCUAUCAAAACAUGCAACUCCAGUUGCAAAAUAUUUUUCUAGUAUAUAGUUUUUGGGCACAAAUUCUAUUGUCUCAGUCUCCAAUACAUCAGUUUAAUUUACUUUUUUUUUAGUUUUUGGGUACCAACCACCAAUCCCCUGUCCACUUGCUCUAGAGACGGUCGGUAAAAAAAAAAUUGGUUCAUUAUUUUUGAAUUUUUAAAAUAGCAACUCUUACUUAAAAUUAAAUAAAAUUCUUAUCCAACAGGAUACACAUGAACUAACAAAUUAGCUGUUUCGCAAAAAAGUCAAUGAGAUAGGAUGCAAUUGGAUGUACACUUCCCACUUUAUUUGAUACAGUAAUAAAUAGGAAGUGACUAGAUGCAAUAUAGUCAUGUACAUCUAGUUUGUUGCACCUGUUUAAUUUGUUUAAUGUGGAGUAAAUGGAGUUUGGUUUAAUAACAAACACCCACCAACAUUUAUUAUCACUAUAUAUCUUCAUAACCAACCGUCCCUAGAGCAAGUGGCAAAGGGUUUGGUGGUUGGUAUCCGAGACCCAAGUUCGAAUCCUAGUUGAUUCACAUUUCUAGCUAAGUUUAUUUCUGAAUGAAAUAAACGAAGCGGGUAGCAUGCUACCUAUCUCUCAAAAAAAAUAAUUAAGAUAAUUCAUUUAAAGUUACUUACUAGAUCAAUUUUUUGGGUAACUUUAUGAGAAAAUUUUCUCCACAAACUUCAAGAACACUACAACAAAAACGGUCUAUAGCGACACUUUUAAAUGUAGGUACAUGUCAAAAAAGUGCUGCUAGCUAAAAUUACCGACACUUUUAAAAAAUGUUGCUAUAUGCGGGGUCGCUAGUUAUAUAGUGACAGUUAAAAAGUGUCGCUAUGACCUAAAAAAGUGCUGCUAAUUUACCAACACUUAUUUAAGCAUUUAGCAACCGCCGAAACUCCAUCUCGUUGGCUGCGGUGGCGGAGGAGGACGACAGGAAAGGCUCUUCGUCUAAAAUUUCAGUGGAUUGAGUGAAGAGAGAAGAAAAGAUGGUAAUUGAUUUUUCUUUUUUUUUUCUUUUCUGUUUGUAAUCGGGCCAAAUGGACUGGGUGUGGUGGGUUGAGUAGAGUAAUCUUUUAUUUUUGAUUGAUUAGGCUUUAUAUUUAGGCAUUAGUAAAUAUUUUUUUAAGUUUUAGUAUAAAUGGAACACUUACUCAAAAGUGUCCCAAACAUAUGUCCCUAUAACUUAAUUCUGUUGUAGUGGAAGAAGCAAGAAGAAGCAAAGCUCUCUACUGGAACUACAGGUCUGUUCAUUAUUGAGGGUUAUCUAAUGUUUGUUAGGCAAAGAAAAUUUAAUUGGGACAUAUUAAGCAUAUACAAAUAUGCUUCUCUACGUAUAAUAGGAUCAAAAAAAUUAUUUCGUAACUACUUUACAAUUUUUUUUAGGCAGAAACAAAAUAUUUUUCUAUUACACUUUCUCACUAUAUAUACCACAUUCUAACUAUAAUAUGAAAGAGACCUAAAUUUGGUUGGCUCUAAAAUAUACUGAAAAUUAGUUUUCAAUUUGAGAAAAAUAUGGGGUGUUUUUGUUUUCUGGCGAUCGACAAAAAAUGAAAAUUAAAGCUACAUAAUUUAUUUUUUUUUCUACCGAACCAAAUAAAUGUGAAUUUUUUUUCUUGUUAUCGAACAAAAUAUUGAUGGAAAACUACUCUCUUCGCCGAACCCAGACUAAAGUCCCGGUAAAAACUUGCCGUGAAGCACAUGAAAUUGUUUCGGGUUGGGCUCCGGCUUCGGGUUGGGCUUGGAAUAGCUCGAUCCGAACCCGAUUGCUAUCCUAAGAAUUGCUAAUAGCUCUUUAAGGUUGAAGAAUUAGGUUGGAAAAUCUUUGUUUGUUAGAUGACUUUCGCAAUUGCAGCAUCUUUCCCGAAGCAUGUUUUGAAGCUCAGCUACAACUAGGGGUGCCAAAACCGGCUAGGAGCGGGCUUGGCCCGCCCUUAUUUCCAAUUCUGGCCGAGCCAUGCCGGGCCCAAGCUAUCUAGCCUCCAUCCCAACACGGCCCUUUGGCCUGGAAGGCACAGGACAUGCCAGGCUAGGCCGUGCUCCGAUCUGGCCCCUUAAAAUAUUUAUUUUUUUAAUUUUUAAAAAAUUUUAUAUAAAAUCUAAAAUAUAAAUAAUUAUAUUUAAAUUUAUAUUUUGAUUAAAUAUUUAAAAUUUAUAGAAAUUAUUAUAAAAUAACAAACAUUUUAAAAAAUUAAAAAAAUAAAAUUGUAUUAUUUUUUUGUAAAAAAAUUGAAAGGCGUUUUUGGUCCCAUGCAUGGACCAAACAGCUGUUUGGUCCAUUAGACUAACACCACUCCUCCCAAUUAGCCGACCUUGGGAAUGAGAGCUCCAUUGGCUCUCCUCCCCAGGAGCUCAGACCUUUGGGGCUCCGGGCCGUACUGGCCUGGCUAGCACGACCCAAGCGGGUCGUACCGUGCCGUGCCGUGCCGGGCCGGGCUGUCAGCAUCUCCUCGGCUUGGCACGGCAGAGGCUUGCUUUGGUCCGUGCCGUGCCGGGCAGCAAAAUAUAGGCCCAACACAGUCCGGACGUUCGGGCUGGGCCGGGCUGGCACGGGUGCUACAACACCCGUGCCCUGCUGUAGUCCGGCCCAUGGCCGUGCGUAGGCCACCCGGCCAUUUUACACCCCUAGCUACACCAAAUUGUCCAAAUUUUUAGACAAACAAUUUUUUUUGUUUUGUUUUUUUUUUUUUGCAAAAAUAGAGAAACUUACCCUAUGAAUACCCACCCUUUUUUUUUUAACUUUUUCUUUCUGACUUUCAAAAACCAAUAUUAAUUUUGUCACUUUAAAUUUCCAAAAAUAACCAACAUUAAUUUUGUCACUUUAAAUUUCCAAAAAUAUUUUUAGAGGUUUAUGGCGUUGAUGGAGAGCAAAAAAAUGAUCAAAAUCUUCGUACUUAUUCUAUAGAAAAAAUAAUGUUGAACCUAUAUAUUUGAUUACUAGAUAAAUAAUAUCGAAAAAUUACGAAAUCUAUUUUCUAGUUAUUUCAAAUACUAUAAAUCAAAUUUAAUGGAGCCGAUCGUUGAUUCAAAAUUUUCAACAUUGAAAACGACUUAUUAGCAUCGAGGCCAUAAUACUUCUAAAAGCACACAAGUCUAGCUCACUCUCUCUCUCUCUCUCUCUCUCUAUAUAUAUUUAUUAUAUACACACAAGUCUCUCACUCUAUUAAUUGUACACACAAUGGGGCCCAAGGAGGACUCUUCAUCCACAUCUAAGGAAAGGGUGGGAGGUAGAAGAAGGUAGGCAUAUUAUUAAAUGAACAGGCCAAAAUACUCCUUUCUUCCAAAUAAGAUAUUUUUUGGGGGGCUAAUGGCAUACAGCUCCUUGUUAAGAUAUCGAAUAACAUAUAUGUUCCUACAAAAUUCAACUUCUGGAAACAUCCUAACGUUUUCAAUUACACCCCAGCUAUAUAUUAGGAUCCAUUAGAAAAAAUAUAGUUAACUCUAGGUAAAAUAAAUUAACCCUUGUUAUAUAAUGAAUGAGGUAAAUUGACUUUUUUAUCUUUCUUAUAUCAUUUGUGAUGAUCAAAAACAAAGAAGAUGACCAUUGAAAAUUUUUUAGUAGGAUAUUUUUGCAUAAUUCAGAUAUUUGGAGCUUUUAGAGGGAUAUAUUUGUGAUGGCAGAUAUGUCAACAAACAGAGGGACAAAUAUGAAUAUCACUGAACUUUUAUAAGAAUAAAUAUAAAAAGUUAAAUUUUAUCGAAAUAUAUAUUUACUAUUCGAUAUAUUUACAGUAAAUUGUAUUGACAUUAACCCUUUUUUUGUUUGUAGUAAAGCAUACCAAUACAUCGUGGUACGGGUAUUAGCUAGAUACUUAACUGAUGUGGUACAAGCGUGCAGGUGUUGGUGCUAGUUUUAUAUAUUGAAUAUUGGAAAAUAAAAAAAAAUAUUAUCACAUCUGGUUGAUAUGAAAAAUCUAUCAGGCAGGUUCAGAUUUGCGAUACGUACGUGGUGCAAAUUUAUCCUUUUUUUUAUAUAUAUUCUCACAAUGACACAACCAUCUAAAGGAUUUUUUUACCAAACAGAUCUUAUAAUAGUUUUCUCUGUAUCUGAGUAUGUAUCAUAUAUAGUUUUCUCGUAUCUAAGUAUGUAACAGAUGAACCGACUGUCCCUAACGCAAGUGGCAAAGGGUUUGGUAGUUGAUAUCCGAGACCCAAGUUCGAAUUCUAGUUGAUUCACAUUUAUAGCUAAGUUUAUUUUUAAAUGAAAUAAACGAAAUUGGUAGCGUGCUACCUAUCUCUCUCUCAAAAAAAAAAAAAAAAAGAGUAUGUAACUGAUGAGAUCGAUAUUGGCUUGAAGGCUAUGUAUGUACCUCUAUAUCUACGAUUCUACGGUGAUAGCUAGCUUACCCACUGUAUUGAUUUUUUGAACUUUAAAAAUAGACUCAAAUUCCCUUGGGGCCUCUUUGGCUCAACGUAUAUAAAACUGUAAAAAAUAAUUUUUCGUGAAAAAUAUUUUUGAUGAAAAUUUCUUUUUUAGUUUUGUAGUAUUUGAUUUGUAAGAAAAAAAAAAUUUCAAAAUUUUUCAUCAACAAAUAUUUGGUUGAAAGAAAAAAAGUUCACAUUUAUUUGGUUUGGUGGAAAACAAAAGAAAUAAAAAAUAUUUUACGCAAUUUGAAUUUUUCGUUUUCAGCUAAAAAACAGCGAAAAACGAAAACCUUAAAUCUUUUUUUUCAAAUAUAAAAAAAAUACUUUUACAGAAAAAUAUUUUUACAUCAAAUUAAAUAAACGAAUUUCAAAUAUAAAAAAAAUACUUUUACAGAAAAAUAUUUUUACAUCAAAUUAAAUAAACGAAAAAAUAUUUUUCGCACUGAAAAUAAUUUUUCGAAUCGUUUUACAACGAACCAAAAACAUCCUUAACCUAAAGCCAAAGCUCUCCAUGCUUAACUAGCUAAAACAUGUUUAUUUGCAUUUUACAUGGAAUUUCAUACUUGAUUUUAUUUUUUUAAUGAUCAUACAAACUGUGAGACGAGGCCAGGAGUUUCAUUAUGGUAGCUAGUGAGUUUUUAAGCUACAAUAAAAUGAAGAAAUAAAAUGAGUUCACAUCGAAAUUAAUUAGACUAAAAUGAAGAAAUAAAAAUGGUAAUAAAGUUCCUCUUGGAAUUAAUACUUUUCUCACCAUUACAAGAGGGCAAAAUGAUCAUUAAUUUCUAGCUAGUGACAACAAUGGAAGAGCCCUCCCCCUAAAAAAAAAGAAAAAAAAAAAAAGAAAAAACUAGCUAGCUAGUAGUAUAUAUAUGUAGAUGAGUACAUGUACAAAAAGAGUGGCUUGGAACCACAAAAAACCCACCUUGGUAUUAGUAGGGGAGCCCAAAAAAAGAUUAAAGAAGGAAAAAAAAGCAAAGUAAAAUAAAAUGCCUCUAUAUAUUUAUGUGUUGUGGGUGCAUGAGAUCAAUCAUGCCAACUUAGUAGCAAAACAAUGCAGCGUCGGAUGAUGUAAAGCUUGGCUCUUUGCUCCUUCAGGGUCCUGCUGAACCCCCCCUUCUCCUUCCUUUGGCUCCCAAGUAGCUUCAUUUUUAUGAUGAGAGAGGAAGAGAGAGAGAAAAAGAGAGAGAGAGAGAUCUAGAGAGAGAGAGAGAGAGAUAUUAAGUUGUAGUGAUGAUCAAAUUGGUUGGAUGGGUGGAGGAGGAUAGAAGGGGGGUGGGGUUUAAAUAGGAGGAAUGUGGGAGGGGGGAGGGGAUGAGGGGGGAGUAGUAUAAAAAUUUGGUUCUCCCAAAAUGUUGUCUGUAUGAGCUGUUGAUAUGUUAGUAUACGUAAGUAAAGAAUUAGCGUACGUAGUAAUCCGUCCGAUGCAAUAAAUAGAUAAUUGAAAAAAAAAUAAAAAACACCGAUAAAAAAAAAGAAAACGGCGAUAAAAGAAGCGAUGAUAAAAGAUGAGAUUCAUCUUGUCGAUUAACGAAGAUAACAGCCAAAGAAAGAAGAAAAAAGAGUACUUGAGCUGAUUCGGUAAAUAAUGAAGAAAAAGUUGUCAUGUGGCAACUUUAAGAGAAAUAAUGUAUAGGUAUAGAUGUUAUAACUUGUCGUAUAGAUUUUAUGUUACUUGAAUGAUCAAGUUAAUAAGAAAUGAUUUAAAAGUACUGACCAUACAUCGUGUAAUUGACUAAAGGAUUUAAUGGUUGGUAUUUUAUGUAUCUAGUGUAAUUGGUUAAAGAUUUAACUGUUUGUAAUUUAUGUCCCAUGUUCGAAGCCUGGCUAGCUAUGUAUUUCACAUUUAUUGGUCUUUUACUUUUUAAAAAAUAAAAUAAAUGAAGUGUACAGCAGACUACCUUCCACCCAAAAACAAAAUUUAAAAAUAGUCUUAAUUACACUUCUGCUUAUACGCAUGCAGGUGGAAAUCAAAAGUAAUGCACUAACAAAAGUAAAAAAUAAAUAGUAAUUCCCUAAUAAAAGUUUAGUUUUAAAAAAUAAAUAAACAAAGUGAAUAACAGGCUAUCUUUUUCUCAAAAAUGAGAAGUCAAAACAAGUACUAAAGAUAUUGAUUAGAGAGAUAACAAAAGGAACAUAAUUAUAAAUUUAUGUCACUAAAUGUAUAAAAUAUAUUUUAUUAUUUUCUAUCAAAUAUUUGAUCUUUUCGAUAACAAAAUGAGUAGAAUAUGGCGAUGUUAAAUAUAUAUUGAGAUCGUCUUCUAUCAGAUUGAUCAUUUGAAUAACAUAAUUUUUAAAAAAUUACUGAAAAAAAAUUUAUGACUUAGGGUGUGUUCAUUUGACCGUAAAAUAUAUUGAAACUUAUAAAUUACUUUCCAGCUAGAAGAAUUAUUUUCCGUAUAUUUAUUUAGGCGUAAAAAUUUUUUCAGAAAAAUAUUUUUACAGAUUUAAGAAAAAUAAAGUAUUUUGCUUUUACUGAUUUUUAGCAAAAAAACGAAAACUCAAGCCACAAUUUUUAUUUUUUACUGUUUUUUUAGCAAAAACGAAAACUCAAGCCACUUAAAUUUUUUAUAUUUAUUUUUUUAAUCAAACUAAACAAAUAUAAUUUUUUUUUUCUUUCAGCCAAAUAAACACAAACGAAAAAUUAUUUUUUUUUUACAAAUCAAAUGCUAUAGAAAGCAAAAAAAAAAAAAAAAAAAUUCNNNNNAAAGCAAAAAAAAAAAAAAAAAGUUUUCAUCAAAAUUUUUUAAUAAAAAAUAUCUUUUAAAAUUUUACAUAGAAACAAACACUCUGGCUCAAAUAAUAUAUUACUAAGAGAGAUCAAUCUAACUAAAAACAAAACAUAUUAAGAAGGACACUCUCAUGAGUCCAAUGGUGGGGGAGGGGAGGGGUAUAUGAUUGAGGGGGAAAUUAGCUCUUACUAUGAGUCCAUCCCCCACGUACGCGCGCCUAACUCACGUGGGAGUGAUGGGCACGCAGGAGACACGGCUCUGAACCUUUGGGCCUCAUUUAUUCCUCCUGUCCCCUUGACUAUACCUUCCCCCUCUCCUGGGUUUGGUAACAGCAGGUUGUUUCUAGCUUAUAAUUAACUUGCUUUUGCUUAAAGUUUGAACUAAAUAUUUUCAUACUGAUCCCUACAAAUAUAAUAAAUAAUAAAUAUAUUUUUAUAAAGUUUAAUAUUCAUAUAUUGCUUCUAUAAAAAUUCUGAUGGUUUCAAAUAUAUUCUUGUCGUUAGAAAAAUAUAGUUAACCAUAGAUUAAAUACUUAAUUCUGGUUAAUUUUUGACGUUUUUACUCCUCUUAUAUUAUACUUUUAUGACUUUUGGAGGGACAUAUUUGUGAUUGCAAAAUUGAAAAUAUAAACAGUUCUCUAAUGGUUGUCUAAUAGUAACAAACCAAAGUACAUAUUUGAAAACAUCGAUUAGAACUUUUGCAAUAACAACAUAUCAAGGUUUAACUUUGUAGAAAUAUAUUUGUCAUUUACUAUAAUGCAGGGACCUGUAUGAAAUUAACUCAUAUAUAUAUAUGUAUAUAUAUAUAUAUAUAUGUAUAUAUAUAUAUAUAUAUGUAUAUAUAUAUAUAUAUAGAGAGAGAGAGAGAGAGAGAGAGAGAGAGAGAGAGAGAGUUAAGCUGGAAUACUAUUGAUAGCAAACGGCUCCCGUUGCUAUCCAUUUGUUUUCGAUGAUAGGACCUCCAAAUCGACAAUCGGCACCGUUGAAUAUGAUCUAUACCACUUGAAGCGUAAAACUAAAUUUCAUACUUUUUCGAUAUUAUUUUGUUGUCCAUCAUGUGGACACAAAAAUAAACAGUUGAAAAUGAAUAUUCUUUAAAAGUGAUGAUAGGAGUCUUGUAAUCAAGAUCGAGAGUUUAGAUUUUGUUCUAAAUAGUUUAAAGAAUUUUCUAAUCAAAAUGAAAUUGAUUUGGAUAUCUUUACACCGUCAAAUGAGAAAACGCCUCAUAUCAACCGUUAAAAUUACAAAUUUUGAAACGCUUUGAUCAUUAAGCCAAUGAUAUUGAAUGUAGUGUCCCUGGUAUUUUGAUUUGCCUGUGAGGUUUCAGUAUCUGGGGCUUGUCGACACAUCUGGAGAGUGUUGGGACAAGUCGGAGUCGUUUUGGCGCGAAAUGGAUGCAAAACGGACUCAACGCUAGAUGAGAGUGGAGUUCUAACGCUGAAAUCCGUAAAAUGUAGGAUUUCAGUGUUGAGUACCGGUACCAUACAGGGGAGUACCGGUACCCCAGUGUAAUUCCAGAAUAACAUGCUCUCGGGUUGCGCCAAUUUGAUGCUGAGUACCGGUACCGCAUCGGGCUAGUACUGGUACCCGGUGUGCGAGCUUACGGGCUGAGAGGCCGAGUACCGGUAAGCAAAUCGGAUACCGGUAUUCCAGCUGGAUUUUUGAGUUGGUGAGGGGUAUUGUGGUCAUUUUGCUGCUGGAUAAGAUCGCCACUUACCCUCCCUCAUAUUUAUCAACCCGACCAGCUGAGAAGGUAUACUUCUCCUUUUCCUUUCUCUCUCUAGUUUUGAGCGUGUGCAUGGUGGAGGUCGCGACUCGAGCUGGGGAGAUUUUCGACGUCGAUUUGGAGGGUCGUUCGAGCGUGCAUGCGUCGCGGUUGCGUCGUUGGAGACCGGCGAGUGUGUGAUUUUCUCUCCUUUCGACUUCUCGCCAUGGUUGGAUGAGCUUUUCGAGGUAGGUUAAUGUUAACCGAAAUUAUUGGAAUACCUCCUAAGUUUUAGCAUCAUCGACAUGAAUCAUUGGUUUAUUUUCUUGCUAUUACUCGAAUUCAUAGAUUAGAGGUAAAAUCUGAAUUUGGAGUUAAGCUAAUAGUAUAAUUUUACAUGUUGGCCUUGAAAUUGACUUAGAAAAAAACAUAUAGAUCCUACACUGUCAUUUUCUGAAAAUUACCAGAUUUAGCUUUAUGAGCUGUGGUUCUUUUGUAUCAUCGAUGUUAGUAUGCGAUGGAUACCCAGAUUAGUGUAGGAUGAGUUUACACUCCUGCUGGGAUGCCGAGCUUAUUUUACAGUAGUGUGUAGACUGUUUCGGACUAUCGGGUGCCGUCGCGGUUGACGGUGGACUCAGAUUACUGUUUGUGCAUCAGAUUAUGCCAAGGGCACGUGAGUUUUGGUUGUAGGACCAGUUAGACCCAUUUGCUUUGAUUAUAGCCUGUGAGAGCCUGAUUGAGCUCGACAGAGACUCGCUUGCAUACUCGGUUGGAUAGCGCCAACAAGUGCCACUCCGGAGUCGGACUUUGUGCGUUUGCGUUGAUGUCGUAGUAUCCGAGUUGGACUUGCUCUCCACCGACAACCCAGCGUGGUGGUGGUCGGUGUAGCUUCGACAGGGGGGACGAGUGCGUUCACAGUCCCUAGUGAGAUUGGGUCAGAGAGUGUAUUUCUAUAUCUACAGAGAGUGGUUAACGAUAGUAUAGUAACAUAUAGCUGUAGAGUUUUAUCAGCAUCCUUUACUAUCCUUGUACAUACUUUCUGUAAACUUAGUGAGUGAGUCAUUGAGGUCGGUAGCGGUACCCACUAAGCACUACUUCUUUUUGCAGUAGUUCUCACACCCAAUUGUUGACCCCUUUUUGCAGUCUUUUUCUGCGGCUGCUGCUGUCGCUGAUUCUGAUCGUCGAAAGGGAGUCGCAAGUUAGAUCCCUUCCAGCUUUAUUGCAGUACUAGAGAAGUACCUUCCACAGGUAAUUUUGGGGCUUUUUGUACAUAUGGUCUUAUUAUCUGGGUACUCGCUGAAGCGAGUGAUGUAAUAAACAUUUUGUAUGUACUGGAACCCCUCGAGGUUAUAUAUAUAUAUAUAUAUAUAUAUAUAUAUAUGCUACUAUACUAUCAAUAAUACUAAGCCCUUGGUAUUAUUGAGUUUUCGGCCGUUGGAUGAAAAGAUGUGCGGUUCGGAUGAUAGUGGUCCCCGGUUAAAUUGAUAGUGGUCCCCUAGGGUUGACUAGGUGGUUGGUUUAAUAGUAUAAUCUAACGGUGGAAAUGAUCAAAGAGUAGAUCUAACGGUAAAAAACUCAAUAGUACCAAGGGCUUGGUACUAUCGAUAGUAUAGUAGCCGGACUAUAUAUAUAUAUAUAUAUAUAUAUAUAUAUAUAUUAUUUUCAGUUUGGGGCAAUUGCUUAUAUACCCUUGAAAAGUUUCCGACUUUCCGAUUUAUCCCUCUUAGAAGGCUAAUAUUGAAAACACCUUUUCUACGUUCCAACCUAUUUCUAACAUACCCGUAGAGUUAAAAUCUGUUAAUUAACUAUAUUAUCUCUAUAAAAUUACUAUUUUGCCCUUUCAAAUAUACCCUUCCACCAUUACUGACUUUCUUAUUUGCCCUUAAAGUCAAGGGCACAAAAAGUAUUUUGACUUUUAGUCUUUUCCAAUAUACCCCUCUACCGUUACCAAUAUUUAUUAUUUGCCCUUAAGUUAAGGGCAAAAUUGGUAUUUUAAUUUUUUUUAACUGUAAUAGAUAUUUAACUCACGUUUAACUCAAGUUAAUUUAACAGGAGAUAACUGCGGGGGUAUUUUGCCAUAACGAUGGAACAUAUGAGAGGUAUUUUAGAAAAAAAAAAAAAAGUAAGGAUAAAUCGGAUAUUUUCAAACAUAUAAGGGGUAUAUAGGUAAUUAUUCCUUUCAGUUUAACAGCUCUUUACCUUGUAGUUGUAGCUUGAUUUUGCUUACAGAUACAGCUAUCGCUUCGUAUACAGAAAAAAUUUCUAUAUAUACGGCGGGUCUGUUGGUGUGCCCGGAGAAACGUGUAAUCCGGGACGUGACAUUGAAAUGAUUUGAAAUUUAGUUUCUAGAUACUUCAAGUAGUAUAGAUCAUAUUUAACAGUACCGAUCGUCGAUUUGAAAACUCCAUCAUCGAAAACAAAUGGAUGGCAACAGAGUUCGUUUGCUACCGACCGCAUUCGAGCUCAACUCUCUCUCUCUCUCUCUCUCUCUCUCUCUCUCUCUCUCUAUAUAUAUAUAUAUAUAUAGAGUUGGACUGGGCACUAUUAUAGCAAAAUCCCAUUAUUGCUACCAGUUUUUUACCUUUGGAUCAACUCUUUUCCUCAUUUCUAACCAUUUAGAUUAAAUGCUAUAACCAAUGGAGACCACUCAACCCUAGGGGACCAACUCAACUCUAACUGACUAAUAAUCAUCCUAACCCUACAAUUUUUCAUCCAAGGGCUAAAAACUUGAUAGCAAAAGAGGAUUUUACUAUUAUAUAGUAUUCCAAUCUAAUUUAAUAAAUAUUAUACAUAUAUAUAGAAUUAGGUUAGAAUACUAUUAAUAGUAAAACGCUCUUUUUGCUAUCAAGUUUUUAACCCUUGGAUGAAAAAUUAUAGGGUUAGGAUGAUAUUAGUCGGUUAGAGUUGAGUGGUCCCCCAAGGGUUGAGUGGUCCCCACUGGGUUAUAGUAUUUAAUCCAAUGGUUAGAAAUAAUGAAAAUAAUUGAUCCAAAGGCUAAAAAAUUGGUAGCAACAAUAGAAUUUUGCUACUAAUAGUAGCCCAGUCCAACUCUAUAUAUAUAUAUAUAUAUAUAUAUAUAACAAAGCUUCAAUUACAUGUAUCCUAGAGCAACAAAUUCUCUAAACAUUUAUUGGUCCGCCAUGCAUAUAUCACAUUCGGAAUCGAAUUGAAUAGGAUAAAAUAAAAUAAGAUAAUAAUAACAAGAGUAGAACUACUGUCCUAGCUAUUAGAAGCACAACAAUCGUUAUAUUCCUAACUUAAUUUCUAACCAUUCAUCAAUUUUGAUGCGUGAUUAGAAUGAGAGAGAGAAGAGAAAUUGAAGAGUAAUUCAAAGAGAAGAGAAAGUGAGAAACCUAGUUUCUCUCCAAUUUUUUUCUCUCUCACAUCCUAACCAUCCAUCAAAAUAGAUGAAUGGUUAGAAAGUUAGAAGUAGAAAAACUAUUGUGCUUCUAAUAGCACAGUAGCCCUACUCAUAAUAACAAUAUUGAGAGAAAGAUAUAGCAAAUUUGAGGUAUUAGGAGCCUGUUUCGUUCAGAAAUAAUGAAGAUUGAAAUGGAAUAAUUUGCUAUUGUGAAAUAAUUAUGAAUAAAAGUAAAAUUAUAUUUAAUUUGUAAUAUUGCUAUCCUCAUAAAUAAUUUAAAUUGUGUUUGGUUAAUUUUUUGAAAUAGUGGAUAAUAGUGAAAAAAACUGAUUGUUAAAUUUCAUAUAAAAUAUGAUUUAACAAAACUAUUUUCUUAUAAAAUAUGAUUUAGAAAAAUAAUCUGUUAUAAAAAUAAUUUAUUUUUUCUAAAUUCUAUUGCAACUUAAAUUUAAUAAAAAUAAUUUAUUAUAAUUUUCAAGUAUAAUAUAUUACAAUAUUAUAAUAAUAAUAAUAUUAAGGGAAGGAUAUAGAAAAUGUAAGGCAUUAGGAGCCCAUCUGGCUCGGGAAUAACGAACAUAUUAGGAUUAAUUUUUUUAGUUUUUGAAAUAAUUUACUAUUCUAGAAUAGUCAUAAAUAAAUGUAAAAUUUUGUUUGAUUUAUAAUGUUGCUAUUUUCAAGAAUAACUUAAAUUGUAUUUAGUUAAUUUUAUUGAACAAUAGAUGAUAGUGCAAAAAAAUGAUGGUGGAAUUUGAUAUAAAAUAUGAUUUAAUAAAAAUAAUUUCUUACAAAAAUAAUUCAUUACAAUAUUUAAUAAAAAUAAUUUAUUAUAACAUAUUAUUUAGUAAAAAUAAUCUGUUAUAAAAAUAAUUAUUUUUUUCAAAUUCCACUUCAACUUAAAUUUAAUAAAAUAAUUUAUUAUAAUAUUUAAUAAUAAAUAAUAUAUAUUAACAUAGUACAAUUAAUAAUUUUAUAUUAUAUAUAAUUUAUAAUAUAUUAUGUUUAUAUAAUUUACUCUAAUUCAAUUUAUAAUAUUAAUAAAACAUAGAAUAAGACCUUAAAAUAGAUAUUCCGAGCUAUUUUAUUCCAAGCUAUUCCGAGAUAAUCGGAAAUAGCUAGAUUUGACAGGAAUAUUUUAUCCUAGCCAAAAAUUAUUUCUGUUUUUUUUUAGGGAAAACACGUCGUGAGGCGAUUUUAUUUAAUUAAUCAGUAGAUACAGACUGAGAAAAUUCAUCAAUAGAAGACCAAAAAAAAAGUUUUUUGCGUGCGAGUCCCCAAGUAGCCAAAAAUUAUUUCAUUUGAUGAAUAGCAUAGAUAACUUUUGUUAUUCUCGCAUUAUUUCCAAAUCAAUUAAACUUGGUCUAGAAGUUUUGAUAAAGAAAAAAAAUUAAUUAAACUCUCCUUAAUUCAAUCCUCAAUUACCACUCAAUCCAUAAAACUUAGAAGCAAACCCUAUUUCCUCUUAAUAUUUUUCUUUAUCUUCUUUUAUCUAACCCAAUAUUUUAUAUUAAAUUUGCAUACUAAGAAAUGGCGGUGAUAACAAUGUUCCAAGCAAGAUGUGAGUGCUCACGGUAUUGAUAGCGACACAUCGCAGUUGCACCUAAAAGAUUGUCACACUAGACCAAAUUGCUCCUCCAAUGUUUCGUGCAAUAAAGAACCAUACAUUAUUUCUAUUCGUAUUAAUUGUUAAUAUAUAUAUAUAAACUUCUUAUGAUAAAAAAAUAUAUAUAUGUUCGUAGUUAAUGGCUUAAAAAAGAUGAAUUUAUUUAUAAAUUAAUCAACAUUAAUAAUAGUAAGGAAUUACGCACCUUAAAUUGAAUGCACAGGUACAUUAUCAUGUUUUAUUAAAAUAUUGUUAUCAAUCAAUCAACUGGAUAAAGAAUUUUGUAGUGUCCAGCAGAGAGUCUUUUUUGCGAGUCCCACGCCACCUAAGAUUGCUCCAAAAGCAACCUAACUUAACUGUACACAUAGGUUUUAUGAUUAUUUUUCAGGAUGUUAUUUUUAUGAAUUGUUUAUAUUUAUAUAAAUAGAGUAUGUUUUCUGUAAUUUCGAAAGCACGAGGUUAUAUAAACAUAUAAUUCGACGAUCUUAUCCAUUGGACGUAAUCUAUGCUAUUAAAAUAUAUAUAGUAAAUUCAAACUUAAAUAUGAUUAAUUGGACUAUAUUUAUAAAAUUUCUAACAUCAAAAGCAUGCAAUAUAGGUUUUUCGACAUCAUUUAACUUACGAUUAAAAGAUAUCUGUGACACCCCAACUUCCCAGGGGUCACACAUCCGAGGACUACUCUCGUCCUAGCACGUUUAACUCUCUUAACCUCUUAAUUAGGUGUAGCCACUAUCCAAAAUGCUUAAGUCGGGUUAAGAGUGAUAGCCCUACUAUAUCUUAUAUAUAGGACUAUAUGGGAUCUCAAAUUCCUCCCCAUUUAAGGCAUGACGUUCUCAUCAGGCUCAGACUCAUAAGUAUCAGGCGAUGUGAGACUCGUUUUACUAGCUUUGUUAUUCCGACCUUGGCACAACCGAGACUCAUCUCACACUUCCGGCUGGUAAUUGGCUCUGAUACCAACUGUGACGCCCCGACUUCCCAGGCGGUCACCCAUCCUAGGACUACUCUCGUCCUAGCACGCUUAACUCUCUUAAUCUCUUGGGUCUAGCUACCACCCAAAAUGUUUAAGUCGGGUUAAGAGUGAUAGUCCUAUUAUAUCUUAUAUAUAGGACUAUUUAGGGUCUCACAAUAUCAAAAUUGAUAAAUUUAAACGACUGGUACGUAUGAGAUACUUGCUAAUUUAACGGUGUAAAAAAAUUGAAAUCGGUUGAAUUUAUGAUAGAAAAUUCUAUCCACUAUUUAGAUAAAGAUUAAUUACUCCGAUUUUAAAUUGAAACAUCCGAUUCUCUAUUUUAAGUGGUCAUUCGAUUUUGACCAUUCAUUUUAUGCCUACUUGAUGGAUUUUAUUAUUAUUUUAAAAAAUUACAAAAUUAGUUUUCUCGAAAUUAUAAAUGCUUUAGAUUAUGUUUAACAGUACGGAUUAUCGACCCGGAAGCUCUAUCAUCGAAAACGACUUAUGCAUGAGUAUGAAGGCCUCCGUACUUAUAAGAGUAUAGUAGCGCUACUCUAUAUAUGUAUAUGUAGGUUAAUCAAUAUUUCAUAUAGAUUUAUUAAUAUAUUAACAGCAGCACAUAAAUCCUAAGAGAUUAGAGAUGGUCUAGGAACCCUUUAAAGAUGAUUAAUUCUUAAGAGAAGAUUGACAGCUAGAAGCAAAUUGGAGACUCAGAUGGACGGCACAAAGUGUUUCCUACUAAAAUUAGGGUUUUAGGAUAAUGUAAACUCUUAUAAUUAAUCUUUUAGAGAUAAAAGUUUCAUUGUAGACCACCUAAUUGAAAAUAUAUAUAUAUAUAUAUGAAGAGUUGCUAAGAGAGAGUUUUAUGUUAACUCAAUUUUACUUUUUAUACAUUUUUGCAUCGCGGAUUAAAUGAAGAACGCAUUGAGGUGGUCUUAUCUAUGGACACGUAAACUCUGUCUUAUUAUUUUCUUUUGCUUGCUUUAUUGUUUUGUUAUCUUCAAACCUUUUUUUUUUUUUUUUAAAUCGUUCUCGUCUUUAUAUUUUUUAACAAAAAAUCUUAUUUUUACUGUACAUGUGUGCUGUGUGACUUUGAGAUGUAUUCGGUAACCCUUUCGAUCGGUCCCUUCAUCUUUGUAUUAGUACACACUAGGGCCAAAAUAAUCAACCAAAUGGUAUGUGAGCAUGGGUACAUAUACAUAUGUGCGUUGCACAGAGCACUAGUACACAAAAGUCUCUUUCACUUUUGAAGCACAGGCGUGGGUUCAUCAUUAUUGGGCGUGAGAAAUAUGAUGUGAUGAUGAUAGUUCAUCGAAUUGGAAGGAAUAUGUGCCCUUUACUAAAAAGCUGACAUGUGAACGGCUNAUAUAUAUAUAUACACACACACACACACACAAAUAUACACUAUAUUUGUAAAAUUUUUCUCUUAAAAUUUAAAUUAUGUAUUUUUUUAUACAACGAUAUUUUACGUGAUUUAUGUCACGCUCCGGAUUUCUCAUAUCCCCGGGCUCGCUAACAGACCCGCCGUAUACAUAGGUAUUUCCUCUGUAUACAAAACGAAAAAGUAGUACAUGUAAUCAUACAAUACUACAAACAGUAGUAUAGAGCAGCUAGGAAAAUAAACCAUAUAUAAAAACUGUGGUUCAAUACAUACAUGUGAUUCAGGUAUACAAAUACUCGCUCUGACGAGAUAACAACAACUGUAUGUAAAGACCCAAAAACUACAACUAUCUGUAGCUAGUGCUCCUCUAGCUCUGCGACUCGACUGGNUUUGAAGUACCUAAAAAAUAAAUUUUGCGAUUUUUCGAUAUCAUUUGCCUAGUGAUCGAAGGGGCUCAAAAUCAAUAAUUUUAACGGCCGUGGUGUGCCGGUUGCAAGUUUAACGAUAUAGAAAUAUCCAAAUCACAUAAAAGUUUGAUAGAAAAUUUUUUAUAUCAUAUAAAACAAGAUCAAUAACUUUGAUCUAAAAUUUUAAUGCCAUAUCAUCAUAUUUUGUAAGAUUUUUAUUUUCAGCCGUUGAUUUUGAGCCACUUCGAUCACUAGGCAAAUAAUAUCGAAAAAUCGCAAAAUUUAUUUUCUAGAUACUUCAAAUACUCUAGAUCAAGUCUAACAGAGCCGAUCGUCGAUUCAAAAGUCCGAACAUCGAAAACAAAGUGGAAGCACGGAGCCCUCCAUGCUUCCGUAAGCAUCCUAGCCGCACUCAUAUAUACCAGUGAAAUACCCGCGAUGCUGCGGAUAUAAAAAUAUUUUUACAAUAAAUUUUAUUUUUUUAAUAUUUUUAUAUAAUUUUAUAAAUUUAAUUAUUAAUUAAAUAAAAAUUAUAUAAAAAUAAUUUAAUAGUUAAAUCUACUUAAAUAAAAGUCAUUAAAAUUGGUAUAUGCGCAAGUAAAUUGUGAGAUCCCUGGUGUUCAGUUGUGGAGGCUUGUCGGCAGCUCUGGAGAGUGUCGGGACAAGUCCUAGUCGCGUUGGCGUCAAAUUGAUGCAAAACGGACUCUGUGCGACGCGAGGGCGGCUUUCAGCGAAGAAAUCUGCAAAAUAGCAGAUUUUCCUGCUUGUUGUACCGGUACAGCCAUCAUGGCGUACCGGUACACUAUACUGAUGCCGCGCAAUCUGCUCUCGGGUUGCUUCCUGUACCGGUACGCAAUCCCGUGUACCGGUACACCAGGGUAGGUGAGAGGGUGUUUUGGUCUUUUCUCUCCCUCGUUUGUAUCACCAGCCCUCUCUCUCUCUAUUUAGCCUUGUGAGGACAGAGAGAGGGAGUUCCUCUGUUGCUACUUCCUCUCUCUCACUCUCCAACAGAUCUUAGGCUAGGGAGGAUCUCGGUUGGAGCUUUCGUUGCCGACGUCGCGCCGCGGAGCCGUCCGGGGAUACGGUUGCUGCCGUUACAACGCGAGGAGGCCGGGCGAGCGGAGGUUUUCAUCGUUUUUGCUGUCGCAGCAGUGCCCGGUGUUGUCGAGGUGAGUGUCUGUUGGAGGAAAAAUUCUAAAAUGCAACGAGUAUAUUAGUGACGUGGCGUAACAAACCAAUCAAAUUAAUCCUUUUAAGAAUAUAUGUCCCAUCAUGAUUGUAAAAAAGUAUUUUUAUUGUACUUUUGUUUAAAAAAAGGAAUGUGAUUGGCUUGUUAUUGAUGAUGUGGUGCAAGUGUGACAGUGUAGAAUUCCUCCUGUUGGAGUGGCUUCGAUUAAUCCGGGUAUCACCGAAUUAGAGCUUAAGUGCUGUUUUCGCAGAAUUUCACCGUCGACUGUUUGUAUUUUUGGCUCGUUCUCGACGUAGGAGCAUCGGAUUGCGACGAGACUUGGUUCGUUGGAUUCAGGACUGCGAGAGGAAUCCACGAAGCCCUUACUUGCUGGAUUUGGUGAAGGUUAGCUUGGUCGAAUCCCUGUUGUACCUCACUGCUGAAAUUCGGGACUGAAACGGUGAUUUAUUGUCGUGUAGAGCUCGAGCGUGGACGAUUUCUGGACUCGGAGCUGUGCGUGUGAUCCAGCAAGUUGCUCGACACCAGUGGGAGUCCUUCGCUGCCANCAUACAAUACUACAAACAGUAGUAUAGAGCAGCUAGGAAAAUAAACCAUAUAUAAAAACUGUGGUUCAAUACAUACAUGUGAUUCAGGUAUACAAAUACUCGCUCUGACGAGAUAACAACAACUGUAUGUAAAGACCCAAAAACUACAACUAUCUGUAGCUAGUGCUCCUCUAGCUCUGCGACUCGACUGGAAGGGCUCUAACUUGCGACGCCCUUGCCACGAUCAAGAUCAGCAACAGCAGCAGCCGAAGGCGACGGCUCUACAAAACAGUGAUAACAACUGGGCGUGAGAACUACGAAAGAAGUAGUCCUCAAUGGGUACCGCCCUCAAACUCAUCGGUCCACUCACUAAGUCUACAGGGAUAAGCAGGAAUAGUAAAGAAAGGUGGAACAAAUCUACAGCUAAAUACCGCUAUACUAUCAUGCUCUAGCUCUAACUCUCUGUAGAACAAUGUUAACUCAUGACUCAAUCUCAAAUAAGAACUAUAAUCAUACCCGUCCCUGGGACUGUGAACACACCCGUCCCGCCUGGUUGCGACUAUACAGCUACCUCCACACUAACCAGUCUGUGGAGAGCAAGUCCAAUCUGUACGAACGACACCAACGCAAAAGUACAGCGCCCGUCUCCGGAGUGGCACUCGUGGGAGCUAUCCAACCGAGUAUGCAGCGUAUCUCUAUUGAGCUCAAUCAGGCUCUAACAAGCAAAAGUCAAGUAGCUAGGGUCAAAACAAGUCAAGAAACCAAACCCACGUGCCCUCAGCACAAUCUAAGACCAAAAACAGGAAUCUAGGUCCACCGUCCACCCUGACGGCACCCGACAAUCCGAAACAGCCUAGACUCUACUGUAAAAAUAAACUUGGCAUCCCAUCACGAGCGUAAAUGCAUUCUAAACUAUCUCGGGUAUCCACCGCGCUGAAACAGCGAUGAUACAAUUAAAUCACGGCUCUUAGAGCUAAAUCAGGUAGUAGAAUCAUAUGACAGGUCGAAUCGCUAGUUUUCUCCUAAGACAAGUUCCAAGUCCAACAUGUAUAUUUAUCUAAUUAAUAAUCAUGCUUCCAAUUCAGAUUUCAUACAUGCUACAAUCAAUGAAUCUGAGCGACCACAUGAAAUACAAGAAUCGAAAUCAUACAUGUCGACUACAUAAGCACUUAGGAGCGAAACCGAUGAAACGCCUACCUCUAUAGCAAAUCCCUGGCAGCAAGGAGGUCACGAACCACCAAGAAGCUGAGCCGCACCUGCUCUCAGCCAGCAAUGGUCCGCAUCUAAGAGCUAAACAUUAAUUCCACUAAAAUUUAUCAAAACCUUCAAUUUCAGCACUUAAGCUAACUUUAAUCCCAAUUGAAAUGUCAAAACUCACCUAAUCACAUCCAAAUCUGGUGAGAAAGGUCUAAAAUUCAGUGGAAUAUAUUGAGAUAUCAAGCUAAGGGCCAAAAUCCCACUGCCUCCAAAGAUAGCAUCAAAGAAAACUCAUAAACUUGAAAAUCUGCCGAAAGCAACAGCAGUAGAGAAGAACUUGAGUUCGACCAAGCUAGCCCUCACCAAAAUCUACAAUAUUAGACUUCGACCAAGCUAGCCCUCACCAAAAUCUGCAAUAUUAGACUUCGUGGAUUCCUCUUGAAGUCUAGAAUCAAACAAACUAAGUUUCACCGCAAUCCGACCUUCCUACGUCACACACGAGCUAAAACACCGAAGGUCGUCGCUGGAAAACUACAGAAUCAGCACUCCUCAAGCUGAAUUUGUGGACUUUUGAUACAAUUUGAGUGAUUUGGAGGGGUUGAAAUGCAUUUGUAAGCUUCCUUGUGAGAAAGAGAGGAAAAGAGCUUACCAGGGGCAUCUCCCACCUAUUUAUAGGAUGAUCAAACGGUCAAAUAAGCCUCAGGAAUAUUGGAUACAAACCUACACUGCUGCAGAAAAACCAAGUUGUAAGCGCCCUAAACCAAGUUCUGGGUGCCGAGAACUUCCAGCCUGCACAAACAGCCCUCUUCUGUUCCUCCGCCUGCGGUGUGUUGCACCCUUAUCCUGGUCCGGCGGACCUCACAUACCACAAACACGUGUCAACGCCAACGAUAUUUCCAAAGUAACUUCUAGACCCACUUCUGGGCGCCCGGAACAUAGGAUCCGAAUUGGCUUUCAGUUUUGCUCAAACCAGCACUCAAGAUCUGAGCGCCCUAAACCAAGUUCUGGGCACUCUAAACUGGAAAAACUCCAGUUUUGCUUAUUUGAGUGCGCCGAGUCCAUUUCUGCAUCCAUUUCGUGCCGAAACGAUUCCGACUCAGUCCGACACUCUCCAGACGUGUCGUCCAGUCACUAAUAUUAUAGCCAAUCCUAUCCAAACCUCUGGAACGCUACAAUUUAAAUUGCAUCUAUCAAGUUAGAUUUUAUUAUGCUAUUUAUUACGCGUAUUAUUAAUAAAAUUAAUUAAUUAAUUUUAAAGAGUUUAGAGAUUUAAAUUGAAGUUAAAAAAUUGGAAAUAAAUAUUAUAAACUUUAAAUUUUAAAAUUUAAAAUUUUAAAAUUUGAAAUUUAAAAGUUUGAAAUUUAAAAUUUAAAAUUUAAAAUUUUGAAAGUAUCAAUAAUUUAAAUUUGGUAUCAAAAUUUAAAUUUAUAUAAAAAUAUAAUUAUAUUUAUAUAUAGAAGUGUGUCUGGAUAUGCUUCUGGAAGCACGAGCGCUACCGUGCUUUCCAAGUUGUUCUUCCGAUGUUCGGACUUUCGAAUCGACGAUCGGCUCCGUAGAGCUUGAUCUAGAGAAAUUUGAAGUAUCUAAAAAAUAAGAUUUUGCGAUUUUCGAUAUCAUUUGCCUAGUAAUUCGAAGUGGCUCAAAAACAACGGCUGAGGAAAUAAAAAUCAUACAAAAUAUGAUGAUACGAUAUUAAAAUUUUAGAUCAAAGUAUAUUGAUCUUGUUUUAUAUGGUAUAAAGAAUUCUAUCAAAAUUUCAAAUGUGAUUUGGAUAUGUUUACAACGCGUUAAAACUUGCACCGGCUCACACACGGCAUUAAAUUAUUGAUUUUUGAGCCCCUUCGAUUACUAGCAAAAUGAUAUUGAAAAAUCACACAAUAUUUUAUUUUCUACGGUACUUUCAAUGACUCUAGGACAACUCUAACGGGCACCGUCGUCGAUUCGAAAGUCCGAACAUCGAAACACAACUUGGAAGGAAGAGAGGGCUCCGGCCUUCCAUAACAUCAACCAGCCCACUCUAUAUACUAGCUAUAUAGUAUAAUAUAAUAUAUCAGAUAUAUAUAUUAUAUAUAUAUAUAUAUUAUACUAUAGAAUUAGCAUACUAUACUUAUCACUAGUACCAACCUGUACUAUGUGGACCGUUUGGCGUUGGAUGAAAGAUAGGUGGCGGUUAAAGAAGAUCAGUGGUCCUAGGGUUGAGUGGGUGGAUUGGUUUAAAAUAAUUAUCUAACAGCGUGAAAAUGAAUCAACCAGGGUAAGAUCAUAUACGGUAGAAAAACUUAAUAGUAUCGAAGGGCUUGGUACAUCAUAGAGUAGUACCCGACUCUUAUAGGUAUAUAUAUAUAAUAUUAUAUAGUAUACGAGAGAAGAGCAGAGAGAGAGAGUUGAACUAAAUACUAAUCGCUAGUCUAACCACGAGCCGUUUACUACGAUUGUGUUUUCGAAUGAUAAAACUUCCAAAUUGACGAUCGCUCCGUUAAAUAUAAUCUAAACAUUUAAACACAUAGAAAAUCAAAUUUCACGGCACGUUGAAAUAUGUUCUUUUAAUCCAUCAAGUCAAAGAAAAGAAUGGGCUGAAAAUGAAUACUCUUCUAAAGAAAUGAUGAUAGGAGUCUUGUAAUCAGAGAUCAAGAGGAUGAGAUUUCUAUUUAAAUAGUUUUAAAAAAAUUUUCUACAAAAUUCAAUUGAUUUGGAGAUCGUUACGGCCGUUAAAUCAAGAAAACGCCUCUUAUACGACCAUUAAAUUAAAAUUUUCUGAAACGGCCUUGUAUCAUUAGCAAAUGAAUGUCGAAAAGAUUUGGAAUAUUUGAUUUCUAACACUUCAGUGUAUAAAUCAUGUGUCAACGGAGCCGAUCGUCCAAUUUGAAGUUCUAUCAUCGAAAACAAAUCGUAGUUAAAAACAGGCUCGUUUACCUACCUGAUACGUAUCUACAAAACUCUCUAAUACUAAUAUAUAUACUCAGCUAUAAUACAUAUACCUAGAGAGAGAGAGAGAGAGAGAGAGAGAGAGAGAGAGAGAGAGAGUAGGGCUGUUGUGCUUUCAGGAGUAUGGAGGCCUCUAUGCUCCUGAGCCGUUUUCGAUGAUGGAAUUUUCGAAUUGACGAUCGGCUCCAUUAGACUUGAUCUAGGGUAUUUGAAGUUUCUAAAAAAUAAUUUUUGUUAUUUUUUUAUAUCAUUUACCUAGUUAUCGAAAGGAUUCAAAAUCAAUAAUUUUUAAUGGUUGAUAUAUGCCGUUUUCAAGUUUAACGGUGUAGAAGUAUUCAAAUCAGAUGAAAUUUUGAUACAAAAUUCUUUAUACUAUCUACAACAAGAUCAAUAUUUCUGAUCGAAAAUUAUAGUGCUAUAUCACCACUUUUUAUAGGAUUUUUAUUUUCAGCCGUUAAAAAUUAUUGACUUUGAAUCCUUUCGAUUGCUAGGUAAUGAUAUCAAAAAAUGGCAAAAAUUAUUUUCUAGAAACUUCAAAUACGCUAGAUCAAGUCUAACGGAGCCGAUCGUUGAUUCGGAAAUUCCAUCAUCGAAAAUGGCUCAGGAGCACGGAGGCCUCCUUGCUCCUGAGAGCACAGCAGCACUUAUAAAAGCACCAAGCACUUAUUGCUUGUAAAUUUUUUACCUUUAGAUCUACACCUUUGAUCAUUUUUACCCGUUAGUUUGUACUAUUGAACCAACCACCUACUCAACCCUAGGGGGCCCACAUAUAGAGUCCAGCUAUGGUGCUAGUAAAAGCACCAAGCACUUAUUGCUUGUAAAUUUUUUACCUUUAGAUCUACACCUUUGAUCAUUUUUACCCGUUAGUUUAUACUAUUGAACCAACCACCCCCUCAACCCUAGGGGGCCCACAUCAUCCUAACCACACAUCUCUUAAUCUAAGGGCCGAAAACUUACAUGUACCAAUGACUUGGUACUUUUAAAAGCAUAGGAGCUCAAUUCUAUAUAUAUAGAAUUAGGCUACUAUACUAUCUCUAGUACCGGAGCUCCGGUACUAUAGUCUUAUUUUCGAUCUUAGGGUGUUCAAAUUAACGAUCCACACCGUUAAUACCCUAGAUCAGUUUUAACGGUGUGGAUCGUUGAUUUGAACACCCUAAGUUUGAAAACGAAACUAUAGUACCGGAGCCCCGGUACUAUAGAUAAUAUAGGAGACUAGUUCUCUCUCUCUCUAUAUAUAUAUAUAUAUAUAGGCUAAGACUAUUAUAUUCUUAAGAGUAUAAAUUUUUUUACACUCAUAAAUUUUUGAUCGUUGGAUGACGAGAUAAGGUGGUUAGGAUGAUAAUGGUCUUCUAGGAUUGAGUGGAUGGUUGGUUGACUUGUAUGAUCUGAUUGAGUGGGUGGUUUUCUUGACUAGUAUGAUCUAAUUGAUGGAAAUAGUCNAUAUAUAUAUAUAUAUAUAUAUAUAUAUAUAUAGAGAGAGAGAGAGAGAGAGAGAGAGAGUUGAGUUGCAAUGCUAUCAGUAGCAAAAGAGCUUCGUUGUCACUAAUUUAUUUUCGAUGAUGGAGCCUCUAAAUCGACGAUUGGCAUCGUUGAACAUAAUCUAUACCGCGUUAAGUAUCUAGAAAUCAAUUUUCAAAUAUUUUCGACAUCAUUGGCCUAAUGAUCAAAUGUUUUCAAAAUUUGUAAUUUUUACGGUCGAUAUAAAAUAUUUUCUCGUUUAACGAUGUAAAGAUAUACCGAACGUCCCUAGAGCAAGUGGCAAAAGGCUUUGUGGUUAUUACCCGAGACCCAGGUUAGAAUCCUAGUUGAUUCAUAUUUCCAGCUAAGUUUAUUUCUAAAUGAAAUAAAUAAAGCGGGUAGCGUGCCACCUAUCUCUCAAAAAAAAAAUUUGAUGUAAAGAUAUUCAAAUUAAUUGAAUUUUGACUAGAAAAUUUUUUAAACUAUUUAGAAAACGAUCUAGUUGAAUUUUUAUACUUAAUUAAGCUUGACUUUUUAUUAAAUUGAAUGGCUUUAUUAAUUGUAAAUUGUUAAUUGUUUUAGUUUUUACUUGGUAAAUUUUGUUACAAUUAUCAAUAAAUCUAAUAAAAAUUUAAAAAACUUUAAAAGUACUUGAGAAAGCUUGGAAAAAAGAAAAAGAAAAAUAGUUGGGGACAUGAAUUUUUACCUCCUCAUCAAUAUGUGACCUACCCUAUGCUACCCUAACCCAUAGCUCAUAAAAAUGAUGUGACGUUUUGACCAGUACCACAUGUGCACUCAUGGAGAUCUGAAAAUUAAACCACCUAGGGAUCUGGUAUUUGUAAUAAAACAAAAAUUUACAAAGAACCAUACAUCUAUGCACCACUUAUACAAUUUUAAAGAAAUUAUUUUAUAGAUCUUUGUGCUUGGCAUUAUUUUUGAAUUAUUUUUUACUCGAUAAAUCUAGGUACUGAGUUCAAUUUUUGCUUUACGAUUUAAAGUUAUAAACUCCGACCUCUUCACCACUCAUGUUCUUUUUUAUUCAUAAUAACUAUUAUCGAAGAAAAAUUCAAAAUCUAAAUGAUAAUAAAAGAUAUAUAAAUGUUACAACGAGCACACAAACAAAAAUGAAAACAGCUAUUGUAAAAUAAACAAACCAUAAAGUAGUAAGGAAAGAUAGAACAUAAAAAUUUACGCGAAAAAAAAAUUUCAAAGAAAAAUCACGAGCGAAAGAGAGAACUUCACUAUAUGAAAAAAAAAAAGAAGGUAUAAUCUUGUGGAGAAAUAUAAUAUGCGAUAUAUUGUCUAGGGCAAAGAAAAAGAAAACUGAAAUGUAAUGGAAAGACCUCCACAUCUGACCCGUUUGUUUCUUAAUGGGUUCUUUCAAAAUUUGAUCAGAUUUUUCUUUUUCACCACAUAUAAUUUUUUUUUUUUAAUUUAUCACACCGCAAAGCUUUCGGCAAAUAGGGGCACAAAAUCAAACUCGAUAACUAAACUUUGAUACAAAUCUAAUAAUAAUUUAGCAUGUUACCCUUUUAUUUACCCUAGAAAGGCCUAGAUUCCAUUAUACAAAAAGAAUCACAAUUUGUCUCCCAGGAAAGCGUGCUCACAAAAACCUAGCAAUGCAUGGCUGGCAAACACUUAGUUUGUCUUACUAAUCACUUAUUUAAUCAUGCAUUAAAUCUAAAGUUAAUCUUAUUCCUUUCCUUAAACCGAGGAGUCAAUUUGUCCUUGUGUAUAAAUUUAUAUGUUUCAAUUGCUUCCAUUUGGAUUAAACAAAGAUAUAUAUAACAUCUAAAACCAAGGGCUAGGAAGGUACUUCUUAAUUACUUUCCCCUUGUUUGAGGAAAUUAACCACCAUGAGAGGGACCUUUUUUGGCACAUUGUAGUUACUUUUUUUUCAAAUGUGAUUAAGUGAUCAAUUGCCCCAGGGAUUCUUAAAUUUUUUGCGCGGUUUCAAUUUAGUCCUCAACCUUAUACAUUGCAAUCUUGUUCUUUUUAUUAGAUUUGUCCAAUAAAUUUGGCAGAAAUAAACGCGUAUGUGCUAAGUUACGUUUACAUAAGAGACGGUUGAACUUCUCAUUAGCNAGAGAGAGAGAGAGAGAGAGAGAGAGAGAGAGAGAGAGUUGAGUUGCAAUGCUAUCAGUAGCAAAAGAGCUUCGUUGUCACUAAUUUGUUUUCGAUGAUGGAGUCUCUAAAUCGACGAUUGGCACCGUUGAACAUAAUCUAUACCACGUUAAGUAUCUAGAAAUCAAAUUUCAAAUAUUUUCGACAUCAUUGGCCUAAUGAUCAAAUGUUUUCAAAAUUUGUAAUUUUUACGGUCGAUAUAAAAUAUUUUCUCGUUUAACGAUGUAAAGAUAUACUGAACGUCCCUAGAGCAAGUGGCAAAAGGCUUGGUGGUUAGUACCCGAGACCCAGGUUAGAAUCCUAGUUGAUUCACAUUUCCAGCUAAGUUUAUUUUUAAAUGAAAUAAAUAAAGCGGGUACAGUGCCACCUAUCUCUCAAAAAAAAAAUGAUGUAAAGAUAUUCAAAUCAAUUGAAUUUUGACUAGAAAAUUUUUUAAACUAUUCAGAAAAAGAUCUAGUUGAAUUUUUAUACUUAAUUAAGCUUGACUUUUUAUUAAAUUGAAUGGCUUUAUUAAUUGUAAAUUGUUAAUUGUUUUAGUUUUUACUUGGUAAAUUUUGUUACAAUUAUCAAUAAAUCUAAUAAAAAUUUAAAAAACUUUAAAAGUACUUGAGAAAGCUUGGAAAAAAGAAAAAGAAAAAUUGUUGGGGACAUGAAUUUUUACCUCCUCAUCAAUAUGUGACUACCCUAUGCUACCCUAACCCAUAGCUCAUGAGGAUGAUGUGACGUUUUGACCAGUACCACAUGUGCACUCAUGGAGAUCUGAAAAUUAAACCACCUAGGGAUCUGGUAUUUGUAAUAAAACAAAAAUUUACAAAGAACUAUACAUCUAUGCACCACUUAUACAAUUUUAAAGAAAUUAUUUUAUAGAUCUUUGUGCUUGGCAUUAUUUUUGAAUUAUUUUUUACUCGAUAAAUCUAGGUACUGAGUUCAAUUUUUGCUUUACGAUUUAAUGUUAUAAACUCCUACCUCUUCACCACUCAUGGUCUUUUUCAUUCAUAAUAAGUAUUAUUGAAAAAAAUUCAAAAUCUAAAUGCUAAUAAAAGAUAUACAGCUGAGAUAAAUGUUACGACGAGCGCACAAACAAAAAUGAAAACAACGAUUAUAAAAUAAACAAACCACAAAGUAGUAAGGAAAGAUAGAACAUAAAGAUUUACGUGAAAAAUUUUUUGCGAAGAAAAACCUCGAGCGAAGAGAGAAUUUCACUAUAUGAAAAGAAAGGUAUAAUCUUGUGGAGAAAUACAAUAUGUGAUAUAUUGUCUAGGGCAAAGAAAAAGAAAAUUGAAAUAUAAUGGAAAGACUUCCACAUCUGACCCAUUUGUUUCUUAAUGGAUUUUUUCAAAAUCUGAUCAGAUUUUGAAUUUCCACCAUAUAUAAUCUUUUUUAAAAAAUUUGUGACACCGCAAAACUUUCGACAAAUAGAGACACAAAAUCGAACUAAAAAACUAAACUUUGAGACAAAUCUAAUAAUAAUUUAGCAUGUUACCCUUUUAUUUACCCUAGAAAGGCCUAGAUUCCAUUAUACAAAAAGAAUCACAAUUUGUCUCCCAGGAAAGCGUGCUCACAAAAACCUAGCAAUGCAUGGCUGGCAAACACUUAGUUUGUCUUACUAAUCACUUAUUUAAUCAUGCAUUAAAUCUAAAGUUAAUGUUAUUCCUUUCCUUAAACCGAGGAGUCAAUUUGUCCUUGUGUAUAAAUUUAUAUGUUUCAAUUGCUUCCAUUUGGAUUAAACAAAGAUAUAUAUAACAUCUAAAACCAAGGGCUAGGAAGGUACUUCUUAAUUACUUUCCCCUUGUUUGAGGAAAUUAACCACCAUGAGAGGGACCUUUUUUGGCACAUUGUAGUUACUUUUUUUUCAAAUGUGAUUAAGUGAUCAAUUGCCCCCGGGAUUCUUAAAUUUUUUGCACGGUUUCAAUUUAGUCCUCAACCUUAUACAUUGCAAUCUUGUUCUUUUUAUUAGAUUUGUCCAAUAAAUUUGGCAGAAAUAAACGCGUAUGUGCUAAGUUACUUUUACAUAAGAGACGGUUGAACUUCUCAUUAGCGUGAUUUGUGAAUGGUUUUGUUUAGAUGCAUGUGCGGAAUUGUCACUUGAUAGUUAUGUCAUAUGUGGCACAAAUAGUGAUAUUUCCUUGCAACUUAAUAGCAACUUUAAGAUUAUUGAACAAUAUUUUAAUUAGAGACUCAAAUGAGAGAACACCUUUGCAAAUUACUUAAUCCAUUUAUCAUGUAUUUGUGAUAAUUAAGAGAAAUGUAAUUUUAGUGAGAGUAAAAACUAUAUGUGCACACUUGUGUGGAGGUGAUAUUUCAAUUGCAAAGGAGACAAACCUUUAACUCUUCAAGUAGUUUAUUGACUUUUCUUCUUGCCCUUUGACCAUGAUGAAUAGUUCCUUUAUUUGUUUCUUGUUUAAACACUAUUUUGAGAACCUUUUGUUCCAACACUUUCACGCACAUCCACGAAAACAGUAUCAUGUGUCUCCGUAUACUUUAAAAUGCAUGAGAAAUACAAAUAUAUAUGUUAUACUCAAAGAGAGAGAGAAAUAUGAGGUGCUAAUUCCUCACUACUUUAAGAGCAGCCAUUUUGAAAAGUUUCAAUUCGUAAUCAUCUUGAUAACCAAGAGCUAGCAUGUUGUUAGGCAUGUGGAAAAGAUCUAGUUCGUGGACGUGAAAAUAUCAAAAAGAAUUGAGAAAGAUAAAAGAAAAAUAAAACACACAAAUAUUUACUUGGUUCGAUUACUAGUCAACAUUCGCAGGAGAAGACAGAGUGAAGAUUUUUAUUUUAAUCAAACUGAAGUACACAUUAUAUAUCUCUCACAAAAUUCUAAUCCUAAAAAUACAACCAUACUUUUCAUCUACCAAACUGAAUCAAUUCAUAAUCAUAUUGACAUGUACAUUGUAUGAUUAGUAAUCAUCUCGAAAUAUCAUCUUGUUAAUUAACCAAGAGCAUGCAUGUACAUGUAACUUGUGUACUACAAUUUGCGCUCGACAUUUGUAUGAUUAGUAGCCAAAACAAGAACGUGAAUAUAUGGAUUUUUUUAUGGCGUUCGCCGCAUCACACACAAAAUCAAAUGGCUAUUCAUAUCAAAGAAAGAAGACCACAUGCAUCAAUAUCCCUGAACAACAAGAAUUUGCUAGUAAAUUUUCUAUUUCUUGUUGUAAUUUGUACAUGUUUUAAAUUCAUUAUUUCUUGUCUCAUGCUCCUCGCAGCGUGCGCACAUAUAUAUAUUGCCCUAAAGUACUCUUGUUUAAUUAUACAUAUAUAUAUAUAUUAAUUCCUAAUACAACUUCUCAACAGAGACCAUGCACGAAGUAUCUGAUCCAGUUGACAAUUAACUAUUUUGCUCACAACACUUGUCCAGCAAUUUUAACUUGUAUAUGUUAAUUAGCUAAAUUCAAAACAAAUGUUACACAGAUUCCUUAUGCACAUUAAUUUUUCCUCCAAGCAUUGCUCAUAGUUACUCUUGUUUAUUUGUUUGUUAACUUUAAAAUGAAUUUUCACAUAUUCCUUAUAUUAUAUGGUGUAUUAAACUCUUGGUCCAAAAACUAAAGUUAUUGUCCACCAAUUAAUUUCAGCUUGUAUAUAUAUUUAUUAAACUCCAACAUAGUUUGCCUCCAACAUAUUAUAUAAGUUCUGUUCACAACUUUUCCUAUGGAUUGAUUAAUUUGAGGACUAAAACGUUUAACAAGAUCAAAGUUAAUUAAAUUUAAUUUAAGUGGUCCAAGUGAUUUGAUUCUUUCUGCUUUAAUUUUUUUUAAUCUCUUUAGAAGAAUUGUCGGGUUUUUCAUAUGCAUCAAUUACUACCUUAGGGGUGUUUGUUAGACAACUUGUCCUCUAGUAAUCACUAUUUGAGACAAAUUGUCUCUACCUUCAGAAAAUAAAACGUAAAAAAAAAAAAGAAAUUACCCGCAAAUUAAUAUAGGUUGCUCAAACAAGUUGUCCCUUGGUUUUUUAUUGAUAGCAGUUUGUGUGAAUUACUUAAGUAAGAAUUAGGUAUUAAAUUAAUUAUAUACAUUAUUGAACUUUUGCACUAUAAAUUGUUGUUCUUGCCUCUGAAUUUUAUGAGUUUNUAUAUAUAUAUAUGAGUUUGGUUACUAUACUAUCGAUAAUAUCAAGCCUUGGUACUAUUGAGUUUUCUACCGUUAGAUCUACACUUUGAUUAUUUUCACCCGUUAGAUUAUACUAUUAAACCAACCACCCACUCAACCCUAGGGGACCACUAUUAUCCUAACCACACAUCCUUUCAUCCAACAGCCGAAAACUCAAUAGUACCAAAAGCUUGAUACUAUCAAUAGUAUAGUAGCAUAAUUCUAUAUAUAUAUAUCUAUAUAAUACGAACGUUGCAAAUACAACUUAUGUACUGAUUAACCACUGCAUCUUCUAUAUAAAUAUCUUCCGUGCUUAUUUUAUAUAUAUAUAUAUAUAUAUAUAUAUAGAAUUAGGCUGGAAUUCUAUUAAUAGUAAAACGCUCUUUUUGCUAUCAAGUUUUUAACCCUUGGAUGAAAAAUUGUAGGAUCGGGAUGAUAUUAGUCGUUUAGAGUUGAGUGGUCCCCUUAGGGUUGAGUGGUCCCUACUGGGUUAUAGUAUUUAAUCUAAUGGUUAGAAAUAAUGAAAAGAGUUGAUCCAAAGGCUAAAAAACUGGUAACAACGAUGGGAUUUUGCUACUAAUAUUAAGUUGUUUCUGUAUAACUAUAUAUAAUAAUACAUGCUAUAUUUAUUUACUUACCGAGAUAUAUAUAUAUAUAUUGUGUCUUCUUGUAAAGACGCCAUAUCAGACACCAGAUAUACAACCGCAACACAAUCUAAUGUGACAACAUGCCAUGGGGACUCACUACAACAGAAUUAGGUUAUAGGGACACAUGUUUGGGACAUUUUUGAGUAAGUGUCCCAUUUAUGCUAAAACUUAAAAAAAUAUCUGCUAAUGCCUAAAUAUAAAGCCCAAUCCAACCAAAAAUAAAAGAUUACUCUACUCAACCCACCACACCCAGUUCAUUUGGCCCGAUUACAAACAGAAAAGAAAAAAAAAAAGAAAAAUCAAUUACCAUCUUUUCUUCUCUCUUCACUCAAUCCACUGAAAUUCUAGACGAAGAGCCUUUCCUGUCGUCCUCCUCCGCCACCGCAGCCAACGAGAUAAAAUUUCGGCGGUUGCUAAAUGCUUAAAUAAGUGUUCGUAAAUUAGCAGCACUCUUUUAGGUUAUAGCGACACUCUUUAACUGUCAAUAUAUACCUAGCGACCCCACAUAUAGUAACACUUUUUAAAAGUGUCGGUAAUUUUAGCUAGCAGCACUUUUUUGACAUGUACCUAUAUUUAAAAGUAUCGCUAUAGACCGUUUUUGUUGUAGUGACUUUUGAGAGAAGUCCCAACUCAACACGGCAUUAGCUAGUCUUACCUAUAAAUGCAAAAAACUAACAUGAUAGAUAUAUGGCGCAGUAAAGAAAAAGGUUAAAAUAUUUUGAACAUAAGUAUACCAAGUUGGAGACACUUAGACACAAACCUGUUAAUUAAUUGAGAAAAAUAACAUGACUGUCGAAGAUGAAUGCUGCAAAUAUGUUUGUUUUUGCACCAAGUAAUCACUCAAUUGAUCUGCCAAUGAUUAGAAAUUAUGAACUCACAAAUGACUUCUUAUAAGAGCUCCUUUAUUCAUGUGAAAACUUUUGAAUACUACAAGGUAUAUAAUCAAACACUAAUCUUACAAUUAAUGACAAGAAAUGUUCAACAAACAAUUAAUUAAAUUCAAUGAAUAUAUCAUUGCUUUUACAAGUUAUAAAUCAUUUCCUGUUAUUACUAUCUUAAGUUGUCAUAUCUAAUUAAUGGAUCUACUGCUUCUGAGUUUGAUGAAGUUGUAAUUUAUGUCUGAUGGUUAAAACCGCAUCUGCACGUGAGUUAAACAGCGGGAAUUAAAAAAAAAAUUUAGCGGUUUGCUUUUAGCAUCUUUAGCUAUUGUUAUUAUUGUUUGUAUUCGAGUAAAAGCAACAAUUUGCGCGCUUUAUCUUCAUGAUCUAUGUUCAAGUGCACUAAACAAGUACAAAAUAUUCUAUCAGCGACAAGCUAUUAUUUAGUUACUCCAAAAAAAAAAGCUCAAAACCACUAAUAUAAUACUAAUUAAGCCUGGUAACACCAACCGUCCCUAGUGCAAGUGGCAAAAAGCUUGGUUGUUGGUACCCGAGGUCCCAAGUUCGAAUUCUAGUUGAUUCACAUUUCUAGUUAAGCUUAUUUCUAAUGAAAUAAACGAAGCGGAUAACAUGUUACCUAUCUCUUAAAAAAAAAAAAAAUUAAGCCUGCUAACACUUAGCUUGAGAAUCAAUUUCUCAGACCAAAUGUUAAUCAAAUCUCCACUUGCUUUUAGCGCUUCGAGCUACAAAAAGGCAAAAAGUUCAAAAGAGAAUAUUCAUGUUUUAAUCAAUUGACUAAUUAUAACAAAACAGAUCCUUUACUAUUGAUGAUAUGUGCUAUAUAUAGCCAUAUCUUGCAUGAUGCAUCAAUCAUUCAAAACAUAUAGUUUAUGUUAAACAACUGUUGUAUUCUAACAACUUAAGCUUUUAGAGUAUGUCAGUUAUUUAACAAAAUAUCAGAACAAGAGAUCCUAAGUCCGAAUCACGCCAGACUCCUAAAUUACUAAUUUUUCCCAUUUAAUUCAAAUCCACGUCAUGAACCUUGUAAAAAGUCUCGAGCCCAUACAUGAGGAGGAGAGUGUUAAAUAUAAAAAUAUAUAAAUACUGUUCUCUAACGGCUUUAGCUUUUAGAGUACGGUGGUUGCUUGACAGUUUAUGAGCUUUAUCUGAAAAGAAGUUGUAGAUUGCUUUAUAAUGAUAGUCUAUGCAAGAAGUAUUGAUUGCCUUCAUUCUAAUUGAGGAUUAGCUAGGGCAAAGUGAUGAAACAUGAAACAGGUCAUUAGGUUGCGUUAUUUGGAAAAGAUCAUAUACUAGAAAAACGUCGCCUUUCGAUACAUUCUUGUUACCAUUUAGAAAGUAGGAAACUUAAUUACAGUACAGCAACAAUUCGCUUCCUCUUUAUACUUUUGUAUCUUGUGGAGUUGCAUUACCAUUUAGAGACUGUUUGAAUUUAAAGUUUGUUUGGUUAGUGAUCAUGUAAUUUGAUUUAUUCAAAUUUUUCAGAAACAAAGUAUGCAGAUGCAUACGUUGCUAAAUUUGUUUGAUUUGAUCAAAAGCAGUCGAUUGAUCUUACUUAUUCAUUUCAUUUAUGCACAAUAGAUCCAAAGAGAAAAUUUGAAAUUAUAACAGAAACUGAAAAAUGCAAGUAAAGAAGAAUGUUUCAUCUAAAAUUUUGUAGUACUAAUCCCUCUCGGAGUUUCUUUCUCACCAUACGAAUGGUACUGAUAUCGCAUCCUUAGAGUAAGAAAAGGAGAAAAACUAUGACUAGUAUGUGUACAAAUAGAGUGGUUCAACUACAAACACCACCAUGUUGGCAGGGAAAAAAAAAAAAGAAAAGAACAAGAACAAGAACAAGAAAAAGAAAAUGGUGCUUGAUUAUGGUCAAUCGUGCCAACAAAGAAGCAUCACGACGCAGCGUCGUAUAAUGUAUAGUUUGGCUCUUUGCUCCCUUAGAGCUCUGCUGAGCCCUCCUUUUUGCUUCUCCUGGCUAUGUAGCUUCAUUGUCAUGGCGUAAUUAGCUUGAAUAGUUGUAAAGUGGAGAGGAGAAAAUAGUGUGUUGAGAAACAAUAAGUGAGAGAGAGAGAAGUAGAGGGUACUCUUUGCUAGCAAUUGUAGUUGGAUUGAAUAGUUUGAGGGGAUUCACAUAUGGAUUUUAUAGAGAGAUCAGAGAAAAUGGGGGGAAAUUAAGGGAGUGGUCCAACACCUAGAGGGCUUGUUAAUUAAGAGGUGCUUUCACACAAGUGUAGUAUCUUGAUUGUUACUUAGGAGACAAGGCUCUGAAUUCAUGUAUAUUGUUUUAUCUUUCUUGCUUCUUUUGCCUAUAAUUGUUUUGUUUUCUUUAAGCUAUAGAAAUUGUGGCCUUAAGCAAGCAUCAAAUUCAGGUAUAUUUGUCUCUCCUGCCUCUUUCACUGUACUGAGAAGUACUUCCUCGCCGAUCGAUUGCUUGAAGAAAACAAUGUUGAUAAAAUAUUACUUGUCGGAUCGUUAGCGCUAAUCAUUAAUCCCAAAAGCUCGAGCUGUAGAAAUACGUAACCAAUUCACUUAAAACGUACAGAUACAGCGCCCACAGGUCUCGAUUAUGACUGGGUCCAACCAGCCUCAUGCCACUUCGAACAUGACUCAACUCACCCUCACGCUAUUUCGAACAUAACUCAGCCCAACAUAGCCUUUCGCCAUAAAGCAAAAUGCUAACUCAUUUAAGCCAGCAAUCCCCUCUCUAGCAUCUGCACACAUUUGCAGUAUUGGGGAAUCGAACUCGCGAUUUCUGGCUCUGAUACCACUUGUCGAAUCGUUAGCGCUAACCAUUAAUUCCAAAAGCACGUGCCGUUAGAAAUAUAAAACCAAUUCACUUAAAACAUACAGAUACAGCGCUCACGAGUCUCGAUUGUGACUCGACCUAACAGGCCUCACGUCACUUCGAACAUGACUCGGCCCAACAUGACCUUCCGCCACAGGACAAGAUGCUGACUUAUUUAAGCCAACAUUAGGUACGUACGCACGCAUUUUCUUUUUUCUCUCAGUUGGCACAUGCAACCUAUCCUAUCAUGGCGCUCGCAACGAGAGCUUUACUAGAGCAAGUGACAGGUUUUGUUUGCCUAUCGAGGCAGUCGCACUCAUCGUCACAUAAAAAAGAAAAUCGACUGGCCUCUUGUGUGAAUGAAAAGCUAAAUUCGACUAUAUUAUGUCGAGAUCCGAGCGUGCACUAGAAUAUUUUUGCGAGCUAACUGUUCUUGAUCACUGAUCAGUCUCUUGUAUCUGUCCUUCGACUGCACGGAAAAUGCUUUUUUUUGUUCCCCUCCUAAUAUUCAAUAACAAGUUGCAUGGAGCAUGUCUCCUGAUCAGAGUAUAUAUACUUGUUUAUUAAUUCCUAGAAUGGCUUUUCAUAUAUAUACUGUUGUAGUACAUGGCUUGACAAUUCUUUACUCACAAAUCCAUGCCAUUUGUAGCAUUAAUUUUUUAAUUAAAUCCCUACUUUCUUUGCCUCCUUUCACAUUCAAUUCUCUUCACCACCUUCCUGUGGACACAAAGUUUCUAUGCCUAGGAUGCUUAAAACAAUCAUGAUUUUCAUUUGUACCUAAUUUUGUUAGUUUCUUUACUUGCCCUCUCCUUCAUGGUCUCUGUUUGUUCAGUUCUUGUCAUGUUGAAAUAACAAUGACAUGCAAAUACCAAAAUAAAGGAAUAUUUUAUGUAAUUUUAAGCAAAUGCUGUCGCUGUUCGACACAAAUUUUUGCUGCAUUUGAAACAGUUGGCAAGCUAUAUAGUGUUCAAUGCUGCAGCAUUUUUUUUUCUCAUUUCUUGCUUAAAAAUAUCCUAAUAAAAGAACAUUAGAUAGAUAUAAAAUAUUGAAGUACAUCUCCUAAGUUUUUGAAAUUACGGAAGCCUCCGUACUUAUAAGUUAUUUUUUAUGAUGGGAUAUCUAAUUCGAUGAUCAACUCUAUUGUGAAUGAUCUAUACUAUUAGAACUAUUUAGAAAUUAAAUUUCAUAAUUUUUCGACAUCAUUUAGCAAGUAAUCAAUAAGUCUAAAAAAUGACUAUUUUAAUGGCCGAUGUGGCACGUUUGUAAGUUCAACGAUAUAGAACAAUUCAAAUUACAUAAAACUUUGGCUAAAUUACAUAAAAACCCAGUCAAAACCUGAUUUUUCACUUUUCCCCCCUGUCAUUUAAAAACCUACACUUUGUCCCCUUAUAAAAUGAAAAAUGUUCACGGGGUUGUACGAUGUGAACAGUGAUGACAAAAUGACCAUUUUGCCCCUCACCAUUUUCGUCUCCUCCCUCAUCUUGCUCAUCCGCCGCCUCGAUCGGCCGCAGUUCGCGCCUCAAUCGACCGCAGUGCCUUUCCAUUUUCUUCUUCACCUACUUCCCUUCUCCUCCUACACCUUCGUCGCCCCUCCAUUUCAGCGACAGUAGGGAGGAAAUCGAGGUGGGCGUGGAGGGAGAGGUGGGCAAGGGCAACGAGGGCGAAGGCGAGGCGGUGGAGGAGAGCGAGGGGGUGUUUGUGGGUGCGGACGGAGAUGUAGGCGAGGGCGAGACAGUGGAGGAGGGCGAGGCGGCAAGGCGGAGGAGGGUUAAGCAUCAGUAGAGAGGGUGGAGGGUAUUUUUGACAUAAAAAAAUAUUUUAUAACGGAACCCUAACGGAUCACUAACGGUAGGGGAUAAAGUGAAUUUUUUUCAUUUUACAGGGGGGCAAAGUGUAGGUUUUUAAAUGACAGGAGAAAAAACUGAAAAAUUAAAUUUUUACAGGGGGGUUUUCUGUAAUUUAGCCUAAAACUUUAAUAGAAAAUUUUACUUAAUAUUAAGAGUAAAAUCAAUAAUUCCGGUUUGAAAUUUAAAUUUUUUAUUACUAUUUUUUGUAAGAUUUUUAUUUUCAGCCGUUUAUUUUGAGACUACAAGCUUACUAUGCAAACAAAGCUAAAAAAUUGUGAAAUUUGGAUUCUAAAUAGUUCUAAUAAUAUGGAUUAUGCCUAAUAGAGCCAAUCGUUGAAUCAGAUGUCCUAUUAUCAAAAACAACUUAUAAGUAUGGAGACCUCCGUACUUUCGAAAGUACAGGAGUCUAGCUCUAAACUAUUGUUACUCUUAUCAAUCUGGGACUCCUCUAUAUACUAUUCCCGUUAUGCUUCUAAUUUCAAUCAUAUAAAUAUAUAUAAAAAGUUAGGCUGGUAUAUUAUCGAUAACACAGAGGCCUUUAUACUACCAAAUUAUUUUCAAUGAUGUAGCUUCCAACUCGAUGAUCGACUCCAUUAGACUUGAUCUAUAUUAUUGAAAGUAUUUGGAAACAAAAUUUCAUAAUUUUCGAUAUCAUUUACCUAUCAAACGAGUAGUCUAAAAAUGAAAAGCUGAAAAUAAAAAUCUCAUAAAAAAUGAUGAUAAAAGACUUGAAUUUAAGAUCAGGGGUACUGAUCUUACUCUAAAUAGUGAAAGAAUUUUCUAUAAAAAUUUUAUCAGAUUUGAAUUAUUUUACACCGUUAAAUUCACAAACGCAUCACAUAUACCAUUAAAAUUGUCAAUUUUGAGACCUUUUGAUCACUAGUCAAAUGAUGUCGAAAAAUUAUGAAAUUUAAUUUUCAAAUACUUUUAAUAGUGUAAAUACAAGUCUAAGGGAGUCGAUCGUCGAUUUGGAAGCCGCAUCAUUAAAAACAACUUAGCAGUACGGAGGCCUCCGUGCUACCAAUAGUAUACCAGCCUAGCUCUAUAUAUAUAUUUAUAUAUAUAUAUAUAUAUAGAGAGAGAGAGAGAGAGAGAGAUCUAGAGAGAGAGAGAGAGGGAAAGAGAGAGGAUUGCUAUGCUCUUAGGAGCAUGGAGGUCUCAGUGCUUCUGAGCUGUUUUCGAUGAUAGAAUCUUGGAAUCGACAAACGGCUCCGUUAGACUUGAUCUAGCAUAUUUCGGAGUAAGGAUAUCUGAAAUUCCACAGUAUGAGAUACUUACUUUGCCCAUUAUACGAUGGCAAAAGAAUCUUUUUUUUCUUUUUCUUCAACGUAUACUUUAUAGAACAAGCAUCCGUGUGAAGGGUGAUUUUCGCCCUAAGUUAGAACCCAGUGUUAUGACUCUCGCUCAUCAUACAUAAUUAAUAGAAUCUUUCAAUAAUUAGCAGUACUCUGGGUUACUCUGGGUUUGGGAUUUAAGUUUAAAUCUUUGGUGACUAAAAUCAACAUUUGUUGAAUUAAAGAUCCCAAUUAAAGUGGUUAUGGAAAGUUUUCAACUUUUAUAGUAUUUAUGAGAAUGUUUUAGUCAUUAUAGUACGAAUGGAUAGAUUUAUAUAUGUAAGAAAGUUUAAAUGGGAAUAAACAUUUGAGGCAAUUUGUAACAUUAACAAAGUAACCUAAUUUUUAAUUUAAUGGCUGAGAUGGGAACUGGGAAUUUUCCACAACUUCCUAUAUCACUCUUUUAUAUAUAAGUUGGGGGAGUUUUGAUAUCCGACAAAACUUCUUCUAGUUGUUAGUUAUCUACUUUAUAACCUCUUUUUUUUUCUUUCUUUUAUAUAAGACUUAAAUAAUUACACUGAUCUUUGAUUUUUCGUAACACCCCUAGAUUCUUUUCGAUUCUUCUAAAAGCCUCCGGUUUUCAUAUUCGAAACGAAGUCGAAGAAGUAGAAACCGCAGACGACGUUGUUUUUAGAUAUAAUCUUCUACAACUACUUCGUUGACUAUGGACUAUUCGUAGAGAUAGGUUUUUCAUGAAAGAGUGUCUGUUCGGUUAGUUCUUAUUAAUAUAUAAAUUAUUACUUUCUAAAUACUUACGGACUACGUACCAUCCUACUAAUUAAGGGAGGUUAAUUGUUACUUAAUAAUAGUAACAUUUUAGUAAAGAAUUAAAUCCUUUCUUUAUAACAUCGAUUUUUCAACCACCACAGUGCAACGUACCGUAACAUGGUAUCUAAGAGGUGACGGAUUUUGCACUGUUUGAUAUACGUACGAAAAAAAAAAAAAGAUUAAUUUCAUUAAGUAAUUACACAGUAGUGUGUACGCGGAUUAAUAUUGGAGUUUUAUUAGGAGAGAAACUGUUAGUAAAAAAAAAUUAAUCAAUAUAGGUAAACGUAAUUAGUCGACAAACUAAUAGAUGUAACAUUCGAUAUUAUAUCCAUGUUAACAUGUGUUCGAGCUUUUUCAGAUAAAUUAAUGGAUAUCACAUCCUGAAUCUAUGUUAUUAACCUAAAUAUAUCUAUUUCCGAACUAACAACGUAAAGCAGGAUAUAGCUUUAAUCUACAUUUAGUAUUAAAUCGUCGACCUCUCUCAUUGAGAUGAGCUAUUUAUUAAUUAAUGAAUAGAAAGCGGAGUAGUCCUUUUCUUUUCUCUUUUCAAACGAAGAAACUCCAAUUAGAGUGGUAGAGCAUAAAUUUUAUCUUUCUACAUGCUUAUAACGAAAGUUAACGUUCAUUGGUUUUGAAUUUUAGGCAUCAGCGUUGUAAGAGUUAAUUUAUCAUGGCACGCUCAAUUUACGUUUACAAUAUUGAUGUAGGCUGGUUUGUUUUGUGGUCAAAAUAAAUUCUCGAAAAAACCUACGAACUUGUACGCCAAAUCAUAGUACACCGAAUUGGCUGGCAGGGAUCUCGUUCACCGUUUUCCAAACCACCAACCAUGGGCUCUGGAUUCAAGCUUAGGAUCAACUAAGUGUAAAGGUCGAUUUAAAUAAAGAUUUACUUUAUUUGCUUCGCCCAUCGCAUGCACGAUGAAUAGAGAGAGAGUUUUUUUUUCAUAGUACACCGAAUCAAAUGAGUUCCUAGUACGUUGUUAACUGUCUACUUAUCAUAUGAAUCUAUAUACAACGAAGAUUUAAUAAUAAGACUUUUUUCUUUUUGAUUAGUAUUCACGGAAAUCUCUGAAACUAGGUUCAAGAUCAUAAGUUUGUAAGUUUAUCAAAGAUUUUCUUUGACUAGAUAUUUCACACCUCUCACUAACCAGAAUAUGGUUUCUUAAGAAUUUAAUUUUCACAAUGCUGCUCACGUGUUUGUUUUUGCUUUCUGCCGUUUGCACUUUAUUUGUUUCAUGUUCGUCUUUUAUUUUAUUUGUGUUUCUAAAUGCACUUUUUAAGAAAAGUCCUUUUUUUAAUACCUACUUUCUCCUCUCUUAAAAUGAUACUUUUUUUUUCAUAUUACAAUACUUCUAAUGUUAUGCGAUGUAGUCUGGUUCCAGAGGCGAUGGGUGGUGUCUGUAGAUAAAAAGAAGGUGUUAAGUAAAGGGUUUUUAAGAUAGCGUGAUGCUUUAACAGUUAUUUAGUACCCGGGUUUUAGUUUCAACUAUUAGUUUAAAGCUCCGUGGAGAUUAAACGUUGGUGAAUGAGUUAAUCACUCCGACCAUACUAAGGCCUUCGUGUUUUGGGAGGUAUGAAGAUUCACGUACCAAAAGCUACAACUCUAAAAGCUUAGUUGUUAAACGAGACAAUCUGAACUAGUUCACAUAAACUUAAUGGACUUUUUAUUUAAAACACUAAAAAGCUAUAGUAAACGGAUUACUAGCUUCCCCGAGUUUUAAUUAUUAAAAUUACCGGCACCACUCGGCAAACGUUCAAAUUGCCACAUUUUUAUAAGUUUAGUACAUUUUAAAACUAUCUUUUAAAAAAUAUGAUAUAUUUUGUUCUAGUUAUAGAAACUAGAUUUUAAAAUUAUAAUAUAGUAGUGUAAAACAUUCUAAAAAUAAAAAUCGGCAACUAAAACUGGGGGAAGCUAGUAAUCCGUUUACUAUAACUUUUAGUUUUUUUAAUAAAAGAUAGUUUUAUUAGAUCUAAUUCAAAUUGUCUCGGUGGCUAGCAGCUAAACUUUCAGGGUUAUAGCUUUUACUGAACCUUCGUGCCUCCCGAGGCACGAAGGUCUUCGUAUGGUUGGCAUUAGAGAGAGAGAGAGAGAGAGAGAGAGAGAGAGAGAGAGAGAGAGAGAUAUAUAUAUAUAUAUAUAUAUAUAUAUAUAUAUCUCUCUCUCUCUCUCUCUCUCCCCCCUUUCUCUCUCGCGUUCCGACGACACGAGAAUCUUCGUGUCUUCUGAGGCGGGAAGCACGAGGACUCGGUAAAAGUUACUACUUUAAAAGCUUAAUUGCUAGCCGAGGCAAUUUAAACUAGAUCGCAUAAACUUCAAACCCUAUUAACGGAUAUAUGGGCAGUAUACAAACUUUUAUAGGUUAAAUGGGGAUAAAAAAAAAAGAAAGAUUUUAUGGGGAAUAUACAAGGUGGCAAUCACGUUUUAUGAGGGCGUCAAUAGAGGACAAUUCAAUUGAACCCAAUUUGCACUCAAUUUGUAGAUGGCGUCAAUUUUUUUUAAUUUUACGGUUAAAACGGGAAUUGAAUUCCCGUUUAUUCUUUACAACCACUGUCAUCUCCCCAUAUAUAACCUUUUCUGGUUUUCAAUUUCAUUAAAAACAUGGGGACCGAAAUUCCCGAUUAUUCUUUCAGUCACUACCACCUUCCCAUAUAAACUUUCCCGUUUUAUCAUUAAAAUGUCUCAAUUAUCUCAAUUAAUUGUUUAAAAUUAUAUAAUCUUUAUCCAACCUUGCAUUUCUCCCAUAAAAGUUAUAAUCGUAAGAUUCUCCCCAUUUAACCUUUCAGCCUUUGAAAAGUGCCCAUAUAUUCGUUAACGGGGAAUUUCAAAGAUCUUUUAUUAAAAACACUAAAAAGCUAUAAUAAAUGGAUCACUAGUUUUCCCAAGUUUUAGUUAUCAAAAAUUAUUAACUACAGACGGCAAAGUUCAAAUUGCCCCAUCUUCAUAAAUUUAGUCUAUUUUAAAACUAUGUUUUAAGAAAUAUAAUAGAUGUUGUCGUAGUUAUUGAAACUAGCUUUUAAAAUUACAAUAUAGUGUUGAAAAAUAUCUUAAAAAUAAAAAUCGGCAACUACAAUUUAGGAAGACUAACGAUUCAUUUAUUAUAGUUUUUUGACAUUUUUAAUAAAAGAUCUUUGAAGNGCUAGUUUAACGGUGUAAAAGAAUCGAAAUUUGUUGAAUUUUUGAUAGAAAAUUCUAUUCACUACAUAGAUAAAGAUCAAUAACUCCGAUCUUGAAUUGAAGAAUCCGAUUAUCCUUUUUUAGGACGUCGUUCGAUUUUGACCAUUCAUUUUAUGCCCACUUGAUGGAUUUAAUUAUGAUUUCGAAAAUUUACGAAAUUUAUUUUCUAGAAGUUUCAAAUACUCUAGAUCAUAUUUAACGGAGUGGAUUGUCGAUUCGGAAGCUCCAUCAUUAAAAAUAACUUAUGAGUACGAUGGCUCCAAUACUCAUAAUAGUAUAGUAGCCAUGGCCUAUAUAUAUAUAUAUAUCACACACACACACACACACACACACACACACACACACACACACACACACACACACGAAGGUUGCAAAUACAACUUAUAUAUAUCACACACACACACACGAAGGUUGCAAAUACAACUUAUCUAAUGUGACAACAUGCCAUGGGGACUUUUGAGAGAAGUCCCAACUCAACACGGCAUGAGCUAUAGUCUUACCUAUAAAUGCAAAAAACUAACAUGAUAGAUAUAUGGCGCAGUAAAGAAAAAAGUUAAAAUAUUUUGAACAUAAGUAUACCAAGUUGGAGACUCUCAGACACAAACCUGUUAAUUAAUUGAGAAAAAUAACAUGACUGUCGAAGAUGAAUGCUGCAAAUAUGUUUGUUUUUGCACCAAGUAAUCACUCAAUUGAUCUGCCAAGGAUUAGAAAUUAUGAACCCACAAAUGACUUCUUAUAAGAGCUUCUUUAUUCAUGUGAAAACUUUUGACUACUGCAAGGUAUAAUCAAACACCAAUCUUACAAUUAUUGACAAGAAAUGUUCAACAAACAAUUAAUUAAAUUCUAUGAAUAUAUCAUUGCUUUUACAAGUUAUAAAUCAUUUCCUGUUAUUACUAUCUUAAGUUGUCAUAUCUAAUUAAUGGAUCUACUGCUUCUGAGUUUGAUGAAGUUGUAAUUUAUGUCUGAUGAUUAAAAUUGCAUCUGCGCGCACGUGAGAUGAAAAAAAAUUUAUCGGUUUGCUUAAUUUUAGCAUCAUUAGUUAUUGUUAUUAUUGUUUGUAUUUUAAAAAAAGCAACAAUUUGCUUUAUCUUCAUGAUCUAUGUUCACGUGCACUAAACAAGUUCAAAAUAUUUGAUCAGCGAUAACCUAUUAUUUAAUUACUCUAAAAAAAGCUCAAAACCACUAAUAUAAUACUAAUUAUGCCUGCUAACACUUAAGUCGACAGUCAAUUUAUUAGACCAAAUGUUAAUCAACUCUCCACUCGCUUUUAGCGCUUCGAGCUACAAAAAGGCGAUAAGUUCAAAUGAGAAUAUUCAUGUUUUAAUCGAUUGACUAAUUAUAACAAAAUAGAUCCUUCACUAUUGAUGAUAUGUGCUAUUAAUAAUAUUCCAGCCUAGUUAUAUAUAUAUAUAGAGCAGGGCUGCUGUGCUCUCAGGAGCACGGAGGAGCACGUCCGUGCUCCUGAGCCGUUUUCGAUGAUGGAGUUUUCGAAUCGACGAUCGGCUCCGUUAAACUUGAUCUAGUAUAUUUGAAGUUUCUAGAAAUAAUUUUUGCGAUUUUUCGUUAUCAUUUACCUAGCAAUCGAAAUGAUUCAAAAUCAAUAAUUUUUAACAGCUUAAAAUAAAAAUUCUAUAAAAAGUGGUGAUAUAGCACUAAAAUUUUCGAUCAAAAUUAUUGAUCUUGUUAUAAAUAGUAUAAAGAAUUUUGUAUCAAAAUUUCAUCUGAUUUGAAUACUUCUACACCGUUAAACUUGAAAACGGCAGAUAUCAACCAUUAAAAAUUAUGGAUUUUGAAUCCUUUCGAUCACUAGGUAAAUGAUAUCGAAAAAUCGCAAAAAUUAUUUUCUAGAAACUUCAAAUGCGCUAGAUCAAGUCUAACGGAGCCGAUCGUCGAUUCGAAAAUUCCAUCAUCGAAAACAACUCAGGAGCACGGAGGCCUCCGUGCUCCUGAGAGCACAGCAGCUCUGCACUAUAUAUAUAUAUAUAUAUAUAUAUAUAUAUAGAGAGAGAGAGAGAGAGAGAGAGAGAGAGAGAGAGAGAGAGAGUUGGGCUAGAAUACUAUUAAUAGCAAAACGUCAUUUUUGCUAUCAAGUUUUCAGCCAUUGGAUCAACUCCUUUCAUCAUUUCUAAUCAUUGGAUUAAAUACUAUAAACCAGUGGGGACCACUCAACCCUAGGGGACCACUCAACUCUAACUGACUAAUAUCAUCCUAACCCUACAAUUUCUCAUCCAAUGGUUAAAAACUUGAUAACAAAAAGAGCGUUUUGCUAUCAAUAUAUUCCAGCCUAAUUUUAUAUAUAUAUAUAUAGUUGAGCUAGAAUACUAUCGGUAGUAAACGAGCCGUUUUACUACCGAUUUGUUUUCGAUGAUAGAAUUUCCAAAUUGACGAUCGGCUCCGUUGAACAUGAUCUAUACCACUUAAAGUGUUUAGAAAUCAAAUUUUAAAUCUUUUCGACAUCAUUUGCCUAAUGAUCAAAGGGUUUCAAAAUUUGUAAUUUUAAUGGUCGAUAAGAAGCGUUUUCUCGUUUAACGGCGUAAAGAUAUCCAAAUCAAUUGAAUUUUUGUUAGAAAUUUUUAAACUAUUUAAAACAAGAUCUAUACUUUGAUCUUGAUUACAAGACUCCUAUCAUCAUUUUCUAAAGAGUAUUCAUUUUCAGCCAUUCAUUUUUCUGUUCACUUGAUGGAUAAAAGAACAAAGAACAAUAUCGAAAGUGCGUGAAAUUUGAUUUCUAGGUAGUUUAAAUGGUUUAGAUCAUAUUUAACGCGAGACCGCAUCGGAUCAAUUUGGGAAGCUCUAUCAUCGAAAACGAAAUCGCGUAGUAAAAAGUGGCUCCGAUUUACUACCGAGUAGUAUUCUAACUAACUCUAUAUAUAGUAUAUAUACUAUAUAUUUAUAUAUAUAUAUAUAUAUAUCAAUCAUUCAAAACAUAUAGUUUAUGGGCUUUAUCUGAAAAGAAAUUGUAGAUUGCUUUAUAAUGAUAGAGUCUAUGCGAGAAGUAUUGAUUGCCUUCAUUCUAAUUGAGGAUUAGCUAGGGCAAAGUGAGGAAACAUGAAAAAGGUCAUUAGGUUGCGUUAUUUGGAAAAGAUCAUAUACUAGAAGAAUGUCGCCUUUUGAUACAUUCUUGUUACCAUUUAGAAAGUAGGAAACUUAAUUACAGUACAGCAUCAAUUCGUUUCCUCUUUAUACUUUUGUAUCUUGUGGAGUUGCAUUACCAUUUAGGGACUGUUUGAAUUUAAAGUUUGUUUGGUUAGUGAUCAUGUAAUUUGAUUUAUUCAAAUUUUUCAGAAACAAAGUAUGCAGAUGCAUACGUUGCUAAAUUUGUUUGAUUUGAUCAUAAGCAGUCGAUUGAUCUUACUUGUUCAUUUCAUUUAUCCGCAAUAGAUCCAAAGAGAAAAAUUGAAAUUGUAACAAAAACUGAAAAAUGCAAGUAAUGAAGAAUGUUUCAUCUAAAAUUUUGCAGUACUAAUCCCUCUCGGAGUUUCUUUCUCACCAUACGAAUGGUACUGAUAUCGCAUCCUUAGAGUAAGAAAAGGAGAAAAACUAUGACUAGUAUGUGUACAAAUAGAGUGGUUCAACUACAAACACCACCAUGUUGGCAGGGAAAAAAAAAAAAGAACAAGAACAAGAACAAGAAAAAGAAAAUGGUGCUUGAUUAUGGUCAAUCGUGCCAACAAAGAAGCAUCACGACGCAACGUCGUAUAAUGUAUAGUUUGGCUCUUUGCUCCCUUAGAGCUCUGCUGAGCCCUCCUCUUUGCUUCUCCUGGCUAUGUAGCUUCAUUGUCAUGGCUUAAUUAGCUUGAACAGUUGUAAAGUGGAGAGGAGAAAAUAGUGUGUUGAGAAACAAUAAGUGAGAGAGAGAGAAGUAGAGGGUACUCUUUGCUAUCAAUUGUAGUUGGAUUGAAUAGUUUGAGGGGAUUCACAUAUGGAUUUUAUAGAGAGAUCAGGGAAAAUGGGGGGAAAUUAAGGGAGUGGUCCAACACCUAGAGGGCUUGUUAAUUAAGAGGUGCUUUCACACAAGUGUAGUAUCUUGAUUGUUACUUAGGAGACAAGGCUCUGAAUUCAUGUAUAUUGUUUUAUCUUUCUUGCUUCUUUUGCCUAUAAUUGUUUUGUUUUCUUUAAGCUAUAGAAAUUGUGGCCUUAAGCAAGCAUCAGAUAUUGAGGUAUAUUUGUCUCUCCUGCGCGCCUCUUUGACUGUACUGAGAAGUACUUCCUCGCCGAUCGAUUGCUUGAAGAAAACAAUGUUGAUAAAAUAUUACUUGUCGGAUCGUUAGCGCUAACCAUUAAUCCCAAAAGCUCGAGCUGUAGAAAUACGUAACCAAUUCACUUAAAGCGUACAGAUACAGCGCCCACAGGUCUCGGUUAUGACUCGGUCCAACCAGCCUCAUGUCACUUCGAACAUGACUCGGUCCAACCAGCCUCAUGUCACUUCGAACAUGACUCAACUCAGCCCAACAUAGCCUCUCGCCAUAGAACAGAAUGCUAACUCAUUUAAGCCAACAAUCCCCUCUCUAGCAUCUGCACACAUUUGCAGUAUUGGGGAAUCGAACUCGCGAUCUCUGGCUCUGAUACCACUUGUCGAAUCGUUGGCGGUAACCAUUCAUUCCAAAAGCACGUGCUGUUAGAAACAUACAACCAAUUCACUUAAAACAUACAGAUACAGUGCCCACGAGUCUCGAUUGUGACUCGGCCCAACAAGCCUCACGCCACUUCGAACAUGACUCGACCCAACGUGACCUUCUGCCACAGGACAAGUGCUGGCUUAUUUAAGCCAACAUUACAUUCGUACGCACGCAUUUUCUUUUUUCUCUCAGUUGGCACAUGCAACCUAACCUAUCAUGGCGCUCGCAACGAGAGUUUUACUAGAGCAAGUGACAGGCUUUGUUGGCCUAUCGAGGCAGUCGCACUCAUCGUCGCAUAAAAAGGAAAAUCGAGUGGCCUCUCGUGUUAAUGAAACCCUAAACCCUAAUGAAAAGCUAAAUUCGACUACAUUAUGUCGAGAUCCGAGCGUGCACUAGAAUAUUUUUGCGAGCUAACUGUUCUUGAUCAGUGAUCAGUCUCUUGUAUCUGUCCUUCGACUGCACGGAAAAUGCUUUUUUUUGUUCCCCUCCUAAUAUUCAAUAACAAGUUGCAUGGAGCAUGUCUCCUGAUCAGAGUAUAUAUACUUGUUUAUUAAUUCCUAGAAUGGCUUUUCAUAUAUAUACUGUUGUAGUACAUGGCUUGACAAUUCUUUACUCACAAAUCCAUGCCAAUUGUAGCAUUAUUUUUUUAAUUAAAUCCCUAGCUACUUUCUUUGCCUCCUUUCACAUUAAAUUCUCUUCACCUUCUUGUGGACACCAAGUUUCUAUGCCUAGGAUGCUUAAAACAAUCAUGAUUUUCAUUUGUACGUAAUUUUGUUAGUUUCUUUACUUGCCCUCUCCUUCAUGGUCUCUGUUUGUUCAGUUCUUGUCAUGUUGAAAUAACAAUGACAUGCAAAUACCAAAAUAAAGGAAUAUUUUAGGUAAUUUUUAAGCAAAUGCUGUCGCUGCUCGACACAAAUUUUUGCUGCAUUUGAAAUAGUUGGCAAGCUAUAUAGUGUUCAAUGCUGCAGCAUUUUUUUUUCUCAUUUCUUGCUUUAAAAUAUCCUAAAAGAACAUUAGAUAGAUAUAAAAUAUUGAAGUACAUCUCCUAAGUUUUUGAAAUUACGGAAGCCUCCGUACUUGUAAGUUAUUUUUUAUGAUGGGAUAUCUAAUUUGAUGAUCAGCUCUAUUGUGAAUGAUCUAUACUAUUAGAACUAUUUAGAAACUAAAUUUCAUAAUUUUUCGAUAUCAUUUAGCAAGUAAUCAAUGGGUCUAAAAAAUGACUAUUUUAAUGGCCGAUGUGGCACGUUUGUAAGUUCAACGAUAUAUAACAAUUCAAAUUACAUAAAACUUUGGCUAAAUUACAUAAAAACCCAGUCAAAACCUGAUUUUUCACUUUUCCCCCCUCUCAUUUAAAAACCUACAGUUUGUCCCCUUAUAAAAUGAAAAAUGUUCACCGGGUGGUACGGUGUGAACAGUGAUAACAAAAUGACCAUUUUGCCCCUCACCAUUUUCGUCUCCUCCCUCAUCUUGCUCAUCCGCCGCCUUGAUCGGCUGCGGUUCGCGCCUCAAUCGACCGCAGUUCCUCUCCAUUUUCUUCUUCACCUACUUCCCUUCUCCUCCUAUACCCUCGUCGCCCCUCCAUUUCAGCGACAGUAGGGAGGAAAUCGAGGUGGGCGUGGAGGGAGAGGUGGGCAAGGGCAACGAGGGCGAAGGCGAGGCGGUGGAGGAGAGCGAAGGGGUGUUUGUGGGUGCGGACGGAGAUGUGGGCGAGGGCGAGACAGUGGAGGAGGGCGACGCGGCGAGGCGGAGGAGGGUAAAGCAUCAGUAGAGAGGGCGGAGGGUAUUUUUGACAUAAAAAAAUAUUUUAUAACGAAAUCCUAACGGAUCACUAACGGUAGAGGAUAAAGUGAAUUUUUUUCAUUUUACAGGGGGGCAAAGUAUAGGUUUUUAAAUGACAGGAGAAAAAAAGUGAAAAAUCAAAUUUUUACAGAGGGGGUUUUCUGUAAUUUAGCCUAAACUUUAAUAGAAAAUUUUACUUAAUAUUAAGAGUAAAAUCAAUAAUUCCGAUUUGAAAUUUAAAUUUUUUAUUACUAUUUUUUGUAAGAUUUUUAUUUUCAGCCGUUUAUUUUGAGACUACUCGUUUACUAUGCAAACAAAGCUAAAAAAAUUGUGAAAUUUGGAUUCUAAAUAGUUCUAAUAACAUGGAUUAUGCCUAAUAGAGCCAAUCGUUGAAUCAGAUGUCCCAUCUUCAAAAACAACUUAUAAGUAUGGAGACCUCCGUACUUUCGAAAGUACAGGAGUCUAGCUCUAAACUAUUGUUACUCUUAUCAAACUGGGACUCCUCUAUAUACUAUUACCGUUAUGCUUCUAAUUUCAAUCAUAUAAAUAUAUAUAGAAAGCUAGGCUGGUAUACUAUCGGUAGCACAGAGGCCUUUAUACUACCAAAUUAUUUUCAAUGAUGUAGUUUCCAAAUCGACGAUCGACUCCAUUAGACUUGAUCUAUAUUAUUGAAAGUAUUUGGAAACAAAAUUUCAUAAUUUUUCGAUAUCAUUUACCUAUCAAACGAGUAGUCUAAAAAUAAAAAGCUGAAAAUAAAAAUCUCAAAAAAAUGAUGAUAAAAGACUUGAAUUUAAGAUCAGAGAUACUGAUCUUACUCUAAAUAGUGAAAGAAUUUUCUAUAAAAAUUUUAUCAGAUUUGAAUUAUUUUACACCGUUAAAUUCACAAACGCAUCACAUAUACCAUUAAAAUUGUCAAUUUUGAGACAUUUUGAUCACUAGUCAAAUGAUGUCGAAAAAUUAUGAAAUUUAAUUUUCAAAUACUUUUAAUAGUGUAAAUACAAGUCUAAGGGAGUCGAUUGUCGAUUUGGAAGCCGCAUCAUUGAAAACAACUUAGCAGUACGGAGGCCUCUGUGUUACCAAUAGUAUACCAGCCUAGCUCUAUAUAUAAUUUAUAUAUAUAGAGAGAAAGAGAGAGAAAGAGAUCUAGAGAGAGAGAGGGGGGGAAAGAGAGAGGAUUGCUAUGCUCUUAGGAGCAUGGAGGUCUCAGUGCUUCUGAGCUGUUUUCGAUGAUAGAAUCUUCGAAUCGACAAACGGCUCCAUUAGACUUGAUCUAGCAUAUUUGAAGUUUCUAGAAAAUAAUUUUUACAGUUUUUUGAUAUUAUUUACUUAGCAAUCGGAAGGAUUUAACAUCAACGGCUGAAAAUAAAAAUUCUACAAAAAGUUGUGAUAUAGCAUUAAAAUUUUCGAUCAAAGUUAUUGAUCCUGUUGUAGAUAAUAUAAAGAAUUUUGUAUCAAAAUUUUAUCUGAUUUAAAUACUUCUACCCCGUUAAACUUGAAACGGCAAACAUCAAUCAUUAAAAACUAUUGAUUUUGAACCCUUUUGAUCACUAGGUAAAUAAUAUCGAAAAAUCACAAAAAUUAUUUUCUAGAAACUUCAAGGGGCAAUUGCUUAUAUACCCGUGAAAAGUUUCCGACUUUCCUAUUUACCCCUCUUAGAAUGCUAAUAUUGAAAAUACCCUCUUUACGUUCCAACCUAUUUCUAAUAUACCCCUAGAGUUAAAAUCUAUUAAUUAACUCUGUUAACUCUGUAAAAUUACUAUUUUGCCCUUUCAAAUAUACCCUUCCACCAUCACUGACUUUCUUAUUUGCCCUUAAAGCCAGGGGCACAAAAAUUAUUUUAACUUUUGGUCUUUUCCAAUAUAUACCCCUCUACUGUCACCAACAUUUCUUAUUUGCCCUUAAGUUAAGGGCAAAAUUGGCAUUUUAAUUUUUUUUAACUGCGGUAGAUGUUUAACUCACGUUUAACUCAAGUUAACUUAACAUGAGAUAACUGCGGGAGUAUUUUGCAAUAACGGUGGAACAUAUAAGGGGUAUUUUAGAAAGAAAAAAAUAUGGGUAAAUUGGAUAUUUUCAAACAUAUGAGGGGUAUAUAGGCAAUUAUCCCAAACUUCAAAUACGCUAGAUCAAAUUUAACGGAGCCGAUCGUUAAUUCGAAAAUUUCAUCAUUGAAAACGGCUCAGGAGCACAAAGGGCGGAGGCUUCUGUGCUUCUAAGAGCACAGCAGCCUUGCGCUCUCUCUCUCUCUCUCUCUCUCUCUCUCUCUAUAUGAGAGAUUACGGUUGGUAUGCUUCUGGAAGCACGGAGCCCUUCGUGCUUCCCAAUUAUUUUCGAUGUUGGGACUUUCAAAUCGACGAUCGGCUCCGUUAAACUUGAUCUAGAUUAUUUGGAUAGAAAAUAAAUUUUUUGAUUUUUCAAUAUCAUUUGCCUAGUGAUCGAAGGGGCUCAAAAUCAACGGCUAAAAAUAAAAAUCUUACAAAAUGUGAUGAUAUGAUAUUAAAAUUUUAGAUCAAAGAUAUUGAUCUUGUUUUAUAUAGUAUAAAAAAAUUUUCUAUCAAAAUUUUACAUGAUUUGAACAUUUUUACACCGUUAAACUUGCAAACGGCUCACCACGGCCAUUAAAAUUAUUAAUUUUGAGCCCCUUCGAUCAUUAGGCAAAUGAUAUCGAAAAAUCACAAAAUUUAUUUUUCAGGUAAUUCAAAUACUCUUGAUCAAGUCUAACAGAGCCAAUUGUCGAUUCGAAAAUCUCAACAUCGAAAACCAUGCACUUAGAAGUAUGGAGGGUUUCGUGCUUCCGGAAUCAUACCAGCCUCACUAAUUGAGUAAGUGGUUGCAAAUUAGAGGUGCCUCGAAAUUUGAUUAUCAACUUUGAUUUUGGGUCCAUGAUUUAUUGACAAUUUCGUAGUGCGAUAGAAUUUUUGGGAAAUGAAUUGUGGAAGAAAAAUGGAUGUUUGUGGUGGGUAGCGGAGACCUUGAUCUGAUGUAGCGUAUUGUAAUCUUCAUAACAUUGUACUUUCUUUUUCAUAGUAAAAUUCUCUCCUCUUUCAUCCAUGAUUUUUUUUCCUUAAAAGAAUUUUUCGCGUAAAUCUUUGUGUUCAUUUUAUUUUCUGCUUGUACUUUGUUUAUUUCACGUUUGCCGUCUUUCGUUUUUGUUUGUGUACUCGUCGUAACACUUUUAAUUUAAGAAUUCUUUGGUAUAAGGCCAAUCACUCUCCACACUUUAUAGAUCAGUUUCUUUUAGAAACUAUUUGAAUGUUUGAAUACUAGAACUUGGAUCAAAGUCUCUAAAGGCACUUAUGAUUAGUUUUUCUUUUUUCAGAAUAAUAAUUUAGAAGCAACAUAUAUCUAAGUAUACUAUCAUUACAACAAAAACGGUAUAUAGCGACACUUUUAAAUGUUGGUACAGGUCAAAAAAAGUGUUGCUGGCUAAAUUACCAACACUUUUAAAAGUGUUGUUAUAUGUGGAGUCGCUAGGUAUAUAGUAAUAGUUAAAGAGUGUCUCCAUAAUCUAAAAAGAGUCAUGCUAAUUUACCAACACUUAUUUAAGUAUUUAGCAACCGUCGGAAUUCUAGCUCGUUGGCUACGGUGGCGGAGGAGAAGGAGAGGGAAGGGCUUUUCGUCUAGGAUUUCAGUGGAUUGAGUAAAGGAAGAAUGGUAGAUGGUAAUCAAUUUUUCUUUUUCUUUUUUUUUUCUAUUUGUAAUCGGGCCGAAUGGCUUAGUGGGGUGAGUUGAGUGGAGUAAACUUUUAUUUUUGGUUGGAUUGGGCUUUAUAUUUAGCCAUUAGUAGAUUUUUUUUAAAGUUUUGGCAUAAAUGAGACACUUACACAAAAGUGUUCCAAACAUGUGUCCCUAUAACCUAAUUCUGUUGUAGUGUAUUCAUCUGUCAAUUGUUGCAUGAUCCUUGAGUAAACUAAGCCACAUGAUACUUUUUUUGAGAGAGAGAUAGGUAGCACGCUACCCGCUUCGUUUAUUUCAUUUAGAAAUAAAUUUAGCUGGAAAUGUGAAUCAAUUAGUAUUCGAACUUAGGUCUCGGGUACCAACCACCAACCCUUUUGCCACUUGCUGUAGGGACGGUCGGUUAAGCCACAUGAUACUAAACCGCAUGUUCAAGCAUCCAAAAAAGCUCUUAAAUAAAACUGGUGUUUUGUUUGGUCGGAUAUAUGUAGUUAUAACAUUUGCAUUUAACACGCAUGGUACUAUUUAGUUGAGAAUGUUGCGACUACGGAUUUUAAGUUUUGGUUACUUGCAAUUGAAAGCAAUAUUCGUGCAUCUUUCUAUUUUAAAUGCGAGAUGGUGAGAUUAACCUCAAAGAAGCAAUCUUUUCUCUUUUCUUUUCCUGAUGAGGCAAAAGAUAAGUAAUUAAUUAUUUAUCGAGUAGAGUUACUUUCUCCAGCUGCUAAAUUAUGAUUUACAUCUAAUUUCGAUAUAGGACGAAAUGCAACAAUCAAGCCUUUAUCUGUAUAAAUCCAAUUAUUGUAUCUAAGUCCUACACUAUAGGUAAUUAAAUAGAAUUUUUGGAGCUUGCGUACAAUUGUACCUAUAUUAUAGCUUACAAUGUAGAUAAUCAAACAGCUGAUUAAUGCAAAGGGAUAUAACUAAUAAAAAAAAUGAUUGUUAAAGAGAGGAUUAUUUUGAGGUUAUAAUUAGGCGCAUGUGUGAUGACACAUUAAUGAAUAACUUUAAUUAGAAAAAAAAAAAAAAGAAGCAUGCAUAUAGUUUGUCACGUUUUAGGCAGUGGAGAAUCUAUGGUACAAUGCCAUGCAAUGUGACACCACCAACUUUUUAGCUACAAUAUUUCUUUCCUAAAUUAAGAAAUGAUUUUACAAUGAUAAUAAUUCAUUGUUCAUUGGAGGGAAUUAACCAUCCUACCAUGCAUUAGGCAUUCAUAAAUCUUUCAUUAUUAAAUAUAUAAUUAUUGUUGAUUGGCUUGUCUGUGAGAAAGUACUUUUUGGGUAGAGUUGCUUAUCAGGUAUCAACUGCUUCAUCAACAUCUUCUAAUAUAGCUUUUUGUUGCAGCAGAAGCCAGAGAUGAUGAAGCUGAAGCAAAGCUUAUACUUUUGGCCUCCGAAAAUCUUCUUAGCUUUUCUUAGAUCCCCACAAUGCUUUUUAGUUUCUAGUCACAUUAAUAAAUUCAGAAUAUAUUUUCUUUCUUUUUUUUUCUCCAAUAUUUCAUCUAUUGAUUGUUUAUCUUCUUCAAAAUAGCCUAUAGUUUUGAGGGGGUUGAAUAUAUAUUUUCUCACCAUAUCCUUCAACACCUUUUAAGGGUCACGGGUAGAGUCGGUAAUUUAAUUUUUAAUUCAAUGAAACAAUUACAAUGUUUAACGGAGUUUACAAAUAAGGUUAAAUUUGAAAGAAUGUAUAUAUUUAGAUAGGUAAGCAUGAUAUUACUGAUUUUGUAAGAGUAUUUAUGAUAUUUUCAACUUUUGAAAGGUAUUGGUGAAAUUAACCCUAGAAAUUAAGUUGUUUACAACUAAAAUGAGUGGUUUCUAAAUUUGAAUUUAGUGUUGGGUCUCAUUCGGUCUCAUGACGAUUAAUAACUUUCUAAGACAAUUGAUAUAUAUACAUACUGCUUGUGCUCUCAGUAUUGUGACCCAAGAUUGAAUCCCGCUUUUAGUGGGAAGUGUGCCUACGAGCAAGAGAUUUCAUAUACAACUUCUUUUUCUUUUUUUUCUAAGAAAACGGUAGCAUAUUACCCAUUUCAUUCAUAAAGUAUGACACCUUAGGUAUCGUUUGGUUUAGGGAUAAGCAAAAAAUGGCUAUUCCAAGCGAGGAUUAGAUCAAUUUUGCGUUUGGAUGAAAAUUGGGUUAUUCCUGAGAAUAAAAAAAAUAGCGUUUGGUUAGGUAAGAUGGAAUAAGAAAGAUAGUGAGUUUUUACAAAUAAAAAAUAAUCAUAUUAUCCUCUUAUUAUAUUUGAAUUUAAAUUUUUAAAAUUUUAAAUUUAUAUUUUUAAAUUUAAAAUUUUAACUUUGAAAUUUUAAAUUUUAAAAUUUAAAAUCUCAAAUUUUAAAUUCAAAAUUUUAAAUUUUAAAUUUCAAACUUUAAAUUUAAGAUCAAAUUUAAAUUUGAAAAAUAUAAAAUAUCAAAUUUUAAAUUUCAAAAUUAAAAUAUCAAAAUUUAAAUUUAAAUUUUAAAAUUUAUAAUUUAAAAUUAUAAACUUUAAUUUUGAGAUUAUAAAUUAUAAAUUUUAAAAUUUUAAAUUUUAAAUUUUUAAAAUUUUAAAAUAAGUAUUGGAGUGGAACAAUUAAUAAAAAUAAUUUAUUAUAAUAAAUUUAUAAAUUUUUUUUUAAAAAUUCUACUUAAACUUAAAUUUAAUAAAACGAAUUUAUUAUAAUAUUAAAUAUAAUUUAUUAUAAUUCUUUUAUAAAUAUUUAAUAUGAAUAAUAUGUAUUAAUAUAUUACAGUUAUAAAUUUAUGAUAAAUUUAUUACGGCUCUAAUGUGUAGGGUUUCUUUUUUUUCUUUUUUUUUUACUUUUUUGUGCAUGUGUUGAGGCCUAGUUGCCUCAUUCCUAUAGACUUUAAUUAAAGUCUUCUAAAAUUCUUAAUGACAUGCAAUAGCUGUCCUGUGAAAUAUUUCUUCUUUUUUUUUUUUUUGCAACCACAAAACCCACUAGCUGGCACUACUAGAAACAAGCUCCCCUUUUGAAGGUUCUCAACUCAUAAUACACAUCUCCCGUAGAUAUCAACUGUUGAGCACAUUUAGAUCUCCCACUUGUUUGGCAUCAGGGGCGCCUCCAUCAUACAUUUGCUGAUCACGCAACCUACAAAAGAGUGAUCAGCAAUCUAUAGUUCGUUUUGACACAUCAUACAUUCCAGCUUUUCCUACCAUUCCUUUUUAGACAGAUUUUUUUUUUUUAUCAGUACUUUCUUCCUCACGAUCAACCAGAUGAAAAUCUAAACUUUCGACGGGCAUCGAAGCGUCCAAACAAUGGCUGCUGAUCUUACCAAGAUCUAGACUUGCACCUUAGAAUCAAAACACAAUUGGCAAAUUAUGCAGUAUAAAGCACUGGGUUAAAGAGUGGUACAAUACUCAGGAUGUGACAAAUCUGAGCUUGGAGGUAUUUGGUACCACAGAACAAAAGUUGAACUUCCUACAAGAUCCUCCAGAUGUUGGUUUUUGUUUCUAAAAUAUGUUUCUUCCACAUGAAUGAACUUACAUGCUUACAAUUGUCAAUUACGUUGCUAUGAGAUUGUAGUUUCACAAAUUAUCAGGAAUAAACUAAACUGUUGUUCAAUUUUAGAGUCGAUUGCAUUAUGUUCAAUGUUUUUACAUAUCAAACUGAUAUUGUAAAAUCACUUUAAGACUCUUCAAAUUAUUUGUCGAAUUUCUUAUAUUAAGCUGCAAUAAUAAAUACCGUUUACAGAUAGGAUAGGAAAUCAUGUAAAAAUGAAAUAUUAUACAUCAUAUUAUCUCAAACUAUAGCACAUUUUCACGUUGUCAUCUUGUGAUCUAAAAAAUUGUAGAAACCUAUCCAUGACUUUAUUUUUGUUCUAAGCAAAGUUUUUCGAAAACCACAAGAUCAUAGAAAUGCUCACAAUAAAACAAAAGUAACAAGUUAGCAAAGUAAAAACGCGCUAAACCCUACAAUAGUUAAGUACAACUUUUUAAACAUUGAGUGACAAAGUAAAAAAUAUACUAGACCACAGCGAGAUAAAUUGAUGUUCACCCUUAAAAACAAAAAGAUUACAAAAUACAUGGCAAAACAGACAAUCUAGUUGUAACAGAGUGAUUGAUUCCAAAUUUCUGAUAUUUUCUCCUAUUAUCUGCAGAUUUUGCAUGUACAUUCUUCCUCGAAAAAACAGUAAAAGGAAACCUUACAAGUUUUAGUCUCACUUAAAUACAUCUACAAAAAUUGUGAAAGAUAGAAUGUACUGUAACCAAAGACAGUUAACCGGUUAUCGACCAAGAACUGCAUAUAGAUCAUAUCGGCAAUGUCCUCAGCAAAUGAAGCGCGCGAGUCCACUGUGGACCCUCAGAGAGAAUGAUCCUCUUUAGCACUGGUACCGCCCCUGCAGAAAUUAUUGCCGGGUGGUUCUCUGCAUCCAUGCUUAGAUUGUAUAAAAUAGCCAAACUAGAUUCAAUAACAUCACCCUUUCCCUCUUCAAUAAGCUUCACUAAAUGAAAUAUCCCACCGGCAUUUGCAACCGCCUUUGCAAAUUCCAUUGAUCCUCCGGAAAUUAUCCUCUUCAAUUCCAAUACCGCAGCUCUUUUCGAUUCGUAGGAAAAUGAAGUUCUAAUCUGCUCAAUGAGUCUCGGAAUUGUUUCGUAGAUGAUUACUUCCUUGUCGACAGUAAAAUUUACAUUAUUUAAGGCGGAACCAAACUUAGAUUCGAGCUUCACAAGGCAUGCUGCCACCCAGUCCUUCGUGCGGAGCGGAAUAUCAGAUUUUAGGAUUUUCCGAAGUUGAAUUACGUAUUUUGCAGGGUCUAUCGUACGAUUGAAUUGGUCAAAAUUUAACAACUUUGUGAGUAGUCUAGCGGCAGCAGAAGUUGCGAGGCCAAUUUCUUCUAUUUCAACGAUAGUUGGCUCAGGCUGGUUCUCAGUAUCAUCCUCCUCCACUGCACAAAAGUCAAGUAAAUCAAAUGUGUUAAAUUAGUAUUGUAUUGACCAAAUUAUGGAAUAGUAAGAGAAGUUCAGUAUUAGAUUAACCAGAUUUAUGUGAAAAAAUAAUCAAAAACAAAAAGCAAAAUACUGUUGGCAGUUUAGUUAAUCCUUCUCUUUUUAACAUUUUUUUCAGUUCACUCUUCUCAUUUCCCCCCGUCAGUUCUUCCACACGAACGAGAAAGAAAUCUGGGAAGAAAAUAUGGAUGGUUGGUGGUGGAUCUGGGGUGUCUCAGCAUUAGCCUUUCCUUUGGUUGGAAAGAUCCAGGGCAUCUAGACUUAGCUCUUCCUUUGGCCUCCAACCAAGGAGGCAAUCGGAUAUGACAGAUGGUGAGGCUUAACAAGUUGUAUUAGUAACGAUGCUCAAAAGGCAUCCAUGAGUGAUUCUGACAGCUGUAGACGGACAAAAUGGGAAAGACAGCCAAGAAGAAAAAGGAAAAAAAUAAAAUAAAAUAAAAAAUAAAAAGUACAGAUUUUAUUAGAACCGACGGUGCCCGAAAUUUUUGGAUAGCAAAGUUUCCAAAACUAAAGAAAGGUUAGUUUACUAAAAUCAAAAUUUUAAAGUUUAGGUACUCAUUUCAAGAUAGACUGUAGGUAGAGGUGUAAAGCGGGCCACCUUGGCCCAACCGGGCACCGCACGAGUACUUCACCCGUGCUGUGCUGGCCUAGCCCGAAUGUGUGGGCCAUGCUAGGCCGACUCCCCAAGGCCUGUCGGCCCGGCAUAGCACAACCCACAAUAGGCUGGGCUGUGUCGUGCCAGGGGAUUGGCCCGUAGCCCGACACGAAAUUUCCUGUAAGGAUUGUAUUUGCCAGGCCAGCACGGCUUUGACCUAGCCUUAGAGACCUAGUCUCCCUAGCUCCCUCAAGAGAAAGGCCUAGCCAUUAUGGCUAAGCCCUUCUACCAAGGCCUUAGGCCCAAGACUAAAGACUAAACAUUUGCCUUUUUAAGCCCUCAAGACCAAAUAGGGACCAAGCGCUACCCCUUCUCCUAAGGGUAAGACCUUAUUUUGGUUCAUUUAAAUAUAUCAAAAUCUAUUUAAGUGGAUCAAAAUAUCCUUCCCGACAGUCAAAAAUCAUACUAGUGGGAAGGGUAUUUCGGUCUAUAUAUUUUUUAAAAAAAAAUCAAUUUUUUAAAUUUUUUAUCUCUAUAAAUACUUUUUAAUUUUAUAGUUUUAUUUUAGAUUUAAUAAAAUUUUAAAAAGACAAAUAAAUAAAAUAAAUAAAAGGGCCAGAAUAGAGCGUGGCCCAACGUGGCACUGCCCAUGCCGUUUAGGCUAGGUGGACGUAUUGGACAGACGAUCCAAGAAAUUCAGCUCGGCGCGACACAAACCGGAUAAAUGUGGAUCGUGCUAGCCCAGCACUGCCGACAUUACACCCUAAACUACAAAUCAAAUAAGUAUGUUUUCAACUUCAUCUUUUAUCUUUUCCCUCCCUAUGACUCUUAUAUGCAAAUUACUAUAUAAGUCCGGUUUGGUUGUUUAAUAAGGUUUUCCUUUUCAAUAUAUUGCAUUUUACUUUUCUUGUAUGAAAUGUUAAAUAAAUCACAUAUUGUAACAAAGCUCUCCAAGUGACCAAAGUGAUCCGAGCAGAAUACUUGAUACAGGUUGUUACACUGUAGCUUAGUUACAGAACAAUAUAAAUAUUCAAGAAAAAGUGCAUUCUUUGUAUUCCAUUAGAUUUCGACAUAAUGGAUCCUUCCUCUACCAAAAUAGUGAUUUCUAGAUUAGCUUACACAAUUCUCCCCCCAAAUUAUUAUCAAACAAAACAACCCCCGAUAGAUCGAUGAAGAAGCAUAAUCUGUGCAUUAUAAGAAAUCUAGGCCUCUAAAGAGAGAGAACGUGUACCAUUCAGAACUCCCUUUUGAAAAACAGCAUCGAGUCCCGACUCAAUUCCAGCAGCAGUCAUUGAGGUAGUAUGUGGUUCAAAAUUUGCUAAAUACUCGAGGAAAGAAGCAACUUUUGUUUGCACACUUGGUGAUGCUUUCCUCAGAAGAUCAAUUAAGCGUGAUAUAAUACCAAAGCCAAUAAUCUCCAUCCUAUGAGCAUUUAAGAGCAAACUGUUAGUGUAGCAUUACAUAGAAAAGUUAGGGACGAAAGGAAGGUUCCUUCAAAAUAGAUGUUCAUUGCAAAGAUAUAAAAAUAAUGACAAAAGAAAUAUGUAAAUUGGGGUAUAAAAAGCAUUUGCAGGGGUUAGUACUUUUAAGAAGGUUUGGACAGUGGGAUUUAUAUAAUAAUGAAAUGCUCUAAGAUAUGCAUUUGGUAGCAUUUGAACAAGUUAUGAACGAUAGAGCAAUAAUAUCCAAUCUUUAGCGAGCAGAAGAAAGUCAUCACACUUCAUCAAUUCUUCUAAGGGUCAUUUACUAACUACAAAUUUGAAAGCUCAACCGCUAGAUAAAACAGCAAGAAAUGCUUGUUAACAUAAUAUUUCAAGUUAGACUGUUCUUGCUAAUUUAUCUUCCACCCCUUUCCGCAUAAGUCUAGGCAUAACCCUUCUUCAAACAUAUGAUAAAGCAAAAAACUGAUGACGAAAGGUUCACUAUCAGUUUAUCACUAUAUCACAAACUCUAUGUCCCAUGACAUGGCCCAAGAGUCAACUAUUUUGUUCUUGCAACAAAUCGCUAGUCCUUAAGUUUGUACACUACUUAUGAAAGGAAAGAAAUCCUUCAAAAGCAAGGUGCCAUGAGAUAGGUUAAUCGCCACAGUUUUAUGGUUGCAAUAAUCCUCAACACUUACUGUUAAAGAAAAAAUCGUCUAGGUACAUGCACCUUCCAUCAAUGUAGGGUUUACCAUUAGAGUUCAAUCAUUCCCUACCAGACGUCUCACCAUUUAAAGGGAAUGAGAUGCCUCAGAUCUUUCCUUCAGAGGGGACUUUUUACUAUAAUAUUUAGUAAUACACUUAAUUUCAUUGUUCAACUUUAACAUCAUUAUUCAUUAUUCAGCGCUUAACAUCACUAAAAAAAAGAAAGAAAACAGAUUUAUUUAUAGCCCAUCAUACCAAGUAAUAUCCAACAUCUCGAUGUUUGUUAUAUAAUACGGUUAAUUUCAUACGUGUCCCUGUAAAGAUACCAAAUAGCAAAUAUAUCUCUACAAAGUUUUAAGUUAUCAGAUUUGUCCCUCUAAAGUUUAAUCUUGUUGCAUAUAUAUCCCUAUUAUUAGUCCCUAUAAAAAAAAUUUGAUUAACCAUGGUAAAAAUAUUAAUCAUAGUCAAGAAGUAAAAUGACCUUUUCACUCUUGUUAUAUAUAAUUCUCAUUAACUAAUGGGUCCUAGGUUACAUGUGAAGUCAAAGGGUGUGACAAAGAGGAAGCUGCUAGGGGACGAACGUUCCUAUCGUUCCACGAAGCCCUCCGAUGUAGUCCUCGUGCAAAAUUAACUUUAUUAAGAAGAGGAGAUAAGUGAAGGAGAAGUGAUAGGUGCAGGAGGGGUGGGAGUUGGGUGAAGAAGAGGAGCAAGAGAAGAGAUGCCAACAACGAGGGGUUGGAUGGAUUUUAAUAGAGGAAGAAGAUGACUGUUGGGACUUUUCGGGAGUGCAUAUUUGCACACUCCUAACUGUUAGGACUUUUUAGAGGAGCAAAUUUGCAAUUGCAAAACUGUCAUUUUACUUACCAACUGUUAAUAAACAAACAAUAGACUAACGGCAACAAACUAGAGAGACAAAUGUAAACAUGUUAGAACUUCAAGAGGGGCAAAUCUGAUAACUUAAAAUUUUAUAGGGAGAUAUUUGCUAUUCAAUAUCUUUACAGGGACAUGACUGAAAUUAACCCUAUAUAAUUAUACCAUAUUAUUAAAGGAAUAAUAACCUUUCCCUUUAUUCUCUUUAGUAAUCGUUCCCAGCGCAAGUGGCAAAGGACUUGAUGGUUGAUACCCGUGGUCCCAAGUUUGAAACCUAGUUGCUUUACAUUUCCAGCUAAAUUCAUUUCUUAAAAAUGAACGAAGCAGGUAGCAUGCUACCUUUCUCCCAAAAAAAAAAGAAAAAAAAAAUUCUCUUUAUCCUGUCAAUAACCAGUAAUAAAAACUUAAAAGUGGAACCUAGCCCUUCCAGCAAAAGAGAUACAGUUGAAGCCAAAUUGGCAACUUCUAUAUAGCAGCAUUGGCAUCUUCAAAUAGCAUUUAUUUCCAUGGAUCUUUCUGGUAGCUAGAUAAUAAAUAAAAUAAAAAAAAAAUCUAUAUAAUCAAAUAGUAGUGCUUCACUGAACACGUAAUAACACUACCCAGAUGAAAAACUUCUGCAGCAUUACCAUCUUAUAAAUUUAUGCAAAUUCAGUCAAGAAAAGUCACAAACACCAACAAUAAAUACCAAAUAGUUACACUUCCUUUCCCCAUGAGAAGUGACAACUGCAGCUAUUUGAAGUCAAACUGCUUUCCAGAUUGGGCUUUUUCUCAACUUAGUACAGCAAUGUAUAAAAAGGGUUUACCAGUGAAGAUUCAGUUAAGUAGUUCUUGAACAAGAGAAAUUAAUUAGUACAGAAAAAUGGUUGGCUCAAUCAAGGGCAAAAUAAAUCUGGUAAAUAAUGGACCUUCAAGCGAAUGCAAUGCAAAACACCAUAUCAGGGAAACAACAAUAACCAACCUCGUCAUAGGUUCUUGCUUCAAUAAGGUUUGAAGAAACCCGCCAGCAUCAUCAGAACUAUUUGCCGAAUUCACCUUUCCCUCAGUUCCAUUGACAACUUUGUCAUCAAACUGUCAAAUUCAUCACAGACGUCUUACUAUUAAAAGGAUAACAAUCAAAAGUUUUCAUGAUAGUUACCAUCUCACUUACCAUUCUUUUCAAGCCAUUGCCUGUAUCAAAAAUUCGAGAAAGUAUAUCAAUAGUCUGCAAUAAAGAUUUUCUGUGAGCAUUUGGACCAGAUAAGCUAAACUUAUCAGGGUUUAUAAAGGAUAAGUUAGCUCAGGUACUGAAUAACCUUUUCGAGUAGGGCGACUGGUGUACUUGGGUCCUUCAAAAUAUUAAUUAGAGGCUCCAGAGCACCUUCUGCUUCAAUUGUCCUGCAAACUAUAUUGCUGCAGAAAAAAAACAAAGAAUAAGCUAAGAGGGUAAUAUUAUCAGAGUAUAUUUAAUUUUAAAGUUUCAGAACUGCCAAGUGAAUCGUUAUCAGGGUCAGUUUUCAAUGGAAUGUCAUGGUUCAACACUUUAACAAGGCAAGAGAAUUCAGUGCACAUUAAGAUCAAGACCAACAUGCUUACAAUGAUAGGCUUUGAGGCUCUGUAGAACUAGUCAAAAGGAAGCCGAAGUAUGUGAUUUGAAAAUCAAAUCUAAGAAUUCAUCAGGUUGAACUAGCUGCGUAGAACCAUACAUUGUUAAUUUGUUAAAUACCAAUGCCAUCACAUAGACAAAUAGGAUAUAAAGAAAGGUUAUUUCAAAAAUCCAAAACACGAAAAAAUAGAGAGAAUAAGCAGACAAAGCAUUAAAAAAAAUAAUAAUAAAGCUAAUGAAGAUGUUCGUCAUACUACAAUUUCUGCAACCCUCACUCAAACAAGCCAUAAGGUAAUCUGUGAUCACAUAGUAUUUUCAUCGUCUUAACACUACUUCAAAGGACGGAGAAAAUAGCACAGCUCAGUCUUUGAGGAACCAAAGCAUAAUUUUCCAUGACUAAUAAGCAGCAUGCACCAAGGUGUUGUCAAUCAAUUUGGUAGAGCUUGCUAAAGCAUGAAUUUCAGAGGUUUCUGACAAAAAUUUAUUUUCGGGUUAAAUAAACAAGUGGUUGACGAGUCGGCAAAGGUGAGAUCAACAAAUUAUCCACCAGUUUGUGUUCUGUGCUGAAAUUUUUCUGAUCUUCAACUGGAACAUCAUAGAAACUCUGGUCAAUUCAGGGGGUCAAUUGGCAUCUGUUGAUGAUACAAACACAUCCAAAAAGGGCAGAGUAUUCAUGAAGAGAGAAGAAGCAUUAGAGAAAAUGAGGACCUCACAAUGAGGAAGAAGAAAAGGCGAUGAAGAUGGAAGGUGUACACAGCUUCGAUGACCCAAAACACCUCAAAUCACUUAAUAAUCAAGUAUUAACUCAAUACCCACAAAUUUGUAAGCCCUAAAAGUAGUAAUAUACAAGUCACUACACUGAGUUCCUGGAGGAAUCCCAUAUCGUCUUCCAAGUAAUUCAACAAGCCUAUUAAAUGAGUCAAGCAUAACCAAUUGAAGCAAAUAGUUGUAUCUGCUAAGUUCUCUAGAGAUGAAUGUAAACAACAUUUCUUUUGCUGAUUUUAGGUCAUGUUCAUUUUGGCCAUGGUUCCAAGGUUCUUAAUAGUGAAGUUCAAAAUUUUGUUCAAGAAAACUUACGUCUAGUGCAUGCAAGGUGUUGCAGUCUAUUUGAAUAAAACAACGAAAAGGAAAAGGCAGGGUAUAACCACCUGAUACUUAGCUUGUCCAAUGCAUGAGCAACAGCUUCUCUGACAGUCAAUCUAUCAUGGUGCAGUAGCUGAACUAAUUGUCUAACAGCUCCAGCUUCCUUGAAAGAAUUACGCAUGUGCUCAUUUACAGAUGCAUCAGCAACUGAAUAAGCUGCCCGUAUAAUAGCAGAAGUAUCUUCAAGCCCAAGAAUCAAAACCAAUCUUGCAACACCAUCUAUCCAGGGCAAAAGAGUAUACUGUUCUUUCUGUGGAGAUUCAUUUUGAAUUUUUUCUCCAUCCUCCAUCUCAAUUGCACCGAUUCGUACAAGAAAUUGCUGUUGAGAACGCCCGACUAUUGCAUUCAUCUUAGCCUCUUCAAGUUUCAAGUUCUUCUCUUCAAUAUUCAAUCCAACAAGUAACUCAGACGCACCAUAUCUUGAAGGGCGCGAAUUUCGCUGAAUUUCAGUUCCAUCAGGUAAAGAGGGCCACGAAUGAGUUGAGGGUUUGAAAGCUUUAUAUGCUGCAGAACCCACAACAGGAACCCUAACUAAACCCUCUUCAAUUAUGAGAAUUCUGUAGUAUUCAUCCUUGCAAAGCUCAAGUAAUGCGGUUUUAGCUUCCUUUCUGAUGACUUUAUAGCCUUCCUGUUUGCCUUUUAGAAGAUCAGCCUGCAAACGAUUAUUCAUGUUUAGAAUGCAAAAAACAAGAGAAACAGGAUAGUUGUUGAUACAGAUGAGAGAAUGAACAGUACAUAUAAGCAAUCAGAUUAAUCUAACGGUUUUCUCAAGAUAGCAUAAUAUUCACUGAAUUUUGUUUGUACACAAUUCAUAUACAUUACUUUUACAUUGGACUUACUGUAAAAACAAAAAUUUAUUCUCAAUCAGUAGCUCUGAACCUAGAUUACAAACUAAUGUAAGACUGAAGCUAACUUACAGGCACUCUUUCAAGAUGUUGGAAUAGCAACUAACCGGCACUUCACUUUGGGCGGGCAUCUCCCACAAGCAAUAGUAACGUAUACAGAAAAUUUGGACAUGUUGAUAACUUGGAAGGAAAAAAAGGUGAAAAGCAAUGUCCGGAGUUUACAAUUAUGACAACAAUGAACUUGAGCACUAUAAGCACCAUUUCUUCCGACUGAUAUGCUAAUCAUUCUAAUAAUUUGAUGAUACUUAGUUAAGAUAAAAUGCUACCUGUUAACUCCAUAUAGGGGUGUACAUCUUAUACCCUUGCAUUUAGACCCCUUUUUAAUAUUUAGAGAGAGGGGGAGGGACGGGGUUGGGGGGGGGGNGCGCAGGCAGUGUGUGUGAAGUUUGAUAAGACAAGCGAGUAGAUCCUAGCCUUUCAGAGGCUAGGGUCUAAAAACCUAAGGUGUACAGGUAGCAUUGCUUGUUAGUUGAGAUUUUUGCAAUUACAAUUCAUUUGUUUGGAUGCAGUUCAAAGCUGCACUUGCAAAUCUUGUCAUUUUAGAUAUGGGAUAGUGGAAUUACCUCAAUGGCAAAAAAGUUUCCCUUUCUUGUUAAUGAGGUCUCCUAUCAUAGAGUAACUCUUUCGAACCGUUUUAAUUCUACUUACAUUCAAUUUGAGUGCAGGACAAGAUUUAGCAGUUGGGCCUUCAUUAGUAGGUCUAACUACAUCUACGUCAAGGGUUGUCAUGCCACUAACACAGGACUUGUCGUGGCAUGACAAGACACACUGGCACACCUCAGCACAAACCCUCUUUUCUAUCACGGCACAGGCAGCAUGAACAGCACACAUCAAUCAUGCCCACCUGUGCCAGCUGGCAAUAAUUGAAAAAACGUUAAACAAGAAAGUACCCAAUGGUAAAAGAAAACCUUGAUCUUAGUACAACAACAACAAACCAAGCAGAAUUUCAGGGCAUGUUAGCAGCUGCACCUACAAUGUAGUUUUUAGAUGCAGACAACCAAACAGCCCCUAGAAGAAGAUUUGAAACAUGGGUUGGCUUUGGUAAGUCACUAAGGACAUAUAUUGCACAAAUAGUAUCAUUUGUUCGAUGAAGUUUUCUCAAGACUAAUACUCAUCAAAGGCUGUAAUAACAAAUGCUAAGACAUUGCAAGCCUCCUUGUAUCAGUUUGAACUAUGAGCUUACUUGAAUUGAAUAGACAAGCAUUAAAUGUUUAAACAGUCUAAAGAGAGACUUACCAAUUUUGAAUAGACAAGCAUUAAAUGUUUAAACAGUCUAAAGAGAGACUUACCAAUUUUGGUAUUACCCCCACUUCGACCAUAAUGCCAUGAUUGGCAUGACUUAAAGCCAAAUUUGCAAGGAUCCCACCAGCUGCCUCUUUAACUUUUAUCUCUUCAUCAUCAAGAAACCUAACAAGCUUCGGUAGAAGAUCACUUUCUACGAUCUUCGGUCUAAGCUUCUCGUCCACAGAUAAAUUCCACAAAGCAAAUAAACCUUGCUCCUUAACCUGCAGAUACAUGCCGGCAACAGAUCAGCUCUAUCAGCGACAAAUUUUGAAGAGAUGCUUAAAUAUAUCUCUUUAUAUACUCAGCAAGAUCAUUUAUAUACAUCUAUAGCUGCAAAAUCUGGAUGUUCAUAUAUGCCCACCCUUGUACUUGGAAAAAGCUCCCCUCUUUAGAAACUUUAUUCUAAUAUAAAACCAACUUCUUCCCACGAAUUUAAUAACAUCCAAACUCCAGAAUAGUUUCGUAAGAACAUGCACUGUCAAAGGGUACAUAUGGAAAUUCAGAAUUUACAAGUAAGGAUUUAAGUGCCAUAGCACGGGAUCGUGCCGGAAACUUGCCGGCACGGUACGGCACGGUGAGUGCCGAGCCGUGCCGAUGCGUGCCAAUCAAAAAAAUUCUUGUGUGCCGACACAUAAUAGUAUGAAAUAUUUAUUUUCUUUAGCAAUAAAAUAUUCUAACCAUUUAUUAUGUCUUUUUAUCACAUCUUUUGAACAUUAUUGAGAAAAUUACUUACUAAUUUAAAGAAUAGAGGGUUUUGAGCUGUGCCAUCGGCACGGGGUCUGUAUCGUGCCGCUAUCUUGUUGGCACGGUACAGCACAAUGGAUACGGCCCGUGCCGACAGGCACUUAAAACCUUAUUUACAAGGGUAUACAAGUUUCUAGGUGAUUUCGCAAGGUUACAUACAUAAAAACCCAAUUUUAAGUACCUCUGGGGCAAUUGAAGAUUGGCAAAGAAGACUAGAAAUUUCCUCUAUUGCUCCACUUUCGGCAACAGCAUCCCUGUAUAACUUUACAGAAGUUACAUUUCGUAGAAGACCUGCGGCAGCUUCACAUGUAGAACAAGACUCGGAUUUGAGAAGGCUGGUGACAAGAUUAAUACAGCCAGGAAACUGCAUGAUAUCAUCAAUACACUUCCGUCCUCCUUGUGAGUAUUGCCAGAGUGUAAUAAUGGCAUGCUCCCGGUCUAACGGGUCAUUGUCUAGGCCAAGCAUUCGAACAAAAAGACCUAUGUAGGCUUCCCCAGAAGUCACAGUUCUGCUCAAUUGUUCAAUAUCCUGAUCAAAAAUAUUCAAGGACACAUUAAUUUAAAGGGAAUCAUUUGCUUAAUGAUAUACUGACUAGAAAAGCAUAAGAAAGAAUGAAAAGCAUUGUAACGUUGAAAGUUAACAAAAUCUGCAGUACAAAACAACUCAAUCCAGCAUUCAAAUAAAAGUAUCAUCUCGACAUGAAACUCUAUGAAUUGAUACUUCUUCAAGAACAAGAUUCGCUCUUAUUAUAGAUACUAGGUGGAAAUACAGCACCUAAAACAAGUAACUGAGGGAAUAGCUAAAACACCCUAAACAAGUAACCGAGGCAAUAAAAUCUCUAUGUUUCCAUUUACUCAUCUAAUAUCAUUGUCGAACAACGUUCACUUGCCACACCAGUGCUCCAAGAAACAGGUGAUGAACAAAUUGAUGGUCCAAGAAUCAAAUCAUUGCCAUACCACAUGAGUUCAAUAGUUAGGAUGGAGUUCUCCAUGUAAAUUUCACAGGAACCCCAGAGCUUAUUUUGCAUAUAUAUAUAUAUAUAGGUCCGAAUUGUUUUCAUCCUCCCUACAUCCAAUGUUGAGGUUGCUACAAGAAACGGGAGAAACAUUGGCUUAAAGCUGCUUCGACAAAAAAAAUUUCCGUAAUAUCCCAUAUUUCAUGAGGUCCCUCCUAAGACACAUCCAAAAUUCCAUCAUUUACAACUCAAAAUUAUGUCAUUUUACAACUCAAAGGAAUGUCACUUUACAACUCAAAGUAAGGUCACUCGGGACUAAAUAAAAGCAUAAUAGUUUCAAAAUAAGUGCCAGUUCGUCCCACUUCUACUUCUGUUUUUAGUUGCAGUCACCUUCCAAAGUGUUCAGCAAUAAGCCCAUAACUUCGAUUGCGGUGAGAAACAGAAAUGCAAUUUUGAGUAGGGAUGUCAACGGGUCGGAUGCCGGGUAGAUUUUCAAAAAUCCGAACCCGAACCCGACUCCAAACCCGAACCCAAACCCGAACCCGACGGAUUUUAAAAAUCCAUACCCAAACCCCCAAACCCAAACCCGAAAAUCCGAACCCGAAAAAAUUAUUUCACUUUUCAAUAUUUCAAAUAUAUUACAUUAAAUCUAAAUUUUUAAAAUACAAAUUUUAUAUACAUAUUAUAUACAAUGUAAAAUAAAUUCGGGUUCGGGUCGGGUACAAUCAAAAUCCAUAUCCGAAUCCAUAUCCGUCAGGCAUUUGGUUUUUAUAUCAAUAUCCAAAGCCAUAUCCGCUUAGCAUCGGGUAAAUCCGCUCCUUUCGGGUUCGGAUUCGAAUAAAAUUUCGGGUAUCUGUACCCAUUGACAACCCUAAUUUUGAGGCACAAAAGCAGAAAAGACCAACCAAUUCAGAGAUUUCAAUUCUGCUGCACAGAGAAUCUAUUUGUAAAUUUGCAAUAUAGUAAUUCUCCAAACAACACUACUCAAAAAACACUUCACCAAACUCUCAAACCUCAAUCGAUUCAGUAGCUAAACCAAUUCAAAGAUUUCAAUUCUGCUGCACAGAGAAUCUAUUUGAAAAUUUGCAAUAUAGUAAUUCUCCAAACAACACUACUCAAAAAACACUUCACCAAGCUCUCAAACCUCAAUCGAUUCAGUAGCUAAACCCUCCUGGCUAUUAUAUUGCAUAACUUCCAAAACAAACGCCUCUCACAUGUUCGACGAUAUUCCCCACAGAAUCCUACGACCAAUCGAAUACACAACAAAUAACACCACUUUCACAUUCAAAUCAUAUCCACGAAAACAAUAAAACAACCAACAUCAAUUUCCUCCUGGCCACCAUAUUAGGUAACCUUCAAAAACAUGAUUCCUCUCACAUGUCGACGAUACUCCCGACAGAAUCCUGCGAGUAAUCAAAGCAACAACAACUAACACCACUUUCACAUUCUAAUCAUAUACACGAAAACAAUAAAACAACCAACAUCAAUUUCCUCCUGACUACCAUAUUAGGUAACUUUCAAAAGCAUGAUGCCUCUCACAUGUUCGACGAUACUCCCCACAGAAUCCUACGACUAAUCGAAGCAACAACGACUAACACCAAUGCCUCUCACAUGUUCGACACUACUCCCCACAGAAUCCUACGACUAAUCAAAGCAACAACAACUAACACCACUUUCACAUUCGAAUCAUAUCCACAAAAACAAUAAAACAACCAACAUCAAUUUCCUCCUGACUACCAUAUUAGGUAACCUUCAAAAACAAGAUGCCCCUCACAUGUUCGACGAUAUUCCCCACAGAAUCCUACAACUAAUCAAAGCCACAACAACUAACACCACUUUCACAUUCGAAUCAUAUCCACGACAACAACGAAUAACCAAACACCAGUUUCUCUCACCUGGGGAGAGGACCCGGCACCGCCGCCGUCGUCGGCGGUGGCACCCGCCAGUAGGCGGCGGCGGCGGCGGAGGAGGGGAACAUCCGGGGGGCGGCGGAGGCGGAGGUGAGGAGAGUGUGGAGGGGUGAGGAAGAAGGGUUUGGAGGGGGGAAGAGGAGGAAGAGGAAGAGGAAGAGGGAGGAUUAAGGAAGAGAGAGCGAGCAUCGUAAUCGUCGUAAUAGUAGCAGCAGUAGUAGUAGUUAGAAGAGAAGUACAAGAAGAAACACGCACGCUCUUCGUUUCUCCCCCUCUUGUGAGGACUGAGGAGAGGAGAAAUGGGGAUUACCCAACGACCGCCAACAGAUAAAUCUAGACGCUUCUAACCCAAUGGAUGCAAAUGGAUCCGGGUUUGUAAAGCUUCCGCCCUGUGAGAACAAAAAAAAUAUAAAAAAAAAUAUAAUCUAUUCUGAAUCCAUUCCGUGCCACCAAGUAAAUAAAACGAAAGACAGGAGAUUCUUUUCUUCCUUCAAUCCGUCCCGAUCUGUUAAAAAUCCGGCAAAAAUUCACUCCCGUCCCAAAUAGGGCGGUAAGUGAGAGCAAAAAAUAAAAUAAAAAAUAAUCCGUCUCGAAUCCGCCCCGCCCGGGCAAGAAAUGGAGCGAGAGGUGGAGAACCCUCCUCCAAUCCACCGUGUUUGUAUCCCUACUUUCCACUUCGGUCUCUAGCUUUGUCUCUAAUUAGUUUUCUUUUUUUGGGACGGGGAUAAGGCUAAAUUACUCUGUAAAUAAUUAUUUUUUAUUUUUUUAUUUUUUUAUUUUUAAAAAUCUAUAUUUGUCUCCUAAAAAUUUUAAAAAUAUUUUUCAGAGGGGUACGGCGUUAAUGUAGAGGGCAAAAUAACCAAAUUAUGAAAGAAAAAUUAUUUUUUAAUACAUUUUCGUCAUUUUAAAAGAAAUUUUUAGUAUAAAUUAUAAAAAAUGAUCGGAAAAGUGAUGGAACACUGAAGGAGGGGAGCUAAAUGCAAUAACUUAAAAUGUUGAGAGGGUAAAAUAUAGAUUUUUGAAAGUUAGAAAGAGAAAAUUUAAAAAAAAAGUAUUUAUAAGGAGUUUUCCAUAAUUUAGUCUUUCGAUAUGGAGUUGAGUUGCUAUGCUUUUAAAAGGCGAUUUUUAGUGCAAUAACCCUCCCCUAAAAUUUUAUUUUAAAAAUAGACCCGUUAAAUUUUAAUUUGUAAAUAUGGUCCUAUAAAAGCGGUGAAUCAUUCACCGCUUUCUUUCUCUUUCUCACUUUUUUCUAUAUUUCUACGAUGGUAAAAGCGGUGAAUGGUUCACCGCUUUUAUUCUUUUUCUACUUCUAGAGAAGAGUUAUGAAUGCGGUGAAUCAUUCAUCGCAUUUAGAGGUCUAUUUUAUAAUUAUUUUUUAAAAAAAAUUAUUUUUACAAUUAUAAAAAUCAAUAGGAUUAUUUAUAAAAAAAAUUCUUUUAAAAGCACAAAAACAUCCAUGCUUAUAAUUUUUUAACCGUUGAAUCGUCUCAGGAUUCGUACAGUACUAGUAAAAAAAAAAAAUCUUAAUAGGAUACACAAUUAAUAGUACUAUAAAAAUUUUGAGUCAAUUCGACGAUUAAAAUCACAAGCACAGAUAUUUUUAGUUUAAAAGUACACUAGUGUAGUUACCCGCACGAUGCGACGAGUAGAUAUUAUCAAAAUAAUUAUUUUUUUUAGUCAUUGUUGAUCGUCGAUAAUAUUUUGGAGAAAUAAGUCUAAAAUAUACAGUUCAUCAAAUACAUAGAAAAUAAUACUCUAAAUAUGAAAUGAAGAACAUUAGUUUAAAUAGUUCGCAAGAAUUGGUAAAAAACUACUAAAAAUAAUUUUUUAUAUGUAUUCACUCAACAAUCUAUACAAUUAAACUCAAAGUGAAGAAAGUGAUUAAACUAUAAAAAAAAGAUAAAUACACGUCUACAAGAUAUAAAAUCUUUAGAAUUAAACAGUAUACAGGAAACAUAAAUAACGUAAACAAUCGUACAUACAAAUAAAUCACAGAAUAUGUCCAAAAUUUAUGGGUUCUCCCUUGUAUAGAGGAGCAAUAAGGGUACCAAAAUUCUAAGAUCCUCCUUGUCGAUGAUGUUGAACCUCUGGCGAAAAUACUUGUGAAGAACCUCCCAAACGACAUUGGACACCUUGUUCCCCACCUCAAGGAUCUGAUCUAUAGAGUCGAAAAUUAGAUCGAUCAAAGACAAAAUCAAUAGAAAAUAAUGCAAAACCCUACCAAUUCGAGGCGAUUUUGAACCGUGGGCAAGAUUUGCCAAAACUUCUUGAGCAUACGUAGAGAGAGAGAUUAGUGACGGAUAAAUAUUACUAAUAAUUCAAUAGAGAUGAGACAAUUAUAUUAACUCAAUAGAGAUGAGACAAUUAUAUUAACAAAAUCUCUAAAACACAAAAAAAAAAGAAUAUUAGUAAUUUAGCAAAGUUUUUAUCAAGAGUCUUGAUGAACUGGUUCAAAGUGGGGAGCACCUUCAACCUCUGCUUGAGAAUUCUACUCUGUCACUAGAUGCGCACCACCUUCAGCACUUCACGAAGCAAAUGAAGUCCCUCUUCAGCUAGAGAGCUCUGCCGAUCCCGAAGAGGAUCAUUCCAUGACACCACUUUGAGUAUAGCUUUGGAGGGUACAGAAGAGGCAGAAAUCCUAAAAGGAGUGUGAGAGAUAAAGAAGAGAGGGUUUAUAAAAAACGUGUGGAAAAAGUACCAACAAAUCUCGUAUGGUCUCGACCAUUGAAUAUAUUGAUGAGGAAAUGAUCGGUUUAUGUCGAUCGUUCGAUUGAAGAUUGUAAGGGUUUGGAUUAAAUUGAUGUGUGGUGUCUCUUUUGCAAAGACUCGUAGUGGUUAGGGAAGAAUGGGGAGUUACAGAAAAGGGGGAAGACGGAGGGACGCAGGAAGAAGAAAGGAAAAGGGAUGACACAUGAGUUAUAUAGAUGGUUGUGGAGAAGAAUGAGGAGUUAUACAGAGGAGGAAAAUGAAGUGACACAGGGAGGGAAAGAGAAGACGGAGUCACGGGAGUUACAUAGAGAGAGAGGGUAAGCGAGCCAUCUAAAUGAGAAAAAAAAAACUCUUAAAACAAGGAUGUUGCGCCACGUCAGCAAAAUUAUUGGGAAAUAAUAUAUGUUUAUAGAUUUAUAGAUUAUUGGGAAAUAAUAUAUGUUUAUAGAUGUUGCGCCAUGUCAGCAAAAUUAUUGAGAAAUAAUAUAUGUUUAAAGAUGAGCACAAUUCAUAUCUAAUAUUGCCCUUCAAAACUUUCAAAAUAUCUAACAUAUAUCUAUUAAUCAAAAUACCUUUAUUAAUUUUCAAAAGUUUCUUCAAAAAUCCAAACAUCUGAGAUUUAGUAAUGGAAAUUGGGAUUUAGAAGGGUACUUAGAUAAUUUUAGGUUAAAUUUGAAAAUUUUGAAUAGUAGCCAAGAGUAAAUAAGCAAAAUCCUUCUUUUUUGGUAUAAAAUUACAGAACUUAUUUAUACUAUGGAUCAUUUUGAUUCGACAAUUCAAUCUGUGAAAAUUUUAACUUUACUACCCAACUUUUCGAUUUAUUUGAUUUCAGUUGUCAACGACACUUUGACCUUAAAAUUUAAACGCAUUUUGUAGAUUUAGUUAGUAUAAUUCAUGUAACUUGCGCUACUAUACAUUUAUUAAAAUAAAUAAUAGCUUAGAUUUUUAAGAGAAUUAUACGAAUUAUUCUGUGUCGUUAGAUAUAUUUAGUUAGUACAAUCCAAUCUUUUUCUUUUUUUUUUUUCUUUUCUUUCACUAUACGCAUUCUUUUCUGCUACUGCACCCCUCCCUUGCCCUUUGCCACAACUGCCGCCCCUAUCCAGACGUGCUCUCUCUCUCUCACCGUCGUCCUCAAAUACCGCAACACCCUCAUCACCGUCACUAUCACUGUCGUUGCCACCGCUCAUGGCUACGCCCUCCACCAAAGUCUCACCUCAACAAUCUAUACUGCAUUAACUCCGGCGUCGGCGGAGGUGUGGGCAAAAUAGGAGAGAGAAGCACGGCAUUAACAUGGAGGUGGUGGAGGAGGGAAGGGAAGUGGGAGGAGAAAGAGAAAAAGGAACAGCGAAGAGGCAAGAGAAAAACGAAUUACAGAGAAAGGCAAGAAAAAGAGGAAUAAAUAUAUUUUGGUUAGUUUACUAAAAUUCAAUUCUAAUUUGCAAAACUUAAAAAAAUGAUAUAUUUUUGCAGAAAUGCAAGACCAAAAAAAUGAUAUAUUUUUGCAGAAACGCAAGACCAGUGACUUCUUUAUGCAAAUUGGCCAGUUAUUACUAAAUUAUUUAUCUNGAAAUGUGAAUCAACUAUGAUUCGAACUUGGGACCUCAGUACCAACCAUCAAGCCUUUCGCCACUUGCUCUAGGGAUGGUCGGUGAGAAGAGUUAUGAAUGCGGUGAAUCAUUCACCGCAUUUAGAGGUCUAUUUUUAUAAUUAUUUUUUAAAAAAAUUUAUUUUUACAAUUAUAAAAAUUGAUAGGAUUAUUUAUAAAAAAAUUCUUUUAAAAGCACAAAAACAUCUAUGCUUAUAAUUUUUUAAUCGUUGAAUCGUCUCAAGAUUCGUACAGUACUAGUAAAAAAAAAAAUCUUAAUAGGAUACACAAUUAAUAGUACUAUAAAAAUUUUGAGUCAAUUCGACGGUUAAAAUCACAAGCACAGAUAUUUUUAGUUUAAAAGUACACUAGUGUAGUUACCCGCACGAUGUGACGGGUAGAUAUUAUCAAAAUAAUUAUUUUUUUUAGUCAUUGUUGAUCAUCGAUAAUAUUUCAGAGAAGUAAGCCUAAAAUAUACAGUUCAUCAAAUAUAUAGAAAAUAAUACUCUAAAUAUGAAAUGAAGAACGUUAGUUUAAAUAGUUCGCAAGAAUUGGUAAAAAACUACUAAAAAUAAUUUUUUAUAUGUAUUCACUCAACAAUCUAUACAAUUAAACUCAAAGUGAAGAAAGUGAUUAAACUAUAAAAAAAAGAUAAAUACACGUCUGCAAGAUAUAAAAUCUUUAGAAUUAAACAGUAUACAGGAAACAUGAAUAACGUAAACAAUCGUACAUACAAAUAAAUCACAAAAUAUGUCCAAAAUUUAUGGGUUCUCCCUUGUGUAGAGGAGCAAUAAGGGUACCAAAAUUUUGAGAUCCUCCUUGUCGAUGAUGUUGAACCUUUGGCGAAAAUACUUGUAAAGAACCUCCCAAACGACAUUUGACACCUUGUUCCCCACCUCAAGGAUCCGAUCUAUAGAGUCGAAAAUUAGAUCGAUCAAAGACAAAAUCAAUAGAAAAUAAUGCGAAACCUUACCAAUUCGAGGCGAUUUUGAACCGUGGGCAAGAUUUGCCAAAAUUUCUUGAGCAUACGUAGAGAGAGAGAUUAGUGACGGAUAAAUAUUACUAAUAAUUCAAUAGAGAUGAGACAAUUAUAUUAACAAAAUCUCUAAAACAAAAAAAAAAAAAGAAUAUUAGUAAUUUAGCAAGGUUUUUAUCAAGAGUCUUGAUGAACUGGUUCAAAGUGGGGAGCACUUUCAACCUCUGCUUGAGAAUUCUACUUUGUCACUGGAUCCGCACCACCUUCGGCCACUUCACGAAGCAAAUGAAGUCCCUCUUCAGCUAGAGAGCUCUGUCGAUCCCGAAGAGGAUCAUUCCAUAACACCACUUUGAGUAUAGCUUUGGAGGGUACAGAAGAGGCAAAAAUCCUAAAAGGAGUGUGAGAGAUAAAGAAGAUAGGGUUUAUAAAAAACGUGUGGAAAAAGUACCAACAAAUCUCGUAUGGUCUCGACCAUUGAAUAUAUUGAUGAGGAAAUGAUCGGUUUAUAUCGAUCGUUCAAUUGAAAAUUGUAAGGGUUUGGAUUAAAACUGAUGUGUGGUGUCUCUUUUGCAAAGACUCGUAGUGGUUAGGGAAGAUGGGGAGUUACAGAAAAGGGGGAAGACGAAGGGACACAGGAAGAAGAAAGGAAAGGGGAUGACACAUGAGUUAUAUAGAUGGUUGUGGAGAAGAAUGAGGAGUUAUAGAGAAGAGGAAAAUGAAGUGACACAGGGAGGGAAAGAGAAGACGGAGUCACGGGAGUUACAUAGAGAGAGAGGGUAAGCAAGCCAUCUAAAUGAGAAAAAAAAAACUCUUAAAGCAAGGAUGUUGCGCCACAUCAGCAAAAUUAUUGGAAAAUAAUAUAUGUUUAUAUAUAAUUAGGAAAUAAUAUAUGUUUAUAGAUGUUGCGCCAUGUCAGCAAAAUUAUUGGAAAAUAAUAUAUGUUUAUAGAUGAGCACAAUUCAUAUCUAAUAUUGCCCUUCAAAACUUUCAAAAUAUCUAACAUAUAUCUUAUUAAUCAAAAUACCUUUAUUAAUUUUCAAAAGUUUCUUCAAAAAUCCAAACAUCUGAGAUUUAGUAAUGGAAAUUGGGAUUUAGAAGGGUACUUAGAUAAUUUAGGUUAAAUUUGAAAAUUUUGAAUAGUAGCCAAGAGUAAAUAAGCAAAAUCUGUUUAAUCCUUUUAGGAGCCAUUUGGUUAAAUGUAAUUACAAAUGCAGUGUAAUUGAAGAUGCAUGCAGUUGAAAAUGGAGCAGUUACAACUACAUGCAUCAUGUUUGGUUGGAUGUAGUGGAAAGCGCUGUAACUAUAAAUAAUUUGUUUGAUUGCAUGCAGUCGAGAAAUAAUUUUUAAAAUUUUAUCAUUAUAUAUCUAUAUGAUGGUAAGAUUACCUCCAAUGUAAAAAAAUUUUAUUUUUUGUUUAAAAAAUAUUUAAAGAGGUAAAGUUACCUUUUGUUUAAAGUUGCACUCUCUAACUGCUGCAGUUGAAACUGCGGCCGAUUUGGGCGUAGUUCCAACUGCUGCAGUUGGACCUCCUCCUGCAGUUCCUACUGCAGCAAUUGGAUUUAAAUACAUCAAACCAAACACCGAAUUUGCAUUUGCAUACAGUUACAACUGCCGUACAGGCAACUACAUGCAACCAAACAGCCCUUUAGAUUCUAACAUCUUCGUCAGUCCAAUCACACACACAGUCCAAGAUCACCAGACGAUGUGAGGCUUACCUCACACUUUCGGUGAGUACACACACAGUCCAAAAUCACGAGACGAUGUGAGGCCUACCUCACAGUUUCGGCCAGUAAACCAGAAUCGGCUCUGAUAUCAAAUAUAACGAUCAGACUCACUAGUAAUAACAACUCUACAUGAAUUGACAGAAAAACUAGUUUAAUUAGCAGUUUAUAACAUGCGAAAACUAAUUAGAAAAAUUACAGGAUCAAUUUUGCACCAAGACACUGGAUACCUGCAAACACAGUAGCUAGUAACAGAUCUCAAGAGAGUCGAAGUACAACAACCCAAAGAUGAAUUUAUCAUAGUCGAAAAUCGUAAGAUCAGAAAAGAGAACAUGUAAAAGCAGGAAUUAGCUGAUCUGCAGAUCAUAAAAACCUCAUAUUUAACAACUACAGAACAUAGAGAACCACAGUGACGGGCUCGAAUCAGAUCUUAUAGAGAAAGGAAGAGAUGGACAUGGUUUUUCAUUGUCAGUUGAUAGUUUGAAGCAACAUCGCAACGAACAGAAAAAGUUGAUAAAAAAAGAAGCAAACAGCCGACAUUAAGGUAUUAUUUACUCCAGAAAAGUUUACAAAUGCACAAGCAACCAAAAAGGCGAGUAUCCACAACAGCAAGACCAAAUAGCAAAAAAAAAAAAAAAAUAUUACAUCCUUACACUCGAGAACUCGAAAUCGUGGAGGCUUUGCUAUUUACAAUAACAAUAAACAUUCACCUUCCCUUGCUUAUUGAGCCGACAGAUACAAAAACAAUCAAUAGCCCUCAAACUGAACCUUUACAACUGCUGAAUUGCACAAAUGAUCCUGGAACAUUACGAGUACCCGACCUUCAAAUUUACGCGCUCAACAUCUUGAGCAGAUUGAAUUUCUCAUUGUAACCGUUCUAAUCAAUCACCUUUAGUGGAAUUAACCGAAAGGCCAACUACGCCGCUAUUUAUGAAACACUUACAAGCAACUUCACUGCAACUUGUCAUGAUACUGAGAGUAUCUACCAAAAUUUGAAAGGGAAUGUUUGAAGCAAGAAAAUUGUGUACGAGGUCGAAUUUUUUGAUUUGGAUGUGGCUUUCGAGUGUAUCAUACACGGAAAGACUACGAUUAAAUAUAAAAGUUCAGAGGCAAAAUGCUUACAUUCGAAGGUCAAGUACUAAAACUGAAACUUAGGACCUAUUUGGUAUUGAUGCCGUUAUUUUUUUUUUUUUUUUAAAAUUCUAUGUGAUUCGAUACGCCUGCGGAUGGACUUUUCUUCUAUGGUCAUCAUUGGCUAGCUCGCAAUGUGACCUGAUUGGACGCUAAGAGUAGUGUCUUCCUCAAACAAGCAAAGAACUUGAAAAAAAGGUUACUUCCAAGUAUUUGCCUUUUGUUGCCAAACAGACACAGUAUAGAUGUACAGACUGCACGCAGUCCACCAUCCGCACGCGCAUUCUAUCGCGCAGAAUUAACAAAUGCAAGAACAAAAAGAAUGACGGCAACAAUACCAAAUAAGACCUUAGCAAUUAGUUUAGGGACCAUUAGUGCAAUUCACCCAAGAUAGUUUUGAGGAAGCUAAAAAAAAAAAAUCAAGGGCAACUGGAGAGAAGGCUAUUACUGUCAUUGGUGGAUUUUUGGGGAGAGCACCGGGUGGGCAACCGGCACGACAUAGGGCACAUGUCCAGGAGGAGGGAGCAUAACCGGAGUUCCAAUUGCAGAUAUCAUAUGGCCGGGCACAGGAUGCCCUAACGGCGGCCCGUACAUUCCGACUGCCGGGAUCGGAGGCUGAGAAGGGAGAGGUUGGUGAGCCAUAGGCGGACGUAUGGUCGCAGGGUGGGUGCCAUUGCCCUGGCCGGUGAUCGGGCCUUGUGGUGAAGAAGAGACCUCGCCGGAGUUCACGCUCGUGAUGUCGUGGAUGCUCGAUCUCCGGCGGUCUCUGUUUAUCGAGUUGAGGCGGAUGAAGUACUUCUGGGCGUGGCUCGCUACUUGGGUCGGAGUUCUUGAGAUGACGAAGUUUCUCGAUAUGCUCCUCCAGUCUCCCUUGCCAAAUUUGUCGAGGCCAAGCAAGAACAACCUGCACAAUAUCGGGAACAUCAUAAGUCCACAUCUCAAGAACAUCAGUAGCUUCAAUUUCACUUGCGGUGUAGAUUCAAAUUUAGACUUUUCUCAAGCAAUAUCGGCUUACCGAGAUUCACCACGCGAAUUCACCAAGCCAAAUUCGGGUAACGGAAAUUAAAGAAAGCCUAUCUAAGUGGAAGAAGAAGUAUUCUAAACCAUUUGCAACAACUAAAAGAGUUUUUAUGUAAAAUUCUCGCAGAAACAAUUAUGAAAGAAAAAUAGAAACAAUAAUUUUAACUGAGACCUACACCUCAAAGAGGAAAAUUAGAAUUUAAAUCUCUCUUUUAAAUUUCUCUUCACAAUUUCAAUAUGCUAGCUUGUUGCACAAAUACCAUCAUGCUUGAAUCAUACAGUUAUUUAAUCAUAUGGUAUUAAGCAUUCCAAAUUCUAUGCAUAACAAAUGAAUUUAGGUAAAAAUGUACACAAUUUACCAGAACUAUGGACCAUUUUGAGUCAGCCACCCACCUCUUCAAUUUGUUUGAUUUUGAGCCAGUCAAUGGUGAUUUGACUUCAAAAAUUUAGCUAAUUACUUAAUUUGAUUUAUAGUUGCGAGAAUUUUAUAAAAUAUACAGUCGAAACCUGUAAAGAUAAAUGAUACAUUCAAAUUUUGAAGUCUAAGUGUCUUUAUCUGGCUCAAAUCAAACAAAUUAAAAGUUUGAAUAGUAAAAUCAAAAUUUUGAAAAGUUCGAUAGCUAACUCAAAAUGGUCUAUAGUUUCCGUAAGUUCGGUACGUUUUUACCGUGAAUUUAUUACCUCACUAUGUAAACAUACCAUUUCAUCUCGAUUGAAUAAAUUACAGAUUUUUACUAAAUUUUACAUCCAUUUUUCAAACAUAUCAUCCGUAUUACAAUUUGAUCCCAAUUUCCUCAUUUUAAGCUCAAAAUCUUCAAUUUACUUCCAUAUUUAAUCACAAUUUCAUCCAAAAAAUCUCCAAAUUUUUCCCUUCAAAAAGUUACAAAGAGAUUAGAUAAUUGGGACGAACCUGUGUUCUUCUUCGGUCCACGGGAUCCCCUUCUUCCUCUCCUGCUCCGAUUUGGAGCAACCCUUCCCCACCUCAAACCCUAAUCCCUUCUUCUCCCCAACCCCUUGCCCCUGCCCGUGCCCGUGCCCGUGCCCGUGCCCCUCCUUCCCCGCCGCCGGAGGAUGCGGCGGCGCCGCCUCCUCGCCGGAGUAGCGCGGGAUCGGGACCCUCCCGGCCUCGAUCGCCCUCACGUCCUCCACCAAAAUCUCGUAGUGCCGCCGCACCUCCGCCGCCGUUUUCCCCGGAACCCUAGCCGCGAUCAUGUCCCACCAUUUCCCGUCCCCUCCGCCGCCCUCCUCGCUUCCCCCUCCUCCUCCUCCGCCCCGCUCCGCCCCCGCCACCUCCGGCGGCGCCACCGCCGCCACCGCGUUCUCGAACGCCUUGUUGUCGUCCCGACUCCACCCCGCCACCUCCUCUUCCUCCUCCGCCGCCGCUGCCGCCGCCGCCGCCGCAGUUCCGGCCAUGGCGGUGGUGCGCACGAUAAGGGGGGUCCCGGCGCAGGAUAAGGUAACCUAACCCUAACCGCUCGUUUCCAUAACGAAUCGAUCUAAUUAUAUAUAUAUACUAAAUAUUGGGCGGUGAGAGUUACUAUACAUUCAUGGGGAGGUGACGGGACCCGAAGGUAGGAGUCGGCAACGGAGAUAUCGGAAUACGGUCACCGGCGCCGACUUUGGAUAUUAUUGAGGUUGUGGACUCGGGGAGAGUGAGGAGGGAGAUAUUAUUGUAUAUGUAUGUGUAUUUAUUUAUAUAGGGGUCAAUUGCAUACAGUUCACUGCAAACAUAGUGAAUUAUAAAUAUAUUUCUGUAAAAUUUAACUUUCAUAAAUUAUUUCUGCAAAAGUUAUAAUGUUUUCAAAUACAUCUCUGCCGUUUAGAAAAGUUUAGUUAACUAUAGGUUAAAUGCUUCACCCGGAUUAAUUUUUGACAUUUUUAUAUCUCUUAUAUUAUACUGUUAUAACUUUUUGAAGGGACAUAUUUGUGUGGCAAAAUUGGAAAUAUAAACAGCUUUCUAACGGUUCUCUAACGAUUACAAACCAGAGGGACAUAUCUAAAAAUAUUAGAAUUUAUGCAGAAAUAAUUUAUAAAAGUUGAACUUUACAGGAAUAUAUUUGCAAUUCACUAUGUUUACGGGGACAUAUAUCCAAUUAACCCAUAUAUGGCAAAAUUGUACUAUGACGGCUUAAACUACGGAAUAUUUGGAAAUAGGCCCCUAAAUUAUAAAUAGUGGGCAUGUAUGAGGGGAUUUAUUUGAAAAACAAAAAAAAAAGUAAGGGGUGUGUAAAAUAUUUCAAAAGUUUAAAGGGUAAAUAGGCAAUUAUACCUAGUUACCUAAUAGGACGUAAAAUGUAACGUGUAAUAUAUUGAGGAGGUUAUCUGUAAUUUAGCUUAAAAAAAAAAAAAAAAAAAAAAAAAAAAAAAAAAAAAGGUCCAAAUGGUAGUGUAUUGUAUGUAUAUAAAUAGUCGGCAUGUGAGAUGGUGAUGAGUGGUGGAGAGAGGGGGAAUGAGUUGGUGGGAAACGUGGGCGAUUCUCCAUUUCUCAUUCCGAGGGGGGAUUUUGCCAAACAUAAUCCACAGCCUAGUUGGCUCAUUGGUCCCUCCCACUUCCCCAACCCUCUUGUGUCCCUUUCCCCAAUGUUGAAUAAGACCUUUCUUUUCCUUUUCUUUUUUUUUUUUAAUAAAUUUUUAGGGCGUGUUUGUUUCGUUUUUUUUGGUAUUCUGGAAUCGGAAUCGGAAUGGGCGAAUUUAUUUAUGGGUGUUUGGUACGCAGGAGUCCAAUUCCGAUUCCGAUUCCCUAGUGGGAUGGGAAUCUCCCAAUCACCUCUUUUUCCAAUCCGGCCUAACAGGCCGGAUUGGAAGUUGAAUCCGGACGGAAUGAAUAUUUAUUUGACUUAAAUUUAUUUUUUCAACUUUUUUAGUUAAAAUAUGAGUUUAAGGGCGUGUUUGAUUCGCUUUUUUUUUGGUACCCUGGAAUCGAAAUCGGAAUGGGUGAAUUCAUUUGUCGGUGUUUGGUACAUGGGAGUCCAACUCCGAUUCCGAUUCCCCAGUGGGAUGGGAAUCCUCCAAUCAUCUCUUUUUUCAAUCCGGCCUAGCAAGUCGGAUUGGAAGUUGAAUCCGGACGGAAUAGAUAUUUAUUUGACUUAAAUUUAUUUUUUCAACUUUGUUAAUUAAAAUAUAAGUUUAAGGGCAUGUUUGGCUCGCUAUUUUGCACCCUGGAAUCGAAAUCGGAAUGGGCGAAUCCGUUUGUGGGUGUUUGGUACGCAUGAGUCCAAUUUCGAUUCCGAUUCCCGAGUGGAAUGGGAAUCCCCAAUCACCUCUUUUUCCAAUCCAGCCUAGGAGGCUGGAUUGGAAGUUGAAUCCGGGCGGAAUAGAUAUUUAUUCGAAUUAAAUUUAUUUUUUCAACUUUUUUAAUUUUUUAAUUAAAAUAUGAGUUUAAAUUUAGAAAUUAAAUAUAUAUAAUUUUAAAUUUUAAUUUGAACUUGAAUUAAAAAUUAAAAUUUAAUUAAGUAUUUCGAAUCUAAUUUAUGAAUUUGAAUUUAAAUUAAUAUAUUAUAAAGAUAAAGUUAGUAUAUUAAUUUGAUUACGUUUUUUAUAUCUACUUGAGAUCCUGAACCAAACACCGACAAUGGGAAUGAUUUAUUCCCAGCCCGAUUCAGGUUAUGAAUCAAACAAACAGAAUUAGGUAUUCCGAUUCUGAUUCCAACUUAUUUCGAUUCCGAUUCUGAUUCUGAUUCCGAUUCCGACUUCGAGCCAAGCCCUAAAUAUCACCUCUGUGGUUUCUCACUUUCUCUUUCUCAUUUUAGUGCCAUGUGAUUUAAAGUGUAUCAAGUUAGUGUCCUGUGGUUUUAUUUGUAUCUUUUCCUCAACUUUUUCUGUUAAUAUUUCGUUAAAUUAUAUACAAAAAACUUUAGAUACCCCACCUAGGUUUAUCGAAUAUUCACUUUAGUACCAUUUAGUUUUAACUUUGUCACUAAUUUAACUAAAAAAAUUAGUGGAAUCGAUAAUAAAAAUUAGUGGAAUCGAUAAUAACCCCGAAAUCGGAAUCGGAAUGAUCCAUUCCGAUUCUAGAUGUUUGGUAUGCCGUAAUCUCAUUCCGAUUCCGUUUCCAUUCCGGAAUAGGAAUCGGCUAAUCCGAGUAGAAACGGGCCUCGUACCCCAGAUUAAAAAUUGAAUCCGGACUUAAUUAUUUUAUUAUUAAAAUAACCUUCAUCCAUUAGACUUAAAAAAAAGAAAAAAAAAAAAAAACCGCUCGCCUCUCCGCGGCCGCUCAACUCUCCCCUCCCAAGCUUCAUCCCGUAAGUAAUUCCUCCUCCCCUCCCCGCCAACUUUUCUCUCGAAUCUCUCUCUUAUUUUUUUUCUUUAUUCUCAAAAGUUACAUGAACUUUGGACUUUCUCAAAAAAAAAAUAAAAAAAAAAAGAAAAAAAUUAAGAAGAACAAAAGGUCAUAUGAACACUAGUAAUUAUGAGGUCAUGCCUUUUCUUUUGUCCUUCUAAAAAAAAAACUUCUAAGCAUGCUUUUUUUUUUCUUUUAUAUUUUAAAUAGAUUAUUCAAACUAGUUACAAGUAAUUAAAAUAUAUUAAAAGGGUAAAAUUCGUAUAUUAAUUUAAUUCCGUUUCUGAUAACUAUCUGAACCAAACAUCAACAAUGGGAAUGAUUCAUUUCGAUUCCGAUUCAGGUGGCGAACCAAACAGAAUGAGGUAAUGAGUCAUUCCGAUUCCGAUUCCAGCUUAUUUCUAUUCCAUUUCUGAUUUCGAUUCCGACUUCGAACCAAACAUACCCUAAAUUGAUACACUUUAAACCACAGGCUACUAAAGUGAGAAAGUGUGAAACCACAAGGGUGGUAUUUGAAGUUUUUUUCUUUUUUUUUUUUUGUUGGGGGUGUCGGAGGAAAUAGCAAUGCUUCAUGCAUCAAGAAGAUCGAGAUUUUUGAAUGACUAGGCUUAUUUAUUCUCGACUACUAUUCAAAAUUUUUAAAUUUAUUCUGAAAUUAUGAAAACAUCCUUUUAAACUCCGGUGCUUCAUGUACUCCAGAAGAUCGAAAUGCUUCAUGCACCCCACAACCAUUACCAAAAUAGCAAUCUUUGGUAUACCUCAAAAGACUGAGAUUUUUGGAUGACUAGGCUUAUAAUUUUUUAAAAAAUUUUAAGAAGGGGCUUUCGCUUAUUUAUCUCUAGCUAUUAUUCAAAAGUUUUAAAUUUAUUCUGAAACUACCAAUAUACUCUUCUAAACUCCAAUUCCCCUUAGUAAACUCUACUAAGGCCCCAUUUGGUCCGGAGAUAACGAGCAUUGGGAUAAAUUUUUUUAUUCCUAGGAUAACUUACUAUUCCAAAAUAGUCAUAAAUAAAAAUAAAAUUGUGUUUGGUUUGUAAUGUUGCUGUUACUAAAAAUAGCUAAGAUUGUGUUUAGUUAAUUUUAUGGAAGAGUAGAGGAUAGUGAAAAAAAAGUGAUGGUUGAAUUUGAUAUAAAAUAUAAUUUAAUAAAAGUAAUUUAGUGUAAAAUAAUUUAUAAAAAUAAUUCAUUAUAUUAUUUAAUAAAACUAAUAUAUAUAUAUAUAUUAAAAUUAUAAUUAAAUUUAAAUUUAAUAAAAAUAAUUUAUUAUAAUAUAUAACAUAUUAUAUCCAUAUAAUUUAGUUUUAAUUCAAUAUAUAGUCUUAAUAAAGCUUGAAAUUAAAUUUUGGAAUAGCACUAUUUCGCCGAAAGGAUGGAAAAGUUAAUCCCAAGCUAUUCUAGGAUAAUCGAGGAUAUCAAGGUUUGAUCUGGAUAAAAUAUCUCUGCCAAAAAAACCCCACUGGGCAGAAUAGUAGGGAUAACUUUCAUUAUCCCCGCUUUAUCCCAGAACCAAAAAGUGUUUAGCCAUAUUUAAAAGAAUUUUUAAUAAUUAAAGAGGAUAUUUUGGUCAAUCAAGGGUAUAUUGGAUAUUAUAUCUUUUUUAAAGAAUGGGGAUCUGACAUUUUUAUUUCUAAAAUAGGUCUAAGCGGUGAAUGAUUUCUCAUAUUUUACAAAACUUAUAUACUUUCUAUAUCCGAAUUUUGAAAAAUGUAUAGUAUUAGACUGUAAAAAUAAUUAUAAUGCUUUGAAGAAAGCAAUGAAUGAACUUGUUAGACCAAUAAUGGGUGGCCACGUGGCAUGUCGGUGCACCAUUAAACCCAAAUUGUUAGGGUCAAGGAUUAAAAGAGAUUUUGGUGUGCACCGGGAGCAUUGGCAAAAUAAUUAAGUAACUGCUAGGUGUAACCGCAAGCGGUUAUAUGCAGUUUUGAUCGGCUUGAAGUGACCCUUAAAGAUAGGGUAGUGGCCGAUCAUGGAUGGAGCAAUAACUGAUCAACAGAGGUGGGCUAUAAAUAGCCAAAUAAAGCCCAAGAGAGAGGUCUUUUUCCCGAAAAUAGAAGACCACAUUUAUUUCCUCUGCAUUUUUCUCGCAUUUUUUAGGAGUAGUCUACUUGUAACCUUUUACUUUCCCGUACUUACUGUUUUUCCUAGAAGUAGUUCAGGUCAGAUCAACCGAGUUUGUAUGCCUUCAAGCAUACUCGUCCUUUGUACUAGUUUCACCUAUUAAUUCCAAUAUAUAAAGGCAUUCGGCUCCUCAGCCGACCCAAAAUACUAUGUAUCUCGUACAGUCGGCUCAUCCACCGGAACCAAAUCUGUAGUAAAAAUUCUCGAACUCGGCUGAUCCGAUCCCUCAUCAGCCAAAUCGCUUGAUCCAAUUGAAGGGCGCAAACUUCGAGGGUCACUAGUCACAGUCAUUCCGCAUCCCUAUAUUCUUCCCAAGAGAGAUCUUUGACCAGGUCAAGGAUCAGGAAAUUCAGUUCCUAACAAAACUAUUAAUUAAAAAAAAAUUAGAAGAUCUCCUGAAAUGCAGUUGAUGAAUUCGUAAGACUUUUUCUUACAUGUUUCUUACUACUACAAAAAAGUUUCAAAUUUACUACUCAAUACUCAAAAUACUUUUCUAAAAUCCAAUUCCAUUGGUAAACCCUAUAAGGAAAUCGGAUAUUUGAAAAAAAAAAAAUUCUGAAAUCAGCAGGGGUACUUUGGUCAUCCAGAAAUAAAUAAAAAAAUUUUGAAGUUUCGAAGAGCAUAUUAGAUAUUAACCCAAUUUCCUUCGCACAAUAGUGAGUUUAGGACUAGCCUAAACUUCUGGUUAUCUAAAAACACAUACCAACUAUCAGAAAAUUUGGGUUUCGUUUUCUAAGAUGCAAAAUUAUUUGAUCUUUGUCAAUGCGUUUGUUUGUCUAUGUUUGCUCUUCCAUCCAUCAUUAGCAGUAGAGAUUGAACUACUUGCAUCAAGAAAUGGUUUGGAUUCGCUCACAAACAAUUCUAUGUAUGCUGAGAAUCGUAUAUGGCACCUUAGAACAAGUAACGAUUCUGAACCAAUUAAAAAAAUCUCUUCAUAUCAUAUAUGUUAAUAUAUAAUAACCUAUAAUGAUAACAUUUUUGGCUAUCUGUAGCAGUACUGCACUAAGCACUAUGCUUUAGCAGUGUGAACAAUAGUGCCGCUAUAAGUGCCCCAUAAUGUUGCCUUGUGUAAUGUUGAUAUGUUGGCAAAUCAAUGUGAUAUCUCAAAGUACGUAUAUAAUUCAAUCACAGUCCUUUUUAUUAUGGUGUCAACACAUCGACAAUAUAAUAAAGAACAGGUAUGAAAAAUUCAAAGCAUUUCUCGCAAAUAAAGUAAGUCAAUAUCCAAUGUGUACUACUUAAGACUGUCUUUAGAACCUAAUUAUGUGUUGCGAUAAAAAUAAAAAAAAAACAAAAAAAAAAACUAUGAGUCUGUAUGGUUUUUUAGAAUGUUGGCUUCUAUGUUGCCAAUGUUUUGGCUUUAAUAACAUAAAAAGUUUCAAUUAGUUUAUAUAUAGAAAGAGAAAGAUAGUAAGUGAGAGAGAAAGAUAGUAAGUUACCUGCUUCAUACAAUUAUUAGAAAUAAAGUCAGCUAGAAAUGUUAAGUAACUUGGCUUCAAACUUGGGAUCUUGAGAAUCAAUCAUCAAUCACUUAGUCAACUAUACUAGGUACAAUUGGUGAAGAUUCGAAGAGUAAGAUUAGUUAAUACAUGCAUUUCGUAAUUUACAUAGUAUCGCAUGCAUUUACAAACAUAUUAACAAACCCUAAAGACAAUAUUUUAAGUUACCCAAAGCACUUUCCGUGUUCUAUUAUUUUAUAACAAAUAAUAAAUGUAUGAACAAUAGAGUUUGGGUAAAUUGCAUUGAUGGCCCCAAACUUCUACAAAAAUGUCAAUUUGUUCCCUAAUUUUUUUAAAGAAAAAGAACUUAAUACCCCUAAAACUUCUAUAAAUAUACCAAAUGAAGUUCAUCCAGUAAUUUGGUGUUAAUUUUACAAAUAAGAAAUAACUUGAAUGUUAAAUAAGCAAAUAAUUUUUUUUUUUCAAUCCAUGUAUUCACCAAAGGUGUGACUUAAAGCUUAUCAGAACAAAACGCACUUUAGACCGUAUGUAAUUAUAAAUACAGUGUAGUUGGAGAUACAUUAGUUAGAAAUGCAGCAAUUAUAGUUAUAUUGAUCUUGUUUAGUUGGAUGCAGUAGAAAGUAUUACAGUUAUAAAUACUUUGUUUGGUUGUAUGCGGCUGAGAAGUAUACUAACGAAUUUUUACCAUUUUAUAUAUAGAGUUGUGAUGUUAUCCCCUAUGUAGGAGUGAAAAGUGAAACUUUUUAAAAGGUUAUUAGAAAGGUAAGCUUACGUGUACUUUUUUCAAGUGCUGCAGUUUCAAUUUGGGCGUAGUUCCGACUGUUACAGUUGAGACUUCUUAUGUACAGUUACAACUGCAGUGCAGUUACUCUUACGUACAACCAAACAGCCCUUAAAGUAAAUACCGUCGUUACAAGGUAAAAUGAAACCUCUGGCGCUAAGUUCCUUUAUUCUUGUCAAAAAGAAGCUCACCUAACAUAGGAAUUUGUCAAUUAUAUUUUUCAAUAUCUAUAAAAGAGGAUGUGGAAACAUAUGGAAACUUUUGAAUGGAAUUUGAGAAAAAAGAAAUGUAGCUUUCCCACAUCAUCUUUAUGUCACUUAGCUUAACAUCACGUGAUAAAAUAGGCUAGUUUGACACAUUUAUUAAAAUUUAAAGAACAUAAAGAUCAUGCUAGCAGCAAAUCAAAAGAGAACUCAAUAGAUUUCACAUGAGAAGAAUUCAGUUGAAUUCAAUUAGAAAUAAAUGUUUUCUUUUUACUUAGAUUAGAUCAAAGUUCAAUAGAAUUGUAUUCUAAUUUAUUGUUUGUUAAAAGAUGAGAAAUUUUUUUAAUGCGAUUACUUUUUCCAUUCAAUUUUCACUUUAUAUAGUUUAGGUAAAUUGCGCAUUUGGUUCUCAAACUAUAAAGUGUGUGACAUUUUGGUACUCAAAAAUUAAUUUAUUCUAGUAAUUGCUUGCCCAAACUUUUUAAAUUGUUGCAAUCUCACAACUCAAUUUUGUUGCCUAAAUAUUAACAAAUUAUUGAUAUAGAAACAAUAUAAAAGUAAUGUAAUUGAUGAUGCAACAAUAAUUAAAAUACAGCAUCACUUCUACUUGGAUAAUUUGUCAAUAUUUAGUCGACUAAAUUGGAUUGUGGGAUUUGAUUAUAGCAAUUCUAAAAGUUCAAGCUGGAAAUUACAAUAAAUUAAAAUUUGAGGAUUAAGUGUCACCGAACUCAUAGUUUGAGGACCAAACGUGUAAUUUAUCCAAGAUAUUAUAGCUAACAUGAGGAAUACUUUAGAGUUAUUAAUAAAGUAUAACUAAUCGCAAAUAAAUUCUCACCAUUAUCCAUCCCCCAAUUAUGCAAAUUGGAUAAGAAUCAUUUUGUUAUAUGAGAAAUCCCAUCAAAUUUAUCUGGAUGAAUUGAAUUUCCAUCUACUUAAUGCUACCAAUCUGUUUCUUUAGAAUUUUACGGUUUUGGGUUGCGAAAUAGAAUGUAAUAGGCAAUAAUAACUCGUUGGAUCAAAACCAUCUAUCCAAAAUAUUUAAGCUCAGUUAUUAUUACUAGGGUGGAGUCUUUUCAUUUCAUAGUGAAAAUAAAAAUGAAUGAAUCUAAUUCGAAUUUUAUAAUCUAAAAUUGAUGAAUCAAACUAAUAACCAUAUUAUGUAUCUUGUCCACCACUUUUGCGCUAAUAACGAUAUUUGAUCAAUCAACUUUUUUGUUCUCUUUUUCGACAUAUAGCUGGAAGGCUUUCCAAAUCCUAACAACUCCUAAAAAAAAAUAGAAAAAAAAAAUCAAAUUUUAGUACAAACUGGAUUCGGUCGUACCCGACCGAGAGUUGUGGCUUAAAAUGCAAAUGAAGGGCAAAAAAUAUCACAGCAAAGCACCCUAGUCCUUUAGUCCUUUUUAUUGGCCAGUAGACCAACAUCCUGCUGACAUGGAGGACGACGGAGCAGACAAAGCCAUAAUUAAAACCUGUGGGCGCAAUGUCUGCAUCCUUCUUAGGUGGCGGAGGACGAAGCAGACAGAGUCAUAGUUAAAAUCCGUGGGCACAAUAUCUGUAUGUUUUAAAGAACUAUUUAAUUGUUGAUUGUAUAUAGUUAUAACUGUACUACAAUUGUAACUACAUAUAAAUUCAAAUUGUCGUUUGGUUUCAUGCAUUUGAAUUUAACUGUUGCAGUUGGAACGGCACGAGUAGGCUCAAAUGUAGCAAUUGAAAUUCCACCCAAAUCGGCGACAGUUUUAACUGCAACAAUUGAAAAGAGUAACCGAUCGUCCCAAAUCAAAUGGUAAAAGGCUUGGUGAUUAGCACCCGAGGUCCCAAGUUCGAAUUCUAGUUGAUUCACAUUUUUAGCUAAAUUUAUUUCUAAAAAAAAUAAACGAAGCGAAAGCAAAAAACAAUUGAAAAGAGUAAUAUUAAAUAAAGGUAAACUUACUUCUCUAACAAUCUUCCAAAUAGAAAAUACCUUUUUUCUUUAUAGAGAGCGUAAUCUCAUCAUUUUAAAAAUACGCUUGUCAACUGUACAUAACCAAACAAUAUUUAUAAUUAUUAUAAUUUAUACUCAUAUCCAACAAAACAAAAUAUAUGUAAUUAUAAUUACCACAUUUACAAUUACUUUCAUCUCGAACUGUAUUAUAUUAACAAUUACAUCCAACCAAACGAACCCCAAGUGAAUUAACUGUCCCUUUUAUAUAAGCUCGAGCUUUUAAAAUUUAUGAUUAGCACCGUCGAUCCGACAUUAACACCAGAGCAGGUCGCAAGUUCAAUUCCCACAUGCAUCCUACUAUGUGAUUUUGUUUGUACAUUUUAAGGAAAUUGAUUGCUCCCUUUUUAUCAACACUACCAUUUACAAUUAUGGUUAGCACCAAUGAUCCAACACUUAACACUUUACACACAUCAAAUAUCACCUGCAACUACAAAAUAUAACACGAAGAUGGUACAAGAUGAAGGACAAUUGGAUUUAGACCUUAAGAGCUGCUUGUAGGAAGUACAAAAAUGAAAUGUUACAUGCCGCACACAUUUCAUAGGUAGAUUAACCCAAAAGAGUUUGAAAAUAUACAAGAAAUUACGAGAUCACUUACGAGGUCACUACAUUUUUUCAUACAAUUUGAAGAGCCGGUAUUAAGUUGUAUUCCUAUAAAUACGGCUUGUGUGAGACAACCAGCAUCUUGCUUUAAUAAUUCGUAGACCGCGAGAAACGUAAACCGGCAUCUUGCUUCCUUUCUGUAUUCUUCUUAAGACUAAUGACAUGAAUCACUUUUUUUGUGUGCGCGCGUUUUUUUUAAGAUCAACGACAUAAAACCACCACCAAGAUUUUAUAGGAAGUUCCUCUGCACGGAGCCCGACGAGAAGCGAGAGGUCAAUCCCUGCACCAUGCUCUCUUGGUCGAAAUUGACCCUUUGUCGUCCCGCCACCAGAUCCUUCUCGCGAUCCCACGGUUUCCAGGGGUGGUUACCCUCCCACUCCUCUUUCUCUGAUUCCUGCUGCUGCUUUUGCUGCUUCCGCUUCUGCUUCUGAUUCUUCUGCUUGCUGCUGCUCUCCUCUCGGUGCUUCUGCACAAGAGGUACAGAUCGUUUGGAAGAGUUAUACUUGUCAACCAAUGCGGCAUCUGAGGAGGUUUUUUUAUUUUCGUCAUCCGCUUCGGCAAGCGCUUUGGCUUUGUUGUAAGCCUCUAUAUAGCUGCACCACAUAUACAUUAAUUGUAAGUUUUAUUCAAGAAUUGGAAAUGAGUGUUAACUUGGCGUAACAACUGAAACUACAAAUGCAACAAUAAAUUGCAGCCCUACAGCCUGUUUGGCCCAUUUUCUAGAGUAGCUUCCAACUCCAAGAAGCAAGGGUCAAGCAUUGGUUAAAUGAAAAUUCUGCAGCUUUUGUUCAAGCAGGAAGCUCAUUUCAAGGUUGAGGGCAGAAACUCGAAAUGCAGCUUCUGCUUCUGCUGCAGCAGGAAGCUGCAUCUGUGGAUGUUAAUGGAAAAACUGUUACUGCUUCUCCAAACAGUUUCACUCGGACAACAAUAGAAUGCUCAAGCGACUGUACAGUUUAAAUGAGAAGAAGCAAUGUAGCAUUGCUUCCUCCUUGUAGCGCACUACUCUUUAAAUUAUACAAAACAACCGUUUUUCUCCAAAAGUUUAAGCCAACAAAAAGGAUAUUUUUAAUAUUUAUAUUCAACACUGCCCCUCACGUCUGGACUUGAGAUAUUUUGAUAAGCCCAAGACGAGGACUCAAUUAAAUGACAGGAAAUUAAAUAACACUGGGGGCAAACUUGAACUCGGGACCUCCUGUUUUGAUACCAUAUUAAAUUAUACGAAACAACCGUUUUUCUCCAAAAGCUCUACCACAGAACAGUGACAAUAGUCAGAUAAGCCAAUAAUAGUGCCCAGCCAAGGUGUCAGGUUGAGAUAAUUGCACGGUCCCAACUGAGGGCUGGUCCAAAAUGGCUGGACUAGUAGGGUCAGGUUGGGUUGGGUCAGGAGGGGUCGGGCCGGGCAAUCAACUAAUAAAUUAUAAGGCAGGGCCAGGUCACUAAAAGAAACCAAAGACACGAGCCCAGUAUGAGAGAAUUUUUUAAGGUGUCUAUUUGAGAACCAGAUCAAAACUGACCAGCGAAAAAACAGGGCGAAUCAUCCAAGUCAGGGGGUACAGGUCUUUUUAGAUCAAGUAUAACUACAAUCAAUCUAUAGGAUUGUUAACGUUACUGGAAAAUUUUAAAUUGACAUUCUGAAUUAGAAGUUAAAUCAUGAUAAAUGAGUGGUUAAGCUUAAAACAAGUAGAUAAAUCAUUAAAUACGAAUGGAUUAACACGGCCAUACUUCUGUUUUGCUUUCUGUGCUUUGUCGAGAGGAUUAUCGGUCCACAUGCUAGUAUCACCUCGUCCUUCUUUACCUGUCCUACUAAAUGACGUCGAAUGCAUGGUCAUUCCCGGCUGAGAUGAGAUUAGGGGAAAAUAGUUAAAAUGGGUGUUGAGUGAGAUUAAAGUAAAAUAAUAAAUUGGAGUGGAAAGAAGGCAAAUACUUUUCUUUCAGGGGGUAAUGUUGUCAUCCACUCAUCUCUCGAGGGUUUGGGUGCCUCUUUUCCGACCGCAAGAAGCUCUUCAUCACCUUCAAUUGAUAUACCUGUAAUGUAAUAACAAAUGAUAAAGCUUAUGAGUUAACUCAAAAUAGAUCAAGAAGAUAUUAAAUAUGUCAAAUAACAAUAAAAGGUAUUACAUUUUAAGAGAAGAAAAGCUGAAAAACAUGGAGGCAGCGCUCAAAGGAAAUAGGUAGCACAACGCCACAACCAUGAGUAAAGACAUGCGGUUAUUUUUCAUGCUAUUUCAGAAUAUCACUGCUAAACGGGUUGAGGAAAUGAUUAUCAUAUAUAUUAUAGUAGGACAAGAAUGAAAUAAAAUAAAAGGACAGGAAUGAAAUAAAAAAGACAAAAUACUACGCUUAAGUGAAUAACAUGAAGUCCUAUAUCCUUUGUGCGGCAAUUCAUUGAUAGCUAUUGCCUAAAUUAAGUGAAAAUAUAAAACACGUAGUGACCUAAAUCUCUCAUUUUACCAGACAAAGUACUUCGACUACCUCACUCUUUAGGCCUCACCGUAUGUAUGAAAGGGAAGGAAAUUCUACAAUAGUUCAUUUAAAAUCCCCAAACGAAGGGUAUUCAAUCUACACAUCAAAAAGUUCGCUGUUAACUGCUUGCACCACUUGUCAACUUUACUAAUCUGACCUAAUUUGCAUGGCUUCUCGCUGUCCUAAUAUAUCAUGGGUGCAGUUAAAAAUUUCUCAUCCAGGCUAGCAGUCAAGCUGUUAAUAAGGAACUAGUCAAGGGUCUAACAUUUGAUGGUGAAAAAGCUAAAUUAAUAAUAUUGAAUGAAACCCGAUAUGAUUAUAUCAUAAGAACUAUGGAUAUAUGGCACCAAUGUACUACAAAAAACAGAAUCUUUAUGCCAUUUCUUUCCGCUGAUCAUUCCAAAUAGUUACCUUGCAGCCGCCUCCAUUGUGCAGCUUCCUGGAGAGCUUUCAGUUCCACCUACAUCACAGUAAUUUAGAAAGAAAAAGAAUGAUCAACGAAAAUGACACAUGCAACAUCAAAAAAAAAAAAAACAUCACAAUCUAAUACUGAAUUUCGAUAUAGUAUUUAGUCAUUAAGUCAUGACCAUCGACUAAUGGUAACUAAGACAUUUAAGUAUCAACAGAGGAACAGGUAGUCUCGAUACAACCAAGCAUUAAUGUCAAGAAACCAUACCUUAAACUUUUCCUGCUCUUCUUUUUCUUCAAUUUUCUGAUCUAUAGCUUUUCUCUGCAAACAAGCAUGGCCGCAUUAAAAGCUCAUCAACUUAAAACACCAGAAAUAAUUAAAUACAAUAACAGUGUGAUAGCCAUGACAGAACAGUGAAGUUCUCUGGCAUGUUUAUGUAUUACUCGAAAACCCAGUUAGUCUUACUAAGUAAAAAACAAUGCAUAAGUGAAGAUCAAUAAGUUUCAUGCCAUUGUGAGUGUUACGCUUAUUUGGAAUGUGAGUUCAUAUAUUUUCCUAAAAGAUCAAGAUGUUUUAUGCAAGGGCAUGUGGUACAUAUAUACAAUGAACAUUCAUUUAUUUUCCGACACGUAUUCUGCUUAUGCUAAGUUCUCUCCUGGUAGGCUUGGUUGAAUCAAAUUAGUAUGGGAGGAGGUUGCAGGAUUUUGGUAGAGUAAGAGACAAAAAUGAUGAGGCUAAGACCAUGAUUUGAACCACUAUAUCGUUCCUAUUGCUCUUGACUAGCGGAUUGCGAAGAUACGGUCAUUCAUAAAAAGAAAAAUUCUGACAAAGAAACUGAAAUGGUUGUCAGGUAAAGGAACAUCCGAAAUUGACAGAAAACAAUAAACAUUUAAUAGCUUGAUGCUUUAUAGCAUAGUAUUUUAUAAGAUGCGAGGACAUGCAUGGAGCAUGCAUGCUACUAGUUGAUAAACAUAAUAAAGCAAAUUUUCUAGUCUCAUACAUUAUGUUCAUAGUUCUCAGAAGUUGCGAACAUUAGGUUAUUAUACUUUGCUAGCAAUCCUACAAGAAUGAACCAUGUAUGUAAUUAAAAAAGAGCUAAAAGCAACAUGUCCUUUUGUUUUCUUUGCCAAAAGAACAGUAUGCAAUAGUAAAAGAGCAUAAAGCAACAUGUCCUUGAUUGUUUCUUUGCCAAAAAACCUAAGGGGUAUUUGGUUUCCUAAAAAACAGUUUUCUAGCUGGAAAUGUAUUUUCGGCCCAUUUGAUCCUAGGAAAAAUAGUUUUCCUGGGAUUCAUGGAGUAGUGUUUUUUGUUUUCUGAAUUUUGAAUCGACAAAAUAAAAAAUAUGGAAAAGGGUGUUUUCCAUGGAAAACCUUUUCCCAGAAAAUAGUUUUCCACGCUCUUCCAAGGAACCAAACAUAGGGUAAGCUGGAAAAAACACUUUUAAGAAAAUUCCAAACCAAAAAUUGCUUCCUAUUCAUACCUUAUCAGGAUCUUGUAAAUCUUUGAAAGCCUUGUUCAAUAUAACAAAUGCUUGGUGUGCCUGUGGAUGCGAACAUUUAUCUGGAUGUACCAUAAGAGAUAAUUUCCAAUACCUGUACCGACAAAUGCAUUAGAAAACAAGGAAAAUAACAGAAUUAUCUUCACAACCAUUUUCAGUUAAUAAACAAUUCCAAAGUAGUUACAAGAAAACAAAAUCACAGACUACACAAAAUAAAGUGAUUGAUUGCCAAAACACAAUAUACACACAGAAAAUAAUGACAGUAACAUACAGUGUUCCAGAUUAUGCAGCAUUUCCUGAAUUGUUAAGAUUUUCAAGGAACUGGCUUUAAUUUGGUACACCAUAAGAUUAUCACAAUCGGGAUGGCAUAAGACUAUCACAACAACUAGGCUGGCAGCUGGUAACCAAGAAAAUUUACUUGGAUCCUGUAGAAUCCAAAUCCAAAUCUCAGCCCUGAGAUCUCUGCCCAAUUCUGGCUUAACCUGCACUACAUACCAAUAUACCAUACAAUACAACUAACUCCUUUGCCAGCCAAUUGGCGAUAAAAUGUUACCCUUAACAAUAAAAAUAAUACUACCUGAUUCUAACUAAAAAUGGACUGAUGAGGCAAGGCAGCUCAAACCUUUGCCCCUUUGCUAUUUAUUGGAUGGCAUUCCUAAACUAAGCAAUUCCAUUAUCCCAAAUAUUAAGGGUCACAGGACUUGUGUCAAAAAAAUAUCAGAUAAUAUCUUUUCCAUAAUCUUCUACAAACCCGCUGUCUGAAGCCUCAAGGCCAAGAAGUCUGCAGCUAAAUUCCCUACACAACCGACCUUGGUGUUCUGGUCUAGAUUGAUUGAAGAAGUUUAUUAGGGGUAAUAUUAGUUGGAAGAAUUCCAUUUGUUUUCUGUUUUAUUUUACCAUUUUAACUUAACUCCUGAAGAGAUUUAUAAUAGACCAUUUGUGCUGAUUUGGCCUAACUCAUUAUUACUUUUUCCAUUAAAUAACUAUAAAUGUUGCUAAAUAUAAAUCAAAAUUGCUUUGCACUUUGAAGGUUAUUCUACUUGCUGAUUUUAAAUUAAAUUUUAGUUUUGAUAAUUCUCCCUUCAAAUCUCUUGGUUCACGUCGUCCAUAACUGGAUAGAAACAAAUGCAUACUCGAUACUUUGCAUACCAUAAAUAGAAUAAGCACAUAUUUAUAGUUGCCUUAUCUGCUUAGUUUAAAUAAUCAUGUAAUUUGCUAAAGAUGUUUUUUUUAAAGUUAAAUUUUAAGAUAUCAAUUAAUUCAAAUCAUUAACCCUGUUGAAUUUGAGUAAUUUCAGAUCUCUCCAUAUCAUGCAAGAGAUUGUAUGAGAAACCAAUACCUUUAACGAUAAAAGAAGACAUAAGAUCUAACAAAUAUAAUGACCCAUAACAAGGGAAAAGAUACAUAGUAAAAGAAAAUUUGUAUGAGAAACUAAUAAGUUUAAUGAAAAUUAUGGCCAAAGAUCUAAAUGCAUGGAAGAGAAGUAAUCAACCAAAAUGGUAGCAGGCAAGAAUUAAGAUAGUACUCAUAAGAGGUACCGUUACUCAGGCUAUGAAAUGAAUCCACAAUAAGAUACAGCACAAGCUACACACCAAUUAGAUAUGUGGACAAGUAACAACUAGACACUGCACAGAUUAAAACUAAGGAUACAACAAAAAGGGAGUAUGGCUACACGACAACAAGUAGAAAAAGGAUAAAAGAUUCAUCACCUUUUCUUGAUGUUAUCAGAUGACAUCUUCCAAUUUAUUCCAAGCACAUCAUAUGGUGAAUCAGUAUCAGCCCCAGCAAUUCGAGCUACCUUAUAAAAACAAGGGAAGAAAUUGAUAAGUAAACAAAGGCCCUAACGAGUGAUAUGUCGUCUCAGAUUUGAAAAAGAAAAUGGAAUCAAUUUAUCAAUUCUUGUAAAUUGUCAAAUAAAAAGCUUACACAUUGCACAUAAAUGAUCAGCAUUAAUCACUGUUGAAACUUUAAAAAUACAACAUCUAACACCAUGAGAAAAUAGUUUAUUCGAUCAGGAUAAAUAAGAAAACGCUUGCAAAUUGAUGCACUUAGCUUCAUUUACACACAGCUUGGACUAGUACAGAUCCAGUUAGGACUUGACCAGCCUUUACGACUCCAUUUAUAACUACUAUUUUUUAAUUCUAACACAAUGAAUUAUAGAGGUAAGAAAUUUCAUGGCUUUUCUGCCCCCAUGCCUACUUAGCUAGACUUUAACCUUAAUAACUCCCCAACAGUCGACAACCACCGCUACUAUCAACACCACAAUGAAGAUGAAGGGUCUCUACAGUAUAACUACUUUUAAUAUAAGAAAACAGAAGAGCUACAAUGCACUCUGUAAGGAACUCUUCAAAAACUUGACAAUAAUAACUAGGAACCCUAACUAGAUUUGGCGCCACAUAGGGGACUUACUUUUUGAUUAAAUGCGGAGAUACAUUUGGUUGAAGAAGCUACUUUCAAAAUAGCAGAAAGAAAAGGAUGAAAGCUGUAGGCUGCAUUUGAGGGUAUUUUACAAGUCACGAACUACUUAUUGGUGGCACACUGACACUUCCAGGUUUAGCCACGUAGGUGUGACUAAGUACCGAGACGUAAUGCUCAAGAAAUUUUGUCGUCAACAAUCUGAGGCAUAGGUUUUUUUUUUCCUACAGGUGAAGUGUUCCUUUCACAGGCACAAAUGGGUAGAUAACUAUAAGUCUUCAUAGGAUGCAACAUGUAAACCAGAUAGAGCAUGAAGUGAUAAAAUCAGAGAAGUUCCACCAUCUGACAACGUAACUUCCUAAGACUGAGGUAGCGCCAGCAAAAAAAGGACGGAAAACAGUAUUUGAUAAUAGACAAUCUAAUUAAGAUUUAAAUGCAAAUGCAACCAAUAUUCCCUUGCAAACUUUUAUAACAGGUUAAGAAUUCAGGAAACUCCUAGCAUGGCUUCAGUUGUCGUUGAGAAAAAGAUCACAAGAAAUCUCUAUGGUAAGAAGAAUACAGAGCAGAGAGUAGAAUUACUUGAGGGGGAAAAAAAGGAAUGUACUAAUCACACAUCGAGUUCCAUAAAAAACACAAGUGUGAUGGCCCUAUGAGUAGAACUACUCUCCAAGAGCACUUCAAAAGAAAAUCAACUACGAAUUCCAAUGUUUUCACCAAUUGGCUCAAAGUACAUCAUUAAAAUACCAAAGCAAAAAACACAAAAACAGAAGAGCUUCAUGUUAGGAGUAAAAAUGGACCAAUAAAAGCAUGAGAAAAGGCAGACUGUAAAAUCGUACAAAAUUCAAGAAAAGAGAUGCACAAAUUAUAUAAAUCAACUGCCUUUUCUGGUCACCGGAACAGGAUGAAAUAUCUCAGGUCAAAAUUCUAAAGGGCAGACUAUUUAAGCAGUUCCGCUACAUUGAGUCAAGAUUAUUGUGUUUUAAGACAAAAAAAAAAAUCAAAGUAAUAGCUCAUAUUCCUAGAAAUAAAGGAUGCAAAGAAGCAUUACAAGGAGUGCAAUUUGCUCACAUUAUAAUUAUCAGUUUUGAAAAGGAAAUAAUACCUCCUCAAAGCGCUCAGCUUCAUUUGCAGAUUCAACCUCAGCAACCAUGGCAGGUGGAGGGGGACCUAUUAGCAAAUCAUUGUCAACUUCCAAGUCAGCAUCCCUGGAAAUCAUAAACAAUAUUACCUCAAAACUGAAAGUAUGCACUAUCGUGGCUGUAUUCAUAGUAUAUGCUACCAGCUUUAAAAUAAUAAACAUACAAGAAACCAUUACUGCAAACUAAUAAUAUACAAAAGGCAAUGUCGUAAAGAUCUACAAAAUAAUAUGAUACACGAAAAAGAUUUUAAUGCUAUAAACUAAAACUAAAGCAAAUUUGCAGAAGUACCUUAGCAAAUUCUCAGCCUCAGUCAACUCAGCUGCUGCAGCCAGUAACUCGCGAGAGGGCAUUUCAGGACCAAUAACCCUGCAGGAACAUACAAUAUAAGAGAAGUAGAGUACUAACGACAAUCUAAAUUCAAUUCAGAAAGAAGUAGAGGACGUACUACAAGUAGGUUUCUUAGUGGGUUAUUAGGGAACUACAGCAAUUUAGGCGAAAAUGGAAAUGGGAAGCACUGGAGUAGAUAAUCAUCAAGUUUUGAAAGACACAAUGCCUAGGGGAUACAAAUUCUUUCUCAAGCAGAGAGAUUGAGGAUAUGAAAUCAAGCAUGGUCGUCCUAGAAUAAACUCUAUGGAAGGUUAGACAAAUUAAUCAGUCAACAUGAGUGGUUUCAAGAAGCACGAAAAACUAAAGGUACAGUGAUAAGUUUCUUUGAAAGAUUGGGGAAGAAUUAUUACAAUGGUGAAAGAACAAAAUGUUCUUUAAGAGGUACAGCGAUAAGUUAAUCAGUCAGCAUGAGUGGUUUCAAGAAGCAAAAUGUUUUCAAGCAUGAGUGAUGUUUUCAAGCAUGGUCCUCCUAGAAUAAACUCUAUGGAAGGUUAGACAAAUUAAUCAGUCAGCAUGAGUGGUUUCAAGAAGCACGAAAAACUAAAGGUACAGCGAUAAGUUUCUUUGAAAGAUUGGGGAAGAAUUAUUACAAUGGUGAAAGAACAAAAUGUUCUUUAAGAGGUACAGCGAUAAGUUAAUCAGUCAGCAUGAGUGGUUUCAAGAAGCAAAAUGUUUUCAAGCAUGAGUGAUGUUUUCAAGCAUGGUCCUCCUAGAAUAAACUCUAUGGAAGGUUAGACAAAUUAAUCAGUCAGCAUGAGUGGUUUCAAGAAGCACGAAAAACUAAAGGUACAGCGAUAAGUUUCUUUGAAAGAUUGGGGAAGAAUUAUUACAAUGGUGAAAGAACAAAAUGUUCUUUAAGAGGUACAGCGAUAAGUUAAUCAGUCAGCAUGAGUGGUUUCAAGAAGCAAAAUGUUUUCAAGCAUGAGUGAUGUUUUCAAGCAUGGUCCUCCUAGAAUAAACUCUAUGGAAGGUUAGACAAAUUAAUCAGUCAACAUGAGUGGUUUCAAGAAGCACGAAAAACUAAAGGUACAGCGAUAAGUUUCUUUGAAAGAUUGGGGAAGAAUUAUUACAAUGGUGAAAGAACAAAAUGUUCUUUAAGAGGUACAGCGAUAAGUUAAUCAGUCAGCAUGAGUGGUUUCAAGAAGCAAAAUGUUUUCAAGCAUGAGUGAUGUUUUCAAGCAUGGUCCUCCUAGAAUAAACUCUAUGGAAGGUUAGACAAAUUAAUCAGUCAGCAUGAGUGGUUUCAAGAAGCACGAAAAACUAAAGGUACAGCGAUAAGUUUCUUUGAAAGAUUGGGGAAGAAUUAUUACAAUGGUGAAAGAACAAAAUGUUCUUUAAGAGUGAUGUAUAACGCCGAUAUAUCUUGGUUGGUUUUAAUAUGUGUGGAUAUGUCGAGUCUUUGUUAAGAUGAAAACAUGUUUUUCCAUGUUAUCAUGAAUGCAAGUUACUUGAGACUUCAUGAGAAAUCCAUUUCCCACAUGAUAUGAUAUUAUAGAAUGUUUGUAUUGAUGUAUGACAUUUCAACGUUAGUUUCAGCAUGGAGCACUAUUACUCUCCUUUACUAAAGAAUCAUUUUUUGUGUACGAUUAAAUUAUCUUAUGCCGAUAAUUUGAACAUUGAAAUACCAGUAUUACUUUUAUUUGCGCAUUUUCGUUAAAAAGAAUUACUGCAUUUGUUAUAAUUCAUUGGCUGGUGUUAGCUUGUGGGAACUCAAAUUAUGCAUGCAAAAUCAAUAAAGAGUAGUCUGGGUCAAAAUAGAUUCAUUCUAGCCAACUUAACCAUUAGGGCACAUUUGGUUCGCGCUAUGCAACAUUCUUGAUUAUUUCAACAUAACCAAGAAUAUGAUUCCUAUGAAUCAAAUUACUACUAAUGUUGUGUUACUGUGGACGGUUCAAUGCACUAAUUGUAUGUUAGAUCAUUGCAAUCAAUGUUUUAAAAAAGUGCGAGGCACAAAAAAGUGCAGUCCUCCCAGAGCCUAGGCUUAAGGCGCACCAUGAGGCGCGCGCCUCAAAAAGGUGAGGCGCAUAUUUAAUUUUAAAAAAUUCUUAACUAGCCUAGUUUAAUUGAUUGCUACAUAAAAAAGAUUCCAAAACAACUAUACGAAAGUAAAAUAACCAUGAAAAGCAAAUCACAUGCAUAAAUGUUCUCAAAGAGUCCAAAAAGAAAAUUAAGAGAAGAAUCACACAAAGAACGCAAAAAAGGUAUCACACAUGUACAUCUGAUAGAAAGAAAGAGAAGAAUUUUUUCCCACCAAUUCAAAGAAAUAUGAAGAAGUAAAAAAGAAAAAGCCUCACCAAAACAUCAUAUCCUAUCAAAAGAACUUAAAAAAAAAAAGGUUCAAGAUAGAAUUAUUUAGAGAAUUGGAGUAUAGAGACCACACCAAAACUAUUGUUGCUUGCUAUUGCCGCUGCCGCCUACUGUUGCUGCUUUGUUGCCAACUUGCCAUUAGAGAGAGAUGGGAGGUAGGGAGAACGAGAGAGAGAGAGAGAGAACGACAAAGAAAAAGAAGAAAAGGGUUCUCAUUAGGAUUUUCUAAAUUCCUUUACGAAUUAGAAUAUACUGAUGAGUCCGAGACCCAAGAACCCAAACGCUAGGCCUUUUUAACUUACAUAUCACGAGGCGCGCGCCUCAACUGCACCUCAUGCCUGGCCUGAGGUGUGUGCCUCAAAAUCUAGGCGGGCACCUCAAAGAGGGCGUUGCACCUCAAAUUCUCGAAGGCGCUAAGGCCCUCGCCUCGCGCCAAGGCGCCUUCUCAAACACUGAAGGCAAUGUUAGAAUAUUGCAAUGUUUAGAUUAUUGCACAUGCAAGAUUACUGUGUUUGGCCCCCGCGGCCAAGUCCUGGCCGACUCCGAAGGGGGAUAGUCCGAUAGAGAAAAAGGGGUAGAUAAAGGGAGAGGAGAUGGGGAUAGAGAAGAAAUAGGAAAAUAAAGGGAGAGAGAUGGAGAGAGAGUACUAUAAAUCCCUAGAGAAUGGAGAGGUGGAGAGUAGGAUCGGGAGAUAGAGAGAUACACAAAUUCAAACUAAGAUGAAGAUAAAGAGCCAAGAAGAGGUUUUUUGGGUUGGGGGGAGGGGUAAUUUUGAAAUUUUUUAGAAGUUGCAGGAUAACCCGCAACCAAUAAUACCUACCAACCUCCCCCGUAAUAUUUUUGGGUUAAUCCUGUAUUGUUACUUUAUUAGGAAUCCUAUAUUACGUACGAGAUUACAUGCGGGAUGAACCAAAUACAAUUAUCUAAAAAGAUUCUUGCAAGAUUUUCCAUAAUAUUGGCAAGAUAGCAUGAACCAAACACGCCUCUAAGAUAAUCUGAGUGCAUUCGUAGUUUAAUUGCGUGACAAGCGACGCCAUGGAUUGAUAGCACGGCCCUUAUCAGCUAAGUCAUAUGUAUACUUGAAAAAGCUUCACAAUUAUUUUCAAAGGUCAAAACCAUCAGCUAACAAGAAGAUAUUACAUUUUAAGUAAUUUGGCUUAAUCCUAUGAUAUAUAUGAAAGGAGAAAGUCAUAGAUUUUCUCAAUUUUUUGAAAUUUUUUUCUCAAUAUCAUAUAAUAUUAUGUUAAAGUAUUAAGAUACAGUCAUGUAUACAUUACUUCCGUUCCCUGCAUCGACAUAAUAUUUGUGAAAUGCACUCUUACAUAUAGGACCCUGUAAAUAAGUUAAUUAUGGAAAUUACACUAAUAUGAAUUACUUGAUUUUUAACCUCAAAGAUUUCUAGUAUAAAAAAAUGUCUAUAAUUAAUUGUCCGUAAACUGUCCAAAUUGGUGUUCAACUGUAUUCCACCCAUUGCAUAGUGUGGGCUACACUAGUUUUGUGAUAACAAAACAAGGAAGAAAGCAAUGUCACUGGUGGAGAUGAGAAAAAUCAGUAUGUAUAAAGGAGAAAGCACAAGAAUUUUAGCUAGGCACAUUAAGGUAAAUAUAUGUGCAACGAAACUAUUCAUAAGUUACCCACAUAAUCACAUUUUUGAGUUUCUAAAAAGGAAACAUGAGAAAAGAACAGAUGAUCUUACCUUCUUUUAGUAGGACGUGGAGAUUCUUCUUUCUCACUAGGUCCUCUCAAAUCUACAGUGGCAUGGUCAUUUCUAUUUUCCGUGAAUUCUGCAUUAGAUGGCAGAGAUUGUUCUUCAUGUAGAAGCCCAGAGUUUGAAAGUUGAUUGCCUGAAGGUUCAAGAUGUGGAGAUGGUGAUCCAGUAAGAUCAAGGGUAGGAAGACCCAUCUGGCGCGGCAAGUAAAUCCCACUUUCAUUUUGUUUUAGCUUCAUUGACCGGAAAAGUUUCUUUAAGAGUGCAACCAAUGACUUGUCAGAAAUUCCAGUUAUAUCAACACCUUGGCCAUUUUCAAUCAUUUGAAGAAGCUGCAAGAGUAAGUAUAUCAUUUGUCAAAAUGCGACUGAUAGUAAGGCUUCGUUUGGGAUUGCAGGGAGAUUGCGUUACGUGCGGUGAGAAAGUACGUUGGAAAAAUACUAUGUUUGUUUCAAUACGUAAUAUUGCGUUCCGCAUAUCGCGAUGAGUCGGUUACGAUAUAUUUUCUGCGGUUCCACCGGAGAACGCAGAAGCAUAUUCCUAUAUGCUUUUUCCUCAACUCCAUUUUAUCUAAUAGCGUUAGAUAUACCUCGAUACCAAACUAAGCCUAAGUAGCAAAGGCAAUAGUUUCUGCAAUAAACAACAUUUUACCAAUCCAACAAGUUAGAACAACUACACAUACCUCUAUAGCGAUCAGCAAAAUUUGUCGUAUCAUAUAAUAUAAUGGCAACUUUUUCUUCAAUAAUUCAAUUAAUGGCAACUUUUCCUUCAAUAAUUCAAUAUCUUUCUUUUAAUAAUUUUGUUACAUAUUCCAGAAUAAUUCCUUUUCUUCUGACCACCAUCAAUUUUCCUAUAAUUUCCCAUUUUCGCCUUCAUCAAAACAUUCUUAACCCCAUACAGUCUAAUUUUUCUAAUCCAACCUACAUCGAAUCAUUCUAAACCAGAAUUUUCUCCCAGAAUAUAUAUCAAAUUACAUGCUUGGAAAUCAAUAUAUCUCUUUAUAGAUUCUAGUUAGUAUACUAUUAUGGGUACGAUCGUGUUUGAACUCAUAAAUCGUUUUAGAUGAAAUAGCUUACAAACUGACGAUCCAUACCAGUAGACAAACUUUAGAGUAUUUAAACAUUCCGAAAACCGAAUUUCGUGAUCUUUUGACAUCAUAUUACUUACGAUCAAAAGGCCUUAAAAGUUAUAAUUCAACCUAUAUCGAAUCAUUCUAAGCAGAAUUUUCUCCCAGAAUAUAUAUCCAAUUACAUGCUUGGAAAUCAAUGACCUAAGUAACAAAGAUCAAAUUUUGCUAACAAUAUACCAAACUAACACUUCAAUAACUGCUAAUUAUUUGGCCAAUUCAUCAACAGCUCAUCAAAAUCUGCUCCAUACCUGUUGAAGCUCCCCGGCCACGCUCGGGAACUUGCGGAGGAUGGACCGAACGAUCUCCUGCGGCUCCGAUACAUCACAAUCCGAAGAAGAAGAAGAAGAAGAAGAAGAAGAAGAAGAAGCCCUAGACGACCUCUUGCUUCGCCGCCGCCGCCGCCGCCGACGCCGAUCGUCGUCGUCGUCGCGAGAGCUCCUCUUCUUCUCGGAUCUGCGGGUACCGCUGCUCCUCUUCUCGUGACGAUGCUUGCGGCUGCUGCUUCGGGCGCUCGACCUCUCGCGCUUCCGACUACGAUGGCGAGCGCUAGGGUUUUCGAUCUCGGAGGAAGAGGAAGAGGAGGGGGAAGAGGAGUGGGAUCGCCUGGUGCUGCGGCGGUGCUUGGGUUCGAAAUCCCUCGCCAUUUUUUUGUUUCUUGUUGUUUAGAGAGAGAGAGAGAGAGAGAGAGAGGAGGGGGUAUUGGCGUUUCGAGGGGAAUGGGUCGGCGUAGUCACGUGGAACGCACGUGAGUCAGAUUGGAUAAUUUCUAGGCUAAAUUACUGAAAAACCCUCGGUCAAAAUCUGUAGUUUUUAUUUUCUUUCUCUGUAAUUUAAAAAACUACCCUUUAUUUUUCUACACACCGUUUGGUUCGAAAAUAAAAAAGGUGUUAGCGGGUUAACCCCUUUUAUCCCCAAACGGAAACAAAUGGGAGUGAGGUUUGGUCACAAAUUGGGAAAAUUCGCGCCUACUCUGACUUUCGCGAGACAUGCAAGAAACGAUAAUAAAUCUCGCCGUUAAUUAAGUUAAUUAGAAUUUGAAAUUUUGAAUAGAAAAAUUGGGAAGAAAAAAUAGAUGUGAAUCAAACAAAGGCGGGGGAUAGCCUUAUUUAUGACAAAUUUCAAAAAGGUAGGGAAUAACCCUAUGAUAAAGAACUCAAGUUCAAGUAAAGAAGUAAAAGUUUUAGCUCAACAUAUAUGUAUGUCUAUUUUAAAAGCACGAAGAGUAAUUGAUCAGAUUCGCGGGCGUUCCUAUGAGGAAACACUUAUGAUACUGGAACUCAUGCCUUAUCGAGCAUCUUAUCCCAUUCUAAAAUUGGUUUAUUCCGCAGCAGCAAAUGCUAAUCAUAAUAUGGGUUUGAACGAAGCUGAUUUAUUCAUUAGUAAAGCCGAAGCCAAUAGGAGUACUAUUGUGAAAAAGUUAAGACCCCGGGCUCGAGGACGUAGUUAUCUGAUAAAAAGACCGACAUGUCAUAUAACAAUUGUAUUAAAAGAUAAAUCGAAAUCAUUUUUAGAUCAAUCUAAGAUUUAGAUUCAUAUAAAAAAAAAAAAAUAUAUAUAUAUAAUAGAAAAAUAUGGGACAAAAAAUGAAUCCACUUGGUUUCAGACUUGGUACAACUCAAAGUCAUCAUUCCUUUUGGUUCACACAACCAAAAAAUUAUUCCGCGGGUCUACAGGAAGAUGAAAAAAUACGGAAUUGUAUCAAGAACUAUGUACAAAAAAAUAGGAAAAUAUCCUCAGGUUUCGAAGGAAUUGCACGUAUAACAAUUCAAAAAAAAAUCGAUUUGAUCCAAGUCAUAAUCUAUAUUGGAUUCCCAAAUUUAUUAAUAGAGGGGCAAACACGAGGANAUUAUUAUAUUUAAAUUUUAAAUUUGGUAUUUUAUAUGUGAAAUUUUAUAUUUGUUAGAUUUGAUUUAAAAUUUAUAACUUUAAAUUUUUAAAUUUGAGAUUUAAAAAUAUAGAUUUUAAUUUUGAAUUUUUUAAUUUUAAAAGUUAUCUUAUAAAUUUGAAAUUUUAAAUAUAAAAUAAAAAAUUUAAAUUCAAAUAUAAUAAUUGGGGCAAUAUCAUUAUUUUCUAUUUAUAACUACCCAAUAUCCUUCUUAUUCCACUUAUUCCUACCAAACACUAUUUUGUUUAUACCUGGACUAAACCCAAUUCUCAACCAAACACAAAAUUACUCUACCCCACCUUAACCCUGAACUUAACCCUAUCCGCAGUCUCUUCUCCUCCAUCCUUCAUGCCUCCCUCAACCCCAAUUUCAACUCAACUCCGCUGGCUCCACCUGCUAUACGGGUUAUUCUCUCAUAGAAAAGAACACAAAAAAAAAUAGAGAAAAAUAUUUAUAAAUUCGUGAGUAAUUUGUGAGCUCUCUUGUGAGAAAGAGAAGCCACAUCCUCUAUUAACUUAUUGUUAUAGAGGGUCUUGAAUGAUGGAUUAAAAAUCGUAAUCGUUCGUAGUUUAAUCUACCACAGGUUUGGAGCUUUAAAAGACCUGCAUGGACGAUCCGAGGACACGUAAAUCAAUAUCUACAAUCUAGGCUCAUUGCAUUUUAGUGUGAGUCGUUUCCGCAAAAGAUACGACUGAAUACUUCUGUUGCAUUCUACAAUAACUUUAAAAGAGAAGCAUCCAAUAAAAAUACGAUAUUAAUAAAUUUUAAUAGUGCCUACCCGCUGCGAAGCGCGGGUCCUUAACUAGUAUAUACUAAUGACACUAUGCUCCAACUCUCUACAUAUAUAUGCUAGUGAAGGAGUUUGUGUUUAGAAGCAGUUAGACAUAAAAACAAACAUAAAAUUUUAUAUUCAAACAUAAAAUCAUAAUAUUUUUUCUAAUAUAGAUAUAACAAGCAUAACAAAUACCAUCCCCAUCUCCUCAAAACCCUAAAAAGAGCUCCUUUUUUUCUCCCAAAAAAUACCCCACGCCUAAUCAACAAAUCCCUAGCUUGCUUAUACCCUGCGGCCCAUCCCAAACCUACAAAUCCACGCAUAAUUUAAACAAUUAAAUUGGGAAGUUAGGGAAAAGAUCUAAGGCGAGGGCUUUUACAACCUGGUAAGCGCGGAAACUGGAAAAUGUGUGAAAUUUUCGAAAAAAAAAUUGAAUUUUACUAUGUUUGAGAGAGAAAAAACCCCACCUGAGCAUCCCAAAUUGAGUGGAUUGAAACAUCCGCUUCUAUGAGAGGGGGGCGAAGAAGAAGACGACGAGGAUGACGAACGAGAAGGAGCUCAAAGAGGCUAACAAUGACGGCAGAGAUUGAAGGGAGAGAGAGUGAGAGAAAGAGAGAUCUCAAUGAGUUGUAUGCGUUUGAGCCUAUCUACAAGACACACCUAGAAAAUUUUAUAAUUAUUAACUAGUGAAAUUUAUUUAGACUACUCAUUUUACCUAUCAAAUAAGUAGUCUAAAAAUGAACGACUGAAAAUAAAAAUCUCAUAAAAAAUGAUGAUAAAAGACUUGAAUUUAAGAUUAGAGGUAUUGAUCUUACUCUAAAUAGUGAAAAGAAUUUUUUAUAAAAAUUUCAUCAGAUUUAGAGUGUUUUACACUGUUAAAUUCACAAACGCAUCACAUUCAUCAUUAAAAUUGUCAAUUUUGAGACCUUUUAAUCACUAGCCAAAUAAUACCGAAAAAUUAUGAAAUUUAGUUUCAAAUACUGUUAAUAAUAUAGAUUAAGUCUAAUGGAGCCGAUCGUCAAUUUGGAACCCGCAUCAUUGAAAACAACUUGGUAUUACGGAGGCCUCCGUGCUACCGAUAGUAUACCAGCCUAGCUCGUUAGUAGCGGAAGACAAAUGAUGAAAACGUAUAAUAACUUUGAGAACUCUUCGAAAAUGUUGACUAAUAGUUUUCUCCGCCACGAUGAAAACGUUUUUUAAUUGUUCGAUUACUUGCAAUUUUCAAUAAUAUAUAUAAAAAUAUAGCCACUUGCUCUUUAACUGUUUUCUGUAUCACAUAGUAGAUUUUUCUCUCUGAAGAGUUACACAAGUGAUUGGAAAACAUCAAUUUAUACGAGUAGAUGCAUGAAGCUAAGAUAAUAGUUUGGAUUCUCUAAAACAUCUCUUUCAUUAGUUGUUGAUACACUAGUAAAUUCAUGGCGCUAUGAUGUUCUAUUUGGGAUUACAAACAGUAUGAACUACAUAUAGUAGAAAAGUGCAUUAGGCAAGUAUCUCAAUUUUUUCCGUAAGGAUAAGCAUGCUGUGUCGAUUCUAUUGCUUUUGAUAAAGGUAUGAUUUUUGCAAUCUUACUGAAAACGAAGAAUUAAUCUCUACAUGUUUUCAUUCCAACUCAUUUUCUUUUAAUAACAUUAUAUAUCUCUCAAUACCAAAUUGUCCUUAGAGAGCAUGCAUGAACUCAUUAAAAUUUGAAUUUUAAUAGAGUUAGCAAAUAUUAUAAUUAUAAAAAUGGCAUUUUAAAAAAUUUAUUUGCAAAAUUAAGCUUACGCCAUGAAUGACUCACUUCUUUUUAAAUGCAGCAAAUUAUUCACUACUUUUUUUAAAGAAUUAAUAUUAUUUUUAGUAUUUAAUAUUAUACAUCUUUUAGAGUUUUGAUGUAAAAAAUAUAUAAGUUAGGAAAAAGCGGUGAAUGAUUUAUCGUUUUUAGAAAGUGGUGAAUUAUUCGUUGUGUAUGUAUAAUUUUAUAAAUAAAAAUUUAGAUGUCUAUUCUUACAAUUAAAAAGUUCCGUAGGCUUAUAACCCAAAAACCCUUCAAAAUUAUCUAUUGAUUUCCAUAGAAUCUUGAGUUCCAUACUUCUUAUUGACAUCUGGAAAGUCUAUUAUCUUUCUUUUUACUUAAAAACAAUCCAAUGAAUGCUGCGAAUCAAAUACUCCCUUGGCGAAAUGGAAGGGUGAGAUAGAAUUUUAGAGUCGUUAUUAAUUUAUUAACCAUAUGCUAAGGCUUUCUACAUCUUUCUACAUUAUGGUGUGCAUAAUUUGAUAAUGGAGAAGAUUGAAAAGCUUCCAAACUCCACUGAACACAAUGAUCAAGGACACGUAGCUUGGGAAGGUGAUAUAUACUCUCAAGUAAUUGGGGAGGAGAGACAUGGACAGGUGCGUGGAUUAGGACUUGGUCCGACGCCAACUAGCUUAUGGUCUCCCGGUUCCGUAUAUCAAUCAUCUUCAAAGGAUUUUGAGAAAAUAAAAGAACUGGAGAGAGAAAUUAAACUGAUGGAGCAAUAGCGUGUGAAGGAGAUGAAAACUAUGAAAGAAAAUCAAGAUCGUUUAGAGGCUGAAGUUGCAAUGAUGAGGUCGAUCAUAAGUAGACGAUUUCCCGAAGAUUCGGUAUCUUGUUGUUCUCGAUCCCAAGGAAAGGUAAAAGAGUUUUACUAUUUGAAAUUUUUUUGUUCCUUCUUCUUUUUAAUAUUUUUAUAUAUACUUUUAGGUCAUUUUUGAACUAGUAAAUUACUUAUUUGGUAUAGUGUGGUUGGUAAUAUUUGAAGCAAAUUACUUUAAAUCAUUAAUAUUUUCUUGUUAUCAUAACUAAUUUUUUAUUCUCAUAAUGUUCAUGAAAUAGGUUUCUGAUGCUUCUAGUUCUUAUCACGAUAUGGAUGUACAAAUUACUCGUUAAGGUAAUUAUCUUGGAGACUGUCGCUCCUCUUUCACUUCUGUCUUACCGUUAUCUUUUAGUUUGCAUAAGAAAAGAUGAAACUAUUGCACAACUAGAUGGAUUGUUAUCGUCUCUUAGUUGUGGUUUCUGUUAUCGUCUCUUAGCUGCGGUUCCGGUUUGAAAUGUUUAACAUGAACGAGUACAACUUUUCAUUUAACUAAAGCUUUAGAAUGAUUUCUUGUAAUAAAGACAUAUCAAUCUCAUAUUAUCUAAAUAGAUGAGGGUAGGUUUUUUGGGAGUUUUUGUUCUAGGCUAGUUAUACAAGCUUCUUUUUUAAUAUUUUGUCUAUCUGAUGUGCAAACUGAAAGUAAUUUGAGCUUUGAGCUUUCGCUCUAGUAAUAGAACAAGAAAUGUUAAAGAGGGAACUUUGCGGUUUCGAAUUAUUGGAGCUUCUGGUACUAAAGUGAAGUUUGACCCAGUUUAGAGCGAAUAGGGGGGUUCUUUAUGGCUUUUAUUUUUCAUUUUUUGUCUCAUUUGUGGCCUAACUUAGAGAACGCCGUACAAUAAUAAUCGCCGCUAAAUUGUAAUUUUGUUGAUAGACACACCAUUCCUCAGCCACUCCUCUGCCGCUAAUUUAAAAAAUUUAAGCAUGACAAUUUAAGCAUUACGGAGACUGGAUGACAGAAAUAUUACCCGGACAGUAAUAUGGACAGGCUUUGUAAUUAUACGGACAUGUUUGCUGCUCUGAAUAAUUGUUUUAUAUUUGUACAUUACUUUGAGAAGUUCAUUUCGUGACUGGCUUUCCUGAAACUUUUGCAACACAGGCGUUUUCUUUGUUGAUUUGAAGUCUUGAAAGUUUUUAUGGCCUCGUAGACAGCAAAAAGCUAUAUAUUUUCUCCAAAUGAAAAUAUUGUUUAUAUUCACUAGAACUUAGUUUCAACUUGCAACUUAUCUCCUGAUGAAAUGAUUUGUUUGCAUGUGACAAUAUUGAAGAUGCUAAAUUAGAAAUUAUGGUCUUUGUAUUAUCAGAUGAUGUCACUACAACAAAAACGGUCUAUAGCGACACUUUUAAAUGUAGGUAUAUGUCAAAAAAAUGCUGCUAGCUAAAAUUACCGACACUUUUAAAAAGUGUUACUAUAUGUGGGGUCGCUAGGUAUAUAGUGACAGUUAAAUAGUGUCGCUAUAACCUAAAAAAGUGCUGCUAAUUUACCAACAACUUAUUUAAGCAUUUAGCAACCGCCGAAACUCUAUCUCGUUGGCUGCGGUGGCGGAGAAGAACGACAGGAAUGGCUCUUCGUCUAGAAUUUUAGUGGAUUGAGUAAAGAGAGAAGAAAAUAUGGUAAUUGAUUUUUCUUUUUUUUUUUCUUUUCCGUUUGUAAUCGGGUCAAAUGGACUGGGUGUGGUGGGUUAAGUAGAGUAAUCUUUUAUUUUUGGUUGGAUUGGGCUUUAUAUUUAGACAGUAGUAGAUGUUUUUUUAAGUUUUAGUAUAAAUUGAACACUUACUCAAAAGUGUCCCAAACAUGUGUCCCUAUAACCUAAUUCUGUUGUAGUGUGUUUAUGAAGCAAAGGGGUUCAGCAAUUUUGUUGUCAGUUUCUGUUUAGUUUUCUUAAUAUAAACUGAACACACCUGUAGGCCAUGGCUGAUUUGCUAGGCUUAGUUCAAGAGCCCCUGUAGGAAGUUGAGCACUUUUGAACCACCUUGUUCUCUCGACAUUGAAUUUUUUGUGCUCUUGGGUAAUUCUAUAUACAGGGAUUUCAUAUUUGAUCGACAGUUUAUUUGUAGAGAACGACCAGGCCACAUUCAAAAGGAUUUGGGUUCCAAUACUUCAGAAAAGCGAUGCUGGAGGAUCUAGAUUGACUAUCCAUACCAUUGGAGAUGAUCCAGAGUGUAUGAAAUUAUUAGAAACCAAAUUUAAUUGGUUUGGAUGUUCUUACUAAUGCAUUAGUGGAGACAAAAUGAACGGUGCAAAUUAAAUAGCCUUCUUAAGCUUUGUUUAGGUGUUCCCAAUCGAAAAUGUUAAGUGAUUAUUUUUGGUCUUGGCAUCUGAAAAUAAACUCCAUUGUGCUCUUUAACAAUUAAAGGAGCAAGCAUGCUCUAUUAAUCGUCAAGUGUCAAUUGGGAGACCACUUGAUGCAUAGGUGAAACUCAGUGACAAAUUAUUAGUUUUACUCACUAAUACUCAAAAUUGCAAGCAAUGAGAUUGAUAGUCAAUUUAAAUCCUCUAGGAUCGAUUCUAGCGGCAAUUACAAUUUAAGCAUCUAGCGGCAAUUAUAAUUUAAGCAUUCCUAAGGAGACUAGAUGAUGUUUCUGUCAUCUAGUCUCCAUAAUGCUUCUUCACACAUUUUAAGCAUUCACAUUCUAGAGGAAUGGUGUGUCUAUCAGCAUUUCUUUUGAUUUGUUGCUCCUCUUACUGUUAGAAAUCUAGACUUGUUUGGAUCAACUGGCACCACGGGUAUUCUGGAAAUGGUAUUAUCAAUUUACCACUAAACGUUUAUUUUUGCCUGGCAUUUUCGGAUUCAACAUAUUGGAAGAUUUUACUAUCAUCAAAAGCCUGGCUUUUUGCGAGAUAUACCUUCAUUGAUAUAUCCAGGUUGUAUUUUAAAGUUUCCAGCUAUCUGAGGAAGGGUUUGAUCAACACUUGUUAUAAGCUUUGAGAUAUGUCGGUAAACACACAGUAGUCCUGUUGCUCUUGUAGGAUUUUCGUUCUGUCUUUCUUUGUUUUUGUAAAGCUGUUGGAAGAGAUUUGAGCACGGAACUUAUUGCUGCUCUAGUCUAAAUUUGCUGCUUACAGUGAAUUUGUAAAGCUGUUGGAAUAGAUUGAUAUGUUGAACCACUAAAUUUAUUACUUGAGAAAUGUGCUCCGUAGUGAAGAGGAAAGUGGUUUCUUGCUAGUCUUCGUGGUUAGUUAGCUUUGUCUAACUGAGCUUUGAAAAAUUACAUGGCUUAAGUCCUGGUCCUUAAGAUUUUUGGUGUUGGUAUUAUAGGAUGGAGUUCAAAAGCAUGGAUUUAGUUAUGGUCUGAAUCUUUCUACUUACAUUGCCCUGUUUGAGAGAGUAUUUUACUCUAGCCAAAUGACAUUUGAUAUUCUGAAGAUUGGUUUAGAAAUAUUACGAAUGCUUAUAUGCUACCUUUCUCCAUGGAUCUCGUGCUUAUGUUGUUAAUUUAUCAGAUGAGGAAUCAACUUAUUUGCCAUGCUGAUUUUCAAAAGACUCAAGGCAGAGUUGAUUUAUUAGAUGCUCUAUAUUUUUUUUAUAUUAAUGCUCAAUCCAAGUGGUCUUGCAAAUAUGUUGUGAAAUAAUUGAAAUCUGCCAACCAAUUUGUCUUGAUAUAAUAUGGAUUUAUUGUGGGCAGAUAAAAUAGUGUGCGGCCUAUGAUUGGAAUAAUCAACUUUUAGCUAUGAGGAAGUAUUGAGUCCUGUGGGUUUCAAAGCUCUCUCUAGCUUAACUUUUAAAAUCGUUUCCCCUUUAUCCCAUUAUAAAAAUUGGUUAGCGAUUAGUGUUAACCUGAAAGGAUGUCAUUUUGAGUUCUAGGCUAAGAUGAUGAUCUUUUCUCUGGAUUUUGUUAUUGUUUGGCGACAUUUUAUCAACUAUCAAAAUUAGCUCUUGCGUGAUUAAACUCAUUAUCUUCGCCAAUGUAGUAUGAAAUUUCUUUCUUUUCCCCACUAAGAUCAGUUCUGAUCAAGGGCUAUUAGACUUGUUUCUUUUCCCCUAUGUUCUUUACCUUAAGAAUUUAAUGUUAGCAUUUACAUAUUGUGGACAGCAGAUUACUGAUCAGCAAGAAGGACCGCCUUACAAUACAACUGUCGCCGAGCAAGUAUAUUUCUGCCCUUAAUGGAGUGUUUGGUAGAUAUGCAACAAGGUUCAAUAUUAAUACUUUGACACGCCAACUUCAACUAGCUAAUUGGAGUCAAAGGUAUCUAAUGGCAUAGCAAUUCCUUGUUCUUGUCUUAUGUGUAGCUAUGAGGAAGUAUUGAGUCCUGUGGGUUUCAAGUAUCUCUUUAUUGAAGAUAAUGAGUUCUAUGAUGUAAUUGUUUGUCUAGUCUUACCAAUUGCUUUAUAUCUCAUCUAAAAAGUUUAAUUAGCAAAUUAUACUUCAGAAAUAUAUCAACUAUUGGUAGAAUUUUCUAUCACUAGAAUUGUAGAAAUAUGAACUGUCUUGCUAGCUUGCAUAGCCCACAGCUACAAGCUUUUGUGCGGGGGUUUACCUCAAAGCUUCAAUCCCUUGAUCUUGUCAAAUAUUACUAAAAUACGUCGAGUGAUGUGAAAGUCAGAAUGUUCACAUUGAAAGAGCUGCUCUAUUCUGUUCUGCCUUUCAGCACCGUCCACAAAAUUGACUUUGUAAUCAGUUAUUACUAUCCCCCAUAGCGGAACAAUCUUUAUUCCUCAACCAAGCACAAAUAGGAUUAACCAUCAAUCAGAACUUGGUCUUUUACAUUAUUAAUUAUUGUGCGGAUAUGCUUUAUGGUAUUUAUAUAUUAUUAACUAUUGUCUUCUUAUUUGUUGAUGAACAGUACAACCUAACUUCUAUAUUUUUCAGAAAUUUGAUAUGAUGAUUUUAUUUGGUAAUUUCAGAUACUAAUUUUAUGACUUCUUUUUGGUUGAUCCAGAUCAGCUGGAGCUGCGGAAAUUGAAGUGGGGAGCAAGACAUGCGGUGUUUGUUAUUUUUUUGCUACAUUUUGGACAAGUAUUUUUUGUUAGAACUUAUGUUUGAAAUUUAAUUUGAAUUCUGAGAUUGUACUUUGAGAGUUGAGACUAUUUGUUAUACAAAUUAUUAAUGCUUUUUGGUUACUAAUAUUUUUUAAUAUUUCAAUUCAUUGUAGUAUUUAGUUGUUAAUCAAGUAUUUUAAUAUUAAUUUAAUUGCCGCUAUAAGCUUUAUUAAUCAAUCAUUUAGUAUGAUAUUUUUUGCUGCAAUUAUAAUUAAUAUAGCGGUAUUUAUAAUAGUUGUUAUUGUAUAUUAUUUAGCAUUUAUAAUAGUUGUUAUUGCAUACACUAUUAGCGGCAUUUAUAAUAGUCGUUAUUGUAUAAUAUUUAGCGGCAUUUAUUUGGAUUUUUUACCAACCGUCGGAAUAAAUGCCGCUAAAACUUUUACGACCCUGCCAUAGCGGCAAUUGUUAAAAUUGCCACAAAAUAUUUUAGCGGCAAUUGUAAUUGCCGUAAUUUAAAAAUAAUCGCCGCUAAAAAGUAAUUUUGUUGUAGUGAUCCGCGCAUCGCGAGUAUCUACACUAGUAAUAUAUAUAUAUAUAUAUAUAUAUAUAUAUAUAUAUUGUUUGAGCAAUGGGGAUGUAAAUGUUACAUAUUCUUAUCCAAGGCCCAAUGAUGGGUUUUUGUCUCAUCAAUUUUUUUAAAUAUUAAAAUUCAAGAAUUUCUGAAUUCUAAAAUUUAUAUAUUUUUUAGAAAUACAAAAAGCUUCUAAUACUUUUGAUGGACUUUUACAAAUAACCCUCUAAAAUUUUGAUGGACUUUCGUGGAUUUCAAAACCUUCAUUUAAAUAUUAUGAGCAAUGUGCCAUUGAUAUAGAGCGUCCAAUAAAGAUGCCUUAUCAUAAAAGAUUCGACGAACUCAAGUCCUGUCAAUGAUAUGUAGACCGGUGUUGGUCCGUCUAACAUCGAAUUCAGUCAAAUCCACAACAUACUGAUUUAUCCAAUUGUUAUCUGCUUAAAAGUGAGAGAGAAAACCAACAUCAGUAGGAGCGCGAGGUCGGCACUCAUUGACGACGAAGUCAGUGGGAGAGAGAGAGAGAAAAAGUAAUGUGGGCUCUAUAAUGAGGCAACGGGGUUGGCAGGGGUGGCGGUGGGGGCGACAGCGACCGGUAAGCCGCAGGGGCGACGAUUGCAGGGGUGGCUGUGACCGGCGAGUGCUCCAGGAGAGGGAGAGGCAAAAAGAGAGAGAGAUUAAAGAGAGAGGAAGAGUAGUCGGGACUGGGUUGUCGGGUAUACCUAGUGAAAACAGUAAACAGUUCACCGCUUUCUCAAGGCACAUUCUCCCUUUUUUUCUCAGGACUUAUAACAGGACAAUAUAUAUUUUGUCUUUUGGGAGUUCAUGCAUUGCAAGCCUAGUCAAAAGAUAUUAUUAGAAUCCAUCAUGACCUACGGACCAUUAAGUUUUAAAUUUUGAAAUAAUAAUACUUACUAAUUGCAAGGUCGCUCGCCCGCACCUUUGGAAUCACACCGCCAGUAGCAUAACAAAUUUUAUAAUUUGUAGAGUGACAAUAAAUAGAAUAAAAACAUAGCAUUCAAGAUAUAAAUAUAACUAUACUACAUUUACAUAGCAUUUAUAUUAGGGGUAUUCAUCUCUACCAAAGAAUGAGAGUUGGACCACACCAAUGAAAACAAGACAAAAAAAAAAAAAAAUCAGUUAAACGAACAUAGAUAACUAUCAAGCCUUAUUUUUUUGUUUAGGAACAAGGAGAGAAAUGAGACCAUUAAUCUUCUUAUUUCCUUCCUUUAUUUUGGAACCAAAUAACGCCUAAAAUAAUCACAAGCCAAUUUAAAUGCAACAAUUAAAUAUUAAUUCUUACUCAUCCUGGAGCACUGAGUCAUGACUGCAGAGUUUAACAUUACAUCUAGAUAAACUAAAUUAAAUUUUAAAUGAUUAAAUGUUUAAAUGUUUAACAUUACAUCUAGAUAUUAAAAAAUUAACUGUUUAAAUCGAACUAAAUUAAAGCUUGAUAAACAGAAUUAUCUUUGACAGAAAAAUUUCAUAUAAAAGGGCUUUUUUUGCAAAUAGCCCUCUGACAAAAUUUUAUUUUAAAAUUAGCCCUAUCAAAUUUUGUUUAGACACGGUGAACAAUUCACCGUGUCCAAUGUAUUAUACACACUAGUUGGGGCGCGUAUAAUACAUUGGACACGGUGAACCAUUCACCGUGUUUGAACACGGUGAAUGGUUCACCGUAUUCAACUUACAUACCUGGCCCCAGCCCUGCCCGCGUGGCGAUCGCAUGGCAGGGGCAGGGCCAUUUUUGCAAUUUCAAAUUUGAUAGGGCUAAUUUUAAAAUAAAAUUUCUCAGGGGGCUAUUUGCAAAAAAAAACCCCAUAUAAAACUUACUCCAACUUAACUCUCCAAUAUCACUGUAUAUUAAUACUAUAUAUCUCAUCUUGCAUUCAUGUGCAAGUCUUAUUCGGAGCCUGAUUUUGUUUCUUAUUUCUUUUCCAAAAUUAUUCAUAAGCCUCUCGCCUCUUGACAUUUUGAAUCCAUAUUUUUCGAAGCACUACAAGUGGUAAAAAGCUACAUGCAAGGUAUUUUCCGAAGCACUACAUGUGGUAAAAAACUACAUGAAAGGGUGCUGGCCCCUUCAGAAUUAGAUUUAUUAGUAUUUAAUUAACUGAUAGAUAUAAUCUAAUACAUUUUCUUUCUUAAAAAUUUACAAAAAAAUUUAAUAUUAUAUAGGAGAAUUUGUGAGGUGUUGGACUACUAAAUGCAUUAGUAAAUAUACAUAACAAACACAAAAGCCUAACUGAUUAUAAAACUUAGUUGUUGAGCUACUAAAUAAAUUAGUAAAUAUAUAUACCAAAUUAACACAAAAGUCUAACUGGCUAUAACAUACGAAUCAGAGAAAGCAUUAAAGAUCAUCAAUCCAAAUUUCUCUAACCUUAUUGAGAAUAGAUUUAAUAACUAAUUUUGAAGCAAAAGUAUAUCACAUAAGAUCAUACAACAUGACAAUUUAAAUGAAAUAGUAAAUCAGCGCAUGAAUUUCUCUCAAAGCUAAUAUUCCCAUUGAUACGGAAACUUCUUUAUACAUCGAUAUCAUAAAAGAAAAUUAAAAACUAAAACAUACAGAAAGAAAAAUAAAACUCCUAAGAACUGUCAGCAACAUAAUAAUAUUCUCUAGACAUUAGUUUCAGUGGUACAAUGAGUCAAUGACUGAUUUAUCACUGUGAGCGAAUGCGAUUAUCUUGAAUAACCCAGUUGCCAUUGUAGUUCGAAGGAGUUCUUUCGUUCCAAACAAUUCUUUCAUCCGAAAAAGCAGAGUUGUAAAUAUAAAUUUCUGCCCCAAGUGGAUAAUUACCACUUAGGCUCAAAAUCUCAACAAUACGGCUAUAUAUAUCCAUCAUAUACAUGCCGUCUACAGUUACCACAAACAUCUUAUCAUAUGUUCGAAAAAUUGUAGUACUGUAAAACAUAUCACUUCCCAAUAAGAAAUUAAGAUGCACUCUAGCAACAAAUAUCCAAGCUGAGUUGCGUGUUGGUAGGUUCCAAAUAUCCAUUACGUGGAGACAAGUAUGGAGACAAGUAUGUAGUAAAUCAAGACCUCCAUCACGACUCGCUAACUCAUUCUUGUAAGGAUAAGUAGUACAAUAACGAGCUCAAUUUGACAGCACUUUGAAAUAUGAAUUAAAUGUGUGCAAGUUAAACACAAAGAUCUUAGAAUGAUUCACCAUACAAUAUAAGUGCCCAUCAAAUGAAAUUGGUCCCUCCAAUCCUAAAGAAUGAGUGGCAUUUAGGCAAGUUUUACCACUCCACCUCCAUUUCCAUAGCGUUGAAUCAAAUAGCUCACUAACCAAAAUCGAUCUAGGGAUAUUUCACCAACAUAAUCGUAGAAUUUGAUAGUGGUGAGGUGAUGACCCAUGAACAAUUAGAGCAAAACGUUUAGAGUGGUAUCUAGUUCUAGGAUUCGGUAAUUUAACCCAUUCUUUGCUAGUGGGGCGACAUAUAUAGAAUCUUGGAUGUUGAAGAUUUUUAUUUGAACAUAGUAGAGAGCCGUUUAACGAUGAUGAAAGAACAUGAACUGCCUCUGGAAUAUAUUCUAAAUUCAAAUCUUCCAUAACCAAGGUGUUAUGUGCCGGGACAAACUGAGCAGAAAAAUUUAUGUCAAAUUGUUGCAUAAAUAGUCCGAAAGUUCCAAAUAAUCUUUUACAUCGACCCAAUAUAAAUUCAUAAGUGUACGUCACUCUGUUGAAGAAAAAAGAGAUAUCUCGGCAAGCAUAAAGAGUCGACAAAGAAACUCUAGUAAAAAUCUCCAUCAAAAUAUCAGUUGGCAAGCGUACAUCUUCCUCCUCCUCAACCCAAUGUUGAAAAUAACUAUACACUAAGGACAUCCUCUAAAUGAAAUAGAAAAAUUUAUAAAAUCAGAAGUCAUAGAAGAAAACCAAUUCAAUUUCAGAAAUGCAUGAGUAUAUUAUUCAAAUAUAAAAAAAAUUUAUUGCAUAAUAAUUAUAAUAUAAAAAAGAAAUCUUUGAUCUUUUUUUUCUCUAAUUGCUGCCAACUGAGUGGUCACUUCAAUAGUUUUUUGAAUAUUCGCAGGAUUGGGCACAUUAUAAAAUAAAAAAUGUGUAGCAUUUUAUUUCCUUUUUUUAAAACCUUAAGGAAAAAUUAUAUAGAAUUUUAAAAAUUGGUAGUACAUUUGGAAGUUAUUCUUUGAAAUGCCUAAUUGUCAGAUUUAAGUUAAGAUUUACUUUAGAUAAAAGCCGCGGAGAAAGAAUUAGCAGCCAUCUUGUUGUGCUUCUCUCUAUAGCUAUAUAAGCAACCAUGGUCAUAAAAAUGAUACUAUGCGAUGAUAUUGUCAUGCAUGUGCUUCAUAGGUAGAGAAAAUACUAACCAUCCUUCAAAGUUAGCUCUCAAUUUUAAACGCACCUAAUCUUAGUUGACAUGAUUCAGUUUGGUGAUUUGUAUAGUGAAAAUUUGUAACAUAUAAGUUUUGAAGUAUGUUUAAUUUUUCCAAUUUUUAUUAAAAAGACUUUAGAAAAAAAAAUAGGCAGAUAUUAGUUUAUUAUUUUAUUAUUUAUAAUAUAAUGAACUCAAAUAGAAAUUCAAAUUUACUGCACUACAUGUAAUAAAAAAUUAAUAUCAACAAAAUCAACAAAGGUAUGCAACAAAUUAAUUUUUAACUUUUAAAAAAUGAUAAAAUAAUUAAUAAUUAAAAGAAAAAAAUAAAAAUAAAAGAAUCAAGGAGAUGACAAAAAUAAUUACAGAUUCGAAUAAACUUAUUGUUCAGUAUUUAUACGAAGAGAUCAAUCCAAAACGAAAAUACCCACAGCAAAAUUUUUCUGCCUCCAAUUGCCAAAGUACUCUUAGUAUCUCCUCCUCCUUUGUUUUUUAUGUUAAAAUUUAAGGGGUAAAUGAUGCCAUUGGCCAUGGCAACAAAGGCUUCUUAUAUAGGAGAAAAAAUAAGAUUAAAUCAGUGAAUUAAAUGACACAGGAAAAAAAAAAUAUUUAAUGACAAGUAUUUACCUGGAAUAAUUACCCAAGAAUAACUGUAUAUAAACUCUAAUAAUUUUGCAGUUAUUAUCUAAAAAUGGAACCCUUUAAUUAGUGAAUUAAAUAACCCAUAUCAUAAAAAAAUUUAAUGAAAAUUAUUUACCUGAAAUAAUGAUCCAAGAACUGAAAAAUAAAUGUGUAUAAACUCUAAUAAUUUUGCAAUUAUUCUCUAAAAAACGAACUCUUUAUUGUGUAAGCGUGGAUUCCGCUCCGUCGCUUCCGCUCCGAACCACCGUUUCUCGACUCCUCGUGCCACGCCCUCCGGCCUUUGCGGUUAGGGUUAGGGUUAGGGUUCCGAGGGGUCAGGGGAUUUAGAGAGGUUCUAGGUGGAGGGGAAAGGAUGGGCUUUUCGGUCGCUGUGGUGGGUGGGGUUUUCAUAUGAACCUAUGGGAGUAGUAGGGUUAUGAUCUUAUCAUAGGAUUUAUUAUUAUUAUUUUUUUGUCUUUAGAGAGAGAGAGAGAAAAAAAAAAAAGGAAAAAAACAAGGAAAGAGCCCUCACGAAGGGUUUAGGAGUAUACAACUUCUCUGACACAAAUAAAUUCAGAAAAGCUUUUAUUGGACUCGGUGUACAUGGUGUAUAGGUCACAGUACACUAAUUCUAUAUAUUUUAUAAUAUAGAAUUGGAAAAAAAUAUAACAAGUACAAUUAAAAUAAAGUAUUUGUAAUUCUUUUUAGAAAUUUUUCAUAAAGUUAAAUGUUAAUUUAAACUAUUAACUAUCAAAUUUCAACACAUAAUGAUACACCUGGUGCAUGUUGGCUUUUAUUACUUAUUAUUUUGUGAGGAAGUGUAUUGUGUGGACAAAAAAAAUUUAUAAUUGAGGGUAGAAUUUUAAAUUUAAAUUUAAUUUUUAUAUCUAGAAUUUAAUUUUUAUAAUUUAAAUUUAUAUAGUAGAAUUUUUAUAACUGCUAUAUAUUUAGAAGUUAAAAGUAUUCAAAUUGAAUGUCUUUUAGAAAUUUUUUAUACCACAAAAAUUUACACUUGAUUGUAUAAUUAAUACUUUAGUUCAAGUUUUAAGUUCAAAUUCAAAUCAAAUUAGAAAUUAAACAACUAAUUGUAUUUUCAAAAUUUAAUCUCAAAUUCAAUAACUUAUUACUUUGUCAGGAAGUGUAUUGUGCGGACAGUUCAAAUUUUAAGUUCAAAUUCGAAUCAAAUUUCUGCACUAGGGGCCCAUUUGUAGUUUACCCAAAAAUGUAUAAUUGAGGGUAGAAUUUUAAAUUUAAAUUUAAAUUUUAUUAAAUUGCUAUAUCUAGAAGUUAAAUUUAUAAUCAGUAUUCAAAUUUAAUGUCUUUUAGAAUUUUUUCAUACCACAAAAAUUUACACUUAAUUUUAUAAUUAAUACUUUAGUUCAAGUUUUAAGUUCAAAUUCAAAUCAAAUUAGAAAUUAAAUAACUAAUUGUAUUUUCAGAAUUUACUUUCAAAUUCAAUAACUUCUAUAAUAAAUAAAAGAAAGGGUAAAAUUGUAAUUACACAUACUUACCGAUAAAGAGGUGGGGUGAGACGAAACCACCAAAUAUAUUUGCUUAUAAGAAUAAAAAUGGAUUUCGAAGAGUGUAGGGUUGCAUUAGGCUGUGAACUAUUCACCGUUUUCAUUACUUAUAUUAUAAAGACGGUGAAUCUUUCACCGCCUCUUCAGAGGAAAUCUCCACCCUCACGUUUAUGUGACGAAUAGAGGGUUAGUUUUCUAAAUAUAUUUUGGACAGGAUUAUUUCAUAAAUUAUAAAAUUUUAAAGGGUUAUUUUGUAAAAAAAGUCCACUUCUGAAAGUAUUAAUUUUUUAAGGGCCCGUUUGUUCUAGAUUCUGAAAAAGUAAUUUUUACAAGAUUGAUUUUGGCUUGAAAAAUUAAGGCUUCGUUUAGGAUUGCAUGGAGAUUGCGUUACGUGCGGUGAGAAAGUACGUUGGAAAAAUACCUGUUUGUUUCCGUACGUAAUAUUACAUUCUGCAUUUCGCAAUCAGUUGGUUACGAGUGCGGUCCCACCGGAGAACGCAGAAGCAUAUUCCUAUAUGCUUUUUCCUUAACUCCAUUUUAUCUAAUAACGUCGGAUAGACCUCAAUAUCAAACUAAGCCUAAUUUUGAUUAAAAGUUCAUUGAACAGCGAUUUUUCUAAAGUGAUUUUGUAAAAUUAUUUAGCAAAAUUUUUAAUAUUUACGUAUAAUAAUUUUUUAUUAAAUUUAAAAUUAAAUAUUUUAAUUUAAAAUUUAAAAUUUAAAUUUGAAACGAGCACUAAGCGAGCAUAUAAUAAUUCAGACAAUGUAAUAAAAGGACAUUAUUUUGGGGCACCCUCUCGCCCUGUCAGUGGAAGAUUCAGUGGAUUCAGUGCUCUCGACCCAAUCUCGGAUAGCAAUUAAAGCCGUCCACUUUCACCCGCAAACAAAAUUCAGAAACGUUUCAAAUUUUUUUUUCAAAUUUUUUUUUUUUAUAAAAUUAAAAGCAAUUAAAUUCACUACUAUCCCCCUCCCCCUCCUCUUCGUCGUCGUUUUCCUUUCCAAAACCCACCCCCCACCCCUCCCAUGCCCCAAAACGAAACGAGAACAACGCACUCGCCCCCCUCCCACUAUAUAUAUGUAUGUACGCACGAGUCUCUCGCUCUCGCUCGCGCUCUCGCUAUACAGAUAUCGCGCGGAAGAGGAGAGGGGAGUAGAGAGAGAAGAGGGGGAGGAGGAGGAGGAGAGGAGGAGGAGGGGGAGCAAUGGCGGAGAGGCAACUCAUCGUGGUGGUGGAGGGGACUGCGGCGCUCGGGCCCUACUGGAGCACCAUCCUCUCCGAUUACCUCGAGAAGAUCAUCAGGUGAAAACCCUAAUUUUUUUUUAUCCUUUUUUUUUUUUAAUCUUGUUUUGCCGUCCCCUUUCGUUUGAUUGAUGCGGAGGUCGCGUGAUCUUGGUAAUUUGGAUUUGCAUGGGCGUUUGGAUCGUAUGAUUUUGAAUCUUUGAUGAUUUCAAGGGUUUUUUUUUUGGGGGUUAAGGAUAAUUGAAUGGUUUACUUGAUUAAAGAAGAAACUUUUGUUGGUGGUGAGGGAGAGUUUGUUCUUUCGAAUCGAGAAGCAAAAAAGUUCUUUUUUUUACGUUUUCUUUUUUCCUGAUAAAAAUGUAUGAAACUUAUCUUACUUCCUGAUCUUUAAAAAUUGGUUGAUUUAGUGGUAAUGUAGUUAGAGGAAUCACGUAAAAUACUCCGAUUAAGCCCGUUAAAGUAAAUGGCACAUCCAAGUUCUUCAAUGGAAGAGCAUGAAUUGGUAUGUUAGGUAGCAAAAUUAAAAGUUUGAAAGUUUAAGUUGUCGACUCAAAAUGGGUCAACUUUAGUUUCGGGAUACAGUAAUCCUUUGUUGGAUAAAAAUGGAUAAAAAUUAGUUUUGGGAUGCAGUUUGGGAUAUGCAGUAAUCAAGUUGAAGUGUGGUUUAUGCUAUCCCAAAAUUUCACCAAUAUUAGUUUUUAGAGAAAUUAUGGCAAGGUGGCAAUGCUACCAUUUUCCUCUUUUUGGAAUUGUUUUCUGAUUAUCUUUGUAGGGCUUGUUAGGAUAUUGGAACAAGUUAUCCUAUGAUUCGGCAUAUGUCUUUUGUGAUUGCAGUGUAGAAGUUUGAUUUUAGUCCAUUGCAAGGUAUUCAAAUCAGGAUUUUUCAAGAUAAUGCAUUUUACUCCCAAUGUGAUUUAUCAUAUUAUGGAGAAAAUGACUUAGAUGCUGUAUAGGCUAUGUGAUUAUAGACAUCUCAAUUACUGCAUGCCGGGGGAUUAAACACAGAGUAAUAUGCUGAACAAGAUGUUCAGGCAUCCAAAGAGGCUCUAAGUUGAACAAGAUGUUCAUGCAUCCAAAGAGGCUCUAAGUCGAUAAGAUAUUAAAAGGUAAUGUAUUUAGAGACGAAACAGCUUAUUAGUUUCCUCUAAGAACUUCUGGUGAUAUACUGAUUCUACAGAAUUAGUGGAGAAAUUCAGGUGGAUCUCAUGAUCUAUGAUGAUUUCUUUUGAUUAAGAAGUUGGCCAGUAGUUGUCAACUUGCCAUUAGUAUUGCUGGAGACGAGCACAACUUAUGCCAACUGAUACCUACCACUGUUCUUAUCCAUUGUAUGUAUGCUUCAUUUUCUUUUGCGUCUAGCUCAGUAUGCUCCUUACGCCAUGCUUGACCCUGUUUUUGCCUUAACUUUCUUGUUAAUGAAAUUCUUUUUCAAUUUGACAUUACUGUAUAUUGCUUAAAUUAGUUUGCUUAAAUGAGUCCUAAACAAAACUUUUAUUAACGAAAUGUAUGAAACUUGUGUAGGUCCUUUUCUGCAAAUGAGCUAAAUGGACAGGUAUUCUCACCAACUAUUAUUUGUGUUCUCUUUCUUUUAAAGCAUGCUUAUUUUUGAUAACUGAUGGCCUGAGACCCUUUUCUAGAGAAUUUAGUUUUCUCUUUUGAGUUUUGAUAAUAGCAGGUGGUUAUUCUUUCAGCAUGAAGAAUAUAUUCACUCUCAAGAAGCAUUUAAAUUUCUUUACCCUAUGGCAUAAGUUUUUUUUUUUUUUUUUUUUUUAACAUUAACAAAGAAAAUAGCAUGAAGAAUAUAUUCACUCUCAAGAAGCAUUUAAAUUUCUUUACCCUAUGGCAUAAGUUUUUUUUUUUUUUUUUUUUUUUAAAGUUAGCCUAAUAUAUACAAGUGAUAUUAGUAUCUCUGAGCUAGUGGUUAAGCAAAAAGUUAAUAAUCUACUCCUCUUCAUCAUGCUAUUUUCUUUGUUAAUGUUAAUUAAUUUGGAUUGUAGUGCGUGGCACUAUUUGUAAUGAGAUAGAAAAUGAAGUACAUAUUAAUGAUUUGGUAGUAACAAUGUUUCUUAGGGAAGUGUUGUAAAUGUUAAUUAGUUUGGAUUGUAUUGCCAAACACUUUGUAAUAAGAUAGGACAUUAAUUGCAUAUUAAAUAUUUAGUCGCAAGAAACUUUCCGAAGUGAGAAAGUGUGGAACCAACCAUACGGCAACUAACAUCACACUGACUUUAUUAGCUUUGAUUAUUUCAUGUACAUUAUUCCAUAUUAGGUUCACCAUUCAUCUUCAAUUAUAUCCAAAUAAAUUGACAAAGAAUAUUGUCAAGACUUGUUUAAUGCUAUCUGAAAUAGGCAUGCUGACUUAUAGCUAUUCCAUGUUCCUUGGGAUGAAUAUAACUCCCAAUGAAGGAUCUUGCUACUUACUAUGACUAUCGUUUUAUGGGCAUGUAAAGGCCGGUCGGCAUUGAGGCAUAAUGUUACAAGUAAAACCAUUCGCUCAUUGAGAUGCACUCUUUUAGGAAAGUUUUGAUAUUUAUGUCGGGCUAUAUGACAGGCCAUUGAAACCUAGUCAUUAAAUGUAGCAACCCUUCGCUGCUGUGGGCUUCAAGUUGUAAAGAAAAAGUCCAAUUAUAAGCUAUCUACGUUGCAAUUAUUGAUGUCUUGUCACAAGAUUUAAUAAUGGCCAGAAAUUGCCAUGACUUGCUUCAAUCCACAAAGAAGACCAAUUAUAAGAUUGAAAUGCUGACGGACACUUAUAGAGUUUAAUUGACAUUACACAAUCUGAUGCAAAAUUGUCAUCAGUACUAUAGACUAAUUGUUAUAGCCGGAGAAGGAUUAAACUAUACGUAUUUAUCCUAUAUCUAUUCAAACAAAUUUAACUGGGACCUAAUUUGUAACUAUGCAAUUUUGACCUUUCAAAUAAGAUGCUCAAUUAAAAUUUGAUGUUUUACAAUGUUGAGACAAUUUCCCCUUCUUUAGUUUGAUCUUCAUUUUUUAUUGCAUUACAUUUGAUAACCUUUUUCCCUUGAUUUGCAGAAGAUAUCUGGUGCAGGUCCUGAGUUUGCUAUGGUUAUCUUUAAUACUCAUGGAGCUCUCAGUGGUAUGCCAAAUUGUUCCUCUUUUUUCCCCCUUAAACUAAAUUAUUAUGUACUUUGGCCCCCGUUAUCUUGGAUUUUGGAAAGCUCUUUCUAACCUCAUCACAACUAUUGCUUUUUGGUUUGUUGACCAGUGCUCGCUACCGACCAAAGCGAUCUGUACUUAUUGGUAGUGUUCAUUCUACGAUAAUGGCGCAUACCCUGACAACAUCUUAUACAUUGUAGAUAUAGAUAUAGCAUAGUGAACCAACAUGGAACUAUCUGACCGUCUUUGCUUCAUCUAUCAAAAUACUAUUCUUCUGAAGAAUGCAUAAUUUCACUUUUGAUUUUUGUGUUUUCAGAGUUGGUACUAAUGUUAGUUAAAGUUACAAAUUUUUUUGCAGACAAAUAGGUUUUCUUUUCUCACAAACUAAAGCCACCCAGCAUCAGAAGCGCAGUAUUAUUUUUUGUGCCAAGAGUAUUUUGAUAUUCUAUGGCAUAUAUGAUGUUGAUUUCACAAGAGGACAGUUUUUAGAUUAUUGUUAUUUAAUUAAGGAGGAAACAAGUUAGGAAAUUUGCAGACAUAUGUCCUAGAUAUAUGCAGUACAGGAGUACUAGCUUGGGAGCUUAUUAUGUAGCUUUCUUACUAUAUAAUAGACAUUUCCUACCAGAACUGAAACUUGAAUAAGUUCUUUAAUGCAGCUUUCACUGUGCAACGGAGUGGCUGGACCAAAGAUCCAGAUGUUUUCCUUCGGUGGCUGUCAGGAAUACCAUUUAUUGGUGGCGGUUUCAAUGACACUGCCACUGCUGAAGGCCUUGCUGACGCAUUAGUGGUAUGAAAUAUGAUUAUGGUUACUAAAGUAGCCCUAUUGAUUUUCAUCCGAAAACAAUGACUAUUUUAAUUUGAAUUGUGUCUAUUUUCUGCAUAUCUAAUAUGUUCAUUGAUUCCAUUUGGGUUCUGUCCAUAACAAUGUGACCAUAAAGUGGAACCAGUGUAGUGAAGGGUGAACCUCUGUUUUUGUACAUUGUUAGUGAUCACAAGAUGCCCAUCAAGUUGUCUAGUGUAAACUUUUUUCUGAUUCUAAUGUGCUUUUGCAUUUUCCAGUGCACUAUACGAGCUGACUUACUAGUUAAUAUGUUUCUUAAAGAAAUUUAAAAUGCUUAAAGUUCUUAAAUUUGUUUGUUGGACAUUUUCUGGUUAUCGCUUCUUUGUUAGUCUCAUGAUUGUGGAGCUCAUGCGUAUUUCCCCCUACUUGUAUUGAUGUAGUAGAAACUAAUGUUGCUAUUCUUUUACUAAUGACUACUAAUAGAUUAUGGAACUGCUAUUUCCUGUUAGCAGUUCAAUCUUGUGUUUAUGAUAAUUCUUGUUGGUAGUGGCUUGGUCACAACUAUUUAAGUGCCGUGGAACGGGAUUUUGUCGAGCACUGCUUGGCAUGGUACGACAGUGUGAGCCAUGUCGUACAGAUGUGUGCUUUUGACAAAAUUUUUUGUGUGCCGAUACACUAUGGCAUGAAGUAUUUAUUUUCUUUGGCAUCAAUAUAUUCUAAUUGCUUAUUGUAAAUUCUUUAUCAUAAUGGGCAUAGCUCGUGCUGAUGUGCACUUAAUCCUAGCUUGAUCAUGUGUAGUAGAUUUUGAGGAAUUUGAGAAAAGUCUUCUUAAAGCAAUGUGAAACAACCAUUAUUCUCAAGAAGCUUAAGAUUCAAGAGAAUGGUGUUUAUAUAUUUUUAUAUUCAAGUCCCCCUCAUAUCUAGGCUUGAGUCUUUGAUCGGCCCAACAUGUGGACUUGAAUUAAAUGAGAGGAAAUUAAAUGACGUUAGGAGACUGGCGGGAUUCGAACUCAGGAUCUCCUGCUUUGAUACCAUGUUAAAGUAAUGUGAAACGACCAUUAUUUUCCAAAAGCUUAAGCUUCCAGAGAACGGUGUUUAUAUAUUUUUAUUUUCAACUAGUCUCUUACCAUUUUUCCCAGAAUAAAUGCAAGAAAGAAUAUAUAUUUUUUAUUUCAGAAGUCUAAGAACAACCAAUAUAGUAUAAGUUCUUUAUAUCUAUGAUGUUAUUUGCUUUUGCUGACAUGGCUUGUGUUUAUUACUAGAUUAGAUAGUACUUGAGGUCACAUCACUUGAUAUUUUCACUGUUUUGUACACAUUUGGUUUUCUUUCUUGAUGUAUCUGGAUCAUUUGGCUAUGAAUGAACAGAUGAAGUUAUAUAAUUGAGUUUAGGUUAUUUUAUUUGAUUAUUUCCAUGCUUGAUUGUUCAUUAUGAUAUUGGACAGUUGUUGGCUUUUUAUAUAAGUUUAUUCAUAUCAACCAUUGUUUUCUUGUUCUCACUAUGCAUGUUACUGUGGAUAUUUUAUUUCCUAGCGUGUAGGAAUUCCUUUUUAGGUUAAGCAUUGUAAUUAUAUUAUUUUGUUAAAUUUGUUAACAGAUGUUCCCUCUGCCUCCUAAUCCAAGCCAGCAAAAUCAUGAAAUGCAAAAACAUUGCAUUCUUGUUGCUGCCAGUAAUCCCUACCCUUUGCCUACACCAGUAUAUCGACCUCCUCCUCCGCACAGUGAGAAUGCUGAAGCGCCGACAGAAUCAUGGCUUGCUGAUGCUGAAACAACAGCAAAAUCAUUCGGCCAGGUCCUAUGUGAAUUCUAUCAUAUUUGUGUUUAUGGUGUUUUAGAUGUAAUUAUGCUCUGGAAUUCUUCUGUUCAUACUAACCUUUUUCCUUUGAAUGCAGUGGUCUAUAUCAUUGUCAGUCAUAGCUCCCAAACAGCUUCCGAAACUUAAAGCAAUAUAUAAUGCGGUAAGAUUUGUAGUGAACUUUGUGCCUAUAUAUUUCGGCCUCACAUGCAUAUUUUUCUCAAUGACCAUAUAGUGUGAAUAUAGUGCAAGUUCUUGGGAUGUUUUUACAGACUACUGUUGGAUUUUUUUUUCCCUAUAAUUUCAAGUUCAUCAAUUUGAAAUAUAUCACCAUUUACUUUUCUAUCUGGUGCUUAUGUUUAUUGAUUUGAUAUUUAGUAUUUACUGGAUUUCUAUGUUCUAAAAUAUUUUUGUCAAGAUGUCAUAAAUAGAUAAUUGUUUCAUAGUGUAAAGUUAACAUCAUUAAAUAUUUUUUUAGGGAAAACUUCAAAUACCACCCCUGUGGUUUUACACUUUCUCACUUUAGUACCAUGUGGUUUAAACUUUAAAGUGUAUCAAUUUAGUGUCUUGUGGUUUCAUUUUUAUCUUUUUAUUAUCGAUUCCACUAAUUUUUUUUUCUUUAAAUCAGUGACAAAAGUUAAAACUAAAGGGUACUAAAGUGAAUAUUCGAUAAAUCUAUGUGGGGUAUCUGAAGUUUUUUGUAUAUAAUUUAACUAGAUAUUAACGGAUAAGCUGACGAAAAGAUAAAAAUGAAACCACAGGACACUAACUUGAUACACUUUAAACCACAGGGUACUAAGUGAGAAAGUGCGAAACCACAGGGGUGGUAUUUGAAGUUUACCCCUUUUUUUAAACUUCUUUCAUAUCCUAUUUAUAUUACCUUUCCACUAUUUUUAGAUAAUGUGAUUCUGGCAAGUUCCCUUUUUUAUAAUCUUGCUUCAAAAAACUCCAUAUUGACCAUUUAAUGUGUAAAAAAUUUGACGUGUAACUCUUUCACAAACGUCUAACCAUUUUGACAAAUUUUAUGUAGUUUGUCCAAGUAUCCUGAGAAUUAUAUUUUAGAUUAUCUCUAUUUUAGUGGAUUAGAUGAUCUUGAAGUUGGACCUCCAGGUAUUUAUGUUCAUUUUGUCUCUAAUUAUAUAUGUUAGAAACCAGUUAUUAACAAAUUGUAUAUGUUUUAUGCUAAAAUUUUAUUCCCUAUAUUUUAAUGUCUAUUGCUAUUAUAGUUUGAUCCAGGGGUCAAAUUUUCAUUGAAGUUUUCAAUUGCUUACAUGGUGGUUGCAUAGCAAUUGUGGAACUUCGUCAUUGAAUGGAGUAAUUCAACUAAAAGGUUACAAUUGCAACUGAGUUCAGAGUUUAGGGACCUAAUUGCAAAGCGUUAACAAAUUAAGGACUAAACUGAAACUUUGUUGAAAGUUGAAUACUUCUGAUACACUUAGCUAGUCCUGUUGCAAUUUCCACCACAUUUUUGUUCAAUAACAGAAUGAUUGUCUUUUCCUUCCUGUUGUCAUCUUUACGGUCUAUAUGCACUUUUACUAAACUGCUUACAAAGAUGAGUUGAUUUGAUAGGAGGUGAGUGCUCACACAGCUUUGUACUGUUAUAGGGAAAGAGAAAUCCGCGAGCUGCUGAACCAGCUGUGGAUCAUGCAAAAAACCCUCAUUUCCUUGUUUUACUGUCUGAGAAUUUCAUGGAGGCACGUGUUGCUCUAACUCGUCCUCCAAAUGUAAGCAAUGUGAAGGUGGAUGGUGCUUCCGCUGCUCCUGCUGCAUCAGUCGCGCCAACAAGUUCCAAUAUCUCAGGUCAUAAUCAAAACAAAGAUGUUUACAGUGCUCGGGUUAUGUAGAAUUUUAGUAUUGAUGCUUUACUUUGUCGUUGGUUUUUAUCAUAAAAUUAUGCUUUACUCUGUCGUUGGUUUCUAUCCUAAAAUUAUGCAAAACUCAAUCGUUGGUUUCUACCAUGAACUUAUGCUAUAAACUUUUUUUCCAUUAGGUAAUGCAUUAAAUUUGACAUUUUUCUAGAUUCAUACUUUUCCUUCGGUAUGGUUGAAGGGAUGGUGGUGAGAGGAGAAAAAAGAUUAUAUGCCCUUGUUGAAUGAACUUUAUGGACUUCUUUUUAGGUCCAGGAAAGGGAAAGGUGAAGAAUUAAACUAAGUACCUGUUUGGCCCAGCUUCUGUUGGGCCGAGUAGUGCGGUGGUCUAAACUAUACUGUUUGGCAUCUUAAGAAGUCUAAAAUGGGCCGCAUAAGCUUUUCCCAGCCCAACAACAGAAGUUCAAAGAACAGAACUUCUGCGGCUAGGAAGGUGCAGAGUGUAGUUGUCUAACUUAAAAAGAUUUUCUAAAUGACGGUAAUGUCCUUAUAUAAAUGAUAAAAUUCAAGUCGGUGCAAAAUUGUUCUCUUUCCCCUUUGCAAAGGGGGAAGGUUCCUCCUCUACAAGAAGAGGAGGCUCGCCGGAGGAGCCCGAGGGUGAUAUGCAUCACUCUCUAGUCUCUAUCUUCUCCUCAGGUUCAUUGGGGAGGGGCACCUCCUCGUCUAGCUCGAGGAGGGAAAGGGGCACCUCCUUCGACCAUGGUCUGGGAGGUCACCUCCUUGUCCAUUGGCCCUGCAACUAUAGGCCAUUUUGAAAUUACCCAACAAACUUUACCCUUUUUCAAUUAACUUCUGAUUUUACUGAAGUUAAAUUAUUUGUACUAUUUAAGUUAACAAUUGCAUCAAGUUUUAUAACUUUAUUAACAAUCAACCAAUUAUUUUUAAUUUUAUUCACUAAAUCAUAACAAAAAAUAUUAAAUUUGAUAGAGUUAUUGGACCUCUUAAUUUAUUUAACUAAAAUCAGUUAAUUUUUUAAAAAUAAAAAUUAAAUAAAUUAAAAAUUUUAAUUAUCAAAUUAUUAUAUUUUCUUCAUAGUUAAUAAUUUUAAUUAAUUUUUUAGCAAAUCGAAAUAGAACAAUUAAUAGGUAAUAAGUAAGAUAAAUAUUAUUUUCUAGCAGAAUUUUCUUAAUCAAAAUAUUAUUUUUUUAGCAAAUCUGAAUUUUCUUAAUAGGUAAUAAAUAAGAUAAAUAAUUAAUAAUUAAGUAGAAUUUUUUUAAUUAAGUUAUUUUAAAUAUGUGUUCUCUACUAGAUAUUCUAAAUAUAGUUUAUUAAAAAAAAAAUAUUUUGGUAGUAUUUUGUCAAUUUAUAAUCUUUUACACCACUUUUGAGACGAAUAUUUGCCAAAUAGGGUUCAAUUGCAAACAACAGUUAUACGACUGAAUUAUCAAAUACUCAAACUUUUUCAAACAGGACAACACUAUAUCCUACACCACUUCUAUAACCGCACUUAUUUCUACAACUUGGCCAAACGGGCCUAAAAUGUUGAAAGCCUUGUGGAAAUUAUUGCAAUAUUGCAACAAUGUACAACCUUACUUAGUACUAAAGGCUAAGAAAAAUUUCUAGAGCUGUUGGUGCAAAUGGCUCUCGUUUGUUCUAUGCAGCGGUCAAUAUUAAUGUGAGAUUUUAUGGAUCAAAAAGUCAAUAUUUUUAUACAGAUUUUAUGCUGUAUUAUCUGUACGUCUGUUGCUAUGUUGCUAGUUGUCGUUUUGUUGAGAAUUUCUUGCAGUAUGACUAUUAAUUCGUAGCAUUUGAUCCGCAUAAUGCAUGGCUAAUCUAAAUUUCUUACUAUGUUGUUGAUGAUCGCAAGUUCAGCUCAACAGUGUAAACCUCUAAAGACAUUCAACUUCUAGCUGUCGUCUUCUCAUAGGAUGAAGUAGUCUUUUAUUGAUAAAUGUACCAUUGAACUUCCGUUUGCUUUUGAUAAGGAACAUAAGAUAUGCUAAUGGUAAACCUUCAGAGCUGACGAAAUUAGAAAUAUUAUCUAUGUAUUGAGCAACAAUAUGAUAGAGAAUACCUCAGGUAGGCAACGAUAUUGCUCCUAUUAAUGGUCUUGAUGAAGUGACGGCAAGUGAAUUAGUGGAAUUUGAAGAGGGUACAACAGGUGUAGCUCUGAAAUUGGAAUAGAUAACUUUUCCCAUACUCCGUAUGUUGUAAAUUGAGACAUAUAGUACAUAUACCUAUUAUGCCUUCUCCUAUUUUAUUGACCAAUGUGCAACUGCACAAAGAACAAAUUCUGCCUGUACAGCACUCAAAAAUCUCAUAAUAAUAAUUGGAAUAACUUUCCUGAUUUGUUUAAGUAUGUACAGCAGUUGUGUUUCAUUUGUUGCUUGCACGCUUCUUUUCUCAGUGGUAUAAUGUAAAUAAAGGAAGAAUGUAGCUUUAUAGAGAGAUCUACAUUAUGAUAACCAUUUCUUGCUAGAAUUUUAUAACUGAUUGCAUGAGUUUGUCAAUUUCGCUCUUACGUCUUGUUGAGGUUCUUAUCUAUCCUUUGCACUUACCUAAAUCUAGAAAACUAAAUUUAGUCACCGGUGUUUUACAAUAUUUUUUCUUUAUUGGCGGACUGUCCCGAUUUGUCGAGUACGUACUUCAGUUAUGCCUAUUUGUUGCUCAUACGCAUUGUUUUGGUAAUAAAGCUAACCACGUAAACGGUGUAGUUUUCUAGAGACCUAUUUAAGGAUAACCAUUUCUUGCUAGAAGAUGGUCACCGAUCGCAUGAGGUAGUCAAAUUUUACUGUUACGUCUUGAUCUUGUUGAGUUUCUUAUUUAUCCUCUGCAUGUAUUUGAAUCUUGAAGAGUAAAAUGUAGUUGGAGUUUUUUAUGUUAUUCUUUCUUCUAGAUUGGCAACUGAAGGUGCCACGGUAAUAGGUACGAUGUAGGAAAUCCUGCAAGCAUCUAUUGGGAGAAUUAAUUAAUGUUUGUAACUUUGUAUUCUAUGAUGCAAGGGCUUAUCAAUUGCUGACUGGCGUGUAUUGCGCCGCACACCCUGUGGGCAGCUUGUAUUGGUGCAAAUAUGUUUAUUUUUUGAAUAGUAGCUGAUAUGGAAAUACUUCUUUUCAUGAAAAAAGAAAUAGAAAAAUUAAAGUGGGCUUUGAAGAGCUCUCAGAUCUAGGAAAACAAAAGUAUAAAAGGGGUGGAAUUGUGUACUGCAGCACAGGAGCUCUCCAGUUCCUCGUUUUAAGGGGUUUGUUGUAUUUUGCCAAUUAAGAUGCAGCGGUAACUUUAAUCGAGAAAGAUAUGGGUUGUAGUGUUACGGAGGAUUUGUAGGUAGGUCUUAAUGAAGGUGGAGCAACAACGUCAAUCUAGUAGUAACAUUUAUCAACCAUAAUGUAUUAAUAUAUGAUUGGCAUAAUACAUGCCGCCUCCUGCCGACUGGCAGGGGUGGCAUUGGCUACAUUUGGUAAUAACUGGUCUAUAUAUGGAAUUGUCCUUUGCACCGUAAAAGAUGAUCAGUUAUCUUGUGAGCAAAUGUAAAGUUAUUAAUGUGAAGUUUCUUUUUCCCUGAUAGAAGUUAUAUUUAAGUUGUAAAGAUUAUCUAAGCUGCUAUCAUAGCUCAAAGAAGAAAGAGCACACUCAAUCCCUCAAUGUUUGAUGGUUUGGAUUUUUACCUUCUAACUUCAAAUAACAUGUUGCUAAACAUAACUAUGAGAGCAUUCAAACAAUAAAUGUAUAUUUGAUCCUAACGAAUUUGUUGUUUACAUUGCAUAGCUCUCAAAAGUUAUUCUUGAUUAAAAAGGGACCUCGACGAAGAGAUCAAAACACGGGUUCUGACACUAGGAGUAAUUUUACUUGUUUUAAUAUGUGUGGAUUUAAUAUAUUUUUUUUGAUAUCUAAAGACUGAAUUUGAUUUGUUUUCCAUGGAUGUGAAUAAUAAUGUGAAAUUAUACUAGGAUAAUAAAUGUAAUAACGAAGCUAAGAUUAUAGAUACAAUAUCUAAGUUGUUUUUGCAUUUCGCAAACAAUCAAUGUUGUGCAGCCAAUUUCGUUUAUUUGAGAUUGUCGUUUUUGUCGUUUUCUAAAUUUGGUUGUUCUAUCUAAGGUGCAUGUAGAUUGUAAUCUUGCAUCUUACCCAAUUUUAACAGUUGUUUUGUUUUUCCUGCAGUUAAUGGAUCUAUUAUGAGUCGUCAAGCAUUAGCCGGUGGAAAUAUGCCCACUGCAACUGUUAAAGUGGUGGGGAUCGCUUAUUCAAUUUGUGAAUCAUAUAUGAUGUUCAUCGACUAUUUUGCAUACUCUAAAACAUUGUUAACUCACUUUUGUUUCUUCUCAGGAGCCAACUACAAUACCUUCUUUGGUACCUGGACCAACCUUCUCACACCUUCCGGCUAUAAGCAAUGUUACCUCUCAAGGAAUACCGACGUUGCAGAGUUCUUCGCCAUCUCCUAUUUCACAAGAAAUGAAUGCAAUUAAUGAUAAUGUGCAGGAACAUAAGCCAUUAGUAAACCCUGUAUCCCAACAAUUACGCCCGGUGGGCCCUGCCGCAGCAAAUGUGAACAUAUUGAACAAUCUUUCUCAGCACCGGCAAAUGAUGAACUCGACCUCUUUAGCAGGAGCCAGUUCUAUUGGACUGCCAAUGCAUAUGUCGAGCAUGAUAUCGAGUGGGAUGACGUCAGCUGCGAUGUCAGGAAUAUCAUCUUUACCUGGUGUUACACAAAACACAAAUCUUGGUUCAUUCACAUCGGCUACUUCCAAUAUGUCUAGCAACUCAAAUAUUGGUAUUGCACCUUCGUUGGCUAAUCUGCAAGGAAAUAUUAGUAUGGGCCAGUCACUAUCCAAUGUUGCACAAGCGAGUUUAGCAUCAGGAGGGCAAAUAGGGCAAAGUGGAAUUGGCAUGAACCAGAACAUAAUGAGUGGUCUUGGGACCACAGGUAUUUCCUCUGGAACAGGUCCUGGGACGAUGAUUCCGACUCCAGGAAUGUCUCAACAGGCAGGUGUACAUUCUCUAGGCAUGACCGGUAAUUCCUCCAUUAAUAUGCCUAUGACACAACACCCCAAUGUUCAACAGUCUCAGUCCAAGUAUGUUAAAAUUUGGGAGGUACAUUACCGCCGCCAUCCUUAAGGAAAUUAUGGAUUUUACGUUUAUCAUGUUGAUAGUUGAUCUAGUAUAAUUUUAAUUAUUUACAGUAGAAGAAAGGUUGUAGUAUAUGAUGGCACAUGCAAGUCUUAAGCUUUUGAAUUCCUGUCCUAGCUAGUAGUCGUGGAAUUGAUAUCUCUCCUUUCUAUUUAUAUUAGUUUUUCGUAGUAUGAAAUUGCGUCUUUACUGUGAUUCCAUAAUUAAGCUGUUGCAUAUAAAUGCUGUAAGCAUUGCAUCGUAAUAAAUGUUUGUGAAAAAGCAUUGGUUAUUGGUUUAUCUUUAUCAUUUGGGUCGUGAUUUUGUGUUGUCCUGCUGUUUGAACAAAAGGGAAAAUAAGUCAAUAAAUUAACUUUAUUGUUUUGCUUAUUCGAUCUCAUGUAAUUCUUCACUUUCUAUUGAAGCAUUGUAAGGGGUACACUUAGUCAUUAAAUCUCUUCUCUUUAUAUCAAAUUAUUGCUUGGCUUGGUAGAUCUUAUUUGGGAAUGUUUUUUAAACGUUUCCGUUAGUGAUCGUUCCCUUUGCCAACUUCUGCAGGGAACAUUGUCUGGACAAAGGCAGGGCCAACCUGUUUUCAUUUGUAAACUCGAAGUAAGUCUACUUAUUUAUUAAAUUUCAUUCCCUAAAAGUAAUUUUCCGUGAAAUGUUGUUGCCAUUUUUGUAGAAAUUUAUGUAAUUUCUUAGGGAAAUUAAUUACUGGUUCCUUGUAUGAUAGUGAAACCUACAAUGUUUAGUCUCUCACUGCAAUCGAUGUCUCUUUGUUGUUAAAUAGAUCACUUGCUUCUACAGUUUGGGACAUCUUGUUGUGACCACAUGCUUUGAUUGGGCAGUUCUUUUCACUGUCCACGACUCCAUUAUUUUUUGAUAAAUCACUUGUUCAAUGUUCCUAUUUGAAGUGCUAUGGAACGAGCUUUAUCAUUACCUCUUAGUUGGGUUAUAUACUGGUGAUGAUGAAAGCUUGGAUUGUGAGUGUUUCUAUUUCUUUGGCUAUUAGAUUGAACUCGGAUGUGGCUUGGUAGCUUAAUUGGGCCAUCUAAUAUCCCAAGAUUUUUGUGGAGAGUUAUCUGUGUUAAAUGAUCCUAGUCUGUAACCAAGAUUUAUCAGCAAUCACCUAUAUACUUUGAUUUUGCCUGAGCCGGGAAUGCCACAUCAAUUUUUCUAGCUGGUUGAUGUUGGUUGAGAAGCAGCGAAACUUAUUUUAAGUCCUUUGGAGUGUUUUUAUUUUUGAGUUCCGAUCCUCGUUGCCUAGAAUUUCUGUGCUUUGCAUUGAGGAUUGCCAUGCCACUGGCAUGACUUAUGCCGCGGUGCCAGCGGUAUGGGCCGUGCCAAUGUUAUUAGCACAGAUUUUUUAAUUAAAUUAUCAUGAAAAUUAGUUUUUAUAGAGUGGUUUAGUGUCUUUAAUGAUUAGAAAAUAGUUUAUAUAUUAUUUCUCACACUAUUUAGUGGAAAUCGAGUCAUAGACACCAUAAGAACUAAAGAAAAUUAUUUUAUAUUAUAUUAUGAGAGUACAUGCAUGAAACCAAACUUAAAAUCAAAAUUAGAUAAAAAUUUGUAGGAAAACACUACCAUGAAUCCUUGGAUGUAAAAUGAUAAAACAAAUUAGAGGAAAUCUUCUUAUUUGAAUUUUUUAACUUAAGGUUGGUUUUAUUUGCGAAAGAGCUUAUUAAUUGCUCCAAAUGUAAGUAGACUUAAAAUGAUCUACAUAUUUUAAGUAUGAAAAACCUUCUCAAAAACUUUUUCACCUCAAAAAAUUCAAAAGAUUUUAAAAAUGCAAAAAAAACUAUUUUGUCAGUACGAUGUCGGUACGACCCCGUUCCACGUGCCGGCACGGCCUCGGCGCGGCGCGGCACCGCACCGGCAGCAUGGCCAAUCCUUGCUUUGCAUCUAGUGAAAGAAUUAGUAUAGAUUUUAGGCAAAAACGAUUUAGAAAGUGUUCAAGAUAUGUGAAAACAUGCCUUAAAAGGAAAAAGAUCGAGUGUCUAAAAAGGAUGUCUGAAAACAGAUGACUACCCUAUCUGAAUGGGUGAUGCGUUGGUCGAUAUUUAUGCUUUGCAUGUUUCUUUUAUAUACUUUUGAAGAAAGAAUCGUGUUCUGCAACUUGCUGAAUUAACAAUCAACUUCAGGAGGCUUUUCUGUAGCGAAACAGUUGUGCAAGGUUUGGCAUUAAAACCCCAAAUCUGAAUGCCAUUUGCACUUUGGCAUGGCCUUAUUUUCUGUUCUAUUUAUAACGAUCCUUUCUAGAAAUUCGUAAAUCAUUGUUACAUGCCUCUUUUGGAAUAACAGGCAUUGGAAGCAAGUAGGGAACAAACUACCAAUAAAUUAGUAAUUUUUCUUUGUGUAAGUGCAAAAGGGCAAUUUAUAAUGGGUGAGCUUGGAAGUCUUCCGUUCUAGCUGUAAACUUUAAAGUUUUACUUUGCAAGUCCCCUUUGAAAUGCUAAUUAUUGGGUUUUCUUUAACAAAUGAGCUUGGAAAUGAUGCCAAUGUUACUCUUCACUGGGAUCUCUAGAAUUUUUGCUUGGACUAACAAUGCACCUCUCCUGUUUAAUGAUAAAUGUCCAAAUGCUGUUUUCCAUUUGUUGAAGUUAAAUCUCUAGAUUUUCUUUUUUCUUACACAUGCAUAUGUUGAAUACUGUGGCAAAGGGCUUGGUGGUUGGUACCCGAGACCCAAGUUCGAAUCCUAGUUGAUUCACAUUUCUAGCUAAGUUUAUUUCUAAAUGAAAUAAACGAAGUAGGUAGCGUGCUACCUAUCUCUCAAAAAAAAAAAGAAUACUGUGGUUUGAGGUAGGAGAAAUAUAAGAGCAUUAAUAUAGUGUUAGCGUGCAAGAAUGUAUAGAAUAGGCAGUAUAUUGAACUUCGUUGUCUAUAUAUCGAACUUUGUUGUCUCCUUUUACAUGAAGUACUUCUGAUCAUUUUAUGUCAAUAUUUUACAAUUUAAUUGAUUGUUUUGAUCAUGAAUUUAUAUGUUCAUAUUGCAGGGCUACAGAAGUGCAUCUGCUGCUGAUACGUAAGUGGGACAAUACAUUCUGUUCUUCUUGCAAAUAUAGACUAUUGUUCUUUUUUUGUUUUUCACUAUAGUUUUAAUUUUUUACAAUGUAGAUUGUCCUCAUAUUUCCAUGAACUUAAAUAUGAUCACAUUUAUAAGUAUUUGAACAAAUUUGUGAGGUCUCAUGAAGAAAUCUCUACAAAUUACUGCAAGAUGAAAAAUAAUUGUAGUCUUAAAAGGUCGGUACCGUAAAUGUUGAUGUUACAUGAAUGAUAGAAGUUCAGCAAGAUCAUUAUUAACUUUCAGUGCUAAAUCAGAUAUAUUUUUCAGAUUUGUCAUUAUCCACAUGCUAUUUUUACAGAAAUUUCAUUAGAAUUGUUGAAAGUUGAAAUAGGUCAACCAAAUUGUUGUUGCGUUUUUCUCCUUUCUUUUGUUUCCCCCUUCUCUAUUUACUUUUUGAUUUUCCUUUUCUGUUAGGGAUUGUUUGGUUCCACGUAAAAUUGCUGAAAGUAGUUUUUGGUGAAAUAGUUUUUUGUGUGGGAGGAGUUUUAGUUCUUUGACACUUGCUUUUUGGAAAAAUAAAAUCAGUUUCCAAACUAGUUUAAGUUUGUAGGAACUGGAAAUAUUAAACCAUUUACAUUUUUCGAUCAGUAGUUUGAUUUUUUGACAAACUGAAAUAUAAAUGAUAUAAAGUAAUGUACAUAUAGUAUAAAUAUACAAUGUUAUAUUAUAUUUUAACAUAUUAUAUAAGAUAAAUUGCACGUUUUGGUCCUCAAACUAUAAGGUGGGUGAUACUUUGGUUUUUAAACUUUAAUUUGUUGCAAUUUCUGUCACGAACUUUCAGAACUGUUGCAAUCUAGUUCUAUAAUCCAAUUUAGUUAAUUAAAUAUUGAUGUGUCAUUAAUGUAAAAGUGAUGUAGUAGAGUUGUGAUUGAUAAUACGCUAAUAAUUAAGAUGUCGCAUCACUUACGAUGUGUCAACAUUUAGUCAACUAAACUGGGUUGUGAGAUUGGAUUGCAAUAAUUCUAAAAUUUCGACCUAGACAUUUCAACAAAUGCAAGUUUUUAAGGACUAAAAUGUCAUCGCCUCAUAGUUUGAGGACCGAACGUGCAAUUUACCCAAAAAUAUAAUGUGUUGCAGAGUAUAAUAUGUUAAGUAUGUGUACAUAUUAUGAUGGUACAUAACCUAUAUAGAUAUAUAAGUAUAUGAAUAUAGUAGUAAUGUAAUAGUAUAAUGUGAUUAUCAAUUUCUUCAUUUAUAUACCAACCAAACUUAUGUCAUUAAAACACGAUAAUGGUUACAGCUGUGUGAUUCUAAUUGGACCUUAUCAAGAAUUAGUUAAAAAAGAAGUGUUGCUGUGUUGCUAAAUUCAAUUGUCGCCUUUGAUUCCUUGAUUCUUUUCCAUACAUGCAGCAGUUCAGAGUUCAGACCAUACAUAGACUUCAGAAGCCAUGCACCAGCCCAAAUAAAUGAUAUCUCAUGCAUGUGUCACCCAUUGAUGUGCACCAUGUUACUUUUUCGGCCUGUUUCUUUUCAUUUUCUGGUAGAGGAAAACGGAAAACGAAACCUCUUUUUUCUAGAUACACUGAAACUACUCCGCGCUAUUUAUGUUGAGAGAAAAUGAGUAGAAAAUCUGUUUUCAUAUCGAAAAGCAGUUUUCAGCGGUCAAGCUUGACCCCUUUAGUCAAACCAAAAAGAGCAUAUAGUUGCCGUGAAUGUGUUUAUUUUACCCUUAUGCUUGACGAGAAGUGCUAAUGCGCACUACUUAAUUCCUUUUCCCUAAGCUCAAGGAUUUCAGCGGCACGGGCUGUAUCCAACAUGCCGUACGUGCCGACAAUAUAUCGGCACAAUCCAACCCCCAAUAUCGUUGGCAUGACCCACAACCCUUUUUUAUUUGAAAUUAGCAAGUAGUUACCUCGAUAAAGUUCAAAAGCUUUAAUAAAUAUAUAUAAAAAAUAAUUAGAAUAUAUUUGUGUCAAAUAAAAUAAAUAUAUUAUGCCAUUUCGUGUCGGCACACGUAUUUUUUCAGACCAGCACGUCUCAUCACUGCAUGGGCACGCACGUUCUAGCAGGCUUUCGGCACGAUCCCUUGCCCCGGCACUUAAGUCCUUGCCUUAGCUGCAUCUGAGAUCGGUCGAAUUUAUGAUACUAUUGCAUGCUAUGUUUUCCUUUACAUGUUUGUGUUGAAUAAAGCUUGCAUUAUAUUUAUCUGGUGUUUCGAUGAUUAAAUCUAUAGUGUAUAGUACGUUUAUAAGCUAUAUAUAUUAUGUGAACUAUCACGGGGCUGAUAUUUUGUUUUGGCAAAUUUCAGGCUCGCCUCAGAUUGGCCAUCGACGAUGCAAAUUGUUCGGCUCAUAGCUCAAGAGCAUAUGAACAACAAGUAAAUCUCAACGAUAUGCCGUUUCUUCUUUGGAUAUUUUGCUUACUUCGCUACACAUAUUAUCUGCACUUCUAAAAUACAAACUUUCAUACAUAGCCCUUGGAAGUUCUGUUUCUUUCCAAACUACCCUUAAGUUGGAGAAUCGGCCGAUUUAUUGGCAGAUGUUGGUUUCGUAAUAUAAUAGAUUUCCUUAAAGGGAUGUUUUUUAAGUACCAGGAUAUACGUGUAAUAAACUAAGUUUUGAAGGGAAUAUAUGUAAUUACAAAAUUCUUCCAGGAUAAAUAGGGGCAAUCUCUCUUUUCUUUGUUAAACCAGUAUGUAGAUUUAUUUCCUUGUGAAAUCCCUCUGAAGCAGAUAUUUAUCCUGUUAUUAUUAUUAUUAUUUAUUUUCUUACACAGGCAAUAUGUUGGUAAAGCGGACUUCCUGGUAUUUCGGACCUUAAAUCAGCACGGCUUUCUUGGACAACUGCAAGAAAAGAAACUGGUUUGUAUUAUAUUUCGACACUUUUUUUUGGGUAUUGUUUCUUCAUUUUAUUGUAACACACUUUAAAGUCACUUUACAUGCUGAAACUUUUACUUUCGUAACCUUUCAUUGUUUGUUCCUUUCUCAUUAGCUUUAGCGAAUUGCAGCAUUCAUAGUAAAGUGGAGCAUUCAUAGUUUUCUUUUUCUUUUGAAGAAAAGAUUUUCUUUUUGGUAAAAAUGUAUAUAAUUUAUCAGACUUAUGAACCAUUUUGAUUUGGCUACCCAAUCUUGUAAAAUUUGAUCUUACUACCUAACCUUUCAUUUUGCUUGAUUUGAAUCAGUCAAUGGCACUUUGACUUCAAACUUUAAACUAAAUAUUUUAAUGAAUUUGUAGUUGCGAAAAUUGCAUAAAAUAUACUAACCUGUAAAGAUAAACGAUGUAUUUAAAUUUUGAAAUCAAAGUGCUAUUGACCGACUUAAAUCAAACAAAUUGAGAAAAUCAAAUUUUUGAAAGAUUGGGUAGCCAAAUCAAAAUAGUCCGUAGUUUAGGUAAGUUCUGUAUAUUUUUGCCUUUCCUUUUUUCCUUGUAGUUAUAUCAGGCAUUACCUAUGUUAAAUCUGUAUAUAAUACUCACAAUCUAUCUUCUAACCAACCAAAGUGUCCAUUCAAGAAAUGGCUUAUUUCAUAAUAUUCUGCCAAAAUGUUCUAACCUAUUGUUUCCAAAUAAAAUAUAAUCAAAGUACAUCAUACCGAAUAACUUAAACAAUGACUAGAAAGUUCGAAGGUAACAUCAGUGCUUAAGAAAAUGCAAUGAUUCUUGUUGAAUUCGAGAUUAAUAUUACAUUCUUUCUAUUUUUCGACUUCCUGAUUCGUGCUCCUGUGAGAAACUGCAACAUGAGUGCAUAGACUUAGAAUAUGCAAAUCUUUACUAUGAAAUAUAAUUUCUUGAUUUGGGGCAUCUUAAAGUUGUUUUGUGACAAUCGAUAGCAUGAUUUGGAUUUAUAUUUUAUAUAUAUAUAUUUUUCUUUUUCAGUGUGCUGUUAUCCAGCUACCUACCCAGACGCUACUACUGUCCGUCUCAGACAAAGCAGGCCGCCUGAUUGGAAUGCUCUUUCCCGGGGUAUGUUGUUAGUAACUUUAUUUUUGGUUUUUCUUUCCUCUUGCAUGUGAUUCUUCUCCCACAAGGUUCUGGUUAUUUCCAUACAAAGCUAUGAGAACAGUCUUUUCUUUAAUUUUAAGUUUUGAUGAGCACAACUUUGAUUUCCUAUUAAACAGUUCUCCCGAUUCUUCCAAAUAACUAGAUCUUUCGUUUCUUUUUGUCUACGGAAACAAAAAGUAGUUUACUGUUCGAGAAACAAAUACUUAUUUGAGAAACUAGUUUACCUUUUUUCAGUAAGAAGGAAAACUAGUUUAAUUUCAUCUCGGAUGAAUGAAGAUCGCUUUUCUGUAGAAUCAUUUUUUUUCCUACUGUCUUCCUUACAAUAAAACUUCCUCUAAGCUAAUUCUUUCGUCGUCCAGGAUAUGGUUGUAUUCAAGCCGCAGGUGUCUAGUCAGCAGCAACAGCAACCCCAGCUGCAGCAGCAGCAGCACCUUCAGUCGCAGCCUCAAUCACACCCCCAUCUUCAACAGCAGCAGCCGCAGCAGCAGCAGCUUCCGCAGCAGCAGAUGGGCCAGCCACAACAGCUGCAGCAGCAGAUGGGCCAGCCACAACAGAUGCAGCAGCAGCAGCAACUUCAGCAGCAGCAGCAGCAGCAGCAGCAGCAGCAACUUCAGCAGCAGCCACAGUUACUUCCGCAGCAGCAGCAGCAGCAGCAGCAGCCGCCGCAGCAGCAGCAAAUGGUUGGCCCCGGAAUGGGCCAGAGCUUCAUGCAAGGGCAUGGCAGGUCUCAGAUGAUGCCACAAGGCAAAGUGCCCUCGCAAGGGCCGCCGACUAACAUGCCAGGCGGAGGUUUCCUUCCUUAAAAUACUAUAAUCCAUUUUCAAUCAAACUUAUCUAGUCUCAAAAGAGUGCAUGUAUAUAAAUAAAGAUACUUGGUAUGGUGUGACAAACAGUGUCCUAAGUUAUUUAAGUUUGUUGGUCGUCAUCGUAAUUCGGUCUUUCAGACUCUUUGUAUGUUUUGUUAGCUUAAUCUAUUUUGAAACUUUUGUCUACCAUAAUCUUAAGCAUAAUCUUUCUGAGGAGAAAAGGGAUGGAGCUCUACAUAGUUUUUGAGUUUUCAAAUCUAAUGUUGUCAUUUUAUCAACCAAUGAUCGGCUACUAAUUAGUUGACAUUGAUUACAUGGUUAACUGGAACCCUAAAUCUGGGCAACAAGGGUUCAAGGUAUGCUAACAAACUGCAAACUUGACUUCCGAAUUUUCGUCUUUCAUCAAAAUAGACAUACACCAGAAAGUCAUUUCAGGAAGACCUGAGAUUCUCUGAAUCCACCGGCACAUAAACAAACAUCCCUGCUACUGUAUCAUGCAUUUUCAGCUACCAGAUAUACCAUUUUAGAAAAUUAAACUAGCUAACUAUUCACAUAUUUCUAUUACUAGGCCUAAUCUGGAAUUGUAUUUUCAAAUGCAUCUGCUUUUAUACUUUUUAGUGGUCAGAACGAUCUAAAAAUGCUACCAAUUUUUUUUACUCCAGUGCUAUAUAAAAAUUGGAAUGGCAAUUGCCCACAAGGGAAAAUUGAAAGUGCUUUUGAAAUUGAAAGUGCUUUUGAAAUUUUUGGCUUUCCAAAACGUAAAAACAGGUGCUUUUAACUAAGUUUCUCAUGAAAAAUUUCUCGUCAAUUUUUCGCCAGUUUGGUUCAGACAAAAAAAAGCUAGUAUUUCUGAAAACUUCUUUGUUUUAGAUUUCAUGAAAAACUAGUUUUUUUUACAUUUUCCAGAUUUUAGUUAUUUUUUUAAGAACCAAACGGAUGAAAAGUGAAGACCACGACUUCCCAUGGAAUUUUUUUUUUCCGCAAAAGAAUUUUCCUCAGCCCCUAAACAAUAAAAAAACUCGACUGACGUGCACUCAAAACACAAUCAAGUAUUGAUUCGGCUCUAUAAUAAACAAUGUUUGGAAAGAACACUACCAACUUCGUAUACAAAGGUGUUUGAUAGUUUCGGUACAAGUUUACAAAAGACUACAUCUGAUGUAUUCAAGGGAUACAAGAAAAAAGAUCAAUCCCCUGUUACGGUCGCAGACAUCACCACUAUUGAAAGGGGAUGCUUACAGCGCGCACAUUUGANCAGCAGCAGCAGCAGCAGCAGCAGCAGCAGCAACUUCAGCAGCAGCCACAGUUACUUCCGCAGCAGCAGCAGCAGCAGCAGCAGCCGCCGCAGCAGCAGCAAAUGGUUGGCCCCGGAAUGGGCCAGAGCUUCAUGCAAGGGCAUAGCAGGUCUCAGAUGAUGCCCCAAGGCAAAGUGCCCUCGCAAGGGCCGCCGACUAACAUGCCCGGCGGAGGUUUCCUUCCUUAAAAUACUAUAAUCCAUUUUCAAUCAAACUUAUCUAGUCUUAAAAGAGUGCAUGUAUAUAAAUAAAGAUACUUGGUAUGGUGUGACAAACAGUGUCCUAAGUUAUUUAAGUUUGUUGGUCGUCAUCGUAAUUCGGUCUUUCAGACUCUUUGUAUGUUUUGUUAGCUUAAUCUAUUUUGAAACUUUUGUCUACCAUAAUCUUAAGCAUAAUCUUUCGAAGGAGAAAAGGGAUGGAGCUCUACAUAGUUUUUGAGUUUUGAAAUCUUAUGUUGUCAUUUUAUCAACCAAUGAUCGGCUACUAAUUAGUCGACAUUGAUUACAUGGUUCACUGGAACCCUACAUCUGGGCAACAAGGGUUCAAGGGAUGCUAACAAACUGCAAACUUGACCUCCGAAUUUCCGUCUUUCAUCAAAAUAGACAUACACCAGAAAGUCAUUUUCAGGAAGACCUGAGAUUCUCUUGAAUCGACUGAAACAAACAUCCCAACUACUGUAUCAUGCAUUUUCAGCCACCAGAUCUACCAUUUUAGAAAAUUAAAUUGGCUAACUAUUCACAUAUUACUAUUACUAGGCCUAAUCUGGAAUUGUAUUUUUGAACGCAUCUGUUUUUAUACUUUUUAGUGAUCAGAACAAUUUAAAAAUGCUACCGAUCUUUUUUCCGCGAGUGCUAUAAAAAUUGGAUUGGCAAUUGCCCACAAGGGAAAAUUGAAAGUGCUUUUGAAAUUUUUGGCUUUCCAAAACGUAAAAAUAGAUGCUUUUAACAAGUUUCUCAUGGAAAAUUUCUCGUCAAAUUUUUCGCCAGUUUGGUUCAUAAAAAAAAAGCUAGUAUUUCUGAAAACUUCUUUGUUUUAUAUUUCAUGAAAAACUAGUUUUUUCGUUUUCCAGAUUUGAGUUUUUUUUAAGAACCAAACGGAAGAAAAGUGAAGACGACGACUUCUCAUGGAAUUUUUUUUUUCCGCAAAAAAAAUUUCCUCAGCCCCUAAACAAUAAAACACUCGACUGACGUACACUCAAAACACAAUCAAGUAUUGAUUCGGCUCUAUAAUAAACAAUGUUUGAAAAGAACACUAACAACUUCGUAUACAAAGGUGUUUGAUAGUUUCGGUACAAGUUUACAAAAGACUACAUCUGAUGACUGAUAUAUUCAAGGGAUACAAGAAAAAAGAUCAAUCCCCUGUUACGGUCGCAGACAUCACCACUAUUGAAAGGGGAUGCUUACAGCGCGCACAUUUGACGACCCAGAUCUUUUACAACAGCUCGGUACAUCCUAUACCGAUAAAAGUUGCACGAGUCUAUUCACAUAAAGAAGCUACAUCAUGAAGUACAGUAAAGAGUAUUUGUGUCAAUUUUCAUGAAUCAGGCGUAAUUUCGUCGUUUCUUUGUAAAUCCCCUCCUAAAGUGCCAUUCUUACCUUCCAAUGCACCGUUGUCGUCAUCGUCGCAGAUUUUUGGCUGGGCUUUGUUUAAUUUCCGAAGCCUCACGGUAGCUGGAUUCAUUCGUUGCUGUUGCGGAUGUUCGAUAAGAUUUAGCCGACUCAUCACGUAAGCCAAAAGCUCCUCCCUGUGCGAGAAAGUGAAGUCCAAAUGAGCAUACUCGAACUCGUUGUAGGACACCGCCACUCCGGCCCUUUUCAUCAACUUGAAGUGCUUUUUCACCAUCGAAGGCCGAAUCACUCUAUCCUUAAUCCCCGCAACCAAAUCAACGGGGAUAUCAAUUAGGUUGUACCGCUCCCCCAAAUCCAACGGUUCCGGUGAACCGUACGCUUCCAUAUUCGCAGAAGCACUUCCGUAAUCAUACAUUAUGAACUUUCUCGCUCGCUUAAUUUGCGCGAGGUGAAGAGCGACAUAAAAUGACACCCCCGGCAUGUCGUACAUAUUAUAGUGUGGCAAUCCAAGAACUCCGACCCAAUUCGAGCUGUCGCCCCCAACAACGUAGCCCAUUAGGGUUUGGACCAGGCCGCCCAAAGCCGGAUAGUUGUGAAAAUCUCGAGCCAACUUGUUUAGAAGCAUCCGGAAGAAUCUAGUUGGUAUAUAGAGACCGGGUACUACAGGGGCGAGUAUUGGACCGAUUAGCAGUACUAGUUUCUCUACGAUAGUGAAUAAUAUGGUAGAAUCCUCAUGGAAGCCGGCAGGAGAUAAGAGGAUUAACCUUGAUAGGCGGUGAGGCUUGCUGUCCAUUCUACGUGUUAUUACGUACAUUAGCAUCGCCGCUCCUCCUAGACUGUGGCAAACUGCACAGAGUUUGUAGGGUUGGUUGUUGGCGGCGUCGUCUUCAGUAACGGGUUGGUGGUUUUUGCUUAACUCUGAAGUUUUGAUUUCGUGUAUUUUCUCAAUUAUUGCGGGUACGUCUUUUGUUCCGUGCUCGUUCAACGAGUAUUUCCAGUACCUGUUAUUGUCAAAAAAAAUUGGAGUUACAUGUCUGGGCACACCCUGAUAUAUGUACAGAUCAGAAAGCGAAUACCACUUUGCAACCUACAAGUGAGACUGAUUCUCGGGAAGUCUUACGAGCACCAAUAAAGAAAAAAGGAACCCCACCCACUCCCUCCCCCAAAACGCUUCAUUAGUUUGUUCUAAACGGAGAUAAGCAGCCAAACGCAACCGACAAAAAUGUUUUGCUUGGAAAAGAUACUCUUUGAUAUGUCUUGAAAGCAAAGCUGGAAACAUAAACGGUCGAUCGUUGGCUAACGCAAGCAACGAAAUUCAUUGUUAGUGGAAAUUGCUCAUUUAGGUAGCAAACAACUAGGUCAAAACCGAGGUAGGUAGUAUUUAGUUCUUUAUCAACAUAGGCAUGUGUUCCCUUGAAGGCGGUAUCAUGCCUUUCAUAUGAAUAUUUCCUGUUCUUUCUACUCGUUGACAAAAUUCCAAUUAUACAUAAAUAUCAGUUUUUUUUUUUUCUUUUUUUUUUUGGGUUUUUGAGUUGAAAAUUGAAAAUAAAAUCUUCUGGAAAUUUGAGAAAUGAAAAAGAAAAUUAAUACGCAUCUUGUAAAGGCCUUUUCACAGUGGCAGCAGAAACUGCAAGAUUACAACUCAAGCUACUUUUUGAGCUAAGAAAAUAGCUAGACAAACAACUAGAUCACUCGAAGGAUUCGAAAGGGCAAAACUAAUAUUUUGAUAAAUGAACCAAGACAUCUAGUCUCGCAUAGGCUCCUCGAAUGAAGUUCAGACAGCAAGCAUAUAGUGUCAGCUCUAAAACAACGAAAAACAGCAAUAACUGCAAAUGAGUAACUUACUUGCGUGAAGAAAUAUUCUUGUCAACAUGCUCCCUGGAAACCAAACCACGUAAAUUCCCAAGAAAAACAUCAUAACCUGAAAAUAAGGGGGAAAAAAAAAUAGUGAAUUGACUGGACUGACUCGAUCCUUACUGAAGUGAGGUGUUUUACGCAUAUAUAGAAUUUUAGUCUCUGCUAUGCAUUUCGAAACAACUGCACCAACCUUGAUCAUAGGCAGCAAAUGCCGGAGAACCAACAACACCAUUAGACACCCAACUGCAAUAGCAGUAACGAUAACAAUACAUAAGUAUUAUAGAUGAAGAUUAUAGUAAACGGUAGAGACAUGAAGACAUGCGUACAAGCACAAAGACACACAAUACUAAUAAAUCGUUUGGCUAAUGCUUUGUAGUCAAGCCAAUGCGAAGGGAUGUUUAAAAAGUUCCAUUCCCUUAUAUAUAUAGAUCAUUAGUUAUGCCUGCAAUCUAGAAAUCACAAAUUUUUAUUCAUCUUCACAAGUGUCAAGUGGAGGAAAAGAAAAAAGUAACAGCGUAAAAUUAGAAGCAAGCUGUAUAGCAUAAUGAGAGAUAUAUUUCAACAUUAUAACUAACUGUUGGAAACCAUAUUCUAAACAGAUCAAGAGAAGUAAAAGAAGGUAGUCAUCCAGUAUGAACUGAAUAUACAGAAGUACACUUAAGAUUAUGAUAGAAAAUAUAUGAACAGGACUAAUUUAAAGCGUAAGAUAUAAACUAGAAUUUGAAGUGCUGAUUUGUGCUGCGAGUAGCAUGGAUGCUGCUAUGGUCCAGAAAACACAGCCCAGAAGAAUGAAAGGCAACUGCUGGCUGCAUCUUAUUUCAUGUCAUUUCAUGCACUGUCAAAGAUGGCAGAUGGCAAAUGAAAAAGGAAACAAGGUUUGCAAGGCAAGGCGUCGUAAAGUAUGCACUAGAUAUCAUGUCACCUUAGGGAAGUAGAAACCAAAGCACAAUAUUUAAAUCUCAUAACAGCACAUGCUUUUGCUAACUUGUAGGACAAUGUACGCGCAAGGAAGUGAGUGUUUCUUGACCAGUUCAAUCAUUAUAAUUUGCUAGCUUCGAGAAGAUCAUGAUUAAGGAAUAUAUUGGGUUUUCAUGAAUGACCAAAUUAUUUAAUAAUUUGACUAUUGCUUCUGGAGAAAUAGAUUUUACGAAUAUAGUUAGCAUUGACUUCACGAAAGAAUCAUUACAAGAUACACUCAUUAAUCAAAGAUAGUGUUGUGCAAAACACUAAAAGGUAGCACUUUAUAAAACUCUAUCAGCAAAUAUACUCUAUUACUAAGGAACUGGCUACUAUUUUUUCAUUGGAACCUCCUACUUAAUAUUGGUAGAAUAAUUCAAAUUUAAGGUAUAAGAUUGGAAAAUUUUUCUUAAAUAAAGACUAAUUUCAUGUUUGUCUCAACAACUCUCAACCAAUCAAGUUUCUACACUAACUUUGGUGAACUUCUCACUGGCAGCAGGUGACAACAAACUGGAACAAAAAAGGCAGAUGUAAUUAUAAAAAUCACUUCCCCCUCUGUUUUUCGAAAGGGCUGUGUUAAGUCCAAAAUGAGUUCGAAUUAUCAUUUAUUAUGUGGAGACAGCUCAACUUUGACAGAUCGUGCUAAUAUAUAGACGUAAUUGCAGUUUGGCUGUAAGUCAGUUUAUUAAUAGUACAAACAUCAACAUGCCAUCUACCACGGCGCUUACAAGAAGAUCCGCCGCCUUGUCGUGGUCUACAUUUUGGAUCUUUCCAUGGAAGAUGACUUUUGGACCUUCCCAAGGUGAAAUAGUUUUCAAGGGAUCUCCACCUCAUUGUGGCCGAUGGCAAAUUAAUGUUUUCACUCUUACUAAACUUGAUUUAUAGCUGAAUCGCAAUUACGUCAAUUCAAAGGUCCCCUAAAGCUCUAGGAAAGCACAUUAUAUAGGAGAAAGCGAAAUUGUUUUCAAGAAAUUGAAACCCCAAGGCUGGGGAUCUCCUCAGCCUCAUUGAGGUCGGUAGUAAAAUUAUGUUUUCACUCUUUCUAAACUUGAUUUACAGCUGAAACCCUCCAAAGCUCUAGGAAAGUUCACAAUAUAUUAAAGAAGGAUUGGCUAAAUGAACUGCAACAGCUUGUUGAUUUUUUUUUUUUUUUUUGUUGUUGUUGUUGUUGUUUACGAAAAAGAGGUACCAAGUAGCACAAACUCAGCACAGCAUAGGAAAUUCACUAGCUGAAUCAUAAAAUGGAAAUCAUCGAAUUCCCCAAGACACUGCAAAAGAAAAUAACUUCUUCACAUUGGGUAGUUUAGUACAAAAUUUAGGAAAACUGGACAAACAGUUAUUGAAUUUUGACCAUUUGCAAAUAGGCCCCUAAACCCCUACCACUUCAUUUUUCAUCACAUGACUGGUAUAUGGGUUUGAUCCAAAGUAUGUAUUAUAAUUCGGUAAAGUCCAUCUCUUCUGUUAACCGCCAAAAGAAAGAAAGCAAAGCAUCAAACACGAUUAAAAAAUCCAACUAAAAUUGAGCACAAAUUUUUGUUGUAUUAUUUUAUGCUAACUCAAGAAACAAGAAGGAAGAUCGAACUGCUACUAGCUGCUUUGUAAUAGAGGUGCAAUCUACAAACACCUUGCUACAUUUCAUCUUUUAUAAGUUCAACAAUUACCAUUAAUGGGAUUUUAGCUCUGAAGCACAUUGUUCAAAAAAAAAUCCAGCUUGCAAGACUCGUUUUGUUCGUCAUAUUGCUCUGAUGCUAGACACAACACAGAGAUAUUAAAAAACUAACAUUACCUGGUUGUAAAACAAAAUACAUCUCUACGUUAAGUUCAGGGAUCAGAUUUAAAAAAUUAGGAAUUUAGGCAGCUGUUUGCAGAUAGGCCAAAUGGUGUUUAUUCAUUUUUCAAGUAUGGCAGUUGCAUGGCAACCAUUCUAUUUGUAGUCAAAUAGCAAACUUUAACUUGCAGAAUAUAUCUGUCAUUUGUCAACUCACCCCAUCGAUGAAUCCAAUAUCCCAUGUUGUAGAUACACAACCUUCUGAGAAUCACGCCUGCGACAUAAAUGUAUCACGAGUCACACAUUAAAAACAUUUAACAGAAUACUUUUGAGAGGCUCACGAGAAAGUGAACCUAAAGAAAACAUCUAUCUUACCUAGGAAUUCUCUCCAGAAGAAGCACAUAUCCAUCAUCUGUAACCACACGUAUAGCCUCGUAAGGAUAGCUGAGAUAUGGAAAGAGUAAAAGAUUUAGUUAAACUCAUCUGAACUUUGGUUCUUGCCAAUUCCAAAUUCUAAUAACAGGUAGAUUACACCACCAGUCAUAGUGCUUAUUGCUAAAGUUAUACUUGGUCACCGAGCUUCAAUUUGUCACAAUUGUGCACUGAACUUAGAUACUGUUUCCAAUGGCCCUUUAAUUUUCCUUUUUGAGGAGCAACAUGGCAGCUCAUUUAGCUGCACGAUAUGUAGCAGCCAUGCCAUCACAAGAGUGACCUAAUUAAACAGAAAUUGGACCCCAUACAUCAACUGCAACAAAUUUAAGUUUGGCGACCCAAGUGAGACACCCCAAUAAGUUCAAUGAUCAAUAGUGGAGUUUACCUCUAUAACAACUCGGUGACAAAGACAAAUUAAACGAGUGUAAAACUAAUUUGCCAGUAGAUAAUCAAGAGAAUCUUGAUACAAUCAAAUCUCAUUCAUGUAAUUGGAUCACUAAUACCUUCUCUAUAAGAGUACAAGCAAAGAAGUAAUAGCAAAAAGAUAGUCCUUACCCAAGCUCACUUAUGACAUCUUCACAUGUCCGCGAGUCUGUGUUUAAAGAAUGGUGAAAUGUAGUCCGUCUUUCAGCUGGAGUUGGAUCAACACUGCCAACGGUAGCAGUUGGAACAACAGCUUCAUCGGAAUCACUAUCAUAGGUAACUUUCCCACUGCUUCCACGAAGCGAAACCAAAGAAUAUAAUUUCUGCCAAACCUCAGAAGGAGAAAGAACAAGGUGUGCUGCAUUGUGAACCGUCUCGAAAACUGAUUCAAUGAAUAUCUCAAUUGCCAGCUGGAGAUCCUGGGAGAGGCAUAAUCACAGAUGUAGAAACUUUAAGUAACUUAGUCUUCUGAAAAAAAAUCAGCCAAGAAACACAAAUAUAUUUUGCAAAAUAAUAGAAAAGCACAACGUGGGAAAGAGUUUCCAUUAAAUAAACAGUUAGAACAAAUAUACAUUGGGCCUUAGACAAUAUCCCUUCAAAAUUAUAUAUUAACAUUUAUAACCCCUACAAACCUGGAUUUUCAGACAUACUGUCUAAUGUAUAGUUUCUUACUAAAUACCCUUAUCUUAAGUUGGGGAUUCAAUUAGACAUAAGAGAUGUUUAUACAUAUUAUAAAUACUAAAUAUAGGAGGACUUAUCUAACCAGUUCCCAUGUUAAGAAACAUUUUCAAGAGGACAAUACUAAUUUACGGGAUAAUAUAUAUGUUUCUGUAUUGCCAUGCGGAAUACAAAAGAUUGUUUAGAAUUGUUAGAGCGUUAAGUUGAUCAAAAUUUUCCCACACGAAUCUAAAAUAUUUAUUAUUUUUCUACUUGUAAACCGAUAUGAAUUCCUGAUCAGUGUACCUAACCACUUAUCAAAUGUUUCUUAACAUGUGCCUAAGCAAACUCUUUAGCUAAACCUGAUGAAUGAUUUUUCAAGGCUACAUAUUCAGAAAACGUUAUUGUAUUCAAUUUGGACAUAACAAGUACCUCAAAAACUCCACGCCGUCUGUCAGUAGUACGCUGAACAACAUGGUCUUUUAUGUGAAAUGACCUUCUAGCAAUGCGACGACCUAACAGCUGGUGAGUUUCUGGGUUGCCAGGAGAAACUGAUUCACGUCUCCUAGAUCUGGCAGAUUGGAAUAAGAUAAAUGGCAACCAAAGAACAACUGUGGCAGGCCACAGAAUCCAGGAAAGUAUGCGUCGUAUAGAGCGUAUUAAGCGUCUAUCAUAUCUGGUGAUACUGCUUGAAUGAGACAAACGUGAAGACUGAGACAAAGGAGAGGCAGGGUAAAUAUUAUCAUCGUUAUCAUCUUCACUAGAUAUGGAACCAGUGGUCGAUGAAGUGUCAGAAUCCACAGAAAGCUCAUGAAUGAACUCAUUGAAUGAUGAAACGCCACUGUCAUCACAACAAAACAAAGUUAAAGGCAGGAACUUCUUAUGCAUGAUGGAAGAAAUGAAAACAAGUUCCCUACAUAAAGAAAAUCAAUUGAAACAACAAAAUGAAGGACUUGCCACUCAAUCAUUGGCAAUCCUUGUACCAAUUAGCUUUACAUGACUGAUUUUGUCAAAUACGAAAAGUAAUGCAGAUAAUAGAGCCAUAGCCAUACUGUCUAAUAAUCAAUACUACACACUAAGAGUAAACAGUACAUGACACCACCACAUAUCCCUACAAAAUAAAGAUUUUAACACCAUUACAUGACACACUGCACGAAAUGCCUUUUCCAUAUUGAUGCAGCACAAGGAUUUUAGGAAGAGUCAUCCUUCUACCACAUCAAAUAUUCAGUUAUUACAAAAAGUAAGAGAAUAGUGGCAAUAGUUUCUAAGCCUAGUAAUCAGGUUAGGAUAUUACAUCCCUACCAUAGAGUUUACUGGACUCUGUGGAGGAUGCAGAAUAUAACUCGUCAAAGGCCCUUCUCCUCCAAGGACUGUAUGGUUGACUGGAAGUUUAUGACAGGCAAUAUAGUUUCUAGAACUCGUCAAAAUCAAAAUAGCAUUUAACUAGACUUUCGCACUACUUCAACAAAACUAAUAUCAAACACACGGAUCAAGUCACUUCACUCAGAAAAGAACUUUAUGACAUCUAGUUAACUCGAAUCAAACAUGUCCGGAGUGGAGAAAACCAGAGGAAUCUUUUCAACUGAAAGAAAAGUGUUGCUCCAAAGGAGACAAUGAGAACCAAACAAAUAGCAUCAUCAAAGCCAGGCUAAAGAUUUCAAAGUGUUGAAAUAAGUAGCAAUGAAGUUGGCUGCUGUCCAUUGGUCAACUGCAUGCAACAGCUAAUGGACUUCAGUGACCUGGUGUUCAAAGUGUAGCACCUUGAACCACAACAUAGCAGAGCACAAUCAAUCCAUACUCUUAUAACUUCAGGGUGAUUUUUGAGGCUUUCCCUUAAUCUUGUAUUCAUCAAAAAGUAACACAAUGUAGAAAUGAUAUGCUAAACACAUUUUACAUUCUUUCUUAUCCAAUCAAAAAUGUGCUUUUAGUUUUUACUAUCUUUAUGCAAAGAGCACAAGAAUGUGACGAUAAAUGUUGUAGCUAAAGCAGCAUCUAUUAUACUACGUAUUGACUGCCACAGAAGAAAGUAACUAUGAUAUGCCUCCCAUUACUUGGAAAAUCAAUCACCAUAGCUCCUUUUGGAAAAUCAAUCACCAUAGCUCCUUUGGAUACUUUUGUCCUCUUCAUCAAAGGAAAAGUUUAAAAGUAUUAGUUAACGUUCUCAUGUACCUAUACAUACUAAGAGAAAUACAAAGGAGAGUAGAAAGAGAUUUCCUGAGCUUUAGGUGCGACUUUUAAUAUGACCACAAGUAAAGCUGAUCCCUAGUGAAAUACCCACUUGAAAUCAUCACACCUAGAAGGGGCAUCUUCCAAAAAUACCAUGCCAUUCUUUUUAGUGCUGCUAAUUGAAUAAAUAACCAUGCAAAGCAUAAAUAGAGACUACAAAUUAGAUAUCAGAAUGAUGCGGACUCCAUAAUACUCAAUAAAAAUGAUUUAGAUGUACAAGGGGACUACAGUAAUAACUGGAUAUAAUAUAAAUCGUUGUAACAACAACGAACAGAUUUUAAAAUUUCUUGCCCAUCCAGAUAGCAAGGCAAGGACUCCAGAAUAUUGGUAAAAGUAAUUUAUAAUUUUGCGAAAAACAGCGAAAAUUUCAGUCUCCACAUAACGGUAAUUCUAGUUUCAUCAAUAGGAUGAUAACAGUGAUAUGAAUAUUUGCAUCUUCACGGAAACAAAACUGAAUAAAGAAGGAUAACUGUAUACAUAGCUCAACAGAAUACAGAAAAGACAUCAAACUUACUUUUCCAUCCACCGAGGAAGGCGAGGUCCUCGGAAUGUAGGUCUGAGCUCCCAGCCAUGGAUUCCCUCUAACAAGUUAGCCUUCCCUGGCAAUAUUGUCAACAAGAGUGCCGAAACCCCAUUUAUCAACCUUGCAAUACUAUUCAGGGAUUCAUAAGUGAAUGUCUUCACAGAUCUGCAGGACAAAGGGAGCGCAUAUAACAUUAUAAAAAUCAUUAUAAUAAAAUAGAGCUUAAUCGAGUACUUAUUUAUGUAUAUAUAUUGUCCCUGUACUAUCCCAAUUCAAACAUUUUGGUUCUAUGGUCAUGCCAAAACCCAACUUUGUUGUUUUCACUCUCUUGUAUUUCCCAUCAUACGUGAACUAUCAAGCAUCAUGUGAGAACUCAGGAAAAAUAGCUUACUUCUCCAAUAUAAAUUUUCCCUUUUCUUCCUCGUUCUUUCACUUCAUUCCGCCACAUUUCUCUCACUAACUACUAGUAGGAGAUAAACUUAAUAUGAUCACAGAAUAUUUUCGCAAAAAGACUGAAUGCAUAAAAACCCCCAAACAUCUUCGCGAUUGGCAUUUUGCGCCUCUAACAUUAAAAAAAGUACACAUCUUACCAUUUCAAUGGUCAAAAUGAUUCUAUUACUUUCCUAUUGUCUCCAAAUACGAUCUCAUUUUUACCGAAGAGCGACCAAGCUCCUCAAUAGGAUUACACUGUGAUACGAAGUAACUGUCUAUUACACACCCAGGCUAUAGAAACACUAAUGCAUCAUAUUAUCACAGAAAAGUGCUAAGGAAAGGGCAAAGUGAUGAAUCACAUAAACAUUGAGAGUUAAAUAUGAACAAUAUCAGGGGCUUUUCUAAAUCCUAGGACUAUUCAUCUAGGCUCAGAUAUUAUAUUUAGGGUUUGAAAAAUAUAUACAAAUAAAAAUCGAAACUUAGGGCUAUUUCCCUAAAAUUCAUCAUUUGAAAACCUGGUGCAAAGCACUACCUACUAAUUUUAAUGAUCCAAACUCAAUACAACCUAAUUGAUUCCGUUCAUAUCCAGAAAAAAAAUGCAAAAUCCAAGUUAAUUUGUUCUCGAUGAGGAAUAUUUCGGUCAUUAUUAUCAAUCAUUAGCACCGUACCCACCAAAAAACAACAUUAAUCAACAAAUUUCCAUCAGUUUACGCAAUUUCCUAUUCCAAUACUAAAUUCAUGAGAUAAAUCAACACCAGAAAAGUAAAGAAAAGGUAAUUAAGUAAGCAAUUUCUACAUUUACCCUCAAAAUAACUCGGAAAAAAUGCUUUUUUUUUUAAAAAAAAAUGUUCUCGAUGAGGAAUAUUCCGGUUGUCAUCAUUCACUAACUAGCAAAACAAAAUCCAUCAAAAUCGACAUUAAUCAACAAAUUUCCAAUCGACUAUCCCACAAAAAUAACCUUAAUUUAGAGUCCAAAACCUAAUUCAUGAGAAAUUAGCAUAAAAAACACCAAAAAAUACGCAAUUAACCGAAAAUUUUCGAGAUAAAUAGGCAAAUAAUUCGGGAAAAAAUGGUAAAAAUUAAGGAAAAAUUGGGGAAAAGGAGGGAUGGGGAUUACUCUUUUGUUACGGCGAGGACGUGAUCGACGAAUCGCUGCAACAUAAUAAAAACAAAAUUAAAAAUAACAAUAAUUCCCAACAAAUUCCCACGAUUUUCUACGCGAGGAAUCGAAAUGGUUUUAGAGAGAGAGAGAGAGAGAGAGAGAGGGGUUGGGCACUUGGUCUUUGGGGAACCGCAUAAUGGUUAAAAUGCAUGGAGACCCCUCAACUAUAGGAAUUUCGAAAUCAGCUCGUUAACUUUUUUCGUUUCACUCCUUAUUGAUACAUGAACAUGCACCUUUUAAUUUCUAAUUUUUUUUAUUUGAAAUUUAUUAGAAAUAUUUGUAUGUUGAAAAUUUGGCUAAAGUAUUUAUAUAAAUAUUGGGCAAAACUCAAAUGAAUUAUAACUCAUUUCGAUGUGAGUAUCUAUUAUUUAAAAGUUUUGAAUUUGCAACUGAAUCUUUAAAUUAUUUGCAUUGAAUUUUUUGGCGAUUUUUGAAAUUCAAAAUUUGGAUAUAUGUGUACUUUUUUUAUAAUAAAAAAUUAUCAAAUUAAUUUAAAUCAAAGAAACUAAAAUAUUAAGUAUCAAAAUCACAAAUUAUUAUUCAAAUUUAGAUAGUUAGAUUAAGAUUAUAGUAAGAUAAGUUUCAUAUAUUCUUUUUAUCUAAAUUUAAUUAUUUACUUAAAAUAAUUAAUUAAUAAUUUUUUGGGUCUAGUGGGUUAAAACUUUAAUGGGGUGUUUGGGUCCUCAAAAAAUUAUGAAAAAUUAUUUUCAAAAAAAUAUUUCGAAAAAAAAUAUUUUUUAUUGUUGGAUAAAAACUAGAAUUUCAUUUUUAAUUUUUCCUACUUUUUUCACAAAAUUUGAAAAUUUAUUUUUAAUAUAUAAAACACUUGAAAAAUCAUUUUUACAGUCUAAAAAUUAUUUUCUAAAAUAUUUUCCAGAAAACCAAAACACCUCCUAAAAUAACCCAGUUUUAAAAGAAUAAAAAAAGGAGCACUCAUUUCAGAACAUCCUGUAAUAAAGGGGUUUUCGUGUAUUUUCACCUAAAACUAUCCAAUUAACCGCAUAGGACCAAUAUAUGCGGAACACUUCCACGGACGCGUCGUGAUUCGCGUCGAGGGUGGAUCGUUUCGUACGCAUAUAAAUUUAUUAUGCGUGUUUCCGUACGAUUGUGGAGAUGCUUUUCUUUGCUUCUAAUCCGACCCUCCCACCGCCCAACGUACGGAUUUAGUCGGUUGUCGCCUCGCCACGUCGACGACGCGAUGAUGCUCAAAUUGAUGAUAUUCUCACCCCCCACCAUUACUAUGUCCAGGGGUAAUUUGGUAAAUUCACACAAAUUCGAGCCAUCACCAUGAUAGGGGGGGGGGGUUUCUUAUCUAAAAUACUAGUUCUCGAAUCUUUGAAAUAAAUUGGUAUAAUUAUUUCCACUAACAUCUACAUUUUUUAUAUAUAAUUAUUCACUAUUUUUUUUAUUUCAUAUUAUCUAUCCAAACGCUAUUUUUUUUAUCACUGGAAACAACCUAAUUUUUAUCCAAACGCUAUUUUGCUUAUCCUCAUACUUGUACCUAUCAUUGUAAGAGCCAGUUCUUGCUUAUAUCCGAACCAAACGGUAUAAGACUAUAAAGUCCUUCGUACUUAUAAGUUGUUUUCACUGAUGGAGCUUUCGAAUCGGAGAUUAUAUAAUAUAUAUAUAUAUAUAUAUUAUUAUAUAUAUAUAUAAUAUAAAAUUGAAACUUUCUAAAAAAUAAAUUUGUAAUUUCGAAAUACGAAUAAUAAUCUCAUCAAGCGUAUAAAAUGGAACGGUCAAAAUCGAAUGACGUCCUAUAAAAUGGAUAAAAAAAAAAAUUCGGAUAUCUUCAAUUUUAAAAUCGAAGUACUGAUUUUAUCAGAUAGUGAAUAGAAUUUUCUAUCAAAAAUCAAUGCUAUUCGCGAUUCUUUUACGCCGUUAAACUACAAUAUCAUACCGGCCGUUAAAAUUGUUAAGUUUGUUGAGCUUUUGAUCGUCAAGUAAAUGAUAUUAAAUUAAAUUAUGAAAUUUGAUUUCUAGAAAGUUUUAAAAUGCUCUAGAUAAUGUUUAACGUGGUGUGAUUUGUCGAUUCGAAAGCCUACAUAAAAAAAAUAACUUAUGUACGAGGGCGGAUCGAUACUCUAUAAAGAGUAAUAGACCGGACUCUAAUGUGUGUUAAAAAUCAAAUAAUUAGUAGUAAAAUUGGAUCGUUGAAAAUAAAUGAAUUUAAGUCGUAGAAAUAUUAUUCUCGUCAGACAUUGAACCUAACAAAUUAAGAAAAAAGGUUCAUACGAAUUUUGUCCCGCAUUUUCGCCGAACUAAAAUAGAUCUAUUAGGCUUUAAUCCAUCCCAUGUUUUCACACUAUCACAAAUGGAUCAACAGUAGAUAUUUUUUUUUCUUUUUUGCUCUUCUCCUAAUUUUAUAAACCAUCAGCUAUUAUUAGAAUAGUAGAAUUCUAGCGCGCUCGUAACAUAUUCUUAUAGGAUUUCUGGUAGAAUUGGGAAUAUUAAGUAAAAAAUCGAUACACCACCUUCUCCUUGAAAAUUAGCAAAGGAUGCUCCUAAUGGAAUCAUGUGGGAAUAUAAGACCUAUUGUUUGUUUUGUUACCCUUUCUUUCGAUAAGCAAAAAAUACAAAAAAAAGAUAUACCAUCAAAUACGAUAUAACUAUCUAUUGGAUACCUAUAUUUUCCUAUUUGAUCUAAGCCUACUGUCUUUCUUUCUGCUGAGAAUGGGGAGACAAUCACUACCAUUUAUUACAUACAUUUUUUUGUAAUCUUCCCUACACGUACCAAAGAAAUCUUUUUUUUCUUUACUUUGACUUUUAUACUCUGUUAUUUAUAUAUAUAAAUACAUAAUAUAUAUAUAUAAUAUUAUAUAUAUAUAUAUAUAUAUACUCAUGCAUUAAAUAGCCGUGCAAUGCACGAUUUUUAAUUUAUCUUUUAAUUACAUCUUUUUAUAUAAUAAUAAUAUAUUAAUUUUUACAAUCAAUUAUUUUUUAAUAUCUUUUUAAUGACAACUUUUAUAUAUAAUAUUAAUUUUUCAUAUUAACUUUAUUAGAAAUUAUUAUUGAAUCAAUAUUAUAAUUAAUAUACUACAUGAUAUACUAAUAAAUGUAAUUAAAUAAUUUAAACAUAAAAAGAUUUUAAAAUGAAGAAGUAAAAUAGGUUCAAAUCCAAUUAGAAUUUAACAUAAUUAUUAUUUAUAUAUUUUUUAAUACUCACAUAUGAAAUGAUGAAGAAAGAUUCAAUCUUAUUCAAAUUCUAUUUUAUAUAUUAUAUUUUUCUAAUAAUCUUUUAUGCACAACUUUUAUAUCAAUAUAUAUUAAUAUUUUUAGCAUAUUAAGCUUUAUUAUUUAGAAAAUAUUAUCUGAAUUCAAAUUAAAUAUAUACUAUCAUGAUAUAACUAAUAGAAUGAAGUAAAUAUUUAAAAAUUAAAAGUUAAAAUGAAGAAGUCAAAAAGGUUCAAAAUGCCAUUAGAUAUUUAACUAUAAUUUUAUUUAUAUAUAAUUAAUCUCAUUUCAAUUCUUUAUGACUAAUUUUGUAAACUUAAUUUUUUAAGAAUUUUAAGUGACUAAAUUUGGAAAGUAAUUUUCUAGCCAACCACUUGAGCAUUGACAUAUUAUGAUUCUUUAAACUAAAAAGUCUUUGUUAUUGUGAAUAAUUAGUCAUGUAUGUUUAUCAAUUAUUUUCAACAAAUCAAUCAAAAAUUUAAAUAUAAAUAUCAAACAUACCUCUCAAAAGUAAUUAUUGAAUAUUUCUUGGGAUAAGGGCAAAUACUUAUGCGCUCUGAAAAUUUCAAUACUAUGACGAAGUCCAAAGCUAGUGGUAUGUAUCCUGAAAAAAAGAAGAAGAUAAUAUAUACAUUACAAACCGACCAAAUCAUUACACGUAAUUAUUUUCAAAUUUUGAAAUAAACUUGCCUUUUGUAGAAAGGUGGUGCAUAAAGGUGGAAAAUAAGUCUGCCUCCAUCUAUCAUACAUAUGGAUGAUAACAUUAAUAAAACAAUGGCAUUCACUUGUAAUACAUACAUAUGGAUGAUAAAAUUUGUAACAUUUUAGAUAUUAACUGUGAAAGAUGAAUAUGCCUCACAAUCAAAGAAAAAAGGGAAAAAAAAAUAAUUGCUGUGCGGUUAAGAAAAAAAAAAAACUGUUGUGUGGUUUAGGGAAAAAAUAAAUGUUGUGCGGUUAAGAAAAAAAAAAAACUAUUGUGCAGUUUAGAAAAAAAAAAAAACUGUCGUACGGUUAAGGAAAAAAAAAAUUGCUGUGCAGUUAUUUUUUGGUACGUGUAGUUAUGCUCUCUUAUAAUUACUUAAUGAUAAUGAUAAUAUAUAAAAUAUAUAUAAUGAUAAUAUAUAUAUAUAUAGAGUCUGGCUACUAUGCUAUCGGUAGCACGGAGCGCUCCGUGCUACCAAGUUGUUUUCGAUGAUGCAGCUUCCAAAUCGACGAUCGGCUCCGUUAGACUUGAUCUACACUAUUGAAAGUAUUUGGAAACUAAAUUUCANNNNNNNNNNNNNNNNNNNNNNNNNNNNNNNNNNNNNNNNNNNNNNNNNNNNNNNNNNNNNNNNNNNNNNNNNNNNNNNNNNNNNNNNNNNNNNNNNNNNNNNNNNNNNNNNNNNNNNNNNNNNNNNNNNNNNNNNNNNNNNNNNNNNNNNNNNNNNNNNNNNNNNNNNNNNNNNNNNNNNNNNNNNNNNNNNNNNNNNNNNNNNNNNNNNNNNNNNNNNNNNNNNNNNNNNNNNNNNNNNNNNNNNNNNNNNNNNNNNNNNNNNNNNNNNNNNNNNNNNNNNNNNNNNNNNNNNNNNNNNNNNNNNNNNNNNNNNNNNNNNNNNNNNNNNNNNNNNNNNNNNNNNNNNNNNNNNNNNNNNNNNNNNNNNNNNNNNNNNNNNNNNNNNNNNNNNNNNNNNNNNNNNNNNNNNNNNNNNNNNNNNNNNNNNNNNNNNNNNNNNNNNNNNNNNNNNNNNNNNNNNNNNNNNNNNNNNNNNNNNNNNNNNNNNNNNNNNNNNNNNNNNNNNNNNNNNNNNNNNNNNNNNNNNNNNNNNNNNNNNNNNNNNNNNNNNNNNNNNNNNNNNNNNNNNNNNNNNNNNNNNNNNNNNNNNNNNNNNNNNNNNNNNNNNNNNNNNNNNNNNNNNNNNNNNNNNNNNNNNNNNNNNNNNNNNNNNNNNNNNNNNNNNNNNNNNNNNNNNNNNNNNNNNNNNNNNNNNNNNNNNNNNNNNNNNNNNNNNNNNNNNNNNNNNNNNNNNNNNNNNNNNNNNNNNNNNNNNNNNNNNNNNNNNNNNNNNNNNNNNNNNNNNNNNNNNNNNNNNNNNNNNNNNNNNNNNNNNNNNNNNNNNNNNNNNNNNNNNNNNNNNNNNNNNNNNNNNNNNNNNNNNNNNNNNNNNNNNNNNNNNNNNNNNNNNNNNNNNNNNNNNNNNNNNNNNNNNNNNNNNNNNNNNNNNNNNNNNNNNNNNNNNNNNNNNNNNNNNNNNNNNNNNNNNNNNNNNNNNNNNNNNNNNNNNNNNNNNNNNNNNNNNNNNNNNNNNNNNNNNNNNNNNNNNNNNNNNNNNNNNNNNNNNNNNNNNNNNNNNNNNNNNNNNNNNNNNNNNNNNNNNNNNNNNNNNNNNNNNNNNNNNNNNNNNNNNNNNNNNNNNNNNNNNNNNNNNNNNNNNNNNNNNNNNNNNNNNNNNNNNNNNNNNNNNNNNNNNNNNNNNNNNNNNNNNNNNNNNNNNNNNNNNNNNNNNNNNNNNNNNNNNNNNNNNNNNNNNNNNNNNNNNNNNNNNNNNNNNNNNNNNNNNNNNNNNNNNNNNNNNNNNNNNNNNNNNNNNNNNNNNNNNNNNNNNNNNNNNNNNNNNNNNNNNNNNNNNNNNNNNNNNNNNNNNNNNNNNNNNNNNNNNNNNNNNNNNNNNNNNNNNNNNNNNNNNNNNNNNNNNNNNNNNNNNNNNNNNNNNNNNNNNNNNNNNNNNNNNNNNNNNNNNNNNNNNNNNNNNNNNNNNNNNNNNNNNNNNNNNNNNNNNNNNNNNNNNNNNNNNNNNNNNNNNNNNNNNNNNNNCUUCCAUAAGCAUUCUAGCCGCACUCUCUCUCUCUCUCUCUCUCUCUCUCUCUCUCUCUAUAUAUAUAUAUAUAUAUAUAUAUAUAUAUAGUUGAGCUGGAAUGCUAGUUUCAAUAGCAAACGAGCAUCUUCGCCACCUAUUUGUUUUUAAUGAUGGAGCCUCCAAAUCGACGAUUGACACCGUUGAAUAUGAUAUAUAUCACUUGAAGCAUUUAGAAACCAAAUUUCAAAUCUUUUCGACAUUAUUGACCUAUCGAUCAAAGGGUUUUAAAAUUUAUAAUUUUAAUGGUCAAUAUGAAGUGUUUUCUCGUUUAACGGCGUAAAAAUAUCCAAAUUAAUUGAAUUUUGGUUAGAAAAUUCUUUCAACUAUUUCAAACCAGAUCUAUACUCUAUCUUGAUCUUGAUUACAUGACUCUUAUCAUCACUUUUUAAAUAAUAUUUUUUUUCAGCCGUUCAUUUUUUGUGUCCACUUGAUGGACAAAAGAACGAUAUCGAAAAAACAUAAAUUUUGGUUUCUAAAUGCUUCAAGUGGUAUAGAUCAUAUUCAAGCCCAUCGUCGAUUUGGAGGUUUCAUCAUCGAAAAUAUAUGGGUGACAAUUGAACUGUUUGCUACCAAUAGCAUUCUAACUAGCUCAACUAUAUAUAUAUAUAGAGAGAGAGAGAGAGAGGUUUUAAAAUUUUGUGAUAAAGGCCAAAAAAUAAUUGGACCACACACACGCACACGUUGAUCACACGUUUUUUCUUUUUUAUUGCAAAGAAAAAGCAUUUGAUCAACGUGGCAUCGCAUGCAAGCUAGUGUGGCGAGCAUUGCGUCCACGGCAUGUCAAAGAGAUCCGAAAAUAAGUUUCAUGAGUUGCACGCCAAGUCACUAUUAAUUGGUUUCAUAGUAAAAUAUGGGUUUUUUUUUUCCCAUUUGUUCCCCUCAACAAAUUUUUUUCACAAAUAAUUCUACUAAUUUUAUAAUUGCAAUUUAAGAUUCUAUUCCCGCCACAUAAGCGACACAUCAGCACCACGCGAGCACGGGUGGAGGAUAUGGAAUAAGUUGAAUACGGUAAUCCAUUCAUUGUAUCUAGACAAGAUGAAUCAUUCACCGUGUCUAGACACGUUGAACAAUCAUUCACUGUGUUCAACUUAUUCCACAUCCACGACCCCUGCUCGCAUGGUACUGACGUGAUGCUUGCGUGGCGGGAAUAAGGUCUUAAAUUGCAAUUAUAAAAUCAAUGAGACUAUUUGUAAAAAUAAUUUUUUUGAGGGAAUUAAAUGCAAAAAAAGCCCUAAAAUAUAUAGAAUUGAGCUUUUAUGUUCUUAGAAGCACUAAAUUAUUGGUGCUCAUAGAUUUUCAGCAUUUGGAUAAAGAUUUGCAUGAUUAGAAUAAUAGUAGUUCCCUAACGUUGAGUUGGUGGUUAGUGGAAUAACAUAAUUUAAGAAAUGGAAUUGCUGACAGAGAUAAAUCUAACGGUGGAAAACUUACCGGCACCAACUGGUUUGUGCUUUUAAAAAGCAUCCGGACUCUAUGUAUAUAUAGAUUUGUUUAUUUGUCCGUAAAUAAUUUUUAGAUUAAAAAUAACUUCUAGUUAAAUUAAAAUUAAGAUAAAAAGUAAAGCUUUCAGAAGUAUUAUUUUUUAAAAAAUAGUUAUUUAGUAAAAAAAAAAACAGCAUUUAUUGGCCAAAAUGCUUCUUCAAACUGAACUGCAGUACUCCUAUAUAGCUUUGUUUGUAUGAUAAAUUGUCUUGGAAAAAUUCUUGUAGAUUCUACUCUAUAUUUGAAGUUUCAAGUUAGAUAAAUUGCUUAUAUGUACAAAUACAAGUUAAAUUAAAAUGGGUAAACUUCAAAUAUAUAUCCCCCCUGUCGUUUCACACUUUCUCACUUUAGUACCUUGUGGUUUAAAGUGUAUCAAGUUACCUCUUGUGGUGUUCGCACUUUUUCACUUUAGUACUCUGUGGUUUAAAGUGUAUCAAGUUAUUACUCUGUGGUUUUAUUUUUCUCUUUUUAUUACUCAUUUCACUAAUUUGUUUCGUUAAAUCAGUGAUAAAGUUAAAAUUAAAGGGUACUGAAAUAAAUAUUCGAUAAACCUAGAGAGAGUAUUUGAAGUUUUUUGUAUAUAAUUUAACGAAAUAUUAACAGAGGAAAAAAAAUAAGUGCAGAGUUAAAACUAAAGGAUAAUAAAGUAAAUUUUCGAUAAAUCUAGGUAGGGUAUCUGAAGUUUUUUGUAUGUAAUUUAACGAAAUAUUAACAGAGGAGCCGACGAAAAGAGAAAAAUAAAACCACAGGAUACUAAAUUGAUGUACUUUAAAUCACAGGGUACUAAAGUGAGAAAGUGCGAAACCACAGGGUACUAAAUUGAUACACUUUAAACCACAGGGUACAUAAGUAAAAAAGUGCGAAACCACAUGGAUGGUAUUUGAAGUUUUCCCAAUUAUAAAUGAAAGAUCCAAGAAUCAGUUUUAGGCAUGUUCCUUUACUACUAAUGUUCGCGUAACAAAAAAACAAAAGAUUAUCCUUUCCAAUUGAAACGAAGUUCACAUAGUCUUGAGUAAGGUUUUAAAAUUUAGAAAGCCACCUCUGUUGGCUUAAAGAGGCCACCAUUCUGUCCGACGGCGGAAGGUAAGGUGGAAUCGAGUUAUUCUCGAAAUGGCGGAAGACUGAAUUGGGUCAAGUCACAAUCGAGAUUCAUGAGCGCAGUAUUUGUACGCUUUAAGUUAAAUUAAUUACAUUUUUUUACCAACUCAAGCUUUUAAAAUUAUUAAUGAUUAGUGCCAACGAUCCUACAGUCCGUAAAUACUAAGUUUAGAUAGGUCUUGUAAAAUGAAUUAUCCUAUUUGUUGCAUGAUGACAUACAUAUAGUACAACAAUUUGAGAAUUUUGGGAAGAAGAUCGAGCAUACACAUGUAUUUUUCGAGUUGUUCAUCAAACAUACACAUGUAUGUAUAAAAUUUGCUAUCGAGAUGGAGACAAUCCUUGCAAAGUAGAGCAUGUAGAGAGCAAGUAAUACGAACAUACAGUUACAGCAGGCCCUUACAACGAAACUGUGUAUUUAUUAGAGCAAUAGUCGGUCGAGAGCCUGCAGUUGCGUACUAUUAUUACGGAGCUUUCGUUGUUCUCUGACAAGCAGGCUGGAAGGCAGGGCGGAUGGAAGUAAGGCCGAGAGGCUGUUCAAAGAUUACUUUUUCGCCUUCGCUACUUGGAUUACUACAUUUCUCUGAUGAGAACAAAUAUUGCUGGAUCAAACAGUGCUGGAAAUUUUUUUUUUUCAAUAAUAAAUAUUGUUGCAAUUGAUAUUUUAGGGUAAGCAAAAAUCAUUGUGAAUUGUUGCUUUAAAUUUAUAGUAAUUAUAAUGUUUAAAUAAUAUAAUUUGUAUUAUCACAGCUGCACAAACUGUUGUAAUGAAAUAUAUUUUGCGAUAAUUCAAUUUCUGAUGUGAUUAGAUUGAUGUAAUAUGGAAGAAAAAAAAAAAAAGAAAAGGCUAAAUUACAGAAAACCUCCUGUCAAAACCCGAUUUUUUAUUUUAAAUUCCACUCCUGUCAUUUAAAAACCUACACUCUGCCCUCUUGUAAAAUAAAAAAUAUUAAUAAGGGGUACAGUGUGAACUGUAAUGAUAAAAUGAUUAUUUUACCCCUCACUAUUUUGCCCCUCACUAUGUUCACAGGAAAGAAGGCUGAGGGCAUUUUUGGCAUAAAAAUUAUAUAAUAAUAUUUUAUAAACGGAAACCUAACGGAUUACUAACGGCUGUGGGCGAAGUGAAUAUUUUUUAUUUUAUAAGGGGGCAAAGUGUAGGUUUUUAAAUAACAGGAAGGAAAGUGAAAAAUCGGGUUUUGAUAGGAAGGUUUUAUGUAAUUUAGCCAAAAGAAAAUAUGUAUACUUUGUUCGGAUAAAAAAAAAAUGAUAAGACUAGUGUGGAUUAUCUCCAUUCUAAUUAAUUAAUGAAAUAUUAGAUAUGAAUUCAUGAUAUAACGUAUAGCCAAUUUCCAACAUGCAUUAUUUUCUUAUUCUAUUAAAGUAAAAAAAGUAUAGAAUUUAUCUGCACUAUAGAUUAUUUUGAUUCGACUGCUCUACCAUUCAAAAUUUUAAUCCCACUACUCACCCCUUUGAUUUAAUUGAUUUAAAUCAUUUAGCAGCUUCUUCGAUACAAAAUUUAAACUAAUUGCUUAUUUUAAUAAAUUUAUAGUUGCAUGAAUUGCUAAUUAAAUCUAUAAAUAUAAAUUACAUUUUUAAAUUUUGAAGCUAAGGAGUCAUUAACUCUCUCGAAUUAAAUAAUUAAAAUAUUAGAUUGUAAAAUAAAAUUUUUUAAAGGUGAGAUAGUCAAAUAAAAAUGAGUGAAUCAUUGAGGCAAGCUAUAUAUAUUUUGAGCUAGGCUUGUGUGUUUUUAGAAAUAUGGUGGUUUUUAUUCUAUCAAUUCGUUUUCAAUGUUGAGAUUUCCGAAUUGAUGAUCGGCUUUGUUAGGCCUGAUUUAGAGCAUUUGAGGUACUUAAAAAAUAAAUUUCGUAAUUUUUUGAUAUCAUUUACCUAGUGAAUAAAAGCGCCUAAAAUCAAUAUUUAAUGGUUGUUACGAGCUGUUUGCAAAUUUAUUAGUGUAGAAAUAUCAAAUCAUGUGAAAUUUUAAUAGAAAAUUUUUUAUGCUAUAUAAAACAAGAUCAAAUUUCUUGAUCUAAAAUUUUAGUGUCAUACCAUCACUUUUUAUGAGAUUUUCUAUUUUUAAUGGUUGAUUUUGAAUUCUUUCAAUCAUUAGGUAAAUGAUUGUCGAUUCGGAAGUCCUAACAUCGAAAAUAACUUGAUAGCAUGGAGGCACCUAUCCUUCUAAAAGUAUGAAAGCUAGACUCAUACAUUUUUGCCUUCAAUUAAUAAAUCUAUACAGAAAAUCAUCGUAUAUCUUGCAGUAAAAAAGAUGAAACAAAACAAAAGAAUAAUAUCUAAUAUGCCAUUCGAAACUUCAUAAGUAUCUCAUUCACUUCUAGAGGACCAAAAUACCUUUACUAAAUUUAAAAAAUUCCAAAAUAUUCUUAUUUUUCCUAAGGUUUACUAAUAGAAUUGGAUUUUAGUAGGGUAUUUUAGUAAUUUUAGAAUAAUUUUAAAAAUUUUGAAUAGUAGUAAAGGGUAAAUAAGCAAAAGCCUCAAAACAGAAAGACCUACUGAUUGUGCUAGGGAUAGUUGGCGAAGGCGGAAAUCGCGCCACAGCUGUAGGGAUGAGGGCAUUGGUGACAAUGAGGAAGAUGGUGGUGAAGGUGAAUAAGAACUUUAGAGCCAUUGUUGCUCUCUCUUAAUUUCUUUGUUGGAUGUUCAUCCAAUUCAUCCUAACAUGCACUAUUUAUAGGCUUCAUGUAGAUUUUGAGUUGUUAAGCAUAUGAUUGUAGCAAACAUCCCUGAGAAGAAUCAAUAUCUUGUAGCCUUUACCGUACAAUUUUGGUCAAGUGAAAAAUCAAGUUUUCGUUCGGAAUAUAUAUCUCAUUUAAAUUUUUUGUUCUUGAGUGAUAUAAUAAGAUUGGUGGCACGGGUCUAUUAGGACUCUGUUUGGAAAGAUAAAUUUUUUGGUUUUUUCGGAGGUUCGACCAAAAUUAUCGCAACUUAAUUGCCGGAUUGGAUUCAAGUUUAUUGAAAGAGUUGGACUAGAGAUUCGAAUUGUAGAGGUUAUAAAUAUUGUGAACACCGACCGUCCCUAGAGUAAGUACCAUAAGGGUUUGAUAAUUGGUAUCCGAGGUCCCAAGUUCGAAUCCUAAUUGAUUCACAUUUCCAGCUAAGUUUAUUUCUAAAUGAAAUAAACGAAGUGGGUAGCAUGCUACCUAUCUCUCAAAAAAAAAAAAAAAAAAUUAUUGUGAAAUAGAUGGACCUUAUGGCUCAGAACAGCCUAGCCAUGAUCUAAACCCUCUCUGUUCAGGUUGUGACCGCCGUAACUUUACUCUUCAAUGCCGUUUUUAGGCCCCUUCAAUUUUGUGUCUAAAAUGUAAGUUUCAGUUAUCUUUUUAAGGAUAAGAAGGUGACACUUGUUUAUAUUAAACUUUAAGAGCUUGUUUGGUUCAUCCAUUUUAAAUUCUGGAAUCGAAAAAAGAUUCAUUGAUUUCGAUAAAUGUUGUUUGUGUUACAAGAAUCAGAUUCUGAUUUCUAUUAUGCUCUAGAAUGAGAAUGCUUGAUUCAUUUAUAGCGCAACCAGCUUGUUUGGUUCAUCCAUUUUAAAUUCUGGAAUCGGAAAAAGAUUCAUUAAUUUCGAUAAAUGUUGUUUGUGUUAUAAGAAUCAGAUUCUGAUUUCUAUUAUGCUCUAGAAUGAGAAUGCUUGAUUCAUUUAUAGCGCAACCUAGUUUUGGAUUCUAUAAUGGCCUAUUACAAAGUAAAUCACUCAAAACCCUCUCACAACCAUCUCUCCUUCUCUCCUCUCAUCACUCUCCUAUCUUUUAACUAAAACUCCUCUCUCAAAGUCCCGGGAAUCCCAAUUAUUCAUUCCGAUUUCCAUUCCAAUAAUAAACCUGUUGGAAAAUCUUUAUGAUAUUUUAUUACAAUAUUCUUUAGAAACCAAUUCGAAAAUUUAAUUUCAGGUUUAGGUAGUAUCCUUGUUUUAUUUAUUAAUUAAUUAAUUUACUUAUUGAUUUUUUAAAUCGGUUGGUGCUAAUUGAGGUGGCUUGGAUGCCACGUCCACCCGUGCAUGCUAAUUAAGGUGGCUUGGAUGCCACGUGCACCCAUGCAUGCUUAUCAACAAAAUCAGGUGGGCAUUGCCUAAUUUUUUUACUUCUCUCUUUGUUCGACCGAAGCAAAGAGCUCGGUGGAGGUAGCCGCGAGCACGAGUUCGACGCCGACGACGCGCCGCGAAGCCGUUCAAGGGUACGGUUGGGAUCGUAGCGCUGCGAGGAAGCUAGGCGAGGGUGCGUUUUUGCCGUUCUCGACGCCGUGUCGCUGACCGAUUAGCCGUUGAGGUGAGCGUUCCGUUGCGUUGCUUCAAGUAUUAUCAUUUCGAGCUUGGUGCUGAUUUGCAGAAUUUUCAGCGUCGACCGUCGGUAUUUCAGUUCGCACUCGGCGUAGGAGCGUCGGUUUUCGACGGGACUUGGUUCGUUGGAUUCGGGACUUCAAGAGGAAUCCAUGAAGCCCUUACUUGCUGGAUUUGGUGGAGGUUAACUUGGUCGAAUCUUUGUUGUACCUUGCUGCUGUGAUUCCUGGACUGAAACGGUGAAUUUUGUUGCGUAGAGCUCGAGCUUAGACGAUUCCUGAACUCGGAGGAGUGUGAUUGACCCAACAGGUGGUGUCGCAGCUGGGAGAGUGUUCCGCUGCCAGGGAUUAGCGUGCGAGGUGGGUUAAUCAUCGGCUUACUCCUAAGUGCUUAUAUAGUCGACAUGUAUUAGAGGAAUUAUUUUUGCGUAUCGCAAUUGCUCGGUUCAUUGUUCUAGUCUUGUUAAUAAUCUGAAUUGGAGCCUUGGUUAUUAUCUUGGGAUAUAUAUAUAUAUAUAUAUAUACAUGUUGGAUUUGGAUGAGACUUAGGAGAAAACUUGCGAUUAUGAUCGUUAUAUGUUUAAACUACCUGAUUUAGCCCUAGGGGCCGUUGGAUAUUUUUGUAUCGUCGCAGUAUUGGUGCGAUGGAUACCUCAGGUAGUUUAGAUUUCAGUUACGCUCGUGCUGGGAUGCGGAGUCUAUUUUUACAGUAGUGUUUAGACUGUUCCGGACUAUUGGGUGUCGUCGGGGUUGACGGUGGACCCGGUUUGCCAUUGUGGCAUCAGAUUGUGCCGAGGACACGUGACUUGGUGGUUGUUAGACCAGUUAGACCCAGUUACUUUGACUUUAGCCUGCGGGAGCCUGAUUGAGCUCGACAGAGACACGCUUGCAUACUCGGUUGCGUAGCGCCCACGAGUACCACUCCGGAGUCUGGUUUUGUGCGUUCGCGUUGGUGUCGUUGCGUCCUUUCUGGACUUGCUCUCCACGGACUAAUUAGUGGUGGAGGUAGCUUAGCUUGGGCAGGCGGGACGGGUGUGUUCAUAGUCCCUAGUGAGAUUGGGUCUGGUUUUUACAGUUGGCUAGUAUAGGGCAGGAUAGUGUAGUGAGUGUAGCUGUAGAUUCUUUUCCAGCUUUUCCUACUAUCUUGCUUACCCCUGUAGACUUAGUGGGUGGACCGAUAAUUGUUGAGGGCGGCACCCACUGAGGACUACUUGUGUUUUACAGUAGUUCUCACGCCCAGUUGUUACAUAUGUUUUGUAGAGCCAUCAUCUUCGGCUGCUGCGGUUGCUGAGCAGGAUCGAGACAAGGGCGUCGCGAGUUAGAGCCCUACCCGACGAGCCGAGCUAGAGGUGCCCUACAGCAGGUAGUUAUUUUUGUUGGAGUUUAUGUACAUUGAGUGGUUUAACUCGCCAAUGCGAGUAGUCUUGUAUUUUGAAUUUGGCUUAUGUAUAUGGAACUCAGUUGUUUUAGUUACUGUUACUUUUAGCAGCUCUAUACUACUGUUUGUAGUAUUGUAUAUUUAUCUACAGGUACAGCUGUCGUUUCGUACACAGAAAAAAUUUCUUUGUAUACGGCGGAUUUGUCGGCGUGCCCGGGGAACGUGCAAUCCGGGGCGUGACAGAAAAAUUUCGAAACGAAAUUAAAUAACAAACACUGUAAAGAAAAGGUUUAGAUAAGGCAUGUGGAUCGAGGCGUGCAGAACACUGUCCUAGAAUCGAAAUUGUCCCUCCACGUGCGAGGCUUCCCGGCAAUUACUUCUAGCGAUACAACGACCAUGUUCCACUCUAUCGGCACGUUUCAAGGUGGCGCAACACAAAUCCAACAAGCUUCAGAUCCAGCAAAGAAAAACUUGGCGAAAAUGAUUAAUUGCGAGAAAGCAGGAAAAGACGAGAGGGUUUAGGUAUGCUCAGGAUUAGGAUAAAGAUAAAGAUAAAAAUUAAAAUAAAGAUAAAACCUAAAAAAUAAAAUAAAAUAAACCGGGUGUAUAGACCGCACACGUCGCCACCCGGCUCGGCACGUACUCAUGCCGUGCGUGUUUAAACGAGAGCAUAACUCUCAUUUUCUUUCAAGCAACUAGCUUGAGAAUAAAGGAAUAUAUAAACUCCAUCAACACCCUUUUAGUUUCCAAUGUGGGACUAAACCUCACACAUGAAAAUUUUAGUUGGGCUACUAAGCAAGGCCCAGUAAUAAUUAUUGGGCUUCUAAGAGGCCUUAACAAGUUUUAAAUCACAAAAACUCAAUAAAACCCAAUAAAAUCCACUAAAACCUGUUGGCACAUAAAAUUAUGGUGCGAGCCGGUAACUUUGUUAGCUAAUUCGUGAAUUAUUUGCGAAUUAUUGAAAAUCUGAAUUAAACGGUCCGUUUACGAAUUUUUUCUAAAGAAAAUAAAUUAUUUGCGAAUUUUUGGGCCAGCUGAAUAAUUUGCGAAUUACUUCCGGAUUAUUAAAAAUCUGAAUAAAAAAUUUAUAAUUUUUAUAUUUAAAUAUAGAUUAUCUUAUAUUUUAUAUUUUAUACCGAAUCCUUUUUUAAGUCAAUUUUUUUAACGAAUUUAAAAAUUAGGAAACAAAUUUUAUAGGUAUUAUAUCCCUACCGAAUUUUUACGGAAUCCGAAUUAACUAUGGCCGGUAAUCUAUUUGAUUCACGUGGUCAAAUAAGAAAGUGACAUAUAAUAGUCCUAGCACCUAGAAAAGUGAGUCCAAACCCAAGUAAGGCUUCGUUUGGGAAUACGGGGAGAUUGCGUUACGUCCAGUGAGAAAGUACGUUGAAAAAAUACUAUGUUUGUUUCCGUACGUAAUAUUGCGUUCCGCAUAUCGCAAUGAGUCGGAUACGAUAUAUUUUUUGCGGUCCCACCGGAGAACGUAGAAGCAUACCCCUAUAUGCUUUUUCCUCAACUCUAUUUUAUCUAAUAGGGUUAGAUAGAUCUCAAUACCAAACUAAGCCUAAGUUUUGGGCGAGAACGGUUGGAAGCAUGGGAGGCAGUUGCACAAUCAAAGAGCAAGCCAAAGUACGUACUUUUGGUAUAGCAACCACCGUUUAAUAACUGUAAGGCAACUAUGAUAGAUCUUUAUAGGUAAGUAAAAUAAGAAGAAAAUUAAAUAAAUAUUAAAAUCGAGAAACAAAAUAAAAUAACGUGACUCACAAAGCGCCAUAGAUAAGAAAAUCUUGAUCAAUCUGCGGAAGCAAGAAGUUUGGCUAAUUUAGUUUUUUCUUCUAUCUCAGGCACUCUUCUGUAUGGUAUGGAACCGAUGGUAAUUCUUCACUAGAAUGUAUAUGAGAAAGUGGCAGGACCAAUACCUCUUUAUAUAGAGUCCAAAUCGACUUUCCAUCAAGCCUGAUUAGGAUUUUAUUUAAUUUAAAUAGAUGUGAUAUGAAUAAAAUAUAGCAUAUCAAGUAGUUCUAUAUUUAUUAGGAUUGAUCUUUAUCUAUAGUAAAUCUAAAUUUAAAUAUGAUUAAUUGGGCCACAUUUUAUGAAAAACCUAACAAACUGAACAUAAGAAUAGUGCUAUAAAUAGAAGAAGGUUGUUUGCAAUACAGAUCUUUUCUCGAAAACAAGACCACUAUUUUUUAAUUUUAUUUUAAUUUUCUGUAUUUUAGAGUCUUUCUAGGAAUAGUUGUUUUUUCUAGUUUUAACCUAGCACCUGUAAACACAAUGCUUUUUGUUGAAGAAACUAAUGAAGUCAGUUUAGUUCGGCUCCUAGUUUCAGCUGACUUUUCAUGAAGUUCUUAUUUUCCACUCAACCCAAAAACUUUUAUUUCUGAGUAGGAACCCAAUUGUGAGUGGAUCCCAUCUCAACUGAUUGCUUGACUUAGGUUUCGUUUGGGAUUGCAGGGGGAUUGCGUUACGUGCGGUGAGAAACGACGAUGGAAAAAUAUUCUGUUUGUUUCCGUACGUAAUAUUGCAUUCCGCAUAUUACGGUUAGUCAGUUAUAAUAUAUUUUCUGCGGUCCCAUCAGAGAACGCAGAAGCAUAGCUCUCUAUACUUUUUCUUAACUCCAUUUUAUCUAACAGCGUUAGAUUGACCUCAAUACCAAACUAAGCCUUAAAGAAAGCCAUCAACCGAAGGUCAUAUUCACAGCCGAAUUACAACUAGGGAUGGUAAUCUAGCUCACGGUUCACGAGCUAGCUCGUGUUCGGCUUGAAAUGAGCUCAAGAUCGAAUCGCUCGUUUAGUAAAUGAGCCGAAUACGAGCUGAAUUUUUCAGCUCGUUUAAUAAACGAGCCAAACACGAGCUGGGUCAGCUCGCUAGUAUUCGGCUCGAUAACAGCUGGAAUACAUAUAUUUUAUAUUUAUAUAAUUUAUUUAAUUUAUAUUUAUAUAUAUAAAUAAAUAAUUAUAAAUAUAAUAUAUAUUUUUAUUAUUUGAUUUUUAGUAAAAUAAAAAUAUAAAGGCGAGCUCAAUUAUAAAAAGACUCAUUUAUAUGUAAAGUUUCAACCAUUAGAUUAAAGUCUAAUGGAUAAGAUUUUAUAAAUUUAUUUUUUAUACAUAUCCAAUAUAAUUCUUUUAACUUAUUAUUCAUUGGCUAGCUCGUGAGCCAUCUCGUGUUCGGCUCGUUUAUUAAUGAGUUGAACAUGAGCUGAAUUUUUCGACUCGAUACUUUAACAAGUUAGCUCGUGUUCAACUCGUUUAUUAUUAAACAAGCUGAAUACGAGCCGGCCCUAGCUCGCUUGUGUUCGGCUCGUUGACACCCCUAGUGUAAUAUCCUAGGUUGAAAUGGAGUUGGUAAAAAGGGCCUAUAUUUUUUUUUACCAAACCUUAUCAGCUCCACCGCCUAUACUUUUACCCAUCCUUAUAUUGUUCACCACGUUAUAUAGAGGUGGCAUGCAGGAGCUUUGUUGUAGCCUAAUUAAUUAACUCUCUCUCUAGGUUGAAGUGGAAAGCGUGGUGGAGCUUCCAGGUGGAGUCGAAUCGACGCCGACGUCGCGCCGGGAAGCCGUGGAGCCGUUCGAGCGCGCGUUUGUUGCCGUAGCAUCGCGAGGAGGCCGGGCGAGGGUGUGAUUCCGCCGUUCUCGACGUCGCGCAGGAUUGGAUUUAGCGGUCGAGGUGGGUUUACAUCGGUUUAUUUCUAAGUACCGUAAUCGUCGACAUGUAUGAUUUUUCAGUUUCGGUUAUCACGUUGUAGCUUGAUAUUCGUGAUGCUAUCCUGGAUAAAAUCAGUAUUGAGAACAUGACUAGUAAAUCUUAAAUGUACAUGUUGGACUGGGAUUUGACUUAGGAGAAAACACGAUUGGAAUCGUCAUAUGCUUAAACUGUCUGAUUUAGCUCUAGGAGCCGUUAUUAAAUUGUACUGUUGCAGUAUCCUCGAGACGAGUACUCCAGGUGGUUUAGUAUACAUUUACGCUCGUGCUGGUAUGCCGAGUGGAUUUUUACAGUGUUGUUCAGGUUGUUCCGGAGGGGCUGUGGUGUGCCGCAGCGUGACGGUGGCCCUAUGUCUUUUUGCCGUCAGAUUGUGCUGAGGGCACGUUACUUGUUUGGUAUUAGACCAGUUAGAGUCGAUUUAUUGACUUUGGCUUUUCAGAGCCUGUUUGAGCGUCGACAGAGAUACGCCUGCAUACUCGGUUGGUAGCGCCCACGAGUGCCACUCCGGAGUCAGGCUUUGUUGCUUUCGCGUUGGUGUCGCUCAUGCCGGUUGGACUUGCUCUUCACGGACCAGUUGUGUGGAUAGAGCCUGAUAGUCGCAACGGGGCAGGGACGGGUGUGUUCACAGUCCCAGGGACGGGUAUGCUUACAGUCCCGAUUGGAUUGGGUCAGAUUUAACAUUUCCUACAGCUGGUUAGUGUAGAGCAUGAUAGUGUAGUGAACGAUAGCGGUAGAGUUUACUUCCUGCUUUCCUGACUAUUCUUGCUCCCUCAUGUAGACUUAGUGGGUGGACCGAUGUUGUUUUGGGCGGUACCCACUGAGAACUACUUGUUUUUACAGUAGUUCUCACGCCCAGUUGUUACUCCUGUUUUGCAGAGCCACAGGUUUCAGCUGCUGCGCCUUCCGCGGAUCAGGAUCGAGGCAAGGGCGUCGCGAGCUAGAGCCCUACCCGACUGACAGAGCUAGAGGCACCCUACUGCAGGUAGUUGUUUUACUUCGAGCUUAUGUACAUAGUACUUAACUCGCCAGUGCGAGUAACGCUGUAUUUUGGAUUCUGAACUAUGUAUAUGAAGCUCAGUUGGUUUAGCUUUUGUUUAUUGAGCAGCUCUAUGCUACUGUUUGUAGCAUUGCAUAUCUACAGGGUACCUUUGACACUUCGUAUACAGGGAAAAUUCCUUUGUAUACGGCGGAUUUGUCGGCGUGCCCGGAGGAACGAGACAUCCGGGGCAUGACAGAUUAAGUUGGUAUCAGAGCGUUGCUAUAGGUCGUUGGGACCUAGGAAACCUAAGUUUGGCAAACCUUAGGAAAGCAUGACGCGGGAGGCGUAAUUUAUUGCGAAAGUCAAUGAUUAUUUGUUCUAACUCCUCCUAGAGUGGGGUGAGUGAUCGAAGGAGUUCCUGUUUUGGCCUGAGAAAUUAUGUUGGCUGCAGACGAUAUAAUUUUGGAGGAAAACAGGGACCGCCUUCUAGACUUUCGUUGAUUGGGUCGAGAGUGUUUUGUUGUAUCUGACCCCGAUUUGUCCCUUUCAGCUAUGUAUCGUCGCCGAGGUCGACCGUCGUUGCGAGAGCGUGCCCAGUUGGCACGGGAUCGUGCGGGAUCCCCUGAGAGACCUGAGCAGAUGGAGCAGAGUACUCGACAGGAGCAGGGUGACAGACCGGAGGCGAGUGCACCCCCUGUGGUGGAGCCGAGUGCGCGACCUGAGGCUAGCGCACCCCCGGAUCUGAGUGCACAGUUGGCUGCCCUGACUGAGGUGACGAGGCAGCAGGGGGAGUUAUUGCAGAGGUUGUGUGAGAGGAUAGCUCAGCCACCGAGUUCAGCACCGAGAGUACCAGAGUCGCCAGUGCCACCCCGACUACUCCAGUGACCGCACCAGCUGCAGCAGUUCCUCCGUCGGCAGCAGUUCCAGUAGCUCCAGUUGCGCCUGCUAGGGGGCCAGUACCGUUGACUGAGGCCGAGCAGGAGCGGUGGACGGAGAGGUUAGCUCGUUUUCGGCGAUUUGACCCACCGAUCUUUGAUGGCAGCGGCACUGAGGCCUGGAUUGUUGAGGGAUGGGUCAGUGCGAUGGAGAGGUUAUUUGAGGAUCUGUUCGUUCUAGAGGGGGAGCAGGUACCACUAGGAGUACACUGUUUGUCAGGUGAUGCACGUGAUUGGUGGCGGAGAGCGAGGCGAGACCAGGGACUGGUGGCGGCGCAGCUGAGGUGGGAUGAGUUCUGUGGAAUGCUGUAUGGGAUGUAUUUUCCCAACAGCAUGAAACAGAAAAUUGAGGAGGACUUGAAGAGGAUCCAGCAGGGCGAGCGGACAGUUCAGGAGUAUGUUCGGGAGUUUACUAGACUCCUGAACUGUGUUCCGUUUGUAGCCAGAGAUGAGGCACAUAGGGUCUAUUUGUUCGAGCAGGGUUUGAGACCCGAUCUAUUCAGGUUCGUCAGGGCGCAGAGGUCGAGGACUUUGGAUGCGUCCAUUGAGCAGGCAUUAUGGGAGGAGAGAGGAGAGGUGUCGCUGCGGGAGAGGGCUCAGGGGCCGGGACAGAGUCAGGACAGGAAGCGCCCAGCUCCAGACGACGGAGGUCAGUCGAGUAGCAGGCGUCCGCCGAGGCCUCCACGAUCGCGUUCACAGGGUCGUGGGUUCUCGGGGCGUCAGCGAUCCAGGGACUCUCGUCAGAGGGGACAGCCUGAGAGGACGCCGCAGUGUGUGAUCUGCGGAGGACCACACUGGCCCAGACAGUGUGAGCAGAGGGAGGGCCGGUGCUACGGGUGUGGUCAGCCGGGACACAUGAGGGCAGCUUGUCCCCGAGCAGCAUCGCCAGCACCAUCAUCAGCUUCAGCUCCACCAGCACCUCAGCAGACUUACAGAGCAGCACCGAGUUACCGCCAGGAGGAUAGGUCGUCCAUGCCGCGACAGGGUGAGCGGCGACAGCAGGCUCCGAGUGGCAGAGUCUAUGCAGCUCAGGUGGAGGACUCUACAGCAGCCGACCGAGUAGUGGCAGGUAUCACUUUGAUUUCUGGCAUUAGAGUUCGCACUCUUUUUGAUACUGGUGCAUCGCAUUCCUUUGUUAGCCGAGCAUUUGCAUUGUUGCAUGGUCUAGAGUUAGGGGCAUUGUCACAGGCACGAGAGGUGCAGAUCCCGGACCAUGUUUUACAGGUUGCAGAGUGUUGUUGGUCGUGUCCGGUGCAGUUGGAUUCGUGGGUCAUGCCCGCAGACCUGUUGGUGCUAGGGCAGCUGCAGGACUUCGACGUUGUGCUCGGUAUGGAUUGGCUGGCGCGGUACUAUGCUACUAUUGAUUGUGGAGCGAGGACUGUGACGUUCCGCGAGCCAGGCCAGGAGGAGUUUACUUUUAGAGGCUGCAGGAGCACGCUGUUUGCCACCUGGAUAUCUUCGGCGAGGGCUCGACAGAUGCUGAGUAGCGGGUGUAUCGCUUUCCUAGCGACUGUUGUGGAGGUACCUACGGCGGCGCCGGGACUUGAGGACAUCCCAGUAGUCCGCGAGUUUCCGGAUGUAUUUCCCCCUGAGUUGACUACGUUGCCGCCGGAGAGGGAGAUUGAGUUUGUGAUUGAUGUAGUUCCUGGAACUGCACCAAUCUCAAAGGUACCUUAUCGGAUGGCGCCGGCAGAGCUGAGAGAGCUAAAGGCACAGCUUCAGGAUUUGAUGGAUAGAGGGUUUGUGAGACCCAGUGUGUCGCCUUGGGGAGCGCCGGUGUUAUUUGUAAAGAAGAAGGAUGGUUCGCUCAGGUUAUGUGUGGAUUACCGGGAGCUGAAUAAAGUGACCAUCAAGAAUAAGUAUCCCUUGCCGCGCAUUGAUGAUUUGUUUGAUCAGCUGCAGGGAUCUUAUGUCUUCUCGAAGAUUGAUCUCCAGUCAGGUUACCACCAGCUGAGGGUGAGGGCCGAGGAUGUUCCCAAGACGGCUUUUCGGACUCGGUACGGGCAUUAUGAGUUCACGGUGAUGCCUUUUGGAUUGACGAAUGCCCCUGCCGCAUUCAUGGAUUUGAUGAACAGAGUGUUCAAGCCGUUCUUGGAUAGGUUUGUGGUAGUCUUCAUCGACGAUAUCCUGAUUUACUCCCGGAGUGAUGCUGAGCAUGAGGAGCACUUGAGGAUUGUGCUACAGCUUCUGCGCGAGAAGAAGUUGUAUGCCAAGUUAAAGAAGUGCGAGUUCUGGCUACGGGAGGUUGCUUUCUUGGGCCACGUGAUUUCAGCUGAGGGCGUAGCAGUGGACCCGAAGAAGAUUGAGGCGAUUCGAGAUUGGCCUAGACCGACGACGGUUACUGAGGUACGGAGCUUCCUGGGACUGGCAGGAUAUUACCGUCGGUUUGUGGAAGGCUUUGCGAAGCUUUCCACACCCCUCACACGCUUGACGCGGAAGGGGAUUCGUUUUGUCUGGAGCGACGACUGUCAGAGGAGCUUUGACGAGUUGAGAUUGAGGUUGAUGUCGGCUCCUAUCCUUGCCCUUCCUGUUAUGGGCGAAGGAUUUGUGAUCUACAGUGAUGCAUCGCACAGUGGACUUGGUUGCGUGCUGAUGCAGCAUGGUAGGGUGAUUGCUUAUGCUUCACGGCAGUUAAAGGAUUAUGAGAAGAAUUACCCUACGCAUGACUUGGAGCUUGCCGCGGUGGUUUUUGCUUUGAAGCUCUGGCGGCAUUACUUGUACGGCGAGCACUGCGAGGUUUUCACCGAUCAUCAAAGUCUCAAGUAUCUGUUCACACAGAGGGAGCUGAAUCUGAGGCAGCGCCGGUGGUUGGAGUUACUGAAGGACUAUGACAUUAGUAUUCAGUAUCAUCCCGGCAGGGCGAAUGUGGUGGCAGAUGCGUUGAGCAGGAAGUCAGUGCAGAGCCUGAGUUUGAGGAUUACUGAGCAGAGACCCCUACUCGAGGAGCUACAGCGGCUGGGACUCGAGAUAGUACCCCCUGGGUCUACGGCGAGGCUGACGUCUCUAGUUUUACAGCCCACUCUGUUGGAUAGGAUCCGAGAGAAACAGAGUGGAGAUCCGUACUUGUUGAGGAUUAGAGAGCAGCUAGACAGGGGGCAGGCUGAGGGUUUUGCUUUGGACAGUUCGGGAGUACUACGGUACAGGGACCGACUGUGUGUGCCUGUGGAUCCGGAGAUUCGAGCGGAUAUUCUGAGAGAGGCUCAUUGUUCCCCUUAUACGGUUCACCCUGGGGGAACCAAGAUGUAUAAGGAUCUUAAGGCACGGUUCUGGUGGCCUGGAAUGAAGAGGGACAUUGGCAGAUUUGUGGCUCAGUGUUUGACUUGCCAACAGGUGAAGGCCGAGCAUCAGGUGCCUGCUGGCAAGCUUCAGAGUCUGCCAGUUCCCGAGUGGAAGUGGGAGCACAUCACGAUGGACUUCGUCGUUGGAUUGCCUAGAGCGCAGGGUGGCUACGACGCGAUUUGGGUGAUAGUGGACAGACUGACCAAGUCUGCUCACUUCCUACCGGUUCAGACUACUUGGUCCAGGGAGAGACUCGCGCAACUAUACUUGGAUGAGAUCGUUAGGCUGCACGGCGUGCCUGUGUCGAUCAUAUCAGACAGAGACCCGAGGUUUGUAUCCUAGUUUUGGAGGAGUCUUCAGACCGCCUUGGGCACUCAGCUGCAUUUUAGCACGGCGUUCCACCCACAGACAGAUGGUCAGUCAGAGAGGACCAUAUAGACUCUAGAGGACAUGCUGAGGGCAUGCGUCCUGGAUUUUAGAGGAGGGUGGUAUCGACAUGUGAGACUGGUUGAGUUUGCGUACAACAACAGCUAUCAAACGAGCAUUCAGAUGACUGCGUUUGAGGCGUUGUAUGGACGCAGAUGUCGAUCCCCUCUGUUUUGGAGUGACGUGGGUGAGCGGAGGACACUUGGACCAGAGAUUCUACUUGAGGCUGAGGAAAAGGUGAGAGUCGUUCGACGACACCUUUUGACAGCACAGAGCAGGCAGAGGAGCUAUGCCGAUACCAGGAGACGAGACUUGGAGUUCCAGGUUAGAGAUCAUGUUUUUCUCAAAGUCUCGCCGUCCAGAGGGAUACGCCGAUUUGGAGUACGUGGAAAGCUUAGUCCACGGUUUGUUGGCCCUUUCGAGGUAUUGGAGCGUAUCGGACCGGUUGCUUACAGGAUAGCUCUACCUCCACGACUUGCUGGCAUCCACGAUAUUUUCCACGUCUCAGCAUUGAGGAGAUACGUCUUCGAUCCCUCUCACGUGAUUGACUUCACCCCACUUGAGAUUGGCGAGGAUCUGAGAUACGAGGAGCGACCGUUGCGGAUUCUUGCUCGAGAGACGAAAAAAUUGCGCAACCGGGUCAUCCCGUAUGUGAAAGUGCAGUGGAGCCAUAACGAGGAGCGAGAGGCGACUUGGGAGCCUGAGACGGUGAUGAGGGAAGCCUAUCCCUACUUGUUUGAUGCUUGAGUAGAGGUACGUUCAGUUUCGCGGACGAAACUUUUUGUAGUAGGGGAGGAUGUAAUAUCCUAGGUUGAAAUGGAGUUGGUAAAAAGGGCCUAUAUUUUUUUUUUUUACCAAACCUUAUCAGCUCCACCGCCUAUACUUUUACCCAUCCUUAUCUUGUUCACCACGUUAUAUAGAGGUGGCAUGCAGGAGCUUUGUUGUAGCCUAAUUAAUUAACUCUCUCUCUAGGUUGAAGUGGAAAGCGUGGUGGAGCUUCCAGGUGGAGUCGAAUCGACGCCGACGUCGCGCCGGGAAGCCGUGGAGCCGUUCGAGCGCGCGUUUGUUGCCGUAGCAUCGCGAGGAGGCCGGGCGAGGGUGUGAUUCCGCCGUUCUCGACGUCGCGCAGGAUUGGAUUUAGCGGUCGAGGUGGGUUUACAUCGGUUUAUUUCUAAGUACCGUAAUCGUCGACAUGUAUGAUUUUUCAGUUUCGGUUAUCACGUUGUAGCUUGAUAUUCGUGAUGCUAUCCUGGAUAAAAUCAGUAUUGAGAACAUGACUAGUAAAUCUUAAAUGUACAUGUUGGACUGGGAUUUGACUUAGGAGAAAACACGAUUGGAAUCGUCAUAUGCUUAAACUGUCUGAUUUAGCUCUAGGAGCCGUUAUUAAAUUGUACUGUUGCAGUAUCCUCGAGACGAGUACUCCAGGUGGUUUAGUAUACAUUUACGCUCGUGCUGGUAUGCCGAGUGGAUUUUUACAGUGUUGUUCAGGUUGUUCCGGACUGUGGGGUGCCGUCAGAGUGACGGUGGACCCGUAUUGCCUUUUUGGCGUCAGAUUGUGCUGAGGGCACGUUACUUGUUGGUUAUUAGACCAGUUAGAGUCGAUUUAUUGACUUUGGCUUUUCAGAGCCUGUUUGAGCUCGACAGAGAUACGCUGCAUACUCGGUUGGGUAGCGCCCACGAGUGCCACUCCGGAGUCAGGCUUUGUGCUUUCGCGUUGGUGUCGCUCAUGCCAGUUGGACUUGCUCUCCACGGACCAGUUAGUGUGGAUAGAGCCUGAUAGUCGCAACGGGGCAGGGACGGGUGUAUUCACAGUCCCGGGGACGGGUAUGCUUACAGUCCCGAUUGGAUUGGGUCAGAUUUGACAUUUCCUACAGUUGGUUAGUGUAGAGCAUGAUAGUGUAGUGAUUGAUAGCGGUAGAGUUUACUUCCUGCUUUUCCUACUAUUCUUGCUCCCUUCUGUAGACUUAGUGGGUGGACCGAUGUUGUUUUGGGCGGUACCCACUGAGGACCACUUGUUUUUACAAUAGUUCUCACGCCCAGUUGUUACUCCUGUUUUGCAGAGCCACAGGUUUCAGCUGCUGCGCCUUCCGCGGAUCAGGAUCGAGGCAAGGGCGUCGCGAGCUAGAGCCCUACCCGACUGACAGAGCUAGAGGCACCCUACUGCAGGUAGUUGUUUUACUUCGAGCUUAUGUACAUAGUACUUAACUCGCCAGUGCGAGUAACGCUGUAUUUUGGAUUCUGAACUAUGUAUAUGAAGCUCAGUUGGUUUAGCUUUUGUUUAUUGAGCAACUCUAUGCUACUGUUUGUAGCAUUGCAUAUCUACAGAUGCCUUUGACGCUUCGUAUACAGGGAAAAUUCCUUUGUAUACGGCGGAUUUGUCGGCGUGCCCGGAGGAACGAGACAUCCGGGGCGUGACACCUAGUUACAACCAGCGAUAAUUUUGACUUGGUCAAUGUUUGACUUGGUCAACUAGCUUGAGGAAACUAUUUGGCUCGUGAAACAUAACCAAACGUUUUUAGAUGAUUUAUCGUUCUAUUUUCCGUUCCAAUGUAAUUCAAUUUUAUUUUUCAUUCUCAUUCCACUCAUAAAGGAAAUAUGCCCUAAAUUUCAUUUCGACUUAUGCCUAUCUUGAGCAUAAAUCGAAAUACAGCAGUCAGGCCAUCAUCUGCAAGUCAAUCCGAUGGCAAUAUUUAGGUACAACUACAUCGAACUAAACAAAAUUUUUGGGAGCGGUUAUAGUUACACUUGCACUGCAGUUCUGAAAUAUAGAUAAUCAAACAAUCCCUAAUAAUUAUAUAAUGUGAGCAAUACACCAGAAAGCAAACUAUAUGUAGAAGGAGCACCCCAUUUUAUUCAUUCAGUCAUUGCCAAAGCUCUCCACUUACAUAGAGUAUAUUAUUUUUAGGGACUUUUAAUUAUUAUUCAAAUUUCUCAAAUUUAUUAUGAAAUUAUUACAAUACCUUCUAAAACCAAUCCUCUUAGUAAAUGCUAGAGUUUGGUCCUUCAGAGAUAAAUAAAAUAUUUUUAAAAUUCUGAAGGACUUAUUAGAUAGUAUCCCUUAUUUUUUUCAUUGCAAAGUUUUGAACAUUGACAGCCAAGGAGGAAGGCGAGGCGGGAAGAAAAACGGGCGGAUUCUGUAAAACCCCUUCUCUUCGCGGAUUCUUGCAAUGCUACCUUCUUCUCCUGUCAGAUGCAAAUUGGUAACCAUGAGAGGAGGAAAAAAAAUAAUAAAAAAAAAGAAGUGGUAAGAAUAUAAAACUUUUGCUCAUUUAUCUUUGACUAUUAUUCAAAAAUUUUAAAUUUAUUGUGAAUUUAUCAAAAUAUUCCUUCUAAAUCUCUCAUGUUCUAAUAGUAAACCUUACAAUUUUGGAAAUAUUUGAAAAAAUUUUAAAAAUUAAUAAGGGCAUUUUGGUCAACAAGCAAUAUAUUAGAUAUUUUGAAAUUUUGGAGGGUAAAGUAGAUAUUACAAUUCAUUAGAUAAAGAAUUUACUGAACUCCGGAACAUUUUGAAACCGCUAUUCUAAAAAUAUAGAAAAAAUAUAUUUUUUAAAAAUCAUGGUAAAAUGGGUGAAUCCCACAAAAGCUAUUUGAUUGAUUGGAAACACCAUAUCACCCCAUGUUUCUGCUGUAUUUAGACUUUUUCCUAUUUUUGGCCCUUCUACGGAGAACAUAAGUUGAACUAAUUUACCCUUCCAAAGAGUACAAAGUAACCGAUAAUUCCCGCCAUAGCCGGUCAUAACUGGCUUCUCAAAUCAUCCAAACCAUUAAGGGGCUAUUUGAUUGCAUACAGCUAGAAAUACAGCAGUUGUAACUAUACUCAGUUUGUUCUAUAAACCAUUAAGGGGCUAUUUGAUUGCAUACAGCUAGAAAUGCAGCAGUUGUAACUAUACUCAGUUUGUUCUAUUCUGUAUAGAUGCAACUGUUGCAAUUACAUUUUACUUAUUUAAUAACCUGAAGAUGAUAAUUAUAUUUAUAAAUUCUAUCACCUUUCAGAUAGAACGGUAAGAUUACUUUCAAUGCACAUAAAAUAAUCAAUUAAAGAUUUUUUUUUAAUUUUUCAGUAUAUUUAACUUGCAGGUAAAUCAAAAUUUUAGAACAAUUACUACGUACGAUUCUCUCUACUUUUGAAGUUUUUUUUUUUGCAAUUUGAAUAAUUAUAUUUAACGAAAAUUGAAAAUUUAUAGAAAAAACUAUUUUUAUAUUUUAAAUAAAAUUUCAAUUUUUUUUUUUUAUACAUGCAAAACUUGCUUGCAUUGCGUGUGCUCUUUUAUUGGUAUUUAUUUAUAAAUAUACAUUUAUUUAUUUAUAAAUCUAUAUACAGAUGUUUAUUUAUUUAUUUAUUCUUAAUAACUGCUGCAAUUAGAGCUAUAGUCAACUUGUGAAUAUAUAAUAUAGACCGUAUAGUUCCAAAUGCAGCAUUUAGGCGUCCUUGUGUAGUUCAUAGUUUUAAUUGCAUGCAAUCAAACAUCCCCUAAAUAGAGAUUAUCUAGUGGUUGCCGCAAUUAUGAAGUGUUGCAGAAUUACUCUUGUCAAAACUAUAUAAAGAGUUUGUGUAAUAGGGGUGAAAACAAGCAACAUACAGUAAGAUUUUAACAAACAUAUUCACUCCAUAUUUUUUGGCUGCGAAAUUCGAAUGUGGAUAUUUUCAGAUGCUAAUUUAUUACCAAUCCAUUAAAACAAUAAAUACGAUUCAUCAUAUGCAGUCAAUUUGUAUUCAAUAUAAUUCAACAUAAAUAUAUAUAUAAUCUAUAUAUAUAUAUAUAACUAUUAUAUAUUAUAUUAUAUAUAUACAUGAGAGAAGAGAUGAGAGACGGAGAGAUGAGAGAGAGAGAGAGAGAGAGAGUUAGGGCUGGUAUUCUAUCGGGGGUAGCAUUGGACGGUCUGUAGCUCCAAGUUUUCUCAAAAUAUGGCUUCCAAAUCGAUUAUCGGCUCCGUUAGACUUGAUCUAUACUAUUAAAAGUAUUUGGAACUAAAUUUCAUAAUUUUUUGAAAUAAUUUGACCGAUAAUCAAACGUUUCAAAAUUGACAAUUUUAAUGGUAGAUGUGAUGCGUUUGUGAAUUUAACGGUAUAAAACAAUCCAAAUCUAAUGAAAUUUUUAUAGAAAAUUCUUUUCACUAUUUAGAGUAAGAUCAGUACCUCUGAUCUUAAAUUCAAAUAUUUUAUCAUUAUUUUUUAGGAGAUUUUUAUUUUCAACCGUUCAUUUUAGACAACUUGUUUGAUAGGUAAAUUAUGCCAAAAAAUUAUGAAAUUUAGUUUCCAAAUACUUACAAUAGUGUAUAUCAAAAUCUAACGGAGCCGAUCGUCGAUUUGGAAGCCGGAUUAUUGAAAACAACUUGGUAGUACGGCUAACAAACGGGCUCUGUUGCCACCCAUUUGUUUUCGAUGAUAAAGCCUCCAAAUCGACGAUCGGCACUGUUGAACAUGAUCUAUACUACUUGAAGUAUUUAGAAAUCAAAUUUCAAAUCUUUUCGACAUCAUUUGCCUAAUGAUCAAAGGGUUUCAAAAUUUAUAAUUUUAAUGGUCGAUAUAAGAUGUUUUCUCGUUUAACGGCGUAAAGAAAUCCAAAUUAAUUGAAUUUUUGUUAGAAAAUUUUUUAAACUAUUUAAAACAAGAUCUAUACUCUUGAUCUUGAUUACAAGAUUCCUAUUAUCAUUUUUUAAAGAAUAUUCAUUUUUAGCCGUUCAUUUUUGUAUCCACUCGAUGGAUAAGAGAACAAUAUCGAAAAUGUAUGAAAUUUGAUUUCUAAAUACUUCAAGUGGUAUAGAUCAUGUUCAACGGUGCCGAUCAUCGAUUUGGAGGCACCAUCAUUGAAAACAAAUGGGUGGCAACGGAGCCCGUUUGCUAUCGAUAGUAUUCUAGCUCAACUCUCUCUCUCUCUCUCUCUCUCUCUCUAUAUAUAUAUAUAUAUAUAUAUGAACUAAAAUUAAGCGAAUAAAAUACAUAAUGCAUUUAAAGGUUUACGUUUGUGUUCAAACUUCAUAUAUAAAAAGUACCAUGGAAAAUCACUUUAUCUCCCUACAAUAUAUAUUAAUAUCCCUCUUAUCUUUAUGAGGUGAAAAUGGUCCAAUACGGUCAAAUCUUUUAAGAAACAACAUUUGCAUCCAUAUAUAUUUUUUUUCAGAUACGAAUAUGUACAUUGCAUGCUAAAUUUUGAUAUUCAUAUUUGCAUCCUAUCGAGUCCGGUGUUAAAAAUUUUCGCCAAAAUACAUGGUGCAAGUUUGGGAGCGUUACUGACCGGUCAUGGCGGGCGAGGGUCCACCGUGAGGUGGGGAGGCAGAUGGGAGUUCUCGAGCAACGCCGGCGGCAAUAAGCUCAUUGGCUGCGAUGAGAAAGAGGGCGGCGAAGGCAAUAAAUGUCGGCUUUGCGGCCAUCCUUGUUCUGCAAGCCGGCAGGCAGCUCAAGUUUUCUGAAAGUUUAGAGGAGGCUCCUUAGUUUGUGUUUCGUAUAUAUUUCGCUGGAUGGUGUACACUAUGUACAUAUAUAUGUAAAGUUGAUAUGUUUAGCCACAGUAGCUAGAUGGUUCCUAGCUUUACUUUCAGUAAUCUAGACGUCACGGACACUGACACGGAAUAAGGGACGCAACGCGAUUCAAACAUGAGUAUGACAUAGACAUCAUUAAUAAAAUAUAAUAUUAUUAUUAUAAUAAUAUAUAUUUAUUGUAUAUAAAAUAUUAAUUUUGAUAAAAUAUUAUUAUAUUUUUCAUACGAAUGUAAGUUAAUAAAAUUUUAAUUAAUAGUUCAUAUAUUUAGGAAGAAAAAUUUUCCACCAUUUAUAAUUUAUUUAUAUUGUCAAAAAAAAAAUUGUAUGAAUUCAUUAAAAAGUUAAAAUAUAUAUGAUCAUCUUAUGUUAUAUAUGGAUAAAAAAAUAAAAUAAAAUAAAUAAAUAAAUAAAUAACAUAAAUAAAAAAAAAAAACAAUAAUAUAUUUAUAUAUAUAUAUAUAUAUAUAUAUUUGUGUUGUGGAUCGGCAUUGAAUGUGGGUCCAAAGAGUGUCCACAUCGAACACGUGUCCGACACGGGCACGCGAGGCUUAUAGAAGUAUCCGUGAUACAUAACUAGUAAUAGAGUGUAAUCAUAUAAUAAAUUAUUUUUAUUAAGUCACAUUUUAUAUAAAAUAUAUUCAACCAUCAUUUUUUUUCACUAUUAUCUACUAUUUUAUAAAAUUAAUCAAACACAAUUUAAAUUAUUUUUGAGAAUAGCAGUAUUACAAACCAAACACAAAUUUACUUUUAUUCUGACUAUUCCAAUAUAAUAAACUAGUUUAAAAAAUAAAAAAAAUUAUCUCAAUAUUCGUUAUUCCUGAAGUAGAUGCACUUGAUAUUUCAUGCGGUUUCCUGGCUUCUAAAUGCAACUAAAAUCCUAGCGUCAUUAGCCUAAGAGGAAUCAUUAUCUCGUUGUGUUCGCCUGCUGCAAAGGAAUCAAUAUCUCUCCGAUUCAAGAAAGAGUAUUCAUUAAAAUGAGCGCACUGAGACUGUCGAGUAGACCUGACAAAUGAGCGAAUUAGGUAAUUCGUAGAUCGGUCAUUGUACCUAUAGAUUAUGCAGGUGCGUAUAGAAUUUACUCACAAAUUUUUGAAUAACCAUCAUUCUUAUUUAUACCUGUCCGUGGAUGGGCAGGCGGGUAUACCAAUUAACCACAAAGUUUUUUUUUUCUUUUCUAUUCUUAUAAUUUUCAAGCGCAAAUAAUAUAUAUAUUAUUUUUGAAAGAUCAAAUUUCACUCAAUGUUUCACUAUUUUAUCGCAUAUUGCACUGUUCCAUAAUAUGACACGCCAAUUUAUUGCUUGUUUUGUAUAAACAGAACAAAUGUUGCACAAUUUGUUGUGCUCUUAAAUGCUUUCGUCAGUAUCCAAGGACAGUAAUUUUCGGAUCCCUAGAAUAAGUUGAUAAAAUUCGGUAUAAAGCUGGAGCUGCUGUUCCAUUUUUUUUUUUUUUUUCCUGGAGCAAGCUUGUUUUCAAGUGGGAAUAAGAUUAAUUAACAUCUAAAUUUAAUUUUAAUUAUGAUAUUAAAUUAUUAAUUAAUCUAACUAAUAUAUUUAAAUCAUUAUCUAUUGCGUAAAUAAUAAAGUAAUUAAUUAAUUCAUUAUUUAUAAUUAAUUAGGUAAUUAAUUAUUAAUAAUUUAAUAUAUUUAUCUAUAAAAUAAUAUUUGUAUUGAUCAACCAUUAAUAUUUAUAUUAAUCUAAUUAAUUUUUUUACUAGUUAUCUAACUAAAAUAAUUUACUAACUAAUUAAAAAGUUAAGUCAUAUUUAUGUUUAAUUAAUAAUUAAUAUUUUUUAUUAUCUUAUACAAUAUUCAUAGGUAAUAAAUUUACUAAUUUAUUAAUUAUUUUAAUUUAAUAUUUUGAUGUUAAUUAAUUAGAUAAAAUAAUUUUAAUUUAAAAUUAUAACUCUUAUUCCUCUUGUUCCAAUCUAAUCAUCCGAACAUUAUUUAUCUUAUUUUCAGGAACAACUCAAUUUUUAUUCAAAUACAAAAUUUGUCUGAUUUCUAUCUAAAAUAAGUAAUUCUUAUUUAUAUCCGAACCAAAAUUAACCGUACAAGUUUAUUGAAGAUUGGCUCAAAAAGGACUUUUUGCCCAGUAACCCUAUUAGAAUUUCUAAUUUGCCAAAUAAUUCUUUCCAAAUUUUAUUUGGACAACUAACCAGACAAACACGGUGAAUGAUUUGCCGUUGUUAAUUUGUUUUUUUAAUAUGUUGUGAGGAAUUUUUUUAAAUUGUUAAGAUUGUAUGAGGAUUAUUAAAUUUUUAUUUAUGGUUAAAAUUAUAUUGAUAGGUUGUUAAGAUAGAUGUAAGGAUUAUAUGUGAUUUGUUGAAAUCUUUAUGUGGUUGUUAAGAUUAUAUAUGAGAAUAAAAAAAUGAUAAAUCAUUCACUUUUUAUACUUUAUCUCUAAUAGAAAAGAAAAAGACGGUGAAUAAUUUACCGUUUUCUAAAUUUCAUUACAGAUGGUAAAUGAUUGACCGUUUUUUAAUUAUUUUUAUACCCAAUACUAAGUUGGAUAAAAUAAGGUUAUUUCAACAAAUAAAUUUUUUACAAAAUUAUUUAGCCAAUUAUAAAUUUUUAAAGGAUUAAAAUAAAAAAAUAUACAUUCAAGAACUCAACGUUAUGCAGUACGUAUAAUGAUUAUAUAUACAUGCCCUCAACAAAAGGAAAAGACCCAUAGCCACCAUUGCCCAAUGAGAUUGUGAAGCCUGGCCCACCAAAUCAUUAAACGUUACAAACGGGCGGGUUGGAUAACCCGCGGACGGGUCAUUAUACCCGCGAAUUACUUGGGCAUGGGUAAAAUUUAUCCACAAAUUUUUUGGUAAUCAAUAUCUUUACUCAUACCCGCUCGCGGGUGAGCGGGUGGGUAUGCGGGUUACCCGCAAUUUUUUUUUUCUUUUUGUCUCUUAUAUUUUUUAAAUGCAAAUAAAUAUAUAUAAGUUUCAAAAUAUAACAUAACUCAUUAUUUAAAAUAUCAUAACAUACAAUAAACAUAUUUAAAGUCUUAAAGCAAAAAAAUUUCGUAAUAUAAAAGACGCAAUAAGAAAUUAGGAUUAGAAUUUUUAGGAUGGAUAAAUAAAAAUAUAUGUAUUUUAAUUAAGAAAAUAUAUUUUUUAAUUAAAAAAUAUAUUUGCGAGUAUUCGUGGGUAACCACGGGUUACCCAAAAUACCCACAGCUUAAUGGGUAUUCACCCGUUUUAUCCAUAACUUUUUGGGUUCGAAAAGUUGGUACCUAUACCUGCAAAUUUGCGGAUAACCUGCGGGCACUCGCGGGUAUGGGUCGAGAUUGCCGGGUCUAAUAAUCAUGACCAAAAAAAAACGUGAAAAGACUUUAUUGCCCAAUGGCCUUCUUAAGAAGUGGUGCUCGAAUUGACAAAAAUGGGCCACAACAAGCGCUCAUGUAAGAAAUUUUCAUUACCAAAAACCAAGCACUGAUACUCGGUGCAAACAGUAGUACUAAACGAAAAUUAUAUAGUAUUUUUUAUACCUUUUAUUGGAUAUGUAUAUUAUUUUAUAAAGUUUUGCAAGGUUUGAAAGAAAAGUUGCACUAUUUAGCUUAGUUUGCACUAUUUGAGUCUUAAAUCCUUGCCCACCACUUUUAGGCAUCCCUCUCUAGUUAUGGACUUAUGGGUUGCUAGCCAAACUUGGUCUCCAUCUGUCACAAAAGUGUUAUAGAACAACUUCUCCAUAUGCAACACCCACUUUUCAAUGAGCUAGCGAUUAGACUUUUCUCCAUCAAAAGUUCAGAGGCAUUUCCAAAAUUUCCUCAAGAGGGCAAGAAGUCGGCUCAACUACUAAGAAAAUUGUAGGUAAUACGGUCCUUAUUGGCGAAACAUGAACCGGUGGCGUCAGUCUAAUCUCUUCACUGCGCUCGUCGCUCAGAGUAGGGUGUGAUAACUCGGGCAACAUUGUUUGAUUCACUGUUGCCGCUCCUCCCACAUUAUCCUAUUGUAGCAUUAGUGGGGGUGAUGGAUCCAAAUUCGCCCAUGCCAUUAUCACCUAUUGGAUCAAUAACUUCUCCAACUUCUUCCUCUUCUCAUCCUGACGGUGUGAAGCCUCAACUCGCAACUGCACCGCUUAUGUUUGUUUCUCCACCCUGUGACGUGCCGCUUCCCAGGGGGUCGCCCAUCCUAAAACUACUUUAGCUCUAGACCCUUAACUCUCUUAAAUCUUGAGCCUAACUACAAUCCAAAAUGCUAUAAAUGUGUUAAAAGGUUUAGCAAUAUUAUAUCUCAUAUAUAAAACUAUUUCAAAUCCUAAGAGCGUCACAUUCUUUCUCCCUUUAAGUCCUGACGUCCUUGUCAAGCUCAAGCACACUUACAAGUAUCAGGCGAUAUGAGACUCGUCUCGCUAGCUUAGCCAACUUUGUGGGAAGCUACGCUUCACCCAUAUUGGUCAUCAGCCGGGGAGUCGUGCUCUUUCUGCUGUAUAAUUCUUGCUCAGCUAAAACUCAUUUUAUAUUUCCAACUGAUGAUUGGCUUUGAGCUUCCCAGGGGGUUAUCCAUCCUAUAACUAUUCUAACGCUAGCACGCUUAAUUCUCUUAAUAUCUUGGGUCUAACCACCUCCCAAAAUGCCAUGGCUGGGUUAAGAGGUUUUGUUGUGCCCCAAAUUACAGCGGAAGCCCGAGUUACGUCAACAGAUUUGCCGUAUGUACUAUGAUACACCUUAUGAACACGAAGCGUUAGUAAAACUUGUUUAAAGAAGUUUACUAAAAUCUAACAAUAGGUAUCAAAGUAGAAUAUAACUAUGUACUAUAGCAAUACUGUAAAUAUAUACAAUUAUUAUUACACCAAUCUUCAAAAUGGUACAACAUCUCUCGCUACUCCAAAUCGCAAAAUACUAUAUAGGCUGCUAAUACAUUAAUAAGUGGUCCAACUACACACAAGAAGGGUAAGAGAUGCUUGCUAUCCCUGAUCCCCUUAUCUCGAUCAGUCACUGAUGCUGAAAGUUUUGAAAUAAAAUAAUAAUAAUAAAGAGGACAUAAGAACUAUAAAAAGUAGUCUCCAGUGAGUACGGUCGACAAUGCCAACGGUCCAUACCACUAGGUACAUAAGGGGUAGAAAUAGUAAAUAACUGAGCAAUAUGAAAGAACAAGUACUAAUAUGAAUAAUUGCUAAAAAUACUACUAUUAUCAUGCCUCUAUAGUGUAAUUGAAAACUGUAAAUCACGUAUCUCAUGCAUCUACUAGAUACUUAAUAAAAUAAUGCAAUAAUACUCUAUCAUAAUGACUAACAUAUAGUCGCCACCACCCCCAAAGUUGAGGCCUACUACACGUAGGUAAAUAUCGAAUUGUCUAUGUGGCCCAUACCAUAAUAAUACCCUAUAGUCUAACCUCCGAAGUGGCACUCAUAGGGCACUACCCUAACAGAGUAUAGUAUAUCUCUAUCAAGUUCAAUAUAGCAUACAAGCUAUAGUCCCAAAUAUAGUUAUAGUCUCACACUAUUACCACUAUCUAUUGGCGUUUAGGGCAACAUCACAUAAUACUAAUAGUGAAAAAUAUGUAUGUCUCAGUAUACUCUAUAGAUAGGUAUCAAAAUACCACUAUUAGCUCAACUAUGUCAAUAGUCUCAUAGACUAAAUAAUAUAAUAUGAACAUAGGAGUUAACUCGCCAAUUUUGGCGAUACAGAACCCACUUAAAAAUGCUAUCACAAAAGGAAGGAGAAGAAGAAGCAUAGCACCAACCCAGAAACUCCUAUAGAAUCAACUCUGUAAAUAUUACAUGCAAAAAAUGUCACGCGGAUCAAUCCUCGAUCUCCUCCAAAAUCACCCUUUCUUUUUCUCCUUCUCACUCUCUUUAUAGAAAAAGAAAAACAAAAUAAAAUGAAAAAAAGAGAGAAAAAGCACCUCAGCUAGCUAAUAUAAACAUUUUCAGCCAAACAUGCACUUUUCGGUGCAUGAAACCCAAUUCCGGUGUCCGAAAUCCUUGCUGACUCACUUGCUUGUGGCCUCUGUCACAUCACUCACCAACUCACUUUUGGGCUCAUAUUCGGACUCAGAUUCGGGAGCCUGAAACAUGGGCCCGAAUCUUUCGGAUGCAUUCUCAGGCAUCUGAAAAAGGAUCCAAAAGUAUAGUAGCUUUUGGGCUGCCAUAGUAACUUUCAGGCUACUAUAGUAACUUUCGGACACCCAGAACUAGGGCCCAAAACAUCUGAAUCCUCCUAAAACAAAAUUGGGUGUCCCAUUAAGACUUCUACAGUAACCUUUGGGUUGCUACAAUAAUUUUAGGGCACUCAGUUUUGUAUCCAAAAAUCUAGCAGCAGCCUAGAUUGAUCGAAAAUAUGAUUUAUAAGCCUGUUUUCACGUCAAUUUUGCUCCAAACGGAUCCAGGUCACUCCGACAUGUUACUGAGAUGUCAGUCAUCAAUCAUACUGCAACUUUGUAUAUUUGCUAAGGUCCAGUAUAUCACUGGGUUAGUCCUAUUAUAUCUCAUAUAUAGAACUAUUCCAAAUCCUAGAGGUUCUUUUUCUUCUUCUUAUUCUUGGUGUCCUUGGCGGCGCACUCAUUCUCUCAGGUGCUUCGAGGCCUUUUCCUUCCCGACAGGCAUUCUGUCGAAUACUUUUCGAUUGCCCUGCUCUUGGGUCCCGCCUUGAGGGAGAAAGCUUCCAGAAGAUGAAUCUUGCUGCCUAUCGCCAUCGAAUCCUCUAGAGUGGGAGGGAGCCGACAGCUGAGGAGGAGGAGGAAGAGGGAGUCUUUUCUAAAGCAUGUAGCCGCAAUCGUUGGCCACGGCAUCGACAUGGUGCAGAGAGGACGGCGAUGGUGAUGAUUAUGAUGCUUUGAUGAAGAAAAUAGGUUCAGUGGGAACAAGAGUGGGGAGAGGGGGAGGGAGAUGAAGGUUAGGGAGAGAAGAGUGGGGGUAGCCGAGGUCAUCGUCCUUUCGCUUGAGCACGUGUUUGUUCUUCUUCUUUUUGGUCAUGGCGGCAAUGGUGAUGGUAGGAGAUGGAGUUGGGAGGCUUGAACGCCACUUUAUUGGUGAUAGUGGCUGUGUAAGCUUUAGAAUUGUGGAUGAAGGACGGAGAGAAAGCUUUACUGUUUUUGCUAUUUUCAGUUGUCCUGCUAAGGGAGCAGCUGUGGAAUCACAAAAUGACAAAUAAUAAAAUUAGUUAGAUCCUUACAUUUAAAUUAUUAUACUUACAAACUAUUUAAUAAAUAAAUAAAUAAAUAAAUUUUAUACUAUAAUUAUUUUUUUUAAAAAAAAUUAAAGUGUAUGAGUUAGUAAAUUGAAACAAAUAGGCUAACAUGCACCCAUUGCUGAAGAUAGUUUUGAAUUCUGGUUUGUAUUUGGUUUGGUCUUAAAUACAAUGCCUCUGACUAAGAUGGCCAUUCAAAAUUUUACCAGGAGAUCAAACCAAUAUAAGAUUGUAGGUGAUAAAUUUUAUUUGUCUAUUUAGCAAGGAGCUCCUGUAGUCGUGAAUAACUUACAUAGCUAAUUAGCGUGCCGAGGGUGUCACACACCGCAUCGGCCAACAUGGACAACUACUCCUGCCACUUCCAGACCUUAUAGGAUCCGGAGGACGCGGAAGUCUCCAUCGGCCAUCUCGGUAGCUGUGAAGCAUAUUGUUGGUCUCUCACAGGAAGACAUUGCUAUCUGUAACGACAACAUUAGUUCAACAACAACCUAAUUCAAGCACUACUCAACAUCAAAAUAAAGUAAACACCAAUCAUGCAAAAAUAGGUAAAGCAUGCUUUCUCUAUUUCUUGAUGUCACGUUAUCGGUCGCGAACUUGACUAUCCAAGGAAAUGAAAAAUGCAACCACUUUGAUCGAAUUCCAAUCCAUAUCGGAGACAUCAAAAAGACCCAAUCACAUUACUUACGCUAUUAGACAUAAAACCCCCUUCAUUUACGAUCCUAGUCCUUGAGGUCCAAUUCCAGUCUAGGGUUUGCUAGCUCGCCCCUAAGAUUCAAUCUAGGCUUUGAUACCACCCUAAUCUAUCACACCCUAGGCUCAAAAGGAAGCACCCCCGAUAGCGUGCCUAGAUCUGCAGUGUGCAUAAGAUUCCCCAACACACACAAAGCGACAAACAACAACAAAUCAACGCAUAGGAACAAUAAGAGUUUCAUACGGGUUGGAGUAUCAAAGUAUAAAACUACUAUUCUAAUUGCAACAACAAAUCUCAAAUGAACUACUACAAGUUAAUUAGUUCCAUAUUACAACAUUUUCAAAAUAUUAUGGUUCUACAAAAGGUUCCACCCCUAGACACACCAAAAAGAAGAAUGGAGAGCUAACUACUAUGCGACUCCUUUGCCUUGAUCAUCCAUGGAGGAUGAGAGAAGCUCUGAAGAAAAAUAAAAUAACAUGAGAGCGUGAGGAUUAUAUAAAAUAGUUUUUCAGUAGGUACAAUUGCCAUAAAGAGCGUUUUGGUCACUAGGUCUAUUAGAGUCAUAAUAAUAAAACAAGAGAUAAUAGACGUGGAAAAAGAAUAUAUGCUAACAACAAGUAAAGCCUACUAUCAUGCCUCUAUUGUACAAACUAUCAUCUAUAUAUGGAUCAAUUCACAUGAAUAUACACUGACUACUCAACAUCCACCUAACCUGACCAAUAAAGGUCCAUUCAAGCUUGCACUUUGCGUAGUGGGAUGUCAAACAAUCGCAUAAGAACCCAUGUCGGUGCUCAACAGCUAGUGUGAGUCAAACAAUUCACAUGAUUUUACUAUCAAAUUUCAGUAACUAGAGUCUAGACUAUAGAUAUUGAUCUUAAUUCAAACUCAAAUCCAAGGCUAGAGCAUUAUUGUUAAUGAUUGGAAGCUCUAAGCAACUCCUCUUUCAAAUAUCUUGCUUCCCACAUAGCACAAGAUGCUUUUAGUCUCAUGGAGAAGGGAGAAUAAAGAAGAAGAUGAUGAGAAUGGAAGCAAUUGGAGAAAAAAUGAGAAAGAAGAAGAAAUGGUGAUGAACUCACCUUCCUCUCUUCGUGGCGUUCACAGUGAAGAAGAAGGAAAAGAGAGUACUUAUAGUGUUACAAAAUGCUCUAAAGCGCUCAAACCAUUGAAAAUUGCAACUUGUGCAAUUCCAGAUUUUGCAGCAUUGAGUACCAGUACUCGCACAUCAAUAUUGGUUUGCCACCAUUAUGUUCCGCCCUUGUUUGCUUCUUGGUGCGUCCAUCUCUCCAUACUUCUUUCCUGCCUUCUCCUUGGCUCAAGUCUGACCCACAAGGGUGCUCCUAAUCGGAAUUCAUCUAGAGUCUUUUAUUCAAGGCCAGUUCUGAAGAAUAUGAAUCUUAUACGCAUCGCAAACUUCAGUAUUGGUACUUCAUAUUUCAGUAUCGAUAAACCCUAAAGUUCCAUAUCCUCAGUAUUGAUACUCUUGGCCAAAACUGUAGUUUAUAGGUUUCAGUUUUUUGAGUCCAUUUUCAUGUUGUUUUUGCAUUGAAAAUGCAAAAAUACUCAAACUGAAUCAGAAUCAUCUAAAUCAUAUUAAAUACUAUUUUCUCAACGGAACUUUGCUGUUUGCAAAACUUCGGUGCACUAUAAGUAAUAGUUUUUUUCUAUCACAUUUAUUUAUUUCUUGGAAUGUGUCGGGUUUUUUCCUAUGCUGCAUUAAUUAUGCCACCAUAGAUUGCACUCUCCAAAUUUUUAUUGCACAAUUUAAUACGAUAUUGCACAAUUUUUUUUGGAAAAUCAAUUAUUUUAUGUUGCAUCAUCUAUAAACUCUCAUGAAACCUCAUGUUUUUUGUCCACGUGGCGGCAUAUGGCAAUGUUUUUUUCUCAACCCCAUCUCAUUUAAGUUCCCAAUUAAUCGGUUCAAAGUAUCGAUUCAUCUUCCAAACGGUUUGAUUAAUCUCAUUCCAUCUUCAACCCUUCAUCUUCCAAACGGUUCGAUUAAUCCCAUUCCAUCUUCAACUUUUCAUCUUCCAAACGGUUCAAUUAAUGUCAUUCCAUCUUCAACCGCCGCCAAGAUGCCGCUCCGACUCUUCUUCAACCCUUCAUCUUCCAAACCGUUCAAUUAAUCUCAUUCCAUCUUCAACACAAAUAAAUUAUUUGCUGCCCCCUAGAUGCUGCUCCGCCUCUUCAACACAAAUAGAUCGUAAACAGAUCGUAAAAGAAAUGCACGGGGGAUCAACAAAGAAUGCACCAAAAAAUUUACCCACAUUGGUCCCUUUCGCCGAUCCGGCGAUCCGAGGUGCGCCCCUCCCCACAUUGCACUGGUUAGUGAUGUUCCCGAGCGCGACCCUCUUCUUGGCCUGCUCCGCCGCGGGCGCGGCCACCUUGGUGGCGUUCUCCGCCGCUACAGGCCUCUUCGCAAGCGACGACGAGGACGAACCCGGCCCGGGCAACGGAGUCGAUCCCCGGUUCGAGCUCGCCAUCGAGGUGAAACGACCCUAACCCUAACCGUAACCCUCGAGCCGUAGGCCGGCCGGGUUCAUUGUCGAUCCAUUCUUCCCGUUGCGCUGUUUUCUUUAGCGACGCUUCGUUCCUGCUAUUGAUCGCCCUCCGUUCGUAAAAUUGGUUCGGAUUCAUUCUCCAUGCUCCCGUAGAUUCAUUGAAUAUCUGUAUUUGUUGAAUCCGAAGAUUCAUUUUACGUUGAAUGCAAUUAUUGUUGUUGCCUAUAUAAUAUGCCUUCAUCAAAUUUUAAUUUGUAGCAAAAAAAUUUUAUUUUUCUGUCAUUUUUACCUUUUAUUUUUUUUUUUACCUUUCAUUUUCGUUUGAAUAUCAAUUUGGUUGCUUAUUGUUUAUUUUAAAAAAUACUGAAUAAUUUUAUUUUGUCUCAGAAAAUUGACUGUCUGUGUACAGUUGAUCUACGGUCGAUUGCCUCAGAAGUUGUAAAUUCUUUGAAUUAAUUUUUGUGUAUAAACAAUUUUUUUUGCCUUCCAAUUUGUUGAUGUGGAUAAUUUAGUAUUUUUUUCUGUUCCUGAUUGCCUCAGAUUUAAUUUUAUGUAUAUAUGUGCUAUUUAUUUUACCUUCCAAUUUAUUAUUGUGAAUAAUUUAGAAAUUUAUUUUUUAGUAAUUUAUUUUCUCCGUUCCUGAUUGCCUCAGAUUUAAUUUGUAUGUAUAUAUAAACUUUUUUUUUUCCUUCUAAUUUGUUACUGUGAAUAAUUUAGAAAUUUAUUUUUUUCCCGAAACUGAUCGUAAUGCUAUUAUAGAUGACAUAAUCUAAUUUGGUUGGUAAUUUACAAAUAUUUUUGCAAUAAUUAUUCAAGAAUUUUUUGUGAGAUGCUAAUCUUAAUGCUUAUAUAUAUAUAUAUAUAUAGAGUAUGGCUAGAAUACUGUUACAGGAUCACCUAAGUGAUACUUGUGUGAUUUUAGAAUGGAUGGGAGAGAUGGGAAGGUUUGAGAUGAUGGGGUAGUUGGUGGUAGUGGUGGUAGGUGGAAUAGUAUUUGAUCCAAGGGCUCAUUUGUAAUCAAAAAGUAGCAUCAAUGCUAAAAAGUGAUAGCAAUUGGGGAUGAUACUUGAUAAAGUAUCACUAAAUCAACUCUAGUAUAUAUAUAUAUAUAUAUAUAUAUAUAAGCAUUAUAUAUAUAUGAAACAAAAAAAAUUAUAUAUGUUUUUAGUUUGUUUAGAAUACUAAUUCUAAACAUCAAUCCAUUGUUUAAGGUAUUACACAGUAAAAAAAUAAUAAGACGAUUUCUUUUAUUAUGUUUUGGUAAGUUGUAAUUUCAUUAUAAAAGUCUCUAAUAUAUUUUUUUUAUUGUUAUAUCUAAUCAAUAUAGUUAUAUUUUUUGUUUCUUCUUUACGUUUAUAUUUAUUUACUAAAAUAUUUCUACCCGUCGCAUCGCGCGGGUCACUACACUAGUUUAUACAUUGUUGCACUAUUUCUCAAAAUCAUAAAGUGCAACUUUUCCUUCAAUUGGACAAUAUUAAAUAAGGGAUAAUAUAUCUAACAUAACUGUGAGUGUUAAAAAUUUAAAAGCAUUUGCGUUAGACGAGGGGAUUAUAUGUUGAAAAACAGAGAUUAAAGAUUCUAUACUCCUUAGAAAUCAUAAAGAUUUCUAAUUAAUUACGCCUAGACAACCUCCGAUUAAGCUGGUCAAUUAUGAUAAUUAACAAAACAGAAUGCAUUUCUUUUAUUACUCUUGUACAUCGGUGUACAAAAUUAAUACAACUGAAAAUGAGGAAAAGCGACAAUUAUCAUUUCUCUACUUCUCUCCUCUUCAAGGUAUUUCUCUAAAACAAUGUCGGCCAUGCAUCAUGCAUAAGCUUUCUUUGGUAUUUCAUCGAGCAUUUGACACGCACACAAGUAAUGUGCAAAUUGCCUUUGACAUUUCAUCGAAUACUUGGCACGCGUACAUGAACAAUGCAGCAUGCUCAAGUUUUCUUUGACAUUCUGUGAUAUGCACACCAUUUUUGGCAUUUCAUCGAACGUUUAGUACGCGUACAUGAACAACGCGCUAUGCACAAAUUCUUUUUGGCAUUUUGUCUAACACUUGGUGUGUGCACAUAAAUUAUCCAUCAUGCACAACUUGUUUUUGACAAAAGCCAAUUCAAAAUAGCGGCAAUCAAUAAUUUGAUUGGAGCUUUCCAUCGACGGCUAAGCGUCGAACGGAUAGUCGUCGUCGUUGUUGUCGUCUACUGCUGACGGUUAAGCGUCAAGCGGAUGAUCAUCGUCGUCGUUGUCGCUAUUGUCGCCUACCACCGACGGCUGAGCGUCAAACGGAUCGUCGUCGUCGUUGUUGUCGCCUACUGCCGACGGCUAAGCGUCGAUCGGAUCGUCCAUCAUCAUUGUUGUCGCUAUUGUCUCCUACCGCCGACGGCUGAGCGUCGAGCGGAUCGUCGUCGUCGUUGUUGUCGCCUACCGCCGACGGCUGAGCGUCGAGCGGAUCGUCGUCGUCGUUGUUGUCGCCUACCGCCGACGGCUCAGGGUCGAGCGGAUCGUCGUCGUCGUUGUUGUCGCCUGCCGCCGACGGCUAAGCGUUGAGCGGAUCAUCGUCGUCGUUGUUGUCGCCUACCGCCGACGGUUGAGCGUCAAGCAGAUGAUCAUCGUCGUCGUCGUUGUUGUCGCCUACCGCCGGCGGCUAAGCGUCGAGCGGAUCGUCGUCGUCGUUGUUGUCGCCUACUGCCGACGGCUGAGCUUCAAGCCGAUGAUCAUCGUUGUCGUUGUCGUUGCCACCUUUACCGUCGACGGCGAAGCGUCAAGUGGAUCGUCAUCGUCGUUGUUGUCGCCUACCGCUGACGGCUAAGCAUCAAGUGGAUCGUCGUCGUCGUUGUUGUCAGCGCAGCAACAGCAGGCAGAUGGCCACCUCCUUGGUCGAUGAUGACGCCACACUAGCAAAAAGGAACGUGCACCAAUCCGGGAUCAACGAUGACGGGGCAACGGCUGUCAGCAAAGGUGUCGGAAUGGCUACGAGCGACCGUCUUUUCUUGGUUGACGAUGACUCGGCGUAGUAGAGGUUGAUGACGGCACGUAUAGCCCGGUGUGCAUAGAAAGUUCGAUGUAUGGAGUGCCUUGACUAGGAGAGAAGAGAAAAAAAAAAAAAAAGUGAGAGGAUCUAAACCCACCUUUCUAUUUGGCUUUUUUUUUUUAAUCCAAGUUUCUUUCCUCCUUUUUUUUUGUGAGUCGAAUCCUCCCCCUCUUUUUUUUGUUCGCUUUCCUUUAUAUAGAUAGAGGGUGGUGGAGGUUUAUGGUGAAGAGAAGUAAAUGGUAGAGAAAUGGAGGGAGUGAUGGAGAAGUGGAGGAAAUGGAGGGAAAGUGGAAGGAGUAAUGGAGAAGUGGAGGGAAUGGUGAGAAAGUGGAGGGAAUGGUGGAGAAAGUGGUGGGAAUGGUGAGAAAGUGGAGGGAAUGGUGGAGAAAGUGGUAGAAAUGGAGGGUAUGGUAGGAGAGAGUGGAGGAGUGAAUUUAAGGAAGUGAUUAUUAUUAUUAUUUUUUUUUAACAAUAACCUUCAAAACUUUAAAAAUAUCUAAUAUAUCACUGGUUAACCAAAAAGAGUUUGUUCAUUUCCAAAAAUUACUUCAAAUAUCCCCAAAAUCUUAGGGUUUUCUAAUCGGGUUUAGGGUUUAGAAGGACAAUUUGGAAAUAGGAGGUAAAUUUGAAAAUUUUGAAUAGUUGUUAGGGUUAUAUAACCAAAAGCCCCUUUUAUCAAAUUGUUUAUUUUGUUUUCAAAUUGCGCACUAUUUAUAGCUUUUAUGUUCACUAGAAAGGCCGAAAAAGAGGAAAGAAGAAGAAAGAAAUUAAUGGUGCAACACAAAUAUAAAUAUACUAAGGAACGAGUAAGAAGAAUACAAAAAAGAAAGAUAACAAGAAGAAGAAGAAGAAGAAGGAGGAAAAAAAAUGCAACAAAAACAACAAGUAGAAGAAGGAGAGUGAUUACACUAAUUAGCCCUCGUGGUGCACUAUUUAACCAAAAUAUUGCAUCAUGAGAAUAUUUAUUGCGAGUUCGGCUAUGGUGCUUUUAAAAGCACCAAGCAUUUGGUGCCUGCAAGUUUUUCACCAUUAGAUCUAUCCCUUUGACCAAUUUUAAUUCUUAGAUCAUAUUAUUCCACCAACUACCCACUCAACCCAAAGGGCCUAUUUAUUGCACUAUUUAGAAAGAUAAUAUACUAUUUUUGGCUAAAUUAUAGAAAACUCUUUGUUAAAAUCUCUUUUUUUGUUUUCUCCCUUGUCAUUUAAGAACAUACAUUUUGCUUUUUUAAAAAAUAAAAAAUGUUCAUAGAGGGUACGGUAUUAUAACUAUAUUGACAAAAAUGACCAAAAUGUCCUCUCCAUACUUGUCUCCUUCCCAACCCUCCUUCAUCUGUGGUCUCUCCACUUCCGUCCUUUGUGACUCCCACGACCCCAACUCGCUCUCCUCUGCUGCCUCACCCUCGCUCUCCUUCAUUUGGUGACGGUGGGAAGAGGUUGGGGUGGGCGCGGAUAGAGAGUGGGCGAGGGUGAGACGGUGAAGGAUGCGAGUGUAUGGGUGUGGGCGUGAACGAAGGGAUGAGCGAGGUGAGGCGGCACGGCCGACGACGUCGUCGGUGAGGGGAGGGACGCGGCGCUGCUGAGAAGUGGUAGAAGGGUAUAUUGGGUAUAAAAAAAAAUAUAAUAUUAGGAUAUAGACGAAACACUAACGGCGGGAUCCGAAGCGAAUAUUUUUUAUUUUUUAAAAGGGCAAAGUGUAGGUUUUUAAAUGACAGGGAGCAAAAGUAAAAAAAAAAAUUUUGUCGAAGGAAUUUUCUAUAAUUUAGCUUCUCUCUUUUUUUUUUUUUUUUUUUUUUUUUUUUUUUUUUAAUGUUUGUCCAAUUUUUAAGCCGGUCAGUUUUUGAAAUGAUCUCAAACAAGAAACGAUGAGGCACGCUCAUAGAAAUGCGUAGUUCUGUAGGUCCCGUUAAAAAAUGGUACCAUACGCGAGACAUCGGAAUAUACAAAUAGACGGUGCAAUCUUCUCACAUAUAAUUUUAUACAUAUUCUUGGUGUAAGAGGUAUUUUGGUCAAAUUUUUGAAAAUUUAGAUUGAUUCAUGUAUAUAAAAUUGCAAAAUUAGCAAUUUUUUAAUUAAAAAAAUAGUAUAUAAAUAACUGUGGAGAGACGUCUGUGAUAGGGGUGGAAACGAGCCGAACACGAGCUGGCUCGUUAAAGUAUCGAGCCGAAAAAUUCAGCUCGUGUUCGACUCGUUUAUUAACGAGUUGAACAUGAGUUGGCUCACGAGCUGACCAACGAACAAUAAAUUACAAAAGAUUAGAUUAAAUAUAUAUAUAAAAUAAAUUUAUAAAAUUUUAUUCAUUAGACUUUGAUCUAAUAGUUGAAAUUUUACAAAUAAAUGUGUCUUUUUAUAAUUAAGCUUGUAUUUAUAUUUUUAUUUUACUAAAAAUUAAAUAAUAAAAAUAUAUAUUAUAUAUAAUUAUUUAUUUAUAUAUAAAAAUAUAAAUUAAAUAAAUUAUAUAAAUAUAAAAUAUAUGUAUUCGAGCGGUUAUCGAGCCGAGCACGAGCGAGGUGACCCAGCUCGUGUUCAGCUCGUGUUUGACUCCUUUACUAAACGAGUCCCGAACUCAUUUCGAGCUGAACACAAAUCGGCUCGGGAACACCGAGCUGGAUUGCGGCUCCUAGUAUGUGAUAUUUUGUUAAGGUUUUGGGAGGGACGUCUGACGAUGCCCUCGAAGAAAAUAACUAUCGGCUGACGGCACAAUGGCCUGACGGCCGCGCUCCGUGCUCACCUUCAAAGCCGCCAGCGGUCUCCGAAGAUACCAUCUGCCAUUUUAUCGGCGGCCUUGUCCUGCCAAAUUUCGACAUUGCAUCUCCGCUGCCGCAUUUGCUCUGUUCUCCCCCUUCUUUGAGAAGGUACGGCAUUUUUUCUGAUUUUUUGGGGAGAAUUUUGCUCAGAAGCGAAAUUAAUUUGUUCCUGUUCUGUUAGUUAAAUUCAGCGUGCCCAAAUUUGUUCGUAACAGGUUGAGGAAAUUUGAAUCAUGCAGAUGAUUUGCUGAUGCAAACAUCUUUGCUUCCUAUCAGAUUGUUAGCAGCAAGGAUUGAAGUAUCCAUCGGCACAGAGCACGAUGCAGUUUCAGCGCUGAUGACACAGUUUAAAACUUAUUUUUUCUUUAAAUUAGUAAGUAAUAAUUUUCUCAAAAAAGUUCAAAAGGUUUGAUAAAGAUACAUAAUAAGCGAUUAGAAUAUUUUGUUAUUAAAAAAAAUAAAUAUUUUAUGCAAUUAUGCGUGGCACGCAUAUAUUUUUUGUGAGUGACCGGCAUGCAGAGGCACAGCUUGACACGCAUCGUGCCGUACUGUGUCAGUAAAUUUUCGGCACGAUCCCGUGUCACGACACUUAAAUCUUUAGUUUAGCGGAUAUCAAAGAGGAAUUAAUGAAAGUGGGUUUUGUUGCUUGUUAUUCAUUAUAACUUUUCAACUUAGUAUAUGCAAAGAAUAAUAUAUCAUUCACUAUAAUAGCAAUUUAAGAUUUUUUUUUUCUUUUUCAAAUAUAAUUUAAAUUACUGUUAAAAAUCAAUAUUUCUUCAUAUGGAUCCAUCAACCAGUGACUCUUAAGGGCAAUUUGGUUCAUGAUUGAAAUGGGAAUGGAAAAUGGAAUCAGAUUGCACUGGAAUGGGAAAUGGAAUGUUGAAUCAUCCAAAUAUGUUUGGUUCAUUAUUGGAAUGAAAAUUGAAAUGAACAUUUAGGAUUUUGAGAGAGUGUUUUGGUUACAAGACAGGAGAGUGAUGAAGGGAGAGGAGGGGAAGGUGUUUGUUUGAGAAGGUUUUGAGCAGUUUACUUUCGAAUGGUUCAAUCCGCGAUUCAAAACCGGAUUGGGCCAUAAAUGGAUUAGGCCAUUCCUAUUCCAGAGUAGAAUAGGAAUUGGAAUCCAAUUCCUGUAAACCAAACAAUAACUAUCGGAAUCAAUGAAUUCCAUUCCGAUUCCAUAGUCUAAACUGCGUGAACCAAACAAGCCCCAACUGUCUCCCUAGUCAUCUCUGGUAAAGUUAUUUCUUUCUGAAAAUAUAUGGAGUGUGUGGGAGAUACUAGGCUUUCUGUAUAGCUAGUAUCAAUGAUAUUCCUGGAUCAUUGCUUGCAGAGAAACAAUUUUGUCCCUAGGACAAUGCAAUUUGUGUGCCUCCGACUUAGGGUUUAUCGCUACAACUUUUUCUUUCGCUACUUUAUAACUUCAACUUUAUUCUUGGCUGUCAUAUGUUAAUUUUAUACUAAUAAGGAAAUUAACCCUAAUUUCAUUGUAGUCCAUCGAAAAUUCUUUGAAUUUGCCAGUAAAUUUAUAAUCAAACGAUUUAGCAUAGAACUCAAAUUCUAUUUUAGAUGCAGACUAAGCUUGGUGAUAGACAAGACCCGUGAUUUGUCAAUUGAUUGGCUCUCUAUAAAGAACACUAUUUGUUGUUCAAGGUACCUUAUUUGUGCCUUUCUUGAUGUAUGGUAGAUUGAUUCACCUUUAAUAUUCAAUAAAUGCAACUGAGUCAGAAGAGAAUGUUUUCCUAUAGUAUUUCUGAUGCUAAAUAGUAAGUUAAUUCUCUAUUUACUUUCGAUUUUAUUUUUAUUGCCAUUUGUUUAUUCUUAUUCAGAAAUCAUAGGUAAAUGAAAAGUGAAAAUAUUAUAUGAAAACUUAUGUUGUGGAUGAUGUAGCAUUGGACGAUUAGUCCAUUCUGAUAAAAUUUUACCACUGUCUGUAGAGUAAUAGGAAGUUUCAUCUCAAUAAAUUGAGCAUGAUUCUUUAGCCAUCUCAAAUUCCAUAUGGGAGCGGCAAAUAUGAUUUUUGUAGUUUUUCUUGUCGACAGCACUAGUUCUCUCUUAUAUAUUGGACGUUAGUAAUCAACAAGGAUUUUACUGCCGUGUGUCACGCCCCUACGCAGAUAUAACAAGCCGAUGAGAGCAAGUUGCAUCGAUCAAUGAACGAAAAAGGGUAGUAACAACAAGGUAUUAGUAGAAGAAACUGCAUGUGAGCAUGUAAAAGAAACAACAGUCUUGCACUAUAGCAUGAUAGUAGACUAUGUCUGAUGAACUGCAACCAAUGUAUGACUAAGCAUCAACCACAUCUUGACCCAAUCUACGAUGUAAUUUUUCAGUCCUAGGGAGGCCAUAACUUUUCAGUUCCCGACUGCUUAUUCUCUGGCAAAGCCUUAACUUCUCAGUCUCUGACAAGGUCCUAACAUUUUAGUCCCAAGUUACUAUUCCGGAAGAACUCAUCCUAUUACGAGGUUGAUCGGAUCACCGUGGUGGUGACAUGGGAGCAAAGCAUCAUGUCAUUAUGCUCUAUGAUCAACAAUAUCGGUAGCAGUAGGGGAUGUCCAACAUCUUAACUACAACAACAACAGCAACAACGGUAGCCGCUUUGGCUAAUACAUGAAUCACUGUACUAACCCAUAGUGUCAUCAUGAAUGUGUGCAGGUUUAGCUAGCAUGCUUUCAAUGACAAGUAAGGCUACAACAUAGAUAUGCGGGUGAGUAUGCUAUAAGCAAAUAAAUAGGUAUAUCAUGACAGUAAACAGGGAAGUGAAGCAAAAAUACAAUAAACAAGUAUUCAUGUCCUCCUCAACCAAAAUAUAAUGCCAAACUACUACAUGGAUGCCAUGAACCAACAAUAGCGAGAGAAGUGUUGAGAGAAUAGAGCCAAUUCACCAGGGUUUCUCUAAACUUCUGAUUGAGCACUCACCUAGUUUAGUUUGCUUGGCGACUAGGAUGCGUUUCUAGCUCCUUGAUUGUUGCUCGGACCUAAAGAGGAGAUAAACACAUCAUACAACGCACUAGGGUUCCACUUGCAACCAAGAAACCAUGAAGGAACUCAAAUUUGGUAAGGUUCUGGAACUUGAGGUUGAGGUUUCAGAACCAACACUGGGUUCCGGAAUCUAUUGCCAAGUUCCACAGAACACGAGCCUGCUUCCAGCCUUCCACUGUCCUUGUCCAUUGAACUAGUUUAAUUGUUUUAAGUUUCCGUUUUUAUUUUUUUUCAGUGCACGUAAUUUUCCUGUGAAAAUUGCAAUGAGACUAAUUAAUCUUCUUCCUCGACAGAAGCAAGGAUGAUUGAAAGUGAAAGCAGUAGUUCUGAUUCUGCGGACCUGGAGGAACCUGCCAGUUCCAUGACUAGGGAAUUAAACAAUUACCAGUUGCUACGAGUUACCCAUGAGAAAGGAACAAAAUUAUGCUUGAUCAGUAAAGUCCCACAACACAUCUAUGAGUUCAAUUCAAAUGCUUUCAAGCCAAUCGUAAUGGCCAUCGGUCCUUACCACCACGGGACUCGAGAACUUCUAACUAUGGAGAAGGUUAAGUGGAACUGUCUGAGUUAUGUCCUCGGAUUGAAUCGUGAAAGAGAUUUAGAGAACUACGUUACGGCAGUUGAGGAACUCGCGUUACAAGUAAGAAACUGUUACUCUGGGGAAAUUACCAUAGAAAAUAACAAGUUUGUACAAAUGCUCUUGCUCGACGGAUGCUUCAUACUCGUGGCUCUUUGUGCGACUGACGGAAUUGCAGCAUCCUUACCAGAAGUAUAUGAUGGGAAUGCUGAUUGUCAGGAAAUAACAGCCGAAUAUGGAAUAGGACGAGACGGUGAGCCGAGGAGCAUGAAGAACAAGAUUGUAAUGAGUGACUCCACCACGGAGAAAUCAAUGCUUGAGGUGGAACCAAGCCGGGUGGAUAGUCAAUACAGAAUCAGGAACUGUGGAAUUGACAUUGAGUAUGGCCAAAAUUAUAGUUCUGAUCAGAUGGGACUCUGGUACACAAAUUUUCUCGCACACGACCUGCUCCUGCUUGAGAACCAAAUACCUUUUAUUCUUGUAAAGAGAAUUUAUGAGCUAGUUUUAGGUAACAACGUGGUGAUUCCCUCACUUACGGAUAAAAUUGCCGGAUUCAUAGAAGACAUUCUUAUUCACUACCCAAAAUCCAUUCUAGAAUCAGACAGGCCGAAAGAUUUUAACCAUCUGCUCCACUUGUGCCAUAUGUAUUUCAAGCCUUGUCGGGGGACGGAGGGCGACAGUCAUCAACAUCAGGCAAAGCCUCGAUUCUUUCACCGUUUUCUUCAUUUAGAUCACAAAUAUUUUGAAGUCGAUUGCUUACCAGCUGGUCAGCUAAGACGUUGGCGACGGGCAGUGCAUUACCAUGAAGCAGGAGUUGUAUUUACGAGAAAAGAGCUCGACAAAGAGCAUCCCCAUUCGCUUUUGGAUAUAAGAUUCAGUAAUGGUGUGGUGGAAAUUCCGUGUUUGCUUAUUGAUGAGAACACUGAUUCUCUUUUCAGGAAUCUAAUCGCAUUUGAGCAAACAUGUCCUCAAUUUGGGAACAACUUCACUGCAUAUAUUUUUUUCAUGUCUCAGCUCAUCAGCAUGCCAGCUGAUGCCACUCUACUUGUUCAGAGAGGAAUAGUUGUGCACCAAUUGCAUAGGGACGAAGAUGUGUCGACUCUUUUCACAAAGCUCAAUAAAGAUGUUGUGUUCGAUUUCAAUGGUGACUAUUACCUAAAGUUGAUGUCUAGCGCGUUGGAAGCGCACUACCAAAGUCGUCUGAAUCGGUGGGUGGCGUGGUUGCGGAACAACCACUGCAGCAAUCCAUGGUUGGGCUUAGGAGUUCUUGCGGCGACUGUCGUGCUUUUCUGCACUCUAGUGCAGACGCUGAUUGCCGUCUUGUCCUACAUAAACCCGCCAUGAUCACGUCAGCAGAACGCUCGACCAACAGCUCAAAUUCAUAUGCCGGUCUGCCGUAAAAAUGGCCGACUGCUUUGAAGCUGUCCCUAUGUCGGUUUUUGCCCGUUUUCACAGAGGUAUAUUUGGUCCUCCAUGCAUUUCCUUUUAACUGUAUAUUUUUGCCUUUGGAUUGUCUGAUGCAGUAUUAAUUAUGCAUACCUGUCUUUCUUGUAUGACGUUGUAGGUAUUUCAUAAAAAUGCACAGAUCUUAUCCGAAGCGAGGAUUUAAGUGCGCAUUGGCACGGGCCGUAUCCAUUGUGCCAUAUCAUACCAGCAAGAUAUUGGCAGGAUACAGUCUCAGUGCUGAUGAUAUAGCUCAAAAUUCUCUUUUCGGUACGACCCUGUGCCACGACAAUGAAAUCCUUGAUGUGAAACAUACUGCAUAUUGAAAUAAAUAUCUGCACUUUAAAAUUUUUUAUUGUACAAACAAACCUUAAUAGUGUUUUUGAAGUUGGUACCUAUUUUACUACCUAAUCUUAUCGCUAUCUGUAGUAUUCGAUAAAUUAUUCUAUAAGUAACAGGAUAUUGUGUUACCUGACGAAAUAUAUAUUUUUAUAAUGUUUACACAUACUCUAUGGUGAGAUUAGGUAAUAAAGUAAAAAUUCCUCAAAAGUUUAGGUAUCAAUUUCAAAAGCUUUGAAAUUAUUUCGUUUGUCGGGUUUAAGAUUCGUAAAUAUGUAUAUCACAUUUGAUGUCAAUCAGUUGACUGUUGAUGCAAAGAAACAAUCGAGACCGUUGAAAUGUAGAGUAAAUGUUCAUAAUACUAACUCUUUUUUUUUUUUUUUUCCUAGGGCUCAUGGGUCACUGUGUUCAAGUCAUAUCCUGUUUUAUGUCUCAGCAGAAGCAAUUGGGAUCGCCACAAUGUGGAACAAAAUGAUUAUGAUCUAAGUUUCUCUAUAAUCGAUGAGUCGCUGUGUUUGAGUCAUUUACUUUGUGUUAUGUCUAAUGUAUUACAUACGUGGCUAUAAUUCUCGUAUGUCUGUGUCGGACUCAUGUCCGACGUGGAUGCACCAUGAACGCUUAUUCGAGGUGGGUGCGUCCAUGGUGCAUCCCCCCAAAAAAUAUUUUAUUUUAAUUUUUUUUCUAUGCAUAUAUAAUGUGAGAAUAUAAAUAUUUUGGCUUUUGAUGAAUGAAUAUAAUGUCUGUUUGAACGAUUAAAUUAUGCAUGGUGGAGAUAUUUUUUUUUGAACUAUAUGAACUAUUAUGAAUAAUAUAACAGUGUAUAGCAAGAUUAAUAUUUUAUAUGUAAUAAGUAUAUGUUAUUGUAUAAAUAAUAUUAUAUUUUGUUAGUAGUGCUCAUAUCUUGUCUGUAUCCUUUUUUUUUUAUUUAAACUUGUCGAAUAGUAAUGUUCGAGUUGUGUCGUGUAUCGUGUUCGUGUCUGCGACACCUAAAUUAUGCCUGUGUAACCUAGCUUUAGAUUUUUUUUUUUGAUUUAAGUUAUUUCCAUAAAUUAAAUUGAGGGUGAUUUUGUAACUUUUUGGGUCGAUGGAGUUGCAGAUAUUGCUUACUAUUAAUGAGUUUUAGUUAAUUAAGCUGUUAAUUUUAAAUAAUUGAUUAUAUUAUAACAUUUGUAACCGAAUAUUUUGUGAAAUUUCAUAUAGAUUUUUAAUUCUCAUAUUUUAGAGUAUGAUGUGUAAGGUAAAUUAAUUACUAAUUACUUUACAGUUUGGUUUGAAAAAUAGUCUGGCUACUAUAUACUCCUUAUGAGUAUAAAGUUUUUUGUACUCAUAAAUUUUCGAUCGUUAGAUUUAUCUCUUUGACUAUUCUCAUCCCUUUGAUCAUAUUAUUCGACCAACUACCUACUAAAUCUUAGGGGAUCACUAUCAUCCUAAUCGGAGACUACUAUCAUUCUAGCCACAUCUCUUCAUCCAAUGACCGAAAACUUUACAAAGGAUUUUAUACUCAUAAUGCAACAUCAGUAGUAAUCUCAUUUAUAAAUCCAAGUUAGCUGGAUGUAUCAAAAUAACAUACAAUGUUACAUAACGCGACCCAAACGGGCCCUAUGAGUAUAGAACUCUUUGUACUAUAAAAUUUUUGGUUGUUAGAUCUAUCCAUUUGACCAUUUUCAUCCAUUAGAUCAUACUAUUCGACCAACCACCUACUCAACCUUAGGAAAUCACUAUCAUCCUAACCACACAUCUUUUCAUCCAACGAUCAAAAACUUAUGAGUACAAAGAACCCUAUACUCAUAAGAAUUGUGACGCCCUAACUUCCGAGGGGGUUACCCAUCCGAGGACUAUUCCCGUCCUAGCAUGCUUAGCUCUCUUAACCUCUUGGGCCCAGCCAUCACCCAAAAUGCUUAAGCUGGGUUAAGAGUUUAGUCCAAUUAUAUCAUAUAUAUAUAUAUAGGACUAACUGGGGUCUCACAAUCUCCUCAUCUUUAAGCCUUGACGUGUUAGUUAGGCUCAGAUUCAUAAGUACCAAGCGAUGUGAGACUCUUUUUUCUAGCCAUAACCGACUUCGUGGGUGGGCACGCUUCACCCACAAUAGUCAACAGCAUGAGAGCCUCGCUUUUCCCGCUAUAUAAUUCUCGCUCAGCCAAGACUCAUCUCACACUUCAAGCUGGUAAUUAGCUCUUAUACCAACUGUGACGCCUUAACUUCCCAGAGGGUCACCCAUGACCCCCAAGGACUACUCCCAUCCUAAUAUGCUUAACUCUCUUAACCUCUUAGGUUUAGCCACCACCCAAAAUGCUUAAGUCGGAUUAAGAGUUUUAAGCGUGCUAGGAUGGGAGUAGUCCUUGGAUGGGUGACCCUUUGGGAAGUUAGGGCGUCACAGUUGGUAUCAGAGCCAAGUACCAGAGCCGAAAGUGUGAGAUGAGUCUCAGCUGAGCCGGGAUUAUACAGUGGGGAGAGCGAGGCUCUCAUAUUGUUGACUGUUGUGGGUGGAGCGCGGUUACCCUAUAAAGUCGGUUAUGGCUAGCGACACGAGUCUUACAUUGCCUGGUACUUGUGAGUCUGAACUUGACGAGGACGUCAGGACUUAAAGGGGGGGAGAUUGUGAGACCCCAGGUAGGCCACCUUAUUUUUUCUUCCUCUCAAAAGAGUCAUUUCUUAUACACUCCCGCACACACACACACACAUGUGAGACAAAGGAGAGGGUUCUCUAUUUCUCUCUAACUCACAUCUCUCUCUUCUUCUCUUGUAAUCUCUCCACCAAAGGAUAAAUUGGAGGAGAUUAAGCUUGAAAGAAGCUUGAAAGAGAGGAUCAAGCUCAAGGAGCUUGGUGAACUUGGAAGCCAUGGUGAGCUUUGGUGAUUUGAGUUAUGGUUUGGGUUAAAUCCUUUAAAAUUGAUGUAUUCAGAAUCUCUAGAUUAUUCUAAACUAGUUUGAUUAAGGGAUUAUCAAGAUUGAUGAGGUUUUCUUGUAAAAUUUGAAACCCUAGGAUAAGACAAAUGUAGUACCCUUAUACUUAUAUAUAUAUAUAUGUAUAUAUUGUAUGGAUGCCAUGUUGCCUUUGCAUGCAUGGCAUGCUUAUCCAUUUCCUUAAUUAAGAGAUGCACCCGCACCUCCUUAAUUAAUUUUUCCUUCCUCUCUUUUCUCUGGAGCCGUACGCAAGGACGAGGAGAACCCGGUUGAAGCUUGGAGCAACGUCGACGUCGCGUCGCGGAGCCGUUCGAGCGCGCGCGUGUUACCGUAGCAUCGCGAGGAGGCCGGGCGAGGGUGCGAUUCCGUCGUUCUCGACGUCUCGCCGUUGUCGGACGCGCUUUCGAGGUGGGUUUAUCAUCGGAUUUCUACUCCUAUAGCCUUGUUAGUCAACAUGUAUAGUUAGGAUAUCUGCGUUGGUACUGUUUAGCUCAGAUUCAUGUUUAUGCAUUGUUCUAGGCCUAUAUAUUGAAUUGGGAGCAUGUUACUGUUUGUUAUUACUUAUACAUGUUGGACUUGGAUAAAACAUAGGAGAAAACCAGUGUUCGGAACCUGUCAUAUGUUAAACUAUCUGAUUUAGCCUUAGGGGCCGUUGUACUUUUAUACUGUUGCAGUAUCCUCAUAGUGAGUAUUCCAGGUAGUUCAGAUUUCAGUUAUGCUCGUGCUGGGAUGCCGAGCCGAUUUUUACAGUAGUGUUUACAGUGUUCCGGACUAGUGGGUGCCGUAGUGGUUGACGGCGGACCCGGAAUUGAUUGUUUCGGUAUCAGAUUGUGCCGAGAGCAUGUGACCAGUGGUUGGUAGUACUGUUAGACCUGUUUUUUGACUUUAGCCUGUGAGAGCCUGAUUGAGCUCGACAGAGAUACGCUUGCAUACUCGGGUGGGUCGCGCCCACGAGUGCCGCUCCGGAGUCUGGCUCUGUGCUUUUGCGUUGAUGUCGCUGAUUAGUUGCUAUCCACGGACUGUUUAGCGUGGAGGUAGCGCGGCUUAGACAGGCGGGACGGGUGCGUACACAGUCCCUAUUGAGAUUGGGUCAGAAUUGAUAAUAAACACAGUUGAAUAGUGUAGUGGCAUGUAGCUGUAAAUUUCUUUCGAGCUUUACUUACCAGUUUCGUUUCCUACUGUAGUCUUAGUGGGUGAGUCGAUGAUUUUGAGGCCGGUACCCACUGAGGACUACUUAUUUUUAUAGUAGUUCUCACGCCUAGUUGUUACUUUGUGUUUUGCAGAGCCUGCUGUUCCGGCUACUGCAUCUUCCGAGGCUGAUCGAGGCAAGGGCGUCGCGAGUUAGAGCCCUACCCGACGAGUUGCUGAGAUAGAGGAUCCACCUCUGCAGGUAGUUCUGGUUUAUUUUGUUAAGUUCAUGUACAUACAGUUGUUAUAACUCGCUGGAGCGAGUACUUUUGUAUAGCGUUUUGUUGUAUGUAUGUGAAACUUGUUUUAUUCUACCUGUUUGGGUUUCUUUACAGCUCUAUACUACUGGUUGUAGUAUUGUAUAUUUUCAGUUACCGAUACGCUUCGUAUACAGGGAAAAUUCUUUGUAUACGGCGGAUUUGUCGACGUGCCCGGAAAAUUGUGUAAUCCGGGGCGUGACAACAAAUGUAAAUGUAAUAUGGAUAUGACGAAUGUUUGUAAUAGUGUAGUAUUAUGUUUAUGAUGCCCUUCUUAUACAAUAUGUAUAUGAAUUCUAUUCCUAAUUGAAUUAUAUUGAUUGUGACGUCUUGGGCGGACAGAAAAAAUUUUGUUUGUUCCGCGAUCUGUCUGCGUGCCCGAACUAACCAAAGUGGCGAUCUCGGGGCGUGACAGAUAAGGUGAUAUCACUAUCUGGGAUCUUACAAUCUCCCUUCCUUUAAGUCCUGAUGUCCUCGUCAGACUCAGACUAACAAGUACCGGGCGAUGUGAGACUCGUCUAGCUAGCCAUAACUGACUUUGUGUGGUAGCCGCGCUCCACCCAUAAUAGUCAACAGUAUGAGAGUCUCGCUAUCUCCACUGUAUAAUCCUGGCUUAGCUGAGACUUAUCUCAUACUUCCGGCUUGUAAUUGACUUGAUACCAACUGUGAUGCCCUAACUUCCCAGAAGGUCACCCAUUCAAGAACUACUCCCGUCCUACCACGCUUAACUCUCUUAACCUCUUGGGUCUAACCACCACCCAAAAUGUUUAAGCUGGGUUAAAAGUUUAGUCAUAUUAUAUUUUAUAUAUAGAACUAUCUGGGUCUCACAAAAGUAUAGUAGUACUAGCCUUGAAAAAUAAUAGAAAAUUUUAUAAAGUGAUUGGAUUGAAAUAUAAAUCAAGGUUUAGUGAUUUAAUUGAAUUAUAUUAAAGUUCUGUGAUCGGAAUAAAAUUUCACCAAAAGAUAAAGCACAAACAAUGUAAUUACGAGUAUUUUAAAAACUAGGUGGAAAAGCAAACCGAAAAUUUUAUUUGGGCAAGGAUCACUAAUUUUAUUUAGGUCAAAUUAGGUAGAUACAAGUUUUUUUUUUCUUCAAAUUUUAUUUCUCAUAAUAGAAAAAAAAUAGCAAAAACCUAUAAUAAGAUAAAAUAAAUAAUUACAUUAACCUAAAAAAAAAAAAAGAAUCCGACCGGUUGCUCAGAAUCGGACUGAUUUAUCGGUUGACUAAUUGAACUGUUUGGUUUGAAUGGUACAAUCUGGGUUUUAAAACAUUAGUAAUUUUUUUCAUGUAAAAUAGUUUACUUGUGUGAAUAUCAUCUAUUACUAUAUAGUAAAGUGCGUGAAAUAUUCUCCUUUUAUUGGCAUGUGUACCGCUUAUAUGCUCGAUAUAUCCGGUGCAUUAUAUGUCUAUAAAAAAUAUUAGUUUAUAUAUAUANNNAUAAAAUUUACGGAUAUAUAAUUUUUUAUAUUUUAAAUGUUUAUAUAUAUAACCAUAAAAUAAAUUUAAUUAAUUAAAUUUUAUUUCACAAUUUUAUUUUUGAUAUUUCUAUCAUACAAAUUUUUUACACUAUUCAAUAGUGAGGAGCUAUUAUUUAUGGACACGUGUCCAUUCCAUGGGUGCACUUGAUGCACCAUGGAUCCAAUAAGAAAAAUAUAAUUUUAUUUUAGUAAAUAUACAUUAAAUUUAGGAAUAUUCACAUAUAAAUAUUUUAAAUAUUAUUAACUAAAUUGAGUUAACUAAUAUUUAAUUUUGACAUCUCUAUUGUACAAAUUUACUUAUAUACAUGAGAUAUAUAUACACACUAGCUGCAGUCAAUUACUAUAUAUUAAAAGGCGUGGAGCACCCUUCAUUUGUUGACGCGUGCCCCACCCGUAUAUUUGGUGCACCAAGUACAACGUAAUCCUAUAAAAAAUAUUAUUUUAUUUUAAUAUAUAUAGAUCUAAAUUCUAUACUUUAUAAUAUAUAGGCAUUUAAAAUACCAUAAAAUAAAUUUAAUUGAUUAAAUUUUAUUUUCAAAUUUGUAUUGCACAAAUUUAAACCGUGUUUAUGAAAUGUGCACAUACACCAUGUGCAUGCAAUAAUUUUCAAUGGAAAGGAGCCAUUGUUUGUGGACAUGUGUCCAUUCUACCGAUGCAUUUGGUGCACUAUGGACCCAAUAGGAAAAAUAAAAUUUUAUUUUAGUGAAUAUGUCUAAAAUUUAUAAAUUUUAAUAUAUAAAUAUUUUAAAUAUUCUAAAAUAAAUUGAAUUAACUAAAAUUUAGUUUUCACAUCUCCAUUGUAUAAAUUUAUUAGUAUGUAUGAGAUAUAUGUAUAUAAACUAGGUAUGGUCAAUGAGUUCGACUAAAUGUCUCAUUAACCUUUAACUGUUUUGAUUUGAGCUAAUAACAGUUUCAUUGCCUACCAACUAAUAAACCAAUUGGAGUACUCUCCUAUUUUUUGUCAAUUAUCUAUUGUAAGUUCUAAUUUUAGAAAAAUUAUAUCUAAUUUCUUCAACAGUUUUAUACUUUUGAGAAUUUUUUUUUUUUACAGAAUAAGUAAGAGUAAUUUGAUCAUUUCGCCCUCUCCAUUAACGCCGUCGUAAUCCCUUGAAAAUAUUUCUGAAAUGUUGGUGGUAAAUAUAAGUUUUUGGAAGUUCGAGGUGGCAAGUGAAAAAUUCGGUAUUUAUAGGAAGGUUUUCUGCACUUUAGCCAAAAAUUCAUUUAAAAUUUUUUUGCAUGCAUUUUCAAAUAUGGCUAUAGGUGAGGGGUCUCCAUGCACUUUGGUUUGGUUUGGAUUAUACACAUUCUUACCAUUUUUGUAUGCAUGUAUACAUAUUACAUUACUUCUUAUCACAAUACUCAAUUUUUUUUUGUGUUAAUUAAACUUUUUGGGCAUGUAAUAAUAUGCAUAAUAAUAACUCACUUUUGAAUCCAAAAUCAUAAAUUAAGUCAUAAGAAAUCUAAGUUACAAAAAUAAGAAUGUCGAAAUCGAUCGGCCGAAUCGAUCCAACCCGAGUUCUUUCGGUUUAAUUCGGUUCGGUUUGAGAAUAAAUUGGCUCGAUUCAAUUUUGGUUUGAAACUUCUUGCGUACUGAACUAGACGCGGAAUCGAAAACACACGUAGAGCGCGUUUGGUUCGCCCAUUUUUUCACCCUGGAAUGGAAAUCGGACUGGACGAAUACGUUAAUUUGUCCGUGUUUGGUACGCGGCAUUUCCAUUCCAAUUUCGACACUGAUUCGCCUAAAAUCUUUUUCCAACCACUUGAGAUACUAGAGAUGCCCUAAGGCUAGGCAUUGGGAGCAUGGAAUUGGAGAAAUUGAACCCUUGCUACUUAGUUUUCCUGAUUAGAUUCCGGAACCACCUAAGCAUGUUCCGAAACUCGACACUUUAGGAUGAAACUUCCUUUCUUUUCUCUCUUUUCUUUUCUUAUCAAUAUUUUAUAUUCUGCUUUUGAAACUCUGGGAAUUACAUGUGGCAUGGGGUCGUGCCAAAAACUUCCUGGCAAAGUAUGCCAUGGUGCUUGCCGUGACCUACUGUGUCGUAUCGAGCCGUGCUAAACUGUGUCGGUCACAAAAAUACCUAUGUGCUAACACACUGUGGCAUUAUAUAUAUACUAGUGUAGUAACCCGCGCGAUGCGGCGGAUAAAUAAUAAAAGAAAAAAUAAAAAAUAUUGAAGAGGAAGUAGAAAAGAGUUUGGAAAAUAAAAUUUCAAGUGUGUUUUAUUUUUUGGAUAGAAAAAUGUAUGAAUUGAGCUAACCAAUAUGAUCAUUGAAAAUCGAUAAAUGCCUAGAAUCAUUAUUAAAAAAAACUUACAAAAGGUCAUAUGAAGAUAGAGAUGAUAAUGUUGCGAUGAUGACGACAAUGGUGAUAAAAAUCUCAUAAAAAUUUGCAGGAUUUUGCACUCUUUUGGAUAUGGAAUGAUCAGAAGUUGCGGAUCAGAACUACCACAUAAAUUAUAAAAUCAAAACUAACAUCUAAAUUAAUCAAAAUAAUGCACAUAAAUCAAAUCCUUGAUUGAUGCAACCACUAUAUAAAAAAUAAUGUAAAUAAAUUAAUUCUAAAUUGAUACGUAGUAAGAAUUUGCGAUUAAAAUAAAGAAAAGAAAAAUUAGGUUUAGAAUUUUCGUUUCCCAAACCUACCCCUAAAUCCGAAGGCUUGGAGGACUCCCUUGCUCUUCUCCAAUCUCUAUAUUUGAAUAUAGUAACUAUUUAUCUUCUCCUCUUUUAAUUUUGCAUGUUAGAAAUUAUUUGAGGAAGAGUAAAUGGCAAAUAUUGAAGAGAAAAAACUAAACGUAUAUAUUAAAAAGCACAUUAAUUAUAGGUUAUUGAAUAGAGAGGAGGGGAGGGGAAAAGCCAAAUUAAAAAUCAAUUCAAAAAAUAGGAUUAGUGAGGAUGGAGGAAAGCUUGUCAUGUGGCAAAAUUAUUGGGAAUUCAUAUAGGUUAAUAGAUAUAUAUAUAUAUAGAGAGAGAGAGAGAGAGAGAGAGAGAGAGAGAGAGAGAGAGAGAGAGUGUGUGUCCGGCUAGGAUACUAUUGCUAGUACCAAGGAUUUGGUGCUAUCGAGUUUUCCACCGUUAGAUUUAAUCCUUUAAUUAUUUUUACUCGUUAGAUUAUACUAUUCAACCAACCAUUCAUUCAACUCUAGGAGGCCCAUAUCAUCCUAACACCACAUUUCUCAAUCAAGGGCUAAAAAACUAUAGUGCCAAUAGCUUUGGUGCCCUAUUGUAGUAUUCCCUAGUUCUUAUUAGUAUAUAUAAUAUAUAUAUAUGAUUAGAUAUAUAUAUAUAGCAGCAUUAGGCUCGGUUAUUUACGUGCACGGAGGCCUUCGUCUGCUACCAAGGUGUUUUUCAAUGGAUGUGGAUUCCAAUCGAUGAUCGGCUUUGAUUAGAUUUGAUCUACACUGUAAAAGUAUUUGAAACUUAAAAUUUCAUAAAAUAUUUUUCGUAUACAUUGAUAUAUCAAACGAAUAGUCAUAAAAUAAUGAACGGUUGAAAAUACAAAAUUCAUAAAAUGAAUGAUAGAAACUGAAUUUAAGAUUAGAGGUAUGAUUUUUCUCCCCCCCCCCCCCCCUCUAAAUGAGUAAAAAAAUUUCGUCUAUAAAAAUUCUUCUAUUUGAAAUUGUCUUAUACACCGUUAAAUUCACUAAUGCGCGAUCACUAUUCUACCAUUAAAAUGCAAUGGGUAGAUUUUUUGAUCACUACAAUGAGUGUCGAAAAUUAUAUAAAUUGUAAUUUUCAAAUACUUUUUAAAGUGGUAGAAUCAAGUCUAACGCAGCGAUCGUCGCAUUUAGCCCGCAUCAUCCAAAAACAACUUGGUAGCACGGAGGCUUCCGGAGGCACGAUGGCUAUUAUAUGGUCGGAUCGAGAUAUAUAUAUAUAUAUUCUCUCUCUCUCUCUCUCUCUCUAUAUAUAUAUAUAUAUAUAUAUAUAUAUAUAUUCUUUGACACCAAUAUAUACAAAUUACUUAUUACAGAUAUUUGUCAAAUCUUUUGUACUUUGUUGAGAUAACUACUUGCUAAUUUUAUAGAAAAAAAAUUUUGAGCCAUGCCAUUGGCUCGAGAGUCUUAUCAUGUGGAUAUAUGUCUGCACACUACGGCACAGUGGGCACGGCCUGUGUCAAUAAGCACUUAAAAUCCUUGGUAAUCAAGUGUGAAGAGUAUCUGCAUGUGGAUAGAAGAACCUAAGCCUCCAUGUCACAAAAAAUUACUAAAUUAUUUUUUUUUUCUAAUUAAAUCAUUAAGUUUUCUAUCAAUCUAAUUAUAUGUUAUUAAAAUGAAUAUGAUCAUUUGAUGCAUUAAAAGGCCUUUCAUCUAAGUUGUGACUAUUUAAACAAAAUCAAUUACCAUCUUCCUAGUCAUCCCUUAUUAACAAUUUAAGUCACAUUGGUACGUAACGGACACAAAGUUAUCCGGUAAGUUCAGUGCGAUUUAAAGUGGUGCUAGUUUCAGGCUGCGUUUGGUUAGAGAACUAAAUUUUGGAGAAUAACUUUUGUUGUUCCCGAGAAUAAAAAAUAUUCCGGUAUAAGCUAGAACAAGUUGUAAAUUACUACGUUUGGAUGUUGUUUGUUUGUUUAUUCCUAGAGAAUAUUCUUGAUAGUGUUUGGAUAUUUAUGUUGGAAUAAGGUGUUGGAAAGAUAAAAAUUAAAUAAAAUGACUGAUUUGCCGUUGAAUGUAAUAAUCAAAUAUAAUUUAAUAAAUUAAGUAUUAAAAUAAAUUAAUUUACAAAUUAAGUAUAUUUGUAUAUUAUUUUGAAAAUAUUAAUUUAGUAGUAUUCAAUUUAAGUAUUUAUUUAUUUUUUUUUGAAACUAAUUUAAAGUAUAAAUAUUUAAAAUGGAACAGCACUUAUUAAAUUAAAUUAAUUAUUCAAUUGAUUUUCUUUAAUUUACUAAAUUAAAUAUUAAUAAGUCAAAAUAGUGUGGCUCUUAUAAAUAAAAAAAAAUUCAAAAAAAAGUCUAAACACAUCCUGAUGAAGGGUUAAAGGGCAAAAUGGUAAAGAAACAUAUCCCCCCAAGUUGUUCCCCCCAAUUCUCCUAUCUGGGGAGAACAAGCUUAACGGGUUGUUCCCGGAACAACCUGUUAAGCCCGAAACAAGGGCCUUAUUCCAUUUUGCAUUGUGUUUGGGGGGAUAAAGAGGGAUAUCCCGCCUUGUUCUGGAAUAUCCCUCCAACUAAUCGCAGUUUUCAGAGUUUCGUGCUCAACUGUUUUAUUCAGUAUAAGAAUUUCUGUUUCGUAGCCAAAACUGGUUUCAGAGGCAAACUUUUGACGGUUAAAUUAGGAUUUAAGUCUUAAUUCUAAUCCCAUCCCAAUCAAACUUAAUUUGAAAUAUUCUAUUAUCUUAUAAUAAAUCCCAAAUUAACUCGAUCUAUAUUUUAAUAUUUACAAACAAAAUAUAGUCUAAUCACAAUUCUAUACAAUCUUGGACUCUUGUUGUAGAAACCUGUUCGAUCCCUUUUUACGCCUAAGUAUUUUCUUAAAUUAUUAUUUUGACAUUACUCCUUUAAAAUAAAGUUCUAUUUGAGUCAUCUAUGAGUCCAAAUUGACCCAAGCAUAUAUCACUCAUCGUAAUAGUUUGGUGCUAUUAAUAGUACCAAAAGCCCCCUCAUAGUUUCAAAAUCUAAAGAAUUUCUAUUUUUUGAUCUUCUCGUCAUCGUAGAUUAAAGAAAUUCGAGAUAAAUUAUUUGACGGUGCAAAUUAAACAUGCUCUUCGAGUGCUCCUGUUUAGGAGUCAAAUUGUUUGGGGCAUUGAUCUCUUGAUCAGCUCAAUAUCUAAUAGACUAUAUUUGGGAUUGUUAAGUGCUUCAAAUACUAUUCUUAAUAAUAGGUUUUACUUGGGAUUAAUGCCUAUCUAUUUAUGUAUAUAUUCCAUCGUUAUCCAGAGUCAAUCACUUGCGUUAAGAAAAUUCAUAUAAAUAAAAAAGCUCCCUUGCAUUAAUCACUAGUAAGAAUACCAAAUCAGGACCGACCGUCCCUAGAGUAAGUGGCAAAGGGCUUGGUGGUUGGUAUCCGAGACCCAAGUUCGAAUCCUAGUUGAUUCACAUUUCCAGCUAAAUUUAUUUUUAAAUGAAAUAAACGAAGCGGGUAUAUAUUAACUCAAUAUUAUGAAAAUCUUCAUAUUGGGGGAAACCAUGAAGAUCUAAAAAUCGGUAACCUAGAUAGGGAACUAAUGAUUAUCAGAAGCCUAGUUUGUGAUAAGGUGGAUGGUAGUGGAUGGUAGUGGAUGGUAGUAGUAAGGUUGGAAUGUAAAGAGGUAGGUUCUUAAUUUUUGAGUCUUCGUGGUUGGAGAACCACGAAAACUCUCAUAAGAUCGAGUUGAGAUAUAUAUAUAUACUCAACCUGACCCGAUGAUAAUCAUCGUUUUAGAAUAACAACGAUAGUCAAAAAAUCGGAAACCUAGUUGAGAAAAGUAAUAAAGAUUGGUAACCUAAUUUAUGAUAUUGGGUCACCCCUGGUGAGUUGGGAUCCCCCUGGAGAGUUGAGAUUGGCUGAUUAUAGUAGGACUGGGAUGUUAAAAAGUAGGUUAUCAAUUUUUGAACUAUCGUUUUUCUCGCAAAAUGAUAAUUAUCAUAAGGUCAGAAUCUCUCUCUCUCUCUCUCUCUCUCUCUCUCUCUCUCUCUCUCUCUCUCUCUCUCUCUCUCUCAUGACCUACGGCCUCUUCCCCCCUACCGAUCGGGUCUUCUCGCAGCUUAAAGAUAAGGACUUUUAGCUCUCGAUCGCGUAAGCGGGUAGCCUGUGAAACUUGGUCUUCUAUUCUAAACGUUCAACUGCGACGCAUUGUCGUCCUAGAGAGUCGGUUCCAGCCUCUGUCUUCCCCUGGCCCCGAAAGAGUCGGUUCGCACCACUGCUAUCCCGGUAAAGUAGCCGCCCUAAACCGCUCAUAAAGGUUGUUCUAUUUUACGCACUAACGACCCGGAGUACUUAGAAAACACACCAGAGAGGUGAGCCGCUCGACGGAGUCUUUCUAUUUUCUAGUUCGUCGUUUGCUGAGCGUCCGCAAUGUUAAAUCUGCUUGGAAAACUUUUGAGGCGGAAACUUCUAGUGUUUUCAAAGCGUCUCUAACUGCGACGACGACGAUCCGUCGGUCAAUGAGAGUGGGAGAACNCCAAGUUGUUUUCAAUGAUGCGGCCUCCAAAUCGACAAUCGGCUCCGUUAGAUUUGAUUUACACUAUUAAAAGUAUUUGGAAACUAAAUUUCAUAAUUUUUCGACAUAAUUUGGCUAGUGAUCAAAAUGUCUCAAAAUUAACAAUUUUAAUGGUGGAUGUGAUGCGUUUGUGAAUUUAACGGUGUAAAACAAUUCAAAUCGGAUGAAAUUUUAUUAGAAAUUUUUUUUCAUUAUUUAGAGUAAGAUUAACACCUCUGAACUUAAAUUCAAGUCUUUUAUCAUCAUUUUUUAUGAGAUUUUUAUUUUUAACCGUUUAUUUUUAGACUACUUGUUUGAUAGGUAAAUGAUGUCGAAAAAUUAUAAAAUUUAGUUUUCUAAUACUUUCAAUAAUAUAGAUCAAGUUUAACGGAGCCGAUCGUCGAUUUGAAAGCUACAUCAUUAAAAAUAACUUGGUAGCACGGAGGCCUUCGUGUCACCAAUAGUAUACCAGCUUAGCUCUCUCUCUCUCUCUCUCUCUCUAUAUAUAUAUAUAUAUAUAUAUAUAUAUGCUGCAGUUUGAAAAACAACUAAAAAUUGGUGAUGAAUUAAUGGUGCAAUCAACCUUUUAAAAUAAAAAAUAAAAAAUGCACACAACUUACACGAACUACGAAGUCUACGAGUCAUUUUAUAUCGGUUAUGCAAUUUUUUAAAAUUUUAAUUUUACUAUUCGACCUUUAAUUUUUUUUUUAAUUUGAAUUUAGUCAAUGGCAUUUUGAUUUUAAAAUUUAGAUGUUUUUGCUUAUCUUUACAGAUUUAGAUUGUAUAUUUCAUAUAAGGCUAAAAUACAUAAAACCUCUAUGUUAAAACCCGAUUUUUUUUUUUUUUUUUUCACUUUCCCUUCCUGUCAUUUAAUAACCUAUACUUUACCUUCUUAUAAAAUGAAAAAUGUUCACUUCGCCCCCUACCGUUAGUAAUUCGUUAGGGUUCCGUUUAUAAUAUAUUAUUAUAUAUUUUUUAUCCCAAAAAUAUCCUCAGCCUUCUCUCCUGUGAAUAUGGUGAGAGGCAAAAUGGUGAAGGGCAAAAUGGUCAUUUUAUCAUCGCAGUUCACACCGUACCCCCUAUGAACAUUUUUUAUUUUACAAAGGAAAAAAGUGUAGGUUUUUAAAUGACAGGAGAAGAAAGUGAAAAAUCGAAUUUUGACGAGGGUGUUUUUUGUAAUUUAGCCUUCAUAUAAUUCUCGCAACUAUAAGUUUAUUAAAGUGAUUGGCACAAAUUUCGAAGUCGAAUACUAUUUGAUUGAUUUAAAUCAAACAAACUAAAAGGUUAGGACUCCAAGAAGAAGAAAAUAAGAAGAUAAAAAGCGGUGAGAACAACAAUAGAGUCAUUAAUCCACACAAAAGUUUACUUUUACUGCAAAACUCUGCAAAUUAAAGCAUUCCAUUGCCACACCCACCUGCUAGUGUAAAUGAUGUGUGUUAUUUUGGAGAAGAGUUCGCGGUGAUUCGUUUCCCGUAUGUUGUAUUAAAAUAAAAAGGGAAACUUCAAAAACUCCCCAUGUGGUUUCACUUUUUCUCACUUUAGUACCUUGUGAUUUAAAGUGUAUCAAGUUAGUACCAUGUGGUUUUAUUUUUGUAUCAAGUUAGUACUCUGUAAUUUUUAAACCACAGGAUACUAAAGUGAGAAAGUGUGAAACCACAGGGUACUAAAGUAAGAAAGUGCGAAACCACAUGGUACUAAAAUGAGAAAAAGUGAAACCACAUGGUACUAAACUUUGACCAUUCUAAAAUAGACAUCUCAACUCUUUUAUUUUUUAUUGACACCCUCAACUUCUUAUUUAUUUUUUUUUUUAAUUUUGUUUGGGAUUUUUUAUUUAAAGGGGGCUGUUCAUUCUUCAAAAAAAGCGUGGAAAACAUUUUUCAAAAAAAAAAACAGAAAACUCCUUUUUUUAAAAAAAUUUUCUGUCCGUUUGAUUCUGAAAAAAAAAGAGAUUUUUGGAAAUUUUUUAGAUUUUAUGUAAAAGUAAGAAAAAUGAAAACACUAUUUUUUUAUAAAAUUUGGAAAAAAAACCUUUUCAAAAAAGAGAUAUAUAUAUUUUUUACAACCAAACGAGCAUAAAAAAAAAAGAACUUUAAAAAGGUGUUUUUCCAUAAAAUUUUUUUCUCAAAAUACUCUUUUCCAUACUUUUCGAUAGAACCAAACAACUCCUAAUCAUAGUUAGUUAAUCCGGAUUCGGCAAAAAUUCGAUACGGGUAUAAUUCGGAUAAAAUUCGUCUUUUAAUUUUUUAAAUUCGUUAAAAAAUACGGCUAAAAAACAGAUUCAUCAUUAUUCGGAUACGUGAUUUAUUCGGAUAUUAUACGUUUACCAAUUAAAAAUUCGGGAUAAAAAAUUCGGCUAUUAAAUUAAAUUUUUUUCUCUCAAGAUUUAUACUAUUAGCAUAAAUAUUUAUAUCUUUUACAAAUAUAGGAAUAAAUAGCUACAAAAUUAAGAUAAUUAAGUAAAAAUUUGAAAAGAAAUUAUUAUUAUUAUUUUUUUGGUCUUAGGCGAGGUGUUUGGAAAGAUUUUUUUUUUUUUUUUUUUUGUAGUUUACUGUUUUGGGCCAGCCGGCCCAAGAGCGCAUGUGACUGCAGGAGCGCGUGCGGGAGCGCAGGCAGGCGCGGGCAGGCGCGUGCGCGAUCCGUUUUUUUUCGCCGAAUAAUUCGGCGAGCCGAAUAAUACGCGAACACGUAUUUUUACUCAAAAAAUCUCCUUUUUUUCGAAUUUUUGGGAAAAAUUCGAAAAUAGCCAUUUAAUUCGGGUUUUGAAAAAUUGGCGAAUAAUUCGCGAAUAAUUCGCGAAUUAACUAACUAUGCUCCUAAUGAGAAUAAUAUUUUUAUCAAAUUUAAUAAAUUUAUCGCUGAGUAGAAUAGCGUAUAUGUGAGGGGUUGCCUACUUUGUUUAUUUUAUUAGAAAUGAACUUAAUUAGAAACCUAAAUCAAUUAGGCUUCGAAUUAACUUGAAACAUUCGGUCCCAUCAGGCUUACAGUCUAAGUUUUCUCUCAGGUAAAUUAAAGGGAAAACUUUAAAAAUCCUCCCUGUGAUUUUGUAGUUUCUCACUUUGCCCCCCUGUGGUUUAAAAUGUAUCAAUUUGCCCUCCCGUGGUUUCUUUUUUCUCUUUUUCUUAUCGAUUUUAUUAUUAUUUUUUUCUUAAAUCAGUGAUAAAGUUAAAAUUAAAGGGUACUAAAGUGAAUAUUUGAUAAAUCUAAAUGGAUAUCUGAAGUUUUUUUGUAUAUAAUUUAAUAAAAUAUUAACGAAAAAGCUACCAAAAAGAUAAAAACGAAACCACAGGGGGGCAAAUUGAUACACUUUAAACCACAUGGUACUAAAGUAAGAAAUAAUGAAAUCACAGGGGAGUUUUUUGAAGUUUUUCCUAGAUUAAAUUCACGUCUUAACUCUAUCAAAAUAUCUAUACGAAUGCAGAUAUGGUCGAUAAUGUAGACUCAAAAUGGUCUAUUUCCAACUAUAUAUUUGGCUACUUUUGCCAUUUCAUAGCAAUCAAAGUUGUGAUAUUGUGUAGCCUUAUCAACUACGGAAACGCAAUUCAUUGCAAUCACCAAAACUUGCAAGGAAAUAUUAUGGAUAAAACAGUUCAUCUAUUAAUUUGGGCUAAACUAAAAUAAAUAUGUUAUUUAUUGUUAUAGUCAAAGUAUUAUUUACUUAUCAAAGAAUUCAACUUUUAGGGACCGUUUGGUUGCAUGUAGUUGCAACUGCAUUGCAGUUGUAACUACAUAUAAAUACAAAUUUCGUGUUUGGUUUGAUGUAUUUAACCCCAACUACUGCAGUAGAAACUGCAGGAGGAGGCCCAACUGCAGCAGUUCGAACUACACCUAAAUUGGCCGCAGUUCCAAAUAUAGUAGUUGGAGAGAGUAAUUUUAAAUAAAAGGUAUGCUUGUCUUCUUAAUAUUUUUUAAACAAAAAUUAUUUUUCUUUUUUACAUUGAAGGUAAUCUCACCAUCAUAUAAAUAAAAUAAUAAAAUUUUAGAAAUUACUUCUCAACUGCAUGCAACCAAACAAAUUAUUUAUACUUACAGCGCUUUCUACUACAUCCAACCAAAUAUGAUUCAUGUAAUUGUAACUGCUGUAUUUUCAACUGCACGUAUCUCUACCUACACUGUAUUUAUAAUUACAUCUAACCAAACGGCCCCUUAUUGUAGAAGCAAACACGUUGAUGUUAGGUGUCAUUGGAUAUGCAAUAUUCUUGAGAAAAAGUUGGCGUUUGAAAAAAAAUUCACACCGAUAAAAAUAUAUCGGAUAUGAUGAUAAAGGCUUUAUUCAAGAAGAAGCAUGAAAUGUGUAUAAGUAUGGCCAGGAGUUAGAGGUGGCAAUCCAGCUCGCUGGCCAGCUCGUGAGCCAGCUCCUGUUCGGCUCGUGUAAUAAACGAGUCGAACACGAGCUGAAUUUUUAAACGAGCCAAACAUGAGCCGAACCCAGCUCGCUCGUGUUCGGCUCGUUUACACCCCUACCAGGAGUUAGGUGCGAAAGUACGCUUGUUUAGUUAGGCCUAUUUUGAUGGGUUAUUUUGGAGUCAUUUAGAUUCAUGGACUAAAUACUCAAGCCUCCGUUUGGUUCGGGAGUAACGAAUAUUGGGAUAAAUUAUUUUAUCCCUGCGGUAACUUUUUAUUCAAGGAUAGUCAUAGAUAAAAGUAAAAUUGUCUUUAAUUACUUCGCAAUGCUGCUAUUUUUAUGAAUUAUUAAAAUUGCAUUUGGCUAAUAUUAUGAAAUAGUAGAGAAUGGUUAAAAAAAAAAAAGGUGAUCUUUGAAUUUGACAAAAUAUAAUUUUUUUUAAAAAAUUAUAGUAAAAUUAAUUUAUUAUAAUAUUUAAGUAUAAAUAAAUAUAUUAAUAUUAUGUAAUUAAUAGUUUUUAAAAUAAAAGGAAUAUAUCAGAUCUACAUAAUUUAUUUUCAUUCAAUUAAUAAUCCUAAUAAAGAUUAGAAAUAAACCUUGGAAAAAUACUAUUCUAACUUAAUAUUUAGGUGGAAUAGUUUAUUCCAAACUAAAUAACCAAAAAUAGUACGAUUUGAUCGGAAUAAAAGGCGCGCACACACACAAACAUGUUAAAUAUAAAUAUGGAUAUAAUAUUUAAAACAUUGUUAUAUGAUAAUUUAAACUUUUAUAAUUUACGAUUGUUUCACAUAAUUUUAUAUAAUAUCGAAGCAGAAUAUUCUAAGUUUGAGUCAGACUUGCAGCCUUAUUUAGUUUUCUCUUAUUUAAAUUAAGUUCAUGGCUUAACCGUAUCAAAAUAUUUUGAGUCCAAAUAUUUAUAAAAGUAUUGAAUAUAAGAACUAAAAUUAUUGAAUCUUUAAAUCAUUUGGAUCGGGAAUAAGCAGAAAUUGCUUAUUCCGCAUAUCGCGAUGAGUUGGUUACGAUAUAUUUUCCGUGGUCUCACCGGAUAAAGCCGAAGCAUAUCCCUAUAUGCUUUUUUCUCAACUCCAUUUUAUCUAAUAACGUUUGAUAGGCCUCAAUACCAAAAUAAAGCCUAAGAUAGAUAUAAUUUUAGGAAUAAGUAGAAACAAGAUUAGUUUUUCAUUUGCAUGAAAAUUGGGUUGUUUCUCGGAAUAAGUUAAAUAAUGUUUGGAUUGUUAGAUGAGAAUAUUGAGAAUGAAAGUAAUUAUAAUUUUAAAUUAAUAAUAUUUUAUCUAAUUAAUUAACAUCAUAAUAUUAAUUAAAAAUAAUUUAAUAAAAUAAAAAAUUUAUUAGCUAUGAAUAUUGUAUAAGAUAAUAAAAAAAAAUUAAUUAAUUAAUUAAUUAUAAAAUAUAACUUAAUUUUUAAUUAAUUAAUAAUUAUUUAAUUAAUUAGAUGAUUUGUUAAGAAAUUAAUUUAAUUUGCCAAAAUAUUAAUUAGUUGACCAAUAUAAACAUUAGUUAUUAGAUAAACAUAUUAAAUAAUUAGUUCUUGUAACCCAAUUAACCACAAAUAAGAAGAAAAAUAAUUCCAGGAGGAGGAUGGAAUAACUAUUCCACCCUUAUCCUUAAUAAAAAAAACUGUAAAUUUUUAAUCCCUAAAACAAUUUAAACACAAAAAAACAUUACCUCUGAAAGACCACUCCACCCAAAAAUAUAAAACAAGAGCAUCUUCUUUCUUUCUUUCUCUCUCUCUAUUAUUUAAAAAACAAUUAUCUUUGGGUGCUCUAUCUCUCUCUCUUUCUCUCUCUCUCUCUCAUAUAAAAAACAAAUUUUUUUUGGCCUUUGGGUCCUCUAUCUCUCUACUAUUUAACAUAGUUAGUUAAUUCGUAUUCGGCAAAAAUACGGUACAGAUAUAAUUCGGAUAAAAUUCGUUUUUUAAUUUUUAAAUUUAUUGAAAAAUACUGCUAAAAAAUGAAUUCGGUAAUUAUUCGGAUACGUGAUUUAUACGAGAAUUAUACGUUCACCAAUUAAAAAUUCGGGAUAAAAAAUUCGGUUAUAUAAUAAAUAUAUAAUAAUUAAUAUACUAUAUAUAUAUAUAUUAUUAUUAUAAUUUUUAUAUAUAGAUUAAAUAUAUUUAAAAUUGUAAUAAAUAUAUAUUAAUAAUAUAUAAAAGUUGGCUCGGGCUACUAUACUCUUAUGAGUAUAGAACCUCUUGUACUCAUAAAUUUUUAAUCGUUGAUUGAUGAGAUGUGUGGUUAGGAUAAUGGUGGUCCUCAUUUAGAUUGAUAGUGGUCCCCUAGGGUUGAGUGGGUAGUUGGUUGAAUAGUAUGAUCUAACGGGUGGAAAUGAUCAUGGAAUAAAUCUAAAGGCCGAAAAGUAUAGUAGCCGGACUCUAUAAAAGUUAUAUAUAAAAAGGAAUAAACGAAUAUUCCCUACGAACGCUUAUAAUCAGUUUGUUAAAAUAUCUCAAAUAAAAAUAAAUGGUUAUGAUUAAUCUGUUAAAAAAUAACAUUAUUAUUUAUCAAUAUAUCAAAUCUUACAAAUGGUUAUGGUUAAUUUGUUAAAAUAUAUUUCAAAUAAAAAUUAUCGGUGCUAACUUGAUACACUUUAAACCAGAGGGUACUAAUUGGAUACACUUUAAACCAUAUGAUACUAAAGUGAGAAAGUGCGAAACCACAGGGGGGUAUUUGAAGUUUUUCCUUAUAAUAAUGAUAACUGGGUUUAAAUAUUUUGGGCUAAUAAUUUAGCCUUAACGAAUUAUUAUUACUAGUAAAUCAGAUCGUAUAUUUGUUAAGCUAAUUUACCGGCCGGAAGUGUGAAGUAGGUCUCACAUCGCUUGAUAAUCCUGAUAAUCUUAGACUUUAUGUAGUACCCUUGUUUAUUUAUCUAUUUUUUUAAAAUUUUUUUUAGUCGGUUGGUGAUGCAUGGGGGUGGCUUUGGAUGCCACGUGCACCCCCCAUGCAUCCUUAUCUUGUGGCCUACAGAGGGAUAGUGGUGAUUUGUAAUUUCCCUCUCUCUCUAGUUGGAAGUGGAGAGCUCGUGGAGGCUAUAGUUGGAGAUUGGAGCGACGUCAACUUCGCGCCUGCGAGCCGUUGGAGCGUGCGUGCGUCGUGGUAGUGCCGUUGGAGGCCGGGCGAGGGUGCAUUUUCGUCGUUCUCGACGUCGCGCCGGUGCUUGGGUCGCUGUCGAGGUGGGUUACAUCGGUUUUUACUCCUAAGUUCAUAUUCGUCGGCAUGUAUAAUUUUCGACCUUUGGAUACUCUAUUCUAGCUCGAAUUCAUGGAUUAUAUUGUAGAUUGCAAAUCUGAAUUUGGAGCAUGUGGUAAUAAAUUAAGUAGGUUAUACAUGUUGGACUUGGAAAUUGAAUUAGGAGAAAACCUGCGAUUUGGACCUGUCACUUGUUUAAACUGCCUGAUUUAGCUCUAGGAGCCGUUAUUAAAUUGUACUGUCGCAGUAUCUUCGAGACGAGUACUCCAGGUAGUUUAGAAUAUAUCUACACUCGUGCUGGUUCGCCGAGGGGAUUUUACAGGGUCGUUCAGGCUGUUCCGGACUGUAGGGUGCCGUUGAGGUUGACGGUGGACCCGUAUCGCCUUUUUGGCGUCUGAUUGUGCCGAGGGCACGUUACUUGUUGGUUGUUAGACCAGUUAGAGUCGAUUUCUUGACUUUGGCUUUUCAGAGCCUGUUUGAGCUCGACAGAGAUACGCUGCAUACUCGGUUGGGUAGCGCCCACGAGUGCCACUCCGGAGUCAGGCUUUGUGCUUUCGCGUUGGUGUCGCUCAUGCCAGUUGGACUUGCUCUCCACGGACCAGUUAGUGUGGAUAGAGCCUGAUAGUCGCAACGGGGCAGGGACGGGUGUAUUCACAGUCCCGGGGACGGGUAUGCUUACAGUCCCGAUUGGAUUGAGUCAGAUUUGACAUUUACUACAGUUGGUUAGUGUAGAGCAUGAUAGUGUAGUGAUCGAUAGCGGUAGAGUUUACUUCCUGCUUUUCUGACUACUCUUGCUCCCUUCUGUAGACUUAGUGGGUGGACCGAUGUGGUUUUGGGCGGUACCCACUGAGGACUACUUGUUUUUACAGUAGUUCUCACGCCCAGUUGUUACCUCUAUUUUGUAGAGCCACAGGUUCCGGCUGCUGCGCCUUCCGCGGAUCAGGAUCGAGGCAAGGGCGUCACGAGUUAGAGCCCUACCCGUCGUACUGAGCUAGAGGUGCCCCUACUGCAAGUAGAUGUUUUGUUUCGAGUUUCUGUACAUAGUAGACUUAACUCGCCAGUGCGAGUAGCUCUGUAUUUUGGAUUUGAACUAUGUAUAUGAAACUCAGUUUGUUUAUCUUCUGUUUUUUUUAGCAGCUCUCUACUACUGUUCGUAGUAGCGUUUGAUUUAUAGGUACAGUUGUCGCUUCGUAUACAGAGAAAAUUUCUUUGUAUACGGCGGAUUUGUCGGCGUGCCCGGAGAACUAGACAUCCGGGGCGUGACACUUUAUGUGUAAUUGGGUACAUUAAAGCAUGGCACUACUCCGCACUAACCUAGGCAUACGCCGAGAGUCUCGUGCCAUUUGCGUUGAAGAGAAUAUCGUCCCUAGAGCAAGUGGCAAAGUAAACCCAAGCUCGUAUCCUAAUUAAUUCACAUUUUCAGCUAAGUUUAUUUCUAAUGAUAUAAACGAAACGGGUAGCUUGCUACCUAUCUCUUAAAAAAAAAAAACUAUAACAGUUGGUAUAAAAUGUACACCUCACUUUGGAGUAUACGAAUAGCAUUGCUUAAAAUAAAUAAAUAAAUUACACUUUCGGUUCCCAAACUAUUUGGCGCGUGACAUUAUGGUCCUCAAAUUUUAAUUUAAUGUAAAUUCUAAUUUGGUUUUCUAAAUUAUUGUAAUCAAGUCCGACAAUCGAAUUGAGUGAACUAAAUAUCGAUGUGUUGCUAAUAUAGAAGUUAUAUAGCAGUGUUGUGAUUGUUGAUGCAAUAAUAAUUUAGAUGUUAUAUCAUUUUUAUAGCUACGGCUUGUUAACAUUUAGCCAACUAAAUUAAAUUGUGAGACUUUAUUAUAAUUUUUUAUAAAAUUUGAAACAACGAAUUGAAAUUUGAAGACUGUCACGCGCCUCAUAGUUUGAGGGUGAAAAACUUGAGAAAAAGAGAGAGGAUUGUCGGCUAGGAUUUUCUAUUUCUCUUGUAUUAAUUUUAAUAUGUCAUAUGACAUAUAUUUAUAAUGAGAAAAUUCUAAGCAUAAUCCUAAUCCUAAUCGAACGGCGCCGAUCUGCAUCCUCCCCAAACUUUUAGUUAACUUUUAGUUUGGGGAGGAUGCCGAUAUAAUUUUUGUCCGGAAAAGAUGGUUGGGAGCUUUCAACGCGAAGACUUUAUGUUAUGUUAUUAUUAAUAAUUAAGUUGUAACAUAGAGAUUACGCUUCCUUACUGAUUUGCUUUAACCUAAAUAAUAAUAAUAAUAAUAACAAUCCCACCCAUAAUAUCAUUUGCAUAUUAAUCCCUUGACAAUUCAUCAUUAUCCAUCUUAUUCGCAAAAUAAAACAAACAAAAAAUUAUCCAAACAAUGAUAUCAGGACAAAUUAAUUGAUUAUCUGUAUAAUAUGUGUCAAUCUUUUUCACCAAUAAUUACAAUAUAUUUUAUAUUUUAAACAAUUUUUCACUUGCAGAAAUUUUUAUUAUAAGAUAGUAAAUCCAUCACAAUGCUUCUUCUUAUAAAUAACUUUAUGGGAAAACUUCAAAAACCCCCCCUGUGGUUUCGUAGUUUCUCACUUUGCCCCCCUGUGGUUUAAAAUAUAUUAAUUUGCCCCCCUGUGGUUUUGUUUUUCUCUUUUUCUUAUCAAUUUCAUUAUUUUCUUUUCUUAAAUCAGUAAUAAAGUUAAAAUUAAAGGGUACUAAAGUGAAUAUUUGAUAAAUCUAGAUGGGUAUCUAAAGUUUUUUGUAUAUAAUUUAACGAAAUAUUAACGAAAAAGCUACCGAAAAGAUAAAAACGAAACCACAGGGAGGCAAAUUGAUAUACUUUAAACCAUAGGGGGGCAAAGUGAGAAACUACGAAACCACAGGGGGUUUUUUGAAGUUUUCCCUAACUUUAUCUAUGACAUGAUUUAGCCCUGUCAUGUUCUUGUGCGGUCCUUUUGGUUCGUUUUUAUACAUUUAUUGCAGUGUCCAAGNGCCCAACGAGUUAUUGUUAUUAGUGGGCUGAGUCGCUACACUCUCUCUCUCUCUCUCUAUUUAUACUAAUAAAAAAAAAUGAAAAUGACAUUUUUAUUUGUAUAUUUUCAAAAGGGAAAAAAAAAACUUGGUCCCACCACUCGAACUAGGGAUGUCAACGGGUAGGGUUUGAAUCGGGUUUUUAAAAAUCCGAACCCGAACCCGAAAAUCAAAUUAAAAUUCGUAUCCGGACAUGAAUCUGGCGGGUUUUAAAAAUUCAUACCUAUAUCUGUACCCGACCGAAAAUCCGGACCCGAACCCAGACCCGAACCUGGCGGGUUUUAAAAAUCUCUACCGUUGAAUGAAGAUUUAAGAGAUAAAAAUUAUUAAAUAUUUUAUAUAUUAUAUAAAUAAAUAGAACUAAAUUUAUGUAUAUAUAUAAUUUAUUCGGAUUCGGGUUCGGAUCGGAUAAAUACAAAAUUCAUACCCGUAUUCAUAUCCGUCGGGUUUUUAUUUUCUAUACCCAUAACCGAAUCCAUACCCAUUUAGUUCGGGUAAACUCGCCCUGUUCAGAUUCGGGUUCGGGUAAUAUUUCGGGUCUCCAUAUUCAUUCACAACCCUAACUAGAACACAAAGACAACUGAGUCAAUGCUCUUCCAGAGAGAGCGAGAGAGAGUAGUCAAAUUGGAGACAAUAUAAUAAAUUUAUAUUGAAAUGAUGCUGCUUAAUUUAUUUAAAAAAUUAUACUUUUUAUUAUAAUAUGGAGUCAUUUGAUCGAAUGAUUCUUUUGAACUUGCUAGUGUAAUUAAAUUAAUAUAGUGAUGAUUAGAAGUACUACUAUCGAGUUAAAGGUUCACUUUAGGGUUUUUAUUUUUAUUUUUUAUUUUUAAUUCUAAUCCACUUUUUUAUGUUGUCCUUCGCAAAAUGCAUCAAAAUGACCCAGUAGGAUAAACUGCGAUCGAAUCCGACACUAAAUUUCAUAUAUAUGUAUAUAUAUAUAUAUAUAUAUAUAUAUAUAUAUAUAUAUAUAUAUAUAUAUAUAUAUAUAUAUAUAUAUAUUAUAGAGAGAUACAGGAAUUUUUUAUCAUGUUUUUUAUUUAUUUUAUUUUGAGUUUCAUAUUAAAAUUGUAUAGAUAUAUAUAUUCGUCAAAUAUAAAAUUUUAUUGAAUAAAAUAAAGAUAUGCGAAUUAGUUUGAACACAAGUGUGAACCUUUAAUUGUAUCGUGUGUUUAAAUCGCGUUAAUUUUAGUUCAUAUUGAUAUAUGCAUAGUGGUAUAUGCAUUAUUUUCCGAAUACAAAUUCGAAUUAUAUCUGAAUUUGAAUCUGUUUCAACAGAUAUUAUAAUAAAAAUUUAGCAUUCGAUAAAUAUCUGUAUUUAAAUUUAGGGAUAAUUGCCUAUAUACCUCUUAGGCUUUUAAAACUUUAAAAAUAUCUUAUUUACCCCUAGUUUUUUUUUCUUUCCUAUAAUAUAUAUAUCAGGCCAAUACCAUGAACAUUUAAAAAAUGGCAAUCUAGAUGCGGAAACUAGUAAAAAUGGCAAUCUAAUAAAAUAAGUUGGUUGGUGGGUGAGUUGGGAUUCCCCGGGUGUAGUAGGAUUGGCGUGUAGGGAAUUAAGUUACCGGUUUUUGAAUGUCCAUGGUUACUGAAACAUAAAAAUUUUCGUCUCCUCGAGUUAAUAUAUAUAUAUAUAAUUCCCCGUUAACGAAUAUAUAUGGUUUUCAAAGGUUGAAAGAUUAAAUAGAGAGCAUCUUCCGAUUAUAACUUUUAUGGGAAACAUGCAAGGUUGGGUAAAGAUUAUAUGGGGAUCUCAAUUUUAGACAAUUACUUGCAACAAUAGAGACAUUUUAACGAUAAAACGGGAAAGUUUAUAUGGUAAGAUGGUAGUGGCUGAAAAGAAUAAACGGUAAUUCAAUCCCCAUGUUUUUCAUAAAAUAAAGAAAUAGAAAAGUUUAUAUGGGAAGAUGGUAGUGGUUAUAAAGAAUGAACGGGAAUUCACGUUUUCAUCAUAAACUUAAAAAAAAUUGACACAUUCUAUAAAUUGAGUGCAAAUUGAGUUCAAUUGAAUUGCCCACCAUUGACAUUCCUAUAAAACUUUAUUGCUUCCUUGUAUAUUCCCCACNNNNNNNNNNNNNNNNNNNNNNNNNNNNNNNNNNNNNNNNNNNNNNNNNNNNNNNNNNNNNNNNNNNNNNNNNNNNNNNNNNNNNNNNNNNNNNNNNNNNNNNNNNNNNNNNNNNNNNNNNNNNNNNNNNNNNNNNNNNNNNNNNNNNNNNNNNNNNNNNNNNNNNNNNNNNNNNNNNNNNNNNNNNNNNNNNNNNNNNNNNNNNNNNNNNNNNNNNNNNNNNNNNNNNNNNNNNNNNNNNNNNNNNNNNNNNNNNNNNNNNNNNNNNNNNNNNNNNNNNNNNNNNNNNNNNNNNNNNNNNNNNNNNNNNNNNNNNNNNNNNNNNNNNNNNNNNNNNNNNNNNNNNNNNNNNNNNNNNNNNNNNNNNNNNNNNNNNNNNNNNNNNNNNNNNNNNNNNNNNNNNNNNNNNNNNNNNNNNNNNNNNNNNNNNNNNNNNNNNNNNNNNNNNNNNNNNNNNNNNNNNNNNNNNNNNNNNNNNNNNNNNNNNNNNNNNNNNNNNNNNNNNNNNNNNNNNNNNNNNNNNNNNNUUAUGAUUUCCUCUAAUUACUUAAAUAUUUGUAUAAUAAUUUAAUUAAAAUAGUUGGUUAGAUAUAUAUAUAUAUGCCACGUGGCACAUUGAAACUUCUUUUGUAAGUGCGCCACGUGGCAUCAUAUGGUUCAAUUGGAACAAUGCUUCCAAAAUUAUAUAUAUAUAUGAUUUUUUUUUGAUUAAACAGGGUUGAACCCUGUUUUAUAGAGAAGUACAAAGACCCCAGGCCCUUCAGUUUGUUCCACAAAGCAAAAAACAUCUCCCAGUUGAAAGGAAACUAUACCCAUUAGAAUAGAGAAACAUCACAGGACUUUGUAAACAAACCAAAAAAAGAAAAGAUUGAACCCGAUUCAGCAAACGUAGUGUCCGAGCACAGAAUUCCAACUAUUGGCUGUGUCAAGGAUUCUUCUUCCCAGAUUCUGAGUUUGGCUCGUGCGAUUUUCAAAAAUUCUUCUUUUCCGCUCUUUCCAUAACUCCCAGCAGGUCGCUGCAAAGCAUAGAUCAAAGAAAAUUUUAUUUUCCUCCGGCCCGCACCGUCCCUCUCUGCCGACGCCAUCGAUCAACAAUCCCUGCGGAGUGGCUGGUGAGCAAAAGAAGGCCAGGUGGAGUUGUUUGCAGCAACCAAAUCCACAUAGAUCUAGCAAAAGUGCAGCGCAACAAGAUAUGAUCAAUAGUAUCUUCAUCAGAGUUGCAAAGUGCGCAGAUUGAAGGGCCGAUCCAUCCACGUUUGGUCAGAUUGUCAGUUGUUAAGACCUUGUUAACCCUGAGAGGAAUCUUAAGUUUCCACAGGAACGGUGUUAAGCAGUUGCUGAUACUGUCGUAAAUAAUAAGAAAAUUGUAAGCGCUUCUUACUGAAACUGUCGUAAAUAAGAAAAUUGUAAGCGCUUCUUACUGAAACCCCCCCNNNNNNNNNNNNNNNNNNNNNNNNNNNNNNNNNNNNNNNNNNNNNNNNNNNNNNNNNNNNNNNNNNNNNNNNNNNNNNNNNNNNNNNNNNNNNNNNNNNNNNNNNNNNNNNNNNNNNNNNNNNNNNNNNNNNNNNNNNNNNNNNNNNNNNNNNNNNNNNNNNNNNNNNNNNNNNNNNNNNNNNNNNNNNNNNNNNNNNNNNNNNNNNNNNNNNNNNNNNNNNNNNNNNNNNNNNNNNNNNNNNNNNNNNNNNNNNNNNNNNNNNNNNNNNNNNNNNNNNNNNNNNNNNNNNNNNNNNNNNNNNNNNNNNNNNNNNNNNNNUCUUCAUCAGAGUUGCAAAGUGCGCUGAUUGAAGGGCCGAUCCAUCCACGUUUGGUCAGAUUGUCAGUUGUUAAGACCUUGUUAACCCUGAGAGGAAUCUUAAGUUUCCACAGGAACGGUGUUGAGCAGUUGCUGAUACUGUCGUAAGUAAGAAAAUUAUAAGCGCUUCUUACUGAAAAGACCCCCCGGUGUUGUUCAAACGCCAAACGAGCGAAUCAUUCGGGGAUGCGGUAAGAUCUAAGGUACUGAUCAAAGCUGCAUGCCAACUGGUGAAGCUCUUGUGGUUCUUCAGGACAUUGAGGAGAAGUAAAUCCCAGGGUGGUGGCAUGCGACGCAAAGCGUCGGACCCAAUUCUUGACUGAGAUCUCUUUAUGAGUUGAAUUAGUAUAUACGGUAUUGCGGAGUAAGAUCCCCACACCAUCUCACAGUCCAAAAGGGCGUAACCUCCUAUGUACCUAUUUACACUUUCAAAUAGGGUAUAUCUCUGUUUAAUCAAAAAAAAUAAAUAAAUAAAGGGCGUAACCUCUCCGUCGCCGAGAUUUUCAAAGCUGCUUCAUCCUCAUGCGAUUGAAUGAAUGAUUGCUUGUUGAUAUUUUCACCCAAAAUCUGUAGCAGAGAAAUUUUUUUUUAGAGAGAGCUGCGGAGAGAGCUUGUUUGAUGAAGGAAGCAUAAAUGCAUUUAUCCUUUUACUUUAUUUUUAGAUUAAAAUACAAAAAUAAAAAAAAAUUCAAUAAACAAUUAUUUUUUUGAUUUUUUUUUCUGACUUUAAAAAAUUUAUGUUUUAUUUUUCAAAAUUUUCAGUUGAUACAUUUAGCCAUCUUUCGUGGUCGCUAUUUUAUCUAUUUCUUAUAAUUCAUACCAAAAAUACAUAAAAAAUAAUAUAAAUAUAAUAAAAAAUUAAUUUUAUUGUAUUUAUAUUAUUUUUACAGGCAUAAGGAUUGUUGUGCUUGUUGAAAUGACCGGCAUGUCCCGUAUUGGUGUGCGUAAGAGAGACAGAAAAGAGGAUUUUGAAUAAGAAAGAGAAAAGUAAUGAAGGGAGAGGAGGUAGGUGUUGAUGAAAGAGGAUUUUGAAUAGUUUACUUUGGAAUGAGUCAAUUCGGGAUUCAAAGCCGAAUUGGAUUAUAAAUAGAUUUGGCCAUUCCCAUUCUGGAGUGGAAUGAGAAUCGGAAUUCGAUUCCUAUAAAACAAACGGCAAUUAUUGGAAUCAAUGAAUUUCAUUCUGAUUCCAUAAUCUAAAAUGGGUGAACCAAACAUGCCCUAAGUACGAUGAUUCUAUAAUAAAGAGAAUAUAAGAUAUACAAUGCACUUUAGAGUGUAUCAGUAGCAUUAAUUACUCCUCAACUAUAUAUGCCAUAUCUCUAGUAGCUAGCAAACCAAACUUUACUUUAUAGAGACCCUCUCAACUUUCAAUUCAUAUCAAACUAAUUGAAAUUUUAUUUGAUAAGCAACAUAUAAUUUAUUAAAUUCAAUAAUUUUAUUAGUUAAUUUCUUAGCUGAUGAUAAAACAGAAAUAUUAAUUCCAAUGCUGAACACAUGAUUUUUUAGUUUUGAUGAAACUCCUAAUUAGAUAACUGAAAUAACUUUAAUCAAAAUAAUCUCAAGUUGAUCAGAUAUAUCAAUAUAAAAAUACCCUAUAGUUAAGGGUUCCCAUUACAUUUUUACUUUUAAAAAUAUAUAUGCACUUAUUUCUAUCCCUCUCAACUCCGUCCUCUCAAAAUAAUAUAUAUAUAUAUAUAUAGAGGUGGUCGUUUAAUCCUUCUCAACUCCGUCCUCUCUUCUAGUCCUACUUAUUUCUCCUCCAUCUUCCUUUUGGGUUUCAUUGUCUCGCAAAAUGGGAACAUAUUUGUAGCAUAGUUAGUUAAUUCGGAUUCGGCAAAAAUUCGGUACGGGUAUAAUUCGGAUAAAAUUCGUCUUCUAAUUUCUAAAUUCGUUCAAAAAUACGGCUAAAAAACGGAUUCAUCAAUUAUUCGGAUACGUGAUUUAUACGAAUAUUAUACGUUUACCAAUUAAAAAUUCGGGAUAAAAAAUUCGGCUAUUAAAUUAAAUUUUUUUUUCUCAAAAUUUAUGCUAUUAGCAUAAAUAUUCAUAUUUUUUAAAAAAUAUAAGAAUAAAUAACUAUAAAAUUAAGCUAAUUAAGUAAAAAUUGGGAAAGAGUUUUUUUUUUUUUUUUUUUUUUUUUNUAGAUCUACGCCUUUGAUCAUUUUCACCCGUUAGAUUAUACUAUUCAACCAACCACCCACUUAACCCUAGGGGACCCACAUCAUCUUAACCGCACAUCCCUUAAUCCAAGGGCUAAAAACUUACAAGCACCAAUGACUCGGUACUUUUAAAAGCAUAGGAGCUCAAUUCUAUAUAUAUAUAUAUAUAUAUAUAUGUAUAGGUGGUCGUUUAAUCCUUCUCAACUCCGUCCUCUCUUCUAUCCCUACUUAUUUCUCCUCCACCUUCGUUUUGGGUUUCACUGCCUCGCAAAAUGGGAACAUAUUUGUAGACCUAAGACGGCAGGGGGAAUUGGAAUUAGAGAUCUCCGAGCCGCGAAUGCAGCACAAUUAUUGAAAGGCCUCUGGAGCUUCUAUUACUCUCGCAACCUGCCGUGGGUUAAAUUACUGAGGCAAAAGCACUACAAACACAACCCUGCGGAUCCUUCCUCUAAUUCUGAAACUUUACAGCACCUACUGCUCCAGUGCACCUUCGCCAAGUCAGUAUGGACGAGAAUUCUGCGUGGCGCUAGCUCCGGCUAUGCUUCGACAGACAUUUGAUGCCUCGCAAGGGUUAACAGACACAUGGUGUAGGUCGAGGAGGACACUGACGGUGGCAAGGAAAAAACAUUUCGAUGUUGGGUUCGUUCGCUGCAGCAUGCUGGGAGAUACGGAAAGAAUGGAACAGGAGAUUAUUUGAUGAUCAAUCUGAAGAUUGCGAAAGACUGAGGAAAAGUUUCAUUUUGUAAAGGGCACCCUGUCGAUUUCUUUCUUGCUGAUCUGGGAAUAGUUUUAUUUUAAUUUGUAAGGGUAGGCUGUUGAUUUGGUUACUGGGGAUCAGGUGGGGGAGCUUUCGAGCAGGUGUUUUUUUCCGUCCCUGUAACUGCUAAACUUUCAAAUAGAAUAAAUCCCUGUUUAAUCAAAAAAAAAAAGGGCAAUUUCAUCCAUAGCCCUCUAAAAUUUAUAAAUUUCGUUGAUACCCCUACAAAAGUUAAAAUAUCAUGCAUACCUCUUGAAAUAUAAAAAAUUAUCAUAAAUACCCCUACUGUUAAAAAACCGUCAGUUUAUCCUGAUCAAUAAGGUGUAAAGUAAUGAAAUGACGAAUUUACCCCUAAUUUGAUACUACUUGAGAAAUGUACUGGAGAUCCCUCAACUAUAUGCUAUUUUGAAAUAAUUCCUUUAUUAAGUAUGCAGUUUUUUAUUAAGAUCCCUUAACUUUUAGUUUUUUAAAAUUAAGAGAUUUAGUGUAAAAAAAGAAAAUUUAUUAAAUUUAACACAACUUUUCAGCUAAAAUAACUAAAAUAAUUUAAUUUCAAUAGGUAAAAUGUAUGGAGACCCCCUCAACUAUGGAGAUUUUGAUAUAGGCCCAUCAACUUUAAAUUUUUUUGUUUACACCCCUUUAACCUCUACUUUUUUAUUUGAGUUUUUAUAUUUAUUUCAUUAUUAAUUUUAAUAAAGUUAAUAAAUUUAAUAAAUUUCUCUUUUUAUUAUCCUCUCCAUUAAUUUUUCUAUUAUAUCAGUGAUAAAGUUAAAACCACAAAGUACUAAUAUAAAAAAUUGGUAAACCACAGGUGGGGUAUUUGAAGUUUUUUAUAUAUAAUUUAAUGAAGAGUUAAUGGGGGUGCCAAUGAAAAGUAAAAAACGAAAAUAUACAGCAUUACAUAUUUGAAAUAUAAUUAAUAAUUAUACAUUAAAAUAUCACAUCAACUUACCAUCCAAUUUGGCCAUCGAUAGAAUCACCAACCUUUACUAUGUGGUUGUUUUAACAUCUAAAUUCGGCACGGUAUACCACAAUCACAAUUAGAAAUUAGGUUAUGAGGUGUUGUAAAAUAUCGGCUACUUAGUAGGCUUGUUGCUAUGUGGAGAGAAUAAGAGAGCAUUUAUGAAUAGUGUUAAUAUACCCGUUAUGGCUUCCUAUACUUAAAUGAACUGUACAGGGGUAAAAAUGGCAUUUAUAAUUUGUUCGGUUAGAUUUUGACGACCGGCUAACAGUAGGGGCAUUCAUGAGUACUUUUUGAAUUUAGAAGGGCAUUCAUGAUAUUUUCAACUUUAGAGGGUUAUUGAUGAAAUUUCAGUCUCCCAUAGGGGUACCUAUGAAAUUUUUCCAAAAAAAUAUAUAUAUAUGUACUUAGCAUCUCCUGCUGUACAUAAAAUAAUAGAUAGAGAGCUAUAUAUAUAUAUAUAUAUAUAUAUAUAUAUAUAUAUAUAUAUAUAUAGAUAGAGAGAGAGAGAGAGAAAGAGAGAGUGAGGCUACUAUGCUAUCGGAAGUACGGAGCAUUCCGUGCUUCCAGCUCGUUUUCGAUGUUGCGACUUUCGAAUCGUCGAUCGGCNNNNNNNNNNNNNNNNNNNNNNNNNAAUUAUUUUUUAAAUUAAAAUAUCAAAUUUUAAAUUUUGUACAAUUUUGAAAUUUAAAAAUUUUAAUUUUAAUUCAAAUUUAAAUUUAGAUUUUAAAUUAUUUUAAAAUUAAAUUUAAUAAAAAUAUUAAUUUAUACAGACAUCAAAAAAAUUUUGCCAAACAGUUUUUUAAAAUCACUUCAGAAAAAUCACUUUUAUCUAAACUCAGCUAAACGCUCUACAGCUUUUAACCAAAAUCAUUUCUCCUAACUAAAAUCACUUUUUUAGAAAUCAUUUUUUCAGAAGCCAGGCCAAACGGCCCUAACUCCUAAUGGAGGUGGCGAGCAUAACCGAGUUAUCUUCCAAUCUCUUUCACACACACACACACACUUAAAACAUGAUCUCCGUGCUUUCAUAAGCAUACCAGCACAACUCUUAAAUUAAAGGCUCCUAACUUCAAUUAAUAGAUGAGGAAAUCCAAACACAUUACCUGUCAUGCACUCCAACAAAGAAAAAAAGGAAUAAAAGAGAAAAAAUAAAUAAAUUGAACCCCAGUAUUCUUGACCUAACACUUGACUCCAACAGUAGCUAAUUAAUUAGCGGGGUAUUAAUAAAGAGAAUUGGAACAACUUCGUUACCUUAUCCACGCAUGGACCAGAGCAACAAUACAAUCAAUUAAUUCAACUUAUAAUAUAGAAAAAGAAAAUGAUUGUUAAUAUCGUAUCCCCUUUCCUAAUCUUUCUCUAUAAAUAUAUCCAUUCCUAUCCACAAACGGUUCACUAGGAGCAGCCCAUUCCAUUUCAUGUGUUAGAGAUUUACUCAUCACUUUAAUUUAUGGCAAUAAAGAUAAUUAAUUCUCUCAUCAUAAGCUCAUAAAUUCAAUCAUCUUUUUCAUAUAUUAUGACCUUCAAUAAAGUGUUCUUUUGAGUUUCAUGCUUAAACAUUAGAUUGAGCUAGCUUGAAAUAGUAAACAUGUACAUGCCGAACUUAUCAGAACUAUAUACGAUCCAUUUUCAUCCAUCAACUAUAUAUUUAACAUACCGACCGUCCCUAGUGCAAAUGCCAAAGGGCUUGAUGGUUUGUACUUGAAAAAUUAAAUGGUUAGUUUGAUCAAGCGCAACAUAGUUUCUGGAUAAGUUUCGUAUGUUUUCAAUUUCCAGCUGAGAAUUACUAAUUUGUUUUUGUGUUGAAUAAUAUAAUUACUAUAUGUUGUAAUGUCAAUACUAAAAGGUAAGUAAAUUGAGUUGGGGAAUUGACUAAUAUGUGAUGCAGCAAAAGAUGGAGAUUAAGGUGCAAGUGGAGUGCAAAAAUGUGAGGCAGGCAACAUGCCAUGAAGAUUGCUUCACUAACAGAUGGUAAUUGGUGCUCCCAAUAAUUAAUUACUUUUUUACACCUUACAUUUGGUAUUAUUUUCAUUACAUUUUUUAUUUUUGAGAGAGAGAGAGAGAGAGAGAGAGAGAGAGAGGAGGGGAAGCAUAUGUUGUCCAUGCACUUCAUUCUUUUUUAAAAAAUAUAUAUAUUUAUCUGAACAUGUGAAGUUUUUAGAUUUUGAACUUAGAACUUCGAAUAUCAACCAUCAAAUUUUUUGCCACUUGGAUUAAGAGUGACAGUUUGUUUUUUUUCCUCCUCAAGAGUUAAUAUUGUCUAGAUAUUAUCAAAACGAUGUGCAAACCGAAACAAACACGUAUAUAUAUAAAUAAUAAUACAAUUAUGGUAUAGUGUUGAGGUAUAUAUGAGAAAAGAAUAUAUAUAUAUAUAGAGUGAGGCUACUAUGCUUCUGAGAGCACGGAGUCUUCUGUACUUUCAGGUUGUUUUUAAUGUUGCGACUUUCGAAUCGUCGAUCGGCUCCGUUAAACUUGAUCUAGAGUAUUUGAAAUACCUAGAAAAUAAAUUUUGCAAUUUUUCGAUAUCAUUUGCCUGGUGAAUUAAGGGGCUCAAAAUCAACGACUGAAAAUAAAAAUCUUACAAAACGUGAUAAUAUGAUAUUAAAAUUUUAGAUCAAAGAUAUUGAUUUUGUUUUAUAUAGUAUAAAGAAUUUUCUAUCAAAAUUUCACGUGAUUUGGAUAUUUCUAUAUCGUUAAACUUGCAAACGACUCACCACGGCCAUUAAAAUUAUUGAUUUUGAGUCCUUCGAUCACUAGGCAAAUGAUAUCGAAAAAUCAUAAAAUUUAUUUUCUAAGUACUUCAAAUACUCUAGAUCAAGUUUAAUGAGCCGAUCGACGAUUCGAAAGUCACAACAUCGAAAACGACCUGGAAGCACGCUAGGCUCCGUGCUUCCAGAAGCAUAGCAGCCUCUCUCUCUCUCUCUCUCUCUCUCUCUCUCUCUAUAUAUAUAUAUAUAUAUAUAUAGUAAGUCUCCUGUACUUUCGAAAGUACGAAGAUCUCCGUGCUUGUAAGUUAUUUUCGAUGAUAGGAAAUCCGAUUCGACGAUCGGCUCCGUUAAGUAUAAUCUAUCCUAUUGAUACUAUUUAGAAACCAAAUUUUAUAAUUUUUUGACAUCAUUUACCAAGCAAUCAAAAGGUCUCAAAAAUGACUAUUUUAAUGGCCGAUGUGGCACGUUUUUAAAUUCAACGGUGUAGAAGUAUUCAAAUUAGAUGAAAAUUUAAUAAAAAAUUUUACUUAACAUCAAUAGCAAGACCAAUACUUCCGAUUUGAAAUUUGAGUCCUUUAUCACUAUUUUUUAUAAGAUUUUUAUUUUUAGCCGUUCAUUUUGAGGCUACUCGUUUACUAGACAAACGAAAUUAAAAAUUUAUAAAAUUUGGUUUCUAGAUAGUUCCAACAGCGUAGAUCAUGUUUAACGGAACCGAUCGCCGAAUCGAAUGUCCCAUUAUUGAAAACAACUUAUAAGUACGAAGGCUCCCGUAGUUUCAAAUGCAUAGGAGCCUAGCUUAUGGAAGCACGGAGCCCUCCGUGCUUCCCAGUUGUUUUCGAUGUUCGGACUUUCGAAUCGACGAUCGGCUCCAUUAGAGUUGAUUUAGAGUAUUUGAAGUACCUAGAAAAUAAAUUUUGUGAUUUUUUGAUAUCAGUUGCCUAGUGAUCGAAGGGGCUCAAAAUCAAUAAUUUUAAGGGCCGUGGUGAGCCGGUUGCAAGUUUAACGGUGUAGAAAUAUCCAAAACACAUGAAAUUUUGAUAGAAAAUUCUUUAUACCAUAUAAAACAAGAUCNAUAAAAAUAAAGGAGCUCGAAAGCAACAACUCGUAGAAUAAAAGGGCCGAGUCGCUAGCUUUACCUCGGCCCGGCACGGCCCAGGCCCGUUUCGGGCCGUGCCGUGUCGGGCCGUCGGGCUCCAAAUGUGAGGCCCAGCACGGCCCGAAGUGCCUGCCGGGCCCGGCCCGGCCCGGGUGCUAUAGUGGCCGUUAAACAUGAUCUAAACUAUUUAAACUAUCUGGAAAUCAAAUUUCACACAUUUUCGAUACUGUUCUCUUGUCCAUCAAGUGAACAGAAAAAUGAAUGGCUGGAAAUGAAUAUUCUUCAAAAAAUGAUGAUACAAUUUUUAUAUUUGAGAUCUAGAGUCUAGAUCUUAUUUUAAAUAGUUUAAAGAAUUUUUUAACAAAAAAUUAAUUGAUUUGAACUCUUCUAUACCGUUAAACGAGCAACCGCACCAUAUCUGCUAUUAAAAUUAUAGAUUUUGUGACCCUUUGAUCGUUCAGUUAGUGAUGUCAAAAAAUCAUGAAAAUUGAUUUCUAGAUAAUUUAAAUGGUCUAGAUCAUGUUCAACGGUGCCGAUCGUCGAUUUGGAAGCUCUAUCAUCAAAAACAAAUCGGUAAUAAACCGAACAGUUUACUACCGAUAGUAGCCCAGUCAAACUCUAUAUAUAUAUAUAUAUAUGUCCAAAUAUAAACAUUACAUGUAGGAGCUUUAUUGAGAACUUUGAUGCCAAAGUUUGGACAAUAAGUAUAUAUACAUUCGCGACUUAAUUAGAUGCUGGGUCUCCGACUAGUUAUGCAUUUCGCCCUGUUCUAAACUAAAGGCUCUUUAAAUGUUAUGGACUAUGUCUAUCGAGUUACAUUUCAUUUCAAGAGCAUAUCAUUGCAUGAAGGUAUAUAUAUUCUGGAUACAGACACUACAAAAAAAAAAUUUAAUAUAAAAAUGCUUUUUAGACGACGCUUGGGGGAAGCGUCUCCAAACGUUUUUACAAUAUAGAAAAUACCAACGCUUCAAAAAGCGUCGUUAUAUAAUAUCAAACAAUUUAUUAAAUGAUGAUAAAUUAAUUUUACUAUUGUUUUUAAUUUUCCGACGCUUCAAAGCGUUAGGAUUUAAAAAAUUCUGAUACUAUAAAGCAUCAGAAUGUAUUUUACCAAGCGCAUCAGAAUGUAUUUUACCGCCGCUUGGUAUAAGCGUCGAUAUAUGCGUGGCGACUCUUCAUUUGCCGACGCUUUCAAAGGUGACGUUGGAAUAUAUUGGGACGUUUUUAAGCAUUGUAAAAUAUAAAAAAAAAAGCGUUAUUAAAAGUAACGUUUUUUUUGUAGUGUGAUCUAGAUAAUAGUUCUUUGCAGUUUUGAAAGGUACGCGGUGGUUUGCGGUGAUCUAGAGCUUUUUUACUGGAAAAAGAAGCUUAAUUAAAUAAGCUUCCAUAAUUAAUAUUAGGGCACAAACCAAAUUAUAUUGCGUAAUUUUUUAGCUUAAAAUUUGCAGGUGUUGAAAACGUGGGAGUGGAGGGAGGUAAGCUGGUGAUAACUGGAACUGGAAUUUACUGGGUCAGACUGCUCAAGUUUUUUUUUUUUUUUUUUAAUUUAAGGGCGUUGUGAGCCGGUUGCAAGUUUAACGGUUUGUAGAAAUAUCCAAACACAUGAAAUUUUGAUAGAAAAUUCUUAUUAUACCAUAUAAAACAAGAUCAAUAACUUUGAUCUAAAAUUUUAAUAUCAUCAUUCAUCAUAUUUUGUAAGAUUUUUAUUUUCAGCUGUUGAUUUUUGAGCCACUUCGAUCACUAUGCAAAUGAUAUCUAAAAAUCGCAAAAAUUUUAUUUUCUAGAUACUUUCAAAUACUCAGAUCAAGUCUAACGGAGCCGAUCGUCGAUUCAAAAGUCCGAUCAUCGAAACAAAGUGGAAGCACGGGAGCCUCCGUGCUUCCAUAAGCAACCAUAGCGACUAUAUAUAUAUAUAGGUGAGACUACUAUGCUUCGAAGUACGGAGCCUUCCGUGCUUCCAGCUCGUUUUCGAUGUUGCGAUUUUCAAAAUCGUCGAUCGGCUCCGUUAAUUGAUCUAGAGUAUUUGAAGUACUAGAAAUUAAAAAUUUUAUAAUUUUACGAUAUUAUUUGCCUAUGUGAACGAAGGGGCUCAAAAUCAACGGCUGAAAAUAAAAAUCUUACAAAAUAUAAUAAUAUGACAUUAAAAUUUUAAAUCAAAGAUAUUGAUCUUGUUUUAUAUAGUAUAGAGAUUUUUUAUCAAAUUCAUGUGAUUUGAAUAUUUCUACACCGUUAUAAACUUGCCAAACGGCUCAUACGGCCAUUGAAUUUAUUGAUUUGAGCCAUUCGAUCACUAGACAAAUGAUAUCGAAAAAUAAUAAUUUAUUUUUCUAGGUACUCAAAUAUUCUAGAUCAAGUUUAACGGAGCUGAUCGACGAUUCGAAAGUCGCAACAUUGAAACAGAGCUGAAGCACGGAAGGCUCCGUGACUUCCGAUAGCAUAGUAGCUCACACUCUCUCUCUCUCCUCUCUCUCUCUCUCUCUUAUAUAUAUAUAUUAUAUAUAUGUCCCAAUAUAACAUUACAUGUAGGAGCUUUAUUGAGAACUUUGAUGCCAAAGUUUGGACAAUAAGUAUAUAUACAUUCGCGACCUUAAUUAGAUGUGGGUCUGCCGAUAGUUAUGCAUUUCGCCUGUUCUAAACUAAAGGCUCUUUAAUGUUAUGGACUAUGUACUAUCGAGUUACAUUUCAUUUCUAAGAAGGCAUUAUCAUUGGCAUGAAGGUAUAUAUAUUCUGAUACAGACAUACAAAAAAAAAUUUAAUAUAAAAAAAUGCUUUUUUAGACGACGCUGGGGGGAAGCGUCUCAAACGUUUUAUACAAUAUAGAAAAUACCAACGCUUCAAAAAGCGUCGUUAUAUAAUAUCAAACAAUUUAUUAAAUGAUGAUAAAUUAAUUUUACUAUUGUUUUUAUUUUCCGACGCUUCAAAGCUUUAGGAUUUAAAAAAUUCUGAUAUAUAAAGCAUCAGAAUGUUAUUUUACAAGCGCAUCAGAAUGUAUUUUACCGCCGCUUGGUAUAAGCGUCGAUAUAUGCGUGGCGACUGUUCAUUUGCCGACGCUUUCAAAGGUGACAGUUGGAAUAUAUUGGACGUUUUUAAGCAUUGUAAAAUAUAAAAAAAAAGCGUUAUUAAAAGUAACGUUUUUUUUGUAGUGUGAUCUAGAUAAUAGUUCUUGCAGUUUUGAAAGGUUACGCGGUGGUUUGCGGUGAUCUUAGAGCUUUUUUACUGGGAAAAGAAGCUUAAUUAAAUAGCUUCCAUAAUUAAUAUUAGAGGCACAAACCAAAUUAUAUUGCGUAAUUUUUUUGCUUAAAAUUUGCAGGUGUUGAAAACUCGGGAGUGGAGGGAGGGAAGCUGGUGAUAACUGAACUGGAAUUACGGGCGUAGACUGCUCAAGUUUUAUUUUUUUUUUUUUUUUUUUUUUUUUUUGAGAGAUAGGUAGCAUCCUAUCUGCUUCAUUUAUUUCAUUUAGAAAUAAACUGUGCUGGAAAUGUGAAUCAACUAGGAUUCGAACUUGAGUCUCGGGUGGGGGUGGCAAUCCAGCUCGCUGUUCGCAAGCCAGCUCGGGUUUCGGCUUGAAAUGAGCUCGAGAUCGCACUAUCGUUUAGUAAACGAGCGCGAACACGAACCGAAUUUUUCGGCGUCGUUAUUAAACGAGCCGAACACGAGCUGGGGUCAGCUUCGCUGUGUUCGGCUCGAUAACAGCUCGAAUACAUAUAUUUUAUAUAAUAUAAUUUAUUAGUUUAUAUUUGUAUAAAAAUAAUAAUUAUAUAUAUAAUAUAUAUUUUUAUUAUUUAAUUUUUAGCAAAUAAAAAUAUAAAGACGAGCUUAAUUAUUAAAAAAACUCAUUUAUAUAUAAAGUUUCAACUAUUAGAUCAAACUCUAAUGGAUAGAUUUUAUAAAUUUUAUUUUUGGGAAAACUUCAAAACCCCUCCGUGGUUUCGUAGUUCCACUUUGCCCCCCUGUAGGUUUUAAAGUGUAUCAAUUUGCCCCUGUGGUUUCGUUUUUUCUUUCGGUAGCUUUUUCGUUAAUAUUUCGUUAAAUUAUAUACAAAAUACUUCAUAUACCCAUCUAGAUUUAUCAAAUAUUCACUUUAGUCUUAAUUUUAACUUUUAUUACUGAUUUAAGGAAAAAAAAUAAUGAAAUUGAUAAGAAAAAGAGAAAAAAACAAAACCACAGGAGGCAAAUUGAUACAUUUUAAACCACAGCGGGGCAAAGUGAGAAACUACGAAACACAGGGGCGGUUUUUUGAAGUUUUCCCUUUAUUUUUUAUAUAUAUUCAAUCUAAUUCUUUUAACUUAUUGUUCGUUGGCCAACUAGUGAGCCAGCUCGUGUUCGGCUCGUUUAUUAAUGAGCGAACACGAGCUGAAUUUUUUGGCUUGAUAUUUAGAGGCCAGUUCUUUCGGCNNNNNNNNNNNNNNNNNNNNNNNNNUUUUUUUUUUUUUUUUUUUUUUCUGUUUUCUGUUUUGAGAGAUAGGUAGCACCCUAUCCGCUUAUUUAUUUUAUUUAGAAAUAAACUUUGCUGGAAAUGUGAAUCAAACUAGGAUAUCGAACUCUGGGUCUAUGGUAGAGAGAGGCAAUCCAGCUCGCUGUUCGGCAGAGCCAGAUCGUGUUCGGCUUAAAAUGAGCUCGAGAUCGACUCGAAAUGAGCUCGAGAUCGACUCGUUCGUUUAAUAACGAGCCGAAUUUUUCGGCUCGUUUAUUAAACGAGCCGAACACGAGCUGGGGUCAGCUCGUCUAUGUUCGCGCUCGAUAACAGCUCGAAUACAUAUUUUAUAUUUAUAAUUUAUUUAGUUUAUAUUUAUAUAUAUAUAAAAAUAAUAUAUAUAAUAUAUAUUAUAUUUAUUUAAUUUUUAGCAAUAAUAAAAAUAAAGGGGAGCUCAUUAUAAAAAAAACUUUUAUAUGUAAAGUUAUCACUAUUAUAGAUAAAAGUCUAAUGGAUAAGAUUUAUAUAGAUUUAUUUUUUAUAAUUCGUUUAAUAAACGAGCCGAACACGAGCCGACCCCAGUUCGCUCAUAUUCUGCUCGUUUACAUCCCUAGUCUUGAGUACCAACCACCAAACUAUUGCCACUUGCUCUAGGGACGAUCGGUGUCAGACUGCUCAAGUUGUUGGAGAAGAAAUUAGGGUGUAUGCAACUCCUCACACUAGCAGAGGUGAAGCCGAAAAAAGAAGAACCAACUGAGCCGCCACCGGAGAAGCCGCCGCCGAAGUCCCCGCCGCCGGCUCCUUGCUCGAAUCCACCUCCUAUAUGUUUUGUGGUUGAUUCCCCUUGCCAGCCCCCAUGGUCUGAUCCUUGCCAUAGUUAGUUAAUUUGGAUUCGGCAAAAAUUCGGUACGGAUAUAAUACGUAUAAAAUUCGUUUUCUAAUUUUUAAAUUCGUUGAAAAAUUCGGCUUAAAAAACGGAUUCGGUAUAAAAUAUAAAAUAUAAGAUAUAAAAUAUAAAAUAAUUUAUAUUUAAAAAUAAAAUUAUAAGUUUUUUAUUUAUAUUUUCAAUAAUUCGGUAAUAAUUCGUGAAUAAUUCGUGAAUUAUUAGCGAAUAAUUCGGCUGGUUUAAAAAUUCGCGAAUAAUUCUCUUUCUUUUGAAAAAUUUCGUAAACGUACCGUUUUAUUUGAAUUUUCAAUAAUUCGCGAAUAAUUCGCCAAUUUACUAACUAGGAUCCUUGCUCCAUUAUGUGAGCAAUGGGGAUUAAUUAAUUAAUGUUAAAUAUAAAAUUAUAUAAACACCGUUCUCUAGCCGCUUAUGUUUUUAGAGUACAAAGACUGUUUCACAUGGUAUCAGAGCAGGAGGUCCUGAAUUCGAAUCACGCCAGGCUCCUAGAAUAUUAAUUUUCUCUUAUUUAAUUCAAGCCCACAUCAUGGGCCGACUAAAAAGUCUCGAGCCCAGACAUGAAGGGGAAUGUUAAAUAAAAUCCGAGGUCCCAAGUUCAAAUCCUAAUUGAUUUAUAUUUUCAGCUAAGUUUAUUUCUAAAUGAAAUAAACAAAGCGGGUAGCAUACUACCUAUCUCUCAAAAAAAAAAAAAAAAGAAAUGGCCAACUAGUGUGAGCACAUGAAAGGAAACACAUAGGUUCGUUUAAAAUUUCAAAGUCUGAAUUUUCACACAAACAGNCUGUGCUUUUAAAAUCAUAGAAACUCAAGUACUUAUAAUUUUUUAACCGUCGGAUAGUCUUAAGAUCCGUACAGCAUUAAUAAAGGAGACUUAAAUAGAUACAAUAUUAAAUAAUACUGUACAGAUUUUGAGAUGAUCCGACAUUUAAAAAAACCAUUAAAAAAUUAACAGUGCAAAAAGCACAUAUGUUGAAUUAGAUUUGAUAGGUGCAAUAUGUGUGAGUUGUACUUAUACACCCAGUGUGGGCAAUAAUAUCUCAAAAAAAAAAAAAAGAAAAAAAAGAGCUUGUUUUCAACAAUAAAUUACUUUUUAGCACAAGUGACCAAUUAUUUAUUUUAGUUUUCCUGAUUUAUACUCUCUGAAUAAUUGCAUACUAUGCUGCUACUAUAUAAGACAAUUAGAAAACCUAGCUAAUAAAACUAACAAUUAGAAUUUAUCUUAAUAUAUAUAUAACAAGCAAACUAAUCAUUUGUACUAUGUUAAUAGAAUAUUUUAAGAAUCCUUCAAACAAAUUAGGGAAAACUUCAAAUACCCCCCUUGUGGUUUCACUCUUUCUCACUUUAGUACUCCGUGGUUUAAAGUGUAUCAAGUUAGUACCCUGUGGUUUUGCAUUUUCUCACUUUAAUACCCUGUGGUUUCACACUUUCUCACUUUAGUACCCUGUGGUUUAAAAACCACAGGGUACAAACUUGAUACAAAAAUAAAACCACAUGCUACUAACUUGAUACAAAAAUAAAACUACAGAGUACUAACUUGAUACACUUUAAACCAUAGGGUACUAAAGUGAGAAAGUGCGAAACCACAGGAUACUAACUUGAUACACUUUAAACCAUAUGGUACUAAAAUGAAAAAGAGUAAAACCACAGGAGGGUUUUUGAAGUUUUCCCAACAAAUUAAUACCCCAACUUGUUCAAACUAAGUGUGCCCGUAAACAAUAAAAUAAAAAUACAAUGUUAAUUUAUCAAAUUUCAUAUUCAAACACUUACUAUAUAUCAAGUCGCAACUUGACUUUUAAAUAUCAAUUGCUCCAAAAAAAGGAGAGCAAAAAUUAAUUAAAUCCAACUUUUGUAAUUCAGAAUUAUUUUAAGAGAGUUUUUUACAUUUUUGAAAUAGUUUUCAUUACAUCUCUGAAAUAUUUUUCAUAGGCUAACAUAUUCCUGCCUAAGAUGUACACAUUGUUAGAUGUGCCUCUAGAUUUUAUUAUCGAUUUCGAUUUUGAACCCUCGAUUCAUCGACAGUUUCACUGUACGAGAAAUUUGAAAAAAAAAAAAAAUUAUAAAGAAAAAGAAUUAGCGUCUAUGAUGGGUGUUAAGAAGCCUCUUUUUCUUUUCUGCUUUAGAUGCGAUACAGCGUAUUGUACUUACAAGAUCUUAUACUUUCUUUUUUUAAGUGAAUUAGUUCUCUUCGAUCUCCUUCUUUCGUAUUCUUUUUUCUAUAAUUUUUUUUUCACAUAAACCCUUAUUUUUAUUUUAUAUUACUGUUUUUGUGAUUUGUCUACUCUGCGAUCGUCAUUUUUCUUUUUUCUUUUUUUUUUGUGCAUUUGUUGUAACACACAUAAUGGGCAAAUUUAUACAUGACAAUGUUUACCAUCAAGUGCAUUACAUUGAAUGAGAAGAGAUCUUCUUAAACCAAUAAAUGACAGAAAUAAACGAAGGAAACUUUUUUUUUUUUUUUUUUAAGAGAUAGGUAGUACGCUACCCAUUUUGUUUAUAUCAUUUAGAAAAAAUUUAGCUGGAAAUGUGAAUCAACUAGGANUUUUAAGAGAUAGGUAGUACGCUACCCAUUUUGUUUAUAUCAUUUAGAAAAAAUUUAGCUGGAAAUGUGAAUCAACUAGGAUUCGAACUUGGGUCUCUAUAAAAUGACAUUAAUUUCCGCUUAUGCCAACUUUGCUAUGCUUUUGCAAAAAACCACGACCGUGAUGAUAACUCAUCUCUUUAUUAAUCCUUUUUAGCACAAAAUAGAGGGUGGAUUUAAUAAAUAGGGACAAUUGCUUAUAUACCCUUGAAAAGUUUCUGACUUUCCGAUUUACCCCUCUUAGAAGGCUAAUAUUGAAAAUACCCUUUCUAUGUUCCAACCUAUUUUUAAUAUACCGCUAGAGUUAAAAUCUGUUAAUUAACUCUGUUAUCUCUAUAAAAUUACUAUUUUGCCCUUUCAAAUAUAUCCUUCCAUCAUCACUGACUUUCUUAUUUAUCCUUAAAGUCAGGGGUACAAAAAGUAUUUUGACUUUUGGUCUUUCCUAAUAUACCCCUCUACCGUCACCAGCAUUUCUUAUUGGCCUUAAGUUAAGGAUAAAAUUGACAUUUUAAUUUCUUUUAACUGUGGUAGAUAUUUAACUCACGUUUAACCCAAGUUAACUCAACAGGAGAUAUCUGUGAGAGUAUUUUGAAAUAACGGUGGAACAUAUGAGAGGUAUUUUAUAAAGAAAAAAAAAAGUAGGAGUAAAUCGAAUAUUUUCAAACAUAUAAAUGGUAUAUAGGCAAUUAUCCCUAUACAUAAAUACAUAAAUUUGGAACCCAGAGGAGGGCUCCCUGUUUUUUUUUUUUUUUUUUUUCUCCGCUUUCGCACACUCUCUUACUCUCUCUCACAAUGCCAACAUCAAUUUUUUUAAAGGAUUAAUGCGCAUUGACCCCAAUCUUUCCACGCUUUUUUAUUUUGGUCCCUAAUCCCUAAACUUUUCAUAAUUUUCACUUUAGUUCUCAAACAAUUUUUUAGAAAAUUAAUUUAUAUAAUAAUAUAAUAUUUGAUAGUUGAAUCUUUUUAUAGUGUAAAAAAUAUCUAUUUUGGUUUCGAAUGCUUUUUAAUUAGUCUUAUUUUUUUUGCUACUGAUAAUUACCUACUGAUUUUUUCACUAAUUUAAAAUUUAUGAAUCAAAUACCUUUUUAGUUGUAUUUGUAACGAUAAAAGUUUAUGAGGGUACAAUAAAGAUGUUGCCGUCAAAAAUACCAAAAAUAGUACUUUCAUUCCACUUAAUUUUUUUAUUUUUAUUUUUUAUAAAUUCUACCUUAAUGAUGAUAGAAAAAUAUUAUUUAUUUUUUUAAUAUUAUAAUGAACUUUUGUUUUAUUUUAAACUGAUUUAUUCAUUUUAUUUAUUAGGUUUAAAUACUUUUAGAAAGAAAUAUAUUUUAAUUUUAUUUUUUAAUUUAUUCUUUAAUUUUUAAUUAUUUCAUACUGAGAUAAAUAAUAUUUAAAAAUAUUAAUGUAUAAUAGAAAAAAAUAAUGUUAGUAAUUAUAAUAAUUUACUAUUAUAUUAUCUCCCCGCUGCAUCGACCUCUUUUUAUUUUGGAGGGUUGUGGGGUCCAAAUCAAUUUUUUUAAGAAUUAAUUGCACAUUGGGUUCCAAUCUUUCCACUCUUUUUUAUUUUGAUCCCUAAUCUCUAAACUUUGCAUGUUUUCGCUUUAGUUCACAAAUAAUUUUUUAAAAAUUAAUGUAAUAAUAAUAAUAUAAUAUUUGGUAAUUGAAUGUUUUACAGUGCAAAAAAUAUUUAUUUUGAUUUUGCACGCCUUUUGAUUAGUCUUAUUUUUUAUGCUUCUGAUAAUUACCUACUGAUUUCUUCACUAAUUUAAAUUUAUGAAUCUAAUACUUUAUUAGUUGUAUGUGUAACGAUAAAAGUUAAUGAGGGCACAAUGAAGACGUUGCCACUAAGAAUACCAAAAAUAGUACUUUCACUCUGCUUAAUUUUUUUUUUUGUAAAUUCUAUUUUUAUGAUAACAGAGAAAUAUUAUUUAUUUUUCUUAAUAUUGUAAUGAACUGUUGUUUUAUUUUAAACUGAUUUAUUCAUUUUACUUAUUAAGUUUAAAUAUUUUUAGAAAGAAAUAUACUUUAAUUUCAUUCUUUUGUUUAUUCUUUAAUUUUUAAUUAUUCAAUACGAAGAUAAAUAAUAUUUAAAAAUAUAUAUUAAUCCAUAAUAGAAAAGAAAAAAUAAUGGUAAUAGUUCUAAUAAUUUACUAUUGUAUUGGCUUCCCGCCGUAUCGUGCGGGGUCCCUAAACUAGUUCUAAAAAUUUGUGACAGCAAAAAAAAAAGUUGUUUCUAAAUUUUUUGGAAACACUUUAAAUAUAAGGAUUGCGAACAAUUUAUUAUUCAUUUCUACAUCUUUUAAGAUGCAAAAUUUCACUUAAAAAAUAAAAAAUAAAUGUAAUAUCAAGAACUAGGCCGGAAUACUGUUAAUAGCACCAAACUAUUCUAAAUAAAAUAAUUAGCUUUAUAUCAUAAUUAGGAAAUUUUUACAAAAUAAACAAACUGUAUAAUUUUGUAAGAGUAUGAGUACCUACUAGAUAGAAUGUGAAACCAGUUUUUUUUUAUUUUUUAUUUAUACAAUAAUUAUAUAUAUAACAUGAGAAAUUUUAUGAGUUGCUAAUUUGUGAUUUGACAAUGUAUUUUUUGAUGAGAAAUUUUAUGUCUAUACAGAUGAAUUGUUGUUUUGCCUAAUUGUUGUUUUGCCAAGUUCAUCACUACAUAUUGUGACUCAUAAAAUAUUAGGUUAGAAAUUUGUUUAAUAUAUGUUGUGCCCUUUGUGGAUUAGAAUCAUAUAUCCGACCCUGAUUAUUGAAUUACUAGGGAAAUCCUAUUAAGUGACAAAACCGAAAAGAUCUAGUUCGUCGGGUGCGAAAAUACCAAAAGAGAUUCGAGAAAGAGAGAAGAAAAAAUAAAUCACACAAUAUUUACGUGGUUCGGCCACCGGCCUACGUCCACGGGCGAAGACGGAGCGGAUUGAUAUAUCUUCAUUGUAAUCAAAGUGGUGUACAAAAUAUGACUCUCUCACAAAACCCUAAUCCUAAAAAUACAUCCAUAUUCUUUCUCUCAUCUUCCGCACUAAAUUAAUGGAAUAAAGGGUAUAUUUAUAAUAGUGGCUAAAUCCUAAUAUAACUAGGAAUACAAACCCACUAAAAUUAGGAAUAGCUCAAUAAAAUUAGGCAUAAUCUAAACUUAACUUAAUGAGAUAAUAAUCAAAACAGAAUAGGAUUAGAAAACCUUGCGCUACUAGAAUUCGAGACAUAUUUAACAGAAUUGGUAAGGAAGUUGAUUCCAUUGAUGCAACUUCUCUUGAAGAUUCCGUGAAGACGAUAAUGUUGGAAGGCACCAAAAGUCAUUGAUUGGAAAUAUUUUGUUCGUUUUACCUUUUCCAUUGGAGCGGCAACCGCCGGAAGAGAUUUGUGAAAAAUUGAGGGGCUUAACUGCGAAUUUCCAUUUUUGAGGGGAGUAAAGGGUAAAUCAUGAUAUUCCAGGGGGUUUCUGCAUUGUAGCAUAAGCAUUAACUACUUAUUGUAACUUUUUCAUUAAUUAGAAAUUUGAUAUGGUGGUUACCAGUGUAACUUGUCUAUACUUCUUUUCUUUUCUUGACAUUGUCAUACCUUUCAUGCUUAUCUAUCUAUAUCCGCUUUGAUGAGGAAACGCCUUCUACCUAACUUGUUUAAGUAACUAAAAAUGUUUAAGUCAAGAAUUUAAGUGCCCAUACCGACUGUAAAGAGAUUAUCCGCAGUAAGGGUCCUUUUUCUGAGGACGAGCUGGUAGAUCACUUUCACUUUUAAUGGUAUCCGCAGUCUCCAUAUCUUGCUAGCACGGGCAUCCCUCGUGCCCCCGUCACACAACAUAGAAUAAGUUGACUGCACCGUAAAGCGGCCGUCAGGAUCCCAUCGCUAAUGCACACUGUCUGGGCCCUGAUCAAUUCUAAGAUUGGAGAUCCUUACCUUAAAUGCUGACAAACUAGAAUUUAAUCCAUGGUCAUUAUUGUCAACACUACCCAGAAUCUUGCACCACCACCAUUCAUUGUUCCUCAAGCACUCGCAGAUUUUGAGAUUUUUGCGAAUCGAUAGUUGAAACACCUCCGGAAAAGACAGUUGCAGUGUGGUUUCCCUACACCAACGAUCUAACCAAAAGUCAAUAUUGCGACCAUUACCCAACUUAUAAAAAAUUCCCCAUUUGAAGAUUUCCUUCUCGCUUAAAAUUCUCCUCCACCAAAAAGAGGAAGGUUUAAAAGAUCUUCCCUCCUCAAUGGUCUUCUUUUAUGGUAAUGCAUAGAAUGAAUUAUUUUGUUCCAAUGCAGUUGAGGCGAGUUGUGAAAUUUCCACCACCAUUUAACUAGGAGCGCUUGGUUCAUCAUGCCUAUAUCCAGGAUGCCGAGUCCCCCUUCCUUCUUACUCCUACAAACGCUUUUCCAAGCAAUUAGACCUCCUUUGCCAGGUGAGUUACGGCCUCCAUUCCAGAAGAAAUCUCUCCGAAGCGCCUCAAUACUGUUGAAUGCCCAUUUCGGUGCCCUAAACUAAAAAUGUUUAAGUCAAGAAUUUAAGUGGUCAUCACCGACCGUCCCUAGAGCAAGUGGCAAAGGACUUUGUGGUUGGUACCCGAGACCCAAGUUCGAAUCCUAGUUGAUUCACAUUUCCAGCUAAGUUUAUUUCUAAAUGAAAUAAACAAAGCGGGUAGCGUGCUACCUAUUUCUCAAAAAUAAUAAAGGAGGCGAUAAAAAAAAACCAUGUAGUCACAGUUUCANAAAAUUUAAGUGCCCAUCGGUAUGGCCCGUGCUGACCAUGCCGUAUUGUACUGCCAAGAUAUCGAUGAGUUUAGACAUUGGCAUAUUGCUAGUUUUUUGUAGUCGGUGUAAAGUUGGUGCAUAUUUGUGAUAAAUUAAUUGUAGACAUGCGACAACUGUUAUGCCUUGGGUUCGGGGCGUGACAUCUAGUGUCGCCAAAAUGUGGAUGUGGAGAUAAUAUGUGCAGAGUUAAUUGACAAGAUAGUAUAAGAAUGCUUAUUUGGCACAAAUUUGGUGUAGAAUCUUAGAGGGCGAGUUGCACGAAAGCUAGUUAAGAUGAUUUUCAUCCCUCAUCUUCGAUGUUCACAUUUUCGCCCUCAUCUUUUGAAUGUCUAGAUGCUUUUUGUGCUAGUUGAGUCAUUUGGGUUUGAUGUGACGAACUGUUUAUUUCUCAGAGUAAGAGGUAGCUGUUGAUCAAAACAGAGAUUGUUUCAGGAGUUUCUCUGCAUUCCAAAAUUAGUGUAGCCAUUUAUUAAAUUGCAGGAGUUCAGAGGCGUGUGAUUAAGGUUUUAAGUGCCCGUCGGUACGGACCGUAUCCACCGUACCGUACCGUACCAACAAGAUACCGGCACGAUACAGACUCUGUGCCGAUGACACAGUUCAAAACCCUCUAUUCUUUAAAUUAGUAAGUAAUUUUCUCAAUAAAGCUCAAAAGAUGUGAUAAAAAGACAUAAUAAAUAGUUAGAAUAUUUUGUUGCUAAAAAAAAUAAAUAUUUCAUGUUACUAUGUGUGGGCACAUAAGAAUUUUUUGACCGGCACGCAUCGGCACGACUCGGCAUGCACCGCGCCGGCAAGUUUCCGGCACGACCCCAUGCCACGGCACUUAAAUCCUUGCAUGUGAUGCUUUUAUCUCUUUCUUUUAUUCCUAGCUCGUUCCCUAGUCAGGACGAAGGUUUUGUCCUUGUCCAUUGAACUAGUUCAAUUGUUUUAGCUUUCCGUUUUAAUUUUUUCUCAGUGCACGUAAUUUUUCUGUGAAAAUUGUAAUGAGACUAAUUAAUCUUCUUCCUUGACGGAAGCAAGAAUAAAGAGAAUUUAUGAGCUAGUUUUAGGUAACAAUGCGGCGAUUCCCUCACUCACAGAUAAAAUUGCCGGAGGAUUCGUAGAAGACUUUGGAAGCGCGCUACCAAAGUCGUCUGAAUCGGUGGGUGGCGUGGUUGCGGAACAACCACUGCAGCAAUCCAUGGUUGGGCUUAGGAGUUCUUGCGGCGACUGUCGUGCUUUUCUGCACUCUAGUGCAGACGCUGAUUGCGGUCUUGUCCUACAUAAACCCACCAUGAUCUUGUCAGAAGCAAGGAUUUAAGCGCGUAUUGGCACGGGCUGUAUCCAUCGUGCCAUAUUGUACCAGCAAGAUAUUGGCAGGAUACAGUCUCAGUGCUGAUGACAUGGCUCAAAAUUCUCUUUUCGGCACGAUCCUGUGCCACGACACUGAAAUCCUUGAUCUGAAGCAUGCUGUAUAUUGAAAUAGAUAUCUGCAUUUUAAAAGUUUUUAUUGUACAAACUAACCUUAAUAGUGUUUUCGAAAUUGGUACCUAUUUUACUACCUAAUCUUAUCGCUAUCUGUAGCAUUCGAUAAAUUAUUCUAUAAAUAACAGGAUAUUGUGUUACAUGACGAAAUAUAUAUUUUUAUAAUGUUUACAAAUACUCUACGGUGAGGUUAGGUGAUAAAAUAAAAAUUCCUCAAAAGUUUAGGUAUCAAUUUCAAAAGCUUUGAAUACUCUACGCUGUGUUUGAGUCAUUUACUUUGUGUUAUGUCCAAUAUAUUACGUACGUGGCUAUAAGUCUCGUAUGUCUGUGUCGGACUCGUGACCGACGUGGACGCGCCAUGAACAUGUAUGCAUAUAUACAUAUUUUAGCCAAAAAUUCAUUUUAAAUUUUUUUGCAUGCAUUUUCAAAUAUGGCUAUAGGUGAGGGGUCUCCAUGCACUUUGGUUUGGUUUGGAUUAUACACACUCUUUCCAUUUUUGUAUGCAUAUAUACAUAUUACAUUACUUCUUAUCACAAUACUCAAAAUUUUGUUGUGUUAAUUAAAAUUUUUCGGCAUGUAAUAUUAUGCGUAAUAACUCACUUUUGAUUCCUAAAUCAUUAAUUAAGUCAUAAGAAAUCUAAUUUACAAAAAUAAGAAUGUCGAAAUCGAUAGGCCGAAUCGAUCCAACCCGAGUUAUUUCCGGUUUAAUUCGGUUCCGUUUGAGGAUAAAUUGGCUCGACUCAGUUUUGGUUUGAAACUUCUUGCGUACUGAACUAGACGCGGAAUCGAAAACACACUUAGGGCGUGUUUGGUUCGCCCCUUUUUUACCCUGGAAUCGGAAUUGGAAUGGACGAAUCUGUUUGUCCGUAUUUGGCAUGCGGCAUUCCCAUUCUAAUUCUGAUUUCCGGGUCAAUGGGAAUCUCUCAAUUACCCAUUUUUCCAAUCUGGCUUAGGAGACGGAUUGUGUGAGACCCCGGGUAGUCCUAUAUAUAAGAUAUAAUAGGGCUAAACUCUUAACCCGGCUUAAGCAUUUUGGGUGGUGACAAGGCCCAAGAGGUUAAGAGAGUUAAGCGUGCUAGGACGGGAGUAGUCCUAGGAUGGGUGACCCCCUGGGAUGUUGGGGCGUCACAGAUUGAAAAUUAAAUUCGGGCAGAAUGGAUUUGUUCGGAUUAAAUUUAACUUUUUUAAGCUUAUUUUCUAAUUAAAACAUAAUUUUAAGUUUAAAAAACUUAAUUAAAAUCUAAAUUUUUAUUCAAAUUUUAUUUAAAAUUAAAAUUAAAUAUAUGGAUUCAAAUUGAAAUUGAAAUUAUAAUUUUAAGUUUGAAUUUGAAUAAAUAAAAAUUGAGUUUUAUGUUUUGAAUUAUCCGUUCAAUCUCAAAUCAUUAAUUUUUUAGAAAAAUAUAUUUAAAAUUGUGACAUCAUUUUAAAAUUUUGACGUAAAUUUUGUCACGCCCCGAAUUACCAAACCCCUUUACCCUUUAAAAACCUUUGUCACAAGAAAGGACCAAGGAGUGUAGUUGAUUCAAUGCAGAUUAACAACAAUUGGUUGUGCGAUAUCCGAACCUGUCAAUAUAAAAUAAAAUUUAAAUACGAAAAGAAUAAUAUUAAAGAAAAUUUAAAUACAAAGAGAAUGUGGUAGAUGUUGGGAAUCUAGUACUCCCCUUGAUACCAGAUUUUGUGAAUCCGCGACAUGCUCUGAUACUGAUUGUUGUUGAUCCGUACUCGCACCAGUACCAGUUGUUGGGAUUCCGCAACGGAAGCGUCAAAUUGAAUUUUUACCGUAAAUCCGUCUCCUUAGCAAAAGCUGAUAAAACCAAAAAGGAGAGAAAAAACCAAACAGGAAAUAUAUAGUUAAAAUAAGAUUCAUUAACCAAGAGAAGAAUUACACCUGACGCUUCUUCUACAUCAAGUAGCUUCAACCCGAGUCAUCUUUUUAAAUCUCUCACCCCUUUGGCCGUACUCUCCUCUCGAAGCAACUAAAAAGUUGCAUACCAUAACCGACCGUCCCUAAAGCAAGUGGUAAAGGGCUUGGUGGUUGGUAUCCGAGACCCAAGUUCGAAUCCUAAUUGAUUCACAUUUCCAGCUAAGUUUAUUUCUAAAUGAAAUAAACGAAGCGGGUAGUAUGCUACCUAUCUGUCACGCCCCGGAUAGCACUUUUUCCGGGCACGCUAAUAGAUCCGCCGUAUACAAGAAAUUUUUCCUGUAUACGAAGCAAUCACAGUAUCUGUAAACAAACAAUGCUACAAACAGUAGCGUAGAGCUGUAAAGAACUAAGCAGGUAGAACCAAAAAGAAAGCAUCUCAAAUGUAUACAUACUAUACAAAGUACAAACCACUCGCUCCAGCGAGUUCAGUAUCAGUAUGUACAUAAUAUCGAAAAAUAAAACUCUACUACCUGCAACUGGGGAUCCUCUAGCACGGCGACUAAUCAGGUAGGGCUCUAGCUCGCGACACCCUUCCCUCGAUCGGUCUCAGAAGCUGCAGCCGCCGGAACAGAAGGCUCUGCAAAACACAGGGAGCAACUGGGCGUGAGAACUACUGUAAAAACAAGUAGUCCUCAGUGGGUACCGCCCUCAACAUCAUCGGCUUACCCACUAAAACUACAGUAGGAAACAAGGCUGGAAAGUAAAGCUGGAAAGAAAUCUACAGCUAUAUGCCACUACACUAUUCUACUGUAUCUAAUAUGCACUUGACCCAAUCGCAUUUCAAACUGAUUCACCACAAAUCUCAUUUGAGCUGUCCAAACGGACCCACUCUGCCUGUAAUCAGCUAUGCUGUACACCACCCCGCAAGUGGCCGGCGCAUAACUAUUUAACAGAAACUGCGACACCGAUCGCACUGAAACAUCAUUCCGGAAUGGCUCUCGUGGGCGCGACCCAACGAGAUUACUGUCAAUCUCAGGCUGCCCUCACAGGCUAAGUCAAGCAAUAGGUCUCACUGAACCACUAACCACUAUCCACGUGCCCUCGGCACAAUCAAAUCUCAAAAUGAUCAAAUCCGGGUCCACCGUCAACCACGACGGCACCCACUAGUCCAGAACAGUCUAAACAUGACUAUAAAAUAAACUCGGCAUCCCAGCACGAGUGUAACAGUAAACUAAACUACCUGGGGUACUCACAACCCGAAUACAACAACUGUAUAAAAAUACAACGGCCCCUAAGGCUAAAUCAGGUAAUUCCACAUAUGCCAGGUUCCGAACGCUGGUUUUCUCCUAUGUUUUAUCCAAGUCCCAUAUGUAUGAUUAAUAACAACUAAUAACAUGCUCCCAAUUCAGUUUAUAUGUCUAAAACAUACCUACUCAUGAAUUUGAGCUAAACAAUAACAACUUAUAAUAUUAACGAUACAUGUCGAUGAACAAUAUUAUAGGAGUAGGAUUCCGAUAAUAAACCCACCUCAAAAGCUAAUCCAGAACAGUGAAAAGUCGAUAGGAGAAGAACUUUUCAUGCUCGCUCGGCCUCCAACGGCACUACCACGACGCACACACGCUCCAACAGAUCGCCGGCGCGAAGUUGACGUCGCUCCAAGCUCAACUGUGGCCUCCACGAGCUCUCCACUUCAAUCUAGAGAGAGAGAGGAAUUGCUAAACAUCAAUAUCCCUCACUGCCUCUCAUAGCUAAAUAGGCCACAAGAUAAUGAUGCAUGGGGGUGCACGUGGCAUCCAAAACCACCCCCAUGCAUCAUCAACCGACUAAGUAAAUAAAUAAANGGCCUCCACGAGCUCUCCACUUCAAUCUAGAGAGAGAGAGGAAUUGCUAAACAUCAAUAUCCCUCACUGCCUCUCAUAGCUAAAUAGGCCACAAGAUAAUGAUGCAUGGGGGUGCACGUGGCAUCCAAAACCACCCCCAUGCAUCAUCAACCGACUAAGUAAAUAAAUAAAUAAAAAAAUAAAAUAAAAUAAAAUAAGGAUACUACACUAUCUCUCAAAAAAAAAAAAUUGCAUACCAUAGAGCUAUAUAUAAAACUCUCCUAAAAUGUACCCCAAUCCUAGUAUAAUUAGGAUUCCUGUUCUAAGUAAUAUCUAAAUCCAUAUGAAUUUAUCUCCAUAGAUUUAAACAUUUAUCCUAAUUCAACUAGGAAUCAACUACAAAGCUAGCCAAAUCCUAAUAGUAUAGAAUUACUGGAGAUUUAGGAGAUCAUCCCAACAAAGAUUUCGUGGAGAGCCAAAAGUGCCCUUAAAGUAUGCGAAUCUAUCCUUACUCCAAUGAAAGAGUUGAUCGAAGGGCUAAGUGAAAGCAUAAAUUUUAGGGGCAAUUGCUUAAAAACCCCUGAAAAGUUUCUGACUUUCUAAUUUACCUUUCUUAGAAGGCUAAUAUUGAAAAUACCUUUUUUACGUUCCAAUCUAUUUCAAAUAUACCCCCAGAGUUAAAAUCUGUUAAUUAACUCUGUUAUCUGUAUAAAAUUACUAUUUUGCCUUUUUCAAAUAUACCCUUAUACCAUCACCGGCUUUUUUUAUUUGUCCUUAAGUCAGGGGCACAAAAAGUAUUUUGACUUUUGGUUUCUUCAAAUAUACCUAACUACCGUCGCCAACAUUUCUUAUUUGCUCUCAAGUUAAGGGCAAAAUUGGCAUUUCAAUUCCGGAAGAGAGAAUUCGAUAAGGAUCACCCCCAUUCUCACUUGGACGUAAGAUUUAGUGACGCGCGCGGUACUGGAAAUUCCGUGUCUGCACAUUGAGGAGAACACUCUCUCGCUUUUCAGGAACUUGAUCGCUUUCGAGCAGACAUGUCCUGAAUUCGGGAACGACGUACUUCACGAGUUAUAUUCUUUUCAUGUCGCAGCUUAUCAGCAUGCCCGACGAUGCCACGCUACUUUCUCGGAAAGGAAUUGUUGUGCAGCAACUGCGUUGCGACGAAGAGGUGUCAACUCUUUUCACCGAACUGCGUAAAGAUGUCGUCCUUGAUUUCGACGGUGAGUACUACCUGAAGUCUAUGUCGAGCGCUUUGGAAGCGUGCUACCAGGGUCGUUUGAACCGGUGGCUGGCCUUAGGAGUGUUUGCGGCGACCAUCGUGCUUUUCUGCACUCUAGUGCAGACGCUGAUCGCCGUCUUGUCCUACGUAAAGCUGCCGUGAUCACAUCAUCGGAACGCUAAACCGACACUUCAGAUAUUCCGAUCAUGCAGCCGUUUUGCCUAUUUUUUCUUCGUCUUCUGGAUAACAUGGUAUCAGAGACAAUUCGAAGCUCCUGCCGUUCUAUAUGCAUAGACCGUUUUCUAUCAGAUUGAUUUUUUGGGUAACAGUAUCAAACGAACCAAGUUGAGUGCUCUUGAUGCUCUUCUUCUCUACAGGUUUUUGCCCUUUUGCUGUGCUAAUUUUGGUCCUCUUCUCAAUUUAUUCUCCAUAGGUUUUUGCCUUUCAAUUGUCUUUGCAUACAAAUUAAUUAUAUCGAAAAAAAAAAAACCAUUUGAAGACAGGGCCAAAAUUUUAUGGGGACAACCCACAUAGUGAGAUAGUCCCAUUCAUUGUUCAUCAUGCUUUGAGAUAUGUGUAAUGGACUAUGGAUGAGACCGUCUCACUUUGGCUGAGUGGAUUGUAAGGUGUACAUGUAGGGCUGGUAAUCCAACUCAUGUUCGCAAUCGGCUCGAAAUGAGCUCGAGAUCGAUCGCACGAACUGGGGCCAGCUCGCUUGUGUUUAGCUCGAUAUAGCUCGAUAUAGCUCGCUUGUGUCAAAUAUAUAUAUUACAAAUUUCUACUAUUUCGAUUUUAGGCCCAUCCAAAUGUAAGGAGAGCAAUAUUUUGUGAAUUUCAGUUAUUAUAUUAAGAUUUUCUUUCAACUUUCUAUCGAGUAGCAAGGCUGACGAUCUAAUUUAUUGUUGGCGAGACCAGCUUGUGUUCGUCUCGCUAAUAAACAAGGUGAACACCAGCUGUAUUUGAGUCAUGUUCUCUGUUAUGUCUAAUGUGUAUUAUAGAUGCAGCUAUAUGAGCCUCGUGUGUUCGUGUCGGACCUGUGUCCGACAUAUUCAAUCUGCGUCUGUGGCGCAUCCUAUAAAAGUUUAUCUUUUUAUUUUUUUUUUUUCUAGGGAAAGCUUCGAAAACCCCCCGUGGUUUCGUACUUUCUCACUUUAGUAACUUGUGGUUUAAAGUGUAUCAAUUUGAUACCCUGUAGUUUCAUUUUUAUCUUUCCGGUAGAUUUUUCGUUAAUAUUUCGUUAAAUUAUAUACAAAAAACUUUAGAUAUCUACCUAGGUUUAUCGAAUAUUCACUUUAGUACCCUUUAAUUUUAAUUUUGUCACUAAUUUAAGAAAAAAAUAGUGAAAUUGAUAAUAAAACGAGAAAAAUGAAACCACAUGUCACUAAAUUGAUAUAUUUUAAACUAAAUUGAUACAUUUUAAACCACAGGGUACUAAAUUGAAAAAGUGCGAAACCACAGUGGAGUUUUUUGAAGCUUUCCUUUUUUUCUAUGCAUAUAUUAUAUGAGAUGAUAAAUAUUUUGACAUUGUGAUGAAUGCAUAUAAGCUCUAGAAUUUUUUUCUUAAAAUAUAUGAACUCUUAUCAGAAUUUAUUAAGUUUCAUUAUGAAAAUAUAACAAUAUUUUGUGAAAUUAGUAUUUUAUAUAUAAUAAAUAUAUAUUAUUGUAUUAAUAAUAUUAUAUUUUAUUAGCGGUGCUCAUAUUUAAUCCGUAUUCUAAUUUUCUGAAAGCUGUCGAUUCGUCGUGUCUGAAUCGUGUUGUAUCCUAUGCCGUUAAUUUCAAAUAAUUGAUUAUGCUUAUACCAUUUGUUACCAAAUAUUUUAUGAAAUUUCAUGAGUUGUUGAAUUUUGGUUUCUUUCAAUUAAAAUGUUAAAUCUCUAUUUUAAUUGGCUGGUUCAAAUUUAUAAUUAAUUUUUCUGAUGAAAUAAUGAUGAGACAUCUAAUUCAAUUUAGUUAUAUCAACUACAAAAUUAUUUCGAAAACUUUGAUUUAAUUUUCUUGGUGUGAUAAAUUAAUUUUAAAAUACUAAUUUUUAGACCAAAUUAAGUGGGAUAGAAGUUUCCAAAUUUUAUUUUCCAUAAAAUAGAAAAUAAGAAUUAGCAAAAAUAUACCAUAAAUAAAAUUAAAAUUACACUAACCUAAGAAAAAAAAAAAAUUCAACCGGCUUGCUCAGAAUCGAGCUAGUUCACUGGUUCGCUGGUUGAGCCAACGAUUUGAAUGAUUCAAAAUGAGUUUUUACCUUAUCCGAUUCAAAUGCUGAACUGAACUGUUUUAUUAACUAUAAUUGAUAAAUGUAUAAUUUCAUAUAAAUUGUGUAUUCGAAUAAUUGGCGAAUCUGUUUUUUAAGCCGUAUUUUUUAACGAAUUUAAAAAUUGAGAUACGAAUUUUAUUCGAAUUAUAUCCGUACCAAAUUUUUGCCGAAUCCGAAUUAACUAACUAUGCACUAGAACAAAAAUGGUGUAGUAAGUGAUCUUUCUCUAUUUCGUUAUAAGAGGUAUUGCACUCUAUUAAUAAUAACUGAGUUUAAGCAUUUUGAGCCGAUGGUUUGAAUCCAACGAAUUUAUUAUUGCUAGCGGGUUAGGUCGUUAUAUUUGUUGUUUCUGAAAGGUUUAGUGGCUAAGUCGAAGAGGUCAAACUACUGGGUAGCAAAAAAAUAGUUGCUUCUGCAAGCUACUCCCAAGUUCUUUAAAUCUCAUAUUAGUACCACCACUAUUAAGGACGAACAUUUGAAAGCCAAAUACUCGAUGCAGUAAAAAUAAAUGCUGAAACAUAAAAAGAAUACCGAGUUUUAACAUGGAAAAACCUCCAAACAGGAGUAAAAUCUCACAGGACUGAUUACGCGACAACAAUUCACUAUGAAGAAAAAAAAUUGCAUGGUGAUUACUGAUUCCAAGGACUCAAACCUAUCUGAUUCUUCUUAAGAUCUCGCAACUCCACUGACUGGUCCACACCCAUGUUCGUAUACUAGAACGCCACAUUCCGAAUCUAUGGAACGCCUCCACUUUGAAUCCACAAAGCCUUUAAUACACAGAAUCCAUGAUGCCUCUGUUCGGAGAAAGUUGAAGAAAGUUGGCGGCGAUUCCUUACUUAAGAGGAUCAUGAAGGAACUGUGGAAGGAGUCUCUGAGCAAUGACCGGAUCAAUUCUCUAUGUAAAAGAGAAAUUAGGGUUCUGCGAAUCGAUCCGGAAGAAACCUGUUGAAGAAAAUAUGCGAAAAAGGAACCAACAAGCUUUUAUUUAGGGUUUCUCUCUGGAUAAAUCUAUCAAAUCCAUGUGUUAGAGAAUCCCUACAUAACAUAUUUAUAACUUUAGAAAACAAAACAAAAAAAAAAACCAAUAUGGAAACUGAGAUUUGCAUGAUUUCGGACCUUCAUACAAAAUUCCAGCAUUUUACGAUUCGGUUCCGAAACUCAUAAGACCGGUUGUUGAACUGAUUCCGUGCGUUUCUCUUCGUUGUGAAACGACUGACCGACGUUCGUGAACAGAAUUUUCGAUGACCAAAGGUGGAAGCUGCGCAGAUGACAAAAGAAUCAAGUUAUUACCGGUCGCGAAGUGAGACCCGUGAUAAGGGAACUGAAAUUUGCAUGAUCUACAAAGUCGAUGACGAUAGGACCGCUUACGAUCCGCUCAUUUUAUCUGUCGGUCCUUUUUGCUCGACGGAUGCUUUCUGCUCGUGUCAUUGUACAGGACAGAAGGGAUCGAAUUAUGCACGCCGGAGGAAUACGACGAGAGUACUGUCUGUCGGGAAAAUGAACAUGCAAAGAAUACGGCAGGCAGCACGAAAAUCAAGACUCCGCGGACCAGGCAUUUGCAGAGCGCGGCAUUCUGUAGUAGUGCAGCGGAAAGCCGCCGUGAUCACAUCGUCGGACCACUAAACCCACAGUUCAGAUAUUCCGAUCAGUCAUUUUUCACACUUUCUUGAUCUUUUGGAUAACAUGGUAUCAGAGCCAGUUUGAAGCUCCCGCCGUCCUACAUACAUAGACCGUUUUCUAUCCGUUUGAUUUUUUUGGCAAACCAAAUUGAUGCGUAUAAUUUAAUUAUAUAUAUUAGAAAAAAAUAAAUAUACAAAAAUAGGGCAAAAAUUUCAAUGGCAAGUACUUAUAGUACUUUUCUGUAGAAUAUUUUUUUUAAAUAAUUUUUACAAAUAGUCAAAGGUUAGGUAGUAAAAUCGAAAAUUUCAAAGUUUAGGUACCUAUUUCUAACGCACGGUAGGGCCAUGUUGUAAAAUUUUUAAAAUACUGAUACCUAUUUCAAAAUGCGCUAUAGUUCAGGUAAUAUCUAUACAUUUUCACUUUUUUAUUGUAUUUAAUUAAUCUUUAUACUGUAUUUUAGAUUUAUUUUUAUUUUUCUAUCUCGUACUAUACAUUUUUUUCUCGUAUAUAUUACUAAAGUAUUAUUUUUUCUCGCCAAUCUCUACAUUUUGUUAACAAAUUUAUUAUUUUAGAUAACAGUUAGCAACUUUAUUAAGUGAUAUUUAUUAAAUAGUUGAAAAAAAUAUAAAAUAAAUCUGUAUGAUAGGCUCAUUAAAAGUUUUUAUCAUUUUUUUUUUUGGUUAUUUUUAUGUAUUUUGUUAUUUUUUAUAUCAAAAUGAGUUGUAUAUAUGCUAUGUAUUUGUUAACUAGUAUAUUUUUAACAGUUUUAUAUAAAAUUAUAGUUUUAUUUAUUCUAAUAUAGGAAUUUUUUUUAAAAAAAAAAGAAUAGUCGAAUCAUGUUUUUGAAAAAAAAAUAAUUAGAAAAUGAAAAUAUAUAAAGUAUAGUGAGUAUGGUGUAAUUAAGUUUUUUUUUUAUAGUGUAUUAAUAGCUUUUUCUUUUUUAUUAUGUUAAUUGCACCGUUAAUCCCCACCUGUCACGCCCCGGAUUACACUUUCCCUGGGCACGCGACAAAUCGCCGUAUACAAAGGAAUUUCCCCUGUAUACGAAGCGAUAGCUGUACCUGAAAUCAAACACUACUACGAACAGUAGAGGGAGCUGCUAGAGAAAACAGAAACUAAACCAGGUGAGUUUCAUAUACUAGUCCAAAUCCAAAAUACAAAGCUACUCGCACUAGCGAGUAGGUCCACUAUGUACAAAAGCUCGAAACAAAACAUCUACCUGAGUAGGCACUCUAGCUCAACACGUCGGUAGGCUCUAACUCGCGACGCCCUUGCCUCGAUCCUGAUCUGGCGGAAGCGCGCAGCAGCGAAACCUGUGGCUCUCAAAACAGGGUAACAACUGGGCGUGAGAAACUACUGUAAAAACAAGUAGUCCUCAGUGGGUACCGCCAAAACAACAUCGGUCCACCACUAAGUCUACAGAAGGGAGCAAGAAUAGGGGGAAAAGCAGGAAAUAAACUCAACCGCUACAAAUCACUUACUAUCAUGCUCUACACUAACCAGCUGUAGAAAUGUCAAAUCUGACCCAAUCCAAUCGGACUGUAAGCAUACCCGUCCCGGACUGUGAAUACACCCGUCUUCCUGCCCGUUGCGCUAUCAGGCUCUAUCCACACUACUGGUCCGUGGAGAGCAAGUCCAACUGGCAUGAGCGACACCAACGCAAAAGCACUAAACCCGCCUCCGGAGUGCACUCGUGGGGCUACCCAACCGAGUAUGCAGCGUGUCUCUGUCGAGCUCAAACAGGCUCCAACUAGCCAAAGUCAAGUGAACAGCGUCAAAAAGGUCUACAAACCAAACCCACGUGCCCUCGGCACAAUCUGUGACCAAAACAAGAAUCUGGGUCCACCGCUAACCCGAACGGCACCCAAUGACCCGAAACAAGCCUAUACUCUGCUGAAAAAAUAAGCUCGGCACCUCAGCACGAGCGUAAAUGCAUCUAAACUUACCCAGGUAUCCAUCGCACUAAUACGCAACGAUACAAUCGAAAACGGCUCCUAGAGCUAAAUCUGGUAGUUUAAGCAUAUACGGGUCAAAACGCAGGUUCUCCUAAGCUCAAAAUUUCAAGUCCAACAUUAUAAUCUAAAUAUUCAUUUCAGCAUGCUUCUACAUUCAUAUUACAUUCAAAAAUGCUAAUCGAUGAAUUAAAGCAUGAUUACAACAAUCGAACCAUACCGUUGACUAACAUGCACUUAGGAGCGAAACCGAUGAUACACCACCUCUAAUCAAUUCCUGGCAGCACGGGACUCCCUCGGCUGUGGCACAACCUGCUGGAUCGACGCGAAAAUGUCCGAGUCUCACAAUCAAGCUAUCUCCAAGCUAUCAACAUCAAAAUCCCAUUCAGUCCAAAUACACAGCAGCAGAGAAGAGAAGGUUUCGACCAAGCUAACCUUCACCAAAAUCCACAAGUAAGGAUUCGUGGAUUCUCGCAGUCCUGAAACUAACGAAUCAAGUUUGUCGAAAUCCGAUGCUCCUACGUCGAGUACGAGCUGAAAUACCAACAGUCGACGAUGAAGUUCAGCAAAAACAGCACUUAAGCUUAAAUCCCAAUUCCAAUGUCAAAACUCACCUAUGAACUCAAAUCAGGUGAAAGAAGGUCUCCAAUUCCAAUGUCAAAACUCACCUAAUGAACUCCAAAUCAGGUGAAGAAGGUCCCAAUUCCAGUGCUGGGUGAUGGUGAACGUGACUCAACUCCACAAAGCCCUGCUUCCAAAGUUCACCCAAAAAGAACUCAAAAACUUACAUUCUGCCACAGCAACAACAGCGGGAAAACUUGAGUUCGACUGAGCUAACCUUCACCAAAAUUCUGUGAAUCAUGGCUUCGUGGAUUCCUUGGAAGUCUAGAAUCCAGCAAACCAAGUUUCGUCGAGAUCCGAUCUUCCUACGUCGCACACGAGUCAAAACACUGAAGGUCGACGCUGAAGAACUACAGAAUCAGCCACACCAUCAAGCUGGAUCAAUGGAACUUUGAUGCAAUUUGAAGCAAAUCCGAGGUUGAGAGGCUAAGAGGGUUUCUCUGUGAAGGAGGGAAGAAAAGAGCAGCAAAGGGACGCUUACCAAGUAUUUAUAGUGAGUUAGAACGAUCCAAAAAGCCUCAGGAACUCAAGCUGCUAUCCAGUGCCCCGGCAGAAACGCGGCAUUUCCGGGCUGCCGAACCAUUUCUGGGCGACCAGAACAAUCCCGACUGCACAAACCGGCCCUUCGGUUCUCUCGCCCGCGGUGUGCUGCGCCCGUAAACGGCUCCGGCGGAGCUCAUCUACCACCCUGCCACGCGUCGAAGGAAGCGAUAUUCACGAGGUGAAAUUUCCGGACCCACUUCUGGGCGCCCGGAAAUAGGAUCCGAAUUGGCUUCCAGUUCAGUUAACUCAACACUCAUUUCUGGGCGACCCUAACAAUGUUCUGGCGCGCCCGAAUCUGGCAAAACUCCAGUUUGCUUAUUUGAGUGCGCCGAGUCCAAUUCUGCAUCCAAUUCGUGCAGAAUUGACUCCGACUUAGUCCGACACUCUCCAGAGAUGUCGACCAGUCUAUAAUACUGAAGCCAAUCCUAUCCAAAUGCUCAGGACACUACACAACCUUUUCUGUUUUCAUUUUAGGCCCUAACAUAAAAAUUAUGUUAAAUUUAACCAAAACAAAAAUGCCACGUGCAAGAUAUGAUACUGACACGUACCGGCAUAAUUUAUGGGGUUUUUAACGGCGGGACUAAUGAAAAAUAAUAAGUUUGGGGCUAAAUUAUAAGAAAAAGGGGAAAAAAAGUACGGGACCAAAAUGAAAAACUAGGUAAAGGUUGGGGACCAACCUGUAAUUUAUUCAUUAUUAUUCCAUAUCACGAAUAUUUAAAUGGUACUUUUACUUGGUAGGAUCUUGACUAGGGCUGGCAAACGAGCGAGCCGGCUCGCGUUCGACUCGUGUUCGCUCGAUAUUCGGCUCGCUCGGCUCGACUCGAAAUUAAAUGAGCCGAGCUUGAACAAAAUAAAAGGCUCGAAAUUCAUUUCAAGCCGAGCUUGAAUAUUACUCGGCUCGUUCAAAUUAGACUCGAAAAGCUCGAAAAGCUCGAAAAUAUAUAUAUAUAUAUAUAUAUAUAUAUUAUUAUAUAUUAUAAUAUAUAAUAUAUAUAUAUAUAUAUAUAGAUAUAGAUAGAUAGAAUUAUGCUACUAUACUAUCAAUAGUACCGAGCCUCGGUACUAUUGAGUUUUCGGCCGUUGAAUGAAAAGAUGUGCGGAUUAGGAUGAUAGUGAUCCCCGUGUAAAUUGAUAGUGGUCCCUAGGAUUGAGUGGGUGGUUGUUUUAAUAGUAUAAUCUAACGGAUGGAAAUGAUCAAAAGGUAGAUCUAACGUAGAAAACUCAAUAGUCCAAGGGCUUGGUAUAUCGUAUAUUAUAAUAUAUAUAUAUAUAUAUAUAUUAUAUAUAUAUAUAUAGGCUGGUGCUACUAUACUCUUAUUAGACCCCAUUGUACUCAUAAAUUUUUAACCGUUGAUGAUGGAUGUGUGUUAGGAUGAUGGUGGUCCCACUUAGAAUGAUAGUGGUCCCCUAGGGUUGAGUGGUAGUUGGUUAAAUAGUAUGAUCUAACGGAUGAAAAUGAUUAAUGGAAUAAUUAAGGGUCGAAAUUAUGAGUAUAAAGAGUCAAUACUCAUAAAAGUAUAGUAGCGGACUCUAUUAUAUAUAUAUAAUGUAUUUUAAUUAUAUAUAGGUUUAAUUUAAUUUGGCCAUUAUUGUUGCCCAUAAAAUAAAUCCAACAAGUACAACCGUGCAAUUGAGCCCAACUCUAAAUUUACAUAACACACUCUCUCUUUCAGACUUUCACUGUUCACGUAACCCUAAAACAUUAUAACAUUCAAAUUCCCAAAUCCCUACUUUUUUCCUCUCUCUCUCUCUCUCUCUCAAACCCUCAUCCAGUCAGGAAGUCACCCUAGCUCACAUUUUUUAUAAUUAUUUGUAUUUGAACUAUUGGACAUGUUGCAUCAAAUUGUAGGUAAUGUUCUAAAAAAUUAAACUAUUGAUUAUAUAAUGUCGAGAAUUUCAAUCGGCUCCGUUUAGAGCUCGAGUCGGCUCGACUCGAAAUUAGGCGUCGCUCGAGCUCGGCUCGAAUUAAUUUCAAGCCGAGCUUGAGCCUAGAUUUAGGCUCGAAAUUAAUUUCAAGCCGAAUUUGAGCUGACAUAAGCUCGCUCGAGCUCGGCUCGUUUCCACCCCUAAUCUUGACCGUUAAAUUUAAAAGUAUAAGGGCGAAAUAAAAAUCGAGUUAAACUUCAGGGACUACUAGUGUAAUUUAUUGACCGAGAAUUAAAAUUUUUGAAAUUUUAUUACCUAAGCAUCAAAUAAUCUAAAAUUGAAUGAGAAAAAUGUUACCAAUUUAUUUUUAGGAAAUUAUGCCUAACAAUUUAUUUUUAAAAUUUUAAAUUGGUCCCUGACUUUUUGAGACAAAUUUAAUAUUUUUUUAUGUUUUAGUCCUUAAAUUUUAAAAUUUUAUUUUUAUGAAAAAAAAUCCAUUAUGAGUGUGUUUUCGCUAAAAUUUAGGAAUAUUACUUUUCCGAUCGGUAAAAUUUUAUAUUUUAGUAUUAAUUUAUAUAUUAAUAUUAAAAUCUAAUAAGGUAUAUUUUUAUUUGAAAUAUUUAAAAUAAAAUGUGUCUAUACACAAAAAAAAUUACAUAUUUUCGAAAUCUAUUAUUCAAACAUCAAUUUGUAAAAAAAUUAGUGCUCAAAAUCUAUUUAUUUAUUUUUUUAUAUUUAGGGUUUUUUUUUUAAAUGGCAUAUUAAAUGAUCAGAAAUCGGGUUGAAUCCGUUGGUUCGACCAAUCCACCCGUGACCUAAUCCAUAAAGCAGUUCGGUUCAGCUCUUUGAAUCGGAUAAGUUAAAAAAAAUCUCUUUAUAUAAUAUUCUGGAUUCUGGUAAAUUAAUAAAAUUAUAAUUUGAGUUUGAGUUUUUUUUGGAGUAUUUGGAUAAAUUAGAUCAAUUGUAAUGUAAAAAAGGAUGCGAAAACAGAAUUCGGAAAAGAACUACUUUCCAGAUGCCCGGAUAGGGUUUAGGGCGCCCAGAAACUCUGUAACUGAGGGGUGGAAUCGAGUCCGGAACCAUAUUCGGGCCCGAAAUUCGGGUGCCCAUUUUCUCCUGUAGUUGCCCGAAACAUCGGCGGUUGGAUAAGUCAGUGAAAUGGAAGUUCGGGCUCAGGAUUCGAACCCCCAAAACCCGAAUCUACUGUAGCAGCCCGAAAGUUUGGCAGUUCGUUAAGUCGGUUAACUGAUGGCUCAGCAUGCUGAUUCAUGCGCUAAGUCAUCGGGUUUUCGGCCCCGUAGUUGGGACCCUAGAAGCGGAUUGGGGCACACUUCUUAUCGAUUCUGGACGACCGAAAGCGUGCGGGAGUGCCCGAAAUGGUACGAAAUGGGGGUUUCGGAUGCCUGAAUCCAAGAAUCAGCGCAUACGGCGAACUAACCUCUAUGUCUAUUCUUUCAUAUCUGCUUAUGAUAUUGUUGUAUAGUUCUCUCUUUAUAUUUGAUUGUUCAUAGCUUGAUAGCUUGAUACUUGAUGGUAGUGAUACUACCUAGAUUUGAGAUUCAGGAUUAUGGAUCAUUACCUGAUAGAUAUGAGACAUACUGUAGAUGAUUGAGAUUGUGGACAUUUAAAUAGUUCAUAUGAUUUGGUUGAUCAUCAUAUUGACAACCAUAGCCUGUAAUGUUGGCUUAAAUGGCGUGAGGCUGGGUUGGACCGAGUCACAUUCGAAAUGGCGUGAGACUGGAUAGGCCGAGUCACGUUCGAAGUGGCGUGAGGCUGGGUGGACCGAGUUACAAUUGAGACCCGUGGGCGCUGUAUCAGUACGCUUUAAGUGAAUUGGUUGUGUAUUUCUAAUAGCUCGAGCUUUUGGAAUUAAUGAUUAGCGCCAACAAUCCGACAUGUAAAGCCACCAUGAGUUGGACAGUUGACAGUGUUGUAUGAUCCUCGGUGGGUCGCUCCCCAAUAGUGCCUCUUCGAAGUACAGCGAUUUGGCAUGGGCCAGAUAGUUGUUGGACAGAGCCUCAUGCAAUGGGCCUCAAUUAUAGGAUGGCGGUGACUGACAUGAGGCGGCACAGGCUUGACCGGACGUAUGAGUUGGUCGCGACGAUUGGGUUUGAUAUUUUUGCUUGCUCUUAUCUGACAUUGGUGCAUACUUUGAUUACUUUCAUGUUGAUUUAUCCUAGAGACUCUUCUAUGACAUGCUUCCUAUUCUUUUUACACAUAGAGGCAUAAUAGUAAGUUUCUUAUCAGUUUAUUUCAUACUAUGUUCAGUUGAAAUAUGUUCAGUUAGUCACUCUUCUAUUAUUAUUUCUAUUCUUGCCUCUAAUAUACCUAGAAAUCUAGGUCGUCGCUAUCGUCGACUGUACCUACUGAAAACUAUUAAGUACAGUUCUCGCACCCUCUAUUAUUGUUUGUUUUUUAGAGUAUUCAGUACCAGUACCAGAUCGCGAUAGCAGAGCAGCGAGUUAGAUAGUACUUCCUACCGUGAUGUCGGUCACUAGAGAAGACCCAUUGGUGAUAGAUAGCUAAUAUAGCAUGGUUCUCAUAGGUUUGUGAUACGCUUCGGGUGUACGGGAAAAUUCCUCGUGCUUCUAAUGGAUCUAUUAUGCUUCGAGGGGCUUCCGCUGCAGUUCUAAGGCGUGACAUUUUAAACCGUUCGAACAGAUAGUUCAACCUUCGAACCAGUGAAUUAGUUCGAUUAUUAGCAAAUAGGCCGAAUUUUUUUUUUGAUAAAGUUAUAUUAAAAUCUAAUGGGUUAAAUCAAUUUAGCUGAUUUUAUUUUUUAUUAUUAAAAAGUGAAGCUUAAAACCUUAUAUUUACUUAAUUUGAUUUAAAAAUCAGUAUUUUAUAAUAAAAAAUGACACUAGAACAAUAAUAUAUAUACACUUCUCUAUAUAAUAAAAUUAAAACUAAUAACUUUUUAGGAUUAAUAGUUAGCGCUAACGAUCUGCCACAAGACAUGUCGGAUUCUCCCAUAAACACCUCUUUGACCUUCUUUUUUGCUACCAUAAUAAUAAAAACAUCAUGUUGGUUUGGAGAAUCUGUUAAUGUACUAUUUUUAUUAUUAAGUAUGAAUUUUUAAUUUUGAUAACUUAAUUACACUCUAAGCUUUCAUGGUGAAAUUGCAUGUGAAUUAACUCUUCACUUAACCUAUAUUUUUUGAACUCGUAACUAAAGGGGUGCAACAUAUGUACAUACAGUCACACCUAUAUAAAGUUUUAUUUGCUCUUUGGUUUUGUUUGGUUCGGGUAUAAAUAAGAACUGUCUAUUUUAGGGAUAGGUACAAGUUUAGAUAUAUGCAAAAAUUAAACUAAUUUUGCGUUUGAAUGAAAAUUGAAUUAUUUCCGGGAAUAAAAAAAAUAGCGUUUGGAUAGAUAAAAUGAAAUAAGAAAAAAUAGUGGGUAGUUAUAAAUAGAAAAUAUUAAUAUUGCCCCUCAUAUUAUACUUGAAGUUAAAUUUUUAAAUUUUUAAAUUUUAUAUUUAAAUUGUUAAAUUUAAAUAUAUGACUUUUAAAAUUCAAAAAUUCAAAAUUAUAAAUUUUAAAAUUUUAAAUCUCAAAUUCAAAAAUUCAAAGUUCUAAAUUUUAAAUUUAAUAAGAUUAAAUCUAAAUUUAAAUAUAUAAAAUAUUAAAUUUUAAAUUUAAAAAAAAUUAAAAUUUAAAACUGAAAAUAUAAAAAUUUAAAAAUUAAAAUUAUAAAAUUGUAAUUUUAAGAUUGCAAAUUGUAAAUUUUUAAAAUUUUAAAGUUCAAAUUUAAAUUUAAAAUUUUAAACUUAAAUUUAAAAAAAAAAAAAAUAGAUAGGGAUGGGAACAACUCUUCCCUUCGACACUUUUCACACUUUUCAUAUUAUUUUGUAGCGUAACCUCCGAUUUUUUAAUAUUUACACCAACAUAAUCAGAAGUGCCCUUUAUUCCAACUAAAAGAGUAGUUGAUUUUCACUUCCCAUUAUUGUCUCAUUGCAUGUCAUAUUUUCAUGAAUUGGCUGCAGGCCAAACCAGCAGAGGAGUUGGAGAGCUGCAGGACAAGAGGACUGAACUAUUGCUGUCUGGACUACAUUCCUAGAUUGAACUGCAGAAAAGAACGUUGCAGGAUCAUGUCGAAAAUCCGACAAGAAAGGCUGUCAAUUACUCCGACGAUCGAUCUCACGACGGAAAGCAAUCUGUUUCUUCCGAUGCCCGAUGGAUGCAUUCGUACUCGUGUACGUCUCUGAACGGGGCGCAAUUUUCAUACGAUAGUUGACGACGAUUUAGUACAGGACAUACGGAAGCUAAGUACAGGACUCGGAACCAGCGGGGGUGAGUGUCACGGAGAUUGCGGAACCACCUCACGAGUUACAUUUUUUUAUGCCUGACGACGACACGCUACUUUCUCGGAGAGGGAUCGUUGUGCAGCAGCGACCGCGCUGCGACGGAGCGGUGUCAACUCUUUCCGCCGAGCUGAGUAAAGAUGUCGUAUUUGAUUCCGACGGCGAGUGCCACCGAAAGUCUGUGUUUUCGGUGUUGGAAGAGCACUACCAGAGUCCUCUGAACCGAUGAGCGGCGUGGUUGGGGUUAGGAGCGCUCGCCGCCAUGAUCACAUCAUCGGAUCGAACACUAAACCGACAGUUCAAAUUUUCCAACCAGGCGUUUUUUAACAGAGUAUCAGAGCCAGUUUGAAUCUCCUGCCGUUCUAUAUGCAUAAACUGUUUUCUAUCAGAUUGAUCUUUUGGGUAACAAUAUCAAAUGAACCCAGUCGGUAGAUUUUUUGCCUUUUAGAUAUCUGAUGCGUACAAAUUAGGUAAAAACGUAUGAAACUUAUCUUACCUAACCAUUUUGAUUCGGCUAUCCAAUCUUUUAAAAUUUAGAUUUUACUGCAUCACCUUUCAAUUUGUCUGAUUUGAGCUGGUCAACGGUACUUUGACUUCAAAAUUUGAGUGCGUUGUUUAUUUUUACAGGCUUAGUUAGUAUAUUUUACGUAAUUAGAUUAAAUUUCAGAGUUAAAAUAUUAUUGAUUGAUUCAAAUCGAACAUAUCGAAAAGUUGGAUAGUAAAAUUAAAAUUUUAAAAUAUUGGGUAAAUGAAUCAAAAAGGUUUAUAGACCAGAUAAGUUUCAUAUGUUUUUUCCUGUAAAUAAUGCAUGGGUAAAAAUGCAUGAAGCCCCCUCACAUAUCGGAAAUUCUGGCCCCUUCAACCUUAUAUUUUUUACAUUGACAUGCACCCCCCUCAACUUUGAUUUUUUCGCUAGCUAUUAAGGGAUUUUUAUCAACUAAACAGGUAAAAUUUUAUCAAAUCCUUUAGCAAAUUUCAUCAAAUUUAAUGUUUUGGUUAUUAUAUUUUAGAAAAUAAAACUAGGAGAUUGAGACAUUAAAGUAAAAAAAAAAAAAUUUAAAAAAAACGAACGAGAAAGGCUCAAAUAAAAAAAAAGGGAAAGUUAAGGGGCUUGUCAGUUGAAAAAAAUAAAAAUAUAAAUUGGGGGUGUAUUUCCAAAUGUCCUUAUAAGUGAGGGGUGUCUCCGUACAUUUUUACCUAAAUUGUUUAUAAAGACAUUUGGUAUAUGGAUUUUAGUUAAAAAAAGUUAAAAUACAGAAAUUUUUUUUAUAAAUACUCGUUUUUUACUUUUUUUUCUUGACUUUUAAAAUUUAUAUUUUGCUCCCUUAAAAUUUCAAAAAUAUUUUUAGGAAAAUACGACAUUAAUGAAUAGGAUAAAAGAUCAAAUUAUCCUUACUUUUUCAAAAAGAAAAAAUAAUUUUUAAUAUAUUUUCGUCUUUUUUAAGAAUAUUUUCGAUAUAAAUUAUAAAAAAUGAACGAAAUAAUUAUGAAAUUCUAAACUUGAAAUUUCGGCAAAGUAAAAUAUAGAUUUUUGAAAAUCAUGAGUGAAAAGUGAAAAAGUGGGUCUUUAUGAGAGGAAUUUUCUAUUUUUAGCCCCUUUUUUAUAUAGGGAUAAUAUCUAAUAUACCUUUUAAAACUUUACAAAUAUCUUUUUAUCCAUAUAGGACCAAAAUACUCUAGUUGAUUUUAAAAAAUAAUUCUUCAAAUAUUUUUAUUUUUUUUAGGGUUUACUAAUGGGAUUGAAUUUUAGAAGGAUAUAUUGAUAAUUUCAGAGUAAAUUUGAACAUUUUGAAUACUAGUCACGAGUUAUAUAUAGGGAGAGAGAGAGAGAGAGAGUUUGACUGGGCUACUAUCGGUAGUAAACUGCUCAGUUUACUACCGAUUUAUUUUUUAUGAUAGAGUUUCCAAAUCGACGAUCGGCACCGUUGAACAUUAUCUAGACCAUUUAAAUUAUCUAGAAGUCAAAUUUCAUGAUUUUUUGGUAUCACUAACUGAACGAUCAAAGGGUCACAAAAUCUNCUGAGGGAGAGGGACUAAAUGCAAUAAUUUGAAAUGCUAAAGGGGUAUGGUAAUAUUUAGAUUUUUAAAAGUUAUAAGGGAAAUGAAAAAAAAAAAAGGGGCAUUUAUAAGAGAGUUUUCUAUAAUUUAACCCAAAAAAAUGAAAUUUUGUUUAAAUUCGAAUUUUUCUUUUUGUUUUUGUGGAUUUCUCUAUCGUUGGUUGUUGAGGGGGGGAAUACGUCUUAGGGCAGUGCCGCGUACGUUUCCGGAUCAAAUAUUUUUAGUUUUCGUCUCCUACAAUUUUUGAAUUUUAAGCGCUCACUUGUAAGCUGGUUUAUUAAUUUUACCAUAAAAUUAGUUAGAUAAUUAAUUCGGAUAUUUAGUGUCACGCCCCGGAUUACACUUUUCCCGGGCACGCCGACAAAUCCGCCGUAUACAAAGAAAUUUCUCCUGUAUACGAAGCGACAGCUGUACCUAUAAAUCAAACACUACUACGAACAGUAGUAGAGAGCUGCUAGAGAAAAUAGAAGCUAAACAAACUGAGUUUCAUAUACAUAGUCCAAAUCCAAAAUACAGAGCUACUCGCACUGGCGAGUUAAGUCAACUAUGUACAUAAACUCGAAACAAAACAUCUACCUGCAGUAGGGGCACCUCUAGCUCAGCACGUCGGGUAGGGCUCUAACUCGCGACGCCCUUGCCUCGAUCCUGGUCCGCGAAAGGCGCAGCAGCCGAAACCUGUGGCUCUGCAAAACAGAGGUAACAACNGCCUGCCGCCUUAAUUAAGGCGGUGGAGGUGAUAAGGAUUGGCAAAGACCAGUAUGCCCUUUACCAACUCACAAUAACAAACAAGGAUACUACAUUUAGUUUGAUUUUUUCUAACGUAAAAUAGUUCGAUUUAACCCUUUGAAUUGGAUAUAUAAAUUAAAAUUUUAUUUUGAACCGUUCGAAUCGGUGGUUUAACCAGUGAAAUUGGACGCGUUUGGUCGAGGGGGUUGGAACACAAAAAAUUGCAUUUUACUCCCUUCCGCCGCACAAAAUAGAAAAAGUUUUAGUAGAAACAUUGGAUUUAUUGUAAGGUUGGUCCUCAAAGUUUGCAAAUUUUUUAUUUGGUCCCCGAUUUAUUUUCUGGAAGUUGAUUUUGUUUGAUUUAAAAUUUAUAAAUUUAAAUUAAAACUAUAAAGUUAAGUUAUAUUUUGAGUUAAAUUUUGAAAUUCGUACUUACUUUUUUUAAUUCAAAUUUCAAAUUUUAAUUUGAUGGGUUCCAAUGUCGAAUUUGAAUUCUAAUUUUGAAGUUAAAUUUUAAUUUAAUCUUGGACUCAAAUUUUAAAUUUUAAAUUUUAUUUUGGAUCAAAAUUUUAAAUCUAAAUUCAAUUUUGGAAUCCAAAUUUAAAUUAUUAUUUAAAAAUUAUUAAAAGGACGGCUAAAUUAAAUUUAUUUUAAUACACUUUAUGCUAGUUUAAUAUAAUUUAAUAAAAUAUUUUUUAGGAAACAUUACAAAUACCACCCCGUGAUUUCGUAUUUUUUCACUUUAGUAUCUUAUGGUUUAAAGUGUAUGAAUUUAGUACCNUUUUCUACAGCACUACACUAUUUCCUAUAAUACUUUUUUAAUUGCACUAUUCUUUAUAGUUUGGCCAAAUAGAUCCUGAGUGAUGCUAAGGGUACAACUAAAGGUGUCCACGACCUGUUCGAGCUGGGUAGUUGAUAUACUGUACUCGUACCCUAAAAAAAAAUAGGUGAAAAAAAAAAAUAUAUACCCUACUGAUUUUACUUCGGAUCAAAUCCGGAUCUGAAUACUUAAGUUAAUAAUAUACUCAUCAGGUCUAUUUGAGCAGGGUUGAGUAGUGACUACUCGUAUGCAACCGGCUUAUGACCGGGUACGGGAAUCAGGUAUGGGCACCUGUAUGCAUAUAUUCUUUUAUAAACUUUGUUAAACAAUUUAUGAACAAAAUAUAAACCCCUCACUAUAGAAAACUCGCGCUCUAAUGAGUUGCACCUAGUCCGAUAAAAUUCCUUCAAAAGAAAGAUUCAAGCACUGAACAGAGCGAUUAGGGUUAAAGACAAUAAGGAGUAAAAUAAAAAAGAAAUUGAGAAAAGAGUAAACGUAGUGAUUGAGGUUUCACUAGGAUAUAAAUACAUAGAGACCCUUCAUCUAUAAGUCCUAUUAGAAUUGAUCCCUCAACUUUAAAUCUUUUUUAUUUACUAUCGGGUAUUUCACCAGAUCUAGAUCUAGAUUCGAGUAUGAUUCCAGAUUCCUAUUUGAAAUCUCUUUUGGACCCUACCCAUUGAAAGGUCGGGUUCGGAUCGGGUCCAAGUCAGUUAUGGAUAUAAAGUAUCUGGACCCACACUCAAAACUUCAAUGGUUAGUUUUUUUUACUCGUAUAUAUCCAUUUUUCACUGUAUCCGAUUCAGAUCCGGGAUAGGGUCCGGACAGGGUCCGAAUCGGGUAUGGAAUAUUAGGUAUUUUGGACAGCUUUAAGUACAGCCUUUUUCGGAUUGUAAUCUUACAACUUGCCAAUCUAAGGGCUAUCGGCCGAGUUAUAACUUGUAAGGGAUAUGGGACCGGUUAUAGACUUAGCAUUUCUCUUUAUUUUUACUAACUAAUCUUAGAGUGUUUUCGAAAUAGGUACCCGAACUUUCAAAAAUUUCAAUUUUACUACCUUAUCUUAGCAAUACUUGUCGUACUUUUCCGUAUAAUGUAAUAAAAUAUUCUGUUACUCGACAGAAUAGUUUUUUAAUAAUUUUUACGAAUAGAUAAAGGUUAGGUAGUAAAAUCAAAGCUUUCAAAGUUUAGGUAUCUAUUUCAAAACCAUGGUAGGACCGGGUUGUAAAAUUUUUAAAAUUAUGAUACCUAUUUCAAAAUGCGCUAUAGUUCAGAUAACAUUUGUACUUUUUUUUUCUUUUUUUUAAGGCUUAAUUACACUUUACUGCAUUAUACUUUAGUGUUAUUUUUAUUUGUUAUAUUAUAAAUUUUGUUUUUCAAAGACAUUAUUGUACUAUUAUAUAUUUUAUAAAUCUCUACACUGUAUUUUAAAUUUAUUUUUAUUUUUCUAUAUUAUACAAUAUUUUUUUCUUGUAGAUAUUACUAAAUUUUUUUUUCUCUCUAAUCUCUACAUUAUUGUUAAUAAGUAUUUUUAACAGUUUUUUAUAUAAAAUUAUAGGUUUAUUGCUUUGGAACUAAAAAAAAAAAAAAGAAUAGUUAAACUUUUUUUUAUCGACAAAUAGGCCCCUCAAUUUGUUUAUUUUUUUACGCUACUACAAUGUCUAAUUCUUUUGAUUCGGGUGUUUUUUUUUUAAUUCAUUAAACUGUUAUAAUUUUAUUUACAAAAAAAUGAUUAAUGUUUUUAAUUGAACAGAAAUUAAAAUUCAUAAUUUAUUUCACUACAAUCACUCAAAUAGAAAGUUCAAAAGCUAAGAAAAUGUUAAUAAACAAAACCAAAGGAGUAAAGUCAGAAUAAGUUAAAGUUGAGGGAUUUAUUUGAAAAUGGCUAAAACGGAUCAUUAUUUAUCAUUUCCCAAUUAUUGGUAGGUAAAAUGUCUGGAGAACCCCUCAACUAUAAGCGAUUCUAAAAUAAACCCUUCAACUUUACAUGCAAAAAAAUCAAGGGAUUGGGCGAUUUCGUUAAUUUUAACUCAUUUUUUAACGCCGGGAAGUAAUUGUAAUAAAAUUAAGGAAUUGGGGACUUGAUUGCCAAAAAAAAUAGGGACUCAAGUGAAAAUGAUGCAAUGGUUGGGGACCAAUAAUGUAAUUAAUCGUUUAAUUAAAUAAAUGACCACUAAAUUUGACAAAAAAAAUUUAAUGUAUUUAAUAAAAUUUUACAUAAUAUUUUUUUUAGAAAAAAAUUGAGUAAUUUAAAGAAAAGUAAAUUUUAAAAAAUUAUAGUUUGGGGUACUAAUCUCAAAAAUACGCUAUAAUAAGUGAAAUACCAUACAUUAAUACAAGAAAAUAAUAAAAAAAAAUAAUGAGUUGUUUUUAUUUUUCAUAUAUUUUUAUAAAACUAAUUUUUUAAUAAAUAAUAAUUUUAAUUUUUAUAAACAAUAAUUUUUAUUUUGGCCCCAAACCACUUGGCAAAAAAUAAAAACAGCGAAUAAAAUUAAUUUUUAAGUAAAUUAUUGUAAUAUGUAAAUAAAAAUACCUCUUUUAGAAAUAAAUUUUACGAUAAUUUACAAAAAUAUGCAUUUAAAUAGUUAAACUUUUUUUUUCUUGUUAUUCGUAUUUUUUUUUUUAUGAUUCGUAUUUUUCUAUAAUAAUUAAUUUUUGGCUAAAUUAUAGAAAACCCUCAGUCCAAACCCGAGUUUCACUUUACCCCUGUCAUUUAAAAACCUACACUUUACCCCAUUGUAAAAUAAAAAAUGUUCACAGGGGUACGGUGUGAACUGUGAUGAUAAAAUGACCAAUUUGCCUCUCAUCAUAUUCACAGAAGAGAAGGCCGAGGGCAUUUAUGGUAUAAAAAUAUAUAUAAUAAUAUUUUAUAAACGGAAUCCUAACGGAUUACUAACGGCAGGAGGCGAAGUCAACAUUUUUCAUUUUACAAAGGGCAAAGUGUAGGUUUUUAAAUGACAGGAGGGAAAAGUGAAAAAUCAGAUUUUGACAUGGAGGUUUUAUGUAAUUUAGCCUUAAUUUUUUAAUAUAUAUAUAUAUAUAUAUAUAUAUAUAUAUAGAGAGAGAGAGAGAGAGAGAGAGAGAGUCCGGCUACUAUACUAUCUAUAGUACGAGAGCUCCCGUACUAUAGUGUUAUUUUCGAUCUUCGGGCGUUCAAAUCAACGAUCCACACCGUUAAAACUGAUCUAGGGUAUUUAAAGUUUUUAGAAAUAAAAUUGUACUAUUUUUUCGACAUAGCACUUUAUGAUCAAAAUUUUAAAAAUUGGGUCAAUUUUAAUGGCUAUUAUGGACGAGUUGGAGUUUACGGUUAGUAGAAGCUAAUUCUUAAUAUUUAUUUGUGCUAAUAAAUUUUCUCUGAUAAGAAAAUUCUUUAUAAACUAUAUAGAUUAAGUUAACAUUCUUGAUCUUGAUUUAAAAUCCAUGCUCAAAAUUUAAAGAGUAUUCAAUUCCCACCGUCCAUCUUUGAUAUGAAUUUAGUUACUAAGUAAACGAUAUCGAAAAGAACUAUAUUUUAUUCUAAGAACUUGUCUAUAACCUAGAUUAUUUAAGGUGUGGAUCCGUUGAUUUGAACGCCUAAGAUCAAAAAAUACUAUAGUACGGAGCUCCCGUACUAUAACUAGUAUAGUAGCCUAAUUCUAUAUAUAUAUAUAUAUAUUAUAUAUAUAUAUAUAUAUAUAUAUAAAUAUAUAUAUAUAUAUAUAUAUAUAUAUAUACACACACAAAUAUAUAGAAAAAAAUAAUAGACAAUUUGACACCAUUAACGAUAAACUUCAAAAGACCCCCUGUGGUUUAGAUCAUAAUCAGUUUUGCCACUCCGUGGUUCAAAAUAUUUUAUUUUGGCCCCUUAUGAUUUAGCUUAUUUUCACUUUGCCACCAAGUAGUUUAAAAAAUUUUACUUUUCGUCUCUGCAUUUUAGCGCAUUUUUCAUUUGGCCACUCUAUAGUUUCGUUUGGCUAAAUUACAGAAAAUCUCCUUAUAAAUAUAUUGAUUUUUAACUGUUUUUCCUAACUUUCAAAAAUUUACAUUUUAAUCCAUCAACAUUUCAAGUUUUUGCUUUUAGCCUCCCUCCAUCAGGGUUCCAUUAUUAUUUUGCUCAUUUCUUAUUAUUUACACCGAAAAUACCAUUCAAAAUGACAGAUAUAUGUUAAAAAUUUAUAUUUUUUUAUUAAAAAAAAGGAUAAUUUGAUAAUUUUGCACUUUUCAUUAAUGUCGUAUCCUCCGAAAAUAUUUUUAAAAUUUUGAGAGGGCGAGACGUAGAUUCUGAAAGUCGAGGAGUGAAAAUGAAAAAAUAGAUAUUUACAGAAAGAUUUUUUGUAAUUUAGUCUUUUUUUUUUAAAAAAAAUCAAUUUUUACUUUUCCACACUAUUUGACAUUGAGUAUUUUAGUAAAAUAAAAGUUAAAUCAUAGGGGCCAAAAGUGAAAUAUUUUGAACCAUAGGGUUGUAAAAUAAAUACUAGCUAAACUAGGGGGGGCAAUUUGAAAUCACAUUUAAUGAAUUAGAUUUCGAUUCUCAUCCAAAAUUUUGGAUUAAAUGCGCGUCCGAACUUUCGCACAUUUGCGGAUAGCCACCUAAACUUUCAAAAAUUAUAUUUAUCAUCCAAUUUAUAUUUUUCAUGAGAUUAAAAUGAUACAAAUAAAUCUUCUUGACAACUUUGUCCAUGAUUACCACAUGAAUUACAUUUUGGUACUCAAAUUUUAAUUUGUUGUAGUUUCUGGUUCGGACUUUUAGAAUUAUUAGAAAUAAAAUUUUAUAACCCAAUUUAAUUGAGUAGAUAUUGAUGUGUUGCUAAUCUGGAAGUGAUGUGUUAGCGUCGGACUUUUAGGGUUAAUUUCAUACAUGUCCCUACAAACAUAAUAAAUUGCAAAUAUAUCCCUACAAAGUUCAACUUUUAUAUAUUAUUCCUGCAAAAGUCCGGAUGUUUAAUUUCAAAUAUAUCCCCGUCGUUAAAAUCCGUUACAAAAUGUUAGUUAACUAUGGGUAAAAACUUAACCCUAAUUAGUUAAUGAGGUGAAUUGACUUUUUUACCCCUUUUUAAUAAAUAGUUGGGAGUUUCGGAGGGAGAUAUUUGUGAUGGCGAAAAAAGAUCAUUUCACUUAUAAGAUAAACAGUAUUUUAACGGUAACAAACUAGAGAUAUAUAUUUGAAAAUAUUAUGACUUUUACAGUGGUAACAUAUGAAAAUUGAACUUUGUGGGAAUGUAUUUGUAAUUCACUAUAUUUGCAGGGACUUGUAUGAAAUUAACCCUUACUUUCGUAUCACUGAUACGUUAAUAUUUAGUUAAUUAAAUUAGGUUAUGGGACUUGAUUGCAAUUAAAAAAAAAAGGAGCUUUUGCUUAUUUUAUUCUUUACUACUAUUCAAAAUUUUUAAAUGGUUAAAAUACAGAAAAUUUGCUUGUAAAUAUUGGUUUGUUUUUUCAUUUUUUCUCUCCGACUUUUAAAAAUCUAUAUUUUGCCCCAUUUAAAAAUUUAGAAAUAUUUUCAGAAAUGUACGACGUUUAUGGAGAGAGCAAAAUGACCAAAUUACCCUUUCUUCUUCUAUAAGAAAAAUAAAAUUUUUAAUAUAUUUCGGUCAUUUUGAAGGGCAUUUUUGAUAUAAAUUAUAAAAAAUUAAAGGAAUAGUGAUAGAACUCUGACAGAGUGGGGCUAAAUGUAAUAACUUAAAAUGAUGAGUAGAUAAAAUAUAGUGUUUUAAAAGUUAGGGAGGAAAAGUGAAAAAAUAAGUAUUUAUAAGGUAAUUUUCUGUAAUUUAACCAUUGUAAUUUCAUCUGAAAAUUAUCAAAAUGCCCUUCUAAAUUCCAAUUACAUUUGUAAACCACACAGGGAUAUUUGAAGAAAUUUUUCAAAAUCGACAAGGGUAGUUUGGUCCUCCAAGAGUAAAUAAAAUAUUUUUGUAGUUUUGAGGGACAUAUUAGAUAUUAUUCCAAAAAAAGAAUAAGAUGCGUUUAAAAAAAAAAACACCGAACUACUGAGUAAUUUUAUUUUUGUUUCAACUAAAAAAAAUUAUAUAUAUUUCGUCAUAUAAGGUACGAAUCGAAAAAAAAAAAAAGAAAACUCAAGGGAGCUACGUGUAACAUUUUGAGACACGGGGAAGCAAAGUGAAAAUACGCUACACCACAGAGGGACAAAUUGAAGUUUACCCCAAAAAGAAAGAAAGAUUUAGAUUCGAAGCCCUGCUAAAACUUCUUAGUUUCGGAUAUGUUCCGGUGUAAAAACCCGGUGUAUCCGCGCGUCUCGUGAACCGCUCCUAAUAUUUCCUGAUUAAUUAAUUAAUUAAUUAAUUAAUAUUUUGGAAUCAAAAUCUAAUCAACAUUAUAUGCAAAUCUAAAGAACCUAUACAUAUAAAAAUAAAAAAGGAGUAAUAUCUAAUAUAUCCUUCGAAACUUCAAAAAUAUGUAAUAUAUCCCUAAUUUCUAAUUAUUUAUUUUUUCAAAUAUACCUCCAACCCUAGAAUUUAAAAAUUUGAAUAGUAGCGAGAGAUACGUAAAUUCUCAUUCUAAUUCUGAUUCCGAUAUUUCUGUAAAUUCGAAAAGUUAGAAAAAUUAUUUAAUUUGAAAUUUAGGCGAAACCAGUGCCUAACAUUUACGAAAUUUUAAGGAAAAACUUCAAAUACCCCGCUGUAGUUUCGCACUUUCUCACUUUAGUACUCUGUGAUUUCGCACUUAAUUCGAAAUUUAGACGAAACCAGUGCCUAACAUUUACGAAAUUUUAAGGAAAAACUUCAAAUACCCCGCUGUGGUUUCGCACUUUCGCACUUUAGUACUCUGUGGUUUCGCACUUUUUCACUUUAGUACCCUGUGGUUUCACACUUUCACACUUUAGUACCCUGUGGUUUUAAAUGUAUUAAGUUAGUAUUAUGUGGUUUCGCAGUUUCUCACUUUAGUACCUUCUGGUUUAAUAUUUCGUUAAAUUAUAUACCCCGAAAUAAAUAAUAAAAAAAAAAAUUGAAACCACAAGAUACUAACUUGAUGCAAAAAUAAAACCACAUAGUACUAACUUGAUACACUUGAAACCACAAGGUACUAAAGUGAGAAAGUGCGAAACCACAUGGUACUAACUUGAUACACUUUAAAUCACAGGGUACUAAAGUGAGAAAGUGCGAAACCACAGGGGUAUUUGAAGUUUCCCCAAAUUUUAAUAACCAUUUUUUUUUUUUUUUCAGUGUCGUAAAACACACACCUAAUAAAUUAGAUUCCGAUUUUCGACACUGCGGUGUACGAGACGUAUCGGUACACCGGGUGCGUCGAAAUGAUUCCUUACCUACUAAGAUAUUGAUACUCUUCUUUUUCUUUUUCUCUUUUUUUUCCUCUCUCUCUCUCUCUCUCUCUCUUACAUUAAAUUCCCCCUCACUUUUUUUUCACUUAUAAUAACUUGUGCUACUCAGCACCAUUUUGUUGCUAAAUCCGCGUCUCCGUGAUCCGAACACGGUAAAAAUGGCUGUGAAAAUUUUCGCAGCCCUCGCAGUCCUCCUGCUCGUUGUUGCGGGCGAAUUCGUCACUCCGACGGUGGCCAGAAUGGUUUCGUCGGACGCAGAUGGCGGUGCAGCAAACGAGAACUUUACGAUCGGUAAAUUUGACACCUCCUCAGCUUUUGAUUCUUUUAAAAAAAAUUAUUUUUUUUCUUUAAUUUUAGUUGGUAAAAAAAGUAGUUAAAAAUUAUGGGAUAAUAUCUAAUAUGCCCUUCAGAACUUUAAAAAUAACGUAAUGAUCCCUCAAGGACCAAAAUAUCCACAUUGAUUUUCGAAAAAAAUUCUUUUAAAUAUUCUCAUUUUCUCUAGGGUUUACUAAAGAAAUUUGAUUUUAAAAGGGUAUUUUGGUAAUUUUAGGAUAAAUUUCAAAAUUUUAAAUAGUUGCGAGGGGUAAAUAAACAAAGAGCCCUUAAAACUAUUAAAAUUAGAUAGAAUCAUGGAUGAGUUUAGCGAAAUUUUAAUUUUAUUUGGCAAAAAUAACUCAAUUUAUAUAUAUAUAUAUAUAAAUUUCACAAGUUAAGGAGUGUAAAUUAACGAGCUCAUUUUAAAAUGGCCUAUAGUUGAGGGGGUCUCCAUACAUUUUUACCUUUUUGUUUUUUUCUCAUAAGUAUCCCUCUAAAUUUAAAAUAUCACAUAAGUUCCCCCACAAACUUUAAAUUUCUCAGAGCUUGAUGAGCAUUAUUAUUAUUAGGGUAAAUUUCAAAUACCACCCCGUGGUUUCGCACUUUCUCACUUUAGUACCCUGUGAUUUAAAGUGUAUCAAGUUAUUGUCAUGUGGUUUCAUUUUUUUCUUUUUGUCGGCUUUUCCGUUAAUAUUUCAUUAAAUUAUAUACAAAAAAUUUCAGAUACCCCACCUAGUUUUAUCAAAUUUUUUAUUUUAGUACCUUUUAGUUUUAAUUUUGUCAUUGAUUUGAUGAAAAAAAAUUAGCGGAAGGGAUAAUAAAAAGAGAAAAAUAAAACCACGGGGCACUAAAUUGAUAUAUUUUAAACCACAGAGUACUAAAAUAAAAAAAAGUGCGAAACAACAGGGAUGAUAUUUGAUGUUUUUCCUUAUUAUUACUGAUCAUGAUAAAGGGCAAAUGGUCAUUUUAUUAAACAUGAUCACGAAUUUUUGACUAGUCCAAGGAAAUAUUUACCGGUUUUUAAAAUAUAACAUAUUUCUAAAAUUUAGAAGCGGUAAAAUGCAAUAUCCCCACUUUAGUGGGACAUAUACGCAAUUACUCCUCCUAAUUUUCUUUUUGUUUUUAAUAUGCCAAACUGAACAUACACAAUUUUUUUAUUUUAUUUUAUUUUUUUUAGGAGGAAAAGACGAGAUCGCGGAGGAAGAGAAAUUUUUCUUUUAUUUACGGCCGCUAUUCCGCCCGCCAAAAGUCCCGCCGUCGUCGUCGACGACAGCUGCAGAAGCUCCGUAAAGUCCGGCGCGUUUCGAAAAACCGCUUUUCGGUGCAGAAAUAGCUUUUCAGAACUGCUUCGUAUUUUAAAUGAGUUGAAUAAGUAUAUAAAUAUAUAAAAUAAAGAAAUGUUUUUAUUUUCUGUGUGGAAAUAAUAAUUGUGUAAGAAGAUGUGAUGUUUUUAAUUUACAAAAUGAGAAAAAAAAAAUUAAUUAUUUGUAUUAUUUGGGCCGAUUUGCAAAUAUUCACUUGUUUUCGGAUCUUUCUGCAAAUAUGAAAGCUCCGAGGCCUAAUAUUCAUUUUUUUUCCCCUUUUUUCCUAAUUUUUGAAAUCUAAUUUUUGUCCCGUUAAAAUUUCAGAAAUUAUUUCAGGGGCUAACGGUGUUAAUGGAAAUGACUAAAUGGCUUUUAUUUGUUCCAUAAGAAAAAAAUAAUUUUUAAUAUAUUUUUGUAUUUUUAAAAAUUAUUUUCGGUAUAAAUUAUAAGAAAUGAACAGAAUAGUAACGCAACCCUAACUGACGGGGACUAAAUGCCUAAACUUAUAAUUUUGAGGGGGUAAGAUGUCGGUUUCUGAAAGUGAAAGAGAAAACGUAAAAAAUUUUGUAUUUAUAGAAAUUCUUUUUUAUAUUUUAGCGGAAAAUAAAGGCAUUGUUUGGUACGAUAUAUUAUUAUUUUUUUUCUGUUUUUUCAAUACAAAUAUUAUUGUGAAUAGAUAUGUGGAUAGGAUAGCUGUUGGAGAAUAACGGUUAUUUUUGUAAAAAUCCGAAACCCGUACCCGAAUAAAAAAUCAAAAUAUCGACAAUCGAAAACGAUUUUUGAGCUCGAUCGGGCAUAAAAAUUUAAGCCCGAAACAAAAUAAACCAAACAUAACUAUUUAAUAUACUAAAUUUUAAAUCAAUUAUUAAUAUAUAUAUAUAUAUAUUGAUUAUCAGAAUAAACAUAUAAAAGAUUAUAUUAAAUACGUAUACACAUAUAAAAUAGGUUUUUAUACCUGUUUGGGUUUUAUUCCGAUGCGGGUUUGGAUUUAGAGCGGACUUUUAAAAACCCGAAGCCGAACCCGACUCCAAAUCUGAAACCCGAACCCGACGGAUUUUUGAAAUCCAUAUCCAAACUCGAACCCGACCAAAAAUCUGAAACCCGAACCCAAAAUAAUUAUUUAUCUUUUCAAUAUUUCAAAAUAUAUUACAUUAAAUCUAAAGUUUUAAAAUACAAAUUCAAAUAUAACAUUAAAUUUUUAUAUACACAUUAUAUAUAAUGUAAAAUAAAUUCGGAUUCGGGUUGGGUUCGGGUUAGAUACAGUCAAAAUUCAUAUCCGAAUUCGUAUCUAUCGGGUUUUUAUUUUUGAUAUCUAUAUCCCAAACCAUAUCCGUUUAGCAUUGAGUAAAUCUACUCUGUUCGGAUUCGGGUUCGGAUAAAAUUUCGGGUAUCCAUACCAAUUGACAUUCCUAACAGAGAAAAACCAUAACCGAACCCACAUCUACUAGGUUUUUAUCUUUUUAUAUCCAAAGCCAAAAUCAUACCCGUUUAGGAACUGUUUGGUUUCACGUAAAGCUGUGAAAAAUAAUUUUUGAUGGAAAAUUUUUUUUUUAAGGAACAUAAAUUUUACGCUCUUUAGUAUUUAGUUUGUAGGAAAAAAAAAUUAAUUUUUUUAUUAGUGUUGUUUGAUUCAAAGGAAAAUAAAAAAGAGAUAAUGUAUAGAAAAGAAGGAAAAUAAAAAAAAAGAUAAUGUAUAGAAAACUUUAUUAUAUUUAUUUUUUCCUAGUUUAUAUAUUAUAUAUUAUUAAUAUAUAAUAAUUAUCAUACUACAAGUAUUAUUAUUAUAGUUUAUAUUUAUAAAUAAAAUAUAUUAUAUAAUAAGUAUGUAAUAUAAUAUAUAAUAUUAUAUAUUUAAUAGUAUAAAAUAAUACUACAUCUUUUAUAAAUAAGCACUUAAUAUGUAAAAUGUAUACAAUUUUAGAUUCGGAGAAUUGAUAAUAUAUCCCUAUAAAAUUGGGAUAUUGAUUAUUUACCCCUUCAAAACUUUGAUGUAUCAAAUUGUGAUAUAUAAUUUAUACACAUAACAAAAAAAAAAAUUGUAAAUAAUUAAUUAACUAAAAAUAAAUCAGGUUGGAAAAAUAGAAUAGCAUAAAAAGCACCUAUCAAAUCGCCAAUUGUUUAAAUUCAAGUAAGAGAUUCAAAUUAGAUUUAAGUUUUGUGUUUAAUUUGUAAGUUUAUAUCUAAAUCCAAAGUUUAAUAUAAAUUUUUAAAUCGAUUUAAAUUUGUAAAUUUUUUAUGUGCAUUAAAACAUAAAAAAUUGUACGUUAUAGACUCUGUAUAAUUUGAAAAAUAGACUCUGUUACCAAUAAAUAUUUAAAUUCAAAAUGUAGGUUCAAAGUUCAUUUUAACUUAAAAUCAAAUUUAGAUUUUAUUUAGUUUUUGAAAAAUUGUAAGUUUAAACCGCACGUGCAUUAUAACUAGUAUAUAUAAAAUAUAUACUUUAGUUUUUUCGAUUUGAUUUAAUAUUUUUAAUAUUUUUAGCUCAAAAAUCAAACCGAAAUUUUUCGGUUCGAAAAUUUUUUGAACCAAAACCAAACCCAUUUACGACCCAAACCGAACUGAUAAUAAAAAUUUAGGAAAAUUGUUGGUUUUGUUUGGUUUAGUGUAUUUUUGGGUAAUAAUAAAAAUAAAAAUAAAAAUAAAAAUAAUAAUAAUAAUAAUAAUAAUAAUUAUAAAAAUAAUAAUUAUAAAAUUACAAGAAUGCCCCUGAAAACAACCCAACUCUCCCCUCCACAUUCUCUGGUUUGUUGUUUACUCUCUCAAAUCACCCCCUUCAUUUAUCCCCCACAUCUCCUUUUUUUUAUUUUUUUUUUUAGUGUAUAUUUUUCUAAAUUUUAAGAAAAUUACAUGAAUAAUUUUUAUUCAAUUUUUUGGGUUUUUUCUUUUUUUUUUUUAAAAAAGUGAUUUAUUGUUGAGUUUUGUAGAGGAAUUGAUCAGCUCAGCGAUCGGGCUCCAAUUUGUCGCUUUUGCUUUUCGGUCAUUCUCGACAGGUAAAUAAAUAAAUUUUUUAGUUUUUGGUAUUGCUUUAGCUUUUAGAUUUAUUAAUUUUCCAUUUUUUGCUAUAGGAUUAAAUGUUGUUGUUAUGAAACAAACUAAUUAUAUAUAUAAACUUUUAAGGUGAUUUUUAGGAAAAUUUCGCGCAUUAUUAUAUUUAGGUUAAGAUUUUAUAUAUAGUAUUCGAUACGAAAAUCGGACGUUAUAAGAACGAGCAAAAUGAUCGAAACCGUACCGAAAUAGGGUUUAGAACGAACGGAAGUGGACCAAGUUCUGAUACGCUGUGAAACCAUUGAUUACGCUAAGAGCGUGUUUUGUUCGGGAUUAGAAUGGGAAUGGAAAAUAGAAUUGAAUUGUGUUGGAAUGAAAAAUAAGAUGAUGAAUCAUCCAAAAAUAUUUGGUUUAUUAUUCGGAAUGGGAAUCGGAAUGGACAAUUCAGACAUUUUUAGGGUUUUGAGAAAGUGAGUAGUUUAUUGCGGAAUGAGCGAAUCCAGAAUUCAAAACUAGAUUGAGUCGUUCUCAUUCCAGAGUGGAAUGAAAAUCGGAAUUCAAUUCCUGUUAAACAAUCAGUAAAUCUCAUUUCGAUUCUAUAGUCUAAACUAGGUGAACCAAAUCCCUAGCUCUCAUGUCUGGGCUCGAAAUCAUUUAAUAGACUGAAAACGAGGAUAAGUAUUAGAUAUGAGAUUCGACCUCUCGUGUCAGGACCUCCUACUCUGGUACCAGCUUCGAUCAUACGUUGAUGAUUAUUCGCAUUUUAGUAUGUCAAUUUUAGCGUUGAGAAGCCUCACUGAAAAGCUUCUAAUCCGUUGUCGUACGUCAAUUUACCUCUAUCCAAGAGUUGUAAUCCUCCCCUCUAGGGCUUAGAAAACUUAUUUUGGAUUUUAGUACUAAAAUAAAACAUCCAAUGAAUCUUCAGAUGCAGGCAAAAGUAACACGUGACAGCACAUUAGGGGCUUUCCAGUGCGCCUCGUUCGGAAGCUCCUCACUGAAGUUUUAGACGAACUUUUUUAUUCUUUCCACAAUUGGUUAGCUUAGAAUAUAUCCUGAUCGUGUACGAGGCAGUAAAAUGAAAAAGUUUUGCACAUCAAAUGUUUAUUUUCAAAAAAAAAAGAGAGAAAUAAAACAAUACCAAAUGAGGGCUAAAUUUGCGAUGGCGAGUUCGUUUGAUAUUAGGGUUUGUGAAUCCGAGUUACGCUUCUUUUCUCAAUGAUAUUAUUUGGCUCUGCUGUCGUGUGUAGUGUUUUUCAUGGAAUUGCAGUCUGAGUAGAACUUUUAGAAGAAGCACUUUUUAAAAAUGCGUGACAGCAUUUCCGGAGUUCAAUUAUAUUGUCAAGAAUCUCAAACUUUUAAUUUCGACAUUUCAAACCCGAAACUCUUAAAAGCUGUUUCACUUUGGUCAUUAUUCUUACUUAUUAUUUACAGAAAAAGUCAUUGUCUAUACCUUUUAGCGAAAAAAAAGUCCGAAAGUUUAGGGUCUCGAAUGUUAGAUUUAAAAAGUUUGAGGGCCAAAAUAAAAUUUUUUGAAAGAGUUUUGGGAUUUGUUGUGAAAUUUACCUUUUUUUUGUUGCUUGUGCUUUUAUACUUAGUUACAUUAAAAAUUUUAUCAAAGUUAAUGAUUGUAUUAGUUAUCAAUUGUUAAUUCCUCUGCUUUUAUCGGCUUAACCGUGAUUAAAUUUAUUAAAUUUGGUAAAAUUACCAAUUAAUUCGAGAGAAUCUCCAAUUCUUUUUUUUUUUGGACUAAAAUCACCUAAUUCUAAAAGAAAUUAGAAGAUGAGAGGAUCGCAAUCAAAAAUGAAAAUAAAGGUGAGGGGUCUAGUUUAAAACGGCCUUUAGUUGAGGGGGUCUCCACACAUUUUUACCUCUCACAACGCCUCAAUAAAACCACAUCCCAUUACCAAUUUUUUUCAUAUAAAAGUUUUUUUUUUCUUUUUGGGUAAAUUUCAAUUUGCCCCAUGUAAUUUAGACCGCUUUCAGCUUGCCUCCUUAUGAAUAAAAAAAAUUACAAUUAACUACCCUAUAGUUUAGCUCAUUUUCACUUUAUCACUCUGCGGCUCAAAAAAUUACAUUUAACUCCCCUAUGGUUAUUAGAAAAUUUCACUUUGCUACCUUAUUUGGUAGUAAACUUUUUCUUUUGCUAAAAAUAUAGGUCAAAUCACAAGGGACUUAAGUGCAAUUCUUUCCAACUAGAGGGUGGCAAAGAGAAAAUCAGCUAAACUAAGGGGAAUCAAUUCAAAUUUACUCUUUUUUAGGAAUAAUAUCUAAUAUAUCCUUCAGAACUUUAAUGUUAUCUUCUUUACUCCUGGAUGAUCAAAAUAUUCUUAUUGAUUUUAAAAAAUUUUCUCCCUUAUUACUAUCCAAAAUUUUUAAAUUUAUUUUAAAAUUACCAAACUAUCCUCUAAAAAUCUAAUCUCAUUAGUAGACUCCGGAAAAAAAAAAGGGAAUUAUAUGAAGGAAUUUUUUUUUUAAAAUCAACAUAGAAAUUUUGGUCCUCUAAGGAUAAAUAAGAUAUUUUUAAAGUUUUGAAGGGUGUAUUAGAUAUUAUCCUUUUCUAUGUUUAAUACAGUAGAUUAGAGUAAGAGAUCCUGAGUCCGAGUCCCAUGCAAAUUGCAGGGCGUACGUUUUGACAAGAAAAAAUGGCCUGAUUGAAAUAGAAAUUGAAGUUCGGUGCUUUGAUCGGAGCCGAGUCCGGCGAUGGCCGACGGCGAGAGUGUGAGAGACGACUACGUGGACAUCGACGAGGUGGAGGCGUCGAUGACGCGGGAACUGAAGUAUUACUGGUCGCUGGGCGAGAUCCUGUGCAGCGGAAGCGAAUUCUGCCUCAUCUACAAAGUCCCGGAGCACAUCCGGGAGGCCGACCGAAGCGCCUACGAGCCGAUCAUCCUGUCCGUCGGCCCCUACCACCGCAGGACUCCGUCCCUGCAGGCCGCCGACAAGGAGAAGUGGAACUGUCUGGACUACAUCCUGAAGCUGAACCGCGGAAGGCGGCUGCUGGACUACCUGCAGGCAGUUAAAGAAGUCGAGCAGCAGGCUCGGAACUGCUACUCUGAGGAGGUCAGGAUGGGCAGGCAGCAGUUCCUGCAGAUGCUGCUGCUCGACGGCUGCUUCGUGCUCGUCUCCCUGCAUGGGACGACCGGCAUCGCACCGCCCGCUCCGCAGCAGCAGCAGCAGCAGGGCGGCGAAUUCGCCGCCGACGAGAACGAGCAGACCGGGCAGUGGUACACGAACUAUGUCAUGCAUGACCUGCUCCUGCUGGAGAACCAAAUCCCCUUCUUUGUCGUCCGGCGGAUCUACGACGUGCUCGCGGGGAAGGACGCGGGAGCGGCGGCGCCUGCGGAGGGGAUCGUCGGAUACAUCGAAGACGUGCUGAGCUACUACCCGAGGGCGAUUCGCAGGCCCGAUCGGCCGACGGAGUUCCACCAUUUGCUGCACUUGUGUCACAUGUAUUUCCGGCCGAGCCCGAGGCCGGAGCACGACGAAUGCGACCGCGGCAGCUCCGCGUACUUCCGCCGGUUUCUGAGUUUCGGCCGCAGAUACUUCCGGCUCUGCCGUCGGGACGACGGGAGCGGCGAAAAGUCGGACUGCGAUGGCCAGCAGAUGGACUUGUUGCAGGCCAGCCAGCAGCGGUGGCGGCGGGCAGCGCAGUACUACGAGGCGGGGGUCGAAUUCAGGCGGAAGGAGUUCGACGCGGCGGAACCGCACUCACUGCUGGACGUCGAGUUCCGCGACGGCGUCGUGGAGGUGCCCUGCCUGCCGAUCGACGAGAACACGGGGUCGCUGUUCCGGAACUUCGUCGCGCUGGAGCAGACGUGCCCGCGGUUCGGGAACGACUUCACGACGUACGUGAUCUUCAUGUCGCAGCUGAUCAGCACGCCCGAGGACGUCGCGCUGCUCGCGCAGCGCGGCGUCGUCGUGCACCAGCUGCGCAGCGACAAGGAGGUGUCGACGCUCUUCACGAAGCUCAGCAGGGACGUCGUCUUCGACUUCAACCGCGAGCACUACCUGAAGCGGAUACACCGCGCGGUGGAGGCGCAUUACGCGAGCCGCCUCAACCGGUGGAUGUCGUGGCUGCGGCAGAACCACUUCAGCAAUCCGUGGUUAGGAUUGGCGGCGUUGGCGGCGACUGUCGUGCUUUUCUGCACCGCGGUGCAGACGCUGACGGCAGUCUUCUCGUACGUAAAUCCGCCGACGGACAAUUCCUCCGAACCGGCAAGCUGACAGCUCCAAUCCCAAACUGGUACUGCUGCUGUUUCUUCUGACAUUUCUGUAAACUGCAAAUCAGAAUCCUCUGUACUCACUUUCAGAACUGAGUUAGUCAUCUUGUUUCAGAUUCCUUUCGUAUAGUUUUGUAUGCAGAAUGUGACAGAUUAUGAAAACUGGGACAGCUUCAGUAGCUUCAAAUUCGCAAAUGCCGCAGCCGAUCAAUCGUAUCGUGUCGUGUUGUAUCGUAUCGGAUAAUGUUUGGCCGGGAUCGAUUCCUCGAAAUUAUGAUCGAUUUGAAUUCAAUCAUUUUUUUUUUUUAAAUUUCUGAGAGUUACUGGAAUUGUGUUUGUUUGUUAAUAUUGGAACAACAUAGAAUGGAGAAAAUAGAAAUGGUAGAAAAAUUUUAAAAUACAAAAAAAAAAAAAAAACAUUGCCCUUGUAUGUAAUUGUAACAAUAUAUGUAUAAAUCUAUGAUACAAUAUAGUAAAAUAUAGGUUACCAAGUUGUAUAAAUGUAAUAAUAUAUUAUAGUCCAUCAAAUUUAAUAGUUUAAAUUACUUUCUAGCAAAAAAGAAAAAAGACUAAUUAACUAUUAUUAGCCAAUUGAUUCAUGAAAUUUAAACAAAAAAAAAACACUUGAAAACUGAAAUAAAAAAAAUAAUUUUAAGAAUUGCAUAUGGUAACAAACAUUUUCAUCAAAUCGAAUUCCCUAACUUAAGAUAAUCAAUUGAUGUAAUGACACAGCCCAAUAGCACUAAUAACCAGUAUUAUAAAAACCAGAUCAAUUAGUGAUCCAGAAAUAUUAUUGGAUCAAGGAUCGCCAAUUCGAUCAGUGGGUCAACAACUGGUUGAACCAGUAAUAUUAGCACGGCAUCAUAAAUAUUUAGUUAUUAUUUUUAGUUUUAUUAUAUAAAAAUUAUACAUAAAUUUUUAUUAUAGCAUCAUACUUAAUUAUAAAAUAUUAAUUUCUUGACUAAAUUAAGUGGAUGUGAGUUUUUAAAUCUAUUUUUCGUAAGACUAACAUAUGCUAAUAGAAAAUAAAAUCAGAUAAUGUGACGCCCCAACUUCCCAGGGGGUCACCCAUCCUAGGACUACUCCCGUCCCAGNAUUACGUCGUCUGCAGCCAACAUAAUUUCUCAGGCCAAAACAGGAACUCCUUCAAUCACUCACCCCACUCUAGGAGGAGUUAGAACGGAUAAUCAUUGACUUUCGCAAUAAAAUUACGCCUCUCGCGUCUUACUUUCCUAAGGUUUGCCAACUUAGGUUCUCCUAGGUCCCAACGACCUAUAGCAAUGCUCUGAUAGAUAAGUUGAUUUUAAGCUAUUGAAUUUUACCGCUUGAUCAAAAAAAUCCAACCGGUUUGAUUAAAAUCGGACCGAUUCACUGGUUUGAUAGUUAAAGCACCGAUUCCAAUGGUUCAAAAUGAUUUUUUUUGACUUAUUCAGUUUAAAGGGUUGAACCAAAAGUUGUGGUCAUGGUCAGGUCAGUCGACUUGUUCGACCCGAUUUUUAAAUCAUUGCUAAUAACUCAUUGGCCCCUAAACUACCGAUUCAAAAUACUUAAACCUAAUAUUUAUUACUAGAGCCCUUAGUCAUUAUAUUCUCAUAUACAACUAUUUUUCUAUCUGAUGUAAAAUUAUUAGGGCGUAACACGAACUAAAUUAUAUAGUACGGUAUAUUAUAACAAUUUGAGUACCUCUUCCUUAGAAUUUAGCAUUAGAAGUAGUAUUUGAUGAUAGAAUAUUUUGUAAUCUAAUAAUUAAGUUUAAGUAGACUUUUAUGGAAUUUUAUAAACUAAAAAGAAAUGAAAGAUUAGGUAGUAAAUAGAAAAUUUUUAAAUUUUAAGUAAUUAUUUCGAAAUGCAUUAAAGUUCAAGCGCGAUCUCUACAUGUGUAGGGGUGAAAACAGUCGGAUACGAUUUGAAUAAAAUCGUAUUUACAUCCACAUUUAACAUGCGAAUAUGAAUUUUAAUAUGAAUACUAAACAGAUACUAAAUUUUAUAAUUAUACUUGAUUAAAAUGAAUUCAAAUAUAAAUCGUAUUUGGUUUCGGUCGAACUCGGUUUCGUAUUUGAUCGAAAAAUAUCCGAACCGUUUUUGCCCGUCUCGAUGUUUUUUAAUUUGGUUAAUUUCAUGAGUACUCUUUUAUCUAUCCCUAAUUAAAUAGAUACCCCUAAAAAUUUUAAUUUUAUGAAACAACUCCCUUUAAAUUUGGCCGUUUUCCGUGUUUCGCGUUUAGGGUUUAUGUUUUAGGGCUUUACGGUUUUAGAAUUUUAGGGUUUUUAGGGUUUAGGGUUUUAGAGUUUUUUUAGAGUGCUCGCAAAAUAAUUUCAUUAGUCAUUUCAUGUAGGGAAAAUAUUAAAUAAAAUUAGUUAAAAGGGGCAAAUUAUUAUUUUUGAGUAAAUUUUUUUAUUUAUCUGUAUUAACUAGACGUUUUUAAACGAACGUCAGCAGAGGAUGUUUAUAAUACAAUUUAUGGAUUUUGAGGACCAACACUUAUAUUAACAACUUUGAAGGGGGAUUUGUGAUAUUUUUAAAGUUUUGAAGUGCAUGUUUGAGUUUGCCCCUUUUUUACUUUGGGAAUGAAAUCACAAAAAAGCCAUUAUUAUUUUUCCUUAUUUCAAUUUGACCACUAACUCAAAACUUGAUGAAUACUUUUUUGGCUAAAUUAUAGAAAACCUCCAUACAAAUAUUCAUCCUGACUUUCAAAACCUAUAUUUUUUUUCUUAAAAUUUUAAUAGAGAUAGUAAAAUGAUCAAAUCGCCCUUAUUUCUUCUAUAAGAAAAAAUAAUUUUUUAAUAUAUUUCUGCCAUUUUGAGGGAGCAUUUUUGAUAUAAAUUAUAAGAACUGAACGUAAUAGUGAUGAACCCUGACGUUUGGGGGCUAAAUGUAAACAACUUGAAAUGUUAAGGAGAUAAAAUAUAGAUUUUUGAAAGUUAAGAAGGAAGAGUGAAAAAAGCGGAUGUUUAUAAGGGGCUUUUUUAUAAUUUAGUCAAACUUUUUUUCAAGGCUAACAAUUUUGACUAGAUGGGUCAUUUUAUAUUAAAUAAAAAUUUGUGGGUCAAAUUGUAAUUUUUUCACUACAUGCAACGCAUUUUACAAGCAAUCCCAAAUAUAGCUUGGAGAUUUAAAAAAAAAAAAAAUUGGAGCAAAGUGAUUCAAACUCUACUCCUGAGGUAUAAAAAAUAUUACUAAUAUAUAUCUAUACUAUAUAUAAAAGUACGUAUAUUCAAAUUUGGUUCUCUCGACAGACCCAUUUUUCGGCGGAAAAAUUAGUGCCCAUUUUUCUCUUUCCGUACGAAAAAUUUUAAAUAUAAGAAUAAAAAUCUUUUCGUACGAAAAAAUUUAAAUAUAAGAAUAAAAAUAGAAACAACAAUGAAUACGUUAGUUUUCUAUAACUGAUGUGAAAAUCCUAAAAUAUAAAUUUUUCUAUUUAAUUUCAAAAGUAAGUUCUCUAUAACAGAUUACAGGUGUGAAAAUUCUAUAAAAGAUAUUUUUCUAUUUUAUUUUAAAAUAUCUUUUUUUAGAUGUUAUCUAUUUAAUUUCAAAAUAUAUUUUCUUUUUAAGAUAACGGAUUUUAUUUUUCUAUUAUAUUCAAAAAUUUAUUUCCUAACAGAUUUUAUUUUUCUAUUUAAUUUCAAAAGUAAUUUUUGCAUUAAGAUUAUGUUAAUUAUUUAUCAUUUAAAGCAUAUCUUUCUUAUAGCGUGAUUUAUUAUUUUAAAUUUUUUAGAUACAUAUUUGGCAGUCAUAUAAAAUUGCGCUAAAAUUUAAAAAAAAAUUUAAAAAAUUAUAACUUUUUCUAAUAAUUAUUACGUGUAUUUGCACGUACAUUUUAUAAGUAAUUUAUAUAUAUAUAUAUAUAUAUAUAUAUAUAUAUAUAUAUAUAUAAAUUUGCAGUGAAAUGUGGAAAAAAAGAGAAUUUGUAUGAUUUUUUUUUUUGUAAAAAGUAUUUUGAAAUUUGAAAAAAAAAUGUUUUUAACCAAUUUGCCUAGCAAUUUCUUGUUGCAGCAAUUUUAAAAUCUGAAAAAUUUAAUUCGUCUUUGUAUUUAUUCCCAAUUCAUUAGUAUUUAAAUUUCAUUUUUUAUAAAAUAUAGUUAUUAAAUUUAGUAUCUGUUUAAUAUCCAUAUAUUCGGAUUCGUAUUUGUAUAGAGAUAAUAUCUAAUAUACCCUUCAAAAUUCAAAAUACCUUAAUAUAAGCAUUCAAAACUUUGAAUAAUCUAGUAUAACCCCUGUUGACCAAAAUGCCCUCCGUGAUUUUCAAUUUAUUUCACACAUAUCCCUACGGUAGAAGGUAUUUUGGAAAUAGAGAGAUAAACCAAAAUUGGCUUUUGUUAUUUACUCUGAUUAUGAUUUAAAAUUUUAAAUUAUCUGAAAUUAUAAAAAUAUAUAUCCUUCUAAGCCCCAUAUCAUCCAAAUUUCAAAAAUAUCUAAUAUACUCGUUUGACAAAAUACCUUAUUGAUUUAAAAAUUCUUUCAAAUAUUCUCAAAUCCUAGGAUUUAUGAUGCGGCUAAUUUGGUUGAGUUUCUAGAAAAAUGCGACUCAACUAAUUUGAGUCGAAAAUUUUAUUGAGUUCGGAUAAUUUUUACAAUCGAUGUCGGAAUCUUUAAACGGUCAUAACUUUCAUCGAGUAUUCGAUUUUAGCACCAACCAGAAUUUCAGCCAUUCCGGCGGACUUGGGGAUCCAAUUUAAUUGUUUCGACCUCCGUUUUAUUAUUUUUAGGUUAUUUUGAAAUUUUUGUGCUUUUUCUCUUUGUUGUCCGAUAUUUGAUAUUGUCUUAUCUGAUUGGAUUUAGAGAUAAAUUAAAUUUAUUAUCUUCAUUUAAUAGGAUUUAGUUAUCGCCUAUUAUAUAUAUAUAUAUAUAUAUAUAGAGAGAGAGAGAGAGAGAGAGAGAGAGAGAGAGAGAGAGAGAGAGAGUCCGUCUCCGGUACUUUCGAAAGUACGGGAGGCCCGCUGGAAGUUGUUUUGCGAUUUUAGACGUCCAGAUUCGACGAUCGGCUCCGUUAGGUAUGAUCUACCCUAUUGGAACUAUCUAGAAACCAAAUUUUAGAUUUUUUUGACAUCAUUUACUAAGCGAUCAAAGGUCUAAAAAAUGACUAGUUUAACGGCCGAUGUGGCACAUUUUUAAGUUCAACGGUGUAGAAGUAUCUAAAUUACAUGAAAAUUUAAUAGAAAAUUCUAUUUAACAUCAGUAGCAAGAUCAAUACUUCCGAUUUAAAAUUUGAAUCCUUUAUCACUGUUUUUUAUGAGAUUUUCAUUUUCAGCCGUUUAUUUUGAGGCCACUCGUUCACUAGACAAACGAAAUCAAAAAAUUAUGAAAUUUGGUUUCUAGAUAGUUCCAAUAGUGUAGAUCAAGUUUAACGGAACCGAUCGCCGAAUCAAAUGUCCCAUCAUCGAAAACAACUUACAAGCAUGGAGCCUCCCGUACUUUCGAAAGCAUAGGAGCCUAACUCUAUAUAUAUAUAUAGAGGCAUGGCAUUUGGGUGGCAAUAAGAUAUUUUAGAAUUGAAUAAUAAUAUUUCGUCUUUGUCGAAGACUUGAUUCUUCGUUUAUCAUCUCUUUUCGUUCUUGUGUUUCCUUCAUUUUAAUGCAGUUUAGGCCUGCAUAUAUAAGAAGAAUAUUUUUGAUAAUUUCAAAACAUCAAAAUUUACGUGGUUCAGCCGAAGACUACGUCCGCAGGGACUAUAUAAGAUCCUAAUUAUAUAGUCUUAAAACCUCAUAUUUAAAUCGGACUUAGACUGUCAAAAUCGAUAGCUAGUCGAAUCUCCGAAAUCGCCCGAUCAGACUAGAAGGAGAAUCCUCGUGAGAGAUGUAUUGAAUAUAAAAAUAUAUAAACACCGUUCUCUAAUAGCUUAAGCUUUUAGAGUACAACGGUUGUUUCACAUAGUAUCAGAGCAGGAUGUCCCGAGUUCCAGUCACGUUAGACUUCUAGGAUUAUUAACUUUCUCCCAUUUAAUUUAAGCCCACGUCAUCAGUCUUACAAAAUAGAACAUAAUUCAGAUGAACUCGGACUUCAUCCAAACAAAGAAUUUCAUCCCUAAAUAAAUAAAAUUCAAUUUGAAUUUUUCUCAAUUUGAAUUUUAUUCAAAUUUAGUGAAAUUAUGACCAAAUCCAAAAAUUAGAAGUGGUUUAGAAUUAGCUCUCUUAUUAUACCAUCCAAAAAUAAUUUAAAUCCUUUAUUUAAUAAACACAACUUAACCAUUCUUGUUAAUAAACUAAGCAUAGGGUUUCAACAACAUGGCUUUAUUUUCCAUUUUUUUCCCUCCUUUUUUCUUCUCAAAAUAACUCUUAAAAAAUUAUAAUUUGUCAAAUAAUUCUGCCAAAAUAUUAUUUGGCAAACUAAGUUCGAAGGUAGCGCCACGUCAGAUUAUGAUAUGCAACCGUUCUACUGAGAAUGUUAUAAGACAGUGAAUCAUUUACUGUUUUCUGUUGUAUCCUGCCAGCUUGGCACUGAGGUGAGCAGAACAGGCCUAGUUUGCCAAAUAAACUUUUGACGUGGUUUUCUGACCAAUUAUAAAAUUUUUUAGGGUUAUUUUGAAAAAAAAAAAAAGAGGUCCGCGGUGCGAGCUAUGGAGUUGUUGUGGAGCUUUUCAUGGAAGGGGGAAUGCGAGGAGGGCGAAAGAGAGGCAUGGGCAGCUCGUAGAAUCCCUUUUCUUCUGCGACAUUUUUAGAUACGCCGUAUUUUCCUCCUGAAAAAAAAUAAUAAUAAAAAAAAUUAAACAUUAUUUUGACUCGGCGUGAUUUAGUAUGUUUUUACUUUGCCAUAUUGUGGUUCAGAAAAUUAAAUUUAACUAUCUCGUGAAUUUAUUUUUAUUUUACCGUUAAGAUUUAUAGUAAAGUAGAGUAGUAAAGUGAUAUUUUCUUUUAGCCAAAAUAUAGAAAAUCUCUUUAUAAAUAUCUGUUUUUCACUCCCUCCGUCACCCCCGACUUUUAAAAAACUAUAUUUUUUUUUCUUAAAAUUUUAGAAAUAUUUUCAAAAAGCUACAGCAAUAAUAAAGAACGUGAAAUGACCAAAUUACCCUUACUUAUUCUAUAAGAAAAAAUAAUAAUUUUUUGGCAUAUUUAUGUCAUUUUUAAGAGUAUUUUCGUUAUAAGUUAUAAGAAAUAAACGGAGUAACGACGAAACUUGAAAUUUUGGGGAUUAAAAUAUAGAUUUUAAAAGUCAAAGAGCAAAAUAAAAUAAUAGAUAUUUAUCGACAGUAUUUUGUAAUUUAGUCUUUUUUUUUUUUUCUUGUUUUUUUGGCAAAAGUUUACAGAAUAAUAAAAGAUAAUAUUUUACAACCACGUGGUUUCUUAAAAAUAAUAUUACUUUGUUGUUAUGUUUUAUAAAAUAAAUACUAAUUGUGAAAUAAAAAAAAAAUACAGGAUAGUUAAGUGUAAAUUUUUGAACUGCAAGGGAGUAAAGUGAAAAUGUACUAAACAAGUAAACAACCCCAGUGAAAAUGGAAAUUUAGCCCAAAAAAUAUGCAAAAUGUGAAUAAAUGGUUGGUUCAAAAGAUAGAGGGUAAUAGUAACGAGAAGAGGGUCAAUUGCACCAUUGUCCCCAACCAUUUUCUUAUUUUCCAUUUUGGUUACCAACAUAUAUAUAUUUUUUUCAGUUUGAUUCCUAACCUUUAGUUUUUGUUUGAAUUAGUCCUAUCACUUUAAACACCAUUUGCAAUUUGUAGGGAAUUAAUUUUUUUUAAAAAAAACUAGAGGUCAGAGACCUAAUUGUAAUAAAAAAAAAAGGUUAAGGACGAAAUUUGAAAUAUUGGGAAAAGGAUGGGGACAGUGUGCAAAAAGAACAUACGGUUUUGACUUUUGUUACACCUGUUGUCCCUGGGCUUUACGCAAAUUUGACCUUAGCCCUUUUUAUUUUAAUUAAUCGGUAAACAUAAAUUUGUCCCCAUGUGAAUUAGCGCAUUUUUUUUACUUCGCCACCGUGUAGUUUGAAAAAUUGCAAUUCGGUAUACCAUAGUUUUAAUUUUAUUCUAGAGAAAAUUUCAAAUACUACCCCAGUAGUUUCACAACUUUCUCACUUUAGUAUCCUGUGUUUUAAAAUGUAUCACUUUAGUACCCUUUCAUUAAUUUUUUUUGUUACAUCAGCGAUAAAGUUAAAACCAUAUAUUAUUAAAAUAAAAAUUUGAUAAAUUAUAAGGUACUAAAUUGAAUAUUCAAUAAGCCAUAGGAAUGGAGAGUUAACGGGGGUGCUGACGGAAAGAGAAAAAUAAAAUCAUAGGGUACUAAAGUAAUAUACUUUAAAUUAUAGGAUAUUAAAGUGCAAAAAUGUGAAACCACAAGGGUUGUAUUUAUUUAUUUAUUUCAUCGCGCAUUUUUUUUCUAAUUUUUCAUCUGUUUAGUUUGAAGAAAAAUAAGAAAUUUUGGAAUUUCUUUUAUUUUAUAUAUUUCACAUAAAACUAGCAUUUUUGUUAUUUGAUUUUUUUUUAGAAAAAUAUGAAAAAAAAAAUAUAUAAGUUAUUUUUUUUAGAACCAAACGAACAGAAAAUUGAAAAAAAAAAAGGUGACAAAGGAAGAGAANCUUUCUCAUGAAAAACUUCUUAAACGUGGGAUCGCCAAAGUAAAAAUGUGUUAAACCACAAUAUGGACAAAUUAAAAGUUUAUCUUAUUUUAAUUUUAGUAAUUAGGUCUUAAUCUAUAAUAAUGAUACUGCGUUAAUAAGAUUUUUAACGACCAUAAAAAUUUUUGUAAAGUUUAGGGACCAAUGAUGUAAUUAAUCCAAACUAUAUGCCAUUACCCACCUAAACAUUCAAUCAAUUACGGAUCGACCCUCAAACUUUUCAAAGAAAAGAAAAAUAAAAUAAACUUCGUUAAUUUUCUUCACAAUCUUUGUUUAAAUGAAAUCCAAAUAACUCAAAUACUCCUUAUUUAUAUAAUUGAAGAAUAUAAAAAAAUAAAAAUAACUCAAUAAAAAAAUAAUCUAGUUCUAAGAAACAAUUAUAAAAUUAAUAUAAUUUAGGUUAUUUUUUUCAUUAAAAUGUAUGCGCACAGAACCCCUCAUACUAUAGCCAUUAUGAAAUACGAUCUUUUUUUUUUUAUUUUUGAUUGAUAUUCCUACAACAUUUGGUAGUUUUAAUCUAAAUUAUUCUAAUAAAUAGAAUUACAAUUUUGUCAAAUUAAACUUCAAUUUUGUUAAAUUUGAAACAAUCUUUUUAGCAAUGAAAUGCAUAAUUAUUUAAUAACUCAAAGGGAAAAAGAAUUUCUAAAAUUUAGAAUUAUAUAUUGGAAUUUCUAAAAUUGAGAAUUAUAUAUUUAAAAAGUAAGUUGAGGGCCUAUCUUACAACAAGUUUAUAAAUGAGGGCGUAGACGCGAAUUUUUCACACUAAGUUUGAGGAAAAAUGUAUAGCGACCCCUGAAUGUUAGCUGUUUCGCAAAUAGGCGUCUGAACUUCUAAUUUUAACAAUUAUAUCCUCCAAAUCUCAUCAAAUUGUUCCAUAAACCUCUCUUCUCGAGUGAAUUUACUAAUCACACUUGUUAUUUUGAUCGAACAUCGUUCACAUAAUCCUUUAAGAUUUCAAAAUACUAAAAAAUCUUUAAUUUUAAUUUUAAUUUUUUUUUCACAUAUUAGAAUAAAAAGUUUUUUUUUUUGUGUGUUUUCGAAAGCUUUAUGCAAUACAUAUGACGGAAACGAUUGUAAAUUAAUAACUUUAAUUGAAGAGGGGACUAUUGAACUAUUUGAUAAAGUUUAAGGAGUCUAAUUGUCAAAAUUAAAAGUUUCGACGGAUGCUUGAACUGAAUUAAAGUGUUCGAGACGAUCGGACAUAUAUUUUCGAAAAUACAGAGACCAGAGAGUAGGAAAUGGCGGAUCGAGCAUUACUACUAACCGAACAUCGGAGGCGACACCGAAGGUUUUUCCGUUGCUGGAGUAUCUGAUUCGACCAGUUGGGCCGUGGCCGGAGAGGCGAGCUCUCCGGCGACAAGCAAGAAGAUAGUGAAGGUUAAGAACACGAAAUGAGCCUCACCUGAAUUCGCCAUGAGAUUGUGGUUUGGAUCACAUGUCCCUCCUUCUGUGUACUACUUAUACCACGCAAUCGAAACUUAAAACAAGAAAAGAUACCAAAAAGUAUAUAUAAAAAAAAAGGGUUCUAAUUUUCUCUUCUUGAGGAAUCAAUAUCUUAUAGGAGGGCUGCUACAGGUACCCCCAAGUGUCCCCUGUAAUAUUAUUGAUGACGCGACAAUAUUAUUAUUACAUUCCGAACAAUAAUUACUAUUUUCCAAAACCUUUAUUAAAUCCUAAGUAUCAUUAUUAUACCCUAAACCCUAAAUUCUAAUCUCUUUGUAUGUGUAUGUCAUCAUAUCAACAACAUUAUGGGGUACUCAAAGCAUUUCUCAUUUCUCAUAUUGUAGUGAGUACUUAGUUCCCCAUUUGUCUAAAAAAGGAAUUUAUAUCAAAGUUAAUAUUUAGUAAUUAAAUAGCUUCAUAAGGAAUCCCACCAAUGGUGUUAGCUACCUACUAAUAUGAAUUAUUAAAAAAAAAAAAUCUGUUCUUUUCAUAGCUUAAAUUUUUUUUCAAAAAAAAAAAAUAGUGGGCGUGUUUGUUUCGCCCAUUUUUCAUCCAGGAGUCGAAAUCAGAAUGCACGAUUUUAUUUGUAAGUGUUUGAUAUGCGAGAAUAUCAUUUCAAUUCCGAUUUUCGGUGAAAUGAAAAUUCUCCAAUCGCCCUUUUUUCUAUUCCGGCCUUGGAGGCCGGUUUGGAAGGUGAAUCCGGGUGAAAUAGGUGUUUGUUUGGAUUAAAUUUAAUUUUUUAACCAUAUUUUUUAAUUAAAAUAUUAGUUUAAAUAUAGAAAUUAAAUUAAUAAUCUUAAAUUUUAAUUUGAACUUGAACUAAAAAUUAAAAUUAAAUCAAGCAUUUCGAAUGUAAUUUAUGAAUUUGAAUUUUAAAUUAAAAUUUAAAGUUCUAUUUAAAUUUUAUUUAAAAUGUAUUAAAUUUUAUGGAUUCAAAUUUAAAUAAAUUAAAAUUUAGUUUUUUAUUUUGAACUAUCCAUUCAAUUUCAAAUUUUAAUGUUUUAAAAAAUAUAUAUUUAAAAUUUUUACAUUAUUUCAAAAAUCUUGAUGUAAAUUUUUAAUAUUUAAUUCUUAGUUUGGAUUUAAACUAUAAAAUUCUAUAUUUUGAGUUCUGAACUAAAUUUUAAAUUAUCUUGUCAAUCUAAAUUCUGAUGGAUCCAGCAGAAAUGUUUAGGAAUUUAUUUUUAUUUACAAUAUUAUAGUUUUGUGUAAUUUUAUUUGAAAUUUUGAUAACAAUUCUUUUUUUUAGACUGUUUGUAAUAAUGAUAUAUUGUUUUGGGUAAUUUUAUAUUUUGACCAGUAAAUUUUUUUUUUAUUUCAUAAUCUAAUUUACGAAAUGUAAUCAACAAUAUCCAAAACACCUAUAUGUAAAAAAAAGAAAAAAAAUCAAUAUUUCCAAUAAGGUUUAAUUAGUACAUUCUCACUUUAGUACCUUGCGAUUUAAAGUGCAUCACUUUAGUGCUUUAUAAUUUGUUUUUUUCUCGUUCCGUUAUCCUUUUUGUUAAUUUGUCUGUUAAAUCAGUGAUAAAGUUAAAAUCACAUAAUACUAAAGUAAAAAGUUCGUAAAACUUAAAGAGUUAAUGAAGGAACUGACGAAAGAAAAAAAAAUAAAUAAAAUUAUAGAGUGCUAAAAUAAUACACUUAAAUCAUAGAGUACAAAAGUGAGAAAGCGCCAAACCACAUACGAUGGGGCUAUUUAAUGUUUUUCGUAAAGAAAAAAAAAAAUUCUUAAGUUUUUGAAACUCAGUAUUAGGGCAUCAAAUAGUCACAAAAAAUUAACAACAUAAAGAGGUCCCAAAAACCUUUUACAAUAAGUUCCAAUAUAGUCCCCCACCUUUCUGAUUGUUGCAAUGAAGUCCUUUAACUUUUUGUCAAUUUGUCUUUGAACUCUUUAAUUGUUUCAAUUGGUUUAUUUCCAUCGUUAUCCUCGUUAAGGUGGAUGGAAUAAACUGGAUUAGAUUUAAAUUUUAACACAUUAUUCAUUAAGAUAUUAAAUUUUUAUGCCAGAUGUUGCAAAUCACAUAUACUGGAUUAGAUUUAAAUUUUAACACAUUAUUUAUUAAAUUCUAGCUGAUUUUGUUUGCUUAAAGGGACCAGCAUUUUGUCCUGCGACGGGAGAUCAUGGUAGGUCGAGUUAUAUUCGAAAUAGCGUGAAGCUGAUUAGACCGAAUCACAAUCGAGAUCCGUGGGCGCUGUGGCUCUACUCGAGAUCCGCGGGCGCUGUCGCUCUACGCUUUGAAUGAAUUGGUUGCGUAUUUCUAGCGGCUCGAACUUUUGGAAUUAAUGGUUAGCGUCAACGAUUCAGCAUACUAUAGCUUUCAAAAAAUUGCAUUGAAAAUUCUAUUUUGAUGUAGCAGUGAUUUUGAAAAAAAAGAUUAACUUUAGACUAUCCUGAUUUGACUCUCCAAUCUUUUAAAAAUUUUAAUUAGUUGAUUUAAAUAAUUUGAUGACUCUUCAGAUAUAAAAAUUUAAGCUAAGUGCUUACUUCAGUAAAUUUGUAGUUUCCUAUAUUGCAUUAAAUAUGCUAAUUAAAUCUGUAAAGAUAAACGACGCAUUCAAAUUUUAAAGUUAAAGAGUCACAACUCACAAAUUGACUAUAAUCAAAUAAAUUAAAAAGUCAUGUAGUAAAAUCAAAAUUCUUAAAGCUUAGGUAGUCAAACCCAAAUAAGUGAUAGUCGAGAUAAGUUUUGUACAUUUUUAUUGUCGAAUUAUAUUAAUCAUUUAUUUCUAAUUUUUUUAUAUAAUCUUAUGAAAUUAUGUAAUUGCUAAUGAGUCCCUACAAAGUUUUUUUUUUCUCUUACAUACGUUAUGAUAAGUUUCUUUUAUUUAUAUACCCUUGAAUAAUAUUGAAUUAUAAAUAUAGAACUAAAUUUCAAUUUAUUCAAAUUUAAAUUGAAAAUUAUAAUUUAAAUUUCAAUUUGAAUCCAUAAAUUAAAUUUAAAUUUCAAAUAAAAUUUGAAUAAAAGCUUUAGAUUUUAAAUUAAAAUUAAAUUUAAAUUCAAAUUUAUAAAUUAGAUUCAAAAUGCUUGAUUGAAUUUUAAUUUUUAACUUAAGUUCAAAUUUAAAUUUAAAUUUAUAAAUAUAAUUUAAACUUUAAACUUAUGUUUUAAUUAAAAAAUAAGAUUAAAAAAAUUAAAUUUAAUCCGAACAAAUCCAAACCGCCUAGAUUUAAUUUUCAAUCCGGCCUUCUAUGCCAGAUUGAAAAAAGUGGUAAUUUGGGAAAUUCUCAUUUACCUGGGAAUCGCUGAAUGCCAAAUAUGGAUAAACGGAUUUGUUCAUUCUGAUUCCGAUUUCAGGUAAAAAAAAGGCGAAUCAAACACGUCCUUGUAGUUGCAUAAAUUACGUAAAAUAUACUAAAUAAACCCGUGGAAGUAAACAAUACAUUCAAAAUUUGAAAUUAAAGAAUCGCUGAUUGGCUCAGAUCAAAUAAAUUAAAUGAUCUCAGGUGGUAAAAUCAAAAUUUUUAAAGGUUAAAUAGGCGAAUCCAAAUGAGUAAGAGUUGAGAUAAGUUUAAUGUAGUAUAUUGCAUAUCAUAUUAGAUUACUUUUAUUACAAAAGUUGUUUAUUGCACUAUAUUCAUGCAUAUUAUUGGCACUUAAAUACAUUAAAUUUACAUAUAAAAUAUUAUAGCCAAUGAAUACUUAUAAUAUAUUUUAUUAUUUAAAUUUAAUUUAAUUAUUAUGUUACAUUAUUAUUAUUGUUUUUUGUUAAAAUUUAGUUUUUAAGUUGUUUAUUAACUGUUUUUUUUUUAAAUUUUCCCUAUUCUAUAGAUAAAUAUCAAACACAAUCUAUGUUAUCGUUUUAAAUAAAUAAAUUUAGACCAAAGGAAUUUUUUCUCCGUUUUAUAAAAAUAAUUAUCCUGAUAAUAUUAUUUCCAAACGUAAUAUAGAGCAAAUUAAAUUAAUUUAGACAAAAUGAGGCGAUACAGAAUUAAAAAAGGUCCUCAAAAGAGGAACGCACAGUAUAUUUUUUUGCUAAACAGAUCCUAAUUAGCUAGUUAAUCAGCUUGUAUAGCAUUUUUGGAGAAUCGAGCAUUCUAUUCAAAAAAGAAGGUGUGUCAUUCGUCGACGAAGAAUUGAAGCAUUUUGCGCUUUGUUCUAGCAUCUCAAGUGAACGACUCGGAUUAGUCAAAUUUGAAGUGGAUCGCUUUAAUAAUCAGUGCUGAGUCACGAAGAUUUAAAACUAGGAAGAGUUACGAUUCGCCGGAUUACGGAUUAGUGGCUCAACAAUUAGAUCAACAAAUGGGUUGAACAUAUUAUUUUUUUAUUUUUUAUAUAAUAAAAAUAUAUACUAACUAUAGCAUUUCUAUAUUAUUUAUAAAUAUUAUUAUAUUAUUAUUAUAUAUAAUUAAAACUGUAUUCAAAAUGUCCAUUGUUAAAAAAGUAAUGCAUAAUUUUAAUUAAUUAUUAAAAUAUAAAAUAAAAAGAAAGUUUGACUGGUUUUUAUUAAAAAACUGAGCUGAUUCAUCGAUUUACUGAUUAAACCACCAAUCUAAAUGGAUCAAAGUGAAUUUUGAGCUCGUCCGGUUGAACCGGAUCGGUUUGGGCACUGGGUCAUAGUCCGACACAGACCAGGCCGAUCCGGAUUUCGUAAUAUUAUUUAUUCAAUGGAUUUAUGUGUUGCUUUUUAACUAGUAGAGUCGAGAGUUAAAGAUAAAAAUAUCUCCAACCAAUGGCAUUUUAAUGGAGAGAGAAAUCCAAAUGUGAGACCCUUUUAUCCGCCGUUUCAUCAUAAAAAUUCGUUCUGUUUCCGCCAAUCGCUUCUUCGAUCUAACAAAAAAAGAAAAAAAAAACAAAUAAUGAUUGGGCGACGACGAAGAGGUGGUGCUCCCUUUCUUAAUUUCUAAUUUUCUUAAAUGAAUAUAAUAUAUUUAUAUAUAUAUAUAAUCUUUUUCUAUAUUUUUUUUUCUAUGUUGUGGCUCCAGAAUUUCAUGGCUCCGACUCCCUUUCUUUGGCUUCCGACAGACAGGUUUUUCUUUCCUCUUUUCUUUCCCAUCUAAAUUUCAUUCUAGAAAUUUCCAAUUUUGUUAAAAAGAGAGAAAAAAAAAAAAUGCUAAUAUAUCUAUAUUUGGGUGUCAGAAUAAGUUAUCCAGUAAUAGCUUAUGCGCUAUAAAGAUUUUUAUGUAGAAUAAUGUAUUUCACAUGCACGAGAUGAUUUAUCUUAUUUUGAGAAAAUGGAUACGGUACGUCGUUCUAAACAUUUGUUUAUACUCAUCUACCAAAUACUAUGAACUUCUUGCGUAAAAGUAAGAGGUAUAGGCCCUGUUUGGAUGUCUUAUUCACUAAUAAGAGAUAUAGACCCUGCUAGGAGUUUCAACCCUUGUUUUCGGAAUAACAUGUUACGAAUGCCAAGAUCUUUCGAGGAGCAAAAAUCAUAUUUACAGAAGAAAAUCUUCAUACCGAAUAAAUUAUUAUCAGAUAGCUUAUUCCGUUGUGACGAAAAAGUUUUUCAUGCAUCUAAACAAGGCCCUCAAUGAGUAGGAGUGUUAAGAUAGUUUAGUUGGUUUGUAAAUGAAGAGAACUUAUGGUUGCAUAACUACUUCUGAGGAUUUGCGUCAAUUGUUGGAACCAUGUGAAGGCACUUUUCGCAUACUCUCUGAUUCAAGAAUCAAGAAUAGUUGCUAUUUUUUACGAUAUAUGCUGGUUUGUAGAUGAUCAUUUUGAGUUUCUUGUAGCCGGUUCGUAAGUAAGGAAAUCGCUGUUCACGUAACAUGUCGACACACUAGUCGGUAAAUAUGUUGUUAUCUGUCGAAUAGCGAGAAACUUCAGUUCUAGUUUGGCAUUGUGGUCUUCUUGAUUUUGCUGUCAUUUGCGCGCUCUACGUCUCUCCGGAAAAUGCUCUACAUUGUCUAUUGGAAGUGUAAAUAAGUUCCAACUCUUAAUCUUCUUUUAUUGCCGUGCUGUGUUCGGGGAGUUUUGACAUUAUUUACACAUCAUUUUGAGUUUUGCGGCAGAAAAAUGAGAAUUUAGGCCUUGUUUUGUAUUGCUUUGUAUAAACUCAAACUACACGGAUUUGGUUGCGUCGGCAAUAAACUUCGCUCUUCUUGUUAAGUAUUUAUUUUUUGUUUUUUUUUUUUCGCUGCCAAAGAAGGAACAUGGAUCUGUAGAUCACAAGCAGUCCAUCAUCUGCCAGUGCUCUCGCUCGCACAGAAUUUGAGUUUGGGGAAACAGAAAAACAGACGCGAACCAAACGAGGCGUUUGAGGUAAAUUUUCUUUUCGUUCUGUUUAAUUUUGCUAGAAAGAUGAGUUCAAUAACUAACUAGCUAUAGCAAGAAAAGAAAUCCGCUUUUACGGACCUAAUAUCCUUGUAGAAACUGUCGAAAAGAAAAACAGAAACACAAAUGUUUUCUUAGAGUUUUAGGGUUUAUGUUUAGGGUUUUACGGUUUUAGAAUUUUAGGGUUUUUAGGAUUUAGUGUAGAGACCUGGAGUUUUAGCUGAGGCUUGUCGACAGCUCUGGAGAGUGUCGGGACAAGUCCGGGUCGCGUUGGCUCGAAGUGGACGCCAAACGGGCCUUGUGGGAACUUGAGAGCAGCGUGUAUCUUGAAGAUCUGCGAAAUAGCAGAUUUUCAGUGAACUGUACCGGUACAAAGUGGAAGCAGGAUGCAAGUUGACUUUUUGGCCAUCUUGUCACAUCACCCCCCUUUAACCCUUACCUUGGAGCAGAGAGGAGAGAGAGAGGGGAGCUUCUUCAUGCUGCUGCUGCUGCUGUGCUUCUUCUUCCUCUCCUUCUACUUCCCUUAGCAACCUAGAGUGUUGGAGGAGCUCAAGAGAAGCUCGAGCUUCGUCGACGACGCGCCGCGGAGCGGAUCGAGCGAGUUUUCGACGAGGUGCUGCUCGCAGGGAGGGUUUGUCGAGGUGAGUGGCUCCUCGAGAUCGCUUUUAUGGCUUUAAACUUCUACGAUUUUCGAACUGCACUGCUGCUGCUGCUGAUUCCAGCAUCGACCCACAGAGUUUUGACUCGUAUUCCGCACAGGAGCAUUGGAACCUGACGCAACUUGAUUCGUUGGAACCGAGACUUCGAGACGAAUCCAUAGGAUCCUUACUCACCCGAUUUGGAGAAGGUUUGCUCUGUCGAAAUCCCUUUUUACUGAGUUGCUGUUUGCCGAGCAGACUCUGAAGUGCUGAUUGCUGAUUCCAGCAUCGACCCGCCGUGUUUUAUCUAGUUCUCUGUGUAGGAGUGUCGAAACGCGACGAAAUUUGGCGUGCUAGAUUCGCGACUUCGAGACGAAGAUUCUGAGCCCAAGAUCGUGAUUUUUCGAGCAGGUUUUCCCUAUCGAACCCUAGUUUUACUAGGCUGCUGUUUGCCGAGCAGAUUUCAGAGAUGCUGUUUCGCAGGUUCCAGCGUCGACGUUUCGUAUUCUGGCCCGUUCUCUGCGUAGGAGCGUCGGAAUUCAGCGAAACCUGGGCCAUUGGAUCCGUGACUUCGAGACGAAGCUUCAGAGCUCUUGUUUGCUGAAUUUGGAUGAGGUUAGCUUGGUCGGAUUUAACGCUUUCUUCGCUACUGUUUUCUGGACAGAUUUCGUGAUUUUGAGUGUAAUUGGGUUUACCUCUUCGCAGCAGGAGAACCGGGGACUUCGACGGACCAGCGAGGGAUCAAUUUGGAUCCGGGCCACUUUCUUCGCUGCCAGGAGUUGCUUGAGAGGUGGGUUCAUCGGUUUUGCCUCUAAGUACAUAUUAGUCGACUUGUAUGCUUUAUUCGUUGAACACUAAACGAGGUAGCUCAAAUUCAUGGAUUAGUAUAUUAAAAACCUGAAUUGGGAGCAUGCUUAGUGAGUGGUGAUAAUUGAUACUUGUUGGACUUGGAUUUGACUUAGGAGAAAACCCCGAAUUGAUCGUCAUUUACAUACACUGCCGGAUUUAGCUCUAGGAGCCGUGUUGCAUUGUAUCGUCGUGGGCUUUGUGCGAUGGAUACCCAGGAUAGUGUAGCUUGUGUUUGUGCUCGUGCUGGGACGCCGAGCUUAUACUAGCUGAGUGUAGACUGUUACGGGGUGUCGGGCGCCGUCGGGGCAGGCGGUGGGCCCCAAAGUCGGUUUUGGUUACUUGGGUUUGGCUGGUUAGGGCCUGAUUGAGCUCGACAGAGCUACGCUGCAUACUCGGCUGGGUAGCUCCCCCGAGUGCCACUCCGGAGUUAGGCUUUGUGCUUUCGCGUCGGUGUCGGGUAGUGCAGGUUGGACUUGCUCUCCACUGAGGUUUAGAGUGGGGGUAGCUGUGCAGUCACAACCGGGCACGGGACGGGUGCGUUCACAGUCCCAGGGAUGGGUGCGUUCACAGUCCCCUUCAGAUUGGGUCUAGUUGACUUGAGUCUAUAGGUGUUAGUUCUGGGCAUGAUAGCAUAGCGACUUGUAGCUGUAGAGAGUUUCCAGCUUCAUUUUCUUCUAUCUUGCUUACCCUGUAGACUUAGUGGGCGGACCGAUGUUGCUUAGGGCGGCACCCACUGAGGACUACUUGUUUUUAUAGUAGUUCUCACGCCCUCUUUCCUCCACCGUUGUUGCAGGGCCUUCUGUUUCGGCUGCUGCUCCUUCUGAGGCGGACCGCGGGAAAGGCGUGGCGAGUUAGAGCCUACCCUUCGAGUACAGUGCUAGAGGACUCCCGCUGCAGGUAGUGACAGUUUUUGUUCGGGCGCUUUUGUACAUACAGUUGAACUCGCUGGAGCGAGUAGUGUUCUUUUGUAUCCGUGGCUGUUGUAUGUAUAUAAUGUUUGUUAUUUCUACCUGCUUGUUUAUAGUUUACUUCAGCUCGAUACUACUGCUUGUAGUAUUGUAUGUUUAUACAGGUUCAGCUACGCUUCGUAUACCGGAGAAAUUCUCUUGUAUAUGGCGGAUUUGUCGGCGUCCCCGGGGGACUGUGCAGCCAUUUCAUGUAGGCAAAAUAUUAAAUAAAAUUAGUUAAAAGGGGCAAAUUAUUAUUUUCGAGUAAAUUUGUUUAUUUAUCUGUAUUAACUAGACGUAUUUAAACGAACAUUUGCAGAGAGGGUGUUUAUAAUACAAUUUAUGGAUUUUGAGGACCAACACUUAUAUUAACAACUUUGAAGGGGGAUUUGUGAUAUUUUUAAAGUUUUGAAGUGCAUGUUUGAGUUUGAAUUUGCCCCUUUUUAACUUUGGGAAUGAAAUCACAAAAAAGCCAUUAUUAUUUUUACUUUUUUCAAUUUGACCCACUAACUCAAAACUUGAUGAAUGCUUUUUUGGGUAAAUUACAGAAAACCUCCAUACAAAUAUCCGUCCUGACUUUCAAAACUUAUAUUUUUUUUCUUAAAACUUUAAUAGAGAGAGUAAAAUGAUCAAAUCGCCCUUAUUUCUUCUAUAAGAAAAAAUAAUUUUUAAUAUAUUUCUGUCAUUUUGAGGGGGCAUUUUUGAUAUAAAUUAUAAGAAAUGAACGUAAUAGUCAUGGAACCCUGACGUUUGGGGGCUAAAUGUAAACAACUGAAAUGUUAAGGAGAUAAAAUAUAGGUUUUUGAAAGUUAGAAAGGAAGAGUGAAAAAGUGAGUGUUUAUAAGGGGUUUUUUUAUAAUUUAGCCAAACUUUUUUCAAGGCUAACAAUUUUGACUAGAUGGGUUACUUUAUAUUAAAUAAAAAUUUGUAGGUCAAAUUGUAAUUUUUUCACUGCAUGUAACGCAUUUUACAAGCAAUCCCAGAUAUAGCUUGGAGAUUUAAAAAAAAAAAAAAUUGGAGCUAAGUGAUUCAAACUUUACUCCUGAGGUAUAAAAAAUAUUACUAAUAUAUGUAUAAAAAAAAAAUUCGCAGUGAAAAUGUGAAAAGAAAAAAGAGGAAUUUGUAUGAUUUUUUUUUUUGAGUAAAAGUAUUUUGAAAUUUGAAAAAAUAUGUUUUUUAACCAAUUUGCCUAGCAAUUUCUUGUUGCAGCAAUUUUAAAAUCUGAAAAUUUAAUUCGUCUUUGUAUUAAUUCCCAAUUCAAUUAGUAUUUAAAUUUCAUUUUUAUCAAAUAUAGUUAUUAAAUUUGGUAUCUGUUUAAUAUCCAUAUAUUCGGAUUCGUAUUUGUGUACAGAGAUAAUAUCUAAUAUACCCUUCAAAAUUUCCAAAAUACGUUAAUAUAGCAUUCAAAACUUUGAAAAUAUCUAGUAUAACCCCUGUUGACCAAAAUGCCCUCCGUGAUUUUCAAUUUAUUUCACACAUAUCCCUAUCGGUUGAAGGGUAUUUUGGAAAUAGAGAGAUAAAUCAAAAUUGGCUUUUGGUUAUUUACUCUGGAUUAUGAUUUAAAAUUUUUAAAUUUAUUCUGAAAUUAUAAAAAUAUCCUUCUAAGCCCCAAUAUACCGUCCAAAAUUUCAAAAAUAUCUAAUAUACUUCUGUUUGACCAAAAUACCCUUAUUGAUUUUAAAAAAUUCUUUCAAAUAUUCUCAAAAUCCUAGGAUUUAUGAUGCGGCUAAUUUGGUGUUAGAGUUUUUAGAAAAAUGCGACUCAACUAAUUUGAGUCGAAAAUUUUAUUGAGUUCGGAUAAUUUUUACAAUCGAUGUCAGAAAUCUUUAAACGGUCAUAACUUUUCACCGAGUAUUCGAUUUUAGCACCAGCCCAAGAUUUUAGCCAUUCCGGCGGACUUUGGGACCUAAAUUUAAUUGUUCAACCUCCGUUUUUAUAUUUAUGGUUAUUUGAAAAAUUUUGUGUUUUUUUUUCUCUUUGUUGUCCGAUUAUUUGAUUAUGUUUAUUUGAUUGGAUUUAGAGAUAAAUUAGAAUUUAUUAUCUUCAUUUAAUAGGAUUUAGUUAUCGCCUUAUAUAUAUACUAUAUAUUAUAUUAUAGUAUAUAUAUGGUAUAGAGUCCGUCUCCGGUACUUUCGAAAGUACGGGAGGCCCCGUGCUUGUAAGUUGUUUUCGAUGAUAGGACAUCCGAUUCGACGAUCGGCUCCGUUAGGUAUGAUCUAUCCUAUUGGAACUAUCUAGAAACCAAAUUUUAGAUUUUUUUGACAUCAUUUACUAAGCGAUCAAAAUGUCUAAAAAAUGACUAGUUUAACGGCCGAUGUGGCACAUUUUUAAGUUCAACGAUGUAGAAGUAUCCAAAUUACAUGAAAAUUUAAUAGAAAAUUCUACUUAACAUCAGUAGCAAGAUCAAUACUUUCGAUUUAAAAUUUGAAUCCUUUAUCACAGUUUUUUAUGAGAUUUUUAUUUUCAGCCGUUCAUUUUGAGGCCACUCGUUCACUAGACAAACGAAAUCAAAAAAUUAUGAAAUUUGUUUUCUAGAAAGUUCCAAUAGCAUAGAUCAAGUUUAAAGGAACCGAUUGCCGAAUCGAAUGUCCCAUCAUCGAAAACAACUUACAAGCAUGGGGCCUCCCGUACAUUCGAAAGCAUAGGAGCCUAGCUAUAUAUAUAUAUAUAUAUAUAUAUAUAUAUAUAGGCAUGGCAUUUGGGUGGCAAUAAAAUAUUUUAGAAUUGAAUAAUAAUAUUUCGUCUUUGUCGAAGACUUGGUUCUUCGUUUAUCAUCUCUUUUGAUUCUUGUGUUUCCUUCCUUCUAACGCAGUUUAGGCCUGCAUAUAUAAGAAGGAUAUUUUUGAUAAUUUCAGAAUAAAUGGAGCAAAGUGAUUCAAACUCUACUUCUGAGGUACAAAAAAUUGUUACUAAUAUAUAUAUAAAAUAAUUGGGUAAAUUGCAUUGUUACUCCCUAAACUUUUGGCGAAGUUUCACUUUACCACUCGAACUCCUAAAAUGGACAUCUAACAUCCUAAACUCUAAUAUUUCAUUCAUGUUACCCCUUCCGUCAGUUUUCCAUCAAGCUCCGUUAAUCGAAAAUUGACGAAAGGAGUAAAACGAGUAAAAUAUUAGAGUAUAGGUGUAACAUAUCACUUCCCCGUGAGUCGUGCCGAGUUCUGUCGAAAUGAGCGGAACGCGGAAAGGAAUGAGUUACUAUAGGCUAAAAGUGAAUUGGAGCCUAUAUAUAAAAUAUAAAGGGACCCGAGAGAGUGAAACUGCAAUUCUGGAAGAAUUCCAGAAAUUUUACUCUCGGGAACCGGUCCCUUGGGUGAGAGACCGGUUCCCGAACGUUGUUCAGCCAAGCAGAAGGAAAAAUCGGCUAAGUCCUGGAAAUUGAGCUCUCGGAAACCGGUCCUUCUGCGGGAGACCGGUCCCCGGAGACCUGUUUCAUCGGGGGAAGACCGGUCCCCUUCUGCGCAGGUUGCAGGGUAGCUCUCGGGAACCGAUCCCUGAAGGGGAGAGACCGGUCCCCGAGCCCGAAAAUGCCCAGUAAGGGCUAGUUGCAAAAGUGAAAAGUUGAGGGGUUUAAAUGCAAAUAUGGCAUGAGAGGGGUUAUGUAGGCUACGGCAUGAGUGAGAACUCAUUUGUUCUCACUCUCACUCUCAAACCUUCCCUCUCUCUCUCUAAAAAUCCUUCUCUUCUCUCUCCCUCUCUCUCUAGGGCUUGGACCAAGAGGGGAUUUGGAGGAGAAAAGCUUAGAGAAGAAGCUCUCCAAGGUGUAGGGCAAACUUGGUCAAGGCUUUAAAGGAAAGCUUGGGCUCCAAAGGUGAGUUCUUAUGAUUUUAAGUUAGGUUUUGGGUUUUUGCUUCUAGUUGAAGUAUGUGGAGAGGUCUAUGGUGGUUUUCCUCUAUGUUUUGUCAAGCUAGGGGCUUGAUUAGAGAAGAUGAUAUUGUGGAGGACCUAUAUUUGGGGUUUUGUAAUUUUGAGGUUCAAACUUGGAUUUGAUCUCAUUCUAACAUAAUUGGUAGGUCUACGAACGCAUCGGUGCGCUCGGUUCGGCGAUACGACGAGCGUGCGCAAAGAUAUUAAGAAAACAAGUUGAAAUAGUACAGAUCGUCGUAGCUCGCGGCGAACAAGCCCAAAAAUCGUGGAAUCGGAACCGUGGCAUCCUUGUGACACACAAAGGUGGGGGGUGCUAUCCGGAAACACCGGAUCUCUUUCUAUGUCUAUGUCCCUUCUUUGAGCAUGUUGAUACUAUAGCGUUCUUGCAUGUAGGGUAAUGUACAGUACAUGUUGGUUGUAACAAUUAUCUGCGUAAGAUUAUUGUAUUGAUAUAGAACCAUGUAAACAAAGAUAGCGAAAGACCCUAUAUGCAUGUGAAUGUAAGAAAUGACCGUGACCGUAGUAAACAAAGGCGACAUUGACAAUAGUGACUCGAUGGACAUCGAUAAGUGAAUAGUUAAACAAGGUUUAACCCGAGUGACAUUAUGUGUGACAUUAUGUUUGUUGUGGCAUAAGGACCACCAUGACAUUGGCAAAUGAUAGUUGUGCAUGAAUAGGUAUGAACCAUUCAUCGGCAUUGAGAUAGUGAGAAUUGUGACAGGUUGGCCAUACCUCCUGAAAUUGAGGAUGGGAUCAUACUCACAGGUAUUGGUUCCGGCUUAUGCGAGGUCGCUCCUCCACGAGCGGUAUACUCCGGAGAAGAAAUGCACCACGGGUGGACGUGCCCGGCGAAGAUCCUUCGGGCGAUUGUGCCUUGUGCCUCCCCCGUUAGAUGGAUAUGUGGAUUGUGAGUUGGGGUAAACCAGGAGCACCCCAGGUUGAAUUGGGUAAAGGCCAAAGGAAAGUGAAAAAGGACAUGUAUCCAUCGUUUUCAUGUAUUUGAUUAUGAAUAUCUAUCUGUGGGUUGCUUUCUUGCAGGCAUUGUAUUAGAAGUGCAUUAGUUGGUUUGUUAUUCUUCUUUAUUGAAAUACAAAUGCCUGAAUUAGACAUAGUGGGCGAAUCGGCGUGGUCGGCGGCCGAACCCACUGGGAACUUCUUCUAGUUCUCAUUAUUACUAACCCUGCAGAUCCAUACGCGAGCGGGGCGGCGGAGGAUCGAGGGCGGGGCGACGGAGGAUCGAGGCAAGGGAGUCGCGCGUAGAUAGCGGCUCCGGAGUUAUAUAGGCAUACCCUACUCUUGAUGUAUUCAACUUUUGUAUGUUGAAAUUGUAAGACGAAAAUGAUGUAAUAUAAAGAUGAUGUAAACGGUCUUUUGGUUAAAAGAAAUCGUGUUGUAAUGAGUGUAAAUGAAUGUGAUAGAUUACUUGUGUUUGAUUUAAAUGAAAUCAAAUGAUAUGUAUAUUGAAUAUUUGGUUAGCUUCGAUGCUUUUACUGUGGUUGUUGUUUGCCCUCGUGUAAACCUUGUAUAUUCCACAAUUCUCUUUUGAUUUGCUUGUAAUAUACUUGUUGUUAGAGCCUUGGGCGGAGAGGGGAGGUACUAUCCGUUCGGCGUCUGUCAUGUGCUUGAAUCCGACCAAAGUGGCGAAGCUCGGGGCAUGACAAUAGGGCGUUAGAUGUCUAUUUUAGGAGUUUGGGGGGUUAAGUGAAACUUGCCAAAAGUUCAGGAUGUAGCAGUGCAAUUUACCCCCUAGGCACUCUUGACUAUAAAUUAUUUUAUUAUAAUAUGUUACUUAUGGAUUGACUACUAACCCUCAAGUUAGUGAUUAUGCUUGAUUUUGAAUUUAUAUAUAUUUUUUAUCCUAAAAUAAAUCAUACCAUAAUUUAUCCUACAUUUUAUUAUAAUAAAAUAAAAGCGAAAAAAAUGAAUUAGAUGGCUUAAAGAUAAGAAAAGAGCGAUACUAACUACAUACAAUGCUCGAACACUCUACUGUCGUGUUGUACUCGCUAAUUAAUAUGGUUGAUUUACAAUAGGUGCCCUCACUCGGAUAUAGAGAUUUUAAUUCUCAGUUAAUUUUCUAUAGUACUCGUUUGUCCCUUUUAUCUUUAGAAGCAUAUCCUCUUCUCCUUAAAUUUUCUCUCCAAUAUAUCUUCCCUCUCUCAUUCUACCACCGAUCAAACUUGUAUGGAUGGUUAAAAAGUUAGGAGCACAAGGGCUAUUAUACUCCUAACAGUACAGUAGCCCUACUCUCUCUCUAUAUAUAUAUAGGCUAGGGCUAUUAUACUCUUAUGAGUUUAGAGCCCUUCGUACUCAUAAGUUACAUUCGAUGAUGUAGUUUCCGAAUCGACGAUCCACUCUGUUAAAUAUGAUCCGAAAUAUUUGAAAUUUUUAAAAAAUAAAUUUUGUAAUUUUUCGAAAUCAUAAUAAAAUACUUCAAGCGAGCAUGAAAUGAACGGUCAAAAUCGAACGACGUCCUAAAAAUGAAUGAUCGGAUCCUUUAAUUUAAGAUCGGAGUUAUUGAUUUUUUAUCUAGAUAGUGAAUAGAAUUUUCUAUAAAAAAUUCAACAUAUUCCGAUUCUUUUACAUCGUUAAACUAGCAAAUAUCUCAUACCGGCCGUUAAAAAUUGUCAAUUUUAUGAGCUUUUGAUUGUAAGGUAAAUGAUAUCGAAAAAUUAUAAAAUUUGAUUUUUAGAAGUUUAAAAUAUUCUAGAUAAUGUUUAACGGUAUGGAUCAUCGAUUCGGAAGCUCUAUCAUCGAAAACGACUUAUGAGUACGAGAGCGAUCGUACUCAUAAGAGUAUAGUAGUCGGACUCUAUAUAUAUAUAUAUAUAUAUAGGGCGCUCCACGUUUUCUAUCCGGAAAGUUUAGCCUUACAUUUGUCUAUUCGGAGUGUAAAUAAGUUCAACUCCAUAGCUUCUUUUAUUGCCGUGCUGUGUUCGGGGAUUUUGACGUUUUUUACACAUACAUUUUGAGUUUUCGACAGAAAAAUGAGAAUUUUAGGCCUUGUUUUGUGUGUCUUGUAAAACUCAAACCUCACUUGAUUUGGUUUGUGUCGCCAAUGAACUUCGCUCUUUCUUGUUUAAGUAUUUAUUUUUUUGUCUUUUUUCGCUGCAAAGAGGACAUGGAUUUCUGUAGGUUCACAAAGCAGUCCAUCAUCUGCCGUGCUCUCGUCGCGGACAGAAUUUGAGUUUGGGGAACAGAACAAACAGACAGCGAACCAAAACGGGUAUUGAAGGUAAAUUUUCUUUUCGUUCUUGUUUACUUGCAAGAAAGAUGAGUUCAAUAACUAACUUUGACUAUACAAGAAAAAAUUCCGCUUUACGUGACCUAAAUUCAUUGUAGAAACUGAUCAAAAGAAAACCGAAAACACAAAUGAUAUCGGAACACGUACUUCGGAGUAAGAUUCGGAUGACACUGUCUAUAGGUUAUUAUCAAUAGCAUUUUGUGCCAUACACUGUCUUUUUUUUUUACUUUUCGGAAAGGUCUAUAAAUUCUGAUGUAAUGCACCUUAGACGAAGUUUAUUCUUUCCUAGCAAUUUUUGACAUUUCUAGCAAAGUUUAAUAUCCUUUCUCCCUCUCUUUGCAAUGAACGGCCGCAAUACGACGGUCAAAAGAAAUUUAAAAGUGUUUUUAAGUAUAUCAGAUUGUGGAGAAAAGAGCGUAAAAAUAACGAGAUACAUUCCUCUCUUACAAGCAAGUCUCGAGCGAAAAUCGGACACUGGUGCUGUUUGCGGUUGAUCUCAUGCGACAGGGGAAAAUUGUUACACCAAUGCUGUUGCACAGGCAACGGCCUGCUUUGAACCCCCUGCUGCUGAACAAUCUCUGUAAAAGUCCCAAUCGCAAUAGGAUUUAGUUAUCGCCUAUAUAUAUAUAUAAGUCCUCUCCGUACUUUCAAAAGUUACGAGAGGUCCGGUACUUGUAAGUUUUUUCGAUGAUCAGGACGUCCGAUCGACGAUCGCUACCAAUUUUCACUAGAUGGGAUCAUUUAUAUUACAUAGCAAAUUGUGGGUCAACUUGUAAUUUUUUCGCUGCAUAUAGAGGCAUUUUACAUGCAAUCUCAAAAUACAGCUUAGAAUGAAAAAAAAAAAUGAGGCAAAGUGAUUAACUCUACAUUCUGAGGGUAUAAAUCAAAAAAUGUUACUAAUAUAUAUAUAAAAAAAUUGGUAAAUUGUAUUGUUACGGUCUAAAACUUUUGGCGGAAGUUUGCCACUUUAGCCACUCGAGACUCCUAAAAUGGAUAUCUAAACAUCCUAAACUCUAAUAUGUUCAUUCAUGUUACCCUUCCGUCAGUUUUCCGUCAAGCUCGUUAAUUAGAAAUAGAUGGACAGGAGUAAAACGAAUAAAAUAUUAAGAGUAUAGGGCGUUAGAUGCUAUUUUAGGAGUUUUGGUGUUGUGUAAGUGAAACUCCAUCAAAAUUCAGGAUGUAGGCAGUGGCCAAUUUACCCCUCGCACUCUUGACUAUAAAUUAUUUUAUUUAUUUAUAUGUACUUAUAGAUUGACUACUAACCUUCAAGUUAGUGACUCCAUGUUGAUUUGAAUUUAUAUUAUAUUUUAUCUAAUUAAAAAUAUAACCAAUUUAUGCCUACAUUUUAUUGUAUAUAAAAUAAAGCGAAUAAAAAUGGAAUUCAUAGGCUUAAAGAUAAGAAAAGAGCGAUACUAACUAACCAUUCAAUGCCGAACAGCUCUAACGUCAUGGUUGUAACGCCGCUAAUUAAUAUGGUAUGGUGUACAAUAGGAUGCCUCACUCGGAUACUAAGAUUUUAAUAUCUCAUGUUAAUUUUGUGUAGUACCCCGUAUCCCUUUUAUCUUUAGAAGGCUAUCCUCUUCUCCCUUAAAUUUUCUCUCAAUAUUUAUUCUUCCCUCUCUCCACUUCUAACGGCACGCUUAUCAAACUGCAUGAUGGUUUAAAUAUGUUAGAGGCACGAAGGGUAUUAUACUCCUAACAGUACAGUAGCCCUACUCUCUCUCUCUAUAUAUAUAGGCGCUAGGGGCUAAUUAUAUCUCUUAGAGUUUAGAGGCCCUUCGUACUCGUAGUUAUAUGACUGAGUUGGUUUCCCGCGAUCGACGAUCCACUCUGUUAAAUAUGAUGCGCGAAAUAUUGAAAUUUUAAAAAUAAAUUUUUGUAAUUUUUCGAAAUCAUACAUAAAAUCCUUCAGAGGCGAGCAUUAAAAUUGAAACGUCAAAAUCGAACGACAUCCUAAAACAUGGAUGAUCGAUCUUCAAUUUAAGAUCAGGUUAUUGAUUUUUUUAUCUAGAUAUGAAUAAAUUUUCUAUAACAAAUUCAACAUAUUCCGAUUCUUUAUAUGUUAAACUAGCAAUAUCUCAUACCCGCGGUAAAAUUGCAUUUUUGAGCUUUUGAUUGCUAAGGUAAAUGAUAAUCGAAAAAUUAUGCAAUUUGAAUUUUUGAAGUUGAAAUAUCGAGAAUAAUGUUAACGGUAGGAUCGUCGACUUCGGAAGCUUCUAUCAUGAAAACACUUAUAGUAAGAGAGCAAUCGUCUCACAAGAGUAUAGUAGCCGGACUCUAUAUAUAAUAUAUAUAUUAUAUAUAUAUGAGUCAUACUGGGAACUACUAUCUGAUAGCAGCAAGCGUUUGGUGCUACAAUUUUGUGCCGUUAGACUUUAUACACAUUAACACUUUCACGCGCGUUAAUUUCCCUAUUAAAAACAAUAAACUCACUCAACUUAGGGGACGCCAUAUACAUCCAACGCGUAACAUCGUUUUCAUCAAGGCGCCUAGAAAUACCUAAUAGUUCAUCCAAUAAUUUGGUGCUAUUGUAGUAUUCCAGGCUAGGUAUAUAUUAUUAUAUAUAUAUAGAGGAUGAAUGAUCGCUGUCUGCAACUUUUUGACCAUGGUGGAUCAAAAAUUAUACGGUUUGGGAUAUAUAUAUAUAUAUAUAUAGAGAGUAAGAGAAGAGAGAGAGAAGAGAGAGAGGAGAGAGAAGCAGAGAGUGAGCUACUAUGCUAUCCGGAAGCAUGAGCCUUCCGUGCUUCCAGCUCGUUUCAUUUGCGACUACUUUCGAAUCGUCCGAUCGCCCCGUUAAACUGUGAUGUAGAGUAUUUGNNNNNNNNNNNNNNNNNNNNNNNNNUUAUAAUAUAUAUUAUAUAUAAUGAGUCCGAUCAUGGAAUUACUAUCGAUAGCAGCAAGCGUUUUGGUGCUAUCAAGUUUUGCUUGCGUUUAAGAUUUAACACAUUAACUAUUUUCAUCCGUUAGAUUAUACUAUUAAACAAUAACUCACUAACUCCUAGGGACCCAUAUCAUCCUAACCGUACAUCUUUUCAUCAAGGGCUAUAUAAAACCUUAAUAGCCACCAAUAAUUUGUGCUAUUGAUAGUAUCCAGGGCUACGUAUAUAUAUAUAUAUUAUAUAUAUUAUAUAUAUAAUAUAUAUAAUAUAAUAUUAUAUAUAUAUAGAGAGAGAGAGAGAGACGAGAUGUGCCAUAAUCAGACGUUUUCUAACGACAAGAGAGAAUACAAUGAAGAGGAGAGAGAGAGAUCUGAUGCCCCGCUACUCCAACUUUUUUGACCAUUGGAUUCAAUAAAUUAUACGGUCUGGCGAUAUAUAUAUAUAUAUAUAUAUAUAUAUAUAUAUAUAUAUAUAUAUAUAUAUAGAGAAGAGAGGAGAAGGAGAGACCGCUAAGCGUCCAGGGAGUCAGUCGUCCACAGUCUUACGAACGGGGGGAGAGAGAGUGAGUGAGGCCUACUAUGGCUAUCGGAAGCACGGAGCCUUCCGGCUUCCAGCUCAUUUUCGAUGUUAGCGACUUCGAAUCGUCAAUCGGCUCGUUAAACUUGAUCGUUGAGAGUUUUGUGAAGUACCUAGACAAUAAAUUUUAUAUUGUCGAUGGUAGGUCAGGUUGCCCUUACCGCCGUGACGAAUUGGUGCUUCAGAGAGAUCAGUACAAAUUUUAAAUGGCCGUAGCUGAGCGGUGUUUGCAGAAGGUUUAAUGCGCGUUACGGAAAUUCCGAAUCGAGCGUCGAAGUGUGUGAUGAGGAAGAAGAGUUCUUUAUGACUAUAUAUAAAACAGAAUCAAUGAUCUUUGAUAAAGAUCGUAAUGUCAUAUAUUACAUUUUUGUAAGCAUUUUUAUUUUCAGCCGUUGAUUUGAGCCCUUCGUUCACUAGGCAAAUUGAUAUCGCAAAAUUCAUAAAAUUUAUUUUCUUAGUACUUCAAUACUCUAGAUCAAGCUUCUUCUUAAACCGGCGGGGAAUGGGGUACAUACUAACCACCCCAUUUCCGCUUCUCGAUCAUCCUGUCGAUCGACGAUUCGAAAAGUCGCAACAUCGGAAAACGAGCUGGAAGCACACAACGGCUCCGUGCUCUCGAUACAUAGUAGCCCUCAAAAAAACUCUAUAUUUAAUAUAUAGAGUCCGCCACGUUACUAUAAUAGCCACAAAGCUUGGAUGCCCUACCCAAGUUUUUCUGCCGAUUAGAUCGUACCUUUGAUCAUUGUUCACCGUUGUAGAUCAUACUAUUUAACCACCACAACACUCAACCUUAAGGACCCACAUCAUCCUACCGGACAUCUGCUUUAAUCCAAGGCUAAAACUUGGAGCACUAAACUUGGUGCCUAUUAAUGCAUAGUAGCCCUAGUUCUAUAUAUAUAUUAGUAGUGUAGAGCCUACUAUGCUAUCUGAAAGUUAUAGAGGAUCCUGAUCUCCAACAUUUUUGACCAUUGCGCAUAAAAAAUUAUUACGGUUGGGAAUGAUUGCGUUCCCCCCAGAAUGCAUGAAAAUAUUGAUGUUAUGCAAUCCGCUUUGGUAUUACUCAUUAAAGUUUUCAAUCCCUUGCUAUCUAAUUUGUUGUCCUAUUUUUUUGUUAGAUCACUUCUAUUCGUUUUUCUAGAUGAUACUUAUCAAUCUCAUAGAUCGCAAAAUUGCUUACGUCACCUACAUUACCGCUAGGGAUUCGACCCUAAUCAUUCUAAUAGGGCCCACCUAUGACCAUUUAGCAAUUUUUAUAAUUCCUAUCAGCUAUGCACAAGUUCUCUACUUCCCACGAAAUCGUCCAAUAUACUGUUCAAAUAUAGAUUUUAUGCAUUGUAGUGUAUAACCAAAAAUUAGUGCACUCACGAGCAACCGUGGGUCGUACACAGGAACCAUCAUAAAUGUUAAGAUAGGAAAGAGCACUCUAAAUAAGGUUGAACGCGCCACAAAUAAGACCUAAAUUUUUCUCUUUAUUACUGAUAAUCAAUUUGCCAAGAUAUUAGCUAACUCAUCACGUUUUCACUCCUCACAUAGGUGAUUUCCAAGCAACAAAAAACCUUCAAGAUUAUGUUCGUCAGGUACUUGUAAUGCCACCUUUAUAAUAAGGCUCAAAAGGACUAGUUGGGAUUAUAAACGGAAUGUGUCGUCAAACUUUUAGAUGUAGGAUGUUAAUGCGAAAUAAUAUGAGGCACAACAUCUAUUUAAGAGUAGUUAGAGUUGUUGAAUUUUUUUCCCCUAUUUCAAGCUUUUCCAAGAAUUUCUGGCGGGUGGCCUUUGUUUUUCUUCUCUGUGUCCGGUAGCUUGUGUUGAAUAGCUAUAUACAUGUAUCUAACGGAAAAUUACGCAAAUGACCCGAAAAGCAUGAACUCGACAUCGCCCUUCGCCUCUUCGCUGGCCGGAGGAACUAAAAAAGGCAAUUCGACUUACUUAGUAGCGCUCUCUUUCAUAAGUCUUGGUGCUUUCCUACAAGCACCUAUAUGCCCGCACUCUCUUCUCCUCUCUUCGUUCAUACUUCAGUCCCUCGCAUCUCUACGUUCUCUCUCUCUCCCUCUCUGAAUUCAAACCAAUGCAACUCAACUUAUGUUACAAUCAGUUUUAUAUAUCGAAUAACCUCAUAAACUGAUAUACUCAUAUAUAUAAUAUAUUAGAGUAUGUAACUUGUAACCAUAGAGGAAUAGUAUUACUAACGUCUCGGGUAGUAAGACCUGACGUCUCGUGUUGUCUGUUUUACUGCUCGCGAGUUGUGUUUCGUGAUGAUAGAUUGAAGCAAUUCGAGAGAGAGAGUGAGAGCAAAAUUCUAGUAUUGAGAUUCUGAACUCGAUUACAAUGGCAUCUCUGAAUUAUAUUCGAUUCCAGUUUUGAAUGAAAAAAACAGAAAGGGAUAAACAAUGUUCUUUCCUGCUAGAUUUGGAGUAUGUCUCUAUAAAAUAACCGGGAAAUAAGACCAUAUUAAACUAAUGAUCAUCUAUGAAAUCCAGAUUUCAGGCACCUUCAUAUGUUUUAUAUAUCCUAUCUAGUAAUAUUGGGAAAAAUGACUUUAUGGUGGGCAAAUAUACAAAAAUGAAUUCUUUCUUUAAAAAAUUGAGUUGAUGUUAUGCGUUAUUUAUCGUAAUAAGUAAUACAAGUAAAGUAAUAAAGUAUGCUAUAAACCUAUACUUGAAUCUUAUUUUUCCCUCUGAGUACCUAGAAAAUAAAUUUUAUUAUUUUUCGAUAUCAUUUGCCUAGUGAUCGAAUGGGCUCAAAAUCAACAAAUUUUAAUGGCCGUAGUGAGCCGUUUGCAAGUUUAAUGGUGUAGAAAUAUCCAAAUCACGUCAAAUUUUGAUAGAAAAUUCUUUAUACUAUAUAAAACAAGAUCAAUAUCUUUGAUUUAAAAUCUUAAUGUCAUAUUAUUACAUUUUGUAAGAUUUUUAUUUUCAGCCGUUGAUUUUGAGCCCCUUCGUUCACUAGGCAAAUGAUAUCGUAAAAUCAUAAAAUUUAUUUUCUAGGUACUUCAAAUACUCUAGAUCAAGUUUAACGGAGUCGAUCGACGAUUCGAAAGUCGCAACAUCGAAAACGAGCUGGAAGCACACAAGGCUCCGUGCUUCCGAUAGCAUAGUAGCCUCACUCUAUAUAUAUAUAUAUAUAGAGUCCGGCCACUAUACUAUUAAUAGCACAAAGCACUUGGUGCUACCAAGUUUUCUGCCAUUAGAUCUACCUUUUUGAUCAUUUUCACCCGUUAGAUCAUACUAUUUAACCAACCACCCACUCAACCUUAAGGGACCCACAUCAUCCUAACCGCACAUCUCUUAAUCCAAUGGCUAAAAACUUGGUAGCACUAAUGACUUGGUGCUAUUAAUAGCAUAGUAGCCUAGUUCUANCCUAACCGCACAUCUCUUAAUCCAAUGGCUAAAAACUUGGUAGCACUAAUGACUUGGUGCUAUUAAUAGCAUAGUAGCCUAGUUCUAUAUAUAUAUAUAGUGUAGAGCUACUAUGCUAUCGAAAGUAUAGAGGAUCUGAUGCUUCCAACAUUUUGACCAUUGGAUAAAAAAUUAUACGGUUGGGAUGAUUGCGGUCCCCCCAGAAUGAAUAUUGGCUCCCUUAUACUCAUAAGUUUUCAACCCUUAGAUUUAUUCCAUUAAUCAUUUUCAUCCGUUAGAUCAUACUAUUCAACCAACUACCCACUCAACCCUAGGGGACCACUAUCAUUCUAAGUAGGGACCACCAUCAUUCUAACCACACAUCCCAUCAAUCAACUGUUAAAAAUUUAUGAGUACAAGGGGGUCUAUACUGAUAAGAGUAUAGUAGCCCCAAGUCAUUGGUACUUGUAAGCUUUCGGCCCUUGGAUUAAAGGAUGUGCAGUUAUGAUGAUAUAGGCCCCUUAGGGUUAAGUGGGUAGCUUGUUGAAUAGUAUAAUCUAACGGAUAAAAAUGACCAAAGGCAUAGAUCUAACAGUAAAAAAUUUACAAGCACCAAGUACUUGGUGCUUUUACAAGCACCAUAGCCGAACUCUCUCUCUCUCUCUCUCUCUCUCUCUCUCUCUCUCUUUCUCUCUCUCUCUAUAUAUAUAUAUAUAUAUAUAUAUAUAUAUAUAGGUUGAGUAGAAUACUCUCGAGAGUAAACGACGCCCGGUUUACUCUCGAGUUGUUUUGAUGAUGUAGAGCUUCACAAUUGGAGAUCGGCUGCGUUGAAUUAUGAUCUAAACCAUUUAAACUAUCUAGAAAUCAAAUUCACCACUUUCGAUAUUGUUUUAUAAUCCAUCAGUAAAUAGGAAAAUGAAUGGCGAAAAUGAUAUUCUUUAAAAAUGAUGAUAGGCGUCUUGUAAUGAAGGAUCAAGAGUAUAGAUCUUGUUUUAAAUAGUUUAAAGAAUUUUCUAACAAAAAUUCAAUUGAUUUGGAUAUCUUUACACCGUUAAACGAGAAAACGUCUCUUAUCCACCAUUAAAAUUACAAAUUUUGAAACCCUUUGAUCAUUAGGCAAAUGAUGUCGAAAAGAUUUGAAAUUUGAUUUCUAAACACUUCAAGUGGUAUAAAUCAUGUUCAACGGAGCCGAUCGUCAAUUUGGAAGCUCUAUCAUCGAAAACAACUCGAGAGUAAACGGGCUCGUUUACUCUCGAGAGUAUUCUAGCUCAACUCUCUAUAUAUAUAUAUAUAUAUAUAUAGUUGAGCUAGAAUACUCUCAAAAGCACCAAGAGGGUGGUGCUUUUGAGUUUUUUGUCAUUUUAUGGAGAGAUACAAGAUUGGGAUGAUGGUGGUAGCUAGUGGUAGCUGGAGUAGUGUUUAAUCCAAGGGCUAUUAGUAAUCAAGGAAUAAAUCGAAGGGCUAAAAACCUAGAAGCACCAAGGGGUUAGUGCUUCUAAAAGUAUUCUAGCUCAAUUCUUGUUGGAAAAACUUUCUAAUCUUUUAUUACAAUAUUCUUUAAAAACAUCUGGAAAAUUCAAUUACAGGUUUAGGAAAAUCCCGAAACGAAAUUAAAUAAAAAAUACAGUAAAGAAAAGGUUUAGAUAUGGCCUGUGGAUCGAGGCGUGGAGAGCACUAUCCUAGAAGCGAAAUUGCCCCUCCACGUGCGAGGUUUCCCUGCAAUUACUCCUAGCGAUACAAUUACCACGUUCUACCUCGUCAGCACACUUCCAAGGUGGCGCAAGACAAACCCAACCAGUUUCAGAUCCAGCAAAAGAAAACUUGGCGAAAAUCCAGAAAGUAGAAAAAGACGAGAGGCUUUAGGUAUGCUCUGGUUAUUUGUUAACUCGUGUAACCUCGCCCCAUAUUUAUAACCUAGGCGAGAAUCUUACUUCAACACGUCAAAUCCGUGUAUAACAAGAUAAGCCUAAGAUUAUACGGAUAAAGAUUAGGAUUAGGAUCAGUAAAAAGAUAAGUAUUAAAAUAAAGAUAAAACCGACAAAAUAAAAUAAACCGGGUGUUUGGAUGGACCGCACGCGCCACCGCCGGCCCGGCCCGGCUCGUGCUCGUGCCGUGCGUGCAUGUAUAUAAACGAGAGCAUAACUCUCAUUUUCUUCGAAGCAACUAGCUUGAGAAUAAAGCAAUAUAUAAAAACAAUAAAGACCCUUUUGGUUUCCAAUGUGGAACUAAACAUCUCAUAUGGAUAUUUUAAGUUGGGCUCCCAAGAGGCCCAUUAACAAUUAUUGGGCUCCUCAAGUGGUUUUAAUAAGUUUUAAAUUACAAAACCCAAUAAAAUCCAAUAAUACUUAAUCUGUCACGCCCGGAUUACUCGUUCCCCGGGCACGCCGACAAAUCCACCGUAUACAAAAAAAAAAUUUUCUGUAUACGAAGCGAUAGCUGUACGUGUAAAACAUACAAUACUACAAACAGUAGUAUAGAGCUGCUAGAAGAACCAGUAACCAAAUAAACCGAGUUCCAUAUACAUACGCCAAAUCCAAGAUAUAAAACUACUCGCACUGGCGAGUUAAAUAUAUGUAUGUACAUGAACUUCAAACAAAAACAAAUAUCUGCUGUAGGGGCACCUCUAGCUCGGCUCGUCGGGUAGGGCUCUAACUCGCGACGCCCUUGCCUCGAUCCUGAUCAGCAACAGCAGCAGCCGAAGACAAUGGCUCUGCAAAAAUGGGGUAACAACAGGGCGUGAGAACUACUGUAAAAACAAGUAGUCCUCAAUGGGUGCCGCCCUCAACAUCAUCGGUCCACCGACUAAGUCUACAGAAGGGAGCAAAGGUAGUAAUAAAUGCUGGAAUAAAAUCUACAGCUACCAUUUAUUACACUAUCAUGCUCUAAGCUGACCUACUGUAGUAAUGUCAAUCCUGACCCAAUCUCUUUAGGGACUGUAAAUAUAUCCGUCCCAGUGACUGUGAACACACCCGUCCCGCGCAGUUGAGACUAUUCAGGUACCUCCACACUAUCCAGUCCGUGGAGAGCAAGUCUAACCGGCAUGAAUGACACCAACGCGAAAGCACAACGCCCGUCUCGGGAGUGGCACUCGUGGGAGCUACCCAACCGAGUAUGCAGCGUAUAUCUGUCGAGCUCAAUCAGGCUCUCUCAAGCCAAAGUCCAAGUAACCAACACUAACUGGUCUAACAACCCAUAGUCACGUGCCCUCGGCACAAUCCGACUCUAAAAAGGCGAUGUGGGUCCACCGUCUACCCCGACGGCACCCAACAGCCCAGAACAGCCUGAACGCUACUGUAAAAAUACACUCGGCAUCCCAACAUGAGCAUAACUGAAAGCUAAACUACCUAAAGUAUCCGCCGCUUCGAUAGUGUGACGAUACAAAAUUACAACGGCUUCUAGAGCUAAAUCAGAUAGUGCAAACAGGUGACAGAUCCAAACCGCUGGUUUUCUCCUAAUUUAAUUUUCAAGUCCAACAUGUAUAGUUUAACUAAAUUCCACACAUGCCUCAAAUUCAGAUUUCAGCCAAUACGCUACUCAAUGAAUUUAAGCGAGUACGAAGUAUAAACAAUCGGAAGCUAUACAUGUUUACUAAUAUUCACUUAGGAGUAAACCCGAUAAAAACCCACCUCAAAGGCUAAUCCCAGGCAGUGAAGAAGGUCACCGGAGUCCCUGCCAAGCUCCGCGCAACCCAACGAACCAGCUACAACAACACUCCACGGAUCUAGACAUAGAAACCCACAAUAAACACCAAUUCUGCUCAAAACAACAGCAGUAGAGUGGAAUAGAGUUUCGACCAAGCUAACCUUUACCAAAAUCAACAAUCUUGGGCUUCAUGGAUUCCUCUCGAAGUUCUGUAUCCAACGAACCAAGUCUCCCUGCAAUCCGACUCUCCUACGUCGCACACGAGCUGAAACGCCCAUGGUCGACGCAGGAAAUCUGCGAAACAGCAUCCUUGAGCUUGGAAGUGAUAAAGACUUGCCAUAGUUGGAGGAAUUGAUGAAUAUCUCACCUCAACAGCGACUCUAACACUGGCGCGACAUUGAGAACGGCGCAAAUGCACCCUCACCCGGCCUCCUCGCGAUGCUACGGCAACAAACGCGUGCUCGAACGGCUCCGCGGCACAAUGUCGGCGACGAAAUACUCCACCCGAGCUCCUCCACGAUUGGUCUAGCUAGAGGGAGAAAAGGAAGCAAGCAAAAUCUCCUCUCAGCUCUCCCUCACACCUGUAAAUAGUAAGGGAGUAUGUGGGUGACACAAACAAGGUGAGAAAAGACCCAAUUGCCCUCUCACCUACCCUAGUGUACCGGUACACGGGCUCACGUACCGGUACAAGAAGCCAACCCGAGAGCAGUCUGCGCGCAGCCUGUACAGUGUACCGAUACACCGUGCUUGCUGUACCGGUACAGCAAGCAGAGAAACCUACUAUUUGCAGAUUCUCUUGUUAAGUGCUGCUCUCGCGUCGCCUAAAGUCCGUUUUGCAUCUAUUUCGCGCUAACCUGACUCGGACUUGUCCCAAUACUCUCCAGAGCUGUCGGCAAGCCUCAACCGCCAAACACCAGGGAUCUCACAGCUUAUGUAAUUAAAUUACACACAAAAAUAUCGUCAACAAAAAAUUUAGCUAUACAGUCAAAUUCUCAGUCCUCACAAUGGGUGAGCAUGCAAAUAUGCAUCCAAAUUUAUUGGCCUACAGGAAAAUUCAAAAAUUUACAUUGACAUCAAUGGAGCAGGAAAUUAUGACAUUGUCCUUAAUUAGGUUGUAACAUCUUAGAUACAAAAUACAAUAGGUCCUAUACAAGUAUCUAUUAACAAAGACUUUCCGGUGAAAGCAAUAGAUUUAGCUGUGUAUCUUGGUUCGAUGUAGUAGAAAGUGCUACAACCAUAAAUAAUUAUUUAGUUACAUAUAAUUAAAAACCAUANAGGGCCGAAAACUUACAAGUACCAAUGACUUGGUACUUUUAAAAGCAUAGGAGCUCAAUUAUAUAUAUAUAUAUAUAUAUAUACACACACACACACACCUUGUACAACUAAUGAAAAGGUACUCUGCCUUAUUCCUCAUAUCCUUGUUAUAUGCUCUACUUCUAGUACAUUUAACUCUCUUAACUUUUUGGGUCUACUCACUGCACAAAAUAUUAUAGCGAGUUAUAAGUUAUAGUCCUAUUGUAUUAUAUAUAUAUGAUUAUUCCAAAUCUUAAGGGUGUCACAUUCCUCCCCCAUUUAUGCCUUGAUGUCUUCGUCAAGCACAAGCACACUCACAAGCACCAGGUGAUGUGAGACUCGUCUUAUUAGCCUCAGUAAACCUUGCGUGGAGUUGCACUCUACUCAUAAUGAUCGUCAUCCGAGAAAACUCGCUCUACUCACUGUAUGACCCUGACUCUACUAAGACUCAUCUUACACUUCUGGCUGGUGCUUGGCUCUUAUACCAACUGUGAUGCCCUACUUCAUCGGGGGGUCAUAUAUCCUAAAACUAUUCCAACCCUAGCACGCUUAAUUAACCUCUUAAGUCUAACCACUACUCAAAAUACUAUAUAGCCUAGUCAAAGGGUUUAAUCCUAUUAUGUACUUAGAAUCUCAAUUCUGUCCUUUUUUAGUCCUGUCAUUCUCAUCAAAUUCGGACACAUGCACAAGUACAAGGCGAUGUGAGACCAGUCUCGCUAGUCUUAGUCGAUCUUAUGGAGAGCCGCGCUCUACCUAUAAUGGUCAACACUCAUCUCAUACUUGUUACUGGUACUUGGCUCCGAUACUAAUUAUGAAGCCCCACUUUCAAGAAGAGGUCAUCCAUUCUAAAAUUACUUUAGUUCUGGCAUACUUAAUUCUCUUAACAUCUUGAAUCUAACCGCCACCGAAAAUGGUAGUCGAAUUAAAAAAUUUAACCCUAUUAUAUUUUAUAUAUAGAAUUAUUUCAAAUUCUAAGGAUGUCACACCUAUUUUACAUUCCCGGGCAGAUCCAAUGGACCGGUCUUAGGUUGUGACAAUUAUAACCGGACAUGAAUUGUAAUCCUAGCACUUCUCUUUAAUGGCAUUAAAUACUCAAAGGGGCAAUAAUUUAGGUAUGUCUCACACAUUUUUAAACUAAUAAAAUGUUAAAAUGUACGAGCCGAGAUAUAGGUUCCUCCUUAGGGUAAUGUGUAAAGAACUUGGGAAAAAAAUUUAAAGAGCACUGUUAUAUGUACGCCUCAAAAUAAUUAUACAUAAUUUAAACUAAAAAAAUUGUACAAAAUUUAAGUAUAAAUAUAUGAAGACCCCCUUAACUAUUGAACAAUUUGAAAUGGAUCCUUAAUAAUUCUUUUUCGACUUUUAUACUUUAAAUUUAAAAGUUUUAUCGAAGUUAACGAUUCUACUACUUAUUACAUAUUAAUUGGCCUUGUUGUGUUUGCUCAAAAGUUUAUGAAAGUCAUUAAAUUUGGUGAAACUGUCAAUUAUAAAUUUGAUAAAUCCUCUAAUUUUUUUUGACUAAAAUCAGUUAAUUGAAAGAAAAUUCACAAGCAAAGCGGCUUUAUCUAAGUAUAUAAAAGUUGAGGGGUCAAGAAAUUUUAAUCAACGUGACAGAGGGCAUUUUUAAUAUAAUUUAUUAAUUUAUAGUGACAACGGAUAAAAAUAUUUAAUAUUGUUACUUUUAGAGGAGUUUACAUUGUAUCUUAUAAUUUUUGAGAGGCACAUUAAAAGUUGCCUCAGGAAUAUAUAACACCUUGAACUACAACAAUUUUGCAAAUAGACCCCUAAAUAAUAAACUUCGGCAAUUAGGCUUUUUGUGCUUUCUCAAAUAGUUUAAUAAUCCCUCUUUUCAAGUAAAGCUACUAAUUUUGCUCACAUAUAAUAAUCUUGUAAAAUUUCAAAGUGCAAAGAAAUUUAUUUAAUAUAUUCUAAUACGUCAAAUAGGUUUUUUAUUCUUUAUAUUUUGAAAGUUUAUAAAAUUAUGUGCGACACAUGUGAUUUAAAAUUAUGUAAAUGAUAUUGAAAAAUCGCAAAAUUUAUUUUCUAGAUACUUCAAAUACUCUAGAUCAAGUCUAACGGAGCUGAUCGUCGAUUCGAAAGUUCGAACAUCAAAAACAAAACAAAGUGGAAGCACGGAGCCCUCCGUGCUUCCAUAAGCAUCCUAGCCGCACUCUAUAUAUAUAUAUAUAGAGAGAGAGAGAGAGAGAGAGAGAGAGAGAGAGAGAGAGAGAGUUGGCUAGAAUACUAUUAAUAAUAUUUGUCUCUUUUUGCUAUCAAAUUUUUAGCCUUUGGAUCAAUUACUUUGAUCAUUUUUAACAAUUGGAUUAAAUAUUAUAAUUCAGUGGGGACCACUCAACCCUAGGGGGAUUAGUUAACCCUAAUAAGGGGCUAAUAUGAUUCUAACCCCACAAUUUCUCAUUUAAAGAUUAAAAACUUGAUAACGAAAGGAGCAAAAUACUAUCAAUAGUAUUCUAGCUCAACUAUAUAUAUAUAAAGUAAAAUCAACUCAAGUUCGGGUUCGGGUUUGCCUAGUGAUUGAAGUGGCUCAAAAUCAACGGCUGAAAAUAAAAAUCUUACAAAAUAUGAUGAUAUGAUACUAAAAUUUUAUAUCAAAGUUAUUGAUCUUGUUUUAUAUGGUAUAAAAAAUUUUCUAUCAAAAUUUCAUGUGAUUUGGAUAUUUCUACACCAUUAAACUUGCAACCUGUUCACCACGGCCGUUAAAAUUACUGAUUUUGAGCCCCUUCGAUCACUAGGCAAAUGAUAUCGAAAAAUCGCAAAAUUUAUUUCCUAAUUACUUCAAAUACUCUAGAUCAACUCUAACGGAGCCGAUCGUCGAUUCGAAAGUCCGAACAUCAAAAACAACUUGGAAGCACAGAGGUCUCCGUGCUUCCAUAAGCAUACCAGCACAACUCUAUAUAUAUAUAUAUAUAUAGAGAGAGAGAGAGAGAGAGAGAGAGAGAGAGAGAGUAGGGUUACUAUACUCUUAUAAUUAUAGAUUUCUAUCUCGUCAUAAGUUUUCAGCUAUUGGAUGAAGGGAUGUGUAGUUAUAUGAUGAUAGUGAUCCCCGGUUUGGAUGAUAGUGGUCCCCUAGGAUUGAAUAGGUGAUUGGUUGAAUAGUAUGAUCUAACAGGUGGAAAACUUAUGACCAAAAAUUUAUGAGUACAAACAAGUCUAUACUCAUAAGAGUAUAGUAACCAGACUCUCUCUCUUGCUACCAUCCAUCAAUUUUGAUGAGUGGUUAGAGUGAGAAAUAGAAGAGAAAUUAAGGAGAUAUUCAAAGAGAAGAAAAAUUAAGAAACUAAUUUCUCUCCAAUUUCUCUUUUCUCUCUCACCCAAAUUAUCCAUCAAAAUUAAUAAAUAAUUAAAAAUUUAGGAGCAUAAAAACUAUUGUACUCCUAAUAGCACAAUAGCAUUGCUCUAUAUAUAUAUAUAUAUAUAUGUUUUGUGUUAUAUUUGAAUUUGUAUUUUAAAAAUUUAGAUUUAAUAUAAUAUAUUUUGAAAUAUUGUAAAGGCAAAUUGUUCGGGUUCUAAUUUUUAGAUUCAGAUUUCAAAUUUUUGGCCAGAUUCGGGUUUGGAUAUGGAUUUAUAAAAUCCAUCAAAGGUUCAGUUUUGGAUUUGGUUUUUGAGUCUGAUAGUUGUGUUCGGGUUCAAAUUUUGAAAAUUCGACUUAUUGGCAUCCCUACCUCUUGGCUCUCAAAGAAAAAAAAAAAACAAACAAACAAACAACAAAACAAAACAAAAAGAAAGAACAAAAUCACAUGGGUCUCAACACAGAGAUAAAGUGAGUAGAUAUUGAUUCCUUUUAAUUAAGGAGUUAGGCUGUGGCUCAAAACUAGCUUUGCAACCCUAUGAAAUUAAAAGAAAAAAAAAAGCUAAAUUACAUAAAAUCCACCCGUCAAAAUUCAAUUUUUCACUUUCCUUCCUAUCAUUUAAAAAUCUAUAUUUUGCCCCCUUAUAAAAUGAAAAAUGUUCACAUGGAGUACGGUAUAAACUGUGAUGACAAAAUAAUCAUUUUGCCCAUCACCAUUUUUGGCAACAGGAGAGAAGACUGAGGACAUUUUUGGCAUAAAAAAUAUAAUAAUAUUUUUUAAACAGGACCUUAACGGAUCACUAAGGGCAGGAGGUGUGAACAUUUUUUAUUUUACAAGGGGACAAAAUGUAGGUUUUAAAUGACAGAAAAAAAGUAAAAAAUCAGAUUUUGACAGCGAGGUUUUCUGUAAUUUUGCCAAAAAAAAAAAAAAAAAAGUGAUGUGGCCCUUGUUAAAUGAAAGCAAAAUACUAACUACACAAAAUAUGAGGGUAAAAUACACUUUUGGUCCUGAUAUUUUUAAUCUGCAAACUUUAAUUCAUAGUAAUUUCUGACUCGAGUUAUAAGACGCGUAGCAUUUUAAUUGUCGAACAUUAGAUAGAAAUAAUUUUUAACUCAAAGUAUAAGGCAUGUGACACUUUAAUCUUCAAAAUUUACGGUGUAAAUUAAAAUAGCCUUUAUAAUCCAUAUCGGAUUAAGCUAAACUAAGUUCUAUAUUUUAGAGAGGGUACAAAAUGAUUAUUUCAUAAUAAUAACAACUAAGGUUUGUUUAAGGAUCAGGGACUAAAAAGAAAUACAAUAUGUAUGGAAGUCCAAAACCUAAAUUAUUAAAAAGUAAAGAACCCAAAUUAUAAAUUACAUAAAAUUUACUAAUUAAAUUCGUAAACAUAAAAGUCAUAUUCAAAUUUGAAGUUAAAAAAUUAUUAAUCGAUUCAAAUUAAAUAAAUUAAAAGGCCAUGGAGUAAAAUCAAAAUUUUUAAAAGGAAGGUAGCAAGAUCCAAAUAGGUGAUAGUUGAGGUAAGUUUUAUACAUGUUUACCAACUAGGACUGAAUUUAGAACUCGUUAAAAGGUCAGGGACUAAAAUGCAAUUUGGCCCAUCUUGAGCUUGCAGUUGUUUGCUAUGCAGUGUGAGGCUCAGAACAUGAGCUUGGACAUAUAUAGUUCCACAAGGGCAGCAUAGAUUCAUCGCCGUAAACGAAGCGGAAGGAACCGAUGGCGCCACGAACGCUCCUCCUUGCCCUCGCCAUCCUCUUCGUCAUCGAAGGCGAGCUCGCCGUCGUCGCCGCCGCCGCGGUCUCGCGACAUGUUCCAUUAGCAUCUGCAGCUAAGGAUGUAGCUUCAGCAGCACCUGCAAAGGAGAUAAGAGAGACCACUUUGCUAGGUCAGUUCAGACUCACAUAUUCACCUGCACUCCCUUUUGAGUUCUUGAAAUUAAAAAUAAAAAUAACAACAAAGGGUAAAAAUAUAUAGAGACUCCCUCGACCAUAGAAAAUUCUGAAAUAGGCCCCUCAACUUUUUCGUUAAAAUUUAUUUCAGGCGGUAAACUUCAAUUUGCCCCUCUAUGGUUUAGCUUAUUUUCACUUUGUUAUCUUGUGGUUUAAAAAAAAAUAUUCUUUUUGAGAGAUAGGUAACACGCUAUCCGGUUCAUUUAUUUCAUUUAGAAAUAAAAUUAGCUGAAAAAUGUGAAUCAACUAAUAUUGAAACUUUGACCUCGGGUAUCAACCACCAAGCCCUUUACCACUUACUCUAGAGACGGUCGGUUUGUGGUUUAAAAAGUUGUACUAUCUUGUGGUUUAGCUCAUUUUACUCUAUCAUUCUGUGGAUCAAAAAACUAUACUUAACUAUUCUAUAGUUAUUAAAAAAUUUUGCUUUCCUACCUUAUUUGAUAGUAUAUUUUUUGGGUAAAAAUAGAGUUGAACCAUAGGAUAAUUAUGUGCAAUGUUUUGAGCAAUAUGCUCGCAAAAUAAAAAUGAGUUAAACCACAGGGAGCAAAUUAAAAUAUACCUUUUUUUGAUUGAGACCUACUCUACUUCUAAAUUUUUGGAAUCUAAGUGAUUUAAGACAAAAAGAUUUGGAAAUUUUUUUAAACUUAUUGAAGGUCUCACCAAAUUUAAUGAAUUUAAUCACUUUUGAUUAAAUAAAAUUAGACCAAUUAAAGGUUGAUAACUUACAGAGUCAGCAAUUUGAUAUGAUUUUUAAUUUAAAUAUAAAAAACCCCGAAUAAAAAAAAAUAGAAGUUGAGGGACUCUCAGUUUAAAAAUAAAAUAAAAUAAAGUAACUGAGGAGGUUAUUUCAAAAUGGCAUAUGCUUUAGGGAGUUCCAUAUAUUUUUACCAAAAGGGGCCGCAGUUAGGGGUGUAAUGUGGGCCGGGCCGUGCCAGCCCGGCACGGCCCACGUUUUCCGAAUCAAAACAGGCUAGGGGCCGGGCCGUGCCGGCCCAAAUUGUCUACCCUCUGGCCUGGCAUGGCCCUUCGGUUCGGAAGGCACGAGCCGUGCUUCGUGCCGGCCUAGUAAAAUAUUUAUUUUUAAAUUUUUUAAAAAAAUUUAGUAUGAAAUUUAAAAAUAUAAACAAUCAAUAUUUUUAUUUAAAUUAAUAUUUUGAUUAAAAUAUUAAAAAAUUGCAAAUAUAAUUAUACUAAAAUAAAUAUUUAUUUUAAAAAAUAAAUAAAUAAAUUUGUAUUCUUUUUUUUUUAAAAAAGAAAUGAGAUAGAUUACCAAAAUUCGAAUUUUGGUCCAAUGGACCAAAACUGCUCCUCCCUCCUAGGGAGGCUCCUCCCCAAGAGCUCAGACACCAUGGCCCAAGACAAUUGGGCCUUGGGGUCCAGGCCAUGCUGACCCGGCUGGCACGGCCCAAGCGGAUCAUGUCGUGCCGGGCCACCCCGCCUCCCCUCGGCCCGGCAUAGUCCGGGCCCAUUUCGGACAGUACCGUACUGAGCCGUUGGGCUCCAAAGGAGAGGCCCACCACGGCCCAGAGGCUUGGGUCGGGCCGUCCCGGCACACUGCUACAGUACCCGAGGCCAUGCUGGCCGAGCGGCUCACGUGCCGCCCUGCCCGUUUUACACCCCUAGCCGCAGUAUCUAUUGCCCCAUAUAAUGGGAAACUUCAUAUACCCCUCGUUGUUUAUCUUUUUUUUUAAUUCAAUACUAUUGUUUUAACUAUAUUAUUUAAGUACUUUGUGAUUUUAUUUUCGUUUUUCGUUAGUAUUAUUGCUAUCUCCUUUGUUAAUAUUGUUACGCGUCGCGCAUGUUAAAGAUGUCCCACAAAAAUCAAUAAAAAAGACAUGGAACUUCUUAGGGUUUAAUUCGGAUUAUUUAUGGAGUCUCCGGUGGGCAAAAAAGUGAGGUCUACUAUGCACAUAUGCUAGGGAUGCAAACUAGGUGGGAGGCUCCCCCACCUCCCGCUCCGUUGUAUUGGCUAGUCUAGACGAAUCCUUGACGUAUUGAAUUUUAUCCUACAUUUUGCCCCCACUUACAACUCCAUUAGGAGCUUAUCAGGGUAGGAGAGAAUUUCUGACGAAUCGGAGUGGCUCAAAGGAAGAAAGGGGUCCCCAGUAUCCUGAUGCAUUUGUUAGCUAAGGAGGGCGGAUUCAAUGCUGAUUAUUUUCAUAUUUUUUUUUUUGGAUUCCAUUUGGGGUGAAUCGAAGCGGGAUCUUCACCAACCGAAACCCAUUUGCAAUUCCUAACAUACAAGGGGUGUGAUAGUUUUAACUGAGAAAAUAAUAGUGGAAUUAAGGAAAAGAAAAAAUAAAAACUAUAUGGUAUUUAAGUGAUAUGACUAAUUAAAACCGUAAAGUACUAAGGUGAAAGAAAAUAAACUAUAUGAAGAUUAUCGAAAACUUUUCCUAAAAAAAUUUGCAUCAAUUUUAACCUUGUAUUUUAUACAUUGUCUUAAAAGGCCCCAAAAUUUAUAAUAAUUAUUAAAUUUAGAUACAAAGCUCUUAAAAUAAGUUUAGCAUAUGAUAGCCAUAAUGCUUAUGGUAGGUUGUCAAUGAGCGGAGCACGAGUUGGCCUAUUAAAAUAUAGAGCUAAAUAAUCCAGCUCAUGUUCGUCUUGUUUAUUAAUGAGCAAACACGAACUGACUUGCGAACAACAAGUUAGGUUUUUAUCCCUACUACUAAGUAAAAAGUUGAAAAAAAAAAUAGAAAACUAAAAUUUUAAUCUAAUUAUUAAAAUUCAUAAAAUGUAGGUCGCCUUACAUUUGGAUUGGCUUAAAAUUCAAAUGGCAAAAAUUUGUAAUAUAUAUAUAUAUAUAUAUAUAUAGAGAGAGAGAGAGAGAGAGAGAGAGAGAGAGAGAGAGAGAGCGCUAGGAUCCUAUACUAUCUGUAGUACCAGGGCUUCGGUAUUAUAAUCUAAUUUUCAAUCUUAGGGUGUUCAAAUUAACGAUCCACACCAUUAAUACUGAUUUAGAAUAUUUGAAGUUUUUGCAAACAAAAUUUUAUAUUUUCUAGACAUAGUGCACUUUGUGAUCAAAUCAUUUUAAACUUGUUAAUUUUUAAUGGCUACUAUGGCGAGUUUGUAGUUUAACAGUGUAGAGGAAUAUAAAUUUAUUCAAACUUUGAUAAUAAAACGUACUUUAAACUAUUUAAAUCAAGAUCAGCAUUCUUAAUCGUGAAUUCAAAAGUCCUAUCCUCGAAUUUUCAAGAUUGUUCGAUUUUCACCUUUCAUUUUAGCAUGAUUUACUUACUAAGUAAACGAUGUCAAAAAAAUUAAAAUUUUAUUCUUAAGAACUUUAUAUGUCCUAGAUCACAUUUAAUGGUGUGGAUAAUUGAUUUGAAUAUCGUAUGAUCAAAUAUGAGACUAUAGUACCGGAGUUCCAGUAUUAUAGAUAGUGUAGUAGUAUAAUUAUAUAUAUAUAUAUAGAGAGAGAGAGAGAGAGAGAGAGAGAGAGAGAAAGAUAGAGAGAGAGAGAGAGAGAGAGAGAGAGAGUGUUCAACUACUAUACUCUUAUGAGUACCGCCCACGUACUCAUAAGUCAUUUUCAAUGAUAGAGCUUCCGAAUCGAUGAUCCAUACUGUUAAAUAUUAUCUAGAGGAUUUAAAACUUUUAGAAAUCAAAUUUCAUAAUUUUUCGACAUCAUUUACCUUACGAUCAAAGGGUCACAAAAUUGAUAAUUUUUAAUAGUCGAUAUGGGAUACUUACUAGUUUAACAGUGUAAAAGAAUUGGAAUAGAUUGAGUUUUUGAUAGAAAAUUCUAUUCACUACCUAGAUAAUGAUCAAUAACUCCAAUCUUAAAUUGAAUGAUCCGAUCAUCCAUUUUUAGGACGUCGUUCAAUUUUGAACGUUCAUUUUAUACCCGCUUGAUAGACUUUAUUAUGAUUUUAAAAAAAUUACAAAAUUUACUUUUUAGAAGUUUCAAAUAUUCUAGAUCAUAUUUAACAUAGUGGAUCAUCGAUUCGGAAGCUCUAUCAUCGAAAAUAACUUAUGAGUACUAAAGGCUCUAUAUUUAUAUAACGUUGAGCUGGAAUGCUAUCGAUAGCAAACGGGCUCCGCUGCCACUCUUUUUUUUUUUGAUGUUAGAGCUUCCAAAUGUAUGAUCGGCACUGUUGGACAUGAUCUAUACAACUUAAAGUAUCUAGAAAUCAAUUUCAAAUCUUUUCGAUAUCAUUGAUCUAAUGAUCAAAGGAUUUCAAAACUUGUAAUUUUAAUGGUAGAUAUGAGACGUUUUCUCGUUUAACAAUGUAAAGCUAUCCAAAUCAAUUGAAUUUUGUUUAGAAACUUCUUUAAAUUAUUUAGAACAAGAUCUAUACUCUCGAUCCUGAUUACAGAAUUCCCAUCAUCAUUUUUUAGAGGAUAUUUAUUUUCAGUCAUUCAUUUUUACGCCCACUUGAUGGACAAGAGAAUAAUAUCGGAAAAGCAUGAAAUUUGAUUUCUAAAUACUUUAAGUGGUAUAAAUCAUUUUCAACAAUGCCGAUCGUUGAUUUGGAGGUCCAUCAUCGAAAAUACAUAGGUGGCAACGAGGUCCGUUUGCUACCGAUAGUAUUCCAACUCAACUCUAUAUAUAAAAUUAGGCUACUAUACUAUUAAUAGUGUAGAGCGCUUGGUGCUACUAGGUUUUCGGCCCUUUAACGAAGAGAUAUGUGGUUAGGAUGAUAAUGGUCACCUAGGGUUGACUGGGAGGUUGGUUUGAUAGUAUGAUCUAACGGGAAAAUGGUCAAAGGGAUGGAUCGAACUGCGAAAAACUCGAUAAUACCAAACGCUUGAUACUAUCGAUAGUAUAGUGGCCAGAUUCUCUCUCUUUUUCUUCACUUUCUCUUUCUCUCUAUAUAUAGGCUCCUACGCUUUCGAAAGUUCAGAGGCCUCUAUGCUUGUAAGUUGUUUUCAAUUAUGGGAUAUCCAAUUCGAUGAUCAGUUUCAUUAGACAUGAUUUACGCUAUUAGAAUUAUUUAGAAAUCAAAUUUCAUAUUUUUUUUGACUUCGUUUACCUAGUAAAUGAGUAGUCUCAAAAUGAACAGUUGAAAAUAAAGAUCUCACAAAAAAAAAAAAAAAGUGGUAAGAGACUAAAAUUUUGAAUCAGAAGCAAUGAUCUUGCUCUUGAUGUGAAGUAAAAUUUUCUAUUAAAAUUUCAUGUAAUUUAAAUUGUUCUACACCAUUGAAUUUAUAAACAUACCAUAUCGGCCAUUAAAAUAGUAAUUUUUGAGACCCUUUGAUUACUUAAUAAAUGAUGUGAAAAAAUUAUGAAAUUUAGUUUCUAAAUUGUCCUAAUAGUGUAGGUCAUGUCUAACGGAGUAGAUCAUCGAAUUGUAUAUCCUAUUAUCGAAAAUAACUUAUAAGCACGAAGGUCUCUAUACUUUCGAAAGCGUUUACUUUCGAAAGCGUAGAAAACGUACUAUAUAUAUUAUGAGAGAGAGAGAGAGAGAGAGAGAGAGAGAGAGUAGGGCUACUGUACUCUUAUGAGUAUAGAACCCUUCGUACCCAUAAGUUGUUUUCAAUGAUAAAGCUUUCGAAUCAACGAUCCGUACCGUUAAAUAUAAUCUAGAAUAUUUCAAAUCUUAUAGAAAAUAAAUUUUGUUUUUUUUUUAAUUAUAAUAAAGUCCAUCGAGCGGACAUAAAAUGAAAGGUCAAAAUCGAAUAACAUCGUAAAAAUGAAUGAUCGGAUACUUCAAUUUAAGAUCGGAGUUAUUGAUAAUUAUUUAGAUAGUGAAUAGAAUUUCUUAUAAAAGUUUCAACCGAUUUCGAUUCUUUUACACCGUUAAACUAGCAAGUGUCCCAUACCGACCGUUCAAAAUUGUCAAUUUUAAGAUAUUUUGAUCGUAAGGUAAAUGAUAUUGAAAAAUUAUGAAAUUUAUUUUCUAAAAAGUCCAUAUGCUCUUGAUCAUAUUUAAUGAUGCAAAUCAUCGAUUUACAAGUUUUAUCAUAAAAACAACUUAUGAGAACAAAGGCGAUCGUGCUCAAAAGAGUAUAGUAGCAAGACUCUAUAUAGUCUGACUACUAUAGUAUUAUGAGCACAAUCGCCUUCAUACUCAUAAGUCGUUUUCAGUGAUAGAGCUUCCGACUCGACGAUCUAUACCAUUAAAUAUUAUCCAGAGUAUUUAAAACUUCUAAAAAUCAAAUUUUAUAAUUUUUUGACAUCAUUUACCUUACGAUCAAAGAUCUCAAAAUUGACAAUUUUUAACUGUCGGUAUAGGAUACUUGCUAGUUUUAUGGCGUAAAAGAAUCAAAAUCGAUUCAAUUUUUUAUACAAAAUUCUAUUAACUAUCUUGAUAAAGAUCAAUAAUUCCGAUCUUAAAUUAAAAUAUCUGAUCAUCCAUUUUUAGAAUGUUGUUCGAUUUUGACCGUUCAUUUUAUACCUGCUUGGUGAACUCUAUUAUAAUUUCGAAAAAUUACGAAAUUCAUUUUUUAGAAGUUUUAAAUAAUCUAGAUCAUAUUUAACGGUAUGAAUUGUCGAUUCAUAAGCUCCAUCAUUAAAAAUAAAUUAUGAGUACGAAGGCUUUAUACUCAUAACAGUAUAGUAACCACACUCUAUAUAUAAAUAUAUGGAGCCGAACAAGAGCAAACUGAUCCCUACCAUGUUCGGCUCGUUAAGAUUUCUAGCUAAAAAAUUGAGCUCGCAUUCAGCUCUUUUAUUAAACAAGCAAUUAAUCUCGAGUUUAUUUGAAACCGAACACGAGUAGGCUUGCGAACAGUGAGUUAAAUUGCCAACCCUAGCUUAUGGAGUGUAAUUAUAUAAGUAAAUUAUUUUUGAAGUAUCAAUUUUCGGUAAGACUAGUAAACAACUAAUUUUUUACUUACCAGAAAAAUAUAUAGAGACCUACUAAAGUUCUGCUCUAUUAAUAACAGAUACAUAAACUUCAAUUUUAGCAAUAUAAUCUGCUAGCUAAGCUUUAUCAAAUAGUUUAAUAAGUCCAUCUCCACAAUUGUGGCUACUAAUUAUAUAAUUAUUUUAAUCAUAUAUCAUGUAAAUAAUCUUGUAGGACUCAAAAUAAAAAUAAAUAAAUUAUUUUUUCUCUUUUAGUUUUGAUAAUCAAGCAAUAAGAAUUAUAGAACAGGAUAAAUUUGUUCAAUUUGUUUAUUUUUUUAUCUUAAAAUAUAUAUUUUUUCUUUGUUGUUGUAUUUAGAAGCUUUAUUCGAUUAUAUGCAAAAUCGUGACCAAUACUGCAAUUGAAUUUAUAACUUCAAUUAAGGAGAGGAGCCUAUUCAACUGUUUAAUAAAUUUUAAGGGACAUAAUUACCAAAAGUAAAAGUUCAAAUACCUGUUUGAAGAACAACUAGGUGUCUCAAUACAUGUUAUACCCUUUAUUUAAUUUAAGAUUGCAUAUAUUGUAUAAGUUACCGACAGUCUCUAGCACAAGUGGCAAAGGGUUUGGUGGUUGGUACCCGAGGUUCCGAGGUCAAAUCCUAGUUUAUUCACAUUUCCGGCUAAGUUUAUUUCUAAAUGAAAUAAACAAAGCGGGUAACGUUUAUUUUUAAAUGAAAUAAACGAAGUAUGUAGCAUGCUACCUAUCUCUCAAAAAAAAAAGAAGAUAUAUUGUAUAAAUUGGCAGAUAGGUUUUAAAUUACGUAAAAAAAUGUAAAACAAAUUGGCACUAUAAAAUUCUUAACAAUAAUGAAUUGCAAAUUCAGCUUAAGUAAAUUAUGAGUUUCAAAGUGAUUGAGUAUAUACUAACACUGUGCUUUUAAUUAAACUUAACUGUUAUUCCUUUAUUAAUUCUUUAAUUUGCUCUCAAAAUUGUAAUUAACUAGAAUUAACUAGAAAUUAAGCUUGGAUUUCAAUUAUUCUUCCUAAGAUUUAGUAUUGCAUAUUGGGAAAUUUUAAAACUAUUAAUCAAAUCAAUAUUUAGACUGAAUUGCGAAUUUGAAAAAAGAAAUAGCUGAAAAAUUUUAGAAAAGAAUCUCUAGCUAAAAAAAAGGUGAAAAAACUAAUGAUGGAAACAAUUUUGGGUUGAUUAUAAUAGUAAUAUAACAUAUCUAAUUCUGUAAUUAAAAGUUUAUGAUAGAAAAGAUAAGUAAAAAAACUUUGGUAGGAGCCUCAUUGCCACGUGUCAGUUUUGUUUUUAUUCAAACAUUAUAAUCAUUCCCUUUCUAGCUAAGAUCUAAAAAAUAUUUUUUGAAUUUUAGUAUCAAACAAUAAUUGAAACACAGGCUAAAGUGCAUGAAGGAUUUUUGUAAUUUAGGGUUGAAAUUUACUAGAUAAUUUGUAAAUUAUUGAUUAUUCUCAUACCCUUAUUUUUUUUUCUUUUUUUUUCUUUUUUUAAAUCAGGAGAGAAAGGUGGCGUCCAAAAUGAUAAAGAAGAGAAGCUUUUCGUUAAACUACCUCCAUUUUUUCGGCCACCUCGGCUUCCACCUUCCACUUGAGAAGCUACUUUUCACGAGAAGCGCUUUCUGAAGAAGCAUAAUAAUAAAUAAACAUGGCUUAUAAAUGUAGCCUAAAGAAUUACUAGAUCUUAGUAAUUUAUUUUGAUAAUCGGAUUAUGAUUAUGCUAUUCUAGUUAUAAAAAUUGAUCUCAAUUUGAGGUGGAUUAGCUUUGCACUUUGUGUUAUUUAAUAAAAGGUUUCUAGAUAACGAGCCGAGUGAAAAUUACUUUUUGUGUUAAUUUCAAAUACUACAACAGGACACGAUUAUCAUGAAAACAUACUUUAUUGAUAUGACAUUCCAUAUGAAGGCUAAAAUAUAGAAAACUUUUUUAUAAAUAUCAUUUUUUUUUAUUUUUUUUCUAACUUCUAAAAAUCUAUAAUUUGCCUGCUUAAAAUUUAAGAAAUAUAUUCAGAGGUGGUACGGCAUUAAUGGAGACGGUAAAAUGACAAAAUUGCUCUUAGUUUUUUUAUAAGAAAAAAUAAUAAUUUUUCAUAUAUUUCUGUAAUUUUGAAGGCCAUUUUUUAUAUAAAAUAUAAGAAAUGGACAGAAUAGUGAUGGAAUCAUGAUGGAGAGGGGUUAAUUGCAACAACUUGAAAUAUUAAAGGGAUAAAAUAUAGUUUUUGAAAGUUAAGAAGAAAAGGUGAAAAAACGAAUAUUUAUAGGAGAGUUUUGAUAAUUUAGCCUAAAAAAAUCUAAUUACAAAAAAAAAGCCAAUUUGCAUAAAAAAUUCAUUAGUUUUGAGCUUUUGCAAAAGUGCCUUUUUGACUUUCGCAGAUUCGAACCGGAUUUUUAAAAAACUGACCAAAAUAUUUUUAUUUUUUUUUCUCUCUCCUCUUUUUUUUUUUCUUUCUCUUCGAAGAGGGCAACGAAGGCGGCGGCGGCGGCUUGCCUCGCCUUUGUCCCGCGCACCCCGCCCUCGCCCUCGCCCAUGCACCCUCCCUCUUCCUUCCUCCCCUCCGACCCCGCCGAGGCCGCGCCUUGACCUCUUUUUUUUUUCUCUCCGGCCCUCCUCGACUACCUCCCCGACUCUUUACAAUAGUAAAGAAGGUAGCGUCACGUCCUCUUCCUCUUCUUUUCUUCUCUCAAUUUUUUUUCUCUUAGACCCCCCCUACUGCCUCCGCGACUCUCCACGACAGUAACGAGGACAGUGCCGCAUCCUCUUCCUCCACCCUCACCAACGUAGGCAUCGAUGCCAAUGCUGGAGAAGGAGGACUCAAAGCAAGUACGGGUAAGAGCGGAGCUGAGAAAAAAAUAUAGAUAAAAUAAAAAAAAAAGAAUAAAACAUAAAGAAAAAUAUUUUUUCUACAAGAAAAAUAUUUUUUCUACAAAAAAAAUGAAGAAGCAAAGAGAAAAGAAGAAGAUGAAUUUGCACAAUUUCAAGAGAAUGUUGCACUGUUUUUAAGAAAAUUUACACUCUUUGAGAGAAACAAAUAUACUUUUCUGGAUGAAAAUUGCACUCUUUGAACGAAAGUUGCACUCUUUGAACGAAAAUUGUCCUAUUUGGCCGAAAAUUGCACUAUUGGCCCAAGAAGAGGAGGAAGAGAAAAAAUAGUAUAAAUUUUGUCCAAAUAAUAUAAUUUUCGUUCAAAGAGUGCAACUUUUGUACAAAGAGUGCAACUUUCAUCUAAAAAAUUAUAUUUUCUCUUAAAGAGUAUAAAUUUUCUCUAAAACAGUGUAACAUUUCCCUAAAACAGUGCAACAUUCCCUAGAAACAAUGCAACAUUCCCAUGAAACAGUGCAAAUUUAUCAUCUUCUUCUUUUCUCUCUGGUUCUUCAUUUUUCUUGUAGAAAAAUUAUUUUUUUAUAUUUUUGUCAUACUCCGGAUUACUACGUUUCCCCGGACACACCAACGCCGUAUACACAAGAAUUUUUCGUGUAUAUGAAGCGAUAGUUGUAUCUGUAAAAAGAAUAUAGCACAAGAGGUAAAGAGCUGCUAUAAUAAACAUGUAUAUAUAAAACAUAAAAGUGUCCACUGUACAUACACGAGCCACAGAACAACCUUGCUCCAGCGAGUACCACAAACAUAACAGUAUGUACAUAAAACCGCAAAACUAUCUUUGAAGGUGCUUCUCUAGCAAAGACCAGGGAAGGGAGGACUCUAGCUCGCAACUCCCUUGCCUCGGUCAGAAUCUACAACAGCACCAGCAGCAGCAGCGGACGGCUCUGCAAAAAGGUGUCAACAAUUGGAUGUGAAAACUACUGCAAAACAGAGUAAUCCUCAAUGGGUACCGUCACCGACCUCAACGGCCUACCAACUAAGUCUACAGUAAGGUACGCAAAGGACGGUAAGGAAAGCUGAAAAUAACUCUACAGCUAUAUGUCACUAUACUAUCGCUAACCAACACAGGCUAUCUGUAGACAUAGACAUGCAUCACAUUGACCCAAUCUCACAAUGGCUGCCCAAACGAACCCACUCGGCCUGUAUCCAAGCUAUACCGCACACCACCCACAGAGGUGGCCAGUCCAAGUAAACUGUCCAAACAGGACUGCUGCAACAUCAACGCAAGUCAAGCCUCACUCCGGAGCGGCACUCGUGGAGCGACCCAAUCGAGUAUGCAAGCGUGUCUCUGUCGAGCUCAAUCAAGCUCACACAGACUAUAGUCAAUGCAAAUGGGUCAAACUAGCCUAACAACCAAAGCUCGCAUGUCCUUGGCACAAUCUGAGACAAAAUGUAAACAUCUGGGUCCACCGUCAAUACCAACGGCACCCGACAGUACGAAACAGUCCAAACUCUACUGUAAAUCGAGCUCGGCCCCUUAGCACGAGCGUAAUCUUAACCUAUACUAACAUGAGUAUCCAUGACGCGCUAACAGCGGUGAUACAAUAGGAAAAUAGCUCCUAAAGUUAAAUUCGUUAAUUUUUUAAAAAGUGACAGUGUAGGUUGAACGAGUUUCUCCUAAGUCAAAUCUCAAUUUAACAUAUAAGAAAUCUUCCAACAUUAAGGCUCCAAAUUCAAAUUUCAUAAAAGAUAUGCAAAAUGAUGAAUUCAAGCUACUAAAUAUGAAGAAUAACCAAGAAAUACAUGCUGACAACUCUAUGACUUAAAAAGAAAUCCGACGAUUUCGGUAAAUAUUAACCCACCUCGAACGUUCGUCCAAUGUCGGCUAGAAGUCGAUAUGAGGACCCUCGCGCUAACUCGAUCUCGAACGGCCUCAACUGGACUCAACCACAGCACACGCGCAAACCUCCAAAUGACAAGAAGAAACAUCAGCUCGAUCUUCAAGCUCCCAACGAGAAGAGAAAAGAAGCUAGAGAGAGAGAGAUGGAGGAGAAGCUAACCUGAAUUCUCCACCUUCAAGCACAAAGAGAAAAGGCUGGGGUUGUUGGGGGUAGGUUGCACUUCUCGACAAUUAAAAAGACCAAAAUACCCCAUACCAACUCAAUUUGCCUUUUGGAGUACCGGUACUCAACUUGGGUACCGAUACUUGGCGCUCUUUCCGCAACCUCUCGCACUGAGUUCCGGUACUAGCCCGAUGCAGUACUGAUACUCAGUUUCAGUACCGGUACUGAAACUAAGUACCGGUACUCACCAACAGGUACCGGUACUCAACAUCAAACUGCGCAAACCCGAGAGCAUUCAGUUCUGUAAUCCCACUGGGGUACCCGUACUCCUCCCAGAUACCGCUACUCAACACUGAAAUCCUACACUUUGCAGAUUUCAGUGUCAGAACUCUACUCUUGCACUGUGCCGAGUCCAUUUUGCGUCUAAUUCGCGCCAAAACGAUUCUGACUUGUCCUGACACUCUCCAGACAUGUCAACAAGGCACUGAUGAUGAAGUCUCUCAGACAGCUAAGUCCCAGGAACACUACAAUUUUAUUCUUUAUUCUUUUUACUUUUUAUUUUUUGCAUAUUUUUUUCUUGGCUCUACUCUCACCUGCACUCGCUCCAAGUUCUCCUUCUCUGGCACCGAUGUCGGACGAAGGCAGAGGAAGAGGAUGCACCGCUAUCCUCGUUACCAUCGUGGAGGGUCGCGGAGGCGGUAGAUGGGAGUCGAAGAAAAAAAAAAAAAGAACGAGAAAAGAAAGAGAGGAAGAGGAUGUGGUGCUGCCCUCUUUACCGUUGUAAAAAGCCGGGAAGGCGAUGGAGGAGGGUCGGAGAGAGAAAAAAAAAGAGGGUCGAGAUGCAGCCUCGGUGGGGUUGGAAGCGAGGAAGGCAGAGGGAGGGUGCAGGGGCGAGGACGCACAAGACAGAGGCGAGUUCGCCUCCGCCUCCGCCUCCGCCUCCGCCGCCCUCUUCGAAGAGAAAGAAAAAAAAAGAAUUGAGAGGAAAAAAAAAAAGGAGAGAGAAAAAGGAAUAAGGGUAUUUUGAUCAGAUUUCUCAAAAUUCGACCCGAAUCUACAAAAUCCAAAAAGACGAUCUACUUUUGCAAAAGCUCAAAUGGAUAUUUUAUGCAUAAUGGCCUACAAAAAAUCCUCCUAUAAAAUUUAUUUUUUAUUUUUUUAACUUUCUGAAACUACAUUGUAUUUCUUUAAAAAUUUUUUAAAAAAAUCAGGAGGUUACAAUAUUAAUAAAGAGGGUGAAAUAAUCAAAUUAUUCUCACUUGUUCUAUAAAAAAAUAACAUUUUGAUAUUCAUAGCAUUAAUUAUAAGAAAUUGAUGAGUAACAGAACCCUGAUAUGCAUCAACUUAAAAUUUAGGGUGUAAAUGUAAGAUUUUCAAAAGUCAAAAGGAAAAAGUAAAAAGCAAAUAUUUACGAAGGAAUUUUUUAUAUUUCAACCAAAAAAACGAAGAGAAUGUAAGGUCCUUCAAAGAAAUAUUUUGUCGAAAUGAAGAAAGAGGCCUUUGUGCGCACUCGAGUAAACAGCAUGAAGUCCAGCCCAUUAGAAAACUACUAAGGCUUCGUUUGGAAUUGCGGAGAGAUUGCGUUACAUGCGGUAAAAUAGUACGUUGGAAAAAUACCAUAUUUAUUUCCGUACGUAAUAUUGCAUUCCGCAUAUCGCGAUGAGUAUAUUUUAUGCAGUCCCACAAGAGAACGCAAAAACAUAUCCCUAUAAAUUUUUCUUCAACUCCAUUUUAUCUAAUAACGUUAGAUAGGUCUCAAUACCAAACUAAGCCUAAGACAAACUUGUUGAAAGAUACUGCUCUGGUACUAAUUAUAGGAACCAGUAUUCGCUCCUAUACUAAUUCUUACAAGAAGAAUAAUUGGUAGAAGAGCAAUACUGCUUCCAAUAAGUUUUAUCAGAGUAAAUAGCAGUUCUUGUAGUUGGCAUCAAAUCAAUAUCAAUUUCAACAAUUAGGAUCAGAGAAUUUUGCAUCAGAAUAAUAUAGUUUCCAACAGCGGAAUAGGAUCGACAGGUAGAUUAGCGUGCGAAGUGACAGUCCUCUGAGAACAAGCCAUCAUCUACAAAACAAAACACAAUCAAGACAUAAAAUAUGCUAAACUCUCACCUCAUAUCUUGAAAAGGAAUCCUACGCACUCGCGCGUCCUAAAUUCCUAAGUAUUGUGUCAUUUUGCCCUAAGGUGUCAACAACCUAAGCUCUGAUACCACUGAAGUUGUCUUACCGCAGAUCCGACUGCUCAGAUCCGAACCAAAACAACCGGCCACGAAUCCAGAGAAAGAACCUCUGAAAACAGAAGGCCUAAAAUCGAUCCAAAGCCACCCUCUUAGUUAAAGACUAAAUAAAAUGAUUUAUUAAUUAAAACAAAGCUGAGCAAUAACUAUUAGAUAUUCAAUUAAUCAAUCUCAAAUCAAAAUAAACUAUCUGUCCAAAAGAUAAAAUCUAUCUAACGAGCUCUCCCGGCCAAUUAUCUCAUACGUCCCGACUCUCGGUACCUCAAAUGAUAGACAACAAAAGAAAGCGCAUUGCUUAACAAGAAAUCUACUUCCAAGAAUAACAAUAAUUUUAAUUUUAAACCACAACGGUCAUAAUUUAGAGCAUCUCCACUCUGUCACUCUAACCACGAGAACUACAAUUACGCGCCAUUCCUCCUCAGAAACCGCAUACAAGAAAAAUCCCUCACCUGCGAGGUAUCCGACCGCAGUAGUCGUAAAUAACAAUAGAUCAUGAUAUAAUAAUGUGUAAGUGAAUAUGCCACGAUAGUCAAUAAUAACUAUAAAACUCAUUCGGACGUACCAGCAACUAGUGAACAAAACAGAUAAUAAUCAUAUCUCGAACCCACUCGGAUCCGCAUAUUUUCUACCAUUUGCAAAAUAGUUACUAUUUACUUGCCUCUAUUAGCGCUCACAAAUUCGUCAAGUUCUAAGAUUGAAGUUUCACAAUAGUCCCAUGCAGCAUCUAUAAUUAUGAAAAGACCCAAAUAAAACUGCAUCACCAAAAUACAUAUAAUCUGAUCACUUGCUCUUCAAAAAGUUCCAAUAAGUGUUCAAGCGUAUCCUAUAAUUUGCGACGAUCCAAACUUUAUCAGAACUAACAGUCACAUAUUCUAGCAAUAAUAACUCAUUGGGCCCAAACCACUAGCCCAAAAUAUUUAAGCUCGAUUAUUAUUAUUAGCGUGUAGGUCUCAUAUAUUCUAAUCAGAAUCAUUCCGACCUGCUAGCAAUCAAAACUCGUUGGGCCUAAACUACUGGCCCAAAAUGCUUAAACCCAAUUAUCAUUACUAAUAUGUAGGCCUCAUAUAUUCUAAUUAGAAUCAUUUUUCCACCUGACGUGGGACUAUUAGAGUGACAUUAAACUGAACCCAUGCAAUGUACUAGGCCCUCUCCCAACAUUGCAUCGGAUUUUCGAUAUGUGACAUUCGCGUGCCUUGUCUGAUCAUUCCUUAUUACAUGCAAAGAACCUAAAUUGCGAAAAAUAACAGCUUGAGAACUUUUUGAAAUUUGCCAUCAUUCCAUCCAAAGGGGUGAAAUAUAACACCUGAAACUCCGGUGACACAUUAAAGUGUAUAUGAAAUGCGACAAACAAAUAUACUGCAUAAAUAUAAUGAAAGCCACAUGAGCAACAUAGAGAUGAUGAAAAAUAUACAACAAACGAAAAAGAAAAAGGAAUAAUAGGUUAGAUCGAACCGAACUCAGAUACCAUCAGUUUGAAAAAAAUGUGUGGUGCGUGAAUUUGAUUUACAAUCACUUCUUGUUAAUCUAUAAAAGUGAUCCUAAAUUGAACAAAUUAUACAUAUCAAAAUCGACACAAAAGACGGUUUUUGUGUCAUAAAAGCUCCACCUGACACAAUGAACUAACGUCUUACGACCUUAUAACUAAAACCGGCACAAAAUAUCUAUUUUUGGUGACAAUUUUUUUCAUUGAAAUAAAUAGUUUGUUAAUCGUAUUGGAAAUUUAAAAACUGACACAAAUUAAUAUUUUCUCAACACAUUUGUGUCGAUGCAAAAUAUUUAGACGUAGAACACAUGCAUUGUUUUGCUGCUUCCAGUGAAGCCUUACAGUGAAGUUAAAGCCCUGGGUAGCCAAUUAAUCAAUUAUCAUCACCAAGUAAUAGAAGAAAAGAUAACUUUAAUUAGACUAAUUCAAGAAAAAAAUUUUCCUCCAAGGUAGAGGAUAAAAUUUCUAGCCAAAAUAAAAGGUCGAGAACGAAAAAAGAGCAAAGUACCAUGUUACUGCAGCCAAAAUUAAAUACAAGCCGAUGAGAAUAUAAAUACAAAGGAUGCAAAUAUUAUCUAUUUUGGAGAUGUAGUACGAAAUCCACAGGUCCAAAUCAUUUAGCAAGCAUUUAACAGGUAAUAAAUAGGUAAUGCGACAUAUUCUAAACUUUACCUCACUAUUUUGAGUGUUAUUUUUGGCCUCAACUCCGCAGGCAUCUGCAAACGAAAGCAUAAAACUAACUGAGAAAAAGGGCAAAUUUUGAAUCUAAAAAUCUUAUUCCUAGCAACGGAAGUGUGCGAACAUACCAGAUUUGCAGAGGAAGAUGCAGCAAAUUCCUAUUAUGAACUGUUAAACUAGAUCAAACAUCAGAAGCAAAGCAACAAAAUAGCCCAAAAGACUAGCUCAAUUAGUAAUACUAUGAACUCAGUGGUGCAGAAAAACCACAAGAAAGAUGCAGAAAAGAGCCAUCGGAAAUUUUAAGGACACAACAUUGCAUAUAAUCUGCAGAAUUUGCAAAAGUAAUUAACCAAUACAAUCAAUCUUAAUAUCGAGACCUCGCUGUGAGAAGCUAAGCACGAAAAGGAAAACCAGCAUUCCGUGUUGCACGAAUUGCCAACCUUCUGAUGAAAAUUCAGUUCCAUUAGUGAGAAUCACCUUUCACAUGUACAAAAAGGAGAGAAAAAAACAACAAAUAAUCUACACCAUCACCUGAAAAAUAUUUCUUUCUUUAAAGAAGAUCUCCAUAAGUGACCUCUUGCUUAGAAUGCAUAAGAAUAUCAGUUAGAAAAGUCUCGAAAGUUCAAAAAGCCGUCUCAAUGUUAAAAUUUCUAUUCCAGGUUUCUAGGAAUCGAACAAUUUCUGCAUCGGCCAACAACUUAGCAACAUCCUUUUAGAGCGGCAGAGAAAGCGAAGGAGGAGCGGGGAAAUCGGUACAUACGAUGCAUUGCCUCCAUGGACUCGGUUCAUGAUUAAAACGGGUAACAGGAGACAAAAGUUGUUAAGUUGCAUAACUAGAGAAGUAAACUUCAGGAAAAAAAACAAAGAAUACACAGACAAGAUAAAAAAAAAUGUAUGGUAAACCGCUAAUGAAAUUGGCAAAUGUAAAUUUCUAAUUGUCAGUUAGGUUACUUGUAGUCAUUCAUCCGUUGGCGGAUAAACAUAGGAGAAGACAGAAAUCAGUGUCUGAAGUGCAGUGCAGGAAAGCACGAUAACUGCAGCAAAUGCUCCCAGGGCCAACCACGGAUUGCUAAAGUGGUUAUGCCUCAACCAUGCGAUCCACCUGUUCAGUCGACUCUGGUAGUGCGCUUCCAUCAUCUGCCACACGGAUUUUAGGUAGUGCUUACCGUUGAAGUCAAAGACGACAUCCUUACUCAGCUUGGUGAAUAGAGUCGACACCUCUUCAUCACUACGCAGUUCAUGCACAAUGAUUCCUCUUUGAGCUAGUAGCAUGACGUCGUCAGGCAUGUUGGUAAGCUGGGACAUGAAAACAAUAUAGGCAGUAACAUCGUUUCCGAACUGAGGACACGUUUGCUCGAGAGCCACAAAGUUCCUGAAAAGAGAGCUCGUGUUCUCAUCAAUCGGCAAACACGGGAUUUCCAGCACUUUCUUGGUAAAUCUUAUGUCCAAAAGAGAAUGGGGGCUUUGCUUAUUGAACUCUCUCUUCUUAAAUUCGACUCCUGCUUCAACGUAUUGUGCUGCUCUGCGCCAGCGCUGCUGGGCUGCUUGUAAGCAAUACGUCUGGUGGUUAAGAGAAAAGACUUGAUCGUUUUCCUCCAGCUGAUGGCUUAGCUUCGAAUAACUGCGGCCAAAGUGAAGAAGACGUUGAAAAAAUCGGGGCCUUGCAUGACGAUGACUGUCUUCCUCCAUUCUCUGACUUGGUCUGAAGUACAUAUGACCCAAGUGGAGCAAAUGGUGAAAAUCUUUUGGCCUCUCAAAUUCUUGAAUUGCUUUCGGAUAGUAAUGCAGAAUUUCUUCCACAUACUCUGCAAUUUUGUCCGUGAGUCGUUGAUUCUCUGUGUCUUUACCUGCGACUAGCUCAUAUAUUCUCUCGACAACGAAAAAGGGUAUCUGGUUCUCGAGCAAGAGUAGAUCGUGAGCAACAAAAUUGGUAUACCACCGACCAAUCUGGUCCGCAUAAUCCGCAUCAUGCUCUGCUAUACUAUUUUGGUUCGCAGCCUCUCCUUCGUGCCUCGGCCACGGAACCUUUUGUCCUACUCCAUUUCCCCCAACAAAUUCCUGAUUAUUAGCUUGUCCAUAUGCUUCAGUUUCGGGCAUUACAAUUCCAGCUGUCCCAUAUAAAGACACUAGUAUAAAGCAUCCAUCAAGCAACAGCAUCUGCCGAAACUUCUUCUUGUCCAUUUUAAUUUCUUCCGUAUAACAGCUUCUCACUUGAUUCUCCAGCCUCUGCAUCACCUUCAGGUAAUCACGCAAUCUCUUUUCACGAUUCAAAUUCAGGAUGUAAUCCAAGCAGUUCCACUUUUCCUUCUCCAUGGCUUGUAAAGUUGGAGUUCCGUAAUGAUACGGACCGAAGGACUGAACCAUCGGCUCGUAAGCAUUCCUGUCGACCUCGCGGAUGUGUUGUGGGAUUUUGUAGAUGAGGCAUAGUUUUGUUCCCCGUUCGCGGGCCUCGCCUAGCGACCAGUAAUAGGUUAGUUCCCUUGUCAUGGAAACCGCCAAUUCAUCUAUGUCUGCGACCGUAGUUCUACAGCUUUCAAAUCCAUCCAUCCGUGCAGCAAGUAUUCAAAAAGGUUAAUUUCCCUGUCUGAUUCUUCACGGCAAACGUAGCAUGCAAUGAGGAAAAACAGAAAAGAGAUGUUAGAUCAACUAUUACUUCACUCUCUCGAAAAACCAACUAAUCUCUAAAACAAAUAUGAAGUAUGAAAGAGCAAAUGAGAACUAAAAAAUUGCAUUAGUGUUUUGUUUCAAGCACCAGCAAGUCUCGGAACAUUCGGAAAUAUCCAAACAAAGUAAAGUUUCUUACACUCAUUUAACUUGAAAGUGCUCGUUAUGUAGUUUAGAUCAGUCGGAUAGGCACAAAGUAUGAACAUGACAAAAUUUAUUCAAAUAAAUGUGUAAUUUAUUGUAUACAUUUAUGCACAAGGAACAAGGAACAAAGAAAUUAUAGUAAGAAGAAUAGUACUAAAUCAUAUUCAAAUAGGUUAGACUGCAUGUGGUAUCAUCUGCAUAGCAUGUCGGCCUCAAGCAACAUACGAACUGUUUGGUCUGUCUUCUAUUCAUGCGUUCAGCAGCAACAAAUAUCUGGGUUUUCUUCUGCAGUGAAAAAAAUGAAAUGAUAUUUUGCAAAAGCUAGAGCUCCAAAUUGGUGCUUCUAAUUCAACCACCAAAGAUCUAUUAGGGGGAUUCUUAAUAUAGUGCUUCUUCUAAAAGUACUACUGAGUUCAGAUCGUAUUGAGAGGUUGUCACACCCCGAGACCCGUUUUAUAAGCCUUUUUUUAAAAAAGGGCCAGUUUGAAAACAGAGUCAGUGAAAAGUGCCCCUUUUUUUUUGAAACAUAAUCUUGCCCCUGGGACGGAACAGACCCACCACAAACACAAGAAUUCCUCUGUCCACUCGGACAGAGGCUCCCCUGCAUUUGCACGGCAUAUCACCUAUUAAAAUAUCCACAACACACAACAUCACUCAAAAAAUCAAGCAAACACAAUAUAAAUGCUCAUAUGUUCAAUCAGCUAACCAUCCUUAAUAUGAUGCAUGCUCUAAUUACUCCUUAGGUGAAGGAUAAUGCAAAUGCACAAUAUACCAAACAACUCUAUCAUUUAAAAGUGCUUCCUACUCGGAAACUUUAUUUUAAAAACCUAAUAUAGAGAUAAAUCUAGAAAAUCAUUUGAAAACUGUUUUCCACACGAAAACUCAUUCUUUUGAAAAUCUGAAUACCAUGAGGGGUAGAAAAUCGUUUUGUCAUAAAACCACAACUAUAACAUCACUACUACCAUAGAUAGUAAACAAAAAUCCCUGUUCAUUUAUUCUCAAAAUAAACAUUCACAUGAACCAAACAAUCAUUUAACUAAACCACAAUACAAUCUACUUUAGAGGUCCACUAGAGAUUAGAGAUUUUGGAAGAAAAAAUAAAAUGUUUCUUUUGCCCUUCCAGCCGAUAUGAAAAUAAAGAAAUGAUUAACAUAUUCGAGAUAAUUACGUAUUUACAAAAGACCGUCUCAACUCAUCCUAUAUCAUCACAUCCGGGAUGUGAUAUGAUUCCAAAGGAUGAAUCGAUAUGGAGGGUUCCGAUAAGAUUUCAUUCUUGCACAAGAAUCUAUUUUUUGACUUAUUUAGUCUAUUCCAUGACCGGAACAAAGGGGGAUACACGUUACACCACGAUUUUGAAUCAGAAGAGAGAUUUCAAGAAAUGGCAGAUCUCUUCACUCUAUCAAUAACCAAGCCGCAUUUGAUUUCCUUACAUUUAAUUCAAAUCCACGUUUUGCAUAUAUCAAAAAUUCUUGAGUAUAAUAUAAGGGGGACUGCUGAAUAUAUAGGAGCUUUUUAAGUAAUCAGUUGUUUCACAUGGUAUUAGAGCUUGGUUCGCACCUCGUCAUAGAAACCAAGAAUUUAAGUGCCGUGGCACGGGGUCGAGCCAAAAGCUUAUUGGCACAGUAUGGCAUGAUGCGUGCUCAACCAUGCCGAUGUGUGCCGGUCAUAAAAAAUACAUGUAUGCCAACACAUAAAUGUAUGGAAUAUUUAUUUUCUUUAGCAAUAAAAUAUUCUAAUUGCUUAUGUAUCUUUAUCAAAGUUUUUAAAUUUAUUAAGAAAAUUAUUUACUAAUUUAAAGUAAAGGGGGUCACCCAUCCUAAGACUACUCUAGUCCUAGCACGCAUAACUCUCUUAACCUCUUGGGCAUAGUCACUGCCUAGAAUGCUAUAGCCGGAUUAAGAGAUUUUAGCCAUUUUAUAUAUUACAUAUAGGACUACUUAGGGUCUCACAUUCUCCUCCCUCCCUUUUUAAGCCCUAACGUCCCCGUCAGGCUAAGACUCAUAAGUACCAUGCGAUGUGAGGCUUAUCUUGCUAACUUAACCGACCUUGUGGGGGAGCCGCGCUCUACCCAUAACAGUCAUCAAUAUGAGAGCCUCGCUCUCCCCAUUAUAUAACCUGGCUUAGCCGAGACUCAUCUUACACUUCCAACUGGUAUUUGGCUCUAAUACCAAUUGUGACACUCCACUUCCUAGGGGGCCAUCCAUCAUAGAACUACUCUAGUCCUAACACGCUUAACUCUUUGAACCUCUUGGGCCUAGCCACCAUCCAUAGCCGGGUUAAGAGUUUUUAGCCAUUUUAUAUCUUAUAUAUAGGACUAUCUGGGGUCUCACAUGUGCCAUCAGCAUGGAGGCUAUAUCGUGCCGAUAUUUUGUUGGUACUAUAUGACAAAGUAGAUACGAUCAGUGUCGAUGGACACUUAAAUCCUUGGUAGAAAGCUUCUUCAACCCAGUUUUCAUCUGGUCCUCAUCUGGUCUUAUGCAGUUCUUUCAAUCCACUAUCAUUCGGUUAUCGGAUGAUCAUAUUAGAUACACAUCAGAAGUCUGACCUGUAUAUAAUGUACCGCAUUUUAAUAACUACCAACUUAACCUUUUAGAAAUAAACGGUAGUUCUGCAAAUGAUACCAACUUAAGCUUUUAGGGCACGUUUGGUUCGCACUAUGAAAAAUUACUAGGAGUAAAAAGAUAUACGAGAAUCUUAUUCAUAUUCAUCCUAUUACUAAAAAUGUAGUAUUUCGCUGUUUGGUUCGUACGGUCAUAUUAUUUAGUCAUAUUACUUAAGAUUAUAAAAAAUAUACAAUUAAUUAAAUUAUUUAUUUAUUUAAUUUUAAAUAAUACUAUAAAAAAUUUCAACAUCUUUUUAGAAAAGAGAGAGAGAGAGAAUAUAGGUUAGAAAGAGAGAGUAUAAUUAAAGAAAUAGGAAGAGAAAUAGAGUCGAUGUUAGAGAGAAUGAGAGGUUGAGAUUUUAGNCUGUAUAAGAGAAUUGUUGCUGCCGUCGGAGAAAGUAACUUAAAUAAAAUGUGUAUUACCUGCUUCUAAUCAUCUUUUAGAUAAAAAAAAUUUAUUUAUUUUUUUUAUAUCGAAGGUAAUUUUAAUAUCUCAUAUACAGAGCAAUAAUAUGUUAUAUUUUAUUUAAUCAAAUAAUAAGAUGCAUAAACUAAAGAGCAUUUUUAAUUACACUCAUUUAAAGAGUCCCUAUUUCGGUGGUUAAUUUGUCGAUUUUUAUGGUAUGACAUGACAUGGCAAUCGAUAAAGCCUUAGAUCGACCUACCUCUAUCAUUUGGUGGUUAAAACAUCACCGGGUGAGCAAUUCCCCACCCUCUGAUGUGGAUCACAAAAUAUGACAAGCAAUCCAAGGUUUGGAGCCAUUUACUCGACAAUUUACCCAACAAGAGGCCGUUUGAUUGCUUAUAGUUAUAAUCACAUAGUAAUUAUAAUUGCAUAUAAAUACAAAUUCGAUAUUUAGUUUGAUGUAUUUAAUUUCAACUGUUGUAGUAGGAAUUACGGGAGAAGGUCCAACUGUAGUAGUAGGAACUACGCCCAAAUUGGCCGCAGUUCUAACUGCAGCAUUUGGAAAGAGUAACUUUAAACGAAAGAUGAGCUUACCUCCUUAAUUAUUUUUUGAAACAAAAAAUAAUUUUUUUUACAUUGAGGGUGCGUUUGGUUCGCACUAUGAAAGAUUACUAUAAAUAAAAAGAUAUCUGAGAAUCUUAUUCCUAUUCAUCCUAUUACUAAGAAUAUGACAUUUCUGUAUUUGGUUCGUACGGUCAUAUUAUUUAAUCAUGCUAUUUAAGAUUACAAAAAAAUAUAGAAUUAAUUUAUUUACUUUUUAAUUAAUUUUAGAUAAUUUUAUAAAAAAUUUCAACAUCUUUUUAGAAAAAAAUGAGAGAGAACAUAGGUUAGAGAGAGAGAUCAUAAUUAAAGAAAUAGAAAUAGAAAUAGAGUCGAGUUUAGAGAGAAUGAAAGAAUUGAGAUUUUAGAAAAAAAAGAUGUUGAAAUUUUUUAUAAAAUUAUCUAGUUUAGAGAGAGAUAUAAGGUUAGAGUGUAAAAAAAAAUAAUACCAACUAGCCGGCGAGUGGAAAGAAAAAAAAAAGAUUAGACAUAUUAUAAUUACUCCAAUCCAUUAAUAUAAGGAUACCCACCCUCCCUCAAAAGAAUGAGAUUAGUAUUUUGGGAUGCAUCUCAUUCCCAAGUAAAUUUAGUAUUACCAACUAGAUUACUUAGUGCGUUUAGCCAAACACCGUCAUUUUUUUUUAUUCCCAUUGGAUUACUAAGAAUCUUGAAAAGAUAGCGCGAACCAAACGCACCCUUAGAGAUAAACGUUUGUUCUGCAAACGAUUGUUCCACGAGUACAAUAUUAAAUCCUAUCACCUUAUUUCUUGAUUCGGAUUACACAAGUUAAUAAUAUAAAUUAAAGAAAUGAAAAAAGAACAAAAUAAAAGAGGAAGCGAUAUUACCUGCCGAAAAAAAUGACGAAAGAACCCGAGUCGGACACUGAGUGAGUUGAUCCGGCUAUAUAAACACAAGAACACAUCACAUUUAAAUUUUUUUUAAAAAAAAAAUAUAAAAUAACCCACCUUUCCUCCAAAAUUAUUACGAAAAAAUAAAAUAAUUUUAAAAAAAAAUUAUAGGGUCGGAAACCCUAGAAAGAACGAGUGGGAGAGGGAGGAGGAGGUGAGUGGAGAGAGUAACAAGAAGCACAGAAUGAGGAGGUUGGGGAGUUUUCUUAGGUCGUUACGUUCUGGGGGCAUUUUAGUAAAACGCGGCGAGCGUUGCAGCAUUGUUCAGUUUUCGUUCGGGGUGAAGACGAUCAGACUUUUGAUAAAUACGGAAACAGCCUCAGAUGUAAGAAAUUUGUAAGUAAUAAUAUAUUCUUACUAUUAUAAUCAAAUAUGUCGGCUGGUUUUAUCUCACUAGGGAUGCAAAUGGAUCCGGGUUGGUGGAGCUCCGCCCCGAUCCGCCCCGAAUGGGGUGGUAAGUGGGAACAAAAAAUAUAGAAAAAUAUAACCCGCCCCGAAUCCGCCCCGAUCCGCCAAGUAAAUGGAGCGGGAGGCGGGAGACUCUUUUCUUCUUUCAAUCUAUCCCGAUCCGUUAAAAAUCCGCUCCCGCCCCGCUCCCGCCCCGAUCCGCCCCGAAUGGAGCGGUAAGUGGGAGCCAAAAAUAAAAUGAAAAGUAACUCGCCCCGAAUCCGCCCCGCCCAGAUAAGAAAUGGAGCGGAAGGUAGGGGAACUCUCCCGCCCCUGGAUCCGCCCCGUUUGCAUCCCUAUAUCUCACUCUUUUUUUCUUUUUUUUUUUAUCGGUACAUACAUAAUUAUUAAAAUACCCUUCUGGUUUUGUCUCUCUUUUUUUUUUUUUAUCGGUACAUACAUAAUUAUUAAAAUACCCUUCACAUUACUAAUAAUAGUAAUUAUUCAAUAAUAUUUAUUGUGAAUUUAAAUUUAAAUUAUUUAAUUAAAUUUAUUUUGAAUUCAAUAAACUAUAAAUUGCAAUUAUAGUUGAAUGUUAAAUUCAAAAUACAAGUUUACGAUUUGAAUUAUAGUUUAUUAUUUAAAUUCAUAUUCAUAUUUAUGUUGUAAAAUAAAGCUCUAUAUUCAAAUUAUAUACUUAAAUUUAAAUUAUUUUUUUUAAUUCAAAUUUCAGUUUUAUUAAAUAAACUACAGAAAAUAUUUGAAUUAAAAAAAUUAAGCUAUUUAAAUUCAUAAUUAAGAAAUUAAGUUCAAAGUUUUAAAUUUACAAUAAGCACUUCACAAACAAUCUUACAAAUAAAAAAAAUUUUCGUUAACAACAUAUCUAAUAAAUUAACAUUGAAUUAUCAAAAUGAAUUUUUAAAUCUUUAAUUUCGAUAUUCUAAUUUGACUUAUUAUACCAAAUUGUAAAUUUAAAUUUAAGCUUAAUUUUUGAAUUCAGAGAACUUCGGAUGGUUCAAUUCAAUGUAAAUAUAGGGUUAGCUGUCAAAAUGACUACAGUAUCAACGACUAGUCGACACAUCUGUAGAGUGUUGGAACGAGUCGGAGUCGUUUUGGCACGAAAUGGAUGCGAAAAUAGACUCGGCGCACUCAAAUAAGCCAAAAUUGAAGUUCUAGCAGUUUAGGGCGUCCAAAAGUGGUUUAGGACGCCCAGAUCCGGAGUGCUGUUUUGUAUUAUUACUAAAAUCAUUUCGGACCCUAUUUAGGGCACCUGGAAGUUGGGUCCGAAAGUUCACUUCGUGAAUAUCGAUCGUGUUGACACAUGUGAUGUGGUAGGUGAGAUCCGCCGGAACCGGAUAGCGGAGUAGCGGACCGUCGGACAGAGAAACUCAGAUGCUUUUUGUGUAAGCUGGAAGUUAUGGGAGCCCGGUUCUGGGUUCUGGGCGCCCGAAUCUUCGAUUUUCUGCAGCAGUACAGGUUAGCAAUGCUUGUUCUUGAAGCUUAUUGCAUCUAACCUAUGCUUCUAUAUAAGGAUGGGGACGACUCCCAGGAACUCUUUUCUCCUCCUCUCCACAGUGAACUUCAAUUGGAGCCAAGGGAGACCCUCCAACUCUUUAGAAUUCCAAAUUUCACCUUGAGGACUUGGAAUUUUAGUAGGAUUUCGGCAGCGAUUGUUGGAGUUUUGGCUUGUGCGCAGUCUAGGAACAUCCAAAUUCUAUGAAACUUGAUUGGGAGAAUUGUGGACUCGUGGAGGAGUGUGUUGAACCUUUCCAACAGUAAAGUAGGUCUGUAAGCUCGAAUUGCUAUUUUUACUGGGAUUUUUUUGUUCUUGAGCUGAAAUUGGGGGUUUUCUUGGUGUUUAUCGAUCCAAAUGCUUUGGGAACUGGAUUUUUGAAGUGGGAAUUGGUUUUCCAUCAUCCUCUACUGGUUUAGAAGCUUUCCCUUCUUGAAUUCAAGUUUUGAGAGGUGAGUUUUAAUUCAGAUUUGGAUAAUUAAGCUUAUAUACUGAUUUUUGGGAGUUUUGAUGGAUUUUUUGGAUUUUUGAGUUCAUAUUUUUAUGAAAAGCUUAUUGAUGGAUUUGGAUUGAUUCCCUACUCUAUUUGAAAGGUUUGCGACCCAACUCCACUAGUUUUAUAACUUAGAAUUCUUAGAUUGAGCUAGAACAAGGAGAUUGCUUAAGUGCUGAAGUUCUGGAUGUAGGUUCUGGGCAUCCAGAAGUGGGUCCGAAUUAGUGUAAAGGCUUUUUGGUGAUCGUGUCGAGCCCAAUUUUGGUGAGAAACCUGGGGAAUUGCUAUUUAGACUUUUGAGGCGAGUUGGGUGAAGUUUCACUGCAUUUGGACUUGAAAAUUGGGUUAAUUCCUAUGUUGAACCCUUGUAGGCUAAAGCUACUAGCUUGUUGUUCUGGGCUUAGGUUCUAGGCGCCCAAAAGUAGCCGCAGGAGGAUCCAAAUCUAGCAGCAGCCUAGUUUGAUUUUCGGUUGAGGUUGAUUUUGUGUGGGGCUUCUCCUAUCGACUUCUAGCCGUUGUUGUAGUUGUGUUUAAGGUGGGUUGAUGUUAUCCGAAGUCUUCGAAAUUCCUCCUAAGUAUUCAAAACUCCAGCAUGUUAGUUUACAUAUAAUCAUUCUGUUUUUUAGCUCAAACUAUGGAUUUGCAUGUUAUAGAUAAAAUCUAAGUUUUGAAGCAUGCUUAGUUAAUUUAUAAUUAUUAUUCUCUACUAAACUGAUAUUUGACUUAGAAGAAAACUUAUUAAACCUACACCUAUCACUUUUCAAAAAGUUAUUAGAUUUAGCUUCAGGAGCUGAUUUUUCCUGUGUAUCACCGUUGUUAGUGCGUCGUGGAUACUUAGACUAGUGUAGGUUGAGAUUACACUCGUGCUGAGGGGCCGAGCUCGUUUUUACAGCAGAGUUAGGCUGUUUUGUACUAUUAAGUGCCGUCGAGGCUGAUAGUGGAUCUAGAUUCUUAUACCUUAUAUCAGAUUGUGCCGAGGGUAUGUGAGCCUUAGUUGUUAGACCAGUUUGACCCAUUUGUAUUGAUUAUAGCUUGUGUUGGCCUGAUUGAGCUCGACAGAGACACGCUUGCAUACUCGGUUAGGUCGCGCCCACGAAUGCCGCUCCGGAGUGAGGCUUUUUUUUCGUUGACGUCACAACAGUCCUGUUUAGGUAGUUUUCUUGGACUGGCCACCCCCGUGGGUGGUGUGCGGUGUAGUUUGGGCACAGGCUGGACUGGUCAGUUGCCGGUCCCUUGAGAUUGGGUCAGUUGUGGUUGAGUUUUAGUUAGUGUCGCAUUUAUAUAUCCAUAGAGAGUACAGUAUGGAUAGCGAUAGUAUAGUGGAAUUUAGCUGUAGAGUUUCUUCUAUCUUAUUUUACUAUCCUUUUUCCUGUCAGUUUAGAUGAGCUUCAUCUCUUCGGUGUUCGUGAUAUUGCCUCGGCGAGCCAAACAGCUAUGGCGAUUGAGCGGAAGAACAAAUUGUUUUGUGGGGAGAAGCCAUCUAGAGAGUCUGCUGAAGGCUCAAACAAGUUUAAAAAGAAGGGGUUCUCUGAUCCUGAUUUAUACUGUGAUUAUUGUAAAGUCACAAGACAUAUCAAGGAUCGAUGUUGGAAGCUCCAUCCAGAGAUGAGACCAAAGAAGAAGGACGAUCGUGGUAAACUCACAACGACAACGGCAACGACAUCGGCAGGAUCGACAAGUGAUGCUCCUACCUUAAUCGGACGGAUGGAUCAAGUGGACACUAGCUUGUUUCUGAUGGCUAUGUCGAAGAAGACAAGCCUGUGCCCGUCAAAUCCGACUGAUAAGAGAGAGGAGUUGUUCAAUUUUCGAGUUCAAAUCAAAAAUGAGGUGAUCGAUGCCAUUAUCGAUCCCGGCAGCCAAAAGAACUUGAUCUCGGAGAAUCUAGUUCAAAGGCUGGGUUUGUCUACUACACCACACCCACACCCAUAUCCAUUAGGGUGGAUUAACAGUAAUAUUGAGAUGAAGAUCGAUCACCAGUGUAAGGUAAAGUUUGCGGUGACCAGCGUCUACAUCGACGAAAUGCUAUGCGAGGUUGUACCGUUGAAUAUUUGCAAUCUUAUCUUCGGCAGUCCCUACCUAUGGGACCGUGACGCUAUCUUCUUCCGUCGUCCUCAGCAAUACCAAAUUGUUAAGGAUAGAUAAAAAUUUGUGUUCACCACAGAGCCAUUAUCAACAACUGUAGACCUGGUAACCAUUUGCCAGGCCAAGAGGACAAUCAAUGUCUGUCAAAAGUUUGCCUUACUGGUCAUUCGGCAAGUUAUAUCUAAGGAGACAAGCAGUAAGAUAUUAAGGCUAGCAUGCAAGGAAAAUACUGAUGAUGCAGCCAAACUGAUCAGUAAGCAUCAGGAUCUGUUUCAAAAAAUACAAGGACUGCCACCAAAGCGAGCCGUGGAACAUAAGAUCCAAUUGAUCAGCGAUGCUCCGUUACCAAAUCUCGACAUAUACCGAAACUCGAUGGUAGAGAAUAAGGAGAUAAAGCGACAGGGGACUGAGUUACUCGAGAGUGGUGCUAUCAAACCGAAUAGCCCCCCCUGUGGCUCCCCGAUCGUGUUGGUGCCAAAGAAAGACGGCGGGUGGCGAAUGUGUAUCGACUACCACCGCCCUCAACAAAAUCACCAUCAAGAACCGGUACCGGCCCCUUACCAUGGAUCGAUGAUCUCUUGGACCAACUGAAGCAUUCUCGCUACUUCACCAAAUCGGACCUGAAGUCCGGCUAUCAUCAGGUUCGGAUCCGAGAGGAUGACACCUAGAAAACCGCGUUCAAGACUCGAUAAGGCCUGUUUGAAUGGCGCGUCAUGCCAUUCGGCCUUUGCAAUGCACCAGCCACUUUUAUGCGACUGAUGAACGACAUUCUACGCCCCUUCCUUAAUGACUUAGUGAUCGUCUACCUCGACGACAUCCUCAUCUACAGUCGAUCGUGGGAUGAGCAUCUGGUACAUGUCAAGAAGGUUUUCAUGGUGCUCAAGGAACACCAACUCUGCUUAAACCCUAAAACGUGUGAGUUCGGCAAGCAAAGCUUGGUGUAUCUUGGGUUCGUGGUAGGCGGCGGCGAGCUUCAGAUCGACCCCGACAAGGUCAGGGUCAUCAAGGAGUGGCCUAGGCCCAAAAAUGUGACAGAGAUGCGGAGCUUCAUGGGCGCUUGCCAAUAUGUCCGGAAGCCUUGUUGCCCCUUUACAUUCACUAACGAAGGCCAACCAAAAGUUCGAAUGGAGUUCAAAACAUGAGGACACGUUCCCACUUCUGCAAUGAAAGAUAUGUGAGGCGUAUGUUCUUGCGCUACCAAAUCUGCAACGACCCUUUAAGUUGAAGGCAGACGCGUCGGGAUAUGCCAUAGGGGCUGUCUGGAUGCAAGACGGUCGGCCUAUCGCGUAUUACUCCAAAAUGUUCCAGGGAGCUCAAAAGAACUAUCCAACCUAUGACAAGGAACUUUUGGCACUACACCAGGCGGUGACGCGUUGGCGGGUCUACCUCUUAGAAAAGAAAAUAGUGGUGCAUACAGACCACCGCCCGCUUCAGUACCUCCAAACGCAAUCAAAAUUGCAGCAGGCACGUCACAUGAAAUGGAUGACGUACUUGCAACAGUUCAAUCUAGUAAUCAAGUACAAGAAAGGUACUCACAACAAAUUGGUUGAUAUGUUAUCACGACCACCAGCGGCGGCACUUUGCUUGCCGAUAUUCUUGCAAGUUCAGCUAGACUUUCAUGAGUAUGCAAGUUUAUAUGCAGAAGACUCGGAUUUUCAGUGAAAACUGAGGAAACUCAAUUUCCUCAGGUGUAGUUCUAGAUCCAGCAGGUACUGGUUCCUCUCAAAAUUAGGAAGCCAUGAUCCGGGACGAUCAAACAUUUCAGAUAAGUUUCAACCGUUAGGGAUAAAGAGGAGGUGGUUCAAACUAAUUCAGUUAGGAUAUGAAUCGAGAUGGUUCCAACUAAUUCGCUUAGGAUAAGGAUUGAGGUGGUUCCAAACUAUUUCGGUUAAGAUAAGAAUCGAGGUGAUUCCAACUACUUCUAUUAGGAUAAGGAUAAAGUUUUUAUUUUCAAAAUAUUUUAUUCUUAUUUUCUUGUAAGCCUGAAGUCUAUAAAUAGAGGCCCUACUAGCUCAUGUAAACUCACUCUAGUUUAGAGAGAAUUAAUAUACAGACUCUUCCACAUAAAAAUAUUGUGUUCAUUUUUUUUUUUUCUCUUUAAUUUGGUUUCAAAUAUCCAUCGGGAAGGCGCUGCCACAUUGCUUCCUCCACCAACCGAUCAACCUAUAAGGCAAGGUGUGACCUUGCAGAUACCUUUUGAGGACCUACUAUAUGUGUGAAGUUGUGAGACCGCGACUAUGGAAAGAGGACGGUUCCCUAAAACACACACGAAGUGAUAUUAGCACAUGGCCAUAAAAGCGCUCACCGGCUUAGAAUCUAAAAGCUGUACCAUGUGUGAUCUUUGUGGAAAUCCGAUUCACCGCCCUUGGUUCAAGGCGUAGUCCACCAUCGUGCCCUCGGAUGUUCAUUGACAAACACUAAAUGAAGGUUCAAACCCGAAAGGUAACUUUGCCGAAUACAUGAUAUAAGAGAUCCAGCAUUCUUUUGAAUUGUUUUGAAUUUCAGUGUAUUUACUUUCUUUAUUUCAAAGUUUAAAUCAUGUGGGGGAAUGUUAGAUUUUAUUGGAUUUUUGGUGAUUUGAAACUUAUUUAGCCUCUUGGGCAGCCCAAUACUUAAUGGGUCUUGCCUGGAAGGCUAACUAAAGUUUUUAUAUGUGAUGUUUAGUCCCACAUUGAAAACUAAAGUUAUGUUGUUGUUAUUUAUAUAUUGCUUUAUUCUCAAGCUAGUUGGUUGGGAGAAAAUAAAAGUUAUGCUCUCGACUAAACACACGCACGCACGCAAGGCACGAGCACGAGCCGAGCAGAGCCGGGCGGGCUGCGGCACGUGCGGUCCAUGCACCCGGUUAAUUUUAUUUUAUUUUAUUUUAUUUUUAUUUUUAUUUUUAUUUUUUGGUUUACCUUUAUCAUAAUCCUAAUCCUAAUCUAUAUCCCGUAUAAUUUUAAGCUUAUCUUGUUCUACACGGAAUUGACGCGUUGAAGCAAGAUUCUUGCCUUGGUUAUAUAUAUUGGAGGAAGUUGCGUGAAUUCAACAUAAACCUAGGCAUAUCUAAGAGCAAAACCCUAUCCUUUACCUCGCCUUUUCGUGAUUUCUCGCCAUUAAUCUUUUGCGCCGAUUUUCGCCGAGCUUUCUCAUAUUUUGCUAGAUUUGAAGCUUGUUGGGUUCAUUUUGCGCCACCUUGAAAUCGUGCCGACGGGGUGGAAUGUGGUCAUUGUAUCGCUGGAAGUAAUUGGCGGAAAGCCUCACAUGUGGAUGGGCAAUUUCGCUUCUAGAAUAGUGCACUACACGCCUCGAUCCACAUGCCUUUUCUAAUCAUUUUCUUUACAGUAUUUGUUAUUUAAUUUCUUUCUCAAAAUUUUUCUAUAACUGAAAUUAAACUUCCGAAUUGUUAUUAAAUAAUAUUUUAAUAAAAGAUCAGAAAGAUUUUCCAACACUAUUAAUGUUUUAAAGUUUUAAAAUUCCUGAGUUGUUUUUUUGUACAAAUGUGAUAAAUUAAUAGGUGCUUAAUACUAUGAUGCUUUACAUGUGCAGAAAAGAUUCUGUUCAUAUUGCGGCUCUGUGUGAAUGGCCGGUCUGGUUUCUGUGCCUAGGUAUGACGUAAUAUUCCACUAAGAUUAAAAAUUUACGAAUGUUGCAAAGCUAAGUUAAUUAUUUAUGAGUCGAUAUGAUUAUUCUAAAUAUUUCUAUUUAUAAGUGACUGUCCCUAGAGCAAUUGGCAAAGAGCUUGGUGGUUGGUAUCUGUCACGCCCCGGAUUACACGUUCCCCGGGCACGCCGACAAAUCCGCCGUAUACAAAGAAAUUUUCCCUGUAUACGAAGCGACAGCUGUACCUGUAAAUCAAACACUACUACGAACAGUAGUAGAGAGCUGCUAGAGAAAACAGAAGCCAAAUAAAACAGAGUUUCAUAUACAUAGUUCAGAUCCAAAAUACAGAGCUACUCGCACUGGCGAGUUAAGUCAACUAUGUACAUAAACUCGAAACAAAACAUCUACCUACAGUAGGGCACCUCUAGCUCAGCACGUCGGGUAGGGCUCUAACUCGCGACGCCCUUGCCUCGAUCCUGAUCCACGGACGGUGCAGCAGCCGGAACCUGUGGCUCUGCAAAAACAUAGGUAACAACUGGGCGUGAGAACUACUGUAAAAACAAGUAGUCCUCAGUGGGUACCGCCCAAAACAACAUCGGUCACCCACUAAGUCUACAGAAGGGAGCAAGGAUAGAAGGAAAAGCAGGAAGUACACUCUACCGCUAUCAUCCACUACACUAUCAUGCUCUACACUAACCAACUGUAGGAAAUGUCAAAUCUGACCCAAUCCAAAUCGGGACUGUAAGCAUACCCGUCCCCGGGACUGUGAAUACACCCGUCCCUGCCCCGUUGCGACUAUCGGGCUCUAUCCACUCUAACUGGUCCGUGGAGAGCAAGUCCAACUGGCAUGAGCGACACCAACGCGAAAGCACAAGCCUGACUCCGGAGUGGCACUCGUGGGCGCUACCCAACCGAGUAUGCAGCGUAUCUCUGUCGAGCUCAAACAGGCUCUGGAAAGCCAAAGUCAAGAAACCGACUCUAAACUGGUCUAACAACCAACAGGUAACGUGCCCUCGGCACAAUCUGACGCCAAAAAGGCGAUACGGGUCCACCGUCAACUCUGACGGCACCCAACAGUCCGAAAUAACCUGAACGACCCGGUAAAAAUCCACUCGGCGAACCAGCACGAGUGUAAAUAUAUUCUAAACUACCUGGAGUACUCGUCUCGACAAUACUGCGACAGUACACUUUUCUAACGGCUUCUAGAGCUAAAUUAGGCAGUUUAUACAGGUGACAGGUCCAAAUCGCAAGUUUUCUCCUAAUUCAAUUUCCAAGUUCAACAUGUAUAAUCUACUUAAUUUAAAAUAAACAUGCUUCAAAAUUCAGAUUUCACAAUCUACAUAUAGUCCAUGAAUUUGAGCUAAAAUUAAUUACCGAAAUCAAGAUCUAUACAUGUCGACCAAUAAGAACUUAGGAGUAAAGCCGAUGUAACCCACCAAAAAAGCUAAUCCCUGGCAGCGAGGGACUCCUCCUGGUGUAGAGCAACCUGCUGGAUCACCCGGAACCCGCCGAGUACAGAAAUCGCCUAAGCUCGAGCUCUACGCAACAAAAUUCACCAAUUCAGUCCAGAAAUUUCAGCGGUGAGGUACAACAGGGAUUCGACCAAGCUAACCUUCACCAAAUCCAGCAAGUAAGGGCUUCGUGGAUUCCUCUCGAAGUCCUGAAUCCAACAAGCCAAGUCUCGUCGCAAUCCGAUGCUCCUACGUCGAGAACGAGCCAAAAUACCGACAGUCGACGAAGAAAUCUGCAGCAGUGGCACCCGAGCCCGAAAAUGAUGAAAUUGAAGUACUUGGAGGGAUGCCCACAGGUAAAAAUACGACAACCAGUACCUUGAAGCAGCACGACGUCAAAGAUGGCGAAAAAAACAACUCGCCCGACCUCCUCGCAGCAACACGACGACGGAAGUAUGCUCGAACGGCUCCGCGGCGCGACGUCGGCGACGAAUCCGAGCUCCCUCUUGCCUUCAACCGGAUGAGGGAGUUAGAGAGAUGGAUAAAAGCAGCUAGAAGACCUCUCUCACUCUCUCCACACGAAGCUAUAUAGAGGGGAGUGAGGGGUGAUACAAGCGAGGGAGAGAAAAUUACUCAUUUAGCCCUCUACCUACCCUCUUGUACCGGUACACGGGCUCCUGUACCGGUACAAGAGCCAACCUGAGAGCAGCUAAGUUCGGUGCGCGCAUCCUGUACCGGUACAGCAACCCCUUGUACCGGUACAACAAGCAGUCCUGCGAUGGUUGUACCGGUACAGCCUGCCCUUGUACCGGUACAGCGAGCAGAAAAUCCUGCUGUUUCGCAGAUUCUCUCGCAGAAUGCUGCCCUCGCAUUGCACGGAGUCCGUUUUGCGCCUAUUUGACGCCAACGCGACUCGGACCUGUCCCGACAAUCUUCAGAGCUGUCGACAAGCCUCCAGUCAAACACCAGAGAUCUCACAUCCUCCCCCUCUAUAAAAAGUUUCGUCCGCAAAACUGAACAUACCUCUACUCAAGCAUCAAACAAGUAGGGAUAGGCUUUCCUCAUCACCGUCUCAGACUCCCAAGUCGCCUCCCGCUCAUCAUGAUUACUCCACUGCACUUUCACAUACGGAAUGACCCGGUUGCGCAAUUCUCUCGUCUCACGAGCAAGAAUCCGCAACGGCCGCUCCUCGUAUCUCAGAUCCUCGCCAAUCUCAAGUGGAGUGAAGUCAAUCACAUGAGAGGGAUCGAAAACGUAUCUCCUCAAUGCUGAGACGUGGAAAACAUCAUGGAUGCCAGCAGGUCGCGGGGGUAGAGCUAUCCUGUAAGCCACCGGUCCGAUACGCUCCAAUACCUCGAAAGGACCAACAAAUCGUGGACUAAGCUUCCCACGUACUCCAAAUCGGCGUAUCCCUCUGGACGGCGAGAUUUUGAGAAAAACAUGAUCCCCAACCUGAAACUCCAAGUCUCGUCUCCGAGUAUCAGCGUAGCUCCUCUGUCGGCUCUGAGCUGUCAAAAGGUGUCGUCGAACGACUCUCACCUUUUCCUCAGCCUCAAGUAGAAUCUCUGGUCCAAGUGUCCUCCGCUCACCCACAUCACUCCAAAACAGGGGGGAUCGACAUCUGCGUCCAUACAACGCCUCAAACGGAGCCAUCUGAAUGCUCGUUUGAUAGCUGUUGUUGUACGCAAACUCAACCAGUCUCACAUGUCGAUACCACCCUCCUCCAAAAUCCAGGACGCAUGCCCUCAGCAUGUCCUCUAGAGUCUGUAUGGUCCGCUCUGACUGACCAUCUGUCUGUGGGUGGAACGCCGUGCUAAAAUGCAGCUGUGUACCCAAGGCUGUCUGCAAACUCCUCCAAAACUGGGAUACAAACCUCGGGUCUCUGUCUGAUACAAUCGACACUGGCACGCCGUGCAGCCUAACGAUCUCAUCCAAGUAUAGCUGCGCAAGUCUCUCCCUGGACCAGGUAGUCUGAACCGGUAGGAAGUGAGCAGACUUGGUCAGUCUGUCCACUAUCACCCAAAUCGCGUCGUAGCCACCCUGCGCUCUAGGCAAUCCAACGACGAAGUCCAUCGUGAUGUGCUCCCACUUCCACUCGGGAACUGGCAGACUCUGAAGCUUGCCAGCAGGCACCUGAUGCUCGGCCUUCACCUGUUGGCAAGUCAAACACUGAGCCACAUAUCUGCCAAUGUCCCGCUUCAUUCCAGGCCACCAGAAUCGUGCCUUAAGAUCCUUAUACAUCUUGGUUCCCCCAGGAUGAACCGUAUAAGGGGAACAAUGAGCCUCUCUCAGAAUAUCCGCUCGAAUCUCCGGAUCCACAGGCACACACAGUCGGUCCCUGUACCGUAGUACUCCCGAACUGUCCAAAGCAAAUCCCUCAGCCUGCCCCCUGUCUAGCUGCUCUCUAAUCCUCAACAAGUACGGAUCUCCACUCUGUUUCUCUCGGAUCCUAUCCAACAGAGUGGGCUGUAAAACUAGAGACGUCAGCCUCGCCGUAGACCCAGGGGGUACUAUCUCGAGUCCCAGCCGCUGUAGCUCCUCGAGUAGGGGUCUCUGCUCAGUAAUCCUCAAACUCAGGCUCUGCACUGACUUCCUGCUCAACGCAUCUGCCACCACAUUCGCCCUGCCGGGAUGAUACUGAAUACUAAUGUCAUAGUCCUUCAGUAACUCCAACCACCGGCGCUGCCUCAGAUUCAGCUCCCUCUGUGUGAACAGAUACUUGAGACUUUGAUGAUCGGUGAAUACCUCGCAGUGCUCGCCGUACAAGUAAUGCCGCCAGAGCUUCAAAGCAAAAACCACCGCGGCAAGCUCCAAAUCAUGCGUAGGGUAAUUCUUCUCAUAAUCCUUUAACUGCCGUGAAGCAUAAGCAAUCACCCUACCAUGCUGCAUCAGCACGCAACCAAGUCCACUGUGCGAUGCAUCACUGUAGAUCACGAAUCCAUCCCCCAUCACCGGAAGGGCAAGGAUAGGAGCCGACGUCAACCUCAGUCUCAACUCGUCAAAGCUCCUCUGACAGUCGUCGCUCCAGACAAAACGAAUCCCCUUCCGCGUCAAGCGUGUGAGGGGUGUGGAAAGCUUCGCAAAGCCUUCCACAAACCGACGGUAAUAUCCUGCCAGUCCCAGGAAGCUCCGUACCUCAGUCACCGUCGUCGG
This 453741-nucleotide long non-coding RNA is filed under the name Ananas comosus (pineapple). Its description in RNAcentral is "long non-coding RNA (ACOM_LNC017495)". The record is from RNAcentral. Lineage: Eukaryota; Viridiplantae; Streptophyta; Magnoliopsida; Poales; Bromeliaceae.